UGAACCUGUUAUCUACAUAUAAAAGCUAAAUGCAGUCAAACCAGUGUCAGCUAUUUGAGCCUCAUGAACCCCUGGCUAUACUUGUUGAGUACGAUAUGUGCUCACUCUUGCAAUUACACCCACAUCCUUCAGGAAAAGUUUUGGGCUUGUGAUCAACCAGUCAGUGGGAUCCUGUAGAGUGAAGUUAAUACCCAAAGUUGGAGUUAUCUUCCGUUGUUUGCUGCUUAAGGUUAUCUCUUUUAUACUAAGUAUGUUAUAUAUUUAUGCAUUGUCUUUUGAUAUUACCCCUCAUUUGUAGCUAUAUGUGAGACUUGGCUUCUAAAACUCACAUAUGGUGCAUAUCUGGUUUUGUCCUUAAAAUCGGGUAUUACAAUACACCUCUGCCACCUGCUAGCUGCAUCAAAAGAAAUUACGUCAAAAUCCAGCUUGGGGGAGAGCACCCCCAUUUAUCCAGCUAAGUGUUUCUAUCUAAUUUUAUACUUAUACUUUGUUAAAAUAAUAUAAAGAUGUAUAAUCAUAAAAACCCAAAUAAAUAUUGUGUGCUUAUAUCUUUGCUUAGUUUGCUAAAUAAAUAAAUAAAGUGUUUAUGCCAAAUUGAACUCCAAUGAUAAACUCUUACAUGGAUAUGAUGAAUAGGUGCUCUGCCAAGUACCUAGUUUUCAAAUUUGAGCUCUCUCUCUCAAGUUUAGACAAAACUGUUAUAAUUUAAAGAUUGCUCUAAACCUGAACUUGUGGAAGAGAACUUGAUCUAAAGUCUAAGUCGUUAAUGGAUAUGAUAUGGAAAGGUUGAGCUGCUGUUUAUCUGUUCCUAGAGAUGCUAGAAUUCUGGAGAAUUUUAUCUUUGAAAAUCUUUAAAAUAUUGCAUGAUAAGUUCCUGUAUGAUGAGAGUUUAAAUUCCUACCAUGGCCAUUCAUACAUACUUGCUAGACUAUGAACUAUACAUUUACUUCUUUUUACUACUUAUGAGCAUUGAGUGUGGUCAAGCUGUGUAGACCCUUAGGAGCUUGUCAUGCGGUUAAAAUCAAGAUUCACUUGCACGUUCACUCAUACAAGCUACUUCUACUCCGGAAGUACGGAUCCACAUACAUCCACUCAAUUCCAUCUCUAGGUUCACCUAAAAUAAUUCUACUCCUAUCCGGGAGAGAAUAGCCAAAAGCAUUAUCCCAUUCCUAUUUUUCCCUAUGAAAUAAAUGCUCGAGAUAUUUUGGUUACUACCACUUGCUACAUUAUUCUAGGAUGGUGAGUGCUCUAAAAAAAGAGAAGAAAAAGGAAAAAAUACGAGGAAAUAAAAAGGGGCAAGUGCCCGGAACCUCGAAGAAAAGGAAAAGUGAGACGAGAGGUAAAAAUGGACAAGUGUCCGAUAGUAGAAUUAGGGGUACCAGAUACCCACCUGAGAGAAAAGAAAAAGAAAAUAUAGAGCAUCUCAUCCACCUCAAAAAGCUUCAAAGUGCAAGAAAGGUAUGUAUCCCCUCAAAAGAGCAAAAGUAGAAUUAGACUUUCACCAUUGUUUUCACCAUUAUCACCAUCAUUACCAUACACAAUUCAUUCGCCACACAUGCACAUCUUGAUAUUGACUUGUUUCUCUGAAUCCAUGGUUUGACUAUGCAACAAAUGUCUUGUAAGUAUGUAUACUUUAUCUCUCACCUAUGAGCUCCAGAUAUCAAAGCCUUAUUAGAGUAGGGUGAGAGAGAAGGCAAUGUCACUAUGCCUUAUACCACAAAUACUACAUACUGCCUUGGUAAGGAUCCAAAAAUACCACAAAAGAGAGAUCUGAGAGAGUCAUACAAAGGAAUCUCUGAGUUUUAUUUGAAAAUUUGCAAAAACUCCAGAGCUAUAGCUAAUCAAAGAACAAGAGACAUGGCGCUUGACUGGACCAUUCUAUCUUUUAACUGCUCAGGACACAAGUAAUGGUUGCAAGCCCCAUGGUGAAAGGUAAAAUGACUAAGUUUAAGUCUUAAUAGUUACUCUAACUCAGAGAUAAGACCUUGUUUGAAAGCAUGUGUACCGUCAACUUUCUAAGGCAUUGCAGCAACUUCUGAUCCAUAACUAAGUCUAUCCUUGCUUAGGGAUGAGCAAGAGGUAAGCAUGGGGGAGUUUGUUGACGGUUGUGGGGGUAUAAACCCCUAUACCAUUACGGCUAGACUUGGGCCAGGAGGCUUGGUCCAUCACGAGGACAGUUCGAGGCUUAAUCCAACUGCUCGGAGUUUUGCGCAAGGAAACAGGACGUAGAGAUUAAGCCGGAUUCUAGUCGGUUAGAAUAGGAAUUGAUAUCAUGCUAUCUAUGGCAAUUGUAACCGACUAGGAUUAGUUUCCAGAUUUGUAACCUUGCCCUCCGGACUAUAUAAGGAGAGGCAAGGGACCCCCCUAGGACACUGUUGACACUUGCUAACACCUCUUGAAUACUAGGUUGUCAUCCCCAGCAUGGCACUAGAGUGUACUAUGGUAUUUAUACGCACACAGAUAAUACGCAAGCGCACGGAUACCGUUGAAGCUUUUACUCGAUUAAAGGUUUUAUCGUAUCCACAGGGAAACAGGAGAACCAACUACGCUCUAACUUAACCAAGAUAGAUAGAUAGGUGUAAAUAGGAAAGAUGAUAGAAUCGAAUAAGAACAAUAUUAAAGGUAAGAUAACAGUGAGUGAUAAUAUGGGAAUAGAGAAUAGAGCAAUUCUAGUAUAUGGGAGAUGGUAGCAGAAUAGAGAGGAUAACUAUGGUUUCUCUACUUCAAAGGGGUAUGUCUAUGUCUGGGACGAACCACGUGAUAAGAGUACACCACAAAGGAUGCUUAUCCAUAGGCCGAUAAACCCUAACCGUCCUGCUAACGAGAGGUGGACUACAGGGGACCAACGUAACUGUCACCUACGCGGCCUACCACACGAUCCAGCUAGUCAGAGGAUAUCCACAAGUAAUCUAGGUCUAAGCACCACGCUUACACCUAUACUACAACUCUAACCUAUAGGGUCCUAUAGAUUAGAAGUACUCAAAAGAGUUGUGAACCAGAACAUACAUGAUUAGUAAUUGCAUAAUGAAUUAGAAGUAGAUUACCAGAGUCAUCCCAUGAGCAAGCUUGAUUAGAGCUUGAUCAUGGCGAAGUAGAACCGGAGGAAGAACCGACAGGCCGGCCUCUCCUCUAAUCCUCCUUCGCUCUCCAUCUCGCUACUAUCUAGAUCUAUUCUAGUUUAGAGAAGAGAGGAGAGCUCUCAUCUCUAAACCCUAGCUUUUGCUCUGUCUAUGAAUAAUGAAUAAUGAUCAAGGGGUGCCUCCUCCAGGGGCCAGGGGGUCUGGUUAUAUAGUCCCCUCAAGUGAACCUGGGCCGUCGGAUCAAACCGACAUUGAUUGAACGGUUAUUCUUGAUCCUUUAGGUUGGUGGAGCAUAAUCCGCGAGGUUGAACGUGAUUGGCCACUGUAGCAGGGCGGGCGCCCUAAGGACUUGGGCGGGCGCCCAGGUCCUGGCUCCGUUCGGUCUCCGCUUCCUUCCCGUGGCUUCUGGAGUCUUCUAGAUGUAAGAUAAUUGCGCGGCACGUUGAUAUCUCUAUGUAAUCCCGACGUGUGGGCCUUUCUUCCUUAUUUCCUGAUAACCCCCUGCAGAAAUAGACAAACACCAAAACUCGUGGAAUUCUGUCAGAUAAAACCCUAAGUCUCGAUGUUGAUUUCAUUUGGAUCCUUUUCUUUGUUUAUUUGAUAGUUAAAUUUGAUACUUAAGGACCGUCAACAAACUCCCCCAAGCUUACCUCUUGCUCGUCCCUGAGCAAGGAUAGACUCAGCUAUGGAUCAUAAGUUGUUGCAAUAUCUUUAAAAAUUGACGGUACACAUGCUUUUAGAUGAGGUCUCAUCUCUGAGUUAGAGUAAACUGUCAAGAACUAAAACUUACUUACUUUACCUUUCACCAUGGGACUUGUAACCGUCACUUCUGUCUUUAGUAGUUAAAAGAUAGAACAGUCCAGUCAAGUGCCAUGUCGCUUAUUCUUGAUCAGCUAUAGCUCUGGAGUUUUUGCAGAUUUUCAAAUAAAACUCAGAGAUUACUUUGUAUGACUCUCUCAUAUCUCUCUUUUGUGGUAUUUCUGGAUCCUUACCAAGGCAGUGAUGGUAAAUGCCUUCUCUCAAAAUAUGUGGUAUUUAUGGUAUAAGGGAUAAUGACAUUGUCUUCUCUCUCACCCUACUCUAAUAAGGCUUUAAUAUCUGGAGCUCAUAGGUGGGAGAUAAAAUAUACAUACUUACAAGACAUUUAUUGUAUAGUCAAACCAUGGAUCCAAAGAAACAAAUCAAUAAGCCAAAUCAAGAUGUGCAUGUGUGGCGAAUGAAUAGUGUAUGGUGAUGAUGGUGAUAACAAUGGUGAAAGUCUAAUUCUACUUUUGCUCUUUUGAGGGGAUACAUACCUUCCUUGCUUUUUGAAACUUUAUGAGGAGAAUGAGAUGCUCUUCUUUUUGUUUUCUCUCAGAUGGGUAUUCUAUACCCCUAAUUCUACUGUCGGACACUUGUCCAUUUUUACCUCUCGUCUCACUCUUUUUCUUUUCUUUCGAGGUUCCGGGCACUUGCCCCUUUUUUAUUUCCUUGUUUAUUUUUUUUCUUUUCUUCUUUUUUUUUCAGAGCACUCAUCUCUUGAGAUAAUAUAGCAAGUGGUAGUAGCAAGAUAACUUGAGCAUUUAUUUCACAAGGUAAAAACACAAAUGUUUUUGGCUAUUCUCUCCCGAAUUAGGAGUAGAAUAUUUUUAGGUGAUUCUGGAGAUGGAAAUGGAUGGAUAUAUGUGGAUGGUACUUCUGGAGUAGAAGUAGCAUAUAUAUGAGUGAACGUGCAAGUGAAUCUUGAUUUAACCACAUGACAAGCUCCUAAGGGUCUACACAGCUUGACCACACUCAAUGCUCAUAAGCAGUAAAUAAUAAAUGUGUGGCUCAAAGUCUAGCAAGCAUGUAUAUAUAUGGUUGUGGUAGGAAUUUAAACUCUCAUCAUACCGGAACUCAUCAUGCAAUAUUUUAAAGAUUUUUCAAAGAUAAAAUUCUCCAGAAUUCUAGCAUCUCUAGGAACAGAUAAACAGCAGCUCAACCUUCCCAUAUCAUAUCCGUUAACAACUUAGAUUUCAGAUCAAGUUUUCAUCCCACAAGUUUAGAUCUAGAGCAAGCUUUAAAUUAUAACAGUUAUGUCUAAACUUGAGAGAGAACUUCAAAUUUGCAAAUUAGGCAGAGCAACUAUUCAUCAUAUCCAUGCUAGAGUUUUAUUAUUAAGAUUCAGAUUAGCAUAGCCACUUUAUUUAUUUAUUAAACACACUAAACAAAAGAUAUAUAUAUAUAUAAGCACAAAAUCUUUAUUUGGUUUUUCAUAGUUUAUGUAUUUUAAUAUUCUAAUAUAAUAUAAGUAUAAAGAUAGGUAGAAAUACUUAGCGAGAUAAAUGGGGGUGCUCUCCCCCAAGCUGAAUUUUGACGUAAUUUCUCUUGAUGUAGCUAGCAGGUGGCAGAGGUGUAUUUGAAAGUCAGCAGCAUUCUGACAGCGAUUAGAAUGUCCUCCGUCUGCUAGUCUUCUUGAUUCUUAAAUUCUGUGGAGCUCAAAUAGACAACAAAGCUUGUGGAACUAAUUAAGUGUUAGCAUAAAUAUCUAGCCUUCAUCACGUUGAGCUUCCUCAAUAAAUAUUACUCCUUAUUUUUAUAUUUUUAUUUUAUAAAGUAGAAAAGAAAUAUUUAUUUUAUUUUUAUGCCACCACAGUGAAGGUACUUAUGGGUUUUAUGCCACUCGUAUACUCACAUGGGGCUUAGUAUUUUUUAACAUUUUUAUUUUCUUUUCAAGAUAGCAUGAUUAACUAAUAAUCUAUUUAAGGAAAGUAAAUAAUUAAAUGAAAAAGGGAAUGCAGAAAGGAUAAAUAUGGAUAACUACCAAUCUUACCUUUCGGUGAGGGUUCAAUGUUUUAAGUCUUCUUGUCAAGACUUCUCAUCGUGUUCAUUCUUCAGGUGCGUCAUUUGAUUCAGGUGCGGACCUUGACAUCUGCACCUUUUAAUACGGUGUCACCCAUGUUCUUCGUUUGCCCAGCAGUUCGAAGUGAGGUGUUAGCAGUAUCUUGCUCAGUGUGUUUGUGCUCGUAGUGUAGCUGCUCAUAGAGACAAGGCAGAGAUCAAGUGCAUGGGCCCUGUUGGUGGAAAACACCAACAGAACCAAAAGUGUAUUUGUUCUUCUCUAACCUUAAGCAUAGUGAGCAAGACAAAGUUGAUGGAUGAUAAGUUUAUGAGUGUAGCACUUAUAACAUUUGUCAGAUCAGAUCGCUCAACCUUAUGGAAAGAUAAUCUAUCUGUGUAUAUGUCUUUUUUCUUUAUAUCUCUCAAUGAUUGAAUGUGUAACAUUUUAGCUCAUAUGAUUAGGAGUGUGGGAUCAUGGAGGUAGUACUAAGAACAAGGAUUAAAGUACUAAACAUGUUGAAUCAGUUGGGUUGGUUAAUCUAGAGUUGUAAAUCAUACACGUUUGUCUCUUUUAUUUAUAUGAACGCCAGAACCAAGGAGAAGCUUAUAAAAGUGAUAGUCAAGUACCUUAAGAUGUUACCUUGCUCGAAGAGUGAUGGUACAGUAUCAUCUUGUGGAAGCAUUCCUUUCUUAGCGGUUGUGCAUCGUGUUUGUGGCACCCUCCAUGGAUCAUGUCUCUAUGAUGAAUGAGCUAUGUCCUUCUUGUACAAAUUGUUAAACUUCAUGUGUCACUCUCUUCGUCUCUGAUGUGAGUUUAUCUCAAGACUUCCCAAAUCGAUAUUGAAAGUUUUUCUGCAGGGGUUAGUCCGACAAAAAUAUACCAAUGUCUACACAAGCAGUUUUUAGUUCAAUAACCGAACUAGACUCCAUGUCUAAUCAGAUUAAGGAAGGCUGCUUAACCUAAGCACCAUGCUUAAUUUAAAAGCCAAUGGAAGUAUGGCGAGUACUUCCAAACCAAUACUUGCUAGUAAAUAGACAAAGGUAGCAUGACAGCAUUUAUAGAGAUCUACUCAAGUGGAGAUGAAGUAGUGUGAUUAGUAUUUAACAAAUUGAGCAUGUCUCAAAGGUAGGGACAACCAACAUAGCAACAUGGCAAAGGAUGUUUUUAUGUAAAGUACUCCCCCAAGCUUGAAUUUUGCAGAAUUCAAGUUUGGAUGAAUUUAAUUCAGUGUUGCAUGAUGAUUGGUUGGACAUACCUUGUGCUUGUCAUUCAUCCGAUCUUCUUGCUCCAAUCCUAGAAAGGUUAGUGACAAGAAUACCUGAAGGAAUAUUUUUACAAUUAUCCUUAUAUGCUCAAUACACAAGGUAAUGUUGCAAAUAAUUAAAAACUCAUGUUACGAUCUGAUCAGCGCUUAUUUUAGGACACCAAGCUUGUCCUUGGGAAACCAUCAAUUUAUGUCGGCGAAGUGGUUUCCCUUCCAACGCUGACCUAAAUCAAGAUCAACUCAACGAGAUCUGCAAUAUUUAUUAUAGACAUAUGCAUCGACAACCGCCCUUUUGAAGUUUUUAUAAAUAGAAAGGAAGAGGGGGUUGGAGAUCUCAAAUGUGGUGAUGUUGGAGAGACCAAUAGAUUGGGAAGAUGUUGCAUAUGAGCAUGGAGAAAACAAAGUGGCUAUGAAAUAAAUUCCAUGCUCAUUAAUGUUAUCUUCGUCUCCAAUCUGAAUGUUCAUAGUUUCUCUUGGAUUGGUCUCACUUAUGUCCUCUUCUAUAGUUGGAUGAAUCCCAUCUUCAAAGGGAGUCAAGGACUCACCAUUUGAAGUUGAGCCAAAGUCAGAAUCCAUUAAGGCUUCUUCCUUAUCCAUCCAUUCUACACAUUCUAGCCAUUUGGAACUUGAGAUCAGGAAAGGGGAGCUGUUAGAAUUUUCUAUAUGGCUUAGCUCUCCUUCACUUGAUAUGUCAUCCUCGACUUCUUCAUAAUAGGAACCAGGACAUUCUCUAAGAGAAACAUUAUUGCAAGGAUUUGAAUUAUCCUUGCUUGAAGGUCUCUUAUGGAACCAGAAGUCUAAACCAUCAAUAUCUGAAAGAUUUAAGGUCGGAAUUCCUUCCUCCCUUGGAGAAUUUUGGGGUAUUGAUGGUUUAGGAUCGAUAGCUAAAGUUUGGGAUUGAAGUGGUUGUGGUCUGGCUAUCGAAACUUCUUCUUCUUGUUUAGGAACUGGUUCUUUCUCUUUCUUAGGGAUAUAAAAGCUAGGAGACUUUCCGCUCAUUAAAUCAAUCAAAUUCCAAGCUUCACUAGCGGAUAGGUGGUGGAAAGAUCCUCCAGAGGCCGCAUGAAGGGUUUGCUUAUUUUCCAUACUAAGGCCCUCAAAAAAGUGCAUUAGAAGAACUUCUUCUGUAAUAGAAAGCUUUGGGCCAGUGAGAGUAAGGUUAAUAAAGCGGUCCCAUGAUUUGCCAAGAGAUUAUUCUUCCAGUUGUCUAAAAGAAAGAAUCUCACGCCGAAGUUCCACCACUUUGGAGAUUGGAAAAUAUUUAGAAAGAAAACUACUAUAUAACUCCUUCCAAUCUCCAUGAACACUCCCUACUUUGAGUUUAUACCAAUGUCUAGCUUUUCCCGUUAAAGAGAACGGAAAGAGCUUCCAUUUAAAGGUCUCAUCGGACAUGCCUUCUAUGCGAAGGAGGUCACAGACUCGAUAAAACUCUCCUAGGUGUGUGUAUGGGUUUUCCUCACCUUUUCCUGAGAAAGGUUGUUUUUGAAUAAAUUCUAUGUAUUCGGGGUCUAUCUCAAAACUAGAUGCUAUGAUAGGCUUUGAAGAUUUUGGUGGUUCAAGAUGUGUGCCCGUAGGUCUAUGAAAUUCAUAGAUAGACAUGUUUGAAUUCAUGAUAGACCAGAGAUCAAGGAUUAGAUAAGAAGAAAGAUUAGCAGAGAUGAGGCAAAGGAUAAAAGGAAUAUAUAUAUAUAUUUUUAUUAUUUUUUUUAGAAAAUGAUUAAGCUAGUUCGUAGUCAAUUCAGCAACCGUUUCCCCGGCAACGGCGCCAAAAAUGCUUGUUGACACUUGCUAACACCACUUGAAUACUAGGUUGUCAUCCCCAGCAUGGCACUAGAGUGUACUAUGGUAUUUAUACGCACACAGAUAAUCCGCAAGCGCACGGAUACCGUUGAAGCUUUUACCCGGUUAUAGGUUUUACCGUAUCCACAGGGAAACAGGAGAACCAACUACGCUCUAACUUAACCAAGAUAGAUAGAUAGGUGUAAAUAGGAAAGAUGAUAGAAUCGAAUAAGAACAAUAUUAAAGGUAAGAUAACAGUGAGUGAUAAUAUGGGAAUAGAGAAUAGAGCAAUUCUAGUAUAUGGGCGAUGGUAGCAGAAUAGAGAGGAUAACUAUGGUUUCUCUACUUCAAAGGGGUAUGUCUAUGUCUGGGACGAACCACGUGAUAAGAGUACACCACAAAGGAUGCUUAUCCAUAGGCUGAUAAACCCUACCCGUCCUGCUAACGAGAGGUGGACUACAGGGGACCAACGUAACUGUCACCUACGCGGCCUACCACACGAUCCAGCUAGUCAGGGGAUAUCCACAAGUAAUCUAGGUCUAAGCACCACGCUUACACCUAUACUACAACUCUAACCUAUAGGGUCCUAUAGAUUAGAAGUACUCAAAAGAGUUGUGAACCAGAACAUACAUGAUUAGUAAUUGCAUAAUGAAUUAGAAGUAGAUUACCAGAGUCAUCCCAUGAGCAAGCUUGAUUAGAGCUUGAUCAUGGCGAAGUACAACCGGAGGAAGAACCGACAGGCCGGCCUCUCCUCUAAUCCUCCUUCGCUCUCCAUCUCGCUACUAUCUAGAUCUACUCUAGUUUAGAGAAGAGAGGAGAGCUCUCAUCUCUAAACCCUAGCUUUUGCUCUGUCUAUGAAUAAUGAAUAAUGAUCAAGGGGUGCCUCCUCUAGGGGCCAGGGGGUCUGGUUAUAUAGUCCCCUCAAGUGAACCUGGGCCGUCGGAUCAAACCGACAUUGAUUGAACGGUUAUUCUUGAUCCUUUAGGUCGGUGGAGCAUAAUCCGCGAGGUUGAACGUGAUUGGCCACUGUAGCAGGGCGGGCGCCCUAAGGACUUGGGCGGGCGCCCAGGUCGUGGCUCCGUUCGGUCUCCGCUUCCUUCCCGUGGCUUCUGGAGUCUUCUAGAUGUUAGAUAAUUGCGCGGCACGUUGAUAUUUCUAUGUAAUCCCGACGUGUGGGCCUUUCUUCCUUAUUUCCUGAUAACCCCCUGCAGAAAUAGACAAACACCAAAACUCGUCGAAUUCUGUCAGAUAAAACCCUAAGUCUCGAUGUUGAUUUCAUUUGGAUCCUUUUCUUUGUUUGUUUGAUAGUUAAAUUUGAUACUUAAGGACCGUCAACAGACACAUUAUUCUCUCAACACAAUCCAAUACAAUCAGACGCAGGACGUAGGUAUUACGCCCACACGGCGGCCGAACCUGGAUAAAAACCUUGCCUGUGUCUUGCGUCACCAUCGAGUUCGUAGCUUGCGCACCGUCUACCGAUAAACUACUACCGUGGGUAUACCCCAAGGUAGACUGCCGACUAGCUUUGGUCGACAACGGUCCUUAAGUAUCAAAUUUAAUCAUCCAAUAAAUAAAGAAAAGGAUCCAAAUGCAACCAACACCUAGACUUAGGGUUUUAUCUGACAGAAUUCCAUGAGUUUUGGUGUUUGUCUAUUUCUGCUGGGGGUUAUCAGGAAAUAUGGAGGAAAGGACCACACGUCGGGUUUACAUAGAGAUAUUAACAUGUGCGCCAAUUUUCUAUCUUCUAGAAGAGUCCAGAAGCCACAGGAACGAACGGGAGGCCGAGCGGGCCGGGGGGCAGGGCGCCCGCCCUGCUCUGACAGCCAAUCAGGCUCCGCCUCACGGAUUAUGCUCCACCGACCGAAAGGAUUAAGGAAAACCGUGCGAUUAAGGUCGGUUUGAUCCGACGACCCACGUUCAUUUGGAAUGGCUAUAUAAGCAGGCCCCCUGGCCCCUAGAGAAGACACCUUUGCAUCCCCUAUUCAUUAUUCAUAGACAGAGAAAAAGCUAGGGUUUGGAGAUAUGAGCUCUCCUCUCUUCUCUAAACUAGAGUAGAUCUAAAUAGUAGCGAGAUGGAGAGCGAGGGAGGAUUGGAGGAGAGGCUGGCCUGUCAGUUCUUCCUCCGGUUGUACUUCGCCAUGAUCAAGCUCUAAUCAAGCCUGCUCAUGGGAUGACUUUGGUAAUCUACAUCUUAUUUCAUUAUACAAUUACUAUCCAUGUAUGUUCUGGUUCACAACUCUAUUGAGUACUUUAAUCUAUAGGACGAUAUCGGUGAGAGUUGUAGUAUAGGUGUAAGUGUGGUGCUUAGUCCUAUAUUACUUGUGGAUAUCCCCUGUUAGCCGGAACGUGUGGUAAGCCGCUUAGGUGAUAGCUACGUAGUCCUCUGUAGUCCACGUCCCGUUAGCAGGACUGGUACGAGUCCUUGACCUUAGGUAUAAGCAUCCUCUGUGUUGUUUUAUACUUAUGGUACGCCACAGACAGACAUACCCCUUUGAAGUAGAGAAACCCUAGUUAUCCUCUCUAUUCUCCUAUUAUCGCCCAUAUAUUAGAUUGCUCUACUCUAUAUUCUCCCAUUAUCAUUUUACCUUUAAUAUUGUUCUUAUUCAAUUCUACUAUCUUUCCUAUUUACACCUAUCUAUCUAUCUUGGUUAAGUUAGAGCGUAGUUGGUUCUCCCAUUUCCCUGUGGAUACGAUAAAACCUUUAACCGGGUAAAAGCUACAACGGUAUCCGUGCGCUUGCAGAUUUAUCUGUGUGUAUAUAAAUACCAUAGUACACUCUAGUGCCAUGCUGGGGAUGACAACCUAGUAUUCAAGUGGUGUUAGCAAGUAUCAACACACACCACCAUGGCAGACACCAUGGAUAUUGUCUGAACCUGUGAAGGUUGCCAGUUCUAUGCACGACAGACACACCUCCUGGCUCAGGCUCUGCAGACGAUCCCCAUCACUUGGCCCAUUGUUGUAUGGGGCCUCGACCUUGUCGGGCCUCUACAGAAAGUGCUUGGGGGCUUCACCCAUCUGCUGGUAGCAAUUGACAAGUUCUCCAAGUGGAUUGAAGCUCGCCCCAUCACCGAAAUCAAGUCUGAGCAAGCUGUGCUAUUUUUCACUGACAUCAUCCACCCAUUUUGAGUCCCAAACUCCAUUAUAACGGAUAACGGUAUGCAAUCACCGGAAGAAAAAUUUUGGACUUCUACAAUGAGCACCAAAUACGUGAGGACUAGGCAGCAGUAGCUCAUCCAAAGACCAAUGGGCAAGUAGAACGUGCCAAUGGCAUGUUCCUCUAGGGUUUGAAGCCUAGAAUUUUCAACCGGUUGAAUAAGUUUGAAAAAAGGUGGCUCAAAGAACUCGUUGCUAUCAUCUGGAGCUUGAGGACUUCCCAAAGUCGAGCCACGGGAUUCAUGCUCUUCAUGGUCUAUGGCUCCGAGGCCAUCCUCCCCACGGACUUGGAGUAUGGCUCCCCGAGAGUACAACCCUACGACGAGGACAACAACGUGACCCUGUGAGAAGACGAUGUGGACCAGCUGUAUGAGGCCCUGAUGUAGCCCUCCUACACUCGGCUAAGUACUAGCAAGCUCUCCGAUGCUACCACAAUCGACAUGUCCGAGGCCAAGCAUUCAGGGUCAGCAACCUAGUGUUAAGGCUCAGACAGAGUAAUGGAGGCAGCCACAAGCUCAGCCCUCCAUAGGAGGGCCCAUUCGUCAUCGCUGAGGUGCUCGAACCAGGGACCUACAAGCUUGCCAAUGAAGAGGGAGAAGUCUAUGCUAACGCCUAGAACAUAGAACAACUAUGUCACUUCUACUCUUAGCAUUUCAAAAGAGCAUUGUUGACGGUCGAUAACGUCAAAUAUUAUUAAACAUUACACCCAAAGGAAAACACGAAUACACACUAGUAUUCGGAUUAAACUGACAAUUUCCAUGAGUUUAUCAUAUUUUGUGAUUUUCAGGGAUUAUUUCAAAAAGCGCCGAGAAGAGGGAUUAAGGUGUUAAUUGGCCACGAAACUUAUCUGCAACGGAAGGGUGACACUAAAAGAUUCAGGAAGACUCCAGAAGACACCAGCGCAAUGGGGGAGCGAAUGGCUACCAGGUGGGGCUGGCCGGCCCCACCCUAGUGCCAGCCGGCCCCCUGCAGUUAGGGUUCACCCCCCCUUCUGGAAGCUUCUUCCACCGCCUCUGAGGAGCCAUCUCGACCGCUCGUUAAGUCGGUUUGAUCCAACAGCGUGUGUGCACUCCACCAGGCUAUAAAUAGAGGGGCAGACCCCCCUCCCAAGAAACAACCCUAGAUUCAAUUCAUUCCUCCUGCUUCAUUUAUAAAGAGUAGUCAGAAGUUAGGGUUUCUAGAGAUUAGAAGUAGAGCUCUAGUUCUUCAAGUUCUUAGUAUAGGGGUCUAGCGAGGUUCAAGUAGAGAUCGGGCGCUCCGCUUGGGAUUCUAGAUCUGUCUUCUAGAAAUUGGUAAUAUUAUCUUGUAUUUCAUUAUGACUUUGCUCUACUUAAAUAUAUUGCUAUUUAUUCAAUUCUUAGUUUAUUCUAGUUGCAUAUUCGAUAUAGAUGUACUUGAUGAUGAUUAUUGUUAUAUGAUCGUAAAGCGCCUAAUUCAGUACUUGAGUGAGUCAGGUGGUGCACAUUAUGUAGACGUGGUGUCUAGAUAUUUUGUGUACCUACAGAGGUGUCCUGACGUGCCGGGUCGUGUGGUAGUUUGCAUAGGUGACAGCUGCGUUGGUCCUCUGUAGUCCACCCCCCAUACGUAGGACUAGCAGAGCGUGGUCGCGAAGGAGGUGACGGUUGCGUCUUAAAACCCUCAUUAGUUGAUGCUCCUUAUUAUGUUUUCUGAGUUUAUCACACUACAGAUGAAAAUGUGUAGCAUGGCGUAGGCUGUAGACUUUAUAUUAGUAAUUACAUAGGUUUCUUUUAUUUAUUUGAAUAUCAUAAUUGUCUUGCUACAUUAGUGAGUCUUUAUUUUCAAUCUCUGGAAUACCAUUUACUUCACUACUCAGUUAUCAUUUAUGAUAUUUUAUCGAUUAUCUAUCGCUACAACAUUAGUACUAUUGGUUAUGAUAGAUUUACAUAAUUAUAAUUUCCUUAGUUCAUAUAAGAUCACCUAAGUCUAAUAAAUAGAAUGCUGCUUUAUCCUUUUGGCAUUAAGUAAACCAACGAUACUCAGAAUACUUCCUGGUUGAAAUGCUGCAACGAGAGAAUUAUCUGUGUGCUUGCGGAUAUAUUCUAAUUAGAGUAAUUGCGUGUAAAUUAUUUUUAUCCUUGGCUUUGGCAUCAUGUUAGGGAUGACAACUUAAUUUGAAGUGAUGCUAAAAAUACCAACAAGCAUUUCUGGUGCCGUUGCCGGGGAUGGCAAUUUUAUUUAUUAGGAUAGUUUUAAAAGGAUUUAUUGAUUAGCCAUAAUUUAUAUACUUUCUAGAAUUUCAUACAAGUAAAUCUUUCAUAGAACCAUCCAUAGGAAAUCAAAUUUAGAUAUUUUUAGGACAUACUCUUUUGCUUCAGCAGACUUACCCAUGUUUUAUGUAGCAAUUCUUUAUAGGGUAAGUGCAGGAUUGGUUGUAGAAUUUUAACUCUUAUCACGAACAACCAUAGGAAGAGGGUCUUACAUCAUUUUGAGAAGCGAUGGUGAGAAGACUCUGCGUGAAUUCUCUGCUCCAAGCACUGAGAAUAUUCACGUAGGUCCAACAUUUGACCUUGGGGAAUAUGAUUAUGAGAUCAAGCCAAGCCUCAUCAAGAUGGUGCAACUUAUCAUAUUCAGUGGAAAGAAGGAUGAAGAUGCCAUUGCACAUUUGUAGAAUUUUCUAGAGAUUGGCAAUACCAUUGACAUUCCAGGCAUUCCUCAAGAUAUCAUGCUACUUCGUUUGUUCCAUUUCUCAUUAGAAGGAACAGCGAAGCAGUGGUCUUAUCAGAGUAAAGAUCAAUCCAAGACAUGGAGAGAAUGUUCGAAGGCUUUCCUAGAGAAGUUGUUCCCAAUAGGCAGAACAAAUAUCUUACGAGGGAAGAUUUCAGAAUUCCAGCAGCAGAAAGGUGAAUCUAUUCCAGAAGCAUGGGAACGUUUUCAAGGAUACAUAUCAGACUGCCUGCAUCAUGAAAUGGAGAAGUGGUUGCUCUUGCUGACAUUUUACUAUGGACUAACUCAAAGGUCAUGUGAGCAAUUGGAUGCCACUGCUGAAGGAUCAUUUCUGUCACUCACCCCUAGAAGAGCUAAAGCUAUUAUGGCAAAAAUGGAAGAAAAUCAUAAUGGGACAUUCAACACUCAGACAUGCCAUGGAAGUAAAGAAGUUCCGGAGGAGUUGUGUGCACUAUCAACCAAGAUGGUUGUAUUAUUUAGCUGGCUAGAGUAGAGGGAUUAUUAUAAAAGAAAUCGUCAAGCCAUUCAAGAUACAUUCAAUUCUCAAGAUCAACAUGAAGAAGAUAUCAGUGUAAUCACAAAGAAGCAAGGAUGGAGUCAACCUCAGGCAACAAGCCAAGGUAAGUAUCAAAAUCAGAGACAACCACUCUUGAGAGAAUUAAUAUUUGAACAAGCUAGAAUUAAUGAGAGUAUUUAUAAGAAGCUUUCUUUUAAUGAUGAAAUGUUAGAAGGAAUUAAUUCAAAAUUGAACAAUUUUUCUCUAGCAGUUAAGGAACAAAUAAUAUUCAAUAAAAAGAUAGAAUCAGAAAUUACACAUCUAGCCUCUAUUUUGUCUGCCACUAACCAUGAAUAGAUUAAAGGAAUAUCUACUAGAGGAGGUAAGGCUACACGUGAUCCGCCUUACCCAGAAAGGGCACGCAGACCUUCACAAUCAGUGUAGGUAGACAAAGAAGCUAGAGAAAACAAUAGAGAAAGAGAAGUUGAAGUACCUUCACCACCAGUUGAUGCACAAGAGCCCAAAUUAAUGAAAGAUUUCCAUGAUACUACUCUCCUACCAUUCCCACAAAGGAGAAGGAGUACCACCACUGAUGAGUGGUUCAGUAAGUUUGUAAAUGUCAUUCAGAAAUUAUAUGUCAACAUUCUGUUGUUAGAUGCUAUGCAGGUACCUACAUACGCAAAGUACCUUCGGGCCAUCCUCAACAACAAGGGACCACUUCCGUCAACCGAAGUCAUCAAGCUAACAGAGGCAUGUAGUGAAGCAAUCCUACAUUCUUCCCCCAUCAAGAAGAUGGACCCAGGAUGCCCCACUAUAGAUUGCUCUAUAUGCAACCAGAUGUUCGAGAAGGCCUUAUGUGAUCUUGGAGCAAGCGUCAGCGUUAUGCCCAAGACAGUCUUUGACAAACUUGACUAUCUCACGCUCACUCCAACAACAAUGUGCUUGCAACUAGCUGACCAAUCAGUCGCUAGCCAGUAGGGAUAGCAGAAAACAUUCUAGUAAGAAUCCGUGACUUUUUCAUUCCUGUAGAUUUUGUGGUACUUGACAUGUAGGAAAAGAGGAAGAUACCUCUUAUCCUAGGGCGACCAUUCCUAAACACUGCAAAUGCAACCAUCAACGUUGGAGCUGGAGAAAUAAUAUUCACCAUUAAUGGGCCAGAAGAGCGAUUCGCAUUCAUGCCAAGGCCUGAGCAAUGCAAGACUCUGAAGGAUCAAGAAGAUCAAGAUGCAUCAACAUCUUUGACAGCGGAGAUCAAUCAUGAAGAAUAAUUCAACUGGAGAAGUCCAAGUCGGUGGACUUAAAAACCCCGAACCUUCACCGGGAGGUAACUCGGUAAUUAUCAGUAAAUUAAAUUCUCACAUUAAAUUUUAGCACAUUUAUUUUCAAAAAUUGCAUUAUUAAAAGAAUAUAAAAAUAAGCAUGUCAUAAUUAAAACUUAAAGCCCCAUGUGAUUACUACUGACAGAGCAUAAAAACCCAGUCAGCGAAAUUUACAGUGGUGGCAGAAAAUUAUAAAAAUACUGUCAUUAGAAUUCUAAUUUCUCAUAGAUUCAUAAAAGUAAUUUAGCUUUUCAUCUUUGUGUCAUUAUAUGGUAUAAAUACGGGAAACAUGUGGGACCUACACCUAUCAUAUAAAGUCAUUUCACAUCACAUCACCACCCACCAAUUAUUCACUACACUCCACUUUCUUUAAUCACAUGCAUGUCUCCUCUUUCUCACCCCACUGCAUCCUGGUGUCAUGAACAAGUACCAACACAUGCACCAACAUAUUCUACACAUGCAAAUGUCGACACUCAUCAAAGUUGGUGGCCAAAGGGGCCAAGGUGGGGCUGGUCGGCCCCACACCCACGCCGGCCGACGCCCACUAUUUACUCUCCGUCUCUCUCUUCACUCAUUCCCUCCUCUUCCAUUCUUCAGUCUAGAGACCUUGCUCCAUAGCCAGUGCCAACUUCGAGUUUCAUUCCAUCAAUUAACACUCUUAAUUAGAGAAGAAAAGAAGAGAGAAAAGAAAUAUCAAGGGCAUCAAUUGGAAAUUCCCUCUUCUCUCUCUUUUAUUUCACUAAUUUUUGAGUUCUUGUGUUCUUGUUGUUCUUGUUUUUGUUCUUCGUGUUCUUAAUACAGGAUGAAUCACAAAGUUGGAGGAGCUCUUAGGAGCAUCGGAAGACACUUUCAUUCUGCAGCACCUGGAGCCAUUCAUCAUCUCAAGCACCUUCACGUAUAGGUUCUGGGAUGGACAUCGAUCUGCCAUCACCUUCCGAGCAUCACACCCCAUCAUCCUCUUCCCAAUGGAAAGAGAGGUAUGAAUUAACAAGCCUUAAUCAAAUUCUAUUACCACUUAGGCCGCAAGUUGAAAUAUUAAAUGUGAUAAAGACCAAAGAGUUUACGCAUACACCCAUAUUUGAUAGUACCUUGCUCCAUGAAACCAGAAUGGAUUCCGUGUUUGUGCUGAUUUUUAGGAUGAUUGGAUGGGAGGAUGAUUGGGAAAUUACUGAACAUGGAUGGAAAAUUACUCACUAUGGAAUUUAUUAGCUCCCUGGAUUUUGAUGAUGACAAUGUUUCUUUUAGAAUGUUCCACAAACCAUUUACUCUUAUAUGGAAAACUGUAAGUUUAGCACUAGGAUUUUUGGAUCAGUGUGUAGUAAAUAUAGCUGAUGUUCUUAAAGAUUUUAAUAAAAAUGACUUUUGGAAGAACAUCACUGCUAAGCAACCUGAACACAAACAAAAAUAUACCACUGAGAAAGUCCAUCCCACACUGAGAUUUAUGCUUAAAUGGUUAGCUUAUACUUUCUUUCCUAGAGAGGAGUUGCACACUAUUAGACAGGAUGAACUGCAUUUGCUAUAUAUCAUGAUUAAAAAGAGAAAAGCAUCACCUGUAAAAUCAAUGUUGAGCUACUGGAAAACUAUACCUACCAUGAGAAAAUGCAGCAUUUCUUUCACCUCUUGGAUCACACGCCUAGCUGCAAGUCUAGAAUUACUGUCUAAAGUCACGCUCACAUUUAUUCUUGAUGAUCGUAGAAUUAUUGGAUAUGAUUUCUUCUUCCGUGCUCAUAUGAUAAAAAGAUGAAACAAUAAAAUAAUCAUGAUCUAUAAGAAAUACAACAAUGAGUACGAGAUGCCUGACUGGGACUGGGAAUUUAUUCUGUUAAUAGUUUUACUUUCCAAGAAAAUGCUAAUAUUGGCAGGUGUACAUCAGCACGCAUCAGCAGGCUGCCUAGAACUAUUUAUACUGGAUCGGACCCAGCACCAUCGGGUCCAGCUCAUUUUUAUUACACUAACUUUGAUGACCCAGGUGCGUCACAUGAGCCACAUCAGCCAUGGUCCAACCACUCAGGAUGGGAGGACCAAGCCACGUAUGAGCAAGGAGAGCUGUCUACAUCCAUAGGAUGGGGAACAUUCCCCACACAGGAGCCAAAUGAGACCAGGAAAAAUUUUCAGACGGGCCAUGCAUCAUCUUCUGUGUGCGGAAAUACGGACCACAUCACUGGUGGACCAUACCUGUUCCAUGCACCACCAGCAGAUGAAUGAAUGUGCCCUCAUGAACAACACUUCGGGGCUUCUAUUAAUGAUUAUCUUGCUAUGUCUUUGCAUCUCAUUAACCUUCAGCAGGGACAGCAGGCGAUGAACGACACUUUGCGCCGACAUGAGCAGUGGCAGCAUCACAUUGAUGAUACGUUUCAGCAACACGAGCAUUGGCAGCACCAGACGGAUCAGCAGUUCAGGCAGUUACAUGAGGGACAACAGCAUAUACAGACCGGAUUAGAGUACCUGAUAGAGCUUAUGGGGUUCCAACCACCACCUCCACCACAUUUCUGAGCCCGGUAACAUUCAGCUAGGGGGAGAGCCCCCGCAAGGUGAGCACUCUUUUACCACUGUAAAUAUUCUAUCUUUAGCAUUUAUUUCAGUAUUUACUUUCUAGCACUUAAUUUUCGUCAUCAAAUGAGAAUAAUUAGAAUUAGUCUUUAAUUCUGCUAUUUAUUAAUUUUUUUUUGCAAUUACUCAGUACUAGAAUUUAAAAUUCUUCUUUGAAUUACAUGAAGUUUAUCUAUCUAGACAAUUGAUUCCGAGAACUAACAUAUGUGGGUAGCAUAAAACUUGUAAUUCAGUCUAUGUAAUUGGUGGAUAUGAUAUAAAAAGGUUUUGAGCUAGUAUCUAUUUUAUUCUAGGUGAUAGCUAAGCUCCAGACAUUUUGUAUGAAUUAAAUCAGUCAAUCUAUAAUUCAUUCUGCUGAUAAGAUUCGAGUAGACUAUUUUGUUAUACAUUCAUGAUUGAAUCCACAGGCACAAAAAUAGGUUUUACUCUAUGCAACAAAUUCUCUCUUAGAAGUCUAAAGGAGAAUGUGGGCUAUAAAAUUAAAGAUGUCAUACCAGAGAAGUAUGAGCCUAAAAGAUUUCAUACCAAAAAGGUAUGGGCCAAACUAAAAAGAAAGAGAGUAAAACAAUGGGUGCAAAGACACUCGCCUGAGAGAAAAAAAUGGGUGCAAAAGGUAUCCGCUGGGGAGGUAGCCCACAUCUCUUAAAAAGACAGAAAAGAGAGAAUAUUGCAUAAGAGUUUGAAAAUAUAAAUUUAAAUCACUAGCACAUUCAAUCAUGAUGUAUAGCUUAGUUGAUGCGACUCGUUGUUCUCAUCUUCAUGAUGUAGGAUGAACACCGAUAACUAGCGGAAGAACAGCCAGAUAACUUGCUGCAAGCAGUGAUAACUAGUGCAACCUGGCAAAUAAAACUCGAAGCCAACCACCGUCUUUGAUGUGCCACAUUGUCCCAAUCUUCACGACGUAGGAAGAACACCGAUAACUAGCUAAAGAACAGUCGGAUAACUUGCUGCAAGCAACAAUAACUAGUGCAACCUGGCAAAUAAAACUCGAAGCCUAAAUUGAGGAUUCGCCCAACCACACUCUCAAAGAACCAAACAACACAACCUACAAUCAAUCAAGGAAUACCUUGAAGGGAGUAGGAGCACCAAUUGGGAGCAGAUGAAGUCGCCGCCUAUGUAAUCCCGCGAGGAAAUCACAAGAGCAAAAAGGGGUAGAGAUCAGUCUCUGAAUUUGUUAGCACACAGCUGAACAAAAGGGGUUAUGUAUUUCAAUUAUCAAACGUCUGAGAUUACAAAGAGUCUUAGGGGGUAUUUAUACUAGCAACAGCCCUGCUAGAUAGGCAAUGGCACAAGAACUGGCUUCACGUGAAAGGUCCCCUUGGAAUAGAUUUCCAAACUGGCUUCGCGUGACUGUUGGCCUCCAGAGUAGUUUCCAAUAAACUGACCAUACCAUCUUAUUGGGAAGUCCAAAUGAUGAACCAUUUCUCUGGUGUGAAACUAGACUCAAAGGGCAUUCCAGCAAUGUAUGCCAACCAGCACGAAACAUUAUAGAUUGGUACAGUUUUACUUGGCAAGUUGUACCAAUAUUCUAUCACGAAAGACUGUUGACCUUCUGAGCAGUCUGUACUAAUUCUGGUCUGCAGGCAAUAUGGAGUAUCUAAACUGGUCACCACUAGAUUCAUUGGAAACUAGACUCGACAAGCUUUCCAACAAGUCCUCAUGGACCUUCAUAGCUUUUGUGAGUAAAAAGUUAUGAAGAUUUAUUUGCACUGGUCCAUUUCUGACUUCCAUUGGUCCGUUUUUUACUUCUUCUAGUCUGGUUUGAUAGUGUCUUCUAGGACUUGCACUGGUCUGUUCUUCAUGGUCUGAUUCAUUCUUCUCUUCUUCUAUAUACCUGAGUACAAUCAAGGUACAACACUUAGGUAGUAUAUAAUUCUCAUUAAUGUUAAAAUGAAUCUCACAAAGUAGCACGUGGACCUCUUGUUGUAGCUUCUUUGCACGACUACGUGUAAUCGGUCCAUUGAUGACUUGGGCUGGUGUCGAUGUAGGUGAAACUUGUGUGGGUGUAGCUUGACUUGGAGCUUGUGACAUCUUGGUUGGUGGCAUGGUCAUAUCAUCCUCCCCCUUGAAAAGGAGUCGUCCUCGACUCUGAAUUAUCUUCACUUGUGAAUGGUGAGAGAUCAGCAAAAUUUAUAGAGUUGCUCACGCCAUAACUUGUAGGAAGAUCAAUAUUGUAUGCAUUGUCAUUGAUCUUCUCAAGAACACGAAAUGGACCAUGUCCUCGUGGUAGCAAUUUUGAUUUGCGCUGCUGAGGAAAGCGAUCCUUGCGAAAGUGUAUCCACACCAAGUCCCCGGGUUCAAAUAACACCUUCUUCCUAUGUUUGUUCAUACUUGCAGCCUUGCGUCCUGCAUUGAGUUCAAUUGCUUCCUUGGUCUUCUCGUGUACCUUCUUGAUGUAUGCAGCACGCUUGGAGGCUUCCAUAUUGGUUCUUUGGAAGGGGCAACAAAUCUAAGGGAGCAAUAGGUUUGAACCCAUAUACAAUUUCGAAAGGACACAUAUUAGUGGCAGACUGUACUGCCCUGUUAUAUGCAAACUCUACAUGUGGCAAGCAUUCCUCCCAAACCUUUAGGUUCUUUUUCACUAUUGUUCGUAGCAACAUUGACAAUGUGCGAUUCACCACUUCAGUUUGUCCAUCGGUUUGAGGGUGACAAGUGGUGGAGAACAAAAGCUUGGUUCCGAGCUUUGCCCAUAAUGUUUUCCAAAAAUAUCUCACAAACUUGACAUCACGAUUGAUACAAUGGUUCUAGGCAUUCCAUGCAGCCACACAAUUUCCCUGAAAAACAAAUUAGCAAUAUGUGAAGCAUCAUCGAUCUUGUUACAAGGAAUAAAAUGAGCCAUCUUUGAAAAUCUAUCAACCACAAGAAAAACUGAAUCUUUUCAUUUGUGAGUUCUAGGAAACCCCAAGACAAAAUCCAUGCUUAUGUCUUCCCAUGGAGUUUUAGGAGCAAGUAUAGGAGUAUAUAAACCAUGAGGGUUCAGUUUAGACUUAGCUUUGUGACAGGUGACGCAUUGCUCCACAAAUCUGAUGACAUCUCUUCUCAUCUUGGGCCAAUAAAAUUGGUCACCUAGCAGUUCAAAUGUUUUAUUUUGUCCAAAGUGACACGUUAGCCCACCUCCAUGUGAUUCCUAUAACAAAAGCAAUCUAACCGAAGAAUUUUGAACACACAGUUUGUUAGCUCUAAACGGAAAACCUUCAUGUAUGUGAUAAAUUUUCCAACCUUUCCCGUCUUGGCAAUGAUUAUAUGGUUCUGAAAAUUUAGCAUCAUUAUUAUAUAGAUCUUUUAGACUUUCCAGACCCAAAACUUUUACCUCAAGUUGGUUCAACAACACACUCUUUCGAGACAAAGCAUCAGCAACAACAUUGUCCUUACCUUUCUUAUAUGUCACAAUGAAUGGAAUUGUUUCGAUGAACUCAACCCAUUUGGCAUGACGUCGGUUCAGUUUUGCUUGUCCUUUCAAGUACUUCAAAGCUUCAUGAUGAGAGUGAAUAACAUAUUCUUUUGGCCAUAAGUAGUGCUGCCAUGUUUCAAGCACACGCACCAAAGCAUAUAAUUCUUUAUCAUACACAGAAUAAUUCAGUUGAGCACCAAAGCACCUUUUGUUGGUGGGUCAUAGGCUUGAGAACAAACUUCUUCCCUUUUAGAUUGAUAGUGAACUGAUUUGUUCUCCCACAAUGUUGGCUAUAUCGAUCAUAUUGCCAUGGUCUUCCAAGCAGCAAGUGACACACCGACAUAGGUGCCACAACACACUCUACUGUGUCAACAUAUUCACCAAUCUUGAAUGGAACGUUUACUUUAUAUCCAAUCUUGAUAUCUCCCAAAUCAUUCAGCCACUGUACAUGAUAUGGAUGAGGGUGUCGUAGCAGCUUUAGGCCAAGUUUAUCAACCAUCUCACGACUAGCAAGAUUAUUGCAGCUCCCUCCAUUAAUAAUCACCUUCACCACUUUAUCAUGCACCUUUGCUCUAGUUUGAAAUAAAUUAUGUCGCUGCCCAUUUUCAGCUUCUUUCAUUUGAACACUCAAGAUUUGAGACCGGCAACCUGAAUCGAGGAUUCGCCCAACCACACUCUCAAGGAACCAACCAACACAGCCUACAAUCAGUCAAGGAAUACCUUGAAGGGAGUAGGAGCAUCAAUUGGGAGCAGACAAAGCUGCCGCCUAUGUAAUCCCGUGAGGAAAUCACAAGAGCAAGAGGUAGAGAUCACUCUCUGAAUAUUUGCUAGCACACAGCUAAACAAAAAGGGGUUCUGUAUUUCAAUUAUCAAAAGUCUGGGAUUAUAAAGAGUCUUAGGGGGUAUUUAUACUAACAACAGCCCUGCUAGCUAGGUAUGAAAAUGAUAUAGAGUUUCUAAGGGAAGGCAAUAUGAAAGGUCCCCUCGGAAUGGAUUCCCAAACUGGCUUCGCGUGACUGUUGGCCUCCAGAGCAGUUUCUAAUAAACUGACCAUAACUUCUUAUUGGGAAGUCCAAAUGAUGAACUGUUUCUUGGGUGUGAAACUAAACUUAAAGGGCUUCCCAACAAUGUAUGCCAACCAGUAUGAAACGUUGUAGAUUGGUACAGUUUUACUUGGCAAAUUGUACCAACAUUCUGUAACGACAGACUGUUGACUUUCUGAGCAGUCUGUACUAAUUCUGGUGUGUAGGCAAUAUGGAGUAACCAAACUAGUUGCCACUAGAUUUAUUGGAAAGUAGACUCGACAAGCUUUCCAACAAGUUCUCAUGAACCUUCAUAGCUUUUAUGAGUAAAAAGGUAUGAAGAUUUCUUUGCACUGGUCCGUUCUUGACUUCUACUGGUCUGUUUUUGACUUCUUGUGGUCCGUUUUGCUAGUGUCUUCUGGGACUUGCACUGGUCCAUUCUUCAUAGUCCGAUUCAUUCUUCUCAUCUUCUAUAUACCUGUUGGGUAUUUUAAACGCAAACAGAAAAAUCCGCAAGCGCACGGAUACCGAUGUAGCCUUCACCCGGGAGUACUCCAGAGUAUCGAUUUUCCACAGAGAACGUGAGUGUACUAAUUAAGAUCCAAGAUCCCCCAAGGAUAACUAUAUAAUUAUUUUUGGUGGGAAGAGAGGAAGUUUCCUGAGAGUUCUCUAGUUGAUCUAAGAAUCAAGAAUUACUUCAGAGAUUAUUUAUAUCGGGACAUCAGAGCACUAACCACAGAAAGAGAUGAGAAGGGGGCUCGGAAGGUCUGACUACGGUCCUACAAACACCGAUCCGAACGAGAUGGAAUACGUCGACCGUUAGGGCUAUCACUACCCUAAGGCUACCACAACAAUCCGCAGGAUUGGGUGCAAUUCCAGGUAAUUGCAAGACUAAACACCACGUCUAAUCUAUUAAUUACUACUCUAGCGUUAUAAAGACUAGAGCACUUGAUGCAAGCGGGAAUCCAAUAAAUAACUUGAAUGUAAAUAAAAGUAAUUAGAGAACUCAGGAAUUAUAAAUUGAAGAACCUGGAGAACGAUGAAGAAUGAACCAGUUGCUGCAAAAGUACAAUGUUGAGGAAGAUCCGACAGAUCCGGCUCCUCCUCCGCUCUCCUCUUCUCUCUCCCUAUUUUCUAGAUUACAACUAGAACUAACUAGAACUAGAGGAACUAGAACUAGAACUAGAUGAACUAGAACUAGAUCUAGAUGAACUAGAGAUAGAACUAGAAGAACUAGAGGGAUCCUCUCUACUUGGAUGAAGAAUUGAAACCCUAACUUUGAUUCUGUAGAAGAGGUAUGAUCUCCAGGGGCCAGGGGGUCUGGUUUUAUAGUCCCUUCAAGUGAAUAUGGGCCGUUGGAUCAAACCGACAUUGAUUGAACGGUUAUCCUUGAUCCUUUAGGUCGGUGGAGCAAUAUCCCGAAAGAGAGUCCUGAUUGGACUCUAUGUGAGGGCGGGCGCCCAGGAGAGGAGGGCGGGCGCCCUGUCCCUGAGUCCUCUCGGCCUCCGCUUCGGUCUCGUGGCUUCUGGAGUCUUCUAGAUGAUAGAAAAUUGCGCGGCACGUUAAUAUCUCUAUGUAAACCCGACGUGUGGGCCUUUCUUCUGUAUUUCCUGAUAACCCCCUGCAGAAAUAGACAAACACCAAAACUCGUGGAAUUCUGUCAGAUAAAACCCUAAGUCUAGGUGUUGGUUGCAUUUGGAUCCUUUUCCAUGAUUAGUUGAUGGUUAAAUAUGAGCAUUAAGGACCAUCAACAAGCUCCCCCAAGCUUAACCUUUGCUCGUCCCUGAGCAAAGAUGGACUCAAGAGUUUCUGUAGUGGUUUUAUGCCUUAAAAAUACACAUUCGUUCAAACAAGAUCUCAUCUCUGGGUUAGGUUAAACUGUUAAGAUUUAAAACUUACUCAUUUUACCUUUCACCAUGGUACUUGUAACCGUCACAUCUGUCUUGAGUAGUUAAAAGAUAGAACGGUCUAGUCAAGCGCCAUGUCUCUUGUUCUUCGAUUAACUAUAGCUCUGGAGUUUUUUUGCAGAUUUUCAAAUAAAACUCAGAGAUUCCUUGUAUGACUUUCUCUAGUCUCUCUUUUGUGGUAUUUCUGGAUCCUUACCAAGGCAGUAAUGGUGUAUGCCUUCUCUCAAAGUAUGUGGUAUUUUUGGUAUGAGGCAUAGUGGCAUUGCCUUCUCUCUCACCCUACUCUAAUAAGGCUUUUGAUAUCUGGAGCUCAUAGGUGGGAGACAGCUAAUACAUACUUACAAGACAUUUAUUGUAUAGUCAAACCUUGGAUCCAGAAGAAUAAGUCAAUAAGUCAAAUCAAGAUGUGCAUGUGUGGCGAAUGAAUGGUGUAUGAUGAUGAUGGUGAUAACAAUGGUGAAAGUCUAGUUCUACUUUUACUCUUUUGAGGGGAUACAUACCUUUCUUGCUCUUUUCAAACUUUUGGAGGAGAAUGAGAUGCUCUGUAUUUUCUUUUUCUUUUCCCUCAGGUGGGUAUCUUGUACCCCUAAUUCUACUGUCGGACACUUGUCCAUUUUUACCUCUCGUCUCACCUUUUCUUUUCUUCGAGGUUCCGGACACUUGCCCCUUUUUAUUUCCUCGUAUCUUUCUCUUUUUUUUUCUCUAUCUUCUUUUUUUAGAGCACUCAUCUCAUGAGAUGAUGUAGCAAGUGGUAGUAACCAAGAUAACUUGAGCAUUUAUUUCACAGGGGAAAACAGAAAUGUUUUUGGCUAUUCUCUCCUGGAUUAGGAGUAGAAUAUUUUUGGGUGGUUCUGGAGAUGGAAAUGGAUGGAUAUAUGUGGAUGCGUACUUCUGGAGUAGAAGCAGCAAGUGUGAGUGAACGUGCAAGUGAAUCUUGAUUUAACCACAUGACAAGCUCCUAAGGGUCUACACAGCUUGACCACACUCAAUGCUCAUAAGCAGUAAAAAGUAAAUGUGUGGCUCAAAGUUUAGCAAGCAUGUAUAUAUGGCUAUGGUAGGAAUUUAAACUCUCAUCAUACAGGAACUCAUCAUGUGUUAUUUUAAAGAUUUUCAAAGAUAAAAUUUCCUAGAAUUCUAGCAUCUCAAGGAACAGAUAAACAGCAGCUCAACCUUCCCAUAUCGUAUCCGUUAACGACUUAGACUUUAGAUCAAGUACUCUCCCCACAAGUUCAGGUUUAGUGCAAAUCUUAAUCAAUACCAGUCAUUCCUAAACUUGAGAGAGAUUUCAAUUUUGAGAACUAGUCAUGGCAGAGCAACUAUCCAUCAUUUCCAUGUGAGAGCUUAUCAUGAGGGUUCAUAGCAAACUUUAUUUAUUUAUUUAUUUAGCAAACUAAGCAAAGAUAUAUGUAAAAGCACAAAAUCUUUAUUUGGGUUUUUAUGAUUAUGCAUCUUUUUAUUAUUAGAGUAAAGUAUAAACGUGAGUAGAAUACUUAGCUGGAUAAAUGGGAGUGCUCUCCCCCAAGCUGGAUUUUGACGUAAUUCCUUGUGAUGUAGCUAGCAGGUGACGGAGGUGUAUUUGAAUGUCGGCAGCACCCUGACACCGAUUAGGAUGUCCUCCGUCUGCUAGUCUUCUUUGAUCCUUGAAUUCUAUGGAGCUCAAAUAGACAACAAAGCUUUGUGGAACUAGUUAAGUAUUAGCAUAAAUAUCUAGCCUUUAUCAUGUUGAGCCUACUCAAUAAAUGUUACUCUCUUUAGUAGGAUCACAAUCUUAUUUUUAGAUUUUCAUUUUUAUAGGACAAGAAUAUAUUUAUUUUAUUUUUAUGCCACCACAGUGAAUGUACUUUUGGGUUUUAUGCCAUGAGCAUACUCACAUGGGGCUUACUAUUUUUAACAUUUUUAUUUUCUUUUCUAGAUGAUAUGAACCUGAUUAACUAAGCAAAUUGUUUUAAAUAAUUGAAAGGGAAGGAUAACUACCAAGUUUACCUCUUGGCAAGGCGUUUGGUGUUUUUAAGUCCUCCGAACGGGACUCUCUGCUUUCUCAAUCGUCCUGGGAUUCGCUGGAUGGCGUAGUCGGUGGUUCCGGCGGCGCCUGCUCUUCAUGAAUAACUAUCUUCUCUCUACACCUGCCUCGGUGUACUUCUCCUUCGUACUCCACCCAUCCAUCCUUGAUGAUUUGCCUCCUCUGGUUGCAGUUGCGUCGUCUUCUUCUUGUCCUGACCUGCUUAGAGUCUUCAACUAUAUAGUUAGGGUCAGUAAAAUAGCGGCGUACCUUCUCAGAGGGGUAGUGUAUGCGGACUUCUCCGGUUCCAAUGUAGAUGAUUGCUUCAACGGUGCUGAGGAACGGUAUUCCAAGGAUGAUGGGUGGAUUGUAUUCGUCUUCUCCCAUGUCAAUAACCUUCAAAUCAUCUGGAGCUGAAUGUAUUUUUGUUGUAGGGGCAUGGUUCUAAACAGGAGCUGAUAGGUGACUGCGGCCCUUAUGUUGACGUCAGAUCCGGUGUUGUAGAGUGUCUUCUGAAAAGAAUAUCCGUUGAUUGUGCACUUGAUGCUUGGAACACCAGGGUCGUCCUUCUUGAUCAAGAAAGGCGAUUUGAGUUGACGAUCUUGACCUCUUUGAACUGCAGUGACCAUCUUAGCUGACUCGGUCCACACUUGCUUGUUCCUGUUCCUCCUGUUGGUCUUCUUCCUUGGUUCAUGUCAGGAAUGCUCUGAGAUUUGUGUAGUCUUGUUCUUGAAGGAAAACGUCUCCUUCCUACCCUUGAUGUAGAAACUGAUCUUGGUAGCACUAGCGUAGAUGACAGCCCCUGAGGUGUUUAGGAAUGGCCUCCCUAGGAUGAUGGGUGCCCUCUCAUCAGUACCAGUCUCUAUCACCACGAAGUCUACUGGGGCGUACAAGGUACCAACUCGGACGUAUAGGUUCUUCAACAUUCCCUUUGGGAAACUUAGCGCACGAUCUGCAAGCUGCAAACACAUGGUUGUUUCUAGUAAAGGAUGUGUAAAGAAUUAUUCAUAAAGUACCCUGGGCAUAAUGUUGACGCUGGAGCCAAAGUCGUAGAGUGCUUCUGGGAAGUCCACCAUGCCGAUGGAGAUCGGGAUGACGAGGCGUCCUGGGUUGUCUCUCUUGACCGGCAGAAGGUCAGUAAUUACUUCCACAACGGGGUUACUCCAGUAGUUACGUCCUCAAGCAUCUCUGGGCAGUGAUUGCCUGAGUGUCCAGUAUCUCCAGUGUGUUUGUGCUCGUAGAUCUAGGUUCUUCACUUGGUGGAGUCUGGGAGUUGUAAAAGUCCUUCAUAUUUUGCUCGAAGUGUACCUGCUCAUAGGGACAAGGCAGAGACCAAGUGCAUGGGCCCUGUUGGUUGAAAACACCAACGGAACCAAAAGUGUAUUUGUUCUCUCUAACCUUAAGCAUAGUGAGCAAGACAAAGUUGAUGGAUAAUAAGACCAUGAGUAUAACAUUUAAAACAUUUGUCAGAUCAAAUCGCUCAACCUAAUGGAAAGAUAAUCUAUCUAUAUUUAUGUUGUUUUUUUCUAUUUAUAUAUCUUCCAAAGAUUGAGUGUGCAACAUUUUAGUUCAUAUGAUUAGGAGUGUGGGAUCACAAAGGUGGAAGGACUAAACAUGUUGAAUCAGGUUGGUUAAUCUAGAGUUGUAAAUCAUACAUGUUUGUCUCUUUUGUUCAUGUGAACGCCAGAACCAAGGAGAAGCUUAUAAAAGUGAUAGUGAAGUACCUUAAGAUGUUACCUUACUUGAAAAGUGAUGGUACAGUAUCACCUUGUGGAAUCUUUCCUUUCUUAGCGGUUGUGCAUCGUGUUUGUGGCACCCUCCAUGGAUCAUCUUUUAUGAGCUAUGCCUUCCUUGUGUAAAUUGUUAAACUUCAUGUGUCUCUCUCUUUGUCUCCAAUGUGAGUUUAUCUCAGGACUUCCCAGGUCGAUAUUGAAAGUUUUCCUGUAGAGGUUAGUCCAACAAAAUAUCCAAUAUCUACUAUAGCAUACUAUUGGCUCAAAGAUCAACCUAGACACCAUGUCUAAUUUGAUUUAGGAGGGCAUUUUAACCUAAGCAUCAUGCUUAAUUUAAACUCCCUUGGAAGUAAGAUCAUCAGCCCUAAACUAAGCACUAUGCUUAAUUAAGAGAUAAAUGAAACUACUCCAAACCUAGACAUAUACUAAAGCAAAUAAAGGUGGUAUGAGAGCAUUUAUAGAGUUCUACUCAAGUGGAGUUAAAGUAGUGUGAUUAGUAUUUAACAAAUUGAGCAUGUCUCAAUGGUAGGGACAACCAACAUAGCAACAUGGCAAAGGAUGUUUUUAUGUAAAGUACUCCCCCAAGCUUGAAUUUUGCAAAAUUCAAGUUUGGAUGAAUUUAAUUCAAUGUUGUAUGAUGAUUGGUUGGACAUACCUUGUGCUUGUCAUUCAUCCGAUCUUCUUGCUCCAAUCCUGAAAAGGUUAGUGACAAGAAUACCCAAAGGAAUUUUUUUACAAUUAUCCUUAUAUGCUCAACACAAAAGGUAAUGUUGCAAAUAAUUAAAAGCUCAUGUUACAAUCUGAUCAGUGCUUGUUUUAGGACACUAAGCUUGUCCUUGGGAAACCAUCAAUUUAUGUCAGUGAAGUGGUUUCCCCUCCAACGCUCACCUAUAUCAAGAUGAACUCAACGAGAUCUGCAAAAUUUAUUAUAGACAUAUGCAUCGACAACCACCCUUUUAAUGUUUUAAUAAAUAGAAAGGAAGAGGGGGUUGGAGAUCUCGAAUGUGGUGAUGUUGGAGAGACCAAUGGAUUGUGAAGAUGUUGCAUAUGAGCAUGGAGUAAAUGAAGUGGCUAUGAAAUAAAUUCCAUGCUCAUUAAUGCUUAGAGUGAAAUCCAUGUGGUGUGGUGAAAAUGGUAAGGUGAGUGUGGUAAAAAAGGGAAAGAAAAAGGAUACACGGACGACUUGGUUCGAAACUAGCACAGCUACCGUUCCCCGACAACGGCGCCAGGAAGCUUGUUGGGUAUUUUAAACGCAAAUAGAAAAAUCCGCAAGCACACGGAUACCGAUGUAGCGUUCACCCGGGAGUAUUCCAGAGUAUCGAUUUUCCACAGAGAACGUGAGUGUACUAAUUAAGAUCUAAGAUCACCCAAGGAUAACUAUAUAAUUAUUUUUGGUGGGAAGAGAGAAAGUUUCCUGAGAGUUCUCUAGUUGAUCUAAGAAUCAAGAAUUACUUCAAAGAUUAUUUAUAUCGGGACAUCAGAGCAAUAACCACAUAAAGAGAUGAGAAGGGGGCUAGGAAGGUCUGACUACGGUCCUACAAACACCGAUCCGAACGAGGUGGAAUACGUCGACCGUUAGGGCUGUCACUACCCUAAGGCUACCACAACAAUCCGUAGGAUUGGGUGCAAUUCCAUGUAAUUGCAAGACUAAACACCACGUCUAAUCUAUUAAUUACUACUCUAGCGUUAUAAAGACUAGAGCACUUGAUGCAAGCGGGAAUCCAAUAAAUAACUUGAAUGUAAAUAAAAGUAAUUAGAGAACUCAGGAAUUAUGAAUUGAAGAACCUGGAGAACGAUGAAGAACGAACCAGUUGCUGGAAAAGUACAAUGUUGAGAAAGAUCCGACAGAUCCGGCUCCUCCUCCGCUCUCCUCUUCUCUCUCCCUAUUUUCUAGAUUACAACUAGAACUAACUAGAACUAGAACUAGAGGAAUUAAAACUAGAACUAGAUGAACUAGAACUAGAUCUAGAUGAACUAGAGGUAGAACUAGAAGAACUAGAGGGAUCCUCUCUACUUGGAUGAAGAAUUGAAACCCUAACUUUGAUUCUGUAGAAGAGGUAUGAUCUCCAGGGGCCAGGGGGUCUGGUUUUAUAGUCCCUUCAAGUGAAUAUGGGUCAUUGGAUCAAACCGACAUUGAUUGAAUAGUUAUCCUUGAUCCUUUAGGUCGGUGGAGCAAUAUCCCGAAAGAGAGUCCUGAUUGGACUUAUGUGAGGGCGGGUGCCCAGGAGAGGAGGGCGGGCGCCCUGUCCCUGAGUCCUCUCGGCCUCCGCUUUGGUCUCGUGGCUUCUGGAGUCUUCUAGAUGAUAGAAAAUUGCGCGGCACGUUAAUAUCUCUAUGUAAACCCGACGUGUGGGCCUUUCUUCUGUAUUUCCUGAUAACCCCCUGCAGAAAUAGACAAACACCAAAACUCGUGGAAUUCUGUCAGAUAAAACCCUAAGUCUAGGUGUUGGUUGCAUUUGGAUCCUUUUCCAUGAUUAGUUGAUGGUUAAAUAUGAGCAUUAAGGACCGUCAACAAUACCUAGGUACAAUCAAGGUAUAACACUUAGGUAGUAUAUAAUUCUCAUUAAUGUUAAAAUGAAUCUCACAAAGUAGCGCGUGGACCUCUUAUUGUAGCUUCUUUGCACGACUACGUGUAAUCGGUCCAUUGAUGACUUGGGCUGGUGUCGGUGUAGGUGAAACUUGAGUGGAUGUAGCUUGACUUGGAGCUUGUGACAUCUUGCUUGGUGGCGUGGUCAUAUCAUCCUCCCCCCUUGAAAAGGAGUCGUCCUCGACUCUGAAGUGUCUUCACUUGUGAAUGGUGAGAGAUUAGCAACAUUGAAGGAGUUGCUCACACCAUAACUUGUCAGAAGAUCAAUCUUGUAUGCAUUGUCAUUGAUCUUCUCAAGAACAUGAAAUGGACCAUCUCCUCGUGGCAGCAAUUUUGAUUUGCGCUGCUGAGGAAAGCGAUCCUUGCACAAGUGUAUCCGCACCAAGUCCUAGGGUUCAAAUAACACCUUCUUCCUAUGUUUGUUCAUACUUGCAGCCUUGCGUCCUGCCUUGAGUUCAAUUGCUUCCUUGGUCUCUUCUCGUGUACCUUCUUGAUAUAUGCAGCACGCUUUUAGGCUUCCAUAUUGGUUCUUUCCUGCAUUGGAAGGGGCAACAAAUCUAUCGGAGCAAUAGGUUUGAACCCAUAUACAUCCGCUCCCAAUUGGUGCUCCUACUCCCUUCAAGGUAUUCCUUGAUUGAUUGUAGGUUGUGUUGGUUGGUUCUUUGAGAGUGUGGUUGGGCGAAUCCUCGAUUCAGGUUGCCGGUUAAAGACGGUGGUUGGCUUCGAGUUUUAUUUGCCAGGUAGCACUAGUUAUCGCUGCUUGCAGCAAGUUAUCCAACUGUUCUUCAGCUAGUUAUCGGUGUUCUUCCUAUGUCGUGAAGAUCGGGACAACGAGUCGCAUCAUCUGGAGAAGAUAGUGUUGAAAGAAGAGGAGGUCAGAGGAACCAGAGGGCUGCACAUGGUAGAGGAAGAAGACAUAGUCGAAGAAAUGAUGGAUGAUGCGACGCUGUUGACAGUCCUUAAGUAUCAAAUUUAAUUAUCAAAUAAACAAAGAAAAGGAUCCAAAUGAAAUCAACAUCUAGACUUAGGGUUUUAUCUGACAGAAUUCCACGAGUUUUGGUGUUUGUCUAUUUCUGCAGGGGGUUAUCAGGUAAUACAGAAGAAAGGCCCACACGUCGGGAUUACAUAGAGAUAUUAACGUGCCGCGCAAUUAUCUUACAUCUAGAAGACUCCAGAAGCCACGAGACCGAAGCGGAGGCGAAACGGGGCCAGAGGCAGGGCGCCCGCCCUCCUGCCCUGGGCGCCCGCCCCCUCUGGGAGUCCAAUCAGGACUCUGCUUCGUGGGAGAUUUCCACAGACCUAAAGGAUGAAUCUAAACCAUACAAUCUAUGUCGGUUUGAUCCAACGGCCCAUAUUCACUUGAAGGGACUAUAAAACCAGACACCCUGGCCCCUGGAGGAGAGAGCCUCUCAACCCUAAUUCAUUGUUCUUCAAGGGAGAAGAAGCCUCUGAUCAAGAUUAGAGCCACCACAUCAAUUAGAUAUCUAGAUUAGCAUAGCUACAUAGGAUUAGAACUAGAAGGAGUCAAUCUUCGAUUGGUUUCCGGAUCUGUCAGGAGGAUUCUUGGUAAUUCUCUAAUUGUGCUUCUAAUUUCUUUCUAAUUAUCUUUGUUCGUCAAUAUUAUGAAUAUGACUUUGUUCUACUUCAAUAUAUUGCUUAUGACUUUGCUCUUCUUGCUUAUAUUCAAGAUUAUAUUGUUCUUGGUUUAUCAUAGUUAUGUACUUGGCUUAGUUAGAUUGGAUCUAUAUACAUGCUUAGGAUCGUAUAGCGUUUAUCCAUCAGAUCCAUAGGAAAAUGAUAGAUAUUGUGUAGGCGUGGUGCUUAUACCGUAUUUAUCUGCGAUUGUACCCAAUAUGCCAGAUCGUGGGGUGGUUCGUGAUAGUGACAGCUUCAUUGAUUCUUAUAUAGUCCCCCUCUCAUGUAUUGGGCUGGCAGAGCAACAUUGUUACAGGGGAGUGAUUGCUAUGUUUCUCAUAGUCCUUGCUAAUAUCACUAUGCAUGGGCGUAGUCUUGUCUCACAAUGAUUGCUAAGUAUACUUGCACUAACUAUGAUAUGCUAGACUAUAUAGUUGAGAAUAACUUAGGGAAUAUUCUUGUAGUUCAUUCUAAUACCAUGCUAAUGACUCUCUAGAGUAUCUAAUUGAGGUGCUUAUCGUAUUUAUUAUGUGGCUAGAUCAGAUUAGUUAUCCUUGUCACUAUUAUUAUUUCAUAUAUCUUUUAUGUGACACUUAUCCCUGUAUGAAGAGUUAGAUAUAAUGUUCUCAAUUAUACAUGCAAUGAUAGAUGCUCAAUCUCAUAUUCUAUUCUGUAAUCAAUAGUGAUGAUUGUUAAUCCCUUCCUGGUGGUAAAAAUAUAAAUAACGAUACCUGGAAUACUUCCCGGUUAAAAUGCUACAUCGGUAUUAAUCUGUGCGCUUGCAGAUCCCAUUCAUUAUUUAUUUAGAAGAGCAAUUGCAUAUUUCAAUACCGCGUCUCUCAUGUCAUGCUGGGGAUGACAACUUGGCUUAAGUGGUGUGAGGGAUAGGUUUGGCAUUUUUGGCACCGUUACUAGAUUUAGAGAACUUAGUCUACUUUUGGUAAUGAUGUUAAGAAUACCCAACAAGCAUUUUUGGCGCCGUUGCCGGGGAAGGUUGAUUACUAAUCAGGAAUGGAAUAAAGGAUUUUGAGUUAUCAUUCGCAUUACUAAUAUGAUUGAGCUUAUCUAUUCUCUCAUACAGUUUUACCCCAAUAUUUUUCUAUUUUAUCUUAUGCAGGGGAAUGUAUGAAUAGAAGACAUCUUCCAGGAAAUUUUGUUGACAAUCCCGAAGCAUUAUUCAAGAAGACGAGAGCCAAGCUCAAGAAGAGAUCAUCAACACUUCAGCAAGAAGCUUCAUCCAAUCAAAAAGAUCACCGGAACUUGUCUUCAGAGUUCGAGGCCAUGGCGAACAAAUCAAUCCGCGAGUUCUCAGCUCCCACUACGGAUAACAUUCGCACUGGACCUGCUGCAGAGAUCGACGGCAACUUUGAGCUCAAGCCUGGACUUAUCAACAUGGUGCAAUCCAACCAGUUCUGUGGGAAGGCACAUGAAGAUGCUAGUGCUCAUUUACAACACUUUCUGGAGAUUUGCAACACAUUCACCAUAUCAGGAGUUUCCAAAGAUGCUAUACUACUUCGCCUCUUCCCAUUCUCACUGUUAGGAAGAGCGAAGCAGUGGUUCUACGCUACAAAGGAGAAGAAUACUACGUGGGCACUCUGCUCAACAAACUUCCUGGCAAAGUUCUUUCCCAUGGGCAAGACCAAUGCUCUCCGUGGGAAGAUUACAAGUUUUCAGCAACAAAAUGAUGAAUCUGUUCCAGAAGCAUGGGAGCGCUUCCAAGACUACAUCCUAGAAUGUCCCCAUCAUGGAAUGGAGAGUUGGCUACUGAUGCAGACGUUUUAUCAUGGACUCGGCAACAGUGCCCGAGAGACCAUGGAUGCUGCAGCUGGAGGAGCAUUCUUAUCACUUACUAUACCACAAGCCACAGCUCUUGUGGAGAAGAUGGCGUCCAAUCAAAGCUGGAAUGAAGAGAGGACCCAGACACGCAAUAGAGGUGGAGGUAUGCAUCAGCUGAAGGAGGUAGACAUGCUGUCUGCAAAGCUAGACCUGCUCAUGAAGAAGCUCGACGAUAGAGCUGGAGACAAGAAAGAAGUUAUGCACAUCUAUGACUCUCACAUGACUUGUGAGGAGUGUGGAGACACUGGACACUCAGGCAAUCACUGCCCUGAGAUGCUUGAGGAUGUGAACUACAUCAACAACAACAACAACUACUACUACUACAACCGUCCUCAACAAAAUCAAGGUUGGAAUCAACAGAGGCCUAACUACUUAGGUAAUUAUCAAUGUAACAAUUCUUACAACAAUAAUAAUAAUUUUGCACCUUUGAGAGAGUUAGUGUCUAAUCAAGGAAAGCUAAUGGAUAACCUAUCUAAGAAAUUGGCAUCUAAUGAUAAAAUGCUAGAAAAUAUAAAUAAUAGAAUGGAUAAUUUCUCUACUGCCAUCAAGAAUCAAAUUAGCUUUAAUAAAAUGAUUGAAUCUCAGUUAAAUCAAAUAGCUGCUGCUGUUCCUGCUACUAACCCCGGUAUACCAUCACAACCGGAUGGAUUAGAAUCUGCAAAUCUUGUAGACAUGUUUGAUGUAGGUAAUAAUUGGAGUAACCCCGUCACUGAAUUCUCUACUGACCUUCUGCCGGUCAAGAGAGGCGAUCCAGGACGCCCGGUCAUCCCAAUCUCCAUCGGCAUGGUGGACGUUCCAGAAGCACUCUGCGACUUUGGCUCCAGCGUCAACAUUAUACCCAGGGUACUCUAUGAAAAAUUCUUUACAUAUCCUUUAUUAGAGACAACCAUGUGUUUGCAGUUUGCAGAUCAGAUGAUAACUUUUCCAAAAGGAAUAUUGAAGAACCUUUGUGUCUGAGUUGGUACCUUAUAUGCUCUAGCAGACUUCGUAGUGGUAGAGACUGGAAAUGAUGAGAGGGCACCCAUCAUCUUAGGGAGGCCAUUCUUAAACACCACGGGAGCUAUCAUCUACGCAAGUCCUGCCAAGAUCAGUUUUUACUUCAAAGGGAGGAAGGAGACAUUUUUCUUCAAGAACAAGACUACACAAAUUCCAGAUCAAUCCAGACGUGAAUCAAGGAAGAGGACCAACAGGAGGAACAGGAACAAGCAAGUGUGGACCGAGUCAGCUAAGAUGGUCACUGCAGUUCAUGGAGGCCAAGAUCACCAACUUAAGUCACCGCUUUUGACCAAGAAGGACGACCCAGGAAUGCCAAGCAUCUACUGCUCCAUAAAUGGAUACAACUUCUACAAGGCAACUUGUGACACCGGAUCGGGCGUCAACAUAAUGGCCGCAGUCACCUAUCGGCUCUUGUUCGGAACCAUGCCACUAAGACCAACAUACAUUCAGCUCCAGAUGGCAGAUCAGACAUUUCGAGAAGUUAAAGGAAUAGUAACUGAUGUCCCAGUCAAAAUAGACGAUCACUUUGUCUACACAGACUUUCAAGUUAUUGACAUGGGAGAAGACGAGUAUGAUCCACCCAUCAUCCUUGGAAGACCGUUCCUCAGCACCGUUAAAGCAAUUAUCUACAUUGGAACCGGAGAAGUCCAUAUGCACUUCCCCUCAGAAAAGGUACGCCGUUAUUUUACUGACCCUAGCUAUAUCAUUGAAGAAUCUAAGCAGGUAAGAAAGCGACGCAACCGCAACCAGAGGAGGCAAAUCAUCAAGGACGGAUGGGCAGACUAUGAAGGAGAAGUUAUAAGGUCAGAAGACGUAGAGUUUAAAUAGAAUUAUCCAGAGGAGAUCGAAGCACCGAGUCAGGUAUGGAAAAUGAAGAUAACUAUACAUGAAGAGGAGGCGCUGCCGGAAGUACUGACUACGCCACCCAACGAACCUCAGGACAAUUGAGAAAAUGGAGAGUCCCGUUCGGAGGACUUAAAAACACCGAACGCCUUGCCAAGAGGUAAACUUGGUAGUUAUCCUUUCCCUUUCAAUUAUUUUAAACAGUUUGCUUAGUUAAUCAUGUUCAUGCUAUCUUAAAAAUAAUUAAAAAAAUAUGAAAAAACAGUAAGCCCCAUGUGAGUAUACGAGUGGCAUAAAACCCAUAAGUACAUUCAUUGUGGUGGCAUAAAACUAAAAUAAAUUUCUUUUCUGCUUUAUAAAAAUGAAAAUGAAAAACAGGGAGUAAUAUUUAUUAAGGAGUCUCAACAUGAUAAAGGCUAGAUAUUUAUGCUAACCCUUAACCUGUUCUACAAGCUUUGUUGUCUAUUUGAACUCCACAGAAUUUAAGAAUCAAGAAGACUGGCAGACGGAGGACAUUCUAAUCGCUGUCAGAAUGCUGCUGACUUUCAAAUACACCUCUGCCACCUGCUAGCUACAUCAAGAGAAAUUACGUCAAAAUUCAGCUUGGGGGAGAGCACCCCCAUUUAUCUCGAUAAGUAUUUCUAUCUAUCUAUCUUUAUACUUAUAUUAUUUUAGAAUAUAAAUAUACAUAACUAUGGAAAACCAAAUAAAGAGUUUGUGCUUAUAUAUAUAUAUAUAUAUAUAUAUAUAUAUAUAUAUCUUUUGCUUAGUGUGUUUAAUAAAUAAAUAAAGUGGCUAUGCUAAUCUGUAUCUUAACAAUAAAACUCUAGCAUGGAUAUGAUGAAUAGUUGCUCUGCCUAAUGUGCACAUUUUAAGUUCUCUCUCAAGUUUAGAUAUAACUGUUAUAAUUUAAAGCUUGCUCUAGACCUAAACUUGUGGGAUGAAAACUUGAUCUAAAGUCUAAGUUGUUAACGGAUACGAUAUGGGAAGGUUGAGCUGCUGUUUAUCUGUUCCUAGAGAUGCUAGAAUUCUAGAGAAUUUUAUCUUUGAAAAUCUUUAAAAUGUUGCAUGAUGAGUUCCUGUAUGAUGAGAGUUUAAAUUCCUACCACAGCCAUAUAUACAUGCUUGCUAGACUUUGAGCCACACAUUUACUAUUUACUGCUUAUGAGCAUUGAGUGUGGUCAAGCUGUGUAGACCCUUAGGAGCUUGUCAUGUGGUUAAAUCAAGAUUUCACUUGCACGUUCACUCAUAUAUGCUACUUCUACUCCGGAAGUACCAUCCACAUAUAUCCAUCUAUUUCCAUCUCCAGAAUCACCCAAAAAUAUUCUACUCCUAAUCCGGGAGAGAAUAGCCAAAAAUAUCUCUGUUUUCCCCUUGUGAAAUAAAUGCUCAAGUUAUCUUGUUACUACCACUUGCUAUAUUAUCUCAAGAGAUGAGUGCUUAUAAAAAAAGAGAAAAAAAAAUAAAUACGAGGAAAUAAAAAGGAGCAAGUGCUCGGAACCUCGAAAGAAAAAAAAAUGAGACGAGAGGUAAAAAUGGACAAGUGUCCGACAGUAGAAUUAGGGGUACAAGAUACCCACCUGAGAGAAAAGAAAAAGAAGAGCAUCUCAUUCUCCUCAUAAAGUUUCAAAAAGCAAGGAAGGUAUGUAUCCCCUCAAAGAGCAAAGUAGAAUUAGACUUCCACCACCAUUGUUUCCACCAUUGUUAUCACCAUUAUCACCAUACACCAUUAAUUCGCCACACAUGCACAUCUUGAUUAAACUUAUUGAUUUGUUUCUUUGGAUCCAUGGUUUGACUAUGCAAUAAAUGUCUUGUAAGUAUGUAUACUUUAUGUCCCACCUAUGAGCUCCAGAUAUUAAAGCCUUAUUAGAGUAGGGUGAGAGAGAAGGCAAUGUCACUAUGCCUUAUACCACAAAUACUACAUAUCUUGAGAGAAGGCAUAUACCAUCACUGCCUUGGUAAGGAUCCAGAAAUACCACAAAAGAGAGAUCUGAGAGAAUCAUACAAGAAAUCUCUGAGUUUUAUUUGAAAAUCUGCAAAAACCCCAGAGCUAUAGCUGAUCAAGAAUAAGAGACAUGGCACUGGACUAGACUGUUCUAUCUUUUAACUACUCAAGACAGAAGUGACGGUUACAAGUCCCAUGGUGAAGGUAAAGUAAGUAAGUUUUAAGUCUUGACAGUUUACUCUAACUCAGAAAUGAGAUCUUAUUUAAAGCAUGUGUACCGUCAAAUUUUAAAGAUAUUGAAACAACUUAUGAUCCAUAGCUGAGUCUAUCCUUGCUCAGGGACGAGCAAGAGGUAAGCUUGGAGGAGUUUGUUGACGGUCCUUAAGUAUCAAAUUUAAUUAUCAAAUAAACAAAGAAAAGGAUCCAAAUGAAAUCAACAUCUAGACUUAGGGUUUUAUCUGACAGAAUUCCACGAGUUUUGGUGUUUGUCUAUUUCUGCAGGGGGUUAUCAGGUAAUACAGAAGAAAGGCCCACACGUCGGGAUUACAUAGAGAUAUUAACGUGCCGCGCAAUUAUCUUACAUCUAGAAGACUCCAGAAGCCACGAGACCGAAGCGGAGGCGAAACGGGGCCAGAGGCAGGGCGCCCGCCCCCUCUGGGAGUCUAAUCAGGACUCUGCUUCGUGGGAGAUUUCCACCGACCUAAAGGAUGAAUCUAAACCAUACAAUCUAUGUCGGUUUGAUCCAACGGCCCAUAUUCACUUGAAGGGACUAUAAAACCAGACCCCCUGGCCCCUGGAGGAGAGAGCCUCUCAACCCUAAUUCAUUGUUCUUCAAGGGAGAAGAAGCCUCUGAUCAAGAUUAGAGCCACCACAUCAAAUAGAUAUCUAGAUUAGCAUAGCUACAUAGGAUUAGAACUAGAAGGAGUCAAUCUUCGAUUGGUUUCCGGAUCUGUCAGGAGGAUUCUUGGUAAUUAUCUAAUUGUGCUUCUAAUUGCUUUCUAAUUAUCUUUGUUCUUCAAUAUUAUGAAUAUGACUUUGUUCUACUUCAAUAUAUUGCUUAUGACUUUGCUCUACUUGCUUAUAUUCAAGAUUAUAUUGUUCUUGGUUUAUCAUAGUUAUGUACUUGGCUUAGUUAGAUUGGAUCUAUAUACAUGCUUAGGAUCGUAUAGCGUUUAUCCAUCGGAUCCAUGGCUAAAUGAUAGAUAUUGUGUAGGCGUGGUGCUUAUACCGUAUUUAUCUGUGAAUGUACCCAAUAAGCCAGAUUGUGGGGUGGUUCGUGAUAGUGACAGCUUCAUUGAUUCUUAUAUAGUCCCCCUCUCGUGUAUUGGGCUGGCAGAGCAACAUUAUUACAGGGGAGUGAUUUCUAUGUUUCUCAUAUUCCUUGCUAAUAUCACUAUGCAUGGGCGUAGUCUUGUCUCACAAUGAUUGCUAAGUAUGCUUGCACUAACUAUGAUAUGCUAGACUUUAUAGUUGAAUAUAACUUAGGGAAUAUUAUUGUAGUUCGUUCUAAUACCAUGCUAAUGACUUUCUAGAGUAUCUAAUUGAGGUGCUUAUCAUAUUUAUUAUGUGGCUAGAUCAGAUUAGUUAUCCUUGUCACUAUUAUUAUUUCAUAUAUCUUUUAUGUGACACUUAUCCCUGUAUGAAGAGUUAGAUAUAAUGUUCUCAAUUAUACAUGCAAUGAUAGAUGCUCAAUCUCAUAUUCUAUUCUGUAAUCAAUAGUGAUGAUUGUUAAUCCCUUCCCAGUGGUAAAAAUAUAAAUAACGAUACCUGAAAUACUUCCCGGUUAAAAUGCUACAUCGGUAUUAAUCUGUGCGCUUGCAGAUCCCAUUCAUUAUUUAUUUAGAAGAGCAAUUGCAUAUUUCAAUACCGCGUCUCUCAUGUCAUGCUGGGGAUGACAACUUGGCUUAAGUGGUGUGAGGGAUAGGUUUGGCAUUUUUGGCACCGUUACUAGAUUUAGAGAACUUAGUCUACUUUUGGUAAUGAUGUUAAGAAUACCCAGCAGACGCGUUGUCCCGAUCUUCACGAUGUUGGAUGAACACCGAUAACUAGCUGAAGAACAGCCGGAUAACUUGCUGCAAGCAGUGAUAACUAGUGCAACCUGGCAAAUAAAACUUGAAGCCAACCACCGUCCUUAACCGGCAACCUGAAUCGAGGAUUUGCCCAACCACACUCUCAAAAAACCAACCAACACAACCUACAAUCAAUCAAGGGAUACCUUGAAGGGAGUAGGAGCACCAAUUGGGAGUGGAUGAAGCCGCCGCCUAUGUAAUCCCAUGAGGAAAUCACAAGAGCAAAGGGGUAGAGAUCACUCUCUGAAUUUGUUAGCACACAGCUGAACAAAGGGGUUCUGUAUUUCAAUUAUCAAAAGUCUGAGAUUACAAAGAGUCUUAGGGGGUAUUUAUACUAGCAACAGCCCUGCUAGAUAAGUAUGAAAUCAAAAUAGAGUUUCUGAGGGAAGGCAAUGCGAAAGGUCCCCUCAGAAUGGAUUCCCAAACUAGAUUUGCGUGACUGUUGGCCUCCAGAGCAGUUUCCAAUAAACUGACCAUAAGUUCUUAUUGGGAAGUACAAAUGAUGAACCAUUUCUUGGAUGUGACUAGACUCAAAGGGCUUUCCAGCAAUGUAUUCCUAUCAGCAUGAAACAUUUUAGAUUGGUAUAGUUUUACUUGGAAAGUUGUACCAACAUUUUGUCACGACAGACUAUUGACCUUCUGAGUAGUUUGUACUAAUUCUGGUAUACAGGCAAUAUGGAGUAUCCAAACUGGUCACCACUAGAUUCAUUGGAAAGUAGACUCGACAAGAUUUUCAACAAGUCCUCAUGGACCUUUAUAGCUUUUGUGAGUAAAAAGUUAUGAAGAUUUCUUUGCACUGGUCCGUUCUCGACUUCCACUAGUCCAUUUUUGACUCUUCUGGUCCGUUUUGCUAGUGUGUUCUAGGACUUGCACUGGUUCGUUCUUCAGGGUCUGAUUCAUCCUUCUCUUAUUCUAUAUACCUCAGAACAAUCAAGGUACAACACUUAGGUAGUAUAUAAUUCGCAUUAAUGUUAAAAUAAAUCUCACAAAGUAGCGCGUGCACCUCUUGUUGUAGCUUCUUAGCUCGGCUACGUGUAAUUGCUCCAACAAAGACUUGAACUAGUGUUGAUGUUGGUGAUACUUGAGUUGAUGUAGCUUGGCUUGCAGGUUGUAAUAUGUUGUUGGAUGGCGUGGUCAUAUCAUCCUCCCCCACUUGAAAAGGAGUCGUCCCCGACUCUAAAUGAUUUUGACCUAUGGACGGAGAGAGAUCAACAACAACAUUGUCCUUACCUUUCUUGUAUUUCAAAAUGUAUGGAAAUGUUUUGAUGAAUUCAACCCAUUUGGCUUGACGAUGGUUCAAUUUUGCUUGCCCUUUCAAGUACUUCAAGGCUUCAUGAUCAGAGUGAAUAACAAAAUCUUUUGGCCAUAAGUAAUGUUGCCAUGUUUCAAGCACGCGCACCAAAGCAUAUAAUUCUUUAUCAUACACAGAAUAAUUCAGUUGAGCACCUCGUAGUUUUUCACUAAAAUAUGAUAGAGGUUUUCCUUGUUGCAUUAAAACUCCUCCUAUCCUAAUUCCACUAGCAUCAUAUUCUAUUUCAAAAGUUUUAGUGAAAUCAGGAAGAACAAGUACAGGUGCUUCAGUCAAACGUAUCUUUAAUUUUUGAAAUGCAUUUUGUUGUGAUUUUCCCCAUUUAAAGUCAACACAUUUCCUUGUCAAUUCAUUUAAAGGAGCAACGAUCGUACUGAAAUCUCUCACAAACCUCCUAUAAAAACUAGUAAGGCCAUGAAAACUUCUUACUUGACUUACAUUCGUUGGAGUUGGCCAAUCCUUGAUGGCUUUCACCUUGGUCUCAUCCACUUCUAUUCCCUUUCAUAAAACAACAAAGCCAAGAAACACAACAUGGUCUGUGCAAAAACUGCACUUCUCAAGAUUAGCAAAUAAUUUCUCCUUUCUAAGCUCUUCCAAGACUUGCUGAAUAUGAUUCACAUGUUCCUCAAAAGACUUACUGCAAAUUAAGAUAUCAUCGAAGUAGACAACAACAAAUUUUCCAAUAAAAGCUCUCAAGACAUGGUUCAUUAAUCUCAUGAAAGUACUAGGAGCAUUAGUCAAACCAAAAGGCAUAACUAACCAUUCAUACAGCCCAAAUUUUGUUUUAAAUGCAGUUUUCCAUUCAUCCCCUAUUUUCGUUCUUAUCUGAUGGUAUCCACUUCUCAAAUCAAUUUUAGUGAAUAUGGUGGAACCACUUAAUUCAUCAAGCAUGUCAUCUAAACGUGGAAUAGGAUGGCGAUAGGGAACAGUGAUGUUAUUUAUAGCUCUACAAUCAAUACACAUCCUCCAAGAACCAUCUUUCUUAGGCACUAAAAUUAUAGGAACAGCACAAGGACUUAAAUUUUCACGAACAAAACCUUUAUCAAGAAGUUCUUGCACAUGCCUUUGUAUCUCCUUUGUUUCUUCUGGAUUGGUUCGGUAUGAUGGUCGAUUAGGUAGUGCAGCCCCUAGAAUUAGAUCAAUUUUGACGGUCCUUAAUGCUCACAUUUAACCAUCAACUAAUCAUAGAAAAUGACUUAUAUGCAACCAACACCUUUACUUAGGGUUUUAUCUGACAGAAUUCCACGAGUUUUGGUGUUUUUCUAUUUCUGCAGGGGGUUAUCAGGAAAUACAGAAGAAAGGCCCACACGUCGGGUUUACAUAGAGAUAUUAACGUGCCGCGUAAUUUUCUAUCAUCUAGAAGACUCCAGAAGCCACGGGACCGAAGCGGAGGCCGAGAGGACUCAGGGACAGGGCGCCCGCCCUCCUCUCCUAGGCGCCCGCCCUCACAUAGAGUCCAAUCAGGACUCUCUUUCGGGAUAUUGCUCCACCGACCUAAAGGAUCAAGGAUAACCGUUCAAUCAACAUCGGUUUGAUCCAACAGACCAGAUUCACUUGAAGGGACUAUAAAACCAGACCCCCUGGCCCCUAGAGAUCAUACCUCUUCUACAGAAUCAAAGUUAGGGUUUCAAUUCUUCAUCCAAGUAGAGAGGAUCCCUCUAGUUCUUCUAGUUCUACCUCUAGUUCAUCUAGAUCUAGUUCUAGUUCAUCUAGUUCUAGUUCUAGUUCCUCUAGUUCUAGUUCUAGUUAGUUCUAGUUGUAAUCUAGAAAAUAGGGAGAGAGAAGAGGAGAGCGGAGGAGGAGCCGGAUCUGUCGGAUCUUCCUCAACAUUAUACUUUUACAGCAACUGGUUCGUUCUUCAUCGUUCUCCAGGUUCUUCAAUUCAUAAUUCCUGAGUUCUUUAAUUACUUUUAUUUACAUUCAAGUUAUUUAUUGGAUUCCCGCUUGCAUCAAGUGCUCUAGUUUUUAUAACGCUAGAGUAGUAAUUAAUAGAUUAGGCGUGGUGUUUAGUCUUGCAAUUACCUGGAAUUGCACCCAAUCCUGCGGAUUGUUGUGGUAGCCUUGGGGUAGUGACAGCCCUAAUGGUCGACGUAUUCCACCUCGUUCGGAUCGGUGUUUGUAGGACUGUAGUCGGAGCUUCCUAGCCCCCUUCUCAUCUCUUUCUGUGGUUAGUGUUCUGAUGUCCCGAAAUAGAUAAUCUUGAAGUAAUUCUUGAUUCUUAGAUCAACUAGAGAACUCUCAGGAAACUUCCUCUCUUCCCACCAAAAAUAUUCAUAUAGUUAUCCUUGGGCGAUCUUGGAUCUUAAUUAGUACACUCACGUUCUCUGUGGAAAAUCGAUACUCUGGAAUACUCCUGGGUGAAAGCUACAUCGGUAUCCGUGCGCUUGCGGAUUUUUCUGUUUGUGUUUGAAAUACCCAACAAGCUUUCUGGCGCCAUUGCCGGGGAACGGUAGCUGUGCUAGUUUCGAACCGAGUCGCCCGUGUAUCCUUUUUCUUUUCCUUUUUUACCACACUCACCUUACCCUUUUCACCACACCACAUGGAUUUCACUCCAAGCAUUAAUGAGCAUGGAAUUUAUUUCAUAGCCACUUCAUUUACUCCAUGCUCAUAUGCAACAUCUUCACAAUCCAUUGGUCUCUCCAACAUCACCACAUUCGAGAUCUCCAUCCCCCACUUCUUUUCUAUUUAUAAAAACUUUAAAAGGGCGGUUGUCGAUGCAUAUGUCUAUAAUAAAUUUUGCAGAUCUCGUUGAGUUGAUCUUGAUAUAGGUCAGCGUUGGAGGGGAAACCACUUCACUGACAUAAAUUGAUGGUUUCCCAAGGACAAGCUUAGUGUCCUAAAACAAGCACUGAUCAGAUUGUAACAUGAGCUUUUAAUUAUUUGCAACAUUACCUUGUGUGUUGAGCAUAUAAGGAUAAUUGUAAAAAAAAAUUCCUUCGGGCAUUCUUGUCACUAACCUUUCCAGGAUUGGAGCAAGAAGAUCGGAUGAAUGAAAAGCACAAGGUAUGUCCAACCAAUCAUCAUACAACAUUGAAUUAAAUUCAUCCAAACUUGAAUUUUGCAAAAAUCAAGCUUGGGGGAGUACUUUACAUAAAAACAUCCUUUGCCAUGUUGCUAUGUUGGUUGUCCCUACCUUUGAGACAUGCUCAAUCUGUUAAAUACUAAUCACACUACUUCAUCUCCACUUGAGUAGAUCUCUAUAAAUGCUCUCAUGCUACCUUUAUUUGCUUUAGUAUAUGUCUAGGUUUGGAGUAGUUUCAUUUAUCUCUUAAUUAAGCAUUGUGCUUAGUUUAGGGCUGAUGAUCUUACUUCCAAGGGAGUUUAAAUUAAGCAUGAUGCUUAGGUUAAAGUGCCCUCCUAAAUCAAAUUAGACAUGGUGUCUAGGUUGAUCUUUGAGCCGAUAGUAUGCUAUAGUAGAUAUUGGAUAUUUUGUUGGACUAACCCCUGCAGGAAAACUUUCAAUAUCGACCUGGGAAGUCCUGAGACAAACUCACAUUGGAGACAAAGAGAGAGGCACAUGAAGUUUAACAAUUUACACAAGGAAGGCAUAGCUCACAAGAGAUGAUCCAUGGAGGAUGCCACAAACACGAUGCACAACCACUAAGAAAGGAAAGCUUCCACAAGGUAAUACUGUACCAUCACUCUUCAAGUAAGGUAACAUCUUAAGGUACUUGACUAUCACUUUUACAAAGCUUCUCCUUGGUUCUGGUGUUCACAUGAAUAAAAGAGACAAACAUGUAUGAUUUACAACUCUAGAUUAACCAACCCAAUCGAUUCAACAAGUUUAGUCCUUCCACCUUUGUGAUCCCACACUCCUAAUCAUAUGAAUGUUACACUCAAUCUUUGGAAGAUAUAUAUAAAAAAACAUAAGUAUAGAUAGAUUAUCUUUCCAUUAGGUUGAGCAAUCUGAUCUAACAAAUGUUUUAAAUACUACACUCAUGAUCUUAUUAUCCAUCAACUUUGUCUUGCUAACUAUGCUUGAGGUUAUAGAAGAACAAAUACACUUUUGGUUAUGUUGGUGUUUUCCACUAACAGAGCCCAUGCACUUGAUCUCUGCCCUGUCUCUAUGAGCAGGUACACUUCGAGCAGCAUAUGAAGGACUUUUACAACUCCCAGACUCCACGAAGUGAAGAACCUAGAUCUACGAGCACAAACACACUGGAGAUACUGGACACUCAGGCAAUCACUGCCCUGAGAUGCUUAAGGACGUAACUACUGGAGUAACCCCAUUGUGGAAGUAAUUACUGACCUUCUGCCGGUCAAGAGAGACAAUCUAGGAUGCCCCGUCAUCCUGAUCUCCAUUGGCAUGGUGGACUUCCCAGAAGCACUCUGCGACUUUGGCUCCAGCGUCAACAUUAUGCCGAGGGUACUCUAUGAAGAAUUCUUUACACAUCCUUUAUUAGAAAUAGCCAUGUGUUUGCAGCUUGCAGAUCGUACGCUAAGUUUCCCAAAGGGAAUAUUGAAGAACCACUACGUCCGAGUUGGUACCUUGUACGCCCCAGCAGACUUUUUGGUAAUAGAGACUGGUACUGAUGAGAGAGCACCCAUCAUCCUAGGGAGGCCAUUCCUGAACACCUCGGGAGCUGUCAUCUAUGCUUGUGCUGCUAAAAUCCAUUUCUACAUCAAGGGGAGGAAGGAGACGUUUCCCUUCAAGAACAAGACUACACAAGUCUCAGAGCAAUCCCGACAUGAACCAAGAAAGAGGACCAACAGGAGGGAUAGGAACAAGCAAGUGUGGACCGAGUCAGCUAAGAUGGUCAAUGCAGCUCAAGGAGGUCAAGAUUGUCAACUCAAGUCACCUUUCCUGAUCAAGAAGGAUGACCCUGGUGUUCCAAGCAACGAGUGCACAAUCAACGGAUAUUCUUUUCAGAAGACACUCUACGACAUCAGAUCUAACAUCAACAUAAUGGCCGCAGUCACUUAUCAGCUUCUGCAUGGAACUAUGUCCCUACAACCAACAUACAUUCAGCUCCAGAUGAUUUGAAGGUUAUUGACAUGGGAGAAGACAAGUAUGAUUCUCCAUCAUCCUUAGGAGACCGUUCCUCAGCACCGUUAAAGCAAUCAUCUACAUUGGAACCCGAGAAGUCCACAUGAACUUCCCCUCUGAGAAGGUACGCCGCUAUUUUACUGACCCUAACUAUAUAGUUGAAGACUCUAAGCAGGUCAGGACAAGAAGGAGACGACGCAACCGCAACCAGAGAAGGCAAAAUCAUCAAGGACGAAUGGGUAGACUAUGAAGGAGAAGUGAUAAGGUCUGAAGACAUAUAGCUUGAACAGAACUGUCCUGAGGAGACCGUAGCACCAAGUCAGGUGUGUAGAGAGAAGAUAGUUAUACAUGAAGAGCAGGCGCCGCCAGAACCACCGACUACGCCAUCCAGCGAAUCCCAGUACGACUGAGAAAAUGGAGAGUCCCAUUCGGAGGACUUAAAAACACCGAACGCCUUGCCAAGAGGUAAACUUGGUAGUUAUAUUUUUCCUUUCAAUUAUUUAAAAUAGUUUGCUUAGUUAACCAGGUUCAUAUCAUCUUGAAAAGAAAAUAAAAAUGUUUAAAAUAGUAAGCCCCAUGUGAGUAUGCUCAUGGCAUAAAACCCAUAAGUACAUUCACUGUGGUGGCAUAAAAAAUGAAAUAAAUAUAUUCCUGUCAUAUAAAAAAUAAAAUUAUAAAAAUAAAUUUAUGAUCCUACUAAAGAGAGUAAUAUUUAUUGAGGAGGCUCAACAUGAUAAAGGCUAGAUAUUCAUGCUAACACUUAACUAGUUCCACAAAGCUUUGUUGUCUAUUUGAGCUCCACAGAAUUCAAGGAUCAAAGAAGACUAGCAGACGGAGGACAUCCUAAUCGCUGUCAGGGUGCUGCUGACAUUCAAAUACACCUCCACCACUUGCUAGCUACAUUAGAAGAAACUACGUCAAAAUCCAGCUUGGGGGAGAGCACCCUCAUUUAUCCAGCUAAGUGUUUUACUCACGUUUAUACUUUACUCAAAUAAUAAAAAGAUGCAUAAUCAUAAAAACCCAAAUAAAGAUUUUGUGCUUAUAUAUAUCUUUGCUUAGUUUGCUAAAUAAAUAAAUAAAGUUUGCUAUGAAUCCUCAUGAUAAGCUCUCACAUGGAAAUGAUGAAUAGUUGCUCUGCCAUGACUAGUUCUCAAAAUUGAAAUCUCUCUCAAGUUAGGCAUGACUGCUUUUAAUUAAGAUUUGCUCUAAACCUGAACUUGUGGGAAGAGUACUUGAUCUAAAGUCUAAGUCGUUAAUGGAUAUGAUAUGGGAAGGUUGAGCUGCUAUUUAUCUAUUCCUAGAGAUGUUAGAAUUCUGGAGAAUUUUAUCUUUGAAAAUCUUUAAAAUGUUGCAUGAUGAGUUCCUGUAUGAUGAGAGUUUAAAUUCCUACCACAGCCAUAUAUACAUGCUUGUUAGACUAUGUACCACACAUUUACUUUUUACUGCUUAUGAGCAUUGAGUGUGGUCAAGUUGUGUAGACCCUUAGGAGCUUGUCAUGUGGUUAAAUCAAGAUUCACUUGCACGUUCACUCACACAUGCUACUUCUACUCCAGAAGUACCAUCCACAUAUAUCCAUCCAUUUCCAUCUCCAGAACCACCCAAAAAUAUUCUCCUCCUAAUCCGGGAGAGAAUAGCCAAAAACAUUCUCCUAUUUCUGUUUUUCCCUGUGAAAAAAAUGCUCAAGUUAUCUUGGUUACUACCACUUGCUAUAUUAUUUUAGGAGAUGAGUGCUCUAAAAAAAGAAAGAAAAAAAAAGAAUACGAGGAAAUAAAAAGGGGCAAGUGCCCGGAACCUCGAAAAAAAGAAAAAGUGAGACGAGAGGUAAAAAUGGACAAGUGUCCGACAAAAGAAUUAGGGGUACAAGAUACCCACCUGAGAGAAAAGAAAAAGAAAAUAUAGAGCAUCUCAUUCUCCUCAAAAAGUUUCAAAAGAGAAAGAAAGGUAUGUAUCCCCUCAAAAGAGCACAAGUAGAAUUAGACUUUCACCAUUGUUAUCACCAUCAUCACCGUACAUCAUUCAUUCACCACACAUGCACAUCUUGAUUUGACUUAUUGACUUGUUCUUCUGGAUCCAUGGUUUGACUAUGCAAUAAAUGUCUUGUAAGUAUGUAUUAGCUGUCUCCCACCUAUGAACUCCAGAUAUCAAAACCUUAUUAGAGUAGGGUGAGAGAGAAGGCAAUGCCACUAUGCCUUAUACCACAAAUACCACAUACUUUGAGAGAAGGCAUACACCAUUACUACCUUGGUAAGGAUCCAGAAAUACCACAAAAGAGAGACUAGAGAGAGUCAUACAAGGAAUCUCUGAGUUUUAUUUGAAAAUCUGCAAAAACUCCAGAGCUAUAGUUAAUCGAAGAACAAGAGACAUGGUGCUUGACUAGACCGUUCUAUCUUUUAACUGCUCAAGACACAAGUGACGGUUACAAGCCCCAUGGUGGAAGGUAAAAUGAGUAAGUUUAAAUCUUAACAAUUUACCCUAACCUAGAGAUGAGAUCUUGUUUGAACGCAUGUGUAUCUUUAAGGCAUGAAACCACUGCAGAAACUCUUGAGUUCAUCUUUGCUCACGGACGAGCAAAGGUUAAGCUUGGGGGAGCUUGUUGACGGUCCUUAAUGCUCACAUUUAACCAUCAAAUAAUCAUGGAAAAGGACUUAUAUGCAACCAACACCUAGACUUAGGGUUUUAUCUGACAGAAUUCCAUGAGUUUUGGUGUUUGUCUAUUUCUGCAGGGGGUUAUCAGGAAAUACGGAAGAAAGGCCCACACGUCGGGUUUACAUAGAGAUAUUAACGUGCCGCGCAAUUUUCUAUCAUCUAGAAGACUCCAGAAGCCACGGGACCGAAGCGGAGGCCGAGAGGACUCAGGGACAGGGCGCCCGCCCUCCUCUCCUGGGCGCCCGCCCUCACAUAGAGUCCAAUCAGGACUCUCUUUCAGGAUAUUGCUCCACCGACCUAAAGGAUCAAGGAUAACCAUUCAAUCAAUGUCGGUUUGAUCCAACGGACCAGAUUCACUUGAAGGGACUAUAAAACCAGACCCCCUGGCCCCUGGAGAUCAUACCUCUUCUAUAGAAUCAAAGUUAGAGUUUUAAUUCUUCAUCCAAGUAGAGAGGAUCCCUCUAGUUCUUCUAGUUCUACCUCUAGUUCAUCUAGAUCUAGUUCUAGUUCAUCUAGUUCUAGUUCUACAGCAGCCAGCAUAUGCACAGCUACUGAGGAAGCAAUUUCAGUCCAAAAUAGUUUUUUUUUUUCAGCACACAUAUCUAUUUGUCCAACAUAUAAAUUAAAGCCUAUUACAAAACAAGGUGGGGUAUUCUAAAUUCAUAUUUAUACAAAGAAUUCAUCAUCAAGAUGGUGCCUGAAGAGUUGACAGGUGCUACAUACCCAUCAUCAACGUAAGUGUCAUUAGUAUCAUCAUCUUCAUCAUCUAAGUCUUCAUCACGUGGUUCACGCACUGGUAGCACAUUUUCAAUGACGGCUGCAUCUCCGGUCACCCCUUCCAGAUCAGUCCUCCUCCAAGCUAACAUAUCUUCAUUCUGGCUUGAAAUAUUCACUGCUUCCACUCCCACCUCUAGUGAGUCAAUAUCAAGUUGUCCCUCAUUUUCAGUGUCUAGUGGUUCAGGCAUGGAAAAUAAAUUUCUUGGCUUCAUUUUUACAAGUGUGCUCCACUCUGAUUUCUUUGCACCUUUCACAUAAAAAACCUGCUCAGCUUGAGUCCCCAAGAUGUAAGGAUCAUUUAGAUAUCGAAAACGAGUUGUAUCGACAUCUAUAAUCCCAUAUUGAUCCCUGCGGUACCCUCUGCUCUUGUUCUUACUAGGAGCAGCAGGUACGUCGUACCAAUCACACUGAAAUAAUACAACUUCAUUCUCACCAGGGAAAUCAAGUGUCAAUAUCUUUUUAAUGACACCAUACCACUCCAUAGUUGCAGAACUAUCAGCACCCUUAACUGCAACACUUGAAUUUUGUGUAUUCAAGGCACUCUCUACAGAAGCCGUUCGAAAAAAGAAACCAUUGAUGAUGGACCUAUUGAAAACACAAACCCGGGGAUCAGGUCCUCGAGAAAGAGCAUAUAGUGUAUCACUAAUCCCCCCUUCUUCAUAAAGUUCACUCAUCUGCAAUCGAUUUGAAAACAACAAUAUAAAUAAAGAUAGUAGCUAUUUUUUGUAAGUCAAUUUGACAAAGUUACUCAACUUACGUUCAAACCAACCAACAAAUUGCUCCCUAUGACGUCUAUCAAUGCCAUGUGUAGUAAUAUUUUUGAGUUCCUCCUUAUGCAAACUACAAACAAUCAAAACAGUAUUAGAAAAACAUUAAUCAUGAGGAACAUUAAACACACUAGUUGUAAUUUCAUCUUAAUCCAUGGAGCAGCCUCAUCACAGUUUGUUAUUAUAUAGUGUCGCAUCUGCUUCAACUCUAAACUAGGAAUAAUCUCAGUUUUGCAGCCUUUCUUACUGUAGUCAAUGGUCUGAAAUACACUAAGCCUAGCUUCAUGACGCUCAGGGCGGUUCAGCUUUGUAUCAAUAUCUUCUAGGAACCGAGAACAAAAUGUCAUGCACUCCUCAGCGAUAUAGCCCUCUGCUAUAGAACCUUCAGGUUGUGCUUUGUUCCUCACAUAUCCUUUCAACGUACGUAGAUAUCUCUCGACAGGAUAGAUCCAUCUAUAACACACAUGUCCUCCAAUUCUAGCCUCCUCAGCUAAAUGAACUGGCAAAUGCAUCUUAAUAUCAAAAAAUGCUGGUGGGAAUAACAUCUCUAGCCGACAUAAAGUCUCUCCAAUCGAAGAGGUUAGUUUUUCAAGGUCGCUUUGCACCAGUUCCUUUGAACAUAAUGAGCUAAAGAAUGUGCUUAGCUGAAUCAAUGGGAUAGCAACAUCUUGAGGCAAUAUCUCGCGUACUACUAGUGGUAAUAGUUUCUGUAAUAUAACAUGAUAGUCAUGAGUCUUCAGUCCAGAAACCUUACAUCCCUUGACGUCCACACAUCUCUUUAUAUUUGCUGCAAAACCAUCAGGCAUCCUCACUCCUUGUAGGAAUUUGCAUAAUAUUUCCUUCUCAUCUUUGCCUAAGCUGUACAACGCUUGUGGUAAAGUAUACUUGCCAUUCUCUACUAUAGGAUGUUGAUCCUUCCUGAUCCCAAGAUUUUGCAAGUCAAGCCGAGCCUUCUCACCAUCCUUACAUUUACCAUCCAUGCCAAGCAAUGUCCCCAAUAUGCUCUCACCAAUGUUCUUCUCGAUGUGCAUGACAUCCAAAUUAUGCCUAAUAAGCAAUUUUUCCCAGUAUGGUAGUUGGAAGAAUACACUCUUCUUUCUCCAAUUAUGCCACCUAGUUUCUUCUUCUCGUUGCUUCCUCUUCCUUGUGCCUUGCCCAAAUUUUGGUUGCUCAAAACUAUCAUACUGCUGCAAAACCUCUUCACCAGUAAGUGGCACUGGAGCCUGCCUUGUUUCUACCUUGUUGUUGAAGCUACUUUUAUUCCUACGCCAUCUAUGGUUCUGUGGCAAAAAGCGACGAUGACCUAGGUAGCAAUGCUUGCAGCCAAAUUUCAACCAUAAGUAUUCUGUAUACUUAUGACAGUAAGGGCAUGCAAACUUGCCUUUUGUACUCCAACCAGACAGCAUAGCAUAUGCAGGGAAAUCAUUUAUGGUCCAUAGUAGAACUGCACGUAAAGUAAAAUUUUUCCUAACCUUUGCAUCCCAUGUGAGAACACCCUUUUCCCAAAGAUCCUUUAGCUCAUCAAUCAGUGGCUGCAAAUAGACAUCAAUGUUCAUUCCAGGAGAUUUAGGCCCUGGUAUCAACAUUGACAUCAUCCAAUAUGAUUGUUUGAAACAAAACCAAGGAGGCAAGUUAUAAGGGAUUAUGAUGACAGGCCAAGUAGUGUAUGUAACAUUCAACAUCCCAAAUGGAUUGAAGCCAUCAGAGGCAAGUCCAAGCCUUACAUUGCGAGGGUCAGAUGCAAAUUGCUCAUCUAAGGCAUCCAAAUGCUUCCAUGCUAGUGAGUCCGCAGGGUGACGCAUUUUCCCAUCAUUCACCAGUCCUUCCUUAUGCCAACGCAUAAGUGUUGAUGUCGACUCCCUCAUAAACAAUCUUUGCAGCCGAGGAGCAAGUGGGAAAUACCGCAAAAUCUUACGUGGAAAACGCUUUUGCCCGCCACCAGUGCUAGAGGAUUCAGCAUCUUUAGAAGAAUCGUUCCCUUUCCACCUAGACUGACCACAGGUUGGGCAUGUAUCCAAGUCAGCAUAAUCCCCACGAAAUAACACACAGUCAUUCACACAUGCAUGAAUCUUUUGGUAGUCGAGUCCAAGAUCUUGAACAACCUUACGCACUUUAUCCAAGGUUUCUGGGAUUUCAGGGUGGAACAAUGCGAAUAGAUCAAGGAUCGACUGUAUUCCAUUGUUACUAAAACCAUGCAUGCAUUCAUCUGAAAGAUCCUGAUAAUGAAAGAAACCUUUGUAGCCUCCUUGCAGCCUGGAUACAGUUCCUUUUGUGCCUCGGUUAAUAACUUGAAGAACUUCUUUGCACACUCAUUUGGCUCUUCAUCUCCACUUCCUGUGAGUUCACCAUGUAUAGCUCCUCUGAUUAGUGUAGAAAUCAGUUCUUUGCUAGCAGGCGCAUCACCUGUAUCACCAUCUUCAUAUUCUCCUUCAGUAGGGUUAUCCUCCUGGGGACAUGAAACCAAAUCCUGAGCAUUACCUUCUUCGAUGAAACUUUCAUCGAACCCUCUAAGGACCAAAUGACUUCGAACAUCUUUUUGAUUUCUAUAGGACAUGCAACGACAACGAGCACAUGGACAUGGAGCAGUUUCUUCUUUAGAUGUGCCUCCAAAGGUAUUCUGAAUGAAGUUCUUAAAUCCUUUUUGCCAUUCAGCAGUAUACUUUGCCAUGCGCAUCCAGCUCCUAUCUUCAAUCGACAUGCUGCUGCCUUACCUCCAGGAAACAGCCCAGCGAAUCCUCACCAUAGACCCAACCUUCCUAACAACACCAGUAUAGUAUCCGAUUACCCUGCCUGCUUCAGCUUGACACCUGCACUAAAUUUGUACGGUAAGGUUAAAGUUCCAAGUAAAGCAGACAUAGAAAAAUGAUAAGAGCUUGACACCUGCAUAAUGAUAACAGCUUGAACCAAUCCGUGAAUUUUUAGGUUAGUUUUCAGUUUUGAGGUUGUGGUGUGCUCAUAUGAGUACUUGCAUGCACACACGUUAAUAAUGUGAUCUGUACACUACCUCCUAUCAGUCAUGAUUUCAUUUUGUUCUUCUAUGUUCCUUCCUACAGACUGAUUGGUUAACUGACGCACAAGCGGCAGCUAACUGAAACCAUCAACCUAUAGGCUAACAGCAACCACAAAUUAAAGUGACUUAUGGUCCAUGUGUUUAUAAGUUAGGCAAAAAAUGAUCCUAGGAUUGAUUUGCCUCCUUUUUGUUAUGUUAGCUUUGUUCUAUGUCUACACUCCUUGAAUAUAAACAUUUGGCCAUUCUUGGUUUCCUUUCUUUUCUAUGUUCCUACUCAGACUGUCACAUGCAGGAGUGAGCUAAGUGGGUUUCUAUUUUAUUUGAUGCCUGCUGAUGAAUUCCCUAUACCUUAUUAGCACUUAGCAGCAACGGUAAUUGGCUUUGUCACAUUCCCUAAACCGAUAGGAAUUUUUUAGUUUCUAGUACUGAUACCCUCUGCCCUCUCAUGUUUUCUGUGCUUGGACAGAGAAGGUGUCUGGCAACAAAGUUUAGUUGGGCAGUAUGGAUAUGAAUAUUUCAGAUAUAUACCGUGAGUGAGAGGAUUAGAGGGGUUCCCUUUAUUUUUGCCCUACCUCAAGACCGCUGGCGCCGUCACCGCCGAACACUGGGACACGACAUCCCUCCAUGGACGUCACCUCUGGGGAUCCCAACAAGUGUGCAAUGACGGCGCCUCCAUCCAAGAAGAUGCCAUCUUCUGGUUCACAACGCGAUGGCACUGGAGAAAUCAGGAAACAUCCCGCCAGGUCAAUCGAACGGCAGCCUCAUAUUCAAGCCAUCGUCGAGGAAGAAGAUGAAGAACACACCAGGUCACUAAGGUUUCGCCAUGCCAGGUAUGCAGACGAUAUUAUAUUACUGCUCAUCUGCUAGGGUUUAUGAGUAGAACCAUUUAGAGAUAUGCUUUACGUCUUAGGGCAGGCACAUUUGCCAUAUGCACAUAGAUUACGGAUGCCAAAUACUGCUCAUGCCCACUCCCCACGUGGCCCAGGGUUUGUUUGUUUUACUUCAAUUUCUUGUUAAUUUGUGGACCAGUGAAAUUGGUUAAGAAAACGUGGAUCCAAAAGUAAAGAGGAAACAGUGUAAAAUUAUAAACAUUUUUUAUUUAUAAUAUAACUAUAUUUUCAAUUUCUCCAUACCUAGUAUUUUUAUCGUCCUCUGCCACUGCGUCCGCUCACCACUCGGCACGCAGUAGCGGCAGUGGCGGCAUCCAAGCCCAACACUGAGGCACGUAGGAUGCGUGAUAGUGCUAGGUUUGCCGCUCCCCUCCUGAUAUCGGCAAGUGGCCUUGCUAUCGGCGAGCGGCCUUGCUAGUUGCUCUUGUGCGUGACUUCGCUUAGCGCUUUGCAUGGCCGGUGCUUCCCAAUGCCGGCUCUGGGGCAGACGCCACUGGCCCCAAUUUUUUGGGACCAUCUUAAGUAUACGCUAGUGUAUAAAAGUUCACAUAUAUUAUAUUGCUAUUAUAUAUCAUAUGCAUAACUGCUCGGCACAUGUUGGAUCCAAUUAUCACUUAGUAGAUUUAUUUUGAAAUGAUAAUUGCAUGUAAUAUUUUCUUUUGUUUUGAAUCUUUCAAUAUACUGCUUUAUUGAUUUGUAACUACACGUAUUAACAUACAGUGCACCAAAGACCGGAGAAAUUUGGACAUUAUAUUUCCAAUGCAAGGGGAAGGAUCAAGAAAAUGAAUUUGUUGAUGUACAGUUAGACAAAGCUGAUGUAACAUAUUUUAACUUGGCAUGUUUUAAAGAACAGCUUGGGUAUGGACCUAGGGACUUCAUGUACUACAAGAUGCAUUGUGGUAGGGAUGUAGCAAAACUUGAAGCAAUGGGUUAUACACAAGAUGUAGAUACAGUGCUACGAAUGAAUGAGGCUGAGAGGGAAAUCAGGUUGGUACUGUCAAAGGAGCAGGAAUACGAGAUAGAUGUCACCAUAACACCAAUUAAGCGACCAAGAGAAAAGGGGAACAAUGAUGACACAAGUACACUUGAAGACAUUGAUGCCUACAAGUUGUGGCUAAAAAAGCUGCAGUCCAAGGAUCCAAGCAAUGGUAAAACUGUUCAAUGAUUCACUGAUGGAAAUUGUUAUAAAAUUUUUUGCCCUAACAAGUGGAAUUGUAUUUUCAUUACCACUCGCAGAUUUUAGGGAUGCCUUUAGGGAUGAAACCAUCGAAACAUACAAGGAAUGACUAAGGCAUACAGGCCAUCGUCGACACAUGCGUAAUUAAAUAUCUUUACUAAUUUAAAUAUGUUCACUAUUCUACAAACAAUACAAUAAUUGCUAUCAUGUGUUUCUUUUUGUAGUAUCAUUAUUAGAAGAAACUACAAAUGACGAUGACAUAACUGAAGGGGAGCAAAAUGAUAGGCCGAGUCAUGCUAGGAAACCAAAAAAUCUAGGAGAUGGUAUGUGCUGGUCCUUCAAUUUUAUAAUUUAUAUUAAAAAGACUUUUGCUGAUCAUGGAUGUUCCAUUAUUUCUUAAUGUUCAAUUAGGAGAAAGUUCAAAAAAACGUGGAAGAGGAUGUCUCAAAGGUCUAACAGUGACCAACAAGAGAAUCAGGAAUCAUACACAGAAAUUAAAAAUCGAAUUUAAUCCUAAUCCUAGGCUGGGUGGCCCGAUUGGUGAGAACCGUCGUUCGUUUGUGGAUGAGGUGGUAAUGUUUACCAGGAAAAAGGCUCCAGUUAUAGGAGUGAAAACAUGGAAAGAUGUGCAUCCAACAGUCAAAAAGUCAAUAGAAGAUGACAUAUUGGUAUGACACUAUCUUUUUUGUCCAUAUGUCUUGUUGUCACUAGCUAAAAAUUUUAUAUUAUGUUUGUCUUUACAUUGGAACAGCUUAGCUGGGACCUACAGAAUGUUGAAGAGCCUAAAGAAAAGAUAUGGGCCAUUGCAAAGGAGAGGUACAAAGGAUGGCGUGCUGCAUUUAGUGCUACAUACAGGGCUUACCGCACUGACGCUGAAAGAAUGAAACAUAAGCCUGAGGAUUUGGAUAACGUUGAGUGGUACUACUUGAUCCAGUACUUUGGAAGUGAGAGCUUCCAGGUUUGUAAAAUAGUUAAAUAUCCUUUUCUUUUUACAAAUGAUCAAUUCAGUGUUUUAGUCACAUCAUUUGUAAACCAUUAUAGAAGAAGAGCACCAAGAACACUGAGAACCGUAAGAAGCAAAAGACACAACAUCUCAUGGGAUCCAAACCAUUUUCCCAAAUAAGCUAUGAUCAGGUAACGACAAGGUUUACCGACUUAGUUAUUUUUCUACAAUAGUCAAUACCUCAUACUACAUGUGUUGCCAUCUUAGAGAGACCCAACAACUGGUGAGGAGCCUACUGAUUUAGAUCUUUGGAUGGCUACUCACACUAAGGGAGGCGACUGGUCAAACCCAGAUACAAAGGAAGUAUAUGUGAGUGAUAAAUAUAUAUAUUGUUCUGCUUCGUAACAUUUUGGAACACUUCUAAAUUUCAAUCCUUCUAAUGUGUUAAUUUUGUUUCUCUUAGGACAAUGCUUGUGUCAAAAUUUAUGAGGCAGGAAUAAUGAAAGAUAAAUUUCUUACGGCUGAAGAAGAAAAUGCAAUUUUCCAGAAAAACUACAAAGAAACCACAGGAACCAAAACGUACAGAUGUCAUGGUCUUGGAUAUAUGGCAAAAUAUCCAACACGAUUGGCUCUAUUGAAUGAGAGAGAAGAGAAUUUAGCCCGUCGCUCAGCUGCAGCCCUACAACACCAAGAGGAGGUUGAAGAUUUAAAACACAAACUUGCAGAUGAAGUUGCUGCAAGGGAAAGAGAUAAGGAAGAAAGUACUCGACAAAUACAGGAACUUAGAGAAGAACUUCGUUUGCAAGUUGCACUGCUGCAGGUAGUAAAUAUAUUAUAUGCUUGUCUUUUGUGAAUUUUCCACUAAUGUUGGUUGCCUUUUAUAUCGCGUGCAGGCUAACCCAGGAACCACCACCUAUUCACAGCCUACAAAUGGUGCAGCUAUGGGCAUGAAUGGCAUCACACCACCACGCAUAGAAGCUGAAAAACAAGAGGUAAUAAAAAUGCAGCAUGUCAACAAACCAAAUGCAUGCCCCAACAAUAUACACCAAAUGAAUGAUUAGAAUAUGCUCUCCCAAACUAAUGUCUCUACAAAUUGGUUGAGAUAAGCCCGUGUAAAUUGCAGAUCGCUUUUAUUUCAAUGUGUAGUAAUUAUAAGUAUUUGAAUACAACAACUAUUAUUUCAUAAAUGCUGCAAAUUUAGAAGUUCUAGCCUAUUGCCUUUUGAGAUUCUUCUACAGUUGUCAUUGAACAUCAUUGUUUUUUGCAAUUGAACAUAUGUGUAUUAAUGCAAAGUGUACUUAUUAUUUUAUAUGUUGGCAGGUUGAACCAACAAGCGUGAUGACCAUAGUAAAAGAAGUUGAUCCACCUACUACUCGCACCACAGCUAAUGCUACUUUAACAAGAAAUCUUUUUUCAAUAGACACCAGCAACCUAGCCGCAGGUUUAAAUUCAUCACAGGAACCGAUAUGGCCUUCUGCCAAAACUCGCUCUCAAAAAGAAAAGGCUACAGGUAUGAGUGGCUACAUGUGAAAUAUGUUUGUUCAUUUCAAUCAAUUUUUGUGCCGCAUAUUGGAAAAGGUGAGCGAGUCAUAUAUGCUAUAUUUGUUGUUAGCAAUACUUCGAGUUUCAGACUCACUAAGAUUUUGCCUAAUCAUAAAAAACGGCUGCUAUACAUUGACUAAGUAUGUUCAUGCUUAUAAAAUGUAGGCAAGCGUGGAGAGCCAAAAUAAUUGAAGUACUGUGGACUAUGCCUGCAAGUGUGCUUGUGCUGAUGGAACAUCAUGAGACGAAUAAUUGAAGCAAUACUUCAAGUGAAUGAAGAUCAAUUUCUUUUUUUAUUGCAAGCAUAGUUUAAGACUUAUAAAUUGAGAGGAUAUUUUUGUUAUUGCAAACAUAUCUAUUCUAAUUCAGACAUAAUUUUUUAUUUAUUGAAUUUCUCAUUUCAUAUAUGUGUGCUGAUGAUUCAAGUUUUUUUUAAUUUUGUUAUAUCUGUGUUGUAAAUAUAUGCAAAUAUCAGACAAAAUACGCGUACACAACAAAAUCACCUCAUCGCAAUAAAUCCAAAUGCACCAAACAUUGUUUGUCACAAUAAGCAAUAUUACAACAUAGGUUGUGCGAUGCCAGAAGAUUUAGUAACCACAACAAUGUGUUGUUGUAAUACCACUUAUGCGCAACCAAAAAAAUAUGUGGCAACAUAAGUUAUUUUAAUGAAACAUUGUGCGUUGCAAUUACAGAUAUAGCGACCAAAUGAUUUUUAUUGCAAAAGAUUUUAUUGCAAUGGAACAUAGUGUGUGGCAAUAAUUAGUUCUAUUCCCACGAAGCAAUGACAUUGUAAUAUUGUCUCGUUGUGGCAACACAUUGUUUGGUGGCAAUAUAGUGUAUUGCCACAAUAUGCGUCGUGGCAACAAUUACUAAUGCGACAAUGUUAUUGGUCGCAAUAUCUCCUAUUGCAACCAUGUCGUGUGUGGCAUUUGUUUUUUUGUGCUCGUUGCAAAAGUCAAGUAUCGCAACACACCAAAAUUCAGUCGCAAUAAUCUAUUGCAACCUAUAUAAAUGCCACGACUCACAACGAAACCAACUUCAAAGCAUUUGUUACGUAUUGCAACCAAAACACCAAUAUUGCAACCAUUCUUAGGCGUGGCUUUAGGGCAAAAUCCUUGUAGUGCACGUCCAACGUCUUCCGCAGGGCCUCGGCAGUUGAGACCUCCUCGGCCAUCUUCUCCUCCAAGGCUACAACAAAAUAAGGCACAAGGUUGAGACCCUGCUCCGGCCAAAGAAAAUCAACGUAAGUCCAAAAACAUUACAUUUGAUCUCCUUCUCCUAGGUCUUCACUCGACCUUGUUGUUGAAACUUCUUAACGCAAUUACUAAAAAUAGACUCUUAAACCUAUCUCUAGCAACGACGUCAAAAUUACUUAACAUCACUUAAGCUAGGAUGUCAUCCCUAACAUGAUGUAGAAGUGCUGGUAUUAAAUCUAUAUGCUUUUCUAGGAAUAAAUAAAUAAGUAAAAGAUCCGCAAGCACACAGAUAAUACCGAUGUAGAAUUUUAACCAGGAGUAUUCUAGUUAUCGUUAUUUCCAUUUUUACCACUAGAAAGGGACUUGAAUUGGAUAAUGAGUAAUAAACACUACAUGUAAUCAUGGAGACCUUAACCAUGUCUUUAUCUAUCUCUCAUACAUGGUAAGUGUCAAAUAAGAUAAAUAUGAAUAUGAAUAAUAAGUGACAAAGGAUAAAUAAGAUUUCAUAGCCAUAAGAUAAACAUGAUAAGCGUCAUUGUGCCAUUGGAAGGGGGGCUCUAUAUCUGCGUGCCCGGGAAACCUUGUGGCCCUAACAUGUUAGACAAACUUUUGAAAGGCUUCAUAGUGAUCCCUGCCAACCUUCCUUGAUAAUGGGUUAAGAGGCUGAUCACCUCGAGCGAAAGGGUAAAUCAUAACUCAUGGGUAAAGAUGUACAACCUCUACAGAGUGUUAAAACUAGUAUACUAGCCGAGGUCACGGUCAGGAGCGGCCUUGGGGACAUCUACACUAAGAUGAUGACGCUUAUUAACUUAUUUUGUUUAUUUUUUUAUCGUUUAAGUUUAGUAUUAAUUAUGCUUACAUUUGAUCAUGUGGUUAUGAAAUUAUUUAUGCUACCUUGACAUUUGCUAUCUAAAUAUGAACAUGCUCCAUACAUAUAAAAGCUAAAUGUAGUCAAACCAGUGUCAGCUAAUUUAGCCUCAUGAACGCAUGGUUAUACUUGUUGAGUGUGAUAUGUGCUCACUCUUGCUAUUCCCACCACUCCAGUAUACUAGAAAGAGAUGAUUAGAAGGAUGGGGGAAUCACGAAGGACGUUCUCAGGAUACAAUAAGUGCUAGGCAUAUGUUACCCCCAGUCAAUCGUCCCUGUGAAGAUUGGUCCUGAAGAUUAGUUAUUAUUCCACGAUACUCUGAUGUAAGGGUUCAUUAUAAGUACGUAUGUUUUCAUUAUAUAACAUUGUUUCUGAUAUUGUUCCUUUUUGUUGUUCUAUGUGUGGACUUCCUGGGCACACAUAUGGCUAGCAUGGUUUUGUUCUUUUAAAUCUAGUGUGACAGAGUGGUAUCAAAGCAGUGUUGACCGUAGGAGGUAUGCCUAGAUAGCACAGGUCGAUUUCUAAAUAAUACUUUACUACAAAACUAUUUUUGUAUUCUCUUGACUCCUUGAUUUUGAUUAUUUCUCCAUCCUUGUCUUGUUGUAUCCCCUCCUUGAUAGCUUCCUUUGAGCUAUUAUUGUUACUUCCUUGGUUUUUGUUCUAUGUAAUCUUACCAAAAGUUUUCUGAUCCUACCUUAUUCAAAAGUUGGAUAGCUUUUUAUCAUCUCUUGUUCACCCUUUAGGAUGACCACCAUUGUUGAAGAAACACGUGUAGUAUUGAUGUGUGUUGUGUGCUUGUCUUGUUUGGUGUGUUGCUUUUGUGUCGUCUUUGUUCUUGUGUUUUGAGACAGCCCGCAAGGUAUUGUCUUGAGAAGUAGCUCAAUCUUUUAUGAAAAAGCUUAGAACACAUCCAAAAUUUACUCACAAGCCAAAAACCAGUGCUGUUUCUACACUUAGCCGAAUUUGGCUAAGUCUAGGAAUCGGCAGUUUCGACGUAGGGUGAUUGGGAGCAUUGUAGUUUGAAAUCCAUACCGACUUAGACUGCUCGUGUAAUCAAAUUUGUAGAACUCGUGUAGCUCUAUCCAGAGGAUCAAAUCCCAGCCAAAACCACCGAGUGAGCUGAGAGUAAAACGUCGACGAACUUCGGGAUUCAGUCACUGCAAUCGAGCGAUUCAGAAACCGAUUCAGUUCGGACAGAACGCACCCGCCGCCGCAUGUCCGGCCACCUGGCAGCCGUACGCCGUCGACAGUCCCUCCUGUCAGCCCCGACGUCGUCCACAAGACACCACGCACCGAGUGGACGCCUCAGACGCGCCAUUCGCCCCUCCAGAGUGCCACAUUGCGUCCGCCUUCGUCCACGGCGAGCUCUUCCGGCCGUUCCAUCGCGUCUCCGGCCAAGCCAGUCCGCCCAGAGCUCCGCCUCGACGUCCUCUACCUCGACGUCCACUCCUUUCCCUUAGCCGAGCACCGGUGAGACCGCAUUGCCAACUCCGCCGCGAGCUCCACCUCGCCGGAGUUCACAGAGAUCACCGGCAACGUGGCCAGACCUCUCUGGUUCACCUCUGGCCGUGAUUCUUCUUCCUAUAGCUUCGCCUUGAGUCGCUCUUGCUCGUCCGCAACCUCUACCACGUCGCCAAUGCCUAGGUUCGCCGGCGUAACGCCGUGCAGCACCGCCGCUCCGCCAUUCCCGACGGCGAGCACCCUAAAGUCCAGUAGAGCGCGGGUAAAGUAGGUCACUGAGUUCGCCUUGAGGAACACAUAGAUGCCCUUGGAUCCGACCGAGACCUCGCCGUCGUCGAGUUUCGCCGGCGACGAGCGUCUCCCCUGUCUCUGUCUCUCUGUCGCGUGGGUCCCGGGUGUCAGUCUCUCCCUUUCACAUCCCUGGUUCACUGUUUUGCAGAUCCUGUGUUGAUUUUGUAAAAUUUAUAUCUCGAGUUUUAUAGAUCCAAAUGGCAUGGUUCUAAUUUUGCUUGGUUUCUGUAUGAGUCUAGUUUUUAAUAAAAAUAGGAAACAUGCCAUGUUUUGCAGAAAUAAAUAGAUAUAAUUUAAUCUUGGUUUAUUAGGAGGUAAUUAUAUCUUGAGAUCUGUUGAUCUGCUGACCAUGCAAAUUUAGGGUGUUGUUACUUAUGAUAUGAAUAGGCUCUGAUAAAUUUAUCAUGAUUUUUGGAAGCCUGAUUGUGAAGUUAUAAAUAAUUCUUGCUUAAAUAGGAGUUUCUUGUAGUAUUUUUAAUAAAUAAGCUAUAACUCUUUUUGUGGUAAAACUUGCUGAGUGUUGUACUCAUGUGUAAACAAAGCUAGUAAAAAUCUGAAAUCUGUUGUUUGACACUUUUUGAUAGGGUUUCACAUUUAUGCCUUGCAUGCCUUUACUAGCUUGUUAUUUUUGUAUCUCACAAUCUGCAUGUGCAAGUAUCCUGAAAAGUUUACAGUAACCUUGUGUUGGCAUAAGUAGCUUGCUGUAAUUUUCUCAGAAUUUUUGGAACAAUUGGGAUGCAUGUUCAUUAAAUCACCUUAAUAAUUAAAUAAAUGAAAAAGGUGAUGAUAGAAAUAAGUCUAGACCUUGCCAUGAUGUUUUAUAGUGUUUCUUAGACAUGUUCUAUCUACUGGUGCAUUUGGAUUGACCCCUUGAUACAUUCUCAAUAUGUGUAAAAUAUUAUUUUUUGCUAAUUAUUCCUUUCCUAGAGCAAUUCUGUGUAGCUGAUAGCAAUUUCUUAAGAACUAAUUGAAGAUGAUCUUUCCUGGAAAACUUGUCUACAACAAACUUGUAGCUAACUUGCUUAUCUACUUCGUGUCCAAGUUUCAUGACAUUUGGUUGAGUAGUUUAAAAUUUAUGCAUGUUACAAGUAGCUGCUGCAAAGUACUUGCUCUCUGGAUUUUCCAGGACAGCCAGCCAACUUUGUAUAUUUUAGAUUAUUUCGGUUGGGAAUCAUCCUGGGACGUCUAAACAUGAAUUGUAGACAAUUUGCUAAGCUUUCUAGAAAGUAUCUACAUGCUUAGUUUGGCCAACUGAUGCUUAAGUUAUAGCUGAAACUUGUGACAAGUUGGUUUGUCUAUGAAACCAGUGACUGAGUAGGAAUAGCUAAGGUUGAUUAACUUGUCUAGUCAGCCUCUCUACCAGAGAAGAAGUAUGCACUUACUUGUUAUUCUAUAACCCACUUAACUUUAGGAGCUUAUGCUCAUGUUUAUACCUUGUUGUGUGUUCUUUAGUUCUUCAUCAUGACAUCAUGCUUCAUAUGUGCAUUCUCUAUAUUUAUUCCCUUGUCAUGCAUACAUAGGUGUACCCAAGGGCGUGACGGUUUUGGAGUUCGAGCUGCCAGAAUCGGAAGGUCAACAAGGGGAGCCACCUCAAGGAGCUGAGGAGGAGGAGGAUUUGUCGGAGUGUCCCGACCAUCGCCCGUCCACCUACGUCGAAGGCAAGCCCCGGAGCAUUAUAAGCCUCCUACUAUUUUAUUAUCAUGUUCAACUAUCAAUUGACUAUGGUUAUAUAUUGUUGCAUUAAGUGUUAGGUGUUGAUAUGACACCCUUGUUGCAUUAUGACUACCUUGUCCACCUCAUACCUCACCUAAGUAGGUCCAGGAUCGAAUUGAUGCUUAGCCAUGCUUAGCUCGGUAGAAGCCGGGUGAUUUCCUGUCACCUGCGAGAGUUAGGUGGAUGAUGAUCACGGUUGGCUAUAUUUGCUAUCGUGGAAAUAACCAUGUGCUAAUAAUGAACUUGAGACCGGGCUGGAUGACGAUAGUGCAGCAACAAGGCAUGGAGGUCUUGGGUGUGAAUCUAUCCCCGUCUGUGUCGUUUAAGGACCGAAUCGCUGUACGUCCCCGUGUCAUGUUGAACGCAUGCCUAUCACUUAGUUGGCAGGAUAAGUCGUUCUGACCGCGAAGCCUACCAGUGCAUCUCCAGCCGGAUACCCCGUUCGGUUUAAGUGCGCACCCCGGUUGGUAGCAAGGAUGUGCGGGGAGUCAAUGACGUAAGACCGAGGUGUCAGGUUAGAGUCCUGACCCUGGCAGAUUGGCGGUCCCUGGGGGUGCGGCGCCGUAAGGACCCGCGAAUUGGUCCGGAGUUGUGCUAAAGGAGAUCCGAGCUGCCGUCAUGAAGUAUGCUUGGGUGAGUGUUAGGAAUACCCCUCCAGCUGGAUAGGAAUCGAUUCGAAUCGCCGUCUCUCCCGGAUAGUGAGAACUUGACUUGGGCAGCGGCAACGUAGAAUCCACUAAGUAAACUAAAUGGUUAUGAUGAGAAUGUUAAUAGCUAUGUGAUAAUCCGGAUAUGUUUAUUAUUGUGAUGCUUAAAUACUCAAGUGUAUGCUUAGAACAGGUGCUAAUCUAGUGGAUAGUUGUUAAGUAAUAAACCUGCUGCUGAAAUGUUAUUAAAUGGGUUACUUAUAUCAAAGGCUUUUUAUGCAAAAGGUGAGUCAAACCAGUCCACCAAGAUCAGCCUUGCAUACUCCUUGGUGUCACUUUAUUUCUGGUUUAUGACGGGUAAGUCUAGCUGAGUACCUUCUUGUACUCAGGGUUUUAUUUACCCCUGUUGCAGAUGAUGUCGUGUAUCACAGUUACUGCGCUAACUGUCAUCAUCCGGCUGCGGACGAUGAAUAGAUCAUGGGCGUGAUUACCUUCUCUAUCUUCAGUUGUGCUUUUGUUGGGUUUGACUAUGGAACUGGCAUGUAAUAUAAACUAAAUGUGGGUGAUGUUUCAAAACUACUUUGUUUCCGCUACCAAACUGGUUUGUAAUAACUUUGCUUAAACUUUGAUGUGAUGUAAAACUAUGUUAUCUGAUGAAUGUUUGUAAUCUGAAAUGGCGAUGCUUGACCAUGUACGAUCUUGGUUGUAUGUUGGUUGAAUCGAGGUCUUUUGAGAUUUCGUCGGACUACCGGGUUUAUAUGGGUUCAAGUCCAUUGGCUUGACUGCUUCCGUGGUCGCUAAUUCACUUGAAUUCUUAUAAAUUGGACGGUUCUGUUACAAUCUUCCAUCAACCGACCUAUUAAAACUUCUUGUGAAUUUUUUUCGUCAUUUUCUAGAAUUCCUUCUCGCUUAUCUAUGGGUAUAAUCUAAUUUUUAGACGCUCCUAAAUAUCUUUUCAUGAGCUCUAAAUACUUUAUUUAAAUUCCUCAUGAUCUAAAAUAUCUCUAAGAAUUUUUCUCUAAUUUUUAAGCCUUCGGAGUAGUUUUCGACACUUAAAAAUCAAUUCUGGAUUUUUUUGUAAUUAUUUUAAUCUCAGAAUUAAUUAAUUACAAAAAUAAUGGAAUAUAUAUUUUUAAUACUCAAUGCCCAUGUGAUAAAUCUUAAAGAGCCGGACAAGAGAUUAAAAGAAUUAGGGUUUCAUCCUAUUCACCAUGUUGCCGCCGUUGUGGUGUUGUAUCAAUCCAUCGCUCUGAUAACCACCUCGCUAAUACUUCCAAUGCAGGAACUCAAGUGCAACAUAUUCAAUAUCUGCAGGCUUUACAAACGACGUUAGAGCAUCUCCAAGGGUUUUGCAUUUGAGGUUUGCAUUUGAGUAAUUUGCCAAAAAGCUCCAAAAGAGGUAUCCAACAGUUUUGCAUUUGGAGUUUGCAAUUUGGGCAACUUGGCAAAUGAUGGAGCAAACUUGGCAAAAAUGCCAAGUUGUGGAUGACUUUGCAAACCCAAUCGCACGAGCAAAGUCACGCGCGAGGAAAGUGCGCGCGUCUGGAGACCUUCUAUUUUUAUCAUUUGCCAAGUCCAAAUGCCAAUUCCCUUGGAGAUGACCUAUUUUUAACCUUUGCAUUUUGUUAUGAGAGUUUGCAAAUAACAACAAAUGCCAAGUCCAUUUGCCAAAGCCUUUGGAGAUGCUCUUACCGAGCAGUAUACCAGAGGGAACCCCGAAGAUGUAUUUUUUGGGGUUAAGCUUCCACUUGUAUUUAUUCAGCGCUUUAAAAGUGCGGUCUAAGUUGUCGAUCAGGGUGCUCGUGUCCCUAGUUUUGACGACAACGUCGUCGACGUAAGCCUCGACGAGGUCAUCACGUAUCUCGUCGUGGAGGCAUUGCUGAAUAGCGCGUUGAUAGGUGGCUCCGGCGUUUUUGAGUCCAAAGGAUAUAGUGGUGUAGCAAUAUGCACCAAAAGGAGUGAUGAAGGAAGUUUUGAUCUGGUCGUCUUCCUUUCGCGAGAUCUGGUGAUAACCAGAGUAACAGUCGAGAAAAGAGAGGAGUUCACAUCUGGCUGUUGAAUCGACCACCUCGUCGAUACGAGGGAGACCAAAAGGAUCUUUAGGACAAUGUUUAUUGAGAUCAGUGUAAUCAACGCACAUUCUCCAUUCAUUAUUCUUUUUUCUUACAAGUACUGGAUUGGCAAGCCAAUCGAGAUGAUACACUUCUUUAAUAAAUCCGGCUGCUAAAAGCCAUGUAAUCUCUAUCCUAAUGGCCUCCUUUUCUUCAGGAGCGAACCGUCGUAGCUUCUGCUUGAUAGGUCUUGCGGUCUUUGAGACAUUUAAGGUGUGCUCGAUCAGGCUUCGUGGGACACCGGGCAUGUCUGCGGGUUUCCAUGCGAAAACGCUUACGUUGUCCCUUAGAAUCCUGACGAGCGCGUCUUCCUAUUUGGCGUCCAGGUUGGCCCCAAUGAGAGCCGCCUUCUCUAGGCUGCUCUCGAACAGUUGUACUUCCUUGUGGUCUUUGGACUUGGAGCUUUUUCUUGGAGUCUCCUGCUCGGGUAGCUGGAGCUGGUUGGGUGGAACUUGGGUGGCUUGUGCUACAGUUUCUGCCAUGCGAAUCGCGAGAUCGAUUGCCUCGGUGAUCUUGAAACUUCCCUCUUCGCAAGUGUACGCGGUGUAGAUGUUGCCUCUGACGGUUAGGACGCCCUUCUCGGUUGGCAUCUUGAGGACCUGGUAUGAGUAGUGCGGCACUGCCAUGAACUUGGUGAGCGAAGGGCGGCCUAGAAUUGCGUGAUAGGUUGCGUCGAAGUCGGCGACCACAAAGUUGACGAACUCAGUGCGGAAGUGGUCUGGUGUUCCAAACUGGACAGGCAGCGUUAUCUGGCCAAGGGGUACUUUGACCCGGUAGGACGCCCCAGAACUGAGCGUCGUACGGUUUCAGCUGCGCGGGAGUUAGCUUGAGAGCAGGCAAGCUGUUGUGAAAGAGGAUAUCAAUGGAUGAUAUGACCAUACUGUUGACACUAGCUAACAUCACUUAGAUACUAGAUUGUCAUCCCCAGCAUGGUGCCAGAGUGUACAAAGGUAUUUAUAAAUGUAAAGGCUCUCUAGAAAAUAAUAUAUUCUAUCCGCAAGCGCACAGAUAAAACACCUCAUUGUAGCAUUUCACCAGGAUAAGUAUUCCAGGUAUCAUUAUUUAUAAUUUUGCUCAAGGGAUCUAAGGAGAUUAAAUUAAGGGCAAAAUCUAUCAAGGCAUAGACUAGAGAUAAACUUGCAAGAACAUGAUUACUAAUGAGAAACUCAUCACACAGUCACUUACUUUAGCAGGGGGUAAACCAUAAAGAUAAUGAUAAUGAAUUAUAAGUUCAAGGGAUAAAUAACACAGCGAUUAGAAAAUAGACUACUCCUCAUAUAUGUAGGUGAUGUCGGAUUAGCUAGAGAAUGGAUUCUAAGUUAUCUACUAACUACUAAGUCAUAAUCUACUCUAGUUAUCUACAAGAUCAUAUAUAGCAUAAAAGACUCUUCAUUCAUGUAUAAGGAACAUUGAUAAAGUAAAUCAGAGCAUCGCAUGACUUACUCCACAAUACCAGUUCUGCCUGUCCUAUGAACGGAGGGUGGACUAUAUAAGAAUCAACGAAGCUGUCACUAUCGCAAACUACCACACGACCCGGCCAAUAGGAUACAUUUGCAGAUAAAUAACAUCUAAGUACCAUGCUCACAUGUGAUCUAUCACCUAACUCCCUCGCGUCAAGAGCUAAGCGCUUUGCAAACUUAUACAUAAACUCAUUAUCAAUUAGAACUAUAUCAAAUAUAGAACUAGAGCAGACUAAGAACAUAAUAAUUAGAGACAUAAUGCAAUUUGAACAAAGAAUUAGAGAAAGAUAUGAAUAAUACCAAUCUUUAUUACCGAAGAUCCGAAUCCAGAGCGUAGUGCUCUACUUCUCUAAUUGCUAUCUAAUCAAACCUCUAAACUUGAAGGAUUAGGGAGUAGCUAAUUCUAAUUCUCUGUGGGAGAGAAGCUCUAAACCCUAACUUUGAUGGCUACCUCUGCAUAAUGAUUUCUUCUCUUCUCCUCUCUCCUCCAGGGGCUAGGGGGUCUGGUUUUAUAGUCCCCUCAAGUGAACGUGGGCCGUCAGAUCAAACCGACAUAGAUUGUAUGGUUUAGAUUGAUCCUUUAGGUCGGUGGAGUUUAGCCCCAAAGCAGAGUCUGCACUUAAAUCUUAAGUGAUCGAAAGACAAAAUAAUUAAGUCAAGCACUAUUCCUCCUGUCUAUACUUCACCUUUGUUCUAGAGUUUUUCAUAAGUUUUCAAAAUAAAACUCAGAGUUCCCAGCAAUAUUCUCUCAAGUCUCUCUAUAUGUGGUAUUUGUGGAUCCUUACCAUAAUGUCACUUACCUAUAGCUAAUGGAAUAUUUAAGUGGAGCUCAAAGGAGUGAAAAAACAGCUCAUACAUAUGUUGUCUAAUCGAUCUAUGGAUCCAAAAGGAACUCAGCAUAUAAUUAAAUCAAGAUGUGCAUGUGUGAUGGAGUAAAUGAUAGUGAUGAUAAAAAUGUAUAAGUAAUAAUAAAACUUGGUUCUCAUUGCUCCUCAUAUUGCUAUCUCUCCUCUUCUUUGAUCUUUGCUUUGGGAGAACAUGGGCUAUCUCUUUUUCUCUCUUUCAUUUUUUUCAGGUGGGUAGUAGAUACCCCUAAUUCUACUGUCGGACACUUGUCCCUUUUUUCCGCUCAAGUGGGCAUUUUUGUACCCCUAAUUCUACUUCGGACACUUGUCCAUUUUUACCUCUCGUCUCACUCUUUUUCUUUCUUUUUCGAGGUUCCGGGCACUUGCCCCUUUUUAUUUCCUCGCAUAUUUUUGCAUAACCCAUGCCUCUUCUACAUUGAAUCUUUUUAGAGAGAGAGAAUAACAAUAUUUGGGAUAGUGAGUGAUAAUAUUUUUAGCAAUUUUAAUGAAUGGUGAUGGAUGGUGUAGUAGAUGUGUGCAAGUGAAUAUCUUAAUUUAACCACAUGAAAAGCUCCUAAGGGUCUACACAGCUCGAUCAAACUCAAUGUGAAUAUAGUAAAAGAUGUUAUAGCAAGUAUGGCUGUGGUAGGUAAUUUGUUAUGCUAGGAACUCAUCAUGUGAUUUGUAAGUUUUCAAAAUAAAUCUCAACUUAGUGUAGUAGGAACAAGAUAAACAGCAGCUCAACUUUAUAUCAUGCCUUUCUCUUACCUAGACUUUAGUUUUAUGCUUCCCAAAGAUAGUAAUUUUAGUUUUAGUAAUUCUUGGAAGAACUCUAAUAUAAAAGCUAGGUACUUAAAAGUAAGCAAACAGAGCAACUGUUCAUUAUUUCCAUCAUGCAUCUUUUUGAUCUUUUUGUUUUUUCUAGAGAUUUGCACUUAACAGAUAAAAUAAAGCACACUUAUCUACACACUCUUUUUAUUUUGUUUUCAUGUUUAUAAAAUGCAGUAAAUUAAAGCAAGAAAAUAUUUAUUUGGUUUUCUAAGUUUUUCCUUUUUAAAAUAAAUAAAACACUAAGACAAAAUAGAAUAAAUAAGAAGAGCAAAUAAAAACUUACUUGAUAAAUAGGGGAGGAACUCCCCCAAGCUGGAUGUUGACGUCGGUCUUACCCGAUGUUCCAGAACCGCAUCAUGGUUGUGAUGUUGUCAUUCAUUGUUGUUGUAUCUUGUCUUAGUUCUUGCACUGCAGCGGCAUGGUCCUGGUUCCAUUUUUGUUGCUCUUCCAGGAGUCUUCCAUGUUCUGCUUGCGUGUUUUGGAUGUCGAGGAGGGUGUUGUCGGUACGAGUGAAGAAAGCACCGGCCUCUUGAUAGUAGUCAUUCAUGAAAGCGUAGGAGGCGUCGGAGUAUCGUCCUACAUCAAAUUGGGGCGGAGGUCUGGAUCCUGAAGCUCCAUAUGGGCUCCAUAUGGAUCAGUGGAGUACCUGCCCGUAUGAAAAGGCGGGUUUGUCCACUGGUGAUCUUGGCUCUCCGGCCAUGUCUCCUCUGUUGGCUCUUGUGGUUGCGCAUGACGAACCCAUGGGUCUCGAAGGACUCGAGGGUUGUAGUCGCAAUAAUGCAGGUGCGCUGCUUCUUCUGGUCCGAGAUCAGCUCCAUACCAGGUGCGUUCUCGGCGGGUGGUCAUCCUUUCAGAUGCCACUCGCUGUGGAGUUCUCUGGUUCACUGGUGUUGCUGCAAUCUCAAUCAAAAAGUUUUGAACAACGUAGAGGCCAAGGUUCGGGCUAGGUAACUGAAUCUUGCCUUUAUCAUCAUAUAGCAUAUACAUUACGUUCCCCUCUUUCUUUAACAUCCGAGCUUGUCUAAAUGUGUCAUAGCCAUGGUAAAUUCUUAAUUCCUCUAUGAAAUCCAAUGAUGAGUUUUCUAGUAAGUGAAGAUUAAAGGCUAGACGAGUGAUAAGUGAAGUACAUCCUACUAGUCCCUGAAGACUAGGUAUACUAAGCCAAUGAGAAACUAAAAGUGUAACAGGUGAAGUAGGUACUUUAAUAAUAGCAGCAUAUAAAAGUUGUAAAUCUCCUACUCUUACUUUCCUAAUAUCAUCACGAUAGAAAAGAUUGUACCCAAGCCAUUUGUGGAACAUCCUAAGAGUGGGGUGUUCCAUGUCGCUGGUUCGGGCUUGACUAUAAAAAUUAUCUCUAGAUAUUUCUCUCCAAAACUGGUGUCUCAAAGUUAGGUAGGUCGGAGUCAAUGUUCAGGAUGCAUCUUGAAGAGAAACCAAGAUGGUCGCUCAGCUCUCUCCAAGACAACAUAAUUUCCUGAUUGAACAUCCGAAAAACAAUUCCCCCUCAUAGUAUUGUAAGGUGCAAAGAAAUUCGAGGGUGAGAAGACGAGAACCCAGCUCAGUUAUAUUCCAAAAAUUUGUCCAACCUAUCAUCUGAAAAAUUAAGUUGAAUUCAGUGUCUGUUUCUUGUAGUAAGAUUGGAUCAAGAGUAGGGGUGUGAAUAAAAUCUUUGUUCUUCAGUUGCUGAUAGACUUCCUUCUCUCUUCGUGUCUUCAGUCCAAGGUCUCCUAUCUUGAGAAGGACCUUAACUUGCUGACUUGAUGAAGAUGAUGGAGCUUGUGUGGGUGUCGGGUCGACGCUCAUCUCUGACGGGUGUAAGGAGUGUCGGGAUGAACUCCUUGUACCAAUGUUCUUGAGAGCCUUCCCUGCUUUCUUCACCUUAUUAAACAUCCUGCAAACAAAAGUUGGCAAAAACACAACUAGUGGAAAAUGUGAGAGAAAAUGUUAGUGGUCAGCUGUCCGGAAUGUCAGUAGUCCAGGGGUUAGUCGUUCAAGACAAGUUUCUAUUUUGGUAGAGCCUCCCCCUAAACAACUUUUACUUCCGCUUAGACAACUACUUACUAGGUGAUACUCACUCUCUCACUCAAAAGAACUCCAACCUUCUCACACUCAGAGCUAUUCUCUGGAAACCGAGAACUACGAGCUUGCAAAGUUUUCUGAAGUGUGUGUGUGAAGAGAAGGGGAGCUGGAGGUGGCCUUUUAUAAGCUGAGCAGGGGACAGGGCGGGCGCCCUGGGUAGGUGGACGGGCGCCCACUUGUGAUGCCCAUCCUGGGUGUGCCUCCUCCACUUGCUUCCUUGCUUUGAUCUCACGUAGAAUAAUAUUGUGUUGGUGGUGGUUGGACGGUGGAAAGAUGUCAGGUAAGUGGAAACAUAUUGGUGGAUGAAAUAAUGUGAUGGGAUGUAUAUGAGGUGUGGUGUAUGACAUGUGGGACCCAAGGAGUGUGGGUCAUGCUUCUAGAAGAUUGCUAUAAUUAAAUAUAAUGCACGAAAAUUUAUGAGAAUUGAAACUUAAUUAAAAUCAUUAUGAAAAAUAUUUUGUGCCUCCACAAUAAUUAUACCAUGAAUAUUAUUUAUAUGGGGCUUUUGAUUAGUAUAAUAAUGCUAUGAAUAUAUAUGACUAAUGCAAGAAUUAAUUAUGCAAGAAUUUAAAUGAGAAAAUUAAUAAUGCGGAUAAAUACCGAUUUACCUCCCGGUGAGGGUUUGGGAUUUUUAGGUCCCCCAAGCUGUUGACGGUUCUUAAGUAUCAAUUUUAAUUAUCAAAUAAACAAGGGAAAGGACCAAUAUGCAACCAACACCUAGAAUUAGGGUUUGAUCUGACAGAAUUCCACGAGUUUUGUUGUUUAUCUGUUUCUGCAGGGGGUUAUCAGGAAAUAAGUAAGAAAGGCCCACAUGUCGGGAUUACAUAGAGAUAUCAACGCAUCGCGCGAUUUUACACCAUCUAGAAGAUUCCAGAAGCCACGAGACCGAAGCGGAGGCGAAACGGGGCCAGGCCCAGGGCGCCCGCCCUGAGGACCUGGGCGCCCGCCCCCUGCUGGAGCCAGAUCAGGACUCUCUUCGCUCGGGAUAUUCCACCGACCUAUUGGAUCAAGAAAAACAUAGUACCACCUCGCCUAUCGACCCAAAAAUGCAUAGAAGAGGAGGACUAUAUAAGGAGACCCCUGGCCCUUGGAGAAGACAUGAAGAAAUUAUCAUAGAGACUGAGGGGUGCCUUCGAAGGAAAACCUCUUCUCUAAUUAAUAUUUCUUUUUAGGCUUAGCAACCAAUGUAAGGUAGAAAUAGAUCUUCUAGUUUCUACUAGAUUGAGAGAGAUAGAGUGGAGGUGUAGAGUGGAGGAAGCCCGGCCUGUCGUUGUCUACUCCAAGCUUGUACCUAUGGGAUCAAGUUCUCCUAACCCGAAGCUUGCUCCUUGGAUUCUUCAGUAUUUCGACUCCUAAAUUCUAGUAAGUUCUUGUUUUAUUGUUCUUAUGGUUUAUGAGUUUACUUUAAUCUCUUCGCGUAGAGUUUAGAGUAAUCAUUGCUGGCGUAAACGUGGUGUUUAGGCUGGGGUACUCAUAGAUAUUCCCUGACUUGCUGGACCGUGGUAGUAGUGAGGAACGUGACAAUUCCGAGCUACCUUUGUAGAUCACAUCUCGUUAGCAGGAAGGAUAGGGUUUAUAGGUGCGGGUUGAACAUCCUUUGUGGUGUCUAGAUUCCGUUAGCCUCCCCAUUAGAACAGUAGAUCAUCCUUACCAAGGUUAGAAGGAGACUACGGUUGCAGUCUUCUGUAUUUAUCACUCGCAUCGAAAGACAUUCUUUGUGCCUAAAGGUUAGUAGUAAUAGACCGGUUAGUCAGAUGCACUCUUUCUCCUAGUGGUAAAAAAAUAAAUACGAUACUCUGGAUAAUUUCCCGGGUGAAGUGCCCACCGAUAUCCGUGCGCUUGCGGAUCAAUUCCUUAUUGCGUUCCCAAAUAUCAACAAGCAUUUCUGGCACCGUUGCCAGGGAGAAAGACGGUUGCUGAGAUAACCUGAGUCUUACUAUUAGCUUGUAUCUAUACUUUUAUCUUUUCUUAUCUUUUAUAUUCUUUAUUUAUUUUCUUUAUUCUUACCUUAUGGAAAACCAAAAUUCUAAAUCGAUCCAUGAGUCUGCAAUCCCUUUAGCAACUGACCUUUUAUCAUGGGAAUCAUCACAGCCUAUCCAAACAUCCCAGUAUAAGUUAAGUUCUAGGUUGAUUGCCAUGAUUCAAAACCUAUCUUUUUCGGGAAAGGAAGACGAAAACCCUUACCUUCAUAUUAGAGAUUUUGAGCAAACAUGUGAUUGUCUUCGCAUUGAAGGCAUUUCUGAUAAAACUUUACGUUGGAAGCUUUUUCCUUUUUCUUUAAGGGGAGAAGCUAGACAAUGGUACAGUCAGAAGGUAAGUCAACAACAAGGUGAAUGGGGAGUUUUACGAGCCAACUUUUGUCUAGAUUUCUAUUCCCUUGACCGUAUAGCCAACCUUAGACUCGAAGUCCUAUCUUUUAAACAAAAAGAUAAUGAAACUUUGGGAAAAUCCUGGAAACGUUUUUCUGAUCUUUUAGAAUCUGGUCCAAACCUUAAUCUUGAAGACCCUGUUCUUUUAUUUCACUUUUUUCGAGGUCUUUAGAAAAAUCAUAAACAAAUGCUGCACACAAUGUCUAGAGGUUCUUUCUUUCGCAUCCCUACUGAGGAAGCAAGAGUGAUCCUAGAUAGAAUCCUAGAAGCUGAGAUGGAUAAUACCCUUCAUGAUGAAACCUACGAAGCCGAAGUAGACACUCUGCCAAAUUCUUCAUCUACUUUCGCUAUCCCAAGUUCUGAGCCACAAGAGGAAGAAAUUCCACUACCGGACUUCAUGCUGGAUAUAGAAUCCGAUCUUUUUGCCGAUUUUGGAAAUAUUUCAAAUUACCAUUCUAUUGACAAACCCCAAAACGGCCAGUUUAGCAUUUAUUUACCAAGUGAAUAUCAAUUGAGAGAGCUUAUCUCAGUCAUGAGUAGCGAAUGGUUGGAGGAAUCAAAGCUUUCCUCUGAUGUGAUCCGUUUGGACACACCCUCUAUAACUAUACGCUGUGCUUAUAAUUCUGAUAGAUUUAAUGCUCUUUAUAAUCCUGUUGUGGGGAUCAACAUCAUGUCUGAAUCUUUUGCACUUAAACUCUUUAAAAAUCUUGUCUUAACCCCCACAACAAAGGUCAUAAAGGAAUCUUCGGGACAAUUAGUCCCCAGUCUUGGAAUUAUUAAUGUCCUACCUGUUACGGUAGAAGGCUCCAUGGUUCAUUUGAACUUCUAUAUCUUUGAUACAUGGGACUUCGACCUGUUGAUAGGACAACCUUUUAGAAGACUCCUUUAUGAAGGUCAUACUGGAAAGCUACACAUUUCUUUUGGAAAAACUUUUAAAUUCCCAAUAAUAAUUUCACACUCCUUAAACAAUAAGGCCGAGUCAUAUCUUUUGCCUGAUCCUAUGGAGGAAGUAAAGGCUGCAUCUCUAGAGCUUUUAGAUGAACCAGACUUAGAAGACGAAACUCCUUUCUUCACUGAAGAAGAAGACGAACCUUCCGAGCCUGAACCCUUAGAUGAGUUUGCAGAAACACCUAGACCUCCCAUAGAGCUUAAAACUUUACCACCCGGUCUUACCUAUGCUUUCCUAAACAAUAAUCCAGAGUUCCCUAUGAUCAUUAGUGAUAAACUCACUCAGGAUCAAACUCUGCGAUUAAUGACCAUUCUUGAGAAACAUCACUCAGUUUUCGGCUACUCACUUCAAGAUCUUACAGGAAUCAGUCCUAUGAUUUGUACCCAUCGUAUUCCAACAGAUCCUUCUGUUACACCCUCUCGAGAACCCCAACAUAGACUUAACAACACUAUGAGAGAGGUAGUUAAAAAGGAAGUCAUAAAGUUGCUGCAUGCAGGGAUUAUAUAUCCUGUGCCGCACAGUGAAUGGGUGAGCCCAGUACAAGUUGUGCCCAAAAAGGGAGGCAUGACAAUUAUUAUGAAUGAAAAGAACGAGCUAAUUCCGCAACGCACCGUCGCAGGAUGGCGGAUGUGCAUAGACUAUAGAAAACUAAACAAAGCCACAGGAAAGGAUCACUUUCCUUUACCUUUUAUAGAUGAGAUGCUAGAGCGGUUAGCAAACCAUUCAUUCUUCUGUUUCUUAGAUGGAUAUUCAGGGUAUCACCAAAUCCCGAUCCAUCCUGAUGAUCAAAGCAAAACCACUUUUACAUACCCUUAUGGAACUUAUGCUUACCGUAGAAUGUCUUUUGGGUUAUGUAAUGCACCAGCUUCUUUUCAAAGAUGCAUGAUGUCUAUAUUUUCUGAUAUGAUUGAAGAGAUUAUGGAAGUUUUCAUGGAUGAUUUCUCUGUUUAUGGAAAAACUUUUGAUAGUUGUCUUGAAAACUUAGACAAGGUUUUUGCAAAGAUGUGAAGAAAAACACUUAGUCCUUAAUUGGGAAAAAUGUCAUUUUAUGGUUAGGGAAGGAAUAGUGCUAGGACACUUAGUGUCUGAAAGAGGGAUUGAGGUAGACAAAGCUAAAAUUGAAGUAAUUGAACAACUACCUCCACCUGUGAAUAUAAAAGGAAUUCGAAGCUUUCUUGGCCAUGCUGGUUUUUAUCGUAGAUUUAUAAAAGAUUUUUCAUUUAUUGCUAGACCACUUACUCUUUUGAUAGCCAAGGAUGCUCCUUUCAAAUUUGAUGAUGCAUGUCUAACAUCUUUCAAUUUAUUAAAGAAAGCACUCAUCUCUGCACCAAUCAUUCAACCCCCUGAUUGGUCGUUGCCUUUUGAAAUUAUGUGUGAUGCUAGUGAUUAUGCUGUGGGGGCAGUAUUGGGACAAACUAAAGAUAAGAAGCAUCAUGCAAUUGCUUAUGCCAGUAAAACUUUGACAGGAGCUCAACUUAACUAUGCAACCACUGAAAAAGAGCUUCUGGCUGUUGUCUUUGCCAUUGAUAAAUUUAGAUCUUAUUUAGUUGGAGCUAAAAUAAUUGUUUACACUGAUCAUGCUGCAUUAAAAUAUUUGCUCACUAAAAAAGAUGCUAAACCUCGCCUGAUUAGAUGGAUUUUAUUACUCCAAGAAUUUGACUUAGAAAUAAAAGAUAAAAAGGGAGUAGAAAAUUCUGUUGCUGAUCACUUGUCUAGAAUGUAUUUUAAGAGUCCACAGGAAACCCCCAUCAAUGAUUCACUCCGGGACGACAUGCUCUACGGGAUUAACAGGUCUGACCCCUGGUAUGCAGAUAUUGUUAAUUUUAUGGUUUCAGGGUAUGUACCACCAGGAGCAAACAAGAAGAAGCUUAUUCAAGAAAGUCGUUCACAUAUAUGGGAUGAGCCAUACCUCUUCCGAGUAUGCUCUGAUGGCUUACUCAGGAGAUGUGUGACCACUGAGGAAGGAUGGAAGAUCAUCGACAGAUGUCAUUCAUCACCAUAUCGAGGUCACUAUGGAGCAUUCCGUACGCAUUCAAAAAUCUGGCAGUGUGGAUUCUAUUGGCCUACAAUGUAUGAAGACACAAGGCAAUAUAUCAGAAGAUGUGGGCCAUGUCAAAGACACGGAAACAUAAAUACAAGGGAUGCAAUGCCACUCACCAAUAAACCUUCAGAUUGAGCUCUUUGAUGUCUGGGGAAUAGACUACAUGGGUCCAUUUCCUCCAUCAAAGAAGUGUGAGUACAUCUUGGUGGCAGUUGACUAUGUCUCCAAGUGGGUAGAGGCAUUACCUUGCAAGCAUGCCGACAACGUCAGUUCAAAGAGGAUGUUUGAAGAAAUUAUAUUUCCAAGAUUUGGAGUCCCCAGAGUAGUGAUAAAUGAUGGAGGAGCACACUUCAUCGACAAACGCUUCAAGCAAUAUCUAUCAAGACAUGGAAUCCGUCACAACGUCUCUACCCCCUAUCAUCCUCAGACAAGUGGCCAAGCAGAGACUUCCAACAAACAAAUCAAGAAUAUUCUUCAGAAGACAGUAAAUGAAAUGGGAACGGCGUGGAAAGACAAGUUACCCGAUGCACUCUGGGCUUAUCGGACAGCAUACAAGACCCCAAUCGGAAUGUCUCCAUACCAAUUGGUGUACGGGAAGACUUGCCACCUACCUGUUGAACUAGAGUUCAAUGCACACUGGGCCAGAAAGAGAUGGAAUAUGGACCUAGAUGUUGCUGGAGAUUAUAGAAGAAUGCAACUAUCAGAAUUGGAAGAAUGGCGAGAGAAGGCAUAUCACAAUUCAAAGAUCUACAAAGAAAGAGUCAAGAGGUGGCAUGACAAGAGAAUCAAGAAGAAGGAGUUCACACCCGGAGAUAAGGUAUUACUUUUUAAUUCCAGGGUAAAGCUUUUCGGGCAUGGAAAACUCCGGAGCAAAUGGGAAGGACCAUUCAAGGUAAUCAAUUCAUCAUCCCACGGAGCUAUCACACUUCAAAAUAGUGAAGGUACGUUAUUCAAGGUAAAUUGUCAACGUCUUAAAUUAUUUUUAGAGCCCAAUGAGGAAUUUGAAGAAAUAGACGUAGUCCAUUUUUACCUUCCCAUGCAGAAUUAGAGCCCGACAAUUUUGGUCUGAUGGUUUUGGGUCAUAUAUAUUUUUUUCUAAAUAAUUCCGCAUCUAGAAACGCGCUCGGAAAAGUGGGCCCACAGAGGGGCCAGAAAGAGGGCGGGCGCCCAGCUCAGGUGGGCGGGCGCCCAGCUCCUGUUCCCCCUCGGUCCCGACUUUCUCUGUUAUGGAAAAUGCACUUAGGGUGAUACGAAUAAUCCCUCGGAUGGAAAGUUUCGCACGCACGUCGACGGGAGCAACCCGAACAACCCAUAGAGGCACCCUUUUGACCCCUAUAUAAACAGACCCCUGACCUCAGUUUUCAAACACCAAGCCACCAAGCUUUCUCUCCUUCAAUCAGAGCUUGAUUAGCUCUCCUUCAAUUAGAGCUUGAUUAGCUCUCCUUCAAUUAAAGUUUGAUUAGUUCCUUGCUGCUCCAAUGGCCGAGAAAUACCACGACGAUUGGGAAGUUGUCCCCUUCAACCUCAACAUGGAGCCUGUGGAGGACCCCGAUGCCCGUGCUCUCGUCCCGGCCAACACAGAGCAUCAGCUAGAAGCCAUGCCAUUACGCCAACGCAGCUCCGCCCAAUCUUACCAUGCUCAACCAGUUCUCACCGCACCGCCACAACCCCUACUCCUCACAGGAUCAUCAUCCAAGACGAAGACCACUAUCAAGGUGCCAACCGGCACAAGGAUCCUUCCACCAAGACCCAAUGAGAGGGUCGUUGGAGUCAAGACCAACCGGAGCGGCGAGAUCAGCAGUGUUCGCUACACUACGGAGGAGGAAAGGCCUUACUUUGAAGGGAUUAGAGCAGCCAAAGUCCGUUUCAUCCCUCUAAGGGCAGCCCCGAAGCACGCUCUCAAUGCUUUUGAGACACCUCCCAAGCGUCGCAAGACUAUAAUGGAAUUGAUGAGGAAGUUCGCAGGCUAGAUAGAGUUAUCAUAGACCUCCAGUCCUUGAUCAACUCCCUCACUAGGCAGCUCUCUAACCACAACACCAUUAUACUAGGCCUUAGGCAGGAUUUUGCCAGUGCCAACAAGAAGAUCAAAGAAUUAGAGCGCCGCUAAGUUAUCUAGAUUAGACCUUGAGGCAAUGCAUCUUAGUCAUCUAUCUUUAAAUUCGGUUUAAGUUUGCUAAUAUCAGUUUGCUAUCAGUUUGCUAUCAGUCUUUUGUAAUAAAUGCCUCAAGAUCAAUAAAGAGUAUUAUUAUUAUUAUGUCUUGUGUGUCUCUACUUUAUUUUUGUGCAAGAAAGCAGAAAACAAGUAUGGGGGAGAUCCCUCGACAUGCCAAACACACUCCAACUACACCACUCCAUGAUUCAGGUACACACUCUGCACACUUUACACAUACAUUUAUUUUGGAUUAUGCAGAUUAUUGUUCCCGACAUGAUAAGAUAAAAAGAUUAAAAUAUUUCUAAUCAUGAUUAAUCUCAAUCUAUGAUAUUUCCUGAAAAUUUGCAAUUAUUAUAAAAUCAUUUUAAAACCCUGUGUUACUUAAGUCAAUAUGGAAUAUGUGAUGGUAGAGUAUGAGUUUCUUAUUCUUGAUAUCAUUGUUACUUGGAGAAUUUAUUUCAAAAUAUUCAAAAUUCUAGCUACCAUCCUCAGUGUUUUAUAUGCCUGGUAAAACUGAAAAUAUUAAUUAUGAUUAUAAAAGCUAUCUGCUCUGUAUUGAGUUUGUUCAAAAUGAGUUAGACCCUUGUUGAGAGAUUUAUCAUGCUCCCAAGAUCAAGACAUUAUUUCAGUAAGAUUCACUCUUCCGAAGUAUUAUUGCAUUAGAGGCAUGGGCUAUGCAAAAAUUGAGAUAUUUCGAGGAAAUAAAAAGGAGCAAGUGCUCGACAACCUCGCAGAAAAAAAAUGGGCAAGUGUCCAGCAGUAGAAUUAGGGGUACCUCGGUAUCCACUUAAAAAAAUGAUAGCCCAUGGUCCCUCUAAUAAGCAAUAUGCCAGCAAGAGUUGACAAAGAUUUUAAUUUCCAAAGUCUUUCAUCUAAGAGUAUGACAUUCCUCUCCUCGGAUCCUGUUUUGAUCAGGCAAUAAAUGCAAAGUAAGAAUGCUUGAGAAUUUUUGCAAAAAUAAAACAGCCUCAGUGAGAUAUAUAUAUAAAAGAUAAUGAGUGAUCUGAGAGAACCUAUGAGGAUCAAAAGGUAUGCUAACUUUCUUUCAAAAAUAUAAAAAACUCCAAGUGAUAGGAUUGAGAAGAAAGGAUCUUUACUCUUGAUCAUAAACUUCCCUGACUAUGGUACACAGUGGGUUUUUAACACCCUGCAAUUAUAAAGAGAAUGUUUUAAAUGUUUAACCCAGAUAUUGUUCUUAACCAUCCUUUUCUCGAGGACGAGUAAAAGCCUAAGUAUGGGGGUAUUUGUUGACGGUUCUUAAGUAUCAAUUUUAAUUAUCAAAUAAACAAGGAAAAGGACCAAUAUGCAACCAACACCUAGAAUUAGGGUUUGAUCUGACAGAAUUCCACGAGUUUUGUUGUUUAUCUGUUUCUGCAGGGGGUUAUCAGGAAAUAAGGAAGAAAGGCCCACAUGUCGGGAUUACAUAGAGAUAUCAACGCACCGCGCGAUUUUACACCAUCUAGAAGAUUCCAGAAGCCACGAGACCGAAGCGGAGGCGAAACGGGGCCAGGCCCAGGGCGCCCGCCCUGAGGACCUGGGCGCUCGCCCCCUGCUAGAGCCAGAUCAGGACUCUCUUCGCUCGGGAUAUUCCACCGACCUAUUGGAUCAAGAAAAACAUAGUACCACCUCGCCUAUCGACCCAAAAACGCAUAGAAGGGGAGGACUAUAUAAGGAGACCCCCCUGGCCCCUGGAGAAGACAUGAAGAAAUUAUCAUAGAGACUGAAGGGUGCCCUCGAAGGAAAACCUCUUCUCUAAUUAAUAUUUCUUUUUAGGCUUAGCAACCAAUGUAAGGUAGAAAUAGAUCUUCUAGUUUCUACUAGAUUGAGAGAGAUAGAGUGGAGGUGUAGAGUGGAGGAAGCCCGGCCUGUCGGUGUCUACUCCAAGCUUGUACCUGCGGGAUCAAGUUCUCCUAACCCGAAGCUUGCUCCUAGGAUUCUUCAGUAUUUCGACUUCUAAAUUCUAGUAAGUUCUUGUUUUAUUGUUCUUAUGGUUUAUGAGUUUACUUUAAUCUCUUCGCGUAGAGUUUAGAGUAAUCAUUGCUGGCGUAAACGUGGUGUUUAGGCUCGGGUACUCAUAGAUAUUCCCUGACUAGCUGGACCAUGGUAGUAGUGAGGAACGUGACAAUUCCGAGCUACCUUUGUAGAUCACAUCUCGUUAGCAGGAAGGAUAGGGUUUAUAGGUGCGGGUUGAACAUCCUUUGUGGUGUCUAGAUUUCGUUAGCCUCCCCAUUAGAACAGUAGAUCAUCCUUACCAAGGUUAGAAGGAGACUACGGUUGCAGUCUUCUCUAUUUAUCACUCGCAUUGAAAGACAUUCUUUGUGCCUAAAGGUUAGUAGUAAUAGACCGGUUAGUCAGAUGCACUCUUUCUCCAAGUGGUAAAAAAAUAAAUACAAUACUCUGGAUAAUUUCCCGGGUGAAGUGCUCACCGAUAUUCGUGCGCUUGCGGAUCAAUUCCUUAUUGCGUUCCCAAAUAUCAACACAAGCUGGACCUCCAAGUCUUUUAAUCUUCUGAGUUACCUUCCUCCGGAGAUGGUGUCUCCAGUGGUUCUUCAUGAACUUCCUUCACUGUAGAGUCUCUCUCUAGUCUAGGUUUGAAUGUGCAGUGUUCUUCUUUUCCAUUUAUGUUGAACUUGAUUUCUCCUUUUCCGACAUCAAUGUGGGCAUUGGUAGUGCUCAGAAAUGGCCUUCCAAGGAUGAUGGACACUUUUGAGUCAGGACUCAUGUCCAGUACUACGAAAUCUACUGGCACCAGGAAAUCUCUGAUCUUGACUGGAAUGUUCUCGGCAAUACCCAACGGAUGUCGAACCGAUUGAUCCGCUAGUUGUAGGCACAUUGAUGUUGGUUCUAGGGUCGCAUGCUCAAGCUUUUUGUAGACUGAUGCUGGCAUCACACUGACACUUGCUCCGAGAUCACAAAGUGCAUUGUUGAAGUGUUGGUUUCCGAUCGAGCAGUCAAUAGUGGGCAUCCUGGAUCUUCCUUCUUCCUUGGUGCCUUGUUGAGGAUGGCCGCACUACAUUCUUCUGUCAGCUUGAUAACCUCAGUGGUGGGCAGUGGUCUCUUCUUGUUAAGAAUAUCUAUGAUGUACUUUGCAUAUGUAGGUACCUGUAUGGCAUCGAGUAGAGGUAUGUUGACGUAUAAUUUCUGAAUUUCCUCUACAAACUUACCAAACUGCUCAUCCGACUGCAGUCCUCUGUUUCUCCUGGGAAAUGGCAAAUAGUUGGUGUCGUAAAAAUCUUUCCUCAUUUCUCCAGUUCUUGGUUGUAGCAGAUCUUCUGCUUCAACUGGGCUUUCUUCUUCUAUCACUGCUGGUUGCACUGGUGCUGAGGUUCUUUGUUUCUCUUUUGGGUAUGGGGGAUCUCUGGUAGCUUUGCCUCCUCUAGUAGUUAUAUUCUUUACCUGCUCAAGGUUAGUAGCAACAGGCAGUGCAGCAACUAUCUUUAUUAAUUUAAGCUCUACCCUUUUAUUAAGAGUGUUUUGCUCAUCAAAGGCAGUUAGUAGAAAAUGCAUUUUAUUGUGUAUAUAUUUUAGAGAUGAUUCAUUUGUAUCUAGCCUUUGUUUAACUUCAUCAUUAAUUUUGGUUUGUUGAGCAAUUAUCUCUUUUAAUGAAAGUUGCUUGAAAGUAUUACCUGAGUUCAUACCUUUGCUAUUGGGUUGACUCAAAGUUGGUUGAUAUUUGUAUGCUGUCUCAAUGGCCCUUUGAUCUUCUUUAAACUUGGCCCUCUAGUCAAUCCAAUGGAGCAGAUUUUCCAUCUUAGUUGAUAAUGCAUUUACUUCUUCUGGUAUUUCUUCAGUUUGAUGACAUUGUUGAGCUUUAUCUUGGAACCAGCUUUGGUUUUCUGCUAUCUUAUCCAAAAGUAUCUCUGCUUUUCCAGUUGUAAGCUCCAAGAAUGAUCCUUUAGCAGAUGCAUCUAGACACUCACGAGCCUUCUGGGUUAAUCCAUGGUAGAAGGUCUGCAUAAGUAACCAUGUGGCCAUUCCAUGGUGAGGACAAUUUGAUAUGUAUCCUUGAAAACGCUCCCAUGCUUCUGAAAUGGUUUCUGUCUUCUGUUGUUGGAAACUGACAAUAUUUCCUCUUAAGGCAGUUGUUUUGCCUAUAGGGAAAAACUUUGAUAGAAAGGCAUCUGACAAGUUCGUCCAGUUGUUGAUGUUAUUUUGAUGAGUGUAGAACCACUUCCUCGCUUUCCCUUCUAGUGAGAAUGGAAAAAGGCGAAGCAGUAUGACGUCUUUGUCAACUCCGUUGAUGUGGAUUGUGCUUCCAAUCUCUAAGAAAUUCUGCAAGUGUGCACUAGCAUCUUCAUGUGCCUUUCCACUGAAUUGUGUAGCUUGUACCAAAUUGAUGAGGCUUGACUUGAGCUCAAACUCAGGUAUUCCUUCUUCUACUGCAAAUCUUGGACCAGUUGGAAUGUUCUCAAGACUUGGAGCAGAGAAUUCUUGUAGGGUCUUCUGUGCCAUAGCUUCAGCAAUUGGUAGCUAGCUUCUUCUUCUCUUGAUUGCUUUGGUUCUGAUGAUGAAGAGUUGAAUGUACCCAAAGUUAAUCCUGAUAUACCCUGUAUAAAAAUAUAAACAUAGAAAAACAACAGGGUGAACCUGCCAAAGCAGAGGUGCCUUGUUAUGAUUUCUCACUUAGUAGCUGUUUUUAUGCAAUUAUUUCUCUAUAGUCUAGUCUAAUAUUUUAUAUGAAUAACCUUGACUAAUUUUCUGGCUUUUCUUACCAUUCCUAUGUGUUACCCUUUUGUUCCCUUUAUGACUUUCUUAUGAGAUCCCCGGCAACGGCGCAAGAAAUGCUUGUUGACACUAGCUAACACCACUUAGAUACUAGGUUGUCAUCCCCAGCAUGGUGCUAGAGUGUACAAAGGUAUUUAUAAAUGUAAAGGCUCUCUAGAAAAUAAUCUAUUCUAUCUGCAAGCACACAGAUAAAACACCUCAAUGUAGCAUUUCACCAGGAUAAGUAUUCCAGGUAUCGUUAUUUAUAAUUUUGCUCAAGGGAUCUAAGGAGAUUAAAUUAAGGGCAAAAUCUAUCAAGGCAUAGACUAGAGAUAAACUUGCAAGAACAUGAUUACUAAUGAGAAACUCGUCACACAGUCACUUACUUUAGCAGGGGGUAAACCAUAAAGAUAAUGAUAAUAAAUUAUAAGUUCAAGGGAUAAAUAACACAGCGAUUAGAAAAUAGACUACUCCUCAUAUAUGUAGGUGAUGUCGGAUUAGCUAGAGAAUGGAUUCUAAGUUAUCUACUAACUACUAAGUCAUAAUCAACUCUAGUUAUCUACAAGAUCAUAUAUAGCAUAAAAGACUCUUCAUUCAUGUAUAAGGAACAUUGAUAAAGUAAAUCAGAGCAUCGCAUGACUUACUCCACAAUACCGGUUCUGCCUGUCCUAUGAACGGAGGGUGGACUAUAUAAGAAUCAACGAAGCUGUCACUAUCGCGAACUACCACAUGACCCGACCAAUAGGAUACAUUUGCAGAUAAAUAACAUCUAAGCACCACGCUCACAUGUGAUCUAUCACCUAACUCCCUCGCGUCAAGAGCUAAGCGCUUUGCAAACUUAUACAUAAACUCAUUAUCAAUUAGAACUAUAUCAAAUAUAGAACUAGAGCAAACUAAGAACAUAAUAAUUAGAGACAUAAUGCAAUUAGAACAAAGAAUUAGAGAAAGAUAUGAAUAAUACCAAUCUUUAUUACUGAAGAUCCGAAUCCAGAGCGUAGUGCUCUACUUCUCUAAUUGCUAUCUAAUCAAACCUCUAAACUUGAAGGAUUAGGGAGUAGCUAAUUCUAAUUCUCUAUGGGAGAGAAGCUCUAAACCCUAACUUUGAUGGCUACCUCUGCAUAAUGAGAUGGCUACCUCUGCAUAAUGAUUUCUUCUCUUCUCCUCUCUCCUCCAGGGGCCAGGGGGUCUGGUUUUAUAGUCCCCUCAAGUGAACGUGGGCCGUCAGAUCAAACCGACAUAGAUUGUGUGGUUUAGAUUGAUCCUUUAGGUCGGUGGAGUUUAGCCCCAAAGCAGAGUCCUGAUUGGACUCACAGAGGGGGCGGGCGCCCUGCCUCUGGCCCCGUUUCGCCUCCGCUUCGGUCUCGUGGCUUCUGGAGUCUUCUAGAUUGAAGAAAAUUGCGCGGCACAUAAUUAUCUUGUUGUAAACAUGACAUGUGGGCCUUCUCUCCAUAUUCUCUUAUAACCCCCUGCAGAAAUAGAUAAACACCAAAGCUUGUGGAAUUCUGUCAGAUAAAACCCUAAUUCUAGAUGUUUGUUUCGUAUUGAUCCUUUUCCAUGUUUAUUUGAUUAUUAAUUUUAGUACUUAAGGACCAUCAACACAUACCAGCAAGCAAGAUGUCACAAGCUCCAAGUCAAGCUACAACCACUCAAGUUUUACCUACACCGACACCAGCCCAAGUCAUCGAUGGACCGGUUACACGUAGUCAUGCAAAGAAGCUACAACAAGAGGUCCACGCGCUACUUUGUGAGAUUCAUUUUAACAUUAAUGAGAAUUAUAUACUACCUAAGUGUUCUACCUUGAUUGUACUCAGGUAUAUAGAAGAAAAGAAGGAUGAAUUGGACCAUGAAGAACGAACCAGUGCAAGUUCCAGAAGAUACUACAAAACGGACCAGAGAGUCAAAAACGGACCAGUGGAAGUCAAGAACGGACCAGUGCAAAGAAAGCUUCAUAACUUUUUACUCACAAAAGCUAUGAAAGCCCAUGAGGACUUGAUGGAAAGCUUGUCGAGUCUACUUUGGAAUGAAUCUAGUGGCGACCAGUUUGGAUACUCCAUAUUGCCUGCAGACCAGAAUUAGUACAGAUUGCUCAGAAGGUCAAUAUUCUGUCAUGACAAAAAGUUGGUACAACUUGCUGUGCAAAAUUGUACCAAUCUACAAUGUUUCGUGGUGCAUGGCAUACAUUGCUGGAAAGCUCUUGGAGUCUAGUUUCACACCCAAGAAACGGUUUGUCAUUUGGACUUCCCAAAAAAAACGUUAUGGUCAGUUUAUUAGAAACUGCUCUGGAGGCCAAUAGUCACGCGAAGUGAGUUCGGGAAUCCAUUCCGAGGGGACCUUUCACAUUACCUUCCCUCAGAAACUCUAUUUCAUUUUCAUACCUAUCUAGGGGGGUUGUUCCUAGUAUAAAUAUCCCCUACCUCUAAGCUAUUACCAACAUUUGAUCAUUUGAUAAACUACAUGAUAUUGCAGCCACGCUGCUGAGUGCCUUACUCAACCUUUGUUCUUCCUUGUUCUUCAUGGACUUGUGAAAUGAAUCCUAUGGGUUCCCCUACUUCGUGCUCUACGGCUUCUGUUCGGCUGCGCCGUAUUGUGUGGAUUAGUUCUGGAUUGUGGUUCUACGGUCGUUCGGAGAUCGAGUCGAAGUCUUCGUGGUUUCGGUGCCUCUCUCCCCGUCGCUUGGUCGCAUCCAACCUUUGUCAGGUAUAAAGCUAGUUACCGGCUGUUCGCAGCAAGUUAUCCUUGUUCUUUUGAUCUACUGUGGUGAAGAUCGGGCCACCCUAGCACCGAUUCAUAUCGGUAGGCUAUCAACUGGUAUCAAAGCUUUCGUUGUCACGGUAGAUCUCACAAGCAUCCACAUAUGUACCUAUAGUUUAUCUAUCAUUUGUUACUAUUUUGUUCAUCACCUAUAGUCUACUGAAAAAGCCACAAAAAAAUCCUAUAGCCCUUUGACGGUACUGUUAUCUUGUGUUUUUGUGUUCAUCAAGUUGCUAAUCACUCUCUUUACAUAUAUUGUGUUGUGUUUCAUUUGUUAUCCGCACCCCUGUUAGUAUAAAAAAGAGAUAAAAAAAAAGUCAGUGAAAAAAAAUCAGAGAAGAGAAAAGAGAAAGAACAAACAAAUAGAAGAAGAGGAAAAGGGGUUGUAUUGCGGUUUGCCCACUAAAAAAUUCAGUUUGCAUAUUUAGAUUCUUAGUGAUUUAUAUACCAGAAACAAUACAUCUUGUGAGCACAUCAAACCACUUGAUUUUUUAGUACCGUAGCCUCUCUUGUUUUGCCACUUAUAGCUCCACCUAAAAUUGUAACCAGGACAUUCGACUCGUAAUCCUUGUGAACUCGGAAUCACUUCUAUUGAGCUGCUACACUAGCACAAUUCACUGUCCUUGAGAACAGGAAAGAGCAUUGGUAAGUAAGAGGUGAGGUUGUGUGAUUCCACAAAUUUACCCAUUCCACUAUAUUUUGCUUUAGUGCUAACAUGGCAGGAUCCAACUCAAGUAUUCAUGGAAAUCGUCUUGGAGAAGGAGAACCCCCUGUUGCACGGGUUGAGUUGCGCCAAAUGGCAGACUCACUCUUGCAGGCCAUGGAGAGGAUGCUUGAUGCACGCCUACCUGCAGAUGGGCGGAGGGCUCCUCGGCAUCAAUAUGAUGAAUCUGGUGCUGAAAAUUCUAAUGGAGGACAUGACCGUUUUAGAGAUGGUCGUGGUGGUGGCAGGCGGGCUAGUCAUCAUGGCCAAGAUGGAGGACGAGCUCAUGGACAUGGUCGUGGCCAUUGUGUUCAUUUUGAUGAUGAAGAAUUUGAUAACUUUGAUCACAAAGAGGGGUCUGAUGAGAAUCCCUUUGCAAAUGAUGGGCUGCAUAGGCGGCGCAAUGAUCACCGGCGGCAUGCUGAUCAUGGAGAUAGAGAGCAUCAUCAUGGUCGUCAUAAUAGGGAAGAUCCGGACAGCAUUGCUCGUGUCAAAUUGAGUAUCCCAAAAUUCACUGGAAGAGAGGAUGCAGAUGCAUAUCUUGAGUGGGCUGAGCAGUGUGAUCAAAUUUUAGAGUGCAUAAUAUCUCUGAUCAGAGGUGUGUCAAUCUUGCUUCAGUGGAGUUCUCUGGUUAUGCUCUGACUUGGUGGAAUCAGAUACAAGAGAAUCAACUUGUGUUGGGCCGUGAACAUAUCAACACAUGGGAAGAGAUGAAGCAAGUGAUGAGAAGGCGAUUUGUACCGUCAAGCUAUCAGCGUGACCUUCGCAAUAGGUUACAAAAGUUGAAGCAAGGAAAAAGAUCGGUUGAUGAGUAUUAUAAGGAGAUGGAGUUGUUGUUAGUGCGGACUGGAAUUAGAGAGGAUCCAGAGUCAAAAAUGGCAAGAUUUUUGGGUGGUCUCAAUGAAGAAAUUGCUUGUUUUGUUGAGAUGUUUCCAUAUCAUACUUUGCAAGACCUUGUUGAGCAAGCUAUGCGUACUGAAAGAAAAAUUCAGCAAGAGACACGUGGAAAAUCUUAUGCAAGUCACUCUAUUGCAGCCCCAUGGCGCAAGCAGCAGUCCAGCACUUCCUUCGGUGGGGGACGGUCCCAAGGUGCUGCAGCUACGCCCUCUUCAUCUAAUGCUCCUUCGAAGAUAGUGGUUUCUACAACAUCAUCUCCUGCAUAUCAGCAGCGACCUUCUACAAGUGUAGCAGCCCCAACUGUUGCUUCCUCAGCUACUACUUCCUCUACACGUAGUAGAGAAAUUGUGUGCCACAAGUGUCAUGGUCGUGGACAUAUUGCUGCACAAUGUCCCAGUAGGAGGACCAUGAUUGUGAAUAAGAAUGGUGAAUGGGAAUCUGAAAGUGAUCGUGAGGAAGAAAGUCCAAGAUAUGAUGAGGAUCAUGAAAACAAUGAUAAUGAGAUCCAACCCGAUGAAGGUGAUAACAACUGCUUUAUUUCUCUUCGUGUGCUUAGUGUUACUACUGCAAAGGAAGAGAAUGGGCAGCAACACAAUCUUUUCCACACUCGAGGCAUGAUCAAAGAGAAGUUGUGUAGAAUUAUUGUUCACAAUGGCAGCUGCAACAAUAUUGCUAGCCAAGAAUUGGUUGAUAGAAUGGAGCUAAAACAAAGGCGUCAUCCUAAUCCAUACAAGAUGCAGUGGCUGAAUGAUUGUGGUGCGCUGCGUGUGAGCCAUGUUGUGACAGUUCCUUUCUCUAUUGGGAGUUAUAAUGAUCAUGUGGAGUGUGAUGUGGUGCCUAUGCAAGCAUGCCAACUGCUGCUAGGAAGACCAUGGUUAUAUGAUCGUGAUGUUCAGAUUUUUGGAAGAACCAACAAGCUGUCUUUUGUGUACAAAGGAGAGCGAAUUUCUUUGCUUCCUUCAAUACCGGAGGAAAUCUUGAAAGAUGAUCUCAAGAAGAAACAGAGAGAGAGAGCGAGAACCACUUAACAGUGACCCACAAAAAUAGUGAGGAAUAGUUUCCACAGCCAAAUAAAACCCCACAGCUACAAAGAACCCAAAAACUGGGAAAACAGUGUCAUGACAAAACGUUGGUACAACUUGCCGUGCAAAACUGUGCCAAUCUACAAUGUUUCGUGGUGCAUGGCAUACAUUGCUGGAAAGCUCAUGGAGUCUAGUUUCACACCCAAGAAACGGUUCGUCAUUUGGACUUCCCAAUAAAACGUUAUGGUCAGUUUAUUGGAAUCUGCUCUGGAGGCCAAUAGUCACGCGAAGCGAGUUCGGGAAUCCAUUCAGAGGGGACCUUUCACAUUGCCUUCCCUCAGAAACUCUAUUUCAUUUUCAUACCUAUCUAGGAGGGUUGUUCCUAGUAUAAAUAUCCCCUACCUCUAAGCUAUUACCAACAUUUGAUCAUUUGAUAAACUACAUGAUAUUGCAGCCACGCUGCUGGGUGCCUUACUCAACCUUUGUUCUUCCUUGUUCUUCAUGGACUUGUGAAGUGAAUCCUUUGGGUUCCCCUACUUCAUGCUCUACGGCUUCCAUUCGGCUGCGCCGUAUUGUGUGGAUUAGUUCCGGAUUGUGGCUCUGCGGUCGUUCGGAGAUCGAGACGAAGUCUUCGUGGUUUCGGUGCCUCUCUCCCCGUCGCUUGGUCGCAUCCAACCUUUGUCAGGUAUAAAGCUAAUUACCCGCUGUUCGCAGCAAGUUAUCCUUGUUCUUUUGAUCUACUGUCGUGAAGAUCGGGGCACCCUAACACCGAUUCAUAUCGGUAGCCUAUCAAUGGAGCUACCCCCGUCAACGAGCACGGCUCGAACCUAACGCUGUUGAUGCACGAGUCCAGGAUCAGAGGGAAGCGCCCUGGUUCUAGGAUGGCGGCCCACUGGUCCUGCCUGUUGAAGGAGAUCUCCCUAUGCGACCAGGGGGGAAUUUCGGAUCAGCAAUCAGGCCAUCGGUGCUGUCCACAUUUAGGCAAGCUCUCUUUAAGAGCUUUCUUUCUCGUUUGGACGGGAUGGAAACAUUGCCUCCAAAGAUGGAGUGUACCAUGUCGGUGGGACUGACAUAUUGGUGUCGUGGGUCCCUAUCUUGGUCAUCGUCUUCAUCUUCCUAACCGUGUCUAUCUUGUUUCCCAUUUUUCUUGGUGGAAUCCCCCUGAGCGGCCCGCUAUGUGUAGAUGCUUUUGAGGACACGACAUUCUUCCAUCGUGUGGUUGGACUUGGGAUGGAGUUGGCAUAGUCCUUUCAGUGUAUUGUUAUAGUCUUCCUAGUAAUCUUGCCGUCCAUUGGGACGCUUGACUGUGUUCACCUCGUGGUCGUUGUCACGAGGUCGCUUGCCUCUGAAAUCGUCACGGUUGUCGCAACGCCUGUCCCACCCUUCUCGGUGGUCGCGGUUGUUGCCGCGGUGAGGAUUCCGGUUGUCGAAGCGCCGACGACUUUCGUCUCAUCGGUGAGGCUGGUCAGCUCCUCUCACAUCUUCUCGGAUGAGUUUUUCUUCGUCAUCGGCAUCGGCGUAGUUUUUGGACGUGGCGAGGAGCUCGGCGACUGUGGUCGGCCUUUUGCGCAGUAGCUUACUUCUUAAUGUUUCAUGGAAGCGUAGGCCCUUGAUGAAGGCCGAUAUGGCCUCGUCGUGAGAAAUCUUUGGAAUCUUGAGGCAUAUAUCCGAGAAGUGUCGGAUGUAAUCGCGCAAGGGCUCAUUCUUCCUAUGCCUUAUCCUCUCAAGAUCAUAUUUGUUUUCGGGCUGCUCGUAGGUAGUAAUGAAAUUAUCAAUAAAAGCCUGGCGCAGUUCCUCCCAUGAAUUGAAAGAGUCCUCGGGUAGACCGAGGAGCCAUUGGUGGCCGGCUUGGUCGAGGACGACUGGGAAAUAGUUGGCCAUGAUGUGCUCGUCCCCUGCUGCUGACCGAACUGCGAUCUCGUAAAGAGUGAUCCAUUUUUCAGGAUUCUCCUUGCCAUCAUAUUUUUUGAGCUUCUCAAGCUUGAAGUUGCGGGGCCAUACGACUUAGCGAAGGUGUGACGAGAACUGUCUUAGGCCGGGGGGCCAUGUGCCGCAUCGUACUCGAUGUGUCGCACGUUUUCAUGUACUGCUCGUUCUGUAAUGUGCCUGUUGAUACGUUCGCAUACAUCCAUAGGAGGGAUAUGAUAUCGUAGAUCCCGGUCUUGGUUCACCUCCUGACCACGUCCGCGUCUUUGUUCAUGGUAACUGCCAGCAUCCCGACCAUGAUUGUCGCGACGAGUGUCCUUCCUUCGAUUAUUGACAGGUGAACGGCUACGAUUGUGCCCACAAGAUCGCGGUGAGGUGUGGCUGUGAUGAGUCUGGUCAGAGGUGACCUCCGUAUAGGAAACGGCUUGGACCCUUUUUAGCAGAGUAGCGGUCUGUCCCAUGGCCGCGAUCAGAUGCGCCCGUAUGUUGGUUCGAAUGUCCUGAUAUUCUGAAGUAUCGGGGAAGCGAUCUAAGUUUGCUAUGGCGACGGCCACGUUGGCGCUUGGUGUCUUGUAGACCUGGUGAUUUCCGACCAUGUCAAAAGCAUCACUGAGAUUAUGUGGGGCGAGCUGUCGUUCCUCGUCUGCUCGUCAUUGGGCCCGGUCGGCGUUGUGCUGCUCUCGUUGCUAUCUCUGUUCGUCAGUUUCUCAGUCAACAACUGGGUUGUCAUUGUUGACGUUGAGAACUAAGUCCCUUCGUCGAGGUGGAAAGACUGGGAAAUGGGAGAACCUCGGGGGUAUGCUGGUAGAUCUAAAUCGUAGUCUUCGUCCUCGGGGUGUAAGACCCCGGUAGGGAUAGAUCCUGUACUGGAGCUUGUACUGCUGGACGUGUCUUCUGGCAAAGUGCGGAUGGAGACCAUAUUGACGAAGUGACGGGCUGUUUGCCUGUUUUGGCUCAGCGACAAGCCUGCCUUCCCGAAUAGAGAUUGGGUAUGCCGUGAAAACUGAUCAGCCGCGUUGCUCAGACCGUAAGGGCAAUUCUGGUCUGGGGAGGCUGUCUUGAGCUUGACGAUCCAUCCCGCGGUGGUCGAUGUUAUGGUUAGGGACGUUCCCAGUCGUUCGUGCGUGGAGACACGAGUUGGUCGAUGGGAGUCGAAAAAAUUUGUUGUUACUGCCUGAUCGGGCCUGCGUGGCAUCGAAUCCACCAGGUUGGAGGCCUCGAGAAGCUUGUGGUCGGCGCGAUCAAGGGCUUGAAGAUGAUCCGAGUUGUCGACUUGCUUUCCCCUAUAGCGAGGGAGUGGAGGUCGGGUCCUCGGAGUCAGCGUGGUCGGAGUCGACGCCUCUGCUGUACCAGAUUGGAUCUGGAUUUCUUCCAGAGUCGUGGUCGUAAGGCCGCCGCCGUGAGUUAUCCAAGUGAUCUGUCCAACGGUGAACGUGAGACUUUCUUCCACGGACGCGGAAGCUGUAAAGAUGACCAUCUUGUUCGUCGGGAGAGCUGUACGCACACCCCCUACCUGGCGCACCACUGUCGACGAAAGCUAGUCGGCAGUCUACCUUGGGGUAUACCCAUGGUAGUAGUUUAUCGGUAGAUGGUGCGCAAGCUACAAACUUGAUGGUGACGCAAGACACGGACAAGGCUUUUAUCCAUGUUCGGCCGCCAUGUGGGCGUAAUACCUACGUCCUGUGUCUGAUUGUAUUGGAUUGUGUCGAGUUGAGAUGAGAUGUCCUAGGGGGUUCCUCGCCUCUCUUUAUAUAGUCCAGAGGGCAGGGUUAUAGAUCUAGAAACUAAUCCUAGUCGGUUACAAUUGCCAUAGAUAACGCGAUAUCAAUUCCUAUUCUAACCGACUAGAAUCUAGCUUGAUCUCCGCGUCUUGUUUCCUUGCGUGUGACUACGAGCAGUGGGAUCAAGCCUCAGACUGUGUUGUGAUGGGCCAAGCCUUCUGGCCCAUGUCUAGCCGUAAGGGUAUAGAGGUUUAUACCCCCACAGGUCACCACUAGCAAGAGGACCGGCGGCAACCUUGGAGCUUAUCUCAACAGGGACGUAGCUUGGUGGCAACCAAGUGAACCUCGGGAGAAAAUCAUCAUGUCAAUAUUGUUCUUCCUGUUGGUUUGCAAGUCCCUAACACAAGCUUGUUCUUACAUUCAUAUACUUGUGUUUGUGUAGUUGCUCUUGUAAUUAGUUAGCUUGUGUAGCUUGCUAAGUUACCUUCUUGCUUGUGUAGCUAGAAGUAGUUCCCUUGCGUGACUAAUUUGGUUUGUGUAACCUUGUUAGUCAUAUUGCUUAGUUUGUGUAGCUAAGUAAUCUGCGCUCUCUAAUUUGGCAUUGGUUGCCUUGUUAUUGAGCAUUGCUAGUGAGCUUAGGAGCUUUGUGCUUUUGCUUACUAGUUGUGUAGGAGCUCCCCGGUCUUGCAAAGUACUAGUUGCAUAGGUUUGUGUGACCUUGCUCCUAGAAAUGGUUAGGUGACCUCUUGCAAAGGUAGCACCUUGCUUGCUUGUUUAGGAUCUUUUCAAGGUGCUAGACAACUUAGAUAGAGAGGUGUAGUCUUGGCUAGACCGAUAGUUUUAAUUCCGCAUUUGUUUUCGGUUAGCCGGCGUAAUAAAUUUUAGAAAGGACUAUUCACCCUCCAUCUAGUCCGCCAUCUCGACCCUUCAAGUGGUAUCAGAGCUAGGUCUCUCUUUUGUGGUCUUCACCGACCCGAGAGGAUGGCGGCUUAUGGGCUAGAUGUUGAGUGUCCACACAUUUUUGAUGGCACACACUUUGCACAGUGGAGAAAUUGGAUGACAUGCAAUUUUAAGUUUAUUUCCCCUCAAAUGUGGUGGAUGGUAGAUGUAGGCUUUUCUCAUGUGUUGGAUGAAGAGAAUCUAACUCAAGCACAAGAGAAAUGUCUACAUCUCGACUACCAAGCUACUAACAUCUUCUAUUCAUCCAUGAAAGAUAACAUAUUUGGUGAGAUCAUGGAUAUGAAGUCCGCUCAUGAGAUUUGGAGUUAUCUCAAUAAGAAAUAUGGGGUGAUCACUAAAGAAGAUGAUGUGCCAAAGGUGGAUGCACGUGAGGAUGUUGAGCAUGACCACAACAUGGUGGUUGUGGAGGAUUGCUCCACCUCAUGGUCAAGUGAGGAUGAAGAUGAUAGCUAUGAGAGUGAUGCUUCUACAAGCUCAUCCACUUCAUCACAUUCCUCCAUGUCUCAUGGUGAUGGCAAGGUAUCUAUUGGAGGUGUGAUUGUUGAUUGUGAUGAUCCAAAUUUUGAGCUUGUAUGUAGACUCACCAAAGCUUUAAGAAAUGAGAUGGCUAAAAUAAGUAAAUUGAAAAAUGAAAACUCAUUUCUAAAGACCACAUGUGAACAACAAAAGCAUCUACUUUAUGUUACUACUUGUUCACAUGAGGAGCUUGUUGACGGUCCUUAAGUAUCAAAUUUAAUUAUCAAAUAAACAAAGAAAAGGAUCCAAAUGAAAUCAACAUCCAGACUUAGGGUUUUAUCUGACAGAAUUCCACGAGUUUCGGUGUUUGUCUAUUUCUACAGGGGGUUAUUAGGAAAUACAGAAGAAAGGCCCAUACGUCGGGAUUACAUAGAGAUAUUAACAUUCCGCGCAAUUAUCUUACAUCUAGAAGACUCCAGAAGCCACGGGAACGAAGUGGAGGCGAAACGGGGCCUGGCCCUGGGCGCCUGCCUAGGAGACCAGGGCGCCCGCCCCCCUGCUGAGUCCAAUCAGGACUCUCUUUCGGGAUCAAUCUCCACCGACCUAAAGGAUCAAGGAUAACCGUUCAAUCAAUGUCGGUUUGAUCCAACGGCCCAUAUUCACUUGGAGGGACUAUAAAACCAAACCCCCUGGCCCAUGGAGGAGAGAGCCUCUCAACCCUAACUCAUUAUUCCUCAAGGGAGAAGAAGCCUCUAAUCAAGCCUAGAGCCACCACAUCAAUUAGAUAUCUAGAUUAGCAUAGCUACAUAGGAUUAGAACAAGAAGGAGUCAAUCUUCGAUUGGUUUCCGGAUCUGUUAAGAGGAUUCUUGGUAAUUCUCUAAUUGUUCUUCUAAUCAUCUUUGUUCUUCAAUAUUAUGAAUAUGACUUUGUUCUACUUCAAUAUAUUGCUUAUGACUUUGCUCUACUUGCUUAUAUUCAAGAUUAUAUUGUUCUUAGUUUAUCAUAGUUAUAUACUUGGCUUAGUUAGAUUGGAUAUAUAUACAUGUUUAGGAUCGUAUAGCGUUUAUCCAUCGGAUCCAUGGGUAAAUGAUAGAUAUUGUGUAGGCAUGGUGCUUAUACCGUAUUUAUCUGCGAUUGUACCUAAUCUGCCAGAUCGUGGGGUACUUCGUGAUAGUGACAGCUUCAUUGAUUCUUAUAUAGUCCCCUUCUCGUGUAUUGGGCUUCAUAGAUAUUGUGUAGGCAUGGUUCUUAUACCGUAUUUCUCAUUUACCUUGCUAAUAUCACUAUGCAUGGGCGUAGUCUUGUCUCACAAUGAUUGCUAAGUAUACUUGCACUAACUAUGAUAAUGCUAGACUACAUAGUUGAGAAUAACUUAGGAAAUAUUCUUGUAGUUCGUUCUAAUACCAUGCUAAUGACUUUCUAGAAUAUCUAAUUGAGGUGCUUAUCAUAUUUAUUAUGUGGCUAAGUAUGCUGAUCAGAUUAAUUAUCUUUGUCACUAUUCAUUACUUUAUAUCCUUCAUGUGACACUUAUCCCUGUAUGAAAGAGUUAGAUAAAUGUUCUCAAUUAUACAUGCAAUGAUAGAUACUCAAUGUCAUAUUCCAUUCUAUAAUCAAUAUUGAUGGUUGCUAAUCCCUUCCCAGUGGUAAAAAUAUAAAUAACGAUAUCUGGAAUACUUCCCGGUUAAAAUGCUACAUCGGUAUUAAUCUGUGCGCUUGCAGAUCCCAUUCAUUAUUUAUUUAGAAGAGCAAUUGCAUAUUUCAAUACCGCGUCUCUCCUGUCAUGCUGGGGAUGACAACUUGGCUUAAGUGGCAUGAGGGAUAGGUUUGACAUUUUUGGCACCGUUAUCAGAAUUAGAAAACUGUCUACUUUUUGUAAUGAUGUUAAGAAUACCUUGCCGGGGAAGGUUGAUUACUAAUCAGGAAUGAAUAUAGAAUUUUGAGUUAUCAUUCGCAUCACUAAUAUGAUUGAGCUUAUCAAUUCUCUCAUACAGUUUUACCCCGAUAUUUUUCCAUUUUAUCUUAUGCAGGGUAAUGUAUGAAUAGAAAACAUCUUCUAGGUAAUUUUGUUGACAAUCCUGAAGCAUUAUUCAAAAAACAAGAGCCAAGCUCAAGAGGGGAUCAUCAACACUUCAGCAAGAAGCUUCAUCCAAUCAAGAAGAUCACCGGAACUUGUCUUCAGAGUUCGAAGCCAUGGCGAACAAAUCGGAUAGUUCUCAGCUCCCACUACGGACAACAUCCGCACUGGACCUGCUGCAGAGAUCGAUGGCAACUUUGAGAUCAAGCCUGGACUUAUCAACAUGGUGCAAUCCAAUCAGUUCUGUGGGAAGGCACAUGAAGAUGCUAGUGCUCAUCUCUAACACUUCUUGGAGAUUUGCAGCACAUUCACCAUAUCAGGAGUCCCCAGAGAUGCUAUACUACUUCGCCUUUUCCCAUUCUCACUGUUAGGAAGAGUGAAGCAGUGGUUCUACGCUACAAAGGAGAAGAAUACUACGUGGGCACUCUGCUCCACGAACUUCCUGGCUAAGUUCUUUCCCAUGGGCAAGACCAAUGCUCUCCGUUGGAAGAUUACAAGUUUUCAGCAACAACAUGAUGAAUCCGUAGGAAGAGCUAAAAUUGGUUCAUGAGGAACUUGGUGUUACUCAUGAUAGCUUGGUAAAAGAUCAUACAUUUCUCACUAAGAAGAUUUCUAAUGAAGAAAUUAAAACUAGUGAGAGCUCAUCACUUGGGUCAAAUGAUCAAUCACAUAUUGUUACUAACCCUUGUGAUGUAGGCAAGAAGCAUGUAUCCACCUAUUGUGAUGAUUUAUUAUCUAUGCCAUAUUCUUCACAUAUAGAUGCUUGUUCUACUUCUAUGUCUUGUGAGACCAACCUUUUGAAGGAGAACAAUGAGCUUAAUGAACAAGUGAAGAAUUUGAGCAACAAGUUGGAGAGGUGCUACUACUCAAAAGUCACCUUUGAGCAUAUAUUGAAGACUCAAAGAAACUAUGGUGACAAGUGUGGCCUUGGCUUCAAGAAGAAGAUGACAAAGGGCAAAAGAAAGCAAGAAAAGAGGAAGCUUUCUCAUUUCAUGUGCUAUCGGUGCCAUGAAGUGGGACAUCUUGCUAAUGGUUGCCCAAACAAAUAGAAGCUCAAGAAGAUGAACGAAGAAGAGAGGCUCAAGCAUGUCAAGUGCUUCAAGUGCCGCACUUGGGGUCAUCUCACCUCAAUGUGCCCAACCAAGCAAUUGGUGAAGCAACAAGAAAAGCCUCAACAAAAGCCACAAGUAGAGCAAGAAAAGAAGCCCCAAGAUCAAGUCAAGUUCAACCAUCACGGUGAUGACUUGAUGAUGAAGAAGAAGAAAACAAGAAGGGGUGGAAGAGCAAGGCAUCCAAUGCAAAUCCAAGAAGCCAAGAUGAUGAGCAAGGAUGAUGGACACUUUGCCUCGUGGUGUCCUACCAAGCUUGAGAAAAAGGCUCAAGCAACUCUCAAGAGGCAAGGCAAUGAGAAGCAACACAUGAGAAAAGAAGAAAAGGCUCAAUCAAAGAGAAGUUGCUACUUGUGCCGGGAAAGGGGACACAUGUUGGCUUAUUCAUGUCCCCUAGGUAAUAAUUCUAAGCCCAUUUUCAUUGAUGAUAAUACUAUGCUUAGAAAGGAUGGUAAUGGUACCUCUAUGGUUGCUAUUGCAAAACAUCCUGCUACUCAUACUAAGGCAUCGCCUAAGUAUGUUGCUCCUAACUUGAGAGGACCCAAACUAGUUUGGGUACCAUCAAAAAGUGGAUGAAUGUAUGUAGGUACCAUCGGCACUGGAGGCUUGAUUCCAUUGAUCCUAUAAUUGUUCAUCAUAUGUUUGAGUCAAGUAUUGAAGCCUAGUGCACAUCCAAACUCAAUGCCAUGACAAGAUAGUGAAGUCCAAAUGUGCUACAACAUACAAGUGUCACAUUCAAGUUGUGGUAAUUUAUUGAAUUAGUAUAUGGCUUGCAAUUACAUGAGUUGAAGCUUGCAAAUUAGAUGAUCAUGAGCUAACCAAGGUAUAUCUUUGUUGAUCACAUUCAUUUGGGUGCAUAUGAGUUGAUUGAAUUGGAUAUAUGCAAUGUUGCUUGCUAUAAGAUGAUUGAAUGGAUUAAAUGCUUAGUAAUCAAGUUUGGAUUGAUUUGAAUUGGAUAAGUUCAUGAGAUGACUUUUAGUGAGUGGAUUGAAUUGAUAUAUGUCUUGUGAAAGUAUUCAAACAAGUCUAUUUCAAGUUUGAUUCAAUUUGAAGAAGCAUAGCUCAAUUGCUUGAAAUCUGUCCAUUUUUGAAAAACUGAGCUAACAGUGAUCAAGUCUAAGUUUGAGUGAUCAAAUCUAUUUGGAAUGGCUUGAAACUUGGUAUGCAUGCUGCACAUUUAUCAUAGAAGAUGCUGUAAAAGUCUCAUAAAAAUUGGAUAAGGGAUACUACAGUUUUGUUGUAGAUCUUAUCAGCUAUAGUGCAGCAGUUUUCAGCAUGUAGCAGUGGUGUAAGAAUUGAAAUCUGGUAGCAAUCUAGAAAUCAAAUGAAGAUCAAAUUUUUAAAGCUGCUAGAUGACUUAGUUAUUCACAUCUCCACCAAAUUUCGUGGUAUUUUGAUCUGUACAUUGUGAGAUAUGGAUAUUUCUUUAAAGGGUACAUAAUCUGCCAGAAAAGUGGCAAUUACUGGAUUGAUCUAGAGUCACUUCAAUUGAAAGGUCCUCAAGUUGGAAACAUGAUUAUAAGUAUUUGAGGCACUAAGUUUGGUUUUUGAAUUGAUCUAGAAGCAUGGCAAGUAAUGAGUGCAAGGUCAUUUGAUUGAGGAAUAUACUUGGUGUACACAUUUAGUACUCAAAUUAGAAGAUCAAGAUCAAACUCAAGAUGAUGAUAAAGUUUAAGUUCUAGUAACUAUUGGAAAUCAUUUGGUAGAAAGAAAAGGACUUAAACAAGUAGAAAGAAAAGGACUUAAAGAAGGAUUCAUGGUUACUCAUCAUAUUAAGUCCAUCACUUGAAUCAAUCAAUUAAAGGCAAUUCAAGUGAGUGUCAAGAAUGGUCCUUUGGAGAGAGGUCACUUCUCCCUAUGUGAGGGGCAUGCCGCCCGAGGAGGGGGUAAACCAAGUAUGGUGCUUGGAAGGAUAACAUGGAAGUGGUGAUCCGAAGGACAUUUGAGAUGCUUAGUUGAAGCAAUCAAAAGGAUUGAUCAAGGGAGCAAGCAACAUCCAAAAGAGAGCUAGUCAUGUUAUUUCAAUUGGUAUUCUUAGUAGUUCUCUCAUGCAAGCAUUGAUCAAGAAAAGAUGAAGCAACCCAACCACAACAAAAGAUAGUGCACUUGAUCAUAAGUGGUUUUCAUUUCAUAUGGGUGAAGAUUUGAUCUAUCAAUUGGUAUUUAUAAUUGGUCUUCACCAAGCUUAUAAAUUGGACUUCACAUUGCUAUUUGGAGCUAAAUUGGAAUCUUAUUGACUAUCCUCUACUCCAAGAUAGCAAAGGUACCAUUGUAUUGUGCAUGAUCAUCUCAUCCCUUACUAGUAUGCGGUUAGUGCAUAUAGUACAUGCUUAUUACGAUCAUGCAUGAGAAAUGAAAAGUUUUAAAUUUAUAACCUACCACUAUUGCUUGAAUGAUUAGUUGAUCUAGUGGUAUGUAUAUGAGUUUAUUCAUGAGCAAGUGAACCCAAGUACUUGAUCUUUUUUGGAUUGCUAACAAGUGACAAGUACAACAUUAGCAAGAUAACCCUUAAUGAGAGGUGUGAAAAAGCUUGUCAUUGGUUCAAACCGGACUUGGAAGCUUAGGCAACUCAACUUAGUUCAAGUCAACAAUUAGAAGCUCAUGAUGAUUAGAGUACAAGAACAAGACAACAAUGCAAAUGGAUAUCUAAAUUCAAAUGUUUCUUUAAUUGGUAUCCAACAAAUGGUACUCAUGAUGAUGAUAGCAAAUGUUCAAGAUAGCAAACAAGUGGUUCCAUACUAGAAGAUCUUAAUUGGUAGAAGAAUUCCAUUUGGUAUCCGACAAGAUCUUUCAAAUGAUAUCACAUUUAUACAAAUGGUAUCUAACAUACAAGAAGGUGGUUCCACAAGUGAUCCUCAACUUUAAGUGAUCAUCAAGCAAUGAGAGUUCCCUCACCAACAAGAUUGGCAAGUGAAUGACCCAUGCUAUGACAUAGGGGGAGUGCCCCACCAAAUGGUAUCAAGGUCAAAGAUCCUAUGUGGUAUCUCAAGAGCAAUUCAAGUAAUUUAUUUCCAACAUAUAUGGUGAUGUCCAUCAAAAAUGCAAGAUUCAAGCCUCAACCAUCUAUCCCAAUGCAAUCCUCUGUCACAAUGAGAUUCACACUUUCUCAAUUGGUAUCAAGUGAUUUAAUUGGUAUCACAUACCUUUUAUGGAAAUUGAUGACAAAGGGGGAGAAGUUGGAACAAAGAUAUGAUCAUGGGAGAAGUUGGACAACAAAAUAUGGGAAGUUGUAUGGACAUGGAUAAAGAGGGAGCAACAUUAAGGAAAAGAGUUGGAUCAAAAGUCUUGGACAAAGGAAGCACACAAGUAGGGGGAGCAAGCUCAUGAACAUUGAUUGUUUGCAUUUGAUAUGUGCAUAUUCAUGUGCUUGCUUGCAUUGCAUAAGUUUUUUCAAUAUGCAUGCUUGUGUGGUGUAUGCUAGUUAUAGAACUUGAUUGAUGAUAUGAUAACUAGCAUGCAUAGGUUGGUAGCUAGACUUGUGUUCUUCAAGUAAAGACUAGACCCUUGCUCUUAAUGUUGAUCUCAUGGGGCUUCUAGUGUUUUUGUUGCCUAGCUACACAUGGUGCUAAGGAUGGUGUACAUCGAAUACUUUAAAUGAUAUCAAAUUUGGUAUCGAGCUACAAAGGUUUAUUCUAUACACCUUAGCACUUAGUAGGGUUUUAUGGUGCUUAUCCAAUUCUUGACAUAGAGCUUAAAUGUUGGAUAAGUAGCAUAAAAUCCAAUCAAGUUAGCAAUUUACACUUGUGUGAAAUGCUAGCUUGAAAAAGCUUAAAUUCCAUAUCUUUGUAGAGUUGUCAUCAAUUACCAAAAAGGGGGACAUUGAAAGGUCCUUGUUUGGUUUUGGUAAUUGAGUGACAACUUAGGUGGACUAAUAGUGUUUAUGCGAGAUACACAGGAGAUUAGUCCACAGGUGAUUAUGUGAUGAUGGAGGAUCUCAUUGCAUAUGAGACAUGACAUGGAGUCAUGUGACCAAGGUGGAGAAGAUCAAGACGAGGCUUGCCUUGAUGGACCGGUUGCAAGAGUGAAGGGCAAGUUAGAGGCUUUGAAGCGAGGGACCGCGUGUGACGGUGAAGUUUGAGCAAGACUUGGUGCCGAUGGACCAAGGCAAUGGUGAAGAGCAAGUGAGGUCAAGAUCGAUGAACUAGUACGGUCACGUGAUGAUAUGAAGUGGAUCAUAUCAUUUGGUGGUUGGUUGGUGCAUGUGUUGCAUCAACAUUGGAGGAGAUGGAAUGGAAAGCACAAGGCAAAGGUAUAACCUAGGGCAUUUCCAUUUCACUGGUCAUAGGUGUGUAGAGAAGAUUAUGACCGGAUUUAGGAUAGAUGGUCGUACUAUCAAGAGGGGCAAACUUGUUUGCAUAACAGUCAUCUAGUGCCACUUGAGCGAUCUAACUUUGCAUACGUGUUAGGAUCGAGUGGCGUCACAAGUUUGAGAGGCUAACUUCUUUAGGAAAAUUUUUGUGAAAUGCUAACACACAUGCACAUGGUGGUGUACACUUGGUGGUGUUGGCACAUUUGCAAAGGAGGUGGAGUUCCUAGGGUAGAGAGGGGUUUGGGUUCCUCUCUCCCUCCCACCGAGCUUGCGAGGUGAGAUUCGGUGCUUUUGAGAAAAUUAAGUGUAUAUUUUCUAUUGCGCCGGUGAGAUUUUUAGAGAAGUCGCGGGCACCGGACGCAUUGCGCGGAGGCACCAGACGAUGGCCUUUAGCAUCCGGUGUACUAUCGGGUAUGACCAGAGAAAGCAGACUACACUAGACGCACCGGAGUGAGUCCAGUGCUCAGCGUCCGGUGUGCGCGCAUCUUGUGACCCUCUCUACGUAUGGGUCCAGUGAGCACCAGAAGCUAUCGAUGCUUAGCGUCAGGUGACCCUGCAGGUUUGCGGAGCUCUCUGCGCACGCGUCCAGUGUGAACCAGCAGAGCGUCCGGUGGUGCUGUGUUAGGCGCGAGCGUGUGCUAGCUGUUGGCGGCAACCUUUGAGUUCAAACAGCUAGUGACACGUGGCUAUUUUUGGAGCACCAGACGCACUGUUCCAGUGUCUGGUGGCUCCCUGCAGUGAGUCCGGUGCCCACGACUUUUGCACAGUGAAGGGGCAACGGCUAGUUUAGCCCUUGGGGCUAUAAAUAGAAAUGGUGGCCGGCCUUGGCGAGUGCUUAGCAGCCUUGGGACUUAGUGUCCAUGCUUGGGGAGUGCUAGGAAAGCCUCUAACUCACUUGUGCUUGCAAGAGUGCGAAUCAAUAGCGAGUGAGUGAUUCUAGUGCGUUGCAUUGAGAGAUUCCAUCGAGUGGCACUAGGUGUUCGUGUUGCAAGCCGGUGGUGCUUGUUACCCUUGGAGGUUGCCACCUCCUAGAUGGCUUGGUGGCUUGUGACUCCGUCGAAGCAUGCAAGGAGAUUGUGCGGUGCUCCGGAGAAGAGAUUGUGAGGGGUACGGUGCUCACCCCGCGGGGAUCGCGAAGAGCAACUCUAGUUGAGCGACACGUUGUUGACACCAUUUUUGGACACAUACCCAGGAUCGGUGGAGUGUAGAUCGGCAAGAUAGGGCAAUAGUAACUGGUCUGUAGAAGAGUUGCCGAUGAGGGUGGUUGCCGAUGAAGGGACAGCUGGAUGUGACUAAGUCCAUGGGUGGUGAUGUGUUUAUGCUGAUGGCCAGCAUUAACCUGUGCCGAUGGCUACGAUGAGGGGUCUGCCGAUGAUUCGGAAGAAGAACGUGAAGGUUGCUGAUUGGCCUAUGGUGGUGUCCUAGUUUGUCACGGGAGGAUAGUUUUAUGUUUUCCUUAGUUAUUUAAAUCGUUUUGUAUACGGAUUCUGUUUAAUUUGGAAUUCGAGUUCUAGUCGUGUCUGAUUGUAGCUCUUUGAGCAGGGUAUAAAUGUAGACCCUAGGGCCUUGUAAUCGACAGAAUCUAUCAAUCAAUCAAACACAAGUUUUUACUCAUAUUCCAGCAUCUACUUUUUCGACGACUUCGUCAUAUUUUUCCUUUUAUUACGAGUUCUUAGGAGUUCGUUGACUUAAGAUCGGCGUAUUCUUGAGUUCCGCGUGAAUACCUCUUGGCUGUGACAUCCGGGCGCAUCGCUGUUGUCGGGACCAAAGUAUUCGAGUUAUCACCUUUGCCGAUAGUAAGAUCAAAUCGGCUAGCACGCCUUAACGUUUAAAUCGGGUAUUAGCCCUUCGUGUUUGCAGAUCAGCUUUUGCAUCAACACAUCUUUUGGCACGCCCAGUGGGACCAGAUUCAAGAUCAAGAUCAACAUGUCGACUACCGAGUUCGACUUGGAGAACGUCAUCCCCGUGACAGAAGCUAGCCUCAAAGAUGAGCAGAAGCAAGCUAUUGCGAAGGCUAUGGAGGAUUACAAGCAACAAAGUCUCAAGGCCUUCAGCAUAAACAAGAGUGGCGAGGUGAUCCAGAAGGAAGCACUGCUGAUGCCUCAGCAAGUUACUUUUGAAGCCAAUCCUGGUAAACUUCAAGAUAUGGUUGAUAAUGCUAUUAACCGUGCCUCGAUCAAUCAAGCUGGUGUGCUGUCCAAUAUGAUUUUCAAUGUCGUGGCUAGAACUUUCAAAGAAGGACAAUUGCCACCAAAUUAUGUGGGCCCUUCUCAUCAUCAACCAGGAUCACCGGUGGUCACAGCUCCAUCGGCUGCUACAGCCGCUGCGGGCACAGAAACUACUGUUCCUCCAAGCACGCUAGGAGUCUCUAAUGCGCAGUCCACGCCGAUGCCGUCCAAUCUAUCAACAUCAGAUGAGUCGAUCAAGCUUACUACAGAUCUAUUGGCAUCGGCAAUAUCGGGAUCUGUUCCUCCUAAUUGGUGGGGUUUUGGUAUGCCCCCAGAAUACUUGUUGAAGACACCUGGCACAUCUCAGGCAGCUGAUAUGGGAGGCAAUGCUCUAUGGCAUCAGCACCUCCAAAUAUGCCGAUGAAUCAGAGUCCCCAGUAUACUACAACUACUACUACAAGACCUUACACUGGGAAUUCUCAAGCUCCAACGUUCCAGAUGCCUAAUGCAUCGGCAGAUUCAAUGCCGACGCAACAGAGAUUUAUGACUCAGCUAGGGUAUGUCAAUUCAAUGAUGAUGCCCAAUUACCAGUCAUCAUCAGGACCUACGCCGAUGAAUGCUAAUAGUGGAUGGCUUGGGCAGCAAGUCUUUCCACAAAUGCCCCAACAGAAUCAUGAGGUUACAGGGUUUCAACAAGGCCAGAUCUACCCUGGAUUCCAGAACCAAGGGGUGGUCAAUCAGCCGAUGAAUCUCGGCCAGCAGGUUGGUGGUCAGCAGAUCGGUGGUCAGCAAUUUGGUGGUCAACAUCUUGGUGGUCAGCAGAUCGGCGGUCUGCAGGUUGGUGGCCAAAUGAUUAACCCAAUGUUCCAUGCAGAUCAUGCACCGUACAGACACGUGGAAGCUUACCAGCAGGUGCUAGAUCCACAACCGCCUCAUCGGCAAGAUGCCGAUGCUUAUUGGGCCAAUAAGAUUGCUGAAGUGAUGAGAGACCAAUUUGGGAUAAAACCCAAAGUCAAUACUUACUCUUAUCGGACACCGUAUCCUCCUGCAUAUGAUUUAAUCCCACUUCCAAAUCGGUACAAAGUGCCGGAUUUUACUAAUUUUUCUAGGCAGGAUGAUACAUCCACCAUGGAGCACGUCAACAGGUUCAUCAUUCAGUGUGAAGAAGCUGCUAACAGGGACGAGUUAAGGGUUCACUUGUUCUCAUCAUCAUUAUCUAGAUCGGCUUUCACUUGGUUUAUAUCCUUACCUCCUAACUUAGUGAUUACUUGGGCCGAUCUAGAGAAGCAAUUCCACAAAUACUUCUUUUCUGGAGUCCAUGAGAAGAAGAUCACCGAUUUGGUCAAAUUGAAGCAACGCAAUGAUGAAUCGGUUGAAAGUUUCGUGCAGAGAAUACGGGAAGUCAAGAACAAAUGCUAUAGCCUGGUUUUGGAUGAUCGGCAGCUAGCCGAUUUGGCUUUCCAGGGUUUGUUGCCACAUAUCAGGGACAAGUAUGCAUCUCAAGAGUUUGAAAGCUUAUGUCAUUUGGUGCAGAGAAUUUCUGAUCAAGAUAUCAAGCCUUUUGAGCCCAAGAGAGCAUGGAACAAAAAGGUAUCAUUUGUGGAUGAAGCAGCAAGCUCGGACUCUGAUGAGGAACCAGUCAUCGGCUUGGCAGAGUGGGUAAAGAACAAGAAGCCGAUGUCUUGUCCUUUUGGGCACAAAGAGCCAGAGAAGUUCGCAUUUGACAUCACCAAAGCCGAUAGGAUAUUUGACUUUCUACUUCAGGAAGGUCAGAUCAAAUUGUCACCCAAUCAUGUAAUCCCAUCGGCUGAAGAAUUAAAGAAGAUGAAGUACUGCAAAUGGCACAAUUCAACUUCUCACAGCACCAAUGAGUGCAAAGUUUUUAGACAACAGCUGCAAUCGGCUAUAGAAUCUGGAAGGAUCAAAUUUGACAGCUCCAAAACUCAGAAGCCGAUGAAGAUUGAUCGACAUCCUUUCCCAACAAACAUGCUGGAUGCUAAGGGAAAGGCCAAGGUCUUGACAUCAGAAGCAGCUGAAAGAAGUGCAUCGGUGGAUCCUCAGCAUCAGAUCACUGCUGCCAAUGCAAAAGGAAAAGGCUUGAUCCAGGAGGGAACUAACUCGGGAAGGCCUCCCCGAUCUGGUAUUCUGAUAACUCAUAGAAGGCCUCGGGAAACUUGGCAGCAACGUGAGGAUCGGUAUCGGCGCCAGCAAGAAGACUAUCAUCGGGAAGAAGAAAGACGCCGACAAGAGUGGAAUCGGCAUAGAGAUCACUGGAAUUGUCCGUUCUUCAUCCAUUGUUGGGAGGAAAAUAUCAAGCUUCCUACUGUUAGAGGCUGCCCGGAAUGUAAUGGUUAUGAUCGGUAUGACAGAUCAAAUCGGCAGUACCAGAACAAUAACCGCCGGUUUGAUGGGCCAAUUAGGGGGAGAGCGUCAGUUCAUGAUCGGCUGGGGGCAGGCUCAGUGUGCAUGAUAGGCUUGGUGAUCGUGUUGAAUAUUUUCCCAGGAACCAGGAAGAACUUGAAGAGAUGGCUAAUGCACGGGUUCCCGAUGAGUUCAUAUUUUGCAGGGAUGCCAAUACUUAUCGGAUGGAGUCAAGGGAAAAUCGUCACCCAUCGGUAAGGCAGCAACAACUUCCUCCAUGGUGUCCAGAGGGGUUGACUAGGACACAGAAAAGGAGGCUGCAGCGCGAAGGACGAGAAAAGUUGAACAAGGGCGAGAACUCUGGCCAGUCUAGGGAUCAGCAACAAUCAGAUCCUAAGGGAAAAAGUCCAUCGGCAGAUGUCAACAUGGUAUUUGUGUUGCCGAUGGAAUUCCUUGCGCCGUCCAGUGAUGAUGAGGAGUUAGAAUUUUCUGACUAGAUACCUCAGUUGGCUCUGGAUCCGAUGACAGCCAUCCUUGAAAAGCCUGCCGACAUUGAAAGGCAGCAUCUUAAAGCCUUGUUUGUCAAAGGAAGGGUUGACGGUCAGCCGAUGACCAAGAUAUUGAUUGAUGGUGGAGCAGCUAUCAUCAUCAUGCCUUAUACAGUAUUUCGGAAGCUUGGAAAAGGGGAUCAAGAUUUGACCAAGACCGAUAUGAUGUUAAAAGACUUUGAGGGCAACGUGUCUCCGGUUAAGGGGGCAAUAUGCGUUGAGUUGUCCAUCGGCAGGAAAACCUUGCCGACAACUUUCUUCGUGAUCAGUGGAAAGGGUGGUUAUAACUUGCUGUUAGGGAGAGAUUGGAUUCAUGCCAAUUGUUGCAUCCCAUCUACAGUGCACCAAUGCUUGGUCCAGUGGGUAGGUGAUAAAAUUGAGAUUGUCCUAGGAGAUUCUUCUUAUGUCAUCGCAUCGGUAGAAGCAGAUACCUAUGAAAGAACUAGGUGCAUCUCGGGAGAAAUUUGGGAGAAGGAUUUUCUCAAAGUUGCCGAUUAUGAAAUUCCACCGAUCCAAGCAGUCUGUUCUGAUGAAGGUUUUUAAUGGAUAGGUUCGCCGAUGAUGGAAAAUUAGGCCAGGGAUUCACAUCGGCCGAUGAUUUGGUAGAGAUAGAUUUAGGUAGUGGUGAUAAGCCUAGACCUACUUUUAUUAGUGCUAAAUUAGAUUCUGAGUGUAAGCAAUAGUUAACCAAUUUGUUAAAGGAAUAUAAAGAUUGCUUUGCUUGGGAUUAUACUGAGAUGCCUGGUUUAGACCAAUCAAUUGUUGAACAUCAGUUACCUAUCAAGUCUAGAUUUUGGCCACAUCAACAGCCAGCUCGCCGAUGUAAUCCUAAUAUUCUUCCUAAUAUUAAGGCCGAAAUAACCAAACUUAUUGAAGCUAAAUUUAUUCAGCAGUGUCGGUAUGCCUAGUGGAUUUCCAAUGUGGUUCCAGUCUACAAGAAAAAUGGGAAGCUUCGGGUUUGCAUUGAUUUCAGGAAUCUCAAUAAAGCUACGCCGAUGGAUGGCUACCCAAUGCCAGUUGCCGGUCUAUUAGUUGAUGCUGCGGCUGGGCAUCGGAUCAUCAGCUUUAUGGAUGGUAAUGCAGGAUACAAUCAAAUAUUCAUGGCUGAAGAAGAUAUUCCGAAGACUGCAUUUAGAUGUCCUGGUCAUGUUGGGUUGUUUGAAUGGAUAGUCAUGACCUUUGGCUUGAAAAAUGUUGGUGCUACUUAUCAAAGGGCUAUGAAUUUUAUAUUUCAUGAGUUUAUCGGCAAGCUGGUGGAAAUUUAUAUUGAUGAUGUGGUGGUUAAAUCUGGAGACUUCACAAAGCAUCUUGCCAAUUUGCGAAAGGUGUUGGAAUGCACAAGGAAGCAUGGUUUAAAGAUGAAUCCCAAUAAGUGUGCAUUUGGUGUAUCGGCAGGACAAUUUCUUGGCUUCAUGGUGCAUCAAAGGGGGAUUGAAAUUAGUCGGAGAUCCAUCGAUGCUAUCAACAAAAUAGUUGCCCCUACCAACAAGAGUGAGCUCCAAUCCUUGAUCGGCAAGGUAAAUUUUAUCAGGAGGUUUAUAUCUAAUUUAUCUGGUAAAAUCCGUGCUUUCAGUCCUUUACUUAAGUUGAAAGUCGAUCAAGAGUUUGUCUGCGGGAAAGAGCAACAAUUGGCCUUGGAUGAAAUCAAGAAUUAUUUGGUAAAUCCUCCGGUUCUGAUUCCACCUCAGCAAGGGAAGCCUUUUAGGUUGUAUUUGUCUACCGAUGGGAUGGUCAUCGGUUCGGCUUUAAUUCAAGAAUUUGAAGGGAAGGAACGUGUGAUUUACUAUUUAAGUAGGAGAUUGGUCGAUGCCUAGACCAGGUAUUCGGCGAUCGAAAAGUUGUGUUUGUGUCUUUAUUUCUCAUGUAUUAAGUUGAGACACUAUUUGUUAUCGGCCAAAUGCACUGUCAUAUGCAAAGAUGACGUGGUCCGGUAUAUGCUGUCUAUACCGAUUAUGAGUGGCAGAAUCAGUAAGUGGAUUUUGGCACUGUUGGAGUUUGAUUUGCGUUACGAAUCGGCUAUGACCGAUUUUGUGACUCAACAUUGCAGUAUAGUGGAGACUUUGGAAAUUGUGCCUUGGACGCUCUUCUUUGAUGGAUCCACAUGUGACCGGGGGGCAGGGAUCGGCAUAGUGUUGAUUUCCCCUCGGGGAAGGAAGUAUGAGUUCUCCUUGCCGAUUGUUACCACGUCAAGAAAUAAUUAGGCUGAGUAUCAAGCUUUGAUAAAGGGGUUGGAAUUACUAAGGGAAGUUCAUGCUGAUGCUGUUGAAAUCUUCAGGGAUUCUAUGCUGGUUAUAAAUCAAUUGGCUGGAAGCUAUGAAUGCCAAAGCGAGGUCCUGAUAACUUAUCACGAAAGGAGUAUGCAACUGUUAAAGGAAUUCAAGGACUUCUGAUUAGAGCAUGUUCCUCGAUUGCAUAAUGAAGAGGUCAAUCGGUUGGCUCAGCAUGCCUCGGGAUAUCAGCCCAUGAUUAAUGCAAUAUCGGCAAUCGGUGCCGAUGAUUGGAGAAAAGGAAUCAUUGAUUAUUUAAAGGAUCCAUCCAAGAAAUUUGAGAGACGUGUUUGGUUUCAAGCUACCAAGUAUGUGCUCCUUGAAGAUGAGUUAUAUUACCGAACUAUUGAUGGAAUUCUUCUCAGGUGUUUAGGUGAUGAUGAGGCUAGGAGUUUGAUGGGAGAGAUCCAUGAGGGAGUGUGUGGAGCACAUCAGUCAGCAUUUAAGAUGAAGUGUAUCAUCAGAAGAAACGGAUAUUAUUGGCCGACUAUAUUUGAGGAUUGCUUUAAGUAUUUCAAAGGGUGUCAAGGAUGUCAGAAGUUUGGCAAUAUUCAAAGGGCACUCGCAUCGGCCAUGAAUCCUAUCAUCAAGCCUUGGCCGUUCCGAGGAUGGGCUAUUGACUUGAUCGGCCAGAUUUAUCCACCAUCCAGCAAAGGACAUAAGAUUAUCUUGGUUGCCACCGAUUAUUUCACCAAAUGGGUUGAAGCUAUCCCUUUAAAGAAAGUUACAUCGGCCAACAUGAUCGAUUUUUUGUGAAAGAGCAUAUUAUUUACCGAUUCAGAAUCCCUCAAACGAUUACUACCGAUCAGGGUACUAUGUUUACAUCGGGGGAGUUUGAUGAAUUUGCAAUCGGUAUGGGGAUUAAAGUAUUAAACUCUUCUCCUUAUUAUGCUCAAGCUAAUGGGUAGGCCGAGGCGUCUAACAAAGAGAUUAUCAAGCUUAUUAAGUGGAAGAUUGAAGAAAAUCCUAGGAGGUGGCACACGUUGUUAAAUGAGGCUUUAUGGUCCUAUCGGAUGGCUUGUCAUGGAUCGACCAAGGUUUCACCUUAUCAGUUGGUAUAUGGGCAUGAUGCAGUGUUACCUUGGGAAAUUAAGACUGGGUCUAGGCGACUAUCUUUUCAAGAUCAGUUGGCUGCCGAUGAUUAUGCUACUUUGAUGACAGACGAGUUGGAUGACCUAGCAGGGCAUCGGCUAAGGGCUUUGAUGAGUAUAGAAAAGAAUAAGAAGAGAGUUGCCAGAUGGUAUGAUAAGAAGGUAAAAGAUAAGGAGUUUGCUGAUGGAGACUCAGUAUGGAAGCUAAUCUUACCGAUCGGGACUAAAAGUUUGAAAUUUGGAUAAGUCGAUCGGCUCCUGGUAAUGCCUAUAUUUUAGAAACUCUUGAAGGAGUUGAAUUUCCUAGAGCAUUAAAUGGCAAAUAUCUAAAGAAAUAUUACCCCAGCAUGUUAGUCGAUGCAUAAAGGUUUGAGUGCCGAUAACAUUCCUAUCGGCUAGAUUAAACUGUGUCUGGGACCGGACUUAAUGUUUUAAAAAGGGCCGAUAACAGUCCUAUCGGCUAGACCAAAACAUUAGGAGUGUUCAAAAGAAAGGAGCAAAUAUGUUGCCGAUGAAGAAGUCACAUAUUCAACAGCGCCUGGAUCGCCGAUAUAGCGCGCAGGCGAAUUUGGUUGGCUGCUUCUAUCUCUUUGAUGUCUUCAUCGGCAGAACCUUCCACCGGCUUCAACUUCUUCAUCUGCAGCGCUUUACGGCCAUGAACAUUUCGCUCUUGUUCAAGGAGUUUGAUCGCCUCAGGCAGCUGGUUUUCCUCUUGUUGAGCUUGGGACAAGGCUUCUUCUACUUGCUUGAGUUCUGCCAACAGGGCUUCUCUUUUUGCCAAUAGAUCAGAGAUCUUGUGCUUCAACGCAUCUCCUGAGGACUUUAAGAUGACGAUGUUCUUGUGCUUCUCAUCGGCAAGGAGCUUCACUUUCAUCAUCUCCUCAGAAAGCUGAGUCUGAGCAGCUCUGUCGGCAAGGCGCUGGGUGGCCUUUUGAUAUUGCAGCUGAUGGCUCUCUAGAUGUGCAGCUUGAAAAGGAUUUCUUUAGCAUCGGCAGGAAUUUGGCCUCUGAGGGUCUUGAACAAAGCCUUGGCUAGGUCGGAGUCAUCAACUAGUUGGGCUGUGUCUAGAUGAAGGAGGGCUGAUAAUUCUUCUAACUUGGCCCUGAUUUCUACCGAUGUAAUUCCGAUUGCUCGGGAAGAACUUGUCUCCUCGCCUUCAUCUUCAGAGAUGUCGAUGGCAAAGGAGAACAGGCUGUCAGGAGAGUCCUGUUCCUGAAAAAGAAAUGAAGUGAGUUAUUCUAUGGUCAAGUAUUGACAAAAAAUACCGAUAGAGAUUGGGUGACUUACUUGUUUCAGGGCAAUCUCUCGCCUCUGACUAGAAGAUGCCGAUGGAACCACAGGCUGAUCGGCUGGGGUUGCCGAUGGGACUAUGUCAGCUGAAAGAAUAACAGAGAUAAUUAUAAGAUAGAGAAAGUAGGUUCAUCGGCAGUGAUUUCAUAGAAAGUAUGUUACCUUGAGGGGGAGCAGUACUUGUUUGGAUGGAAGAAACUACCGAUGCUAUAAUUAAACUUGCUGGAUCGGUAGUUUGCUCAUGCACGUCAGCCGAUGUGUCUUCCGGCUGAGGUACUUCUGGCUGGGGUUCUUCUGGUUGGAGUUCUUCCACUUGGGGUGCUUCUUGUGGCUGAGAAGGAGGUGGUACCUGCUGUGUCUGGGUUUCUGGAGAAGAGGGAGAAGAUUCCACCGAGAUCUGUGAUACUGGGGGAGGAGAAGGUGUUGCUAUCCUCUGGCGCUUUGCUUGUGAUCUGGUGCUCUUGGAACCUUUCCUUUUCGCUUGACUGGACUGGCGGGCAUCGGCACUUGUGCUUCUGGUCCUUGCCGAUGCGCCGGUAUGCUGUUACAACGAAGGAAAUUCGUGAGUACAAGUGUAACAGAUGUAAGAAUGAAAUCGGUAUGGAUGAAAAAGUUUAAAAAUUUACCUUGAAGGCCUGUGCUAAGGUAGAGGCUUCUACCAAUGGAGAUGUCUUCGUCCACUUGGUGGUGACUUUCUUGAGGCGCACACCUCGAUGCAUUAUGGCAGCCAAGGUAGGAGCAUUGUUGCCGAUCGAGAAGAUCGGUCCUGAUGGAAAAAGCUCAAUCGGCUUACCACUCUUGCUAACCGAUGGGGGAAUGUUAUCAACCUGUAAUAUAACACAGAAAGUGUCGGUGUUUUCCCCACGGGGGGUCACACCAACGAGUGAAUUUGUAUGCGUGCUCCCUUUCCCAGAUGGUGAUGCAAAAAGACACACAAAGAUUUAUCCUGGUUCGGGCAAGAGAAGGCCCUACGUACAGCGGGGGGAGAGAGUUUGUAUUAUUUUGCACCUAAGUGCUUGUACAGGGGUGAAUACAAGCGUGGUAUGGAGUAUGGAAGUUCUACUGCAUAUGGGUGUGGUGUUGCGUGAUUGAUCUUUGAGUCCGCUCCCAGGCUUCCCCUUUUAUAGUUCCAAGGUGAAGCCCAGGCUACAAGCAUAGGUGUCAGAGCAGGGGUUGAUAGAGGCAUGGCGCGCGGACCAACUCGAGGCCUCCGUACCGGCGUGGUCUCGAGCCAUCCCGUCCUGGUAGUUUGAUGAUGAUUACGCGUGCCCCGAUAUCCUGCUCUGUGCGCUGUCUUGGACUGGUUCACCGGUUGCACGCCUGUACGGCACCGCGGCAGAUCCGUCGGAGUGGUUGUUGUGUUGCCAUUCGACGCCCAACCCUUCCCCAGGAAGGAAAUACGUCUAGUCGAGGGUCAGACGCCAUGUGACGCCAUGCUAUCCAGAGCGUUGACCCUGGAUGUCUCGAGGGGGUCCUGAUUAGACGUUCUAUCCCUGCUUCCCGCGUCCUGACACGCUCUGGAUUGUUUGGUGGGGAAGGCUGCAAAAAGAAUGACAGGACUGGUGCCCGUUUCCUAUCAUGCUUCCCGUGACUUGGCAUGUUAGGUGAGAACACGACAAGCGCAUUAAAUGCCCUGGUUCCCGUGCGCGUGUCAGGCGGCGGGCGGCGUCGUUGCGCUCGACGCCUCCUACUUCGCUCUAGCCCGUUUCCGUAUUCGACGGUAGCUGGCGCUCGAGCCCUGAUCGAUUCGCCCGACGCCUUUUUUGUCUUCGAGGCUGCGGUCGUCGAUGACUGUGCACGUGACUGAUUAGAGCGUCGAGGUGGGGUCCUCGACCUGCGUAGGGCAGUCUCGUUAUGUACAUCAGUUGGGAUACCCCUUACUGAUAUCCUCGACAGUAGCCCCCGGGCCUCCAUUUGAGCACUGGCGCUCGAGUGGGGGCUUUAUUCUGCGGUCGAGUUUCCAUGGGGGCACGCGAGCGACCCCGCGGUGGUAGCCCCCGAGCCCUUGGAGGAAUUUUUUACUCCUUCGAGGGUUAUAUUGCCUAAUUCUCAGAAACGCUGUCGACACCAGUGGUGGAAGGUUCUGAUUGGCUCGUUUUGCGCAGGGGUUUCGACGUACUCUCGAUAGAGCGAGCGUCAUCCACCCUAGAUUGAGCUCCUAACGGGUAGUCCAAGUGAGAACCUGUGCCCCUUUUGAGGGGGUCAGCUGUAGCCGGGAGGCGUUCUCAUAAAGCGGGGUCGACGUAGUCGGGGAUGCUGGACUCAUUCGAUAGAGUCCAGUGGCUCGAUGCCUCCCGUCGAGGGGAUUCCUCUCGACUGUCUCGACCCUACCUCGGACAUCCCCAGCGAGUUCUCGAGGCGGGCCUCGAUUGUCGACCAUUUGCUAGGCAUCCCUGACUCUGGUGCUCGAGAUCGGCUGUCGAACCCUUUCGGCGGGUCAGCCUGCGACCUCUCGAGGCUUUCGUGGGUGCGUUCCUUGGCUUACAAGGGAAGGAAGAGGCCGUGGCGGUUCGCCUUUUUGCCCGUUGGGCGCACCUUUUCAGGCUAGAGCCGUUGCGACACUGUAUCGGCGCAGAAUUCGGAGCGCCCCGUCUGUGAGGAGGAAAAAGACCGUUAGGCGGCGCAUUUAUGGGGGGAGUUACCUCAUUUAUUGGAUCCGUCCAUUGAUGGGUUGCUACCUAUAAAUAUCCCGUGGCAUCACCGCAGUUCUCCCUUCUGCCUUCUGCCUUCAUCCUUGCCUUAUCCCUCUCGCCGUCUUAGCUCUCUUGCCAUCUCACGCGCGCGCGCCCCCUCGAGCAGUAGCGAAUCCACCCUCCUUCUGUCCAAAAUGCUUGUGAGACUCGUUGCCGCCGACGACUGGCGCCCGUCGUCGAUGACAGAGCGCUGGUUGCUGGAGCUUGAGAGGGAGGGACUCCUACGCCACCGCACAUCGCUGUCGUCGCCGCCGUGGAUCGCACCAGCGGCGGACCACCGGGAGCCCAGGCCAACCAAGGGCUACGUGGUUUCGUUCGGCAAGUUCCACCGCCACGGCCUGGGCGCUCCUCCGAGCCACUUCAUGCGGGCGCUCUGCCACCAUUACGGGGUGGAGCUCUAGCACUUCUCCCCAAACGCCAUCACCGUCGCGGCGGUCUUUGCCACGGUGUGUGAGGGCUAUUUGGGGAUGAUGCCCCACUGGGAGCUGUGGCUCCACCUCUAUAGGGGCGAGCUCUUCAACGGCCCCACCAGGACCACUGGCGUGAGGAAGCUCGUGCAGGCGGGAUGCCUCAACCUUGUGCUGAAGACGGGGAAGACGACGAGGCCGCGCGAGUACAUCCCGGUGGGAUUGUCGACGAACCACGCCGGAUGGGACUCCUAGUGGUUCUACCUGAGGAACGACGACGAUCUCCAACCCGCCUACACCGGUUGCCUGAUCACGGAGCGCCCAGAGAACUGGACGCACGGCGUCGUCCAAGUUCAUCAGUCGUGGCUCGACCCCCUCCUCGAUUCCAUGAAGAAGUUGCGUGUGGAAGGCCUAGUCGCCGCUCUCGUCCUCUCGGCCGUCCAUCAUCGAAGAGUUCUCCUGUUGAUGUCUCGGCCGCUGAGGAUGGACGAGAUGGGCCCUGGCGUCUCGUCCGGGGACCUCGAGGCGUGCCGGAUGUCCAACGAGGCUCCAACGGACGACGAGGUCGCGGCCUGGGUCAGGGCGGCCAUUGCCAGUGACUUUAAGCCGGAGCACGUCAAUGGCUUCCCCAUGAGGCCUGAUGCGGGCUCGAUCGACCUGGUAUGCUCUUUUCUUGUACAUGGCUUUGAUUCUGGAUUUCUUUCGAUCCCUUUUUAAGCUUGCCUUUGUUCUGGCAGGGGCGGAUCGAUGUCCGGUCCUCGAGGCCUCCAGUACGGGAGGACGAGGUUGAUCGCGACAAGCGGCGCCAGUCCGUCGAGAAACAAAAGUCCACCAAGGACUCUGAGAAGAAAGGAAAGAAGAAGAAGAACCUCGACCGCCAAGCGCUAGAGGCGCGUCGAGCUAAGUCCAGGCAGAGGGGGGAGCCUAAAGAAGAAUCCCCCAGUGAGGAUGAUGGUGGAGACAGCGAUGAUGACAGCGACGACUCCGAGGGGAUGGCGUCUCGCCUCGAGGCGACGCCGACGCCCCCCGAACGGGAGCACAAAAGGAGGGGCCAGGCGGGUCUCACCGCCCCCGCGCUGACACCCCUCCCGCGCCUGCACCAGGUUAGGCCGUCCCGCCCCACCAACUUCCCCCUGCACCAAAGGCGGGUGGCAGGGCUAAGCCCCAGGCGACGGGGCCGUUGACCCGUGGCCGCGCUGCGGCCUCUGACAAGGGAGAUACUGGCCGCAGGAGCGCUAGCCCCGGCGCCCGCCAGAUGGGAGACGCUGGACCGAAGCCUGCGCCUGCCCACGAGGGGCUUGGAAUCUCGACGCGAGGUGGUUUGAGGCCCACCGGUCGAGGUACCGGCAGGCGAGCCAUUCUCCCUAUGGGGUAGGUUCUUCGACGCUGUGAUUCUCAUCUUCCUAUUUCCUUGCGCUUUCUCGCAUAGCGGUCUUUCUUACGCUCAUUUCUUUUUUCCUCAGGUUGAAGCGGAUGCUUGAGCAGGCCCAGCCUUCGAUGGCGAAAAGGCUCAAGGUGGGAGCGGCCUCCAAGGAUUCAGGUUAGUUGCUUAUUCCCGUUGUUAUGGGAUUUGUGCUGUUCUUACGUCAACCAUCAUAGUGACUGACCUCUGUUUUUUGCUUUAUAGGCUCCUCCGAACCUCAACCACCGACUGGUACCGAGAGUGCCCUGCCCCAUCCCCUAGCGGGUGAGUCUGCCCCGUCGUCGCCAAAACGAGUCGAGGAGCCUCAACCCUAGGGCCAGGAGGGAGCCCCCGAGCCUCCACGAUCGGGGGUCGAGGGGGAUCCCAUUACCAUAAGUGAAGGGUCUGGCGGCGACGGGACCUCGAGGGACGCCCGUCCUAUGGACGAGGAGGCCCAGACUUCUCUCGUUGCGAGACGAAUGCCCUAGCCUGCCGGGCUUCGCUCCAUCGAGGAGCAGAAGAAGAAAGAAGAGGAAGAGCGUGGGCAAGAGACGCGGCGGCAGCUACAGGAGCAGGACCGUCAACAAGUGCCGCGGGAGCUUGAGGGGCCAGCCGUCAGAGGAACCGCUCGAGCCUCCUCCUCAUAGUCCGCCCCAACCGGUACCACCGGCGCCACAAGAGCCCGGGGACCAGGAAGAGGGUCUGUCAGUUUUCGGCCCUCUGACCCCGGCGUGGCUCCGUCCAGGGGCGCUCGCCGCGAUCCCAGCAGAGUCAGGGCGGGCGGACGGCGUGGUGGCGCUCGCAUGCAUGAUGCGCACCCCCGUCGACCCUAAGUCUGAGAUCAGGAGGACGAUCUACGGCAUGGACGGGAUCGCCCCGGGGUUCCUCCGAGAGCGUCGGUCGUGGGAGGACCGUAUUCCCGCUGAGGAGGACGAGGCUAGGACGUCAGGCGGAGGCGGAGGCAGCGAAAUGGGCACCUGUAAGACGGUGGACGACGACAGGCGGUUCCCCUCCCUCGUCGACUUGUUCCUGUUCCAUGGGGGGUCCCUCAAGACCGUCGAGGAGCUCAUCCGCGGCGUCAAGGCACAGGCCGACCAGGAGAUGGAGAACUGGUGCCCUGAUCGGAUCCGCAUCCGGGCUUCCACCGAUCCAUCUGAGCCCAACAUCUUCCUGGACGAUCGAAAGGAAGCUGAGAAGUGGGAACACGUCGAGGAGCUCUGCCUCUGGAUGAAGCACACGGUGGGGCUCCUGUCGGACGUUGUAAACAACGGGCUCGGACCAGCCUACUUUGUAAGUAUUGUUCAGUCUUUUAAUCUUUAUGGAACUUGUUGGUUUUGUGUUCUAACUGCUCGGUACCCGGCUUGCAGGACCUGAAAGAGACCUCCCGCAUUAAGUCAAGCUUCAUUCACGCCACGAGAGGCGGUUGGGAGCAGCUUCCCAUCCUCAAGGACCAACUCCUGGAGUCACAGGAGAAACUCCUCAAGGCUUAUAAAGAGCUCUUAGCGCUCGAGGAGGAGAAGAAGGAGAGGGAGGCUGCCCUGGUCGAGGCUCGAGAAGCCUCAAGGAAGGCGGUGGAAGAGGCCGUGCUGCUGAGGGAGCGGGCUCUGACGGUCGAGGAGGCUACGUCUAAAUCCCGGGAGGAGGCCCUGUCCUACAAGAACAUCGUUGCUGACCUGGACAAGGAGAAGGGCCUCCUCAAGACUGACCUGGACUCCCUCCGAGAAUCCUACCAGAGGAUGAAGGUGGAGUAUGUGAACAGCGAGGUCGCCAGGAGCGCCGCUGAGGAGGCAAAGAAGAAGGCCCUUGAAGACCUCGAGGCGAAGCGGGCUUGAUCCCGCAGCCUCUCUGACGACGUCGAUUGUCUGAAGAGGGCGCUGCUGGAGAAGGAAGGAGCCAUCACGCAGGCCGGCAAGGCGAUCAAGGAUCUGCGCGUCGCCAACACCGAGCUGGCGCGCUCCAACAGGGAGGUCGAGAGGGCUAACACCAAUUUGGUUGGCGGAAACACGGCUCUGGAGGAGAGCAUCCGUGGUAUGUUUUCUAUUAUCGAGUUUCUUUUCUAAGGCAUGUUUGGUGUCAUCUAAUCCACUCACGUUGAUUCUUGCAGGGCUCAAGGACGAGCUGCUGGCUGCCCAAGUCGAGGCCCGCUCCAUUAAGACCUAGCUCGAGGGGGAGGUCGCCUUGAACGGUCGUCUAAGUACUGCGAUAAGCGACCUCUCGGUCUCCUAGGAGCUCGAGCCUGUUAACGAGUCGAGGGAGGAGGCUCGGGGCGACGCACUCGUCGACCAGCUAUGCUAUCUUGGAGCUACGCUGAGGGACCGGGUGCAGGACGCCCUCCACGUCGGAGUGAAGCGGGCGAUGGCUGUAGUCUGCUCAGGCUUCUCCUACGACAUGGAGGUGGUGUCCCACGGCUUCGUCACCGACAUCUCCAAGACUGACGCAGAGAACGAAGAGAGGCUCCACGCCUUGAUCGACGACGCAGAAGUUCCUAGAGAGAGGUUGGCUAAACUAUUCGAGCCAGAGGUACUUCCUCCUGAGACUGGCUCAGGCGUGGGUGAGGAUGGUGAGGGCCGAGACGCGAACUGAGGCCUGCGAGCCUACUCUGGGUGCUUGGGCCCCUUGUAUAGUACUCUGUUAAUUUGUAUUUACGUGAUACAGUGUCUUUUAAGUGGUUGUCGAAUGUUUAUCUGUCUUCCCGCUCGAGGCUCUUUUAUUUCCCUUUGCACCUAUAUUUGUAUUCCCCGUUUGAUCUUUCGUUUAAGGUGAUCUCAGUUGCCUCAAGGGUGAGGAAGCGAGUAGAGUUUCCGUAGCCCGAGGGCGUAGGAGUUCUCAGGCUCAUCGUCUCUUGGCCCUUAAGGGGCUCAAGGUGCCUCUACUACUCGACCAUACGAGAUUACUGAUAGGAAAGAAAGGGUUACUUGGUUUUUUCGACACCUGGGGGGUCACCCCCCUGCUAGCCCCCGAGGGGGUAUCGACAAUGAUGGGUCAUAGUCGGUACUCCCUUCUAGCGUUGAGAUUUUGACUCGUAAAAAAGUAAAUUGCUCGAGGGAAAGACUUUAUUUAUUCACGCAUUCAUUUACAAAGCCUUGGUAUAGAAUGUACAUGGGAACAUAAAGCUUUGAAAUUCUAGGGGUAGAAUCUACGUAGCUGUUCGAUGUUCCAUGCGUUGGUGAAGAUUGCCCCUUUUUCGUCCGUGAGUUUGUAUGUCCCUGGCUUCAGGACCUCGGCCACCACGUAUGGGCCCUCCCAAGGUGGAGUCAGCUUGUGGCGUCCUUGAUUGCUUUGCCGCCGUCGUAGGACAAGGUCGCCCACAUUCAAGUCCCUCUUACGCACGUGCUUGUCGUGGUAGCGUCGAAGUUUCUGCUGGUAUCUGGCAGAGUUGAGGAGGGCCAUGUCUCGAGCUUCCUCGAGUUGGUCGACCGCGUUUUCUUGAGUCUCUUUAUUUGAUUGCUCGUUGUAUGCUUUGAGUCAAGGGGAUCCAUACUCGAGGUCCAUUGGGAGCACAGCCUCAGAGCCAUAGACCAUGAAGAAUGGGGUGUAUUUUGUGGCCCUGCUCGGCGUCGUCCUUAGGCUCCAUAGGACGGAGGAAAGCUCCUCGACCCAUUUCUUGCCGAAUUUCUUCAAGCAAUUGUAGAUCCUUGGUUUGAGCCCCUGCAAAAUCAUGCCGUUGGCACGCUCGACCUGGCCGUUAGUUCGAGGGUGGGCUACCGCAGACCUGUUCACACGGAUGUGAUGCUGAUCGCAGAAGUCCAAGAACUUCUUGCCGGUGAACUGAGUGCCGUUGUCAGUGAUGAUGACGUUGGGAAUCCCAAACCGGUGGAUGAUGUCGGUGAAGAAAAGGACGACUUGCUCGGAACGGAUAUUGGUGAUGGGUCGAGCCUCGAUCCAUUUGGAGAACUUGUCGAUGGCCACUAGCAAGUGGGUGUACCCCCCUUUAGCCUUUUGUAGAGGCCCUACUAAGUCGAGCCCCCAUACCGUGAACGGCCAUGUGAUCGGGAUCAUCUGGAGAGCGUGGGCAGGCAGGUGCGUCUGCUUGGCGUAGAAUUGGCACCCGUGGCAUGAGCGUACGAGCUCGACGGCAUCAGCUACGGCCGUUGGCCAGUAGAAGCCUUAUCGGAAGGCAUUCCCUACGAGGGUCUGCGGAGCAGCGUGAUGGCCACAAGCCCCUGAGUGUAAGUCGUCGAGGAGUUUUCGGCCUUCUUCUAUGGUGAUGCAACGUUGUAGGAGCCCUGUUGGGCUUCGUUGAUAUAGCUCAUUGUCCUCGCCGUAGAUUACAUAUGAUUUCGCCCGUCGAGCGAUACGGCGGUCCUCGGAUCGAUCUUCUGGUAGCUCGCAGCGGAUUAGGCAGUCGAGGAAUGGCGUGCCCCAGUCGAACGGUCGACCGGGACGCUGUUCCACCUCCAUUACCUCAGCUGCCAUUAGUAGCGCGUCGACGGUGUCGGUUUGCUGGGUAGGAGCGGCUUCGACGCCAGCCCUCGAGCCCAAGUCGAUGGAUGGCUCGUGAAGAUCUCUCGAGAACGCGUCAGGUGGUACCGUGCCUCGAGUCGACGCGAUCUUGGCGAGUUCGUCGGCCGGCUCGUUGUAGCGUCGGGCAACGUGGACGAGCUCGAGGCCAUGGAACUUGUCCUCGAGUCGACAAACAUCCUUGCAGUACGCCUCCAUUUUCGGGUCAUGGCAGCUCGAAGUCUUCAUCACUUGUUCGAUGACGAGUUGGGAGUCACCUCGGACAUCGAGGCGUCGAACUCCUAGCUCGAUGGCGAUCUUGAGACCGUUGACGAGGGCCUCGUAUUCCACGACGUUGUUGGAGGCGGCGAAGUGAAUCCUUAUGACAUACCUCAUAUGAACGCCCAGGGGCGAGAUGGACAGUAGGCCGGCCCUAGCCCCCGUCUUCAUGAGAGACCCGUCGAAGUACAUCGUCCACAGCUCUGACUGAACCUGAUCCGGGGGAAGCUGGGAGUCUGUCCAUUCCGCGACGAAAUCCACCAGGGCUUGUGACUUGAUAGCCUUACGGGGCGCAUAAGUGAGAGUCUCACUCAUGAGCUCGACCGACCACUUGGCGAUUCUUCCCGUGGCUUCUCGACUUUGGAUGAUCUCUCCCAAGGGGAAGGAUGAGACCACUGUGAUAGGAUGGCCGAGGAAGUAGUGCUGCAGCUUGCGUUGGGCGAGGAUUACGGCGUAGAUUAGCUUCUGGAUCUGCGGGUAACGCGCCUUGGCCUCCGAGAGUACCUCGCUGAUGAAAUAGACCGGCCUCUGGACGGGCAAUGCAUGCCCCUCCUCCUGCCUCUCGACCACCACAGCUACACUGACGACCUGGGUCGUCGAGGCGACGUAAAGGAGCAGCGGUUCUGCAGGUUGAGGUGGGACCAGGACUGGUGCUGAGGUCAGCGUUUUCUUUAGGAUUUCGAGGGCUUACUCGGCCUCAGGGGUCCAAGAGAAACGCUUGACUUUCUUCAGAAGUCGAUACAGAGGCAAGGCCUUUUCUCCAAAUCUCAAGAUAAAACGGCUUAGCGCCGCUAGGCAUCCCGUGACUCUCUGCACGCCCUUGACGUCUCGAAUCGGCCCCAUUCUUGUGAUGGCCGAGUCUUUCUCGGGGUUGGCCUCGAUGCCGCGCUGGGAAACAAUGUAACCCAGUAGCAUGCCUCGAGGUACGCCGAAAACGCAUUUCUCGGGGUUGAGCUUGAUCUGGUUUGCGCGUAAGCAGCUGAAAGCGAUCUCGAGGUCCUAGAUUAGGUCCCCCCGCCGCUUUGACUUGAUGACGAUGUCGUCGACAUAGGCCUCGACCGUCGACCCUAUGUGCUUGCCAAACACGUGGAGCAUGCAACGCUGAUACGUGGCUCCCGCGUUUCGUAGCCCGAACGGCAUGGUUACAUAACAAUACAUCCCAAAAGGUGUAAUGAAAGAGGUCGCGAGCUGAUCGGACUCUUUCAUUUUUAUUUGGUGGUAACCAGAAUAUGCAUCAAGGAAAGAAAGUGUUUCACAUCCCGCAGUAGAAUCGACAAUUUGAUCAAUACGUGGUAAUGGAAAAGGAACUUUCGGACAUGCUUUAUUUAAACUCGUGUAAUCAACACACAUCCUCAUUUUCCCAUUCUUUUUCUUAACUAGUACAGGAUUCGCUAACCAGUCGGGAUGGUGAACCUCCUUGAUGAAUCCGGCCGUCAAAAGUUUUUGGAUCUCCUCGCCAAUGAUCUUGCGCUUCUCCUCGUCGAAGCGGCGCAACCGUUGCUUCACUGGCUUGGAACCGGCUUGAAUUUCCAAGGAGUGCUCGGUGACCUCCCUCGGUAUGCCCGGCAUGUCCGAGGGACUCCAUGCAAACAUGUCGGCGUUCACACGGAGGAAGUCAACGAGCACAGCUUCCUAUUUGGGGUCGAGGUCGGCGCUGAUCGUUAGCGCCUUGUCGUCAGAGUUGUUGGGGUCAAGCGGGAUCUUCUUGGUUCCUUCCGCCGGCUCGAAGCUGCCCGCGUGGCGCUUGGGCUCGGGAGCCUCUGCGGCCAGGGCCUCGAGCUUCGAGGCGAGCUCAGUGGAACUCUCGACUGCUUCCCCAUACUCGACGCAUUCGACGUCACACUCGUACGCGUGCUCGAAGGAGGAGCUGACGGUAAUGACGCCCUUGGGAUCGGGCAUCUUCAGCUUCAGGUAGGUGUAGUUGGGGAUAGCCAUGAAUUUGGCGUAACCCGGGCGUCCGAUGAUGGCGUGGUACGUGCCCCGGAACCCCAACACCUCAAAGGUGAGGGUCUCUUUCUGAAGUUGGCCGCCGUGCCAAAGGAGACCGGUAGGUCGAUUCAACCUACUGGCAGUGCCUUCUUCCCUGGUACGACGCCAUGGAAGCCAUCGGCGCUUGGUUGGAGUCGUGCCUUGUCGAUGCCUAGGAGGUCGAGGGUCUCGAGAUAGAUGAUGUUGAGGCUGCUGCCGCCAUCCAUCAGCACCUUUGAGAGCCGAGUGUUGACGAUGAUGGGGUCGACGAUGAGUGGGUAGACGCCAGGGGCAACUACCUUGUCAGGGUGGUCCUCUCGGUCGAAGGUCGGGGGUGCUCGACCAGCUGAGAUACUGGGGCACCGCCAUCCUUGCCGCGAAGACCUCACGACGUUCCCUCUUGCGCUGCCUUGCGGUCAACUGCGUCGAGGGCCCACCAUAGAUCAUGUAGCAGUCGUGGACGGCAGGGAAACCAUCGUCGUCUUUGUUGUCCUCCUUUUCACCGCCCUUCUCCUUCUUUGGUUUGUCGCGCGCGUCCUUCCUGAACCCCAGACCGUCGAAAUGCUUUCUCAGCAUACGACAGUCCUUGAGCUUGUGGUUGGCUCCUCCCUUAUGGUAAGGGCACGGCUCUUCUAGCAUCUUAUCGAAGAUGCCCCCAUCUGGGGGGCCUCGAGGCUUUUUGCGUUCCAUGGCGGCGACGAGAUCGUCGUCAAAGUCUUCCCGCUGGAACGACCGUGUUUUCUUCUUCUUCUUGUUCUUCUUGGGCCCUCGACUGGGGCCCUCAUCCUCAUCAGUGGGCUGCUUGCUUUUCCUUCCUUCACAGCUGAAGAAGGCGCCGACCGCUUCUUCCCCUGCCGCGUAGUUAGCCACCACAUCCAUCAGCUCAUUGACGGUCUGAGGGCGAUUCCGGCCUAACUCCCACACCAAGUCUUGACUGGUGGUACCAGAGACAAAGGCCAGGAUGACGUCGUGGUCGGGGAUGUGUGGCAGUUCGGUGCGUUGCUUUGAGAAGCGUUGAGCGUACUCUCGAAGAGUUUCUCCCGACUUCUGCUUGCACUUGCUGAGAUCCCACGAGUUCCCAGGCCGUAUGUAGGUCCCUUUGAAAUUACCCUCGAAUACUCUAACCAAAUCGACCCAGUCGUGGAUCUGAUCAGCUGGAAGUUCCUCGAGCCACCUGCGGGUGGUGUCGGAGAGGAAGAGCGGCAGCUGUCUGAUGAUGGCCCGAUCGUCUCCUCGGGCGCCUCCCAGCUGACAGGCCAGCCUGAAGUCUGCCAGCCACAGCUCUGGUUUGGUCUCACCGUUGUACUUUGGGAUGCUGGUCGGGGGUCGGAACGGGCUGGGCAGCGGCGUGCUGUGGAUUGCCCUGCUGAACACCCGUGGGCCUGGUGGCUCUGGAGCCAUCCGGUCCUCAUUGCUGUCGUACCUCCCGCGGCGAUGGGCACUGUAACCGCGCUCUUCCGCGUCCCCGUACCGACGGUGUCGAUUCUCUUCAAUGUCGCGUCGCGCGUCGUGUCGACGCUGAUUGUCGACGGGGAGAACGAGCGUGGUCUUUUUUCCUCGAGGGGGUGGCUGUUGAUGGACUGACACCUCCUUUUCGUUCUGGGCUGGCUCAUCGUGCUUUUCGGUGGUAGCUCCUCGACGUUGAGAAGCCGAGCUUUCGGCUUGCUGAACUGCCGCCACCUAGAGUAGAGUCUGCACCUCGUCUCGGAUGCGUCGAGCUUGGGAGUUCGACGGCUCUGGCAUGUUUUGCAGUAGCAUUGUUGCUGCCACAACGUUCUAGCCUGCUCGAGGGAAACGGCUGACGGGCUGCUCAGGCUCUGCGUCUCCGACGAUCUGCCGGUGCACCUCUCGAGCUCAUCUGCGGACACUUCCGCCAGGCGGGUAAGGUAGGUCCUGCUCGAGGAUUUGCUCAAGUAGAACAAGGCGCUCGCGAUCCUCGUCAAGCUUUGCUUUGAGCUCUCGUAGCUGCGCAAUUUGUGCGGCUCUGUCUUCUUGCGGAGGGGGGUCGACCUGAACGUCAUUCCUAGGCGUCCUGGGGUCUUCUCUCGCUGCAGGGGCUCGCCCGCCUGCAACGGCGUCUUGUGUCUCGUCAGUGGUUUCCACCGCUCCGUCGAUAUGGAAGCACUCCCUAGUAGGGUCGUGGCUGUCGGAUUCCGAGCCGGAGUCCGGCUCGGCGGCGUGGAAACAUCCGCAUCCUUCCUCCAGCAGCCGCUGCCUGAGGGAUGUAAUCGUGUACUGCCCAGGGCCUAGGCGGCAGAGGCCUUGUACCUACAAGAAGUCUGGUAGCUCGGAUGCCCGUGGCCGUGCUUCAGGGUCGCGUGGGGGGACCAUUGGUUUCUCCACGUACGUCUGGGCGUUUGGGCAUAUCGCCCUGGCGAGUGACGCUGCGGCAUUGUCCAGGCCGAACGGCAAGGCUCCUCUUGAGGCGAACAGCCCGUGUGGAAGUAGCUUGGCGGUGGGGGAGAGUGCGCGGGGCGCGUCACCUCCCGUCGUCGUGCGAUCCUCGCAGCAUUGAGCCGUCGUGCCCGUGGUGCGCAGGGCUAUCGGCUCUCGUGCCGUCUCCUGCCUGGCACGGACUGCCGGUCGUGGCGAGGCAGAAGGGCGAUGGUGGUGUUGUCCACGCCUCUUCUUGGGCGGGGAGGCAUGGUGGUGAGGACGUCUCGGGGCCCUCAUCCGGGUUGGCGCAACGCGGGCUCCUCUCGGUCCUUUGAUCGAGAGCAAGAUCAUGUCAUAGCCGGAGCCAGUAGACAUGAACUCGAGACUCCCAAACCAAAUCACCGUGGAGCACGAAAUCGGCGAAGCGAGAGUGGCCAUCUAGAAAGGAGUGGGAAAUCGGUGAAAAACACGCAGGACCCCUACCUGGCACGCCAACUGUCGGUGUUUCCCCCACGGGUGGUCACACCAAUGAGUGAAUUUGUAUGCGUGCUUCUUAUCCUAGAUGGUGAUGCAAAAAGACACACAAAGAUUUAUCCUGGUUCGGGCAAGAGAAGGCCCUACGUCCAGCGGGGGGAGAGAGUUUGUAUUAUUUUGCACCUAAGUGCUUGUACAGGGGUGAAUACAAGCGUGGUAUGGAGUAUGGAAGUUCUACUGCGUAUGGGUGUGGUGUUGCAUGAUUGAUCUUUGAGUCCGCUCCCGGGCUUUCCCUUUUAUAGUUCCAAGGAGAAGCCCAGUGUACAAGCAUAGGUGUCAGAGAAGGGGUUGAUAGAGGCAUGGCGCGCGGACCUACUCGAGGCCUCCGUACCGGCGUGGUCUCGAGCCAUCCCGUCCUGGUAGUUUGAUGAUGAUUACGCGUGCCCCGAUAUCCUGCUCUGUGCGCCGUCUUGGACUGGUUCACCAGUUGCACGCCUAUACGGCACCGCGGCAGAUCCGUCGGAGUGGUUGCUGUGUUGCCAUUCGACGCCCAACCCUUCCCCCGGAAGGAAAUACGUCUGGUCGUGGGUCAGACGCCAUGUGACGCCCUGCUAUCCAGAGCGUUGACCCUGGAUGUCUCGAGGGGGUCCUGAUUAGACGUUCCAUCCCUGCUUCCCGCGUCCUGACACGCUCUGGGUUGUUUGGUGGGGAAGGCUGCAAAAAGAAAGACGGGACGGGUGCCUGUUUCCUGUCAUGCUUCCCGUGACUUGGCGUGUUAGGUGAGAACGCGACAAGCGCAUUAAAUGCCCUGGUUCCCGUGCGCGCGUCAGGCGGCGGGCGGCGUCCUUGCGCUCGACGCCUCCUGGUUCGCUCGAGCCCGUUUCUGUAUUCGACGGUAGCUGGCGCUCGAGCCCUGAUCGAUUCGCCCGACGCCUUUUCCAUCUUCGAGGCUGCGGUUGUCGAUGACUGUGUGCGUUACUGAUUAGAGCGUCGAGUUGGGGGCCUCGACCUGCGUACGGGCAGUCUCGUUAUGUACAUCAGUUGGGAUACCCCUUACUGAUAUCCUCGAUAGAAAGUGAGUUACCGAUGGAAAUAAAAGUGAAAGGAUUGAAACAUCAGUUUAGAAAUACUUACAGUGUUGUCGGACACUUUGUACUGGGGGUCUAUCAUGCUGCGGUACAUAAGAGCCGAUUUGCAGAACAGAUGCUCCUUCCAUUCUUCCCACCAUUGUUUGUACGCCUGAGUAAUGAAGAGGGCCGGGAUCCACUCUGAUAGAUCUGCAUCUGUAUCGGCAUUUGGUGGCAGUUGGGCUACUCGGGUCCACUCGACAAGGCUAGUGAUGGUUUCCCUGGGUUUUAUCACAUCGGCAUAACAGAGUGUGGUCGGCAGCUGACCGAAAGCUAGUUGACGAGCUAGUGCCGAUGGGUUGUAAAACUCAUAGGUCUGGUUGGAGGCUUUCCCACUGCCAAAGAAGAUUAUUGGUAUGGCUCUGGGAGUGAUUAGUGCCAUCAUCACAUCGUGAUCCUUGUUGAGAGCAUCAUUGAACGGAUGGAAGACCAAAGGAAACAUGGUGUCUGGAUCUUCAUAAGGCAUCCAUGCUCGCUGUUCUCUGUUCAAGCCUUCAUAUAGGGUCUGGAAGAAUCGGCUGACCUGGUCUGCGUUGCCACCUGUACCAGGUAGAACUAUGACAGCUUCGCCAAAGUUCAGAGGAGGACGAGUUGCCGAUUCUUCUUCAUCCAAUUCAUAAUCUUCGGCUAUAUCCCUAGGGAAGCGUUGUGCGAAGAGGUUGAACUCAAGACGCUUGUGCAUAUGGAGACUGAGCCACAUAUUGAUGAACCACCAGGGACCCCCUAAGUUGCCGAUGGAUUGGCCGAGUAGGAGUUUUCUGGCUACUUGAUGGAGGAGAUGGUAGGCAGAGCCAAGCAGGUAUCGGCUGAGGGGAAAUCGGCCACCAUUAGCUAAUCUCUCAGCUGCAGAUAGGUAGACAGAGGUUGGUCCUGCCAAUCGACCACAAAACACAAAUUUGGCCAGCCACAUGUUCAGAAUGGUGGUUUGUUCCUUUAUGUUGACAGGCCCUGUUCUACGGUACUUCUGAAUAUACCCAGACCAGCCGCCGAUAGAGCGGGUUUCCACCUUGGCACUAGGUGUGGUGUCAAAUAUGUGACUACUAUCAGCAGUGCAUACAUCUAAGCCGGUGAGCAUAAGCACAUCAGCAAGAGUGGGAGAAGCAGGGCCAUGGCCGAAGACAAAAGCAUUAAGUGUGUCUGACUAGAAAUAUGAUGCAGCGAUCAGCAGUGAUUCAUUCCUAUGCAUAUCGGCAAGAGAUAGCCUAAUGCACUGGUCCAGUUUUUGUUCACCCCACUGAACCUCAUUCGAAUGGCUGACUCUCAAGAACCAAUCCUUCCAUCCUACAGUAGGACUGGGCCAGUAACGAAAGGUAUCCUUCUACAGAUCUAGAGAAAAAUUCUCGGCUCUAAAGGGGAUUAUGUUUGUUUCUGUGUUGAUCAGAUUGGUGGGAUCUGGGUUCCCUAGCGGACCGAGACAUUGAAGGUGUGGCUGAUCAGUAGGGAUGACAAUUUUAUUGGACAGAUCCUAAUGGUUUUUGGGGUAAAAAGAAGAACAAAAGAAAAAAAGAAGAAUGUUCAGUAAAAUAAAUUGCGGAUGAACAAGGAUAUGAUAAAAGUACAAGAGGUAGGGUGAUGAACUAACCUCGGGAACAACAAAGUUGAUGGCCAUCUCCUCGCGAAGAAGAUGAUCGAAGACUUUGAGGAUGGUGAAGAAGGUCUUUGUUGGAGUUCUUGGAGCUCUCGAACAGCGCCGCCGCCAGAAAAGUGAAGUUGGGGCUGUAGAAUGAAUCGAUGGAGAAGGAGUACCCGAGAAGGAACUAUUUAUAGGACAAAAUGGGCAAGGGCAAAACUGACUUAUCUCUUCGCCGUAUCCGUAAAAUCCGAGAGUACUCAGGUGGAUAUGGUAACUGUUCGCAUAGUAAUCAAGGGAUUGCGCAGGUGAUUUGACAGGAAGCGGUCAUAAUCUAGAGAUAUUCACUGUGCGGGAUUUUCUGGUCGGUCCAUCGGCAGCGCCUUGUAACGGUAAUAUUGCCGAUGGGCGAAUAAAGUGGAGAUGUCCGUUUGAGAGGUUGAGAUAUUUCACUGUGCGGGAUUUCCUGGUCGGUCCAUCAGCAGUUCCUUGUAACGGUAAUAUUGCCGAUGGGCGAUUAAAGUGGAGAUGUCCGUUUGGGAGGUUGAGGAAUUCGAGGAAUCUGCAGAAGAAUCGGGCCAAGGUUGUUCAGAUUUAGGCUGUCGGUUGCCAAUUUGGGAGAAUUAAUUGUGGAAAGGCAUUACUGCAGAGAAUUUUGGAGCAUUAAUGAUUUCAUACUCCGAAACUGGGGGCAUGUGUUGACACCAUUUUUGGACACGUACCCAGGAUCGGUAGAGUGUAGAUCGGCAAGAUAGGGCAACAGUAACUGGUCUGCAGGAAAGUUGCCAAUGAGGGUGGUUGCCGAUGAAGGGACAACUGGAUGUGACUAACUCCAUUUGUGGUGAUGUGUUUAUGCCGAUGGUCAGGAUUAACCUGUGCCAAUGGAUACGAUGAGGGGUCUGCCGAUGAUUUGGAAGAAGAACCUGAAGGUUGCCGAUUGGCCUGUGGUGGUGUCCUAGUUUGUCACGGGAAGAUAGUUUUAUGUUUUCCUUAGUUAUUUAAAUUGUUUUGUAUACGAAUUCUGUUUAAUUUGGAAUUCGAGUUCUAGUCGUGUCUGAUUGUAGCUCUUUGAGCAGGGUAUAAAUGUAGACCCUAGGGCCUUGUAAUCGACAGAAUCUAUCAAUCAAUCAAACACAAGUUUUUACUCAUAUUCCAGCAUCUACUUUUUCGACGACUUCGUCAUAUUUUUCCUUUUAUUAUGAGUUCUUAGGAGUUCAUCGACUUAAGCUCGGCGUAUUCUCGAGUUCCGCGUGAAUACCUCUUGGCCGUGACAUCCGGGCGCAUCGCUGUUGUCGGGACCAAAGUAUUCGAGUUAUCACCUUUGCCGAUAGUAAGGUCAAAUCGGCUGGCACGCCUUAACGUUUAAAUCGGGUAUUAGCCCUUUGUGUUUGCAGAUCAGCUUUUGCAUCAACACAUGUGAAAAGCGACAAGUGGUCCGGCCAGAUCAAGUGCUAGAGCUUGUGGUAAACACUCCAUGUGGGAGAGUGUGACUUGCGGGUGACCACUAGCAAGAGGACCGGUGGCAACCUUGGAGCUUAUCUCAGCGGGGACGUAGCUUGGUGGCAACCAAGUGAACCUCGGGAGAAAAUCAUCGUGUCAACAUUGUUCUUCCCGUUGGUUUGCAAGUCCCUAACACAAGCUUGUUCUUACAUUCAUAUACUUGUGUUUGUGUAGUUGCUCUUGUAAUUAGUUAGCUUGUGUAGCUUGCUAAGUUACCUUCUUGCUUGUGUAGCUAGAAGUAGUUCCCUUGCAUGACUAAUUUGGUUUGUGUAACCUUGUUAGUCACAUUGCUUAGUUUGUGUAGCUAAGUAAUGUGUGCUCUCUAAUUUGGCAUUGGUUGCCUUGUUAUUGAGCAUUGCUAGUGAGCUUAGGAGCUUUGUGCUUUUGCUUACUAGUUGUGUAGGAGCUCCCUGGUCUUGCAAAGUACUAGUGGCAUAGGUUUGUGUGACCUUGCUCCUAGAAUUGGUUCGGUGAGCUCUUGCUAAGGUAGCACCUUGCUUGCUUGUUUAGGAUCUUUUCAAGGUGCUAGAGAACUUUGAUAGAGGGGUGUAGUCUUGGCUAGACCGAUAGUUUUAAUUCCGCAUUUGUUUUCGGUUAGCCGGCGUAAUAAAUUUUUGAAAGGACUAUUCACCCCCCUCUAGUCCACCAUCUCGACCCUUCAGUAGAUCGCAAAGGUGACAGCUUCAUUGAGUCAUAUGUAGUCCACUCCUCGAAUAUAAAACUAGUAAGGCAGAGGUGUGGGGUAAUGUCUUGCUAUGUUCUUGACCUACUUUAGCAAUGUCUCUUGUGUAUGGAUUACAAGUAAAGUCAUUACUAUGAUUACUAAAUAUAAUUGCACUAAUUAAGGUAACUCAAUGACCUAUAGUUAGAAUAACCCUAGGAUUUAGUCUCUAUUUUCUAGUUCUUUAUAGAACCACACCAAGAUAGGAAAUGGUCGGUGGAAUCCAUUUGAAAUAUGUUGACUUAUUAUUAAUUUUCCUUAUUUAUGAUAUGAUUGAUCCUAGUUUCGAGUAUUGAUCUAGUGGAACUCUUAUCACAAGUGUAAGAUAUAGCUUUUAUACCUCCAAGUGCCUUCCCAGUGGUAAAAUUAUAAAUAACUGUUGACACAGUUUUUGAACACGUAUCUAGAAAGUUAAUGAAACGUGGGUCGGUGUUGACGGUCCUUAAGUAUCAAAUUUAAUUAUCAAAUAAAUAAAGAAAAGGAUCCAAAUGAAAUCAACAUCUAGACUUAGGGUUUUAUCUGACAGAAUUCCACGAGUUUUGGUGUUUGUCUAUUUCUGCAGGGGGUUAUCAGGAAAUACGGAAGAAAGGCCCACACGUCGGGAUUACACAGAGAUAUUAACGUGCCGCGCAAUUAUCUUACAUCUAGAAGACUCCAGAAGCCACGAGACCGAAGCGGAGGCGAAACGGGGCCAGAGGCAGGGCGCCCGCCCUCCUGCCCUGGGCGCCCGCCCCCUCCCUGAGUCCAAUCAGGACUCUGCUUCGUGGGAGAUCUCCACUGACCUAAAGGAUGAAUCUAAACCAUACAAUCUAUGUCGGUUUGAUCCAACGACCCAUAUUCACUUGAAGGGACUAUAAAACCAGACCCCCUAGCCCCUGGAGGAGAGAGCCUCUCAACCCUAAUUCAUUGUUCUUCAAGGGAUAAGAAGCCUCUGAUCAAGAUUAGAGCACCACAUCAAUUAGAUAUCUAGAUUAGCAUAGCUACAUAGAAUUAGAACUAGAAGGAGUCAAUCUUCGAUUGGUUUCCGGAUCUGUCAAGAGGAUUCUUGGUAAUUCUCUAAUUGUGCUUCUAAUUGCUUUCUAAUCAUCUUUGUUCUUCAAUAUUAUGAAUAUGACUUUGUUCUACUUCAAUAUAUUGCUUAUGACUUUGCUCUACUUGCUUAUAUUCAAGAUUAUAUUGUUCUUAGUUUAUCAUAGUAAUGUACUUGGCUUAGUUAGAUUGGAUCUAUAUACAUGCUUAGGAUCGUAUAGUGUUUAUCUAUCGGAUCCAUGGGUAAAUGAUAGAUAUUGUGUAGGCGUGGUGCUUAUACCGUAUUUAUCUGCGAUUGUACCCAAUAUGCCAGAUCGUGGGGUAGUUCGUGAUAGUGACAGCUUCAUUGAUUCUUAUAUAGUCCCCCUCUCGUGUAUUGGGCCGGCAGAGCAACAUUAUUACAGGGGAGUGAUUGCUAUGUUUCUCAUUUACCUUGCUAAUAUCACUAUGCAUGGGCGUAGUCUUGUCUCACAAUGAUUGCUAAGUAUGCUUGCACUAACUAUGAUAAAGCUAGACUAUAUAGUUGAGAAUAACUUAGGGAAUAUUCUUGUAGUUCGUUCUAAUACCAUGCUAAUGACUUUCUAGAGUAUCUAAUUGAGGUGCUUAUCAUAUUUAUAUGUGGCUGAUCAGAUUAAUUAUCUUUGUCACUAUUCAUUAAUUCAUAUAUCUUUUAUGUGACACUUAUCCUUGUAUGAAGAGUUAGAUAAAUGUUCUCAAUUAUACAUGCAAUGAUAGAUGCUCAAUCUCAUAUUCUCUUCUGUAAUCAAUAUUGAUGAUUGCUAAUCCCUUCCCAGUGGUAAAAAUAUAAAUAACGAUACCUGAAAUACUUCCCGGUUAAAAUGCUACAUCGGUAUUAAUCUGUGCGCUUGCAGAUCCCAUUCAUUAUUUAUUUAAAAGAGCAAUUGCAUAUUUCAAUACCGCGUCUCUCAUGUCAUGCUGGGGAUGACAACUUGGCUUAAGUGGUGUGAGGGAUAGGUUUUGCAUUUUUGGCACCGUUACUAGAUUUAGAGAACUUAGUCUACUUUUGGUAAUGAUGUUAAGAAUACCCAACAGUUGGCACGCGAGAAAGUAAUGACUGGUUGACAGAGGAAUUGCCGAUAGGUUAUGAUGCCGAUGAUAAAGCAGCAGGAUAUGACCAAGUCCAGGGAUAGUGAUUGAUCUUUGCCGAUGGUUGAUAUUAAUGGUUGCCGAUGCCGAUGGAGGGUGAUAUGCCGAUGAUGAUGGAAGAAGGCGUGGGAAUCAUCGAGACGACGAUGAUGGUGUGCCGAUCGCCUAGUAUAGAUAGAUUAUUAUUUUCCAUAAUUAUUAGAGUUUGUUUUGUACACGAAUUUCGUUUAGUUUCGAAUUAGAAUCCUAGUCGUACCUGAUUGUAACUCUUUAGAUAGGGUAUAAAUAUGGACCUAGUACCGAUGUAAGAGAGAAGACAAUCAAUCAAACACAAGUUUUUACAUCUAUUCUAGCAUCUACUUUUCGACGACUUUGUCAACUUGCAUAUUUUCUUUUUCACUUACGAGUUCUUAGGAAUUCAUCGAGUCAAACUCGACGAGUUCUCAAGUUCCGUGUGAAUACCUCUUGGCCGUGGCAUCCGGGUGCAUUGCUGUUGUCGGGACCAAAGUAUUCAAGUUAUCACCUUUGUCGGUUGUAAGAUCAAAUCGGCUGGCACGCCUUAACGUUGAAUCGGGUAUUAGCCCUUUGUGUUUGCAGAUCCACUUUUGCAUCAACACAACUUUUGGCACACCCAGUGGGACCAAGAUAUCGUCGAGAUCAACAUGUCAAAUAUUGAUUUCGACAUGGAGAACAUCAUUGCUGUAACUGAGGCUAAUCUCAGAGAUGAGCAGAAGCAAGCUAUAGCAAAAGCUAUGGAGGAAUACAAGUAGCUAUCUUUGAAGUCCUUCAGUGUCAAUAGGAGCGGCGAAGUGAUCCAAAAGGAAGCAUUGCCGAUGCCUAGGCAAAACACUUUUGAAGCCAAUCCUGGUAAAUUACAAGAUAUGGUUGACAAUGCUAUUAAUCGUGCUUUGAUCAACCAAUCCAGUGUGCUGUCCAAUAUUGUCUUCAACGCUGUGGCUAGAACUUUCAAAGAAGGACAGGUACCACCAUCAUACAUGGGCCCUGCUUAUCAUCAGCCAGGAUUAUCAUCGGUCACCGCUCCAUCGGCUCCUCCGGCCGUUGCGGGUACAGAAGUUACCUCUCCUCCAAGCACAUUAGGGAUGACUAAUGGACAAUCUACACCGAUGAAGACUAAUCCAGCAACAUCAGAGGGGCGGGUUCAACUUACCACAGAUCUAUCGACAUCUGCAAUGUCAGGAUCUGUAUUCCAGAAUUGUCAAGUUCCUCCCAACUGGUGGGGAUAUGGUAUGCCUCCAGACUUUUUUGCUAAUAGCUCUAGGACAUCUUAAGUGGCUGACAUGACAGGCAAGGCUCCUAUGACAUCGGCACCUCCAGUGUCGCCGAUGACUCAGAAUCCUUAAUAUUCUACAACCACUACUGCGAGGCCUCUUACUGGAAUCUUUCAGAUGCCGACAUUCUAGAUGCCCAAUGCAUCGGCGGAUCCACUACCGACGCACCAAAGGUUUAUGACUCAGACAGGGUAUGUUAACCCAAUGAUGACGCCCAACUAUCAGCCAUCGGUAGGGCCUACACCGAUGAAUGUUAACAAUGGAUGGACAGGGCAGUUUGUCUUUCCACAAAUGGCUCAGCAAAAUCAUCAGACUACAGGAUUCCAGCAGGGUCAGAUGCAGCUUGGGUUUCAGAAUCAAGGGCCAGUCAAUCAGCCGAUGAAUCUUGCUCAGCAGAUCGGUGGCCAAUAGGCUGUGGCUAAUGCUAUGUUCCCUAGAGAUCGUGCACCUCAGAGACACAUGGAAGCUUAUCAGCAGAUGCCAGAUCCACAACCCGCACAUCGGCAGGAUGUCAAUGCCUAUUGGGCCGAUAAGAUAGCUGAAGUGAUGAGAGAUCAGUUUGGGAUAAAGCCCAAAGUCAAUACUUAUUCUUAUCGGACGUUGUAUCCUCCUGCAUACAACUUAAUUCCACUUCCAAAUCGGUACAAGGUGCUAGAUUUCACUAAGUUCUCUAAACAAGAUGAUACAUCAACUAUGGAGCAUGUCAAUCGGUUCAUCAUCUAGUGUGGAGAGGCUGCUAACAGAGACGAAUUAAGAGUUUGAUUAUUUUCAUCAUCUCUAUCGGGAUCGACAUUUACCUGGUUUAUCUCAUUACCUCCAAAUUCGGUAAUUACUUGGGCCGAUCUAGAGAAGCAGUUCCACAAGUAUUUCUUCUCUGGAGUUCAUGAGAAGAAACUUACCGAUUUAGUGAGGCUAAGGCAACGCAAUGAUGAAUAGGUUGAAAGUUUUGUGCAAAGGUUGCGGGAUGUCAAGAACAAAUGCUAUAGUCUGGUUCUGGACGAUCAACAACUAGCUGAUUUGGCUUUCCAGGGAUUGUUGCCACAUAUCAAAGACAUGUAUGCGUCUGAAGAGUUUGAAAGUCUAAGUCAUUUGGUGUAGAGGAUUUCUGAUCAAGAUAUCAAGGCUUUUGAACCUAGGAAAGCUUGGAACAAAAAGGUGUCAUUUGUUGAUGAGGCAACAAGUUUAGAUUCUGAUGAAGAACCAGUCAUCGGCUUGGCGGAAUGGGUGAUGAACAAAAAGCCAAUGUCUUGUCCUUUCGACCAUAGAGAGCCAGAAAAGUUUGCUUUUGACAUCACAAAAGCUGAUAGGAUAUUUGACUUUCUGCUUCAGGAGGGGCAAAUUAAAUUGUCACCCAACCAUGUGAUUCCAUCGGCAGAAGAGUUGAAGAAGAUCAAGUAUUGCAAGUGGCAUAAUGCAACGUCUCAUAGUACAAAUGAAUGCAAGGUGUUCAGACAACAACUGCAAUCGGCUAUAGAGUCUGGGAGGAUUAAAUUUGAUAGCUCCAAUGCUCAGAAGCCGAUGAAGAUUGAUCAACAUCCUUUCCCCACAAAUAUGCUGGACGCUAAGGGAAAGACUAAAGUUUUAACUUCAGAAGCAGCUGAGAAGAGCGCAUCGAUAGAUCCUCAGCACCAAAUCACUGUCAAUGAUGCCAAUGGCAAAGGCUUGAUUGAGGAGGGUAGCAGCUCAGGGAGGCCUCCUCGAUCUGGCAUUAUGAUCACUCAUAGGCGGCAUCGAGAAACAUGGCAACAGCAUGAAGAUCAGUAUCAUCGUCAGCAGGAAGAUCGUCAUCGAGAAUAGGAAAGACGCCGACAAGAGUGGAAUCGGCAUAAAUAUCAUUGGAAUUGCCCGUUCUUCAUCCACUAUCGGGAGCAAAACAUCAAGUUACCAACUGUUAGUGACUGCCCUGAGUGCAAUGGUUAUAAUCGGCAUGAUAGACCAAAUCGGUGAUAUCAGGACGAUGAUCGGCGUCUUAAUGGGCCGAUUUGGGGAACGAUGUCAGUUCAUGACUGGCUGGGGGGUAGGCUCAGAGUGCAUGACAGGCUUGGUGAAUGUGUUGGCUAUUUUCCAAGAAACCAAGAGGAGCUUGAAGAGAUGGCGGAUGCACGAGUUCCCGAUUAGUUUAUAUUUUGUAGGGAUGCUAAUACUUAUCGGAUGGAAUCAAGGGAGGCUCGAUAUCAACCGGUAAGGCAAACACAGCUUCCUCAGUGGUGUCUAGAAGGAUUGACAAGAACAUAGAAAAGGAGGAUGCAGCGAGAACGGCAAGAAGAAUUGAAUAAGGAAGGAAAUUCUUCUGAGUCUGGGAAUCGACAAGAGUCAGAUCACGAGGGAAAGGGCCAUCGGUAGAUGUUAAUAUGGUAUUUAUGUUGCCAAUGGAGUUUCUUGCACCCUUUAGUGAUGAUGAGGAGGUAGAGUUUCCUGAUCAAAUAGCUCAGUUGGCUCUUGAUCCGAUGAUAGCUAUGUUUGAAAAAACUUUUGAUGAUGAAAGACAACAUCUCAAAGCUUUGUUUGUCAAAGGCAGAGUUGAUGGACAGCCGAUGGCCAAAAUACUUAUUGAUGGUGGAGCUGCUAUCAACAUUAUGCCAUACACAGACUAUCGGAAGCUUGGCAAAGGGGAUCAGGAUUUGACCAAGACCGAUAUGAUGUUGAAAGAUUUUGAAGGAAAUGUGUCUCCAGUCAAAUGGGCCAUUUGUGUUUAAUUGACCAUCGGUAGCAAGACCUUGCCGACGACUUUCUUUGUCAUCAGUGGAAAAGGUGCAUACAAUUUGCUAUUGGGGAGAGACUAGAUUCAUGCCAAUUGUUGUAUUCCCUCUACAAUGCACCAGUGCUUGGUUCAGUGGGUAGGAGACAAAAUUGAAAUUGUCCCUGGAGAUUCUUCAUAUGUCGUUGCUUCGGCAGAUACUUAUGAGAAGACCAGAUGCAUUUCACGGGAGGUUUGGGAGAAAGAUUUUCUCAAGGUUGCCGAUUACGAAAUUCCACCGAUCCCUCAGUCGGUUCUGAUGAAGAAUUUUAAUGGAUAGGUUUGCCGAUGAUGGAAAGUUAGGUCAGGGGUUUACAUAGGCUGAUGAUCUAGUAGAAGUAGAUAUAGGUAAUGGUGAUAGGCCAAGGUCUACUUUUAUUAGUGCUAAGUUAGAUUCUGAGUGUAAGCAACAAUUAACCGAUUUGAUAACGGAAUAUAAAGAUUGCUUUGCUUGGGACUAUACCAAAAUGCCUAGUUUAGACCAAUCGAUUGUUGAACAUCGGUUCCCUAUUAAGUUUGGAUUUUGGCACAUCAGCAGCCAGCGCACCGAUGCAAUCCUAAUAUUCUUCCUCAUAUUAAGGCCGAAAAAACUAAACUUAUUGAAGCUAAAUUUAUUCGGCAAUGUUGGUAUGCCGAAUGGAUUUCUAAUGUUGUUCCUGUCUAUAAGAAGAAUGAAAAACUUCGUGUCUGCAUUGACUUCAGGAAUCUCAAUAAAGCCACGUCGAUGGAUGGAUAUCCAAUGCUAGUUGCCGAUUUGUUGGUUGAUGCUACGGCUGGACAUCGGGUUAUUAGCUUCAUGGAAGACAAUGCGGGUUACAAUCAAAUAUUCAUGGCUGAAGAAGAUAUUCCUAAAAUGACAUUUAGGUGUCCUGGUCAUGUUGGAUUAUUUGAAUGGAUAGUCAAGACCUUUGGUUUGAAAAAUGUUGGUGCUACUUAUCAGAGGGCUAUGAAUUUCAUCUUUCACGAGUUCAUCGGCAAGAUAGUGGAAAUCUAUAUUGAUGAUGUGGUGGUUAAGUCUGGAGAUUUCAUGAAACAUCUAGCCGAUUUGCGAAAGGUGUUAGAAUGCACAAGGAAGCAUGGUUUUAAGAUGAAUCCUAAUAAAUGUGCAUUUGGUGUAUCGGCAGGACAAUUUCUUGGUUUCAUGGUGCAUCAAAGGGGGCUUGAAAUUAGUAGGAGAUCCAUUGAUGCCAUCAACAAGAUAGUUGCUGCCACCAAUAAAACUGAACUUCAUUGAUUGAUCAGCAAUAUAAAUUUUAUCAGACGAUUUAUAUCUAAUUUGUCUGGUAAGAUUCGUGCUUUCAGUCCUUUGCUUAAGUUAAAAGCCGAUCAAGAAUUUGUGUGGGGGAAAGAGCAACAAUUAGCAUUGGAUGAGAUCAAGAAUUAUUUGACAAGUCCUCCGGUUUUGAUUCCUCCUCAACAAGGAAAGCCUUUUAGAUUAUAUUUGUCUACCGAUGGGAUGGUCAUCGGUUCAGCUCUAAUUCAAGAAUUUGAAGGGAAGGAGCGUGUGAUUUAUUAUCUAAGUAGAAGACUGGUGGAUGCUGAAACGAGGUAUUUGGCAAUUGAAAAGUUGUGCUUAUGUUUAUACUUUUCUUGUAUCAAAUUGAGACAUUACUUGCUAUCGACCGAAUGCACUGUCAUAUGCAAAGAUGAUGUAGUCCGAUACAUGUUAUCAAUGCCGAUUAUGAAUGGUAGAAUCGGCAAGUGUAUAUUAGCGUUGUUGGAAUUUGAUCUACGCUACGAAUCGGCUAAAGCGGUUAAAGGGCAGAUUAUGGCUGAUUUCGUAACUCAAUAUUGCGGUGUAGUGAAUGCUUUGGAAAUCAUUCCUUGGAUGCUCUUCUUUGAUGGAUCCACAUGUGACCGGGGGGCAGGGAUCGGUAUAGUAUUAAUUUCUCCCUCGGGAAAGAAGUAUCAAUUCUCUUUGCCGAUUGUUGCCACAUCGACAAAUAAUCAAGCUGUGUACCAAGCUUUGAUCAAAGGAUUGGAAUUAUUGAAGGAGAUUCAUGCUGAUGUCGUUGAGAUUUUCGGUGAUUCCAUGCUCGUUAUAAAUCAAUUGGCUGGAAUUUAUGAAUGCCGAAGUGAGGUUUUAAUAUUCUAUUAUGAAAGAUGCGUACAACUGUUAAGGGAAUUCAAAGAUUUCCGAUUAGAGCAUAUUCCUUGGUUACAUAAUGAAGAAGCUAACCGAUUGGCUCAACACGCCUCGGGAUAUCAACCCAUCUUGGACAUAUUAUCGGCAGUCAGUGUCGAUGAUUGGAGAAAGGAAAUUAUUAACUAUUUGAAGAAUCUGUCCAAGAAAGUUGAGAGGCGUGUUAGAUUUCAAGCUACAAAGUAUGUACUCCUUGAAGAAGAGUUGUAUUAUCGGACGAUAGAUGGAAUCUUGCUCAAGUGUUUGAGUGAUGAUGAAGCUAAUAGUUUGAUGGGUGAAAUUCAUGAAGGAGUAUGUGAAGCACUUCAAUCGGCUUUCAAGAUGAAAUGGAUGAUUAGGAGAAACAAAUAUUAUUAGCCGACUAUACUUGAAGAUUGUUUUAAAUAUUUUAAAGGAUGUCAAGGGUGUCAGAAGUUUGGCAAUAUUCAAAGAGCACCUGCAUCGGCCAUGAAUCCCAGUAUUAAACCUUGGCCAUUCCGAGGAUAGGCUAUUGAUCUCAUCGGCCAGAUUUAUCCACCAUCAAGCAAAGGGCAUAAAUUUAUCUUAGUUGCCACUAACUAUUUCACCAAAUGGGUUGAGGCUAUUCCUUUGAAGAAAGUAACAUCAGCCAACAUGAUUGAUUUUGUAAAAGAGCAUAUUGUUUACCGAUUUGGCAAACAAUUACUACUGAUCAGGGUACUAUGUUCACAUCGGGGGAGUUUGAUGAGUUUGCAAUCGGUAAGUGGAUUAAAGUAUUGAACUCUUCUCCUUAUUAUGCUCAAGCUAAUGGAUAGGCCGAAGCUUCUAACAAAGGGAUUAUUAACCUCAUCAAAUGGAAAAUUGAAGAAAAUCCUAGGAGAUGGCACACAUUGUUAAACAAAGCUUUGUGGUCGUAUCGGAUGGUGUGUCAUGGAUCGACCAAAGUAUCGCCCUAUCAAUUGGUAUAUGGACAUGAUGCGGUAUUACCCUGGGAGAUUAAAACUGGUUCCAGACAGAUUUCUUCUCAAGAUCAGCUGGUUGCCGAUGAUUAUGCUACUUUGAUGAAUGAUGAGUUGGAUGAUUUAGCAGGGCAUCGGUUAAAAGCUCUAAUUAAUAUAGAAGAAAAUAAAAAGAGAGUUACUAAAUGGUAUGAUAAGAAGGUGAAGGCUAAAGAGUUUGCCGAUGGAGAUUUGGUGUGGAAGUAAAUUCUACCGAUUGGGACUAAAAGGUCAAAAUUUUGAAAAUGGUCUCCUAAUUGGGAAGGUCCUUAUUGGAUAAAUCGGUCUGCUCCUGGCAAUGCUUAUAUUUUAGAGACUCUCGAAGAAGUUGAAUUUCCCAGAGCAUUAAAUGGAAAAUAUUUAAAGAGAUACUAUCCUAGUAUCUGGGUUGACGCAUAAAAGUUCAAAUGUCGAUAACACUCCUAUCGGCUGGAUGAAAUAUGUCUAGAAUCAUGCAUAAUGUUUAAGUGCCGAUAACAGUCCUAUCAGGUAGACCAGAAUAAUUAGAAGUUUUCUGAGGGCAGAAUUGAACGAGCAGCCGAUGAAGAGCUCAUAGGUUCAGCAAAGCUUGAAUAGCUGAUAUGGCACGCAGACGGAUCUGGUUGGCCUCUUCUAUCUCUCGAAUAUCUUCAUCGGCAAAACCCUCCACUGGCUUCAGCUCCUCCUUCAUCUGCAGUGCUUUGCGGGCUUGGACAUCUCGUUCUUGUUGAAGAGUCAGGUAGCUGGCUUUCUUCUUGCUGGGCUUGAGUCAGGGCAUCUUCCACUUGCUUAAGCGCAGCUAGCAAGGCUUCUCUUCUUGCCGAUAGAUCGGAGAUCUUUUGUUUUAGGCCAUCUCCUGAGGACUGCAGAACGCCGAUGCUCUUGUGUGUCUCAUCGGUGGCAUGCUUUACUUGCAUCAUUUCCUCUACGAGCCAGGCGUGAGCAGCUCUAUCGGCAAGACACUGAGUGGCCUUUUGAUACUGGAGUUGACGGCUGUUGACGGUCCUUAAGUAUCAAAUUUAAUCAUCAAAUAAAUAAAGAAAAGGAUCCAAAUACAACCAACAUCUAAACUUAGGGUUUUAUCUGACAGAAUUCCACGAGUUUUGGUGUUUGUCUAUUUCUACAGGGGGUUAUCAGGAAAUACGGAGGAAAGGCCCGCACGUCGGGUUUACAUAGAGAUAUUAACGUGCCGCACAAUUUUCUAUCAUCUAGAAGACUCCAGAAGCCACGAGAACAAAGCGGAAGCCGAGAGGGCUCAGGGACAGGGCGCCCGCCCUAGUCCUUAGGGCGCCCGACCACCUAUUUCGGCCAAUCACGUUCAACUUCGCGGAUUAUGCUCCACCGACCUUAAGGAUCAAGAAUAACCAUUCAAUCAAUGUCGGUUUGAUCCGACGGCCCAGAUUUACUUGAGGGGACUAUAUAAGCUGACCCCCUCGCCCCUGGAGGAGGCACCCCUUGAUCCCUAUUCAUUAUUCAUAGACAGAGCAAAAGCUAGGGUUUUGAGAUGAGAGCUCUCCUCUCAUCGCUAAACUAGAGUAGAUCUAGAUAGUAGCGAGACGGAGAGCGAGGGUGGAUUGGAGGAGAGGCCGGCCUGUCGGUUCUUCCUCUGGUUGUACUUCGUCAUGAUCAAGCUCUAAUGAAGCUUGCUCAUGGGAUGACUCUGGUAAUCUACUUCUAAUUCAUUAUGCAAUUACUAAUCAUGUAUGUUCUGGUUCACAACUCUUUUGAGUACUUUAAUCUAUACGACGCUAUAGGUGAGAGUUAUAGUAUAGGUGUAAGCGUAGUGCUUAGACCUAGAUUACUUGUGGAUUGUUGACGGUCCUUAAGUAUGAAAUUUAAUUAUCAAAUAAACAAAGAAAAGGAUGCAAAUGAAAUCAACAUCUAGACUUAGGGUUUUAUCUGACAGAAUUCCACGAGUUUUGGUGUUUGUCUAUUUCUGCAGGGGGUUAUCAAGAAAUACGGAAGAAAGGCUCACACAUCGGGAUUACAUAGAGAUAUUAACGUGCCGCGCAAUUAUCUUACAUCUAGAAGACUCCAGAAGCCACGAGACCGAAGCGGAGACGAAACGGGGCCAGAGGCAGGGCGCCCGCCCUGUUCCCCUGGGCGCCCGCCCCCUCCCUGAGUCCAAUCAGGACUCUACUUUGUGGGAGAUCUCCACCUACCUAAAGGAUGAAUCUAAACCAUACAAUCUAUGUCGGUUUGAUCCAACGGCCCAUAUUCACUUGAAGGGACUAUAAAACCAGACCCCCUGGCCCCUGGAGGAGAGAGCCUCUCAACCCUAAUUCAUUAUUCUCAAGGGAGAAGAAGCCUCUGAUCAAGAUUAGAGCCACCACAUCAAUUAGACAUCUAGAUUAGCAUAGCUACAUAGGAUUAGAACUAGAAGGAGUCAAUCUUCGAUUGGUUUCUGGAUCUGUCAAGAGGAUUCUUUGUAAUUCUCUAAUUGUGCUUCUAAUUGCUUUCUAAUUAUCUUUGUUCUUCAAUAUUAUGAAUAUGACUUUGUUCUACUUCAAUAUAUUGCUUAUGACUUUGCUCUACUUGCUUAUAUUCAAGAUUAUAUUGUUCUUAGUUUAUCAUAGUUAUGUACUUGGCUUAGUUAGAUUGGAUCUAUAUACAUGCUUAAGAUCGUAUAGCGUUUAUCCAUCGGAUCCAUGGGUAAAUGAUAGAUAUUGUGUAGGUGUGGUGCUUAUAUAGUAUUUAUCUGCUAUUGUACCCAAUAUGCCAGAUCGUGGGGUAGUUCGUGAUAGUGACAGCUUCAUUGAUUCUUAUAUAGUCCCCCUCUCAUGUAUUGGGAUGGCAGAGCAACAUUAUUACAGGGGAGUGAUUUCUAUGUUUCUCAUUUACCUUGCUAAUAUCACUAUGCAUGGGCGUAGUCUUGUCUCAUAAUGAUUGCUAAGUAUGCUUGCACUAACUAUGAUAAUGCUAGACUAUAUAGUUGAGAAUAACUUAGGGAAUAUUCUUGUAGUUCGUUCUAAUACCAUGCUAAUGACUUUCUAGAGUAUCUAAUUGAGCUGCUUAUCAUAUUUAUAUGUGGCUGAUCAGAUUAAUUAUCCUUGUCACUAUUCAUUACUUCAUAUAUCUUUUAUGUGACACUUAUCCCUGUAUGAAAGAGUUAGAUAAUUGUUCUCAAUUACAUAUGCAAUGAUAGAUACUCAAUCUCAUAUUCUAUUCUGUAAUCAAUAUUGAUGAUUGCUAAUCCCUUCCCAGUGGUAAAAAUAUAAAUAACGAUACCUGGAAUACUUCCCGGUUAAAAUGCUACAUCGGUAUUAAUCUGUGUGCUUGCAGAUCCCAUUCAUUAUUUAUUUAGAAGAGCAAUUGCAUAUUUCAAUACUGCGUCUCUCAUGUCAUGCUGGGGAUGACAACUUGGCUUAAGUGGUGUGAGGGAUAGGUUUGGCAUUUUUGGCACCGUUACUAGAAUUAGAAAACUGUCUACUUUUAGUAAUGAUGUUAAGAAUACCCAACAAUCCCCUGUCUAGCUGGAUGGUGUGGUAGGCCGCGUAGGUGACAGUUACGUUGGUCCCUUGUAGUCCACCUCUUGUUAGCAAGACGGGUAGGGUUUAUCGGCCUAUGGAUAAGCAUCAUUUGUGGUGUAUUCUUAUCAUGUGGUUCGUCCCAGACAUAGACAUACCCCUUUGAAGUAGAGAAACCAUAGUUAUCUUCUCUAUUCUGCUACCAUCGCCCAUAUACUAGAUUGCUCUAUUCUCGAUUCCCAUAUUAUCACUCACUGUUAUAUUACCUUUAAUAUUGUUCUUAUUCAAUUCUACCAUCUUUCCUAUUUACACCUAUCUGUCUAUCUUGGUUAAGUUAGAGCGUAGUUGGUUCUCCCAUUUCCCUGUGGAUACGAUAAAACCUUUAACCGGGUAAAAGCUACAACGGUAUCCGCGUGCUUGCGGAUUUAUCUGUGUGCGUAUAAAUACCAUAGUACACUCUAGUGCCAUGUUAGGGAUGACAACCUAGUAUUCAAGUGGUGUUAGCAAGUGUCAACACGCAUUUUUGGCGCCGGUGCCGGGGAAACGGUUGCUAAGUUGACUACGAACUAGCUUAAUCAUUUUUAAAAAAAAAAAUAAAAAAAAUAUUUUUCCUUUUAUCCUUUGCCUUAUCUCUGCUAUUCUUUCUUCUUAUCUAAUCCUUGAUCUCUGGUAUAUCAUGAAUUCAAACAUGUCUAUCUAUGAAUUUCAUAGACCUACGGGCACACAUCUUGAACCACCAAAAUCUUGAAAACCUAUCAUAGCAUCUAGUUUUGAGAUAGACCCCGAAUACAUAGAAUUUGUUCAAAAACAACCUUUCUCAGGAGAAGGUGAAGAAAAUCCAUACACACACCUAAGAGAGUUUUAUCGAGUCUGUGAGCUCCUUCGCAUUGAAGGCAUGUCCGAUGAGACCCUUAAAUGGAAGCUCUUUCCGUUCUCUUUAACAUGAAAAGCUAGACAUUGGUACAAACUCAAAGUAUGGAGUGUUCAUGGAGAUUGGAAUGAGUUAUAUAAUAGUUUUCUUUUUAAAUAUUUUCCAAUCUCCAAAGUGGCGAAACUUCGGUGUGAGAUUAUUUCUUUUAGACAACUGGAAGAAGAAUCUCUUAGGAAAUCAUGGGACCGCUUUAUUAACCUUACUCUCACUGGCCCAAAGCUUUCUAUUCCAGAAGAAGUUCUUCUAAUUCACUUUUUUUAGGGCCUUAGUGGGGAAAAUAAGCAAACCUUGAAUACAGCCUCUAGAGGAUCCUUCUAUCACCUACCUGCUAGUGAAGCUUGGAAUUUGAUUGAUCUAAUGAGCGGAAAGUCUCCUAGCUUUUAUAUCCCUGAGAAAGAGAAAGAACCAGUUCCUAGACAAGAAGAAGAAGUUUCGAUAGCCAGAUCACAACCACUUCAAUCCCAAACUUUAGCUAUCGAUCCUAAACCAUCAAUACCCUAAAAUUCUCUAAGGGAGCAAGGAAUUCCAACCUUAAAUAUUUUAGAUGUUGAUGGUUUAGACUUCUGGUUCCAUAAGAGACCUUCAAGCAGGGAUAAUUCAAAUCCUUGUAAUAAUGGUUCUUUUAGAGAAUGUCCUGGUUCCUGUUAUGAAGAAGUCGAGAAUGACAUAUCAAGUGAAGGAGAGCUAAACCAUAUAGAAGAUUCUAUCUGCUCUCCUUCCAUGUUCACAAAUUCUAAAUCCAUCCUUGACCUUAGAGACCCCUCUUAUCCCUCUCCUUUUAAGUCUCAUGAUGAUCCUAGCAAUCCAUCAAGACAACCAAACCACAGGAGUCAUGAAGACCAUAAGGAUGGCAUAGAAGGAGAGCUAAGCCAUAGAGAAGAUUCUAUCAGCUCCCCUGUCUUCACAAGUUCUAAACGGCUGGAAUGUGUAGAAUGGAUGGAUAAGGAAGAAGCCUUAAUCGAUUCUAACUUUGGCUUAAUUUCAAAUGGUGAGUUCUUGACUCCUUUUGAAGAUGAGAUUCAUCCAACUACAGAAGAAGACAUAGGCGAGACCAAUCCAGGAGAAACUCCGAACAUUCAGAUUGGAGAUGAAGAUAACAUUAAUGAGCAUGGAAUUUAUUUCAUAGCCACUUUGUUUACUCCAUGCUCAUAUGUAACAUCUUCCCAAUCUAUUGGUCUCUCCAACAUCACCACAUUUGAGAUCUCCAACCCCCUCUUCCUUUCUAUUUAUAAAAACUUUAAAACGGUGGUUGUUGAUGCAUAUGUCUAUAAUAAAUAUUGCAGAUCUCGUUGAAUUGAUCUUGAUAUAGGUCAGCCUUGGAAGGGAAACCACUUCGCCGACAUAAAUUGAUGGUUUCCCAAGGACAAGCUUAGUGUCUUAAAAUAAGCACUGAUCAGAUCUUAACAUGAGCUUUUAAUUAUUUACAACAUUACCUGGUGUAUUGAGCAUAUAAGGAUAAUUAUAAAAAUAUUNNNNNNNNNNNNNNNNNNNNNNNNNNNNNNNNNNNNNNNNNNNNNNNNNNNNNNNNNNNNNNNNNNNNNNNNNNNNNNNNNNNNNNNNNNNNNNNNNNNNNNNNNNNNNNNNNNNNNNNNNNNNNNNNNNNNNNNNNNNNNNNNNNNNNNNNNNNNNNNNNNNNNNNNNNNNNNNNNNNNNNNNNNNNNNNNNNNNNNNNNNNNNNNNNNNNNNNNNNNNNNNNNNNNNNNNNNNNNNNNNNNNNNNNNNNNNNNNNNNNNNNNNNNNNNNNNNNNNNNNNNNNNNNNNNNNNNNNNNNNNNNNNNNNNNNNNNNNNNNNNNNNNNNNNNNNNNNNNNNNNNNNNNNNNNNNNNNNNNNNNNNNNNNNNNNNNNNNNNNNNNNNNNNNNNNNNNNNNNNNNNNNNNNNNNNNNNNNNNNNNNNNNNNNNNNNNNNNNNNNNNNNNNNNNNNNNNNNNNNNNNNNNNNNNNNNNNNNNNNNNNNNNNNNNNNNNNNNNNNNNNNNNNNNNNNNNNNNNNNNNNNNNNNNNNNNNNNNNNNNNNNNNNNNNNNNNNNNNNNNNNNNNNNNNNNNNNNNNNNNNNNNNNNNNNNNNNNNNNNNNNNNNNNNNNNNNNNNNNNNNNNNNNNNNNNNNNNNNNNNNNNNNNNNNNNNNNNNNNNNNNNNNNNNNNNNNNNNNNNNNNNNNNNNNNNNNNNNNNNNNNNNNNNNNNNNNNNNNNNNNNNNNNNNNNNNNNNNNNNNNNNNNNNNNNNNNNNNNNNNNNNNNNNNNNNNNNNNNNNNNNNNNNNNNNNNNNNNNNNNNNNNNNNNNNNNNNNNNNNNNNNNNNNNNNNNNNNNNNNNNNNNNNNNNNNNNNNNNNNNNNNNNNNNNNNNNNNNNNNNNNNNNNNNNNNNNNNNNNNNNNNNNNNNNNNNNNNNNNNNNNNNNNNNNNNNNNNNNNNNNNNNNNNNNNNNNNNNNNNNNNNNNNNNNNNNNNNNNNNNNNNNNNNNNNNNNNNNNNNNNNNNNNNNNNNNNNNNNNNNNNNNNNNNNNNNNNNNNNNNNNNNNNNNNNNNNNNNNNNNNNNNNNNNNNNNNNNNNNNNNNNNNNNNNNNNNNNNNNNNNNNNNNNNNNNNNNNNNNNNNNNNNNNNNNNNNNNNNNNNNNNNNNNNNNNNNNNNNNNNNNNNNNNNNNNNNNNNNNNNNNNNNNNNNNNNNNNNNNNNNNNNNNNNNNNNNNNNNNNNNNNNNNNNNNNNNNNNNNNNNNNNNNNNNNNNNNNNNNNNNNNNNNNNNNNNNNNNNNNNNNNNNNNNNNNNNNNNNNNNNNNNNNNNNNNNNNNNNNNNNNNNNNNNNNNNNNNNNNNNNNNNNNNNNNNNNNNNNNNNNNNNNNNNNNNNNNNNNNNNNNNNNNNNNNNNNNNNNNNNNNNNNNNNNNNNNNNNNNNNNNNNNNNNNNNNNNNNNNNNNNNNNNNNNNNNNNNNNNNNNNNNNNNNNNNNNNNNNNNNNNNNNNNNNNNNNNNNNNNNNNNNNNNNNNNNNNNNNNNNNNNNNNNNNNNNNNNNNNNNNNNNNNNNNNNNNNNNNNNNNNNNNNNNNNNNNNNNNNNNNNNNNNNNNNNNNNNNNNNNNNNNNNNNNNNNNNNNNNNNNNNNNNNNNNNNNNNNNNNNNNNNNNNNNNNNNNNNNNNNNNNNNNNNNNNNNNNNNNNNNNNNNNNNNNNNNNNNNNNNNNNNNNNNNNNNNNNNNNNNNNNNNNNNNNNNNNNNNNNNNNNNNNNNNNNNNNNNNNNNNNNNNNNNNNNNNNNNNNNNNNNNNNNNNNNNNNNNNNNNNNNNNNNNNNNNNNNNNNNNNNNNNNNNNNNNNNNNNNNNNNNNNNNNNNNNNNNNNNNNNNNNNNNNNNNNNNNNNNNNNNNNNNNNNNNNNNNNNNNNNNNNNNNNNNNNNNNNNNNNNNNNNNNNNNNNNNNNNNNNNNNNNNNNNNNNNNNNNNNNNNNNNNNNNNNNNNNNNNNNNNNNNNNNNNNNNNNNNNNNNNNNNNNNNNNNNNNNNNNNNNNNNNNNNNNNNNNNNNNNNNNNNNNNNNNNNNNNNNNNNNNNNNNNNNNNNNNNNNNNNNNNNNNNNNNNNNNNNNNNNNNNNNNNNNNNNNNNNNNNNNNNNNNNNNNNNNNNNNNNNNNNNNNNNNNNNNNNNNNNNNNNNNNNNNNNNNNNNNNNNNNNNNNNNNNNNNNNNNNNNNNNNNNNNNNNNNNNNNNNNNNNNNNNNNNNNNNNNNNNNNNNNNNNNNNNNNNNNNNNNNNNNNNNNNNNNNNNNNNNNNNNNNNNNNNNNNNNNNNNNNNNNNNNNNNNNNNNNNNNNNNNNNNNNNNNNNNNNNNNNNNNNNNNNNNNNNNNNNNNNNNNNNNNNNNNNNNNNNNNNNNNNNNNNNNNNNNNNNNNNNNNNNNNNNNNNNNNNNNNNNNNNNNNNNNNNNNNNNNNNNNNNNNNNNNNNNNNNNNNNNNNNNNNNNNNNNNNNNNNNNNNNNNNNNNNNNNNNNNNNNNNNNNNNNNNNNNNNNNNNNNNNNNNNNNNNNNNNNNNNNNNNNNNNNNNNNNNNNNNNNNNNNNNNNNNNNNNNNNNNNNNNNNNNNNNNNNNNNNNNNNNNNNNNNNNNNNNNNNNNNNNNNNNNNNNNNNNNNNNNNNNNNNNNNNNNNNNNNNNNNNNNNNNNNNNNNNNNNNNNNNNNNNNNNNNNNNNNNNNNNNNNNNNNNNNNNNNNNNNNNNNNNNNNNNNNNNNNNNNNNNNNNNNNNNNNNNNNNNNNNNNNNNNNNNNNNNNNNNNNNNNNNNNNNNNNNNNNNNNNNNNNNNNNNNNNNNNNNNNNNNNNNNNNNNNNNNNNNNNNNNNNNNNNNNNNNNNNNNNNNNNNNNNNNNNNNNNNNNNNNNNNNNNNNNNNNNNNNNNNNNNNNNNNNNNNNNNNNNNNNNNNNNNNNNNNNNNNNNNNNNNNNNNNNNNNNNNNNNNNNNNNNNNNNNNNNNNNNNNNNNNNNNNNNNNNNNNNNNNNNNNNNNNNNNNNNNNNNNNNNNNNNNNNNNNNNNNNNNNNNNNNNNNNNNNNNNNNNNNNNNNNNNNNNNNNNNNNNNNNNNNNNNNNNNNNNNNNNNNNNNNNNNNNNNNNNNNNNNNNNNNNNNNNNNNNNNNNNNNNNNNNNNNNNNNNNNNNNNNNNNNNNNNNNNNNNNNNNNNNNNNNNNNNNNNNNNNNNNNNNNNNNNNNNNNNNNNNNNNNNNNNNNNNNNNNNNNNNNNNNNNNNNNNNNNNNNNNNNNNNNNNNNNNNNNNNNNNNNNNNNNNNNNNNNNNNNNNNNNNNNNNNNNNNNNNNNNNNNNNNNNNNNNNNNNNNNNNNNNNNNNNNNNNNNNNNNNNNNNNNNNNNNNNNNNNNNNNNNNNNNNNNNNNNNNNNNNNNNNNNNNNNNNNNNNNNNNNNNNNNNNNNNNNNNNNNNNNNNNNNNNNNNNNNNNNNNNNNNNNNNNNNNNNNNNNNNNNNNNNNNNNNNNNNNNNNNNNNNNNNNNNNNNNNNNNNNNNNNNNNNNNNNNNNNNNNNNNNNNNNNNNNNNNNNNNNNNNNNNNNNNNNNNNNNNNNNNNNNNNNNNNNNNNNNNNNNNNNNNNNNNNNNNNNNNNNNNNNNNNNNNNNNNNNNNNNNNNNNNNNNNNNNNNNNNNNNNNNNNNNNNNNNNNNNNNNNNNNNNNNNNNNNNNNNNNNNNNNNNNNNNNNNNNNNNNNNNNNNNNNNNNNNNNNNNNNNNNNNNNNNNNNNNNNNNNNNNNNNNNNNNNNNNNNNNNNNNNNNNNNNNNNNNNNNNNNNNNNNNNNNNNNNNNNNNNNNNNNNNNNNNNNNNNNNNNNNNNNNNNNNNNNNNNNNNNNNNNNNNNNNNNNNNNNNNNNNNNNNNNNNNNNNNNNNNNNNNNNNNNNNNNNNNNNNNNNNNNNNNNNNNNNNNNNNNNNNNNNNNNNNNNNNNNNNNNNNNNNNNNNNNNNNNNNNNNNNNNNNNNNNNNNNNNNNNNNNNNNNNNNNNNNNNNNNNNNNNNNNNNNNNNNNNNNNNNNNNNNNNNNNNNNNNNNNNNNNNNNNNNNNNNNNNNNNNNNNNNNNNNNNNNNNNNNNNNNNNNNNNNNNNNNNNNNNNNNNNNNNNNNNNNNNNNNNNNNNNNNNNNNNNNNNNNNNNNNNNNNNNNNNNNNNNNNNNNNNNNNNNNNNNNNNNNNNNNNNNNNNNNNNNNNNNNNNNNNNNNNNNNNNNNNNNNNNNNNNNNNNNNNNNNNNNNNNNNNNNNNNNNNNNNNNNNNNNNNNNNNNNNNNNNNNNNNNNNNNNNNNNNNNNNNNNNNNNNNNNNNNNNNNNNNNNNNNNNNNNNNNNNNNNNNNNNNNNNNNNNNNNNNNNNNNNNNNNNNNNNNNNNNNNNNNNNNNNNNNNNNNNNNNNNNNNNNNNNNNNNNNNNNNNNNNNNNNNNNNNNNNNNNNNNNNNNNNNNNNNNNNNNNNNNNNNNNNNNNNNNNNNNNNNNNNNNNNNNNNNNNNNNNNNNNNNNNNNNNNNNNNNNNNNNNNNNNNNNNNNNNNNNNNNNNNNNNNNNNNNNNNNNNNNNNNNNNNNNNNNNNNNNNNNNNNNNNNNNNNNNNNNNNNNNNNNNNNNNNNNNNNNNNNNNNNNNNNNNNNNNNNNNNNNNNNNNNNNNNNNNNNNNNNNNNNNNNNNNNNNNNNNNNNNNNNNNNNNNNNNNNNNNNNNNNNNNNNNNNNNNNNNNNNNNNNNNNNNNNNNNNNNNNNNNNNNNNNNNNNNNNNNNNNNNNNNNNNNNNNNNNNNNNNNNNNNNNNNNNNNNNNNNNNNNNNNNNNNNNNNNNNNNNNNNNNNNNNNNNNNNNNNNNNNNNNNNNNNNNNNNNNNNNNNNNNNNNNNNNNNNNNNNNNNNNNNNNNNNNNNNNNNNNNNNNNNNNNNNNNNNNNNNNNNNNNNNNNNNNNNNNNNNNNNNNNNNNNNNNNNNNNNNNNNNNNNNNNNNNNNNNNNNNNNNNNNNNNNNNNNNNNNNNNNNNNNNNNNNNNNNNNNNNNNNNNNNNNNNNNNNNNNNNNNNNNNNNNNNNNNNNNNNNNNNNNNNNNNNNNNNNNNNNNNNNNNNNNNNNNNNNNNNNNNNNNNNNNNNNNNNNNNNNNNNNNNNNNNNNNNNNNNNNNNNNNNNNNNNNNNNNNNNNNNNNNNNNNNNNNNNNNNNNNNNNNNNNNNNNNNNNNNNNNNNNNNNNNNNNNNNNNNNNNNNNNNNNNNNNNNNNNNNNNNNNNNNNNNNNNNNNNNNNNNNNNNNNNNNNNNNNNNNNNNNNNNNNNNNNNNNNNNNNNNNNNNNNNNNNNNNNNNNNNNNNNNNNNNNNNNNNNNNNNNNNNNNNNNNNNNNNNNNNNNNNNNNNNNNNNNNNNNNNNNNNNNNNNNNNNNNNNNNNNNNNNNNNNNNNNNNNNNNNNNNNNNNNNNNNNNNNNNNNNNNNNNNNNNNNNNNNNNNNNNNNNNNNNNNNNNNNNNNNNNNNNNNNNNNNNNNNNNNNNNNNNNNNNNNNNNNNNNNNNNNNNNNNNNNNNNNNNNNNNNNNNNNNNNNNNNNNNNNNNNNNNNNNNNNNNNNNNNNNNNNNNNNNNNNNNNNNNNNNNNNNNNNNNNNNNNNNNNNNNNNNNNNNNNNNNNNNNNNNNNNNNNNNNNNNNNNNNNNNNNNNNNNNNNNNNNNNNNNNNNNNNNNNNNNNNNNNNNNNNNNNNNNNNNNNNNNNNNNNNNNNNNNNNNNNNNNNNNNNNNNNNNNNNNNNNNNNNNNNNNNNNNNNNNNNNNNNNNNNNNNNNNNNNNNNNNNNNNNNNNNNNNNNNNNNNNNNNNNNNNNNNNNNNNNNNNNNNNNNNNNNNNNNNNNNNNNNNNNNNNNNNNNNNNNNNNNNNNNNNNNNNNNNNNNNNNNNNNNNNNNNNNNNNNNNNNNNNNNNNNNNNNNNNNNNNNNNNNNNNNNNNNNNNNNNNNNNNNNNNNNNNNNNNNNNNNNNNNNNNNNNNNNNNNNNNNNNNNNNNNNNNNNNNNNNNNNNNNNNNNNNNNNNNNNNNNNNNNNNNNNNNNNNNNNNNNNNNNNNNNNNNNNNNNNNNNNNNNNNNNNNNNNNNNNNNNNNNNNNNNNNNNNNNNNNNNNNNNNNNNNNNNNNNNNNNNNNNNNNNNNNNNNNNNNNNNNNNNNNNNNNNNNNNNNNNNNNNNNNNNNNNNNNNNNNNNNNNNNNNNNNNNNNNNNNNNNNNNNNNNNNNNNNNNNNNNNNNNNNNNNNNNNNNNNNNNNNNNNNNNNNNNNNNNNNNNNNNNNNNNNNNNNNNNNNNNNNNNNNNNNNNNNNNNNNNNNNNNNNNNNNNNNNNNNNNNNNNNNNNNNNNNNNNNNNNNNNNNNNNNNNNNNNNNNNNNNNNNNNNNNNNNNNNNNNNNNNNNNNNNNNNNNNNNNNNNNNNNNNNNNNNNNNNNNNNNNNNNNNNNNNNNNNNNNNNNNNNNNNNNNNNNNNNNNNNNNNNNNNNNNNNNNNNNNNNNNNNNNNNNNNNNNNNNNNNNNNNNNNNNNNNNNNNNNNNNNNNNNNNNNNNNNNNNNNNNNNNNNNNNNNNNNNNNNNNNNNNNNNNNNNNNNNNNNNNNNNNNNNNNNNNNNNNNNNNNNNNNNNNNNNNNNNNNNNNNNNNNNNNNNNNNNNNNNNNNNNNNNNNNNNNNNNNNNNNNNNNNNNNNNNNNNNNNNNNNNNNNNNNNNNNNNNNNNNNNNNNNNNNNNNNNNNNNNNNNNNNNNNNNNNNNNNNNNNNNNNNNNNNNNNNNNNNNNNNNNNNNNNNNNNNNNNNNNNNNNNNNNNNNNNNNNNNNNNNNNNNNNNNNNNNNNNNNNNNNNNNNNNNNNNNNNNNNNNNNNNNNNNNNNNNNNNNNNNNNNNNNNNNNNNNNNNNNNNNNNNNNNNNNNNNNNNNNNNNNNNNNNNNNNNNNNNNNNNNNNNNNNNNNNNNNNNNNNNNNNNNNNNNNNNNNNNNNNNNNNNNNNNNNNNNNNNNNNNNNNNNNNNNNNNNNNNNNNNNNNNNNNNNNNNNNNNNNNNNNNNNNNNNNNNNNNNNNNNNNNNNNNNNNNNNNNNNNNNNNNNNNNNNNNNNNNNNNNNNNNNNNNNNNNNNNNNNNNNNNNNNNNNNNNNNNNNNNNNNNNNNNNNNNNNNNNNNNNNNNNNNNNNNNNNNNNNNNNNNNNNNNNNNNNNNNNNNNNNNNNNNNNNNNNNNNNNNNNNNNNNNNNNNNNNNNNNNNNNNNNNNNNNNNNNNNNNNNNNNNNNNNNNNNNNNNNNNNNNNNNNNNNNNNNNNNNNNNNNNNNNNNNNNNNNNNNNNNNNNNNNNNNNNNNNNNNNNNNNNNNNNNNNNNNNNNNNNNNNNNNNNNNNNNNNNNNNNNNNNNNNNNNNNNNNNNNNNNNNNNNNNNNNNNNNNNNNNNNNNNNNNNNNNNNNNNNNNNNNNNNNNNNNNNNNNNNNNNNNNNNNNNNNNNNNNNNNNNNNNNNNNNNNNNNNNNNNNNNNNNNNNNNNNNNNNNNNNNNNNNNNNNNNNNNNNNNNNNNNNNNNNNNNNNNNNNNNNNNNNNNNNNNNNNNNNNNNNNNNNNNNNNNNNNNNNNNNNNNNNNNNNNNNNNNNNNNNNNNNNNNNNNNNNNNNNNNNNNNNNNNNNNNNNNNNNNNNNNNNNNNNNNNNNNNNNNNNNNNNNNNNNNNNNNNNNNNNNNNNNNNNNNNNNNNNNNNNNNNNNNNNNNNNNNNNNNNNNNNNNNNNNNNNNNNNNNNNNNNNNNNNNNNNNNNNNNNNNNNNNNNNNNNNNNNNNNNNNNNNNNNNNNNNNNNNNNNNNNNNNNNNNNNNNNNNNNNNNNNNNNNNNNNNNNNNNNNNNNNNNNNNNNNNNNNNNNNNNNNNNNNNNNNNNNNNNNNNNNNNNNNNNNNNNNNNNNNNNNNNNNNNNNNNNNNNNNNNNNNNNNNNNNNNNNNNNNNNNNNNNNNNNNNNNNNNNNNNNNNNNNNNNNNNNNNNNNNNNNNNNNNNNNNNNNNNNNNNNNNNNNNNNNNNNNNNNNNNNNNNNNNNNNNNNNNNNNNNNNNNNNNNNNNNNNNNNNNNNNNNNNNNNNNNNNNNNNNNNNNNNNNNNNNNNNNNNNNNNNNNNNNNNNNNNNNNNNNNNNNNNNNNNNNNNNNNNNNNNNNNNNNNNNNNNNNNNNNNNNNNNNNNNNNNNNNNNNNNNNNNNNNNNNNNNNNNNNNNNNNNNNNNNNNNNNNNNNNNNNNNNNNNNNNNNNNNNNNNNNNNNNNNNNNNNNNNNNNNNNNNNNNNNNNNNNNNNNNNNNNNNNNNNNNNNNNNNNNNNNNNNNNNNNNNNNNNNNNNNNNNNNNNNNNNNNNNNNNNNNNNNNNNNNNNNNNNNNNNNNNNNNNNNNNNNNNNNNNNNNNNNNNNNNNNNNNNNNNNNNNNNNNNNNNNNNNNNNNNNNNNNNNNNNNNNNNNNNNNNNNNNNNNNNNNNNNNNNNNNNNNNNNNNNNNNNNNNNNNNNNNNNNNNNNNNNNNNNNNNNNNNNNNNNNNNNNNNNNNNNNNNNNNNNNNNNNNNNNNNNNNNNNNNNNNNNNNNNNNNNNNNNNNNNNNNNNNNNNNNNNNNNNNNNNNNNNNNNNNNNNNNNNNNNNNNNNNNNNNNNNNNNNNNNNNNNNNNNNNNNNNNNNNNNNNNNNNNNNNNNNNNNNNNNNNNNNNNNNNNNNNNNNNNNNNNNNNNNNNNNNNNNNNNNNNNNNNNNNNNNNNNNNNNNNNNNNNNNNNNNNNNNNNNNNNNNNNNNNNNNNNNNNNNNNNNNNNNNNNNNNNNNNNNNNNNNNNNNNNNNNNNNNNNNNNNNNNNNNNNNNNNNNNNNNNNNNNNNNNNNNNNNNNNNNNNNNNNNNNNNNNNNNNNNNNNNNNNNNNNNNNNNNNNNNNNNNNNNNNNNNNNNNNNNNNNNNNNNNNNNNNNNNNNNNNNNNNNNNNNNNNNNNNNNNNNNNNNNNNNNNNNNNNNNNNNNNNNNNNNNNNNNNNNNNNNNNNNNNNNNNNNNNNNNNNNNNNNNNNNNNNNNNNNNNNNNNNNNNNNNNNNNNNNNNNNNNNNNNNNNNNNNNNNNNNNNNNNNNNNNNNNNNNNNNNNNNNNNNNNNNNNNNNNNNNNNNNNNNNNNNNNNNNNNNNNNNNNNNNNNNNNNNNNNNNNNNNNNNNNNNNNNNNNNNNNNNNNNNNNNNNNNNNNNNNNNNNNNNNNNNNNNNNNNNNNNNNNNNNNNNNNNNNNNNNNNNNNNNNNNNNNNNNNNNNNNNNNNNNNNNNNNNNNNNNNNNNNNNNNNNNNNNNNNNNNNNNNNNNNNNNNNNNNNNNNNNNNNNNNNNNNNNNNNNNNNNNNNNNNNNNNNNNNNNNNNNNNNNNNNNNNNNNNNNNNNNNNNNNNNNNNNNNNNNNNNNNNNNNNNNNNNNNNNNNNNNNNNNNNNNNNNNNNNNNNNNNNNNNNNNNNNNNNNNNNNNNNNNNNNNNNNNNNNNNNNNNNNNNNNNNNNNNNNNNNNNNNNNNNNNNNNNNNNNNNNNNNNNNNNNNNNNNNNNNNNNNNNNNNNNNNNNNNNNNNNNNNNNNNNNNNNNNNNNNNNNNNNNNNNNNNNNNNNNNNNNNNNNNNNNNNNNNNNNNNNNNNNNNNNNNNNNNNNNNNNNNNNNNNNNNNNNNNNNNNNNNNNNNNNNNNNNNNNNNNNNNNNNNNNNNNNNNNNNNNNNNNNNNNNNNNNNNNNNNNNNNNNNNNNNNNNNNNNNNNNNNNNNNNNNNNNNNNNNNNNNNNNNNNNNNNNNNNNNNNNNNNNNNNNNNNNNNNNNNNNNNNNNNNNNNNNNNNNNNNNNNNNNNNNNNNNNNNNNNNNNNNNNNNNNNNNNNNNNNNNNNNNNNNNNNNNNNNNNNNNNNNNNNNNNNNNNNNNNNNNNNNNNNNNNNNNNNNNNNNNNNNNNNNNNNNNNNNNNNNNNNNNNNNNNNNNNNNNNNNNNNNNNNNNNNNNNNNNNNNNNNNNNNNNNNNNNNNNUGCAGCUGGUCUCACCCGGUGUGACACCGCCCUCCCCCCUCGGGUGGCCGCCCUGGCCAGGCCACCAAUCAGGUUCAACUUUGCGGAUCAUGCUCCACCGACCUAAAGGAUCAAGGAAAACUGUGUGAUUAAUGUCGGUUUGAUCCGACGGCCCACAUUCAUUUGGAAGGACUAUAUAAGCAGACCCCCUAGCCCCUAGAGGAGAGGACAUCUAUCCCUCAGAAACCCUAAUUCAUUAUCCAUCUCGGGAGAAGAAGCCUCUGAUCAAGCCCUAGAGCCACCACAUCAAUUAGAUCUCUAGUUUAGCAUAGCUACAUAGGAUUAGAACUAGAAGGAGUCAAUCUUCGAUUGGUUUUCGGAUCUGUCAAAAGGACUCUUGGUAAUUCCUCUACUGUUCUUCAAUUGUUCAUCAUCGUUCUUCAAUAUCAUGAAUAUGACUUUGUUCUACUUCAAUAUAUUGGUUAUGACUUUGCUCUACUUGUUUAUUUUUGCAAUUAUAUUGUUCUUAGUUUAUCAUAGUUAUAUGCUUGGCUUAGUUAGAUUGGAAUUAAUACAUGUUUAGGAUCGUAUAUCGUUUAUCCAUGUGUACAGUGGGUAAAUGAUAAGUAUUGUGUAGGCGUGGUGCCUAUACCGUAUUUAUCUGCGAUUGUACCCUAUAUGCCAGAUCGCGGGGUAGUUCGUGGUAGUGACAGCUCCAUUGAUUCUUAUAUAGUCCCCCUCUCGUGUAUAGGGCUGGCAGAGCAACAUUAUUAUAGGGGAGUGAUUGCUAGGUUUCUCAUCUUCCUUGAUAAUAUCACUAUGCAUGGGCGUAGUCCUGUCUCGCAAUGAUUGCCAAGUAUAAUUGCACUAACUAUGAUAUGCUAGACUUUAUAGUUAGGAAUAACUUAGGAAAUAUUCUUGUAGUUUGUCCUAAUUCCAUGCUAAUGACUUGCUAGAAUAUCUAUUGAGGUGCUUAUCAUAUUUAUAUGUGGCUAAGUUAUGCUGAUCAGAUUAUUUAUCUUUGUCACCAUUCAUACUUUAUCUAUCUUUUAUGUCACAUUUAUCCCUGUAUGAAAGAGAUAGAUAACUGCUCUCAAUUAUACAUGCAAUGAUAGAUACCCAAUCCCAUAUUCCAUUCCAUAACCAACAUUGAUGUUUAGCAAUCCCUUCCUAGUGGUAAAAAUAUAAAUAACAAUACCUAGAAAACUUCCCAGUUAAAAUGCUACAACUGUAUUAAUCUGUGUGCCUGCAGAUCUCAUUUAUUAUUUAUUCAGAAGAGCAAUUGCAUAUUUCAAUACCGCGUCUCUUAUGUCAUGCUGGGGAUGACAACUUGGCUUAAGUGGCAUGAGGGAUAGGUUCGGCAUUUUUUGCGCUGUUAUCGAAUUAGAAAACUAAGUCUACUUUUGGUAGUGACGUUAAGAAUGACCAACACUUGCCGGCACGCUACGUCCCCGUUGUGUCGACCAACACUUGGUGGUUCGGUGUCUAAGAGGUGUAGCACGAACCUCGUCCUCACUAGGACACCACAAGAACCAACCCACAAGUGAGGUAACUCAAUGACACGAGCACUUUACUAGAGUUACCUUUCGGCUCUCCGCCGGGGAUGGUACAAGACCCCUCACAAUCACCGAGAGAUGGCCACGAAUAAUCACCAAUUCGUGCCAAAGCUCCUCCGUUGCUCCAAGCCAUCUAGGUGGCGGCAACCACCAAGAGUAACAAGAAAACCGCAGCUAGAACGAUCCCAAAGUGCCACUAGAUGCAUUCACUCAAGAAAAUGCACUUGGAAUCACUCCCAAUCUCACAAAGAUGUAUAAUCUAUGAAGGAGAUGAGUGGGAGGUGUUUGCUUAGGCUCACAAGGAUGUCUAGUAGUCAAGAAUGCCAAGAGGGUGAGCCCUAAGCCGGCCAACAACUAUUUAUAAGCCCCUCAAGCAAAUAGAGCCGUUGGCUCUUUCACUGGGCAAACUGUGGGGUCACCGGACGCUCUUAAAGGGGCACCGGACGCUCAACACCUGCGUCCGGUGCUCCAAAGUCAGCCGCGUGUCAGGGUCUAACGGUAACCUACAGAGCACCGGACGCUGAGCAAGUUACCACCAGACGCGUCCGGUGUACACCGGUCCUAAAGUCAGAGAGGUCUGCAAACGCGCAGGGUCACCGGACGCUGAGCACCGGACCGUCCGAUGCUCACCGGACUUAAACUCAGAGAGCUUUGCAAAAUGCUCAAGGCACUGGAUGCACACCACCGGACGCUCCCUGAGCGUCCGGUGCUUCUAGUCAAACACACCGGCCAAAGUCAGAUAGCACCAGACGCAUGAACAUGAGCUCCCCUGUGUCCGUUGUUCACCGUCCGGUGCUUAACCCUAGCACCACAACACACCGGAUGCACAGCCACUGCGUCCGGUGCCUCAGCGGCCAGCGUCCGAUGAGUGUUUCUUAGCGAGAAACACUCUCGUGACUUCUCCAAAGUUUCCCACUGGCGCAAUAGAAAAAAAUGCACUUCAUUUUCUCAAAAAGUGUCGAAUCACAAUGUGUAAACUUGCUCAGAGUGCUCAAUGUGUAAACCCAUCCUCUCUUUACCCUUCAAACUCCACCUCCUUCUCAAAGUGUGCCAACACCACAAUGUGUAAACCAACAAGUGCACGUGUGUUAGCAUUUUCACAAUCAUUUUCUUCGAAGGAGAUAAGUUAGCUCACUAGGUUCUAAAUGCAUGCUAAUGAACAAUGACACCUAGUGGCACUUCAUAACCGCUUAGCCAAAGAAUUCCCCUCUUAUAGUACGACUAUCUAUCCUAAAUGUGAUCACACCUUCUAUGGUGUCUUGAUCACCAAAACUAAAACCCCAAGCAAUACCUUUGCCAUGAUCUCCAUAGGGUUUUGUUUUUCUCUUUCUUCUUUUCCAAGUUGAGCACUUGAUCAUGUUGUGGUCAUCACCAUCAUCACAAUGAUCAUCUCUUGCUCCAUCAUUUGGCAUGUACCAACCUUAUUAAGUCUACACACACUUAGUAUAGAGGUUAGUACUAGGGUUUCAUCAAUUAUCCAAAACCAAACUAGGUCUUUCACCAGAGCAUGGUUUGGAACGUAAACGUGCUUGGUGCGCACAGUCCCCGACCAAAGCGUAGAGACUGGUGGACAAGUCCCUGAGCAUGGUUGGGAAUGUAAAUGUGCUCGGUGGUCCAUACAGUCUUAGAGCACAGCAUAGAGACUAGUCGACAAGUCCCCGAGCGUGGUUGGGAACGUAAACAUGCUCGGUGGUCGGAGCAGUCCCCGAGCACAGCGUAGGGAAUAGUCGACAAGUCCCCGAGCGUAGCUUGUUGAUUGGGCCAAACUCCUGAAAAAUAAUAUAGAGAAUAGGUAGUACAUGAUGUAUAAAUAAACUCUAGAUAAAAAAUCAGCACUGAGAUAAGUUUUAGAUUUUUGUUAUAAAAUUAGCACGAGUAGUUAACUCAUCCUAUAGCUUGUACCAGCUCUGGUCUACCCAACAAUCAGCAUGAGGUGCGGAACUUAGGCACGCGUAGGAUUACCAGCCUCGCCAGAGAGCUACUGCCGACCACCCGGAACGCAGAGGGCGGAUCUCAUGCAUGUGUAGGGAGUCGGAGAUAGUGCCGGCUCUGGAAAACUUGUGUAGCAGAAAAAACUAGUCGGCUAAAAAAAGUUGUUUUGAAGGAUAAUAAUAUUAAAAAUAUUAUGCCAUAAAUAAAUAAAAUAUUAGAAGUGUACUUAUCUUUGGAUGAAAGUUUGGUCAGUGGUGACAAAUUUGUCUGGCCCUCGAGCUUUUUGACUUGUUGUCAAGACGGUGGUCGCGGUUGUCGUAGAGCCGUUCUUCGCGGCGAUUAUUAUUGCGACUGGUGACACAUGUUUUGGACACGUACCUUUUGACACAUACCUAGAGUUAGUGAAAUGUAGAUCGGUAGAUGGAGCAAUGGUGACUAGUCUACAGGGAAGUUGCCGAUGAAGGUGGUUGCCAAUGGGGAGACAACCGAAUAUGACUAAGUCCAGAAGUGAUGACAUAUUCAUGCCGAUGACCUGUGCCGGUGUUUGCCGAUGGCUGUAACAGGUAGUCUGCCGAUGACUCUGCAGAAAAGCGUGGAGGUUGCCGAUUGAUUCGUGGUAGUGACCCGAUCGGUUACGGGGGAUAGUUUAAUGUUUUCCUUAGUUAUUAGAAUUCGUUAUGUAUACGGGUUCCGUUUCAUUUGGAAUUCGAGUCCUAGUCGUGUCUGGUUGUAGCUCUUUGGACAGGGUAUAAAUGUAGACCCUAGGGCCAUGUAAUGACAUCUAUCAAUCAAUCAAACACAAGCUUUUACUCAUAUUCCAGUAUCUACUUUUUCGACGACUUUGUCAUAUUUUCUUUUUACUACGAGUUCUUAGGAAUUUGUCGAGUCAAUCUCGGCGUGUUCUCAAGUUCCGCGUGAACACCUCUUGGCCGUGACAUCUGGGCGCAUCGCUGUUGUUGGGACCAAAGUGUUCGAAUUACCACCUUCAUCGAUUGUAAGGUCAAAUCGGCUGGCACGCCUUAACGUUUGAAUCGGGUAUUAGCCCUUUGUGUUUGCAGAUCAGCUUUUGCAUCAACACAUAUUUUGGCACGCCCAGUGGGACCUAUUCAAGAUUAAGAUCAACAUGUCGAACACCGAUUUCGACUUCGAGAACGUUAUCCCCAUGACGGAAGCCAAUCUCAGAGAUGAGCAGAAGCAAGCUAUGGCAAAAGCCAUGGAGGAAUACAAGCAGCAAUGCUUGAAAUCCUUCAGUAUCAACAGGAGCGGCGAGGUGACCCAAAAGGAAGCAUUGCCGGCACCUCGUCAGAUAACUUUUGAAGCCAAUCCUGGUAAACUUCAAGACAUGGUUGACAGUGCUAUUAACCGUGCCUUAAUCAAUCAAGUUGGCGUGCUGUCCAACACGGUUUUCAAUGCUGUAGCUAGAACUUUCAAAGAAGGACAAGUACCACAAACUUAUGUGGGUCCUGCCUAUCAUCAGCCAGGGUCAUCAUUGGUCAUGGCUCCAUCGGCUACUACAUUCGUUGUGGGUACAGAAGCUACUUCUCCUCCAAGCACAUUAGGGAUCACUAAUGCGCAAUCUACACCGAUGACGACCAAUCCAUCAACAUCAGACGGGCAAAUCAAGCUUGCCACAGAUCUAUUGGCAUCGGUAAUGUCAGGGUUUGUUCCUCCCAACUGGUGGGGUUAUGGUAUGUGUUGAUGCAAAACUGAUCUGCAAACACAAAGGGCUAAUACCCGAUUCAAACGUUAAGGCGUGCCAGCCGAUUUGACCUUACUAUCGGCAAAGGUGAUAACUCGAAUACUUUAGUCCUGACAACAACGAUGCGCCCGGAUGUCACGGCUAAGAGGUACUCACGCGGAACUCGAGAACACGCCGAGCUUAAGUCGACGAAUUCCUAAGAACUCGUAAUAAAAAGAAAAAAAAGUAUGACGAAGUCGUCGAAAAGUAGAUGCUGGAAUAUGAGUAAAAACGUGUGUUUGAUUGAUUUCUUGAUUGAUUAUUACAAGGUCCUAGGGUUUAUAUUUAUACCCUGCUCAAAGAGCUACAACCAGACACGAUUAGAAUUCGAAUUCCAAAUUACACGGAAUCCGUAUACAAAACGAUGCAAAUAAUUAAGGAAACAAUAAAACUAUCCUUCGUGACAAACCGAAACUCCUCCACAUGACAACUGGCAGCUUCCGGACUCCUCCUUUGCAUCAUCGGCAAUCCCCUUGCCAUAGUCAUCGGCAGACCUUUUUAUCCAGCCAUCGGCACCAUAUUACUGCCUGUGGACUUAGUCACAUUCAACCUCUCCCUCAUCGGCAACCAUCCUCAUCAGCAACCCGCAUCGUACUGUCACCCUAUCUUGCCAUCCUAGACACGUGCCCAAAAACGGUGUCAACACAUGCCCCCCAGUUUCGGAGUAUAAAACUACUAAUGCUCCGAAAUUCUCUGCAGUAAUGAUGCCUUCUUCGCAAUUAAUGCUCCUAAUCUGGUAACCAACAACCUCAAUCUGGACAACUCUGAUCCUAAUCCUCCGCAGACUCCUCGAAAUCCCCAACUUCCUAAAUGGGCAUCUUUCUUGGUCGUACAUCGGCAACAAUACCGUUACAAAGAUCUGCCGAUGCUCUGACCAGGAUAUUCGCAAAAACAGUUACCUCCCCUCUAUCCGCCCAUCGGCAAGAUGACCGUUAUAGAAUAUCGCCGAUGGACCGACCAGGAGAUCUCGCACAGUAAAACAUCUUCAGAUAAUGACCGCUUUCCGUCAAAUCACCUGCACAAUCCCUGAAUUACCGUGCGAACAGUUACCAUAUCCACCUGAGUACCCUCGGGCUUCUCGGAUGCGGCAAAGAGAUAAGUCGGAUUUGCCCUUGCCCAUCUUGUCCUAUAAAUAGUUCCUUCUUGGGUACUCCUCCCCCAUCACACCAUUCUACUAUCCAACUUUGCUUUUCCAGCGGCGGCGCCAUUUACAACCUUCAAGAUCUCCGACAAGCACUCCUCUUCAUCAACUCCGGUGCCCUCCAACGUCCUCUUCACGACAAGAUGGCCAUUGGCUUCGUCGUCCCUGAGGUCAGACUCCCAUCUCAUCUUCUGUGUAUAUUCCUAUUCAUCCGCGAUUCAUCUUACUGAAUAUUCUCCUUUUCCUUUUUCUUUGUGUUUUUAUUCCCCCCAAAAUCACUAGGAGUUGUCCAAUAAAAUUGUCAUCCCCACCGAUCAACCACACCUUCAAUGCCUUGGUCCUCUAGGGGAUUCAGAUCCAACCAAUCUUAUCAACGCAGAAACCAAUAGAAUCCCCUUUAGGGCUGAAAACUUUUCUGUAGAUCUAUGGAAAGACACUUUUCGCUCUUGGCCCAGUCCUACCGUAGGAUGGAAAGACUGGUUCUUGAGGGUCAGCAAUUCUUAUGAAGUCCAGUGGGGUGAGAGGAAGCUAGCCCAAUGCAUUAGGCUAUCCAUUGCCGAUAUGCACAGGAACGAAUCACUGCUGAUAGCUGCAUCCUACUUUUGGUCAGACACUCUCAAUGCUUUUGUUUUUGGCCACGGCCCUGCUUCUCCUACCCUUGCCGAUGUAGCCAUGCUCACUGGGCUAGAUAUAUCUUCUGCCGAUAGCACCCACUUUUUUGAUACUGCCCCCAGUGCCAAAGUGGAGACUCGCGCUAUCGGCGGUUGGUCAGGGUACAUCCAGAAGUACCGCGGGAGAGGGUCUGUCACCAUAAAGGAGCAAACCACCUUUCUGAACAUGUGGCUGGACAAGUUCGUAUUCUGUGGUCGAUCGGCAGGACCGACUUCUGUCUAUCUAUCGGCAGCAGAAAGACUAGCUAACGGUGGCCAAUUUCCUCUCGGCCGAUAUUUGCUCAGCGCUGUUUACCACCUUCUUCAUCAGGUAGCCCAGAAACUCCUGCUUGGCCAAUCCAUCGGCAACUUGGGAGGCCCCUGGUGGUUUAUUAAUAUGUGGCUCAAUCUGCACCUGCAUAAGCGCCUUGAUUUCAACUUGUUCUCACAGCACUUCCCAAGAGAUAUAGCCGAAAAUCAUGUGUUGGGUGAAGAGGAAUCGGCAACGCGUGCCCCCUUGAACUUUGGCGAAGCCGUUAUAGUCUUACCCGGUUCAGGGAACAAUCCGGAUCAGAUCGGCCGAUUCUUCGAGACUCUGUAUGAGGGUCUGGUCAGAGAUGAACGACCAUGGCUGGCUUAUGAUGACCCAGAUAGCAUGCUCCCUCUGACCUUCAAUCCAUUUGAUGAAGCUCUCGACAGGGACAAUGAGGCGAUGAUAGCAAUUGUGACUCCCAGAGCCAUUCCAGUGAAUUUCUUCGGUAGCACGAAAACUUCUCCCCAAACCUAUGAAUUUUACAAUCCAUCGGCAUUAGCUCGCCAGCUAGCUUUCGGCCAGUUGCCGAUUGCACUUCCUUAUGCCGAUGUGAUAAAGCCCAGAGAACCCAUCACCAACCUUCUCGAGUGGACUCGAGUAGCCCAGCUACCACCAAAUGCCGAUACAGAUGUAGAUCUGUCAGAAUGGGUUCCAGCUGCCUUUAUCACUCAGGCAUACAAGCUAUGGUGGGCAGAAUGGAAAGAGAAUCUAUUCUGCAGAUCGGCCCUCUCAUACCGCGGCAUGAUCGACCCCGAAUACGAAGUCCCUGAUGACACUGUAAGUAUUUUAAACCGAUGUCUCAUUUUCCAAUACUAUUUCCAUCGGUAACUUACCCCUGUAUUCCUUUUUCAGGUUGACAACACCCCCCCAUCGGUUAGCAGGAGUGGCAAGCCGAUCGACUUGUUCCCAUCAGGCCCGAUCUCCUCAAUCGGCCACAAUGCUCCCACUCUGGCUUCCAUCGUGCAUCGGGGUGCGCGCCUCAAGAAAGUUAUCACCAGGAAAACUCAGACAUCGCCAACGGUAGCUGCUUCCACUCUGGCGCAAGCUUUCAAGGCAAUUUGUCAAACCCUUUUCAUUUAUGCUGACUAUCUUUGUAUCGGCUAUCUGUGCUCAUAAACUCCUUUUUGUUGUUGCAGCAAACUGGUGCAUCGGCAAAAGCCAAACGCCAAGGUACCGAUGCCCCCCAGUCUAGCCAGCCAAAGAGGAAGGGCACCCAAGGUGCUAAGGCUGGAACAAAGCGCCAGAAAGUGGCAACUCCCCCUCCUCCUCCGGUGUCUCCAAUCCCGGUGGAAUCUUCCCCUUCUUCUCCAGAAGUCCAGACACAACAAGCACCAUCUCCCCAACCAAUGCAGGAAGCACCACAGAUGGAAGAACCCCAGCAGGAAGAACCUCAAACAGAAGGUACAUCAGCUGACGUGGGUGAACAAACAACUGGCCCGGCAGGUCCAGUUAUAUCAUCGGCGGUUUCCCCGAUUCAGACAACUGUUGUUCCUCCUCCGGGUAACAUAUUUCAACAAUACUUCCGCCGAUAAACUUAUUCUCAUUUAGUCUCAUAACCCUUCAUGUCUUCUUUCAGUCGAUACCGUUCCAUCGGCAACAUUUGCCGAUCAACCUGUAGCUCCAUCGGUAUCUUUGAGUCAAAGGCAAGAAAUUGCCUUGAAACAAGUAAGUCAUCCAAUUUUUCCACCAGUAUCGUCUGCCGAAGCUUUGACCAUAAAAAUGACUUAUUUCAUUCUCAUUUUCAGGAACAAGAUUCUCCCGAUAGCUUAUUCUCCUUCGCCAUUGAUAUCUUCGAAGAAGAAGGUGAGGAAGCAAGCUCCUCUCGGGCAAUUGGGACUGUAUCGGCAGAAACCAGGGCUAAGCUGGAGGAGCUAUCGGCCAUACUUCAUCAAGACACAGCUCAACUGGUCAACGAUUCUGACCCAGCCAAGGCCCUGUUCAAGACCCUUAGAGGCCAAAUUCCUGCCGAUGCUGAAGAAACCCUCUUCCAUGCUGCACACCUAGAAAGCCGCCAGCUACAGUACCAGAGAGCCACUCGACGCCUUGCCGAUAGAGCCGCUCAAAUCCAGCUUUCUGAGGAGAUGAUGAAAGAAAAACUCUUAGCCGAUGAGAAACAUAAGAACAUCGGCACCUUAAAGUCCUCAGGUGAUGCACUGAAGCAGAAAGUAUCUGAUCUAUCGGCAAAAAGAGAAGCUCUACUGGCCGAACUCAAGCAAGUAGAGGAUGCUCUGUCCCAAGCCCAGCAAGAAGAGAGUCAACUGCCGGAGACCAUCAAGCACCUUGAACAAGAACGAAACGUCCACGGUCGCAAAGCGCUGCAGUUGAAGAGGAAGCUGAAGCCGAUAGAAGGUUCUGCCGAUGAUGAUAUCAAAGAGAUAGAGACAGCCAAUCAGAUCCGGCUGCGCGCCAUAUCGGCAAUCCAAGCGCUGCUGAACAUCUGAAGCUUUCAUCGGCAACACACCUUUGUUUUCCCGCUUUUAGCUUUUAGUCUAGCCGAUAAGACUGUUAUCGGCAUCUUUUGAAACAUUAAGUCUGCCCCCAAACAUUUAAAUCCAGCCAAUAGGAGUGUUAUCGGCACUUAAACUUCUAUGCAUCGACCCAUAUGCUGGGGUAGUACUUCUUUAAAUAUUUGCCAUUUAAUGCUCUGGGAAAUUCAACUCCUUCGAGAGUUUCUAGAAUAUAGGCAUUACCAGGAGCCGAGUGUCUUAUCCGAUAAGGACCUUCCCAAUUAGGAGACCACUUCCCAAACUUCGAACUUUUGGUCCCAACUGGUAAAAUUAAUUUCCAUACCAAAUCCCCAUCGGCAAACUCUUUAGCCUUCACUUUCUUAUCAUACCAUCUAGCAACUCUUUUCUUAUUUUCUUCUAUACUCAUUAAAGCUUUUAACCGAUGCCCUGCUAGAUCAUCCAAUUCAUCGGUCAUCAAAGUGGCAUAAUUGUCGGAAGUUAAUUGAUCUUGAAAAGAUAAUCGCCUAGAUCCAGCCUUAAUUUCCCAAGGCAACACGGCAUCAUGUCCAUACACCAAUUGAUAGGGUGAUACCUUGGUCGAUCCAUGACAAGCCAUCCGAUAAGACCACAAUGCUUCAUUUAAUGAUGUAUGCCACCGCCUAGGAUUUUCUUCAAUCUUUCGUUUAAUAAGCUUGAUAAUUCCUUUGUUAGACGCUUCGGCCUGCCCAUUGGCUUGAGCAUAAUAAGGAGAAGAAUUCAACACUUUAAUUCCCAUACCGAUUGCGAAUUCAUCGAACUCCCCCGACGUGAACAUGGUGCCCUGAUCGGUAGUAAUCGUUUGGGGAAUCCCAAAUCGGUAAAUAAUAUGCUCCUUCACAAAAUCAAUCAUAUUGGCCGAUGUGACUUUCUUCAAAGGAAUAGCUUCGACCCACUUAGUGAAAUAGUCAGUGGCAACUAGAAUGAACUUAUGCCCUUUGCUAGAUGGUGGAUAAAUCUGGCCGAUCAGAUCGAUGGCCCAUCCCCGGAACGGCCAAGGUUUUAUUAUAGGAUUCAUAGCCGAUGCGGGUGCUCUCUGGAUAUUACCGAACUUUUGACAACCUUGACAUCCCUUGAAAUAUUUAAAACAAUCUUCAAGUAUGGUUGGCCAAAAAUAUCCAUUCCUUCGAAUCAUCCACUUCAUCUUAAAAGCUGACUGAUGCGCUCCACACACUCCUUCAUGGAUUUCCCCCAUCAAACUUCUGGCUUCAUCAUCACCCAAGCAUCGGAGAAGAAUUCCGUCGAUAGUUCGAUAAUACAAUUCAUUUUCAAGGAGCACAUACUUGGUUGCCUGAAAUCGAACCCGUCUUUCAACUUUUUUGGAUGGAUCUUUUAGAUAAUCAACAAUUUCUUUCCUCCAAUCACCGGCACCGACUGCCGAUGUCGCAUUAAUCAUUGGCUGAUAUCCCGAGGCAUGCUGAGCUAACCGAUUAGCGUCUUCAUUAUACAAUCGGGGAAUAUGCUCCAAUCGGAAGUCCUUGAAUUCCUUUAACAGUUGCAUACUUCUCUCGAAAUAGGUUAUGAGAACUUCACUUCGGCAUUCAUAGCUUCCGGCCAAUUGAUUUAUAACCAACAUAGAAUCCCCGAAUAUUUCAACAGCAUCAGCACGAACUUCUCUUAACAACUCCAAUCCCUUGAUCAGAGCUUGAUACUCAGCCUGAUUAUUUGUUGAUGUAGCAACAAUCGGCAAGGAAAACUCAUACUUCCUCCCCUUAGGAGAAACUAAUACAAUGCCGAUUCCUGCCCCCCGGUCACAGGUAGAUCCAUCAAAGAAGAGCGUCCAGGGUGCAAUUUCCAAGGUUUCCACUAGACCGCAAUGCUGAGUCACAAAAUCGGCCAUAAUCUGCCCUUUGACUGCCUUAGCCGAUUCGUAACGCAAAUCGAACUCUGACAGCGCUAAAAUCCAUUUACCGAUCCUACCACUCAUAAUCGGCAUAGAUAGCAUGUAUCGGACCACGUCAUCUUUGCAAACAACAGCACAUUCGGCCGAUAAUAGGUAAUGUCUCAGCUUGAUACAUGAAAAAUAUAAGCAUAAGCACAGUUUCUCAAUGGCCGAAUACCUGGUUUCAGCAUCAAUCAACCUCCUACUCAAAUAAUAAAUUACCCUCUCUUUCCCUUCAAAUUCUUGAACUAAAGCUGAACCGAUAACCGAUCCAUCGGUAGAUAAAUACAAUUUGAAGGGCUUCCCUUGUUGAGGUGGAACUAAAACUGGAGGAUUUACUAGAUACUUCUUGAUUUCAUCCAGAGCCAACUGCUGUUCUUCUCCUCAAACAAACUCUUGAUCGGCUUUCAAUUUAAGAAGAGGACUGAACGCACGAAUCCUCCCAGAUAAAUUCGAUAUAAAUCUUCUGAUAAAAUUUACCUUGCCGAUCAAGGAUUGGAGCUCGGUUUUAUUGGUAGGGGCCACUAUUUUAUUGAUGGCAUCAAUAGAUCUUCGACUAAUUUCAAUACCCCUCUGAUGUACCAUGAAACCAAGAAACUGCCCUGCCGAUACGCCAAAUGCACACUUGUUGGGAUUCAUCUUCAAUCCAUGCUUCCUUGUGCACUCCAACACUUUUCGUAAAUCGGCAAGAUGCUUUGAGAAAUCUCCAGACUUAACCACCACAUCAUCAAUAUAAAUCUCUACGAGCUUACCGAUGAACUCAUGAAAUAUAAAAUUCAUAGCCCUUUGAUAAGUAGCACCAGCAUUCUUUAACCCAAAAGUCAUGACUAUCCAUUCAAAUAGUCCAACAUGACCAGGACACCUGAAUGCGGUUUUUGGAAUAUCCUCCUCUGCCAUGAAUAUUUGAUUGUAACCUGCAUUACCAUCCAUGAAGCUGAUGACCCGAUGGCCAGCCGCAGCAUCAACCAGUAGAUCGGCGACAGGCAUUGGGUAUCCAUCCAUCGGUGUAGCUUUAUUGAGAUUCCUGAAAUCAAUGCACACCCAAAGCUUCCCGUUCUUCUUGUAAACCGGAACAACAUUGGAAAUCCAUUCGGCAUACCGACACUGCCGAAUAAACUUAGCUUCAAUAAGUUUAGUGAUUUCGGCCUUAAUAUCAGGUAGAAUGUUAGGAUUACAUCGGCGGGCUGGUUGCUGAUGUGGCCGAAAUCCAGACUUGAUGGGUAACCGAUGUUCGACAAUUGAUCGGUCUAAACCAGGCAUCUCUGUAUAAUCCCAAGCAAAGCAAUCUUUAUAUUCCUUUAACAAACUAAUCAAUUGUCGCUUACACUCAGGAUCUAAUUUAGCACUAAUAAAAGUAGGCCUAGGCUUAUCACCACUACCUAUAUCUACUUCUACCAAAUCAUCGGCCGAUGUGAAUCCCUGGCAUAAUUUUCCAUCAUCGGCGAAUCUAUCCAUUAAAAACCGUCGUCAGAACCGACUGCUUGGAUCGGUGGAAUCUCAUAAUCGGCAACUUUGAGAAAAUCUUUCUCCCAAACUUCUCCUGAAAUGCACCUGGUCCUUUCGUAAGUAUCCGCUUCUGCCGAUGCGAUAACAUAAGAAGAAUCUCCUGGGACGAUCUCAAUCUUGUCACCUACCCACUGAACCAAGCACUGAUGCAUUGUAGAUGGGACACAACAAUUGGCAUGAAUCCAAUCUCUCCCCAAUAAUAAAUUGUAGGCACCUUUUCUGCUGAUCACGAAAAAAGUUGUCGGCAAGGUUUUGCUGCCGAUGGUUAACUCUGCACAUAUCGCCCCCUUGACUGGAGACACGUUUCCUUCAAAGUCUUUGAGCAUCAUAUCGGUCUUGGUCAAAUCUUGAUCCCCUUUCCCAAGCUUCCGAUAUACUGCAUACGGCAUAAUAUUAAUAGCAGCUCCACCAUCAACUAGGAUCUUGGUCAUUGGCUGCCCAUCAACCCUUCCUUUGAGGAACAAAGCUUUAAGAUGCUGCCUCUCGUCAUCGGCAGGUUUCUCAAAGAUAGCCGUCAUCGGAUCCAGAGCCAACUGAGCUAUCUGAUCAGAAAAUUCCAACUCAUCGUCACUGGCUGGUGCAAGAAACUCCAUCGGCAACAUGAAGACCAUGUUGACGCCUGCCGAUGGACCUUCCCUCUUAGUGUCUGACGGCUGCCGACUUCCAGAGUUCUCUCCCUUGUUUAGCUCCUCUUGCCUUUCUCGUUGCAAUCUCCUUUUCUGUGUCUUGGUUAAUCCUCGAGGGCACCAUGGAGGAAGUGGCCUUUGCCUUGCCGUCGGGCGUCGGUUCUCCCUUGACUCCAUGCGAUGCGUGUUAGCAUCCCUGCAAAAUAUGAAUUCAUCGGGAACCUGCGCAUCAGCCAUUCCUUCAAGCUCCUCUUGGUUCCUGGGAAAAUACUGGACACGGUCACUAAGUCUGUUGUGCCCACUGAAUCUGGCCCCCAGGCGGUCAUGAACUGACACCCUUCCUCUGAUCGGCCCAUUAGCUCGCCGUUCAUCAUCAUGAUAACGCCGAUCGUUCCUAUCGUACCGAUCAUAACCGUUGCAUUCAGGGCAGUCUCUGUCAGUAGGAAGCUUGAUAUUUUCCUCCCAACAAUGGAUGAAGAAUGGGCAAUUCCAAUGAUCUCUGUGCCGAUUCCACUCCUGUCGGCGUCUUUCUUCUUCCCGUUGAUAAUCUUCCUGCUGGCGCCGAUACCGAUCUUCCCGUUGUUGCCAUUUUUCUCGAGGCCUCCUAUGAGUUAUGACGAUACCAGAUCGAGGAAGCCUUCCUGAGCUAGUUACUUCCUGGACCAAGCCCUUACUUCUUGCAUCGGCAGUAGUAACUUGAUGCUGAGGAUCUACCGAUGCAUUCUUCUCAGCUGUCUCCGACGUUAAGACCUUAGCCUUCCCCUUAGCAUCCAACAUGUUUGUCGGGAAAGGAUGUUGGUCUAUCUUCAUCGGCUUCUGGGCUUUGGAACUGUCAAACUUGAUUCUCCCUGACUCUAUAGCCGAUUGCAGCUGCUGUCUGAAUACUUUGCACUCGUUGGUGUCAUGUGAAGUUGCAUUAUGCCACUUGCAAUAUCUCAUCCUCUUCAACUCUUCUGCCGAUGGGAUCACAUGGUUAGGUGACAGUUUGAUUUGACCUUCCUGAAGUAGAAAGUCAAAUAUCCUAUCGGCCUUGGCGGUGUCAAAGGCAAACUUCUCUGGUUCCUUCUGCCCAAAAGGACAAGACAUCGGCUUCUUGUUUUUUACCCACUCUGCCAAACCGAUUACUGGUUCCUCAUCGGAAUCUGAGCUUGUUGCUUCAUCAACAAAUGACACUUUCUUAUUCCAUGCCCUCUUAGGCUCGAAAGGCUUGAUGUCUUGAUCAGAUAUCCUCUGCACCAAAUGACUUAAACUUUCGAACUCCUGAGAGGCAUACUUAUCCCUGAUAUGUGGCAACAAACCCUGGAAAGCCAAAUCGGCUAGCUGCCGAUCGUCCAGAACCAGACUAUAGCAUUUAUUCUUGACCUCUCGUAUUCUCUGCACAAAUCCCUCAACCGACUCAUCAUUACGUUGCCUCAACUUGACCAAGUCGGUGAUCUUCUUCUCAUGAACCCCCGAGAAGAAGUAUUUGUGGAAUUGCUUCUCUAGAUCGGCCCAAGUAAUUACUGAGUUGGGAGGUAAUGAUAUGAACCAAGUAAAGGCCGAUCCAGACAAUGAUGAUGAAAAUAGACGAACCCUCAAUUCGUCCCUGUUACUAGCCUCUCCACAUUGAAUAAUGAACCUGUUGACAUGCUCCAUGGUUGACGUGUCGUCCUGUCCGGAAAACUUUGUAAAAUCCGGUACCUUGUACCGAUGUGGAAGCGGGAUCAAAUCAUACGCUGGAGGAUACGGUGUCCGAUAAGAAUAAGUGUUGACUUUGGGUUUUAUCCCAAAUUGUUCCCUCAUUACUUCAGCAAUCUUAUCGGCCCAAUCCGCAUCAGCAUCUUGCCGAUGAGGCGGCUGCGGAUCUGGCACUUGGUGGCGAACCUCCACGUGUCUGUUCGGGACGUGACCUGCAUGGAACAUUGUAUUGGUCACCUGUCCUCCAAUCUGCGGACCACCAAACUGCUGUCCACCGAUUGGCUGUCCUCCGAGUUGCUGUCCAAAAUUUAUUGGCUGGUUGGGAAUCCCCUGACCUUGGAACCCGGGAUAGACCUGCCCUUGCUGGAACCCUGUAGUCUGAUAACCCUGCUGGGGUGAUUGUGGAAAGGCUUGCUGUCCAAGCCAUCCAUUAUUAGCGUUCAUCGGCAUAGGUGCUGCUGAUGAUUGGUAAUUGGGUACCGUCGUUGAAUCGACAUACCCCGACUGGGCCAUAGGCCUCUGUUGCAUCAGCAUUGACUCUGCCGAUGCGUUGGGCAUCUGAAACAUUGAAUCUUGAGGAUUCCCAGUGUGAGGCCUUGCAGUAGUAGUUGUGGUAUACCGAGGACUCUGGUUCACCGGCGCAUUGGGAGGUGCCGAUGUCAUAGGAGUUUUGCCCCUCAUGUCAGUUAUUUGUGAUGUUCCCGGCGUCAACUCUGGAGGCAUACCAUAACCCCACCAGUUGAGAGGAAGAGUCAACCCUGACAUUGCCGAUGCUAACAUAUCUGUUGUCAGUUUAUGCUGCCCAACUGAAAUUUAUGGGUUGGUUGCCAUCGGCAUAGAUAGUGCACCAGUAGUCCCCAAUGUACUUGGAGGGACGGCAGACUGUGCACUUGCAUUCGUCAAGGCAGCCGAUGGAGCCGUGACCUCUGGUGCCGUUGGCUGAUGAUGGGAGGGCCCCACAUAAUCUGGCGGGAUUUGUCCUUCCUUGAAAGUUCUUGCCACGGCGUUGAAAACCAUAUUAGACAGUACACCAGCUUGGUUAAUCAACGCUCGAUUGAUGGCAUUGUCAACCAUAUCUUGAAGCUUGCCAGGAUUGGCGUCAAAGGUGACCUGCCGUGGUGCCGGCAGUGCAUCUUUCUGGACCACUUCGCCGCUCCUGUUUAUGCUGAAAGACCUCAGGCAUUGCUGCUUGAACUCUUCCAUGGCUUGGGCAAUAGCUUGCUUUUGCUCAUCCUUGAGGUUGGCCUCCGUCACGGGGAUGACGUUCUCUUGAUCGAGGUCAGAGAUCGACAUGUUGAUCUUGAUCUUGAAUCUGUCCCACUGGGCGUGCCAAAAGAUGUGUUGAUGCAAAACUGAUCUGCAAACACAAAGGGCUAAUACCCGAUUCAAACGUUAAGGCGUGCCAGCCGAUUUGACCUUACUAUCGGCAAAGGUGAUAACUCGAAUACUUUAGUCCUGACAACAGCGAUGCGCCCGGAUGUCACGGCUAAGAGGUACUCACGCGGAACUCGAGAACACGCCGAGCUUAAGUCGACGGAUUCCUAAGAACUCGUAAUAAAAAGAAAAAAAAGUAUGACGAAGUCGUCGAAAAGUAGAUGCUGGAAUAUGAGUAAAAACGUGUGUUUGAUUGAUUUCUUGAUUGAUUAUUACAAGGUCCUAGGGUUUAUAUUUAUACCCUGCUCAAAGAGCUACAACCAGACACGAUUAGAAUUCGAAUUCCAAAUUACACGGAAUCCGUAUACAAAACGAUGCAAAUAAUUAAGGAAACAAUAAAACUAUCCUUCGUGACAAACCGAAACUCCUCCACAUGACAACUGGCAGUUUCCGGACUCCUCCUUUGCAUCAUCGGCAAUCCCCUUGCCAUAGUCAUCGGCAGACCUUUUUAUCCAGCCAUCGGCACCAUAUUACUGCCUGUGGACUUAGUCACAUUCAACCUCUCCCUCAUCGGCAACCAUCCUCAUCAGCAACCCGCAUCGUACUGUCACCCUAUCCUGCCAUCCUAGACACGUGCCCAAAAACGGUGUCAACAGUAUGCCCCCAGAUUUGAUGGCAAAGAGUGCUGGAACAUCUCAAGUGGCUGACUUGACAGGCAAGGCUCCUAUGGCAUCGACACCUCCAAAUCCGCCGAUGAAUCAGAGUCCCCAGUACAAUACAACUACUACUACAAGACCUUACACUGGGAAUUCUCAAGCCCCAACAUUCCAGAUGCCUAAUGCAUCGGCAGAUUCAAUGCCGACGCAACUGAGGUUCAUGACACAGCCAGGGUAUGUCAAUUCAAUGAUGAUGCCCAAUUACCAGUCAUCGGCAGCGCUUAUGCCGAUGAAUGCUAACAGUGGAUGGACUGGGCAGUUUGUUUUUCCACAGAUGCCUCAGCAGAAUCAUCAGGCUGUAGGGUUUCAACAAGGACCAAUCCAACCUAGAUUUCAGAAUCAAGGAUUGGUCAACCAGCCGAUGAAUCUUGGUCAGCAAAUUGGUGGUCAGAUGGUUAAUCAAAUGUUCCAUGCAGAUCGUGCACCUCAGAGACAUGUAGAAGCUUAUCAGCAGGUGCCAGAUCCACAGCCGCCUCAUCGGCAAGAUGCUGAUGCUUAUUGGGCCGAUAAGAUAGCUGAAGUGAUGAGAGACCAAUUUGGGAUAAAGCCCAAAGUCAACACAUACUCUUAUCGGACACCGUAUCCUCCCGCAUAUGAUUUCAUUCCACUUCCAAAUCGGUACAAGGUACCAGAUUUCACUAAGUUUUCUGGAUAGGAUGAUACGUCGACUAUGGAACAUUUUAAUAGGUUUAUCAUCCAAUGUGGAGAGGCUGCUAACAGAGAUGAAUUAAAGGUUCGCUUGUUCUCAUCAUCUUUGUCUGGAUCAGCUUUUACUUGGUUUAUUUCGUUACCUCCCAACUCAGUAAUCACUUGGGCCGAUCUAGAGAAGCAAUUCCAUAAAUACUUCUUUUCUGGAGUUCAUGAAAAAAAGAUUACCGAUUUGGUCACGUUGAAGCAACGCAAUGAUGAAUCAGUUGAGAGCUUUGUGCAAAGAUUGCGAGAAGUCAAGAAUAAAUGCUAUAGACUGGUUCUAGAUUUGGCAGCUAGCCGAUUUGGCUUUUCAAGGACUGCUGCCACAUAUCAGAGACAAAUAUGUUUAUCAAGAGUUCGAGAGUCUGAGUCAUUUGGUGCAGAGGAUUUCUGACCAAGACAUUAAACCUUUUGAACCCAAGAGAGCAUGGAAUAAAAAGGUGUCAUUUGUUGAUGAGGCAGCAAGUUCGGAUUCUGAUGAAGAACCGGUCAUCGGCUUAGCAGAGUGGGUAAAAAAAUAAGAAGCCGAUGUCUUGCCCUUUUUGGAAUAAAGAACCAGAGAAGAUUGCAUUUGACAUCACCAAAGCCGAUAGGAUAUUUGAUUUUCUACUUCAGGAAGGGAAAAUCAAGUUGUCACCCAAUCAUGUGAUCCCGUCGGCUGAAGAAUUAAAGAAGAUGAAAUAUUGUAAGUGGCACAAUGCAACAUCUCAUGGUACAAAUGAGUGCAAGGUUUUCAGGCAACAGCUGCAAUUGGCUAUAGAAUCUGGGAGAAUCAAGUUUGAUAAUUCUAAAGCUCAGAAGCCGAUGAAGAUCGAUCAACAUCCUUUCUAAACAAAUAUGUUGGAUGCUAAGGGAAAAACCAAGGUCUUGACAUCAAAGGCAGCUGAAAGGAGUGCAUCUGUGGAUCCUCAGCAUCAGAUCACUACCGAUGACGCUAAAGGCAAGGGUCUGGUGCAGGAAGGAACCAGCUUAGGAAGGCCUCCCCGAUCUGGCAUUGUGAUAACUCAUAGAAGGCAUCGGGAGACUUGGCAGCAACGUGAGGAUCGGUAUCGGCGCCAACAGGAGGAUCAUCAUCGGGAAGAAGAAAGACGCUGGCAGGAAUGGAAUCGGCAUAAGGAUUAUUGGAACUGCCCGUUCUUUAUCCAUUGUUGGGAACAGAACAUCAAGUUGCCUACUGUUAGAGAUUGCCCUGAGUGUAAUGGUUAUGAUCGGUAUGAUAGACCUAAUCGGCAGUAUCAGAACGAUGAUCGGCGAUUUAAUGAGCCAAUUAGGGGAAGAGCCUCAGUUCAUGAUCGGCUGGGAGCAGGCUCAGUGUGCACGAUCGACUUGGCGACCGUGUUGGAUACUUUCCUAGGAACCAAGAGGAACUUGAGGAGAUUGCAGAUGCACGAGUUUCUGAUGAGUUCAUAUUUUGUAGAGAUGCCAAUACUUACCGAGUGGAGUCAAGAGGAGUUCGUCGGCAAUCGGUAAGACAGCCGCAACUUCCUCCAUGGUGUCCGGAGGGGCUGACUAGGACAUAGAAAAGAAGGUUGCAGCGCGAAAGACGAGAAGAUUUGAGCAAAGGAGAGAAUCCUGGCAAAUCUAGAGAUCAGCAGUAGCCGGAUCCCAAGGGAAAAGGACCAUCGGCAGAUGUUAAUAUGGUAUUCAUGUUGCCGAUGGGGUUCCUUGCGCCGUCCAGUGAUGAUGAAGAGCUAGAUUUUUCUGACCAGAUAGCUCAGUUGGCUUUGGAUUUGAUGACAGCUAUCUUUUAAAAGCCUGCCGACAAUGAAAGGCAGCAUCUUAAGGCUCUAUUCGUCAAAGGAAGGGUUGAUGGGCAGCCGAUGACCAAAAUAUUAGUUGAUGGUGGUGCUGCUAUUAAUAUUAUGCCGUAUGCAGUUUAUCGGAAGCUUGGGAAAGGAGAUCAGGAUUUGACCAAGACCGAUAUGAUGCUAAAGGACUUUGAAGGAAAUGUGUCUCCGGUUAAGGGGCCGAUAUGCGUCGAGUUGACUAUCGGCAGCAAAACCUUGCCGACAACUUUCUUCGUAAUCAGUGGAAAGGGUGCUUAUAAUCUGCUACUAGGGAGAUUGGAUCCAUGCUAAUUGUUGCAUCCCAUCAAUAGUGCACCAAUGCUUGGUUCAGUGGGUAGGUGACAAGAUUGAGAUUGUCCUGGGAGAUUCUUCUUAUAUCAUCGCAUCGGUAGAAGCAGACACUUAUGAAAGGACCAGGUGCAUCUUAGGAGAGAUUUGGCAGAAGGAUUUCCUUAAAGUUGCCGAUUAUGAGAUUCCACCGAUCCAAGCAGUCGGUUCUGAUGAGGAGUUUUAAUGGAUAGGUUCGCCGAUGAUGGGAAAUUAGGCCAACGGUUUACUUCGGCGAUGAUUUAGUAGGAGUAAAUAUAGGUAAUGGUGAUAAGCCAAGACCUACUUUUAUUAGUGCUAAGUUAGAUUCUAAGUGUAAGCAACAGUUAACCGGUUUGUUAAAGGAAUAUAAAGAUUGCUUUGCUUGGGAAUAUACUGAGAUGCCUGGUUUGGACCGAUCUAUUGUUGAACAUCGGUUGCCUAUCAAAUCUGGAUUUCGGCCAUAUCAGCAGCCAACCCAUCGAUGUAAUCCCAAUAUUCUUCCUAAUAUUAAGGCCGAAAUAACCAAACUUAUCGAAGCUAAAUUUAUUCGGCAGUGUCGGUAUGCCGAGUGGAUUUCCAAUGUCGUUCCAGUUUACAAGAAAAAUGGGAAGCUUCGAGUUUGCAUUGAUUUCAGGAAUCUUAACAAGGCUACGCCGAUGGAUGGUUACCCGAUGCCAGUUGCCGAUUUACUAGUUGAUGCUACGGCUGGACAUCGGGUCAUAAGCUUCAUGGAUGGCAAUGCAGGAUAUAAUCAGAUAUUCAUGGCUGAAGAAGAUAUUCCAAAGACUGCAUUUAGAUGUCCUGGUCAUGUUGGGUUGUUUGAAUGGAUAGUCAUGACCUUUGGCUUGAAAAAUGCUAGUGCUACCUAUCAAAGAGCUAUGAAUUUUAUCUUUCAUGAGUUCAUCGGCAAGCUGGUAGAAAUUUACAUUGAUGAUGUGGUGGUUAAGUCUGGGGAUUUCACAAAGCAUCUUGCCGAUAUGCGAAAAGUGUUGGAAUGCACAAGAAAACAUGGUUUAAAGAUGAACCCUAAUAAAUGUGCAUUUGGUGUAUUGCCAGGGCAGUUUCUUGGUUUCAUGGUGCAUCAGAGGGGAAUUGAAAUUAGCAGAAGAUCUAUCGAUGCUAUUAACAAAAUAGUUGCUCCUACCAACAAAACUGAGCUCCAAUCUCUGAUCAGCAAAAUAAAUUUUAUCAGGCGAUUUAUUUCCAAUUUGUCUGGUAAAAUUCGUGUUUUUAGUCCUUUACUUAAAUUAAAAUCCGAUCAAGAAUUUAUAUGGCGAGAAGAGCAACAGUUGGCCUUAGAUGAAAUCAAGAAUUAUUUGACAAAUCCUCCAGUCUUUAUUCCACUUGAGCAAGGAAAGUCCUUCAGAUUAUAUUUGUCUACCGAUGGGAUGGUCAUCGGUUCGGCUUUGAUUCAAGAAUUUGAAGGGAAGGAGCAUGUGAUUUACUAUUUAAGUAGAAGAUUGAUUGAUGUUGAGACCAGGUAUUCGGCCAUUGAAAAAUUAUGUUUAUGCCUAUAUUUUUCUUGCAUUAAGUUGAGGCACUAUUUGCUAUCGGCCGAAUGCACUGUUAUAUGCAAAGAUGAUGUGGUCCGAUAUAUGCUAUCUAUGCCGAUUAUGAGUGGUAGAAUCGGUAAAUGGAUUUUGGCACUGUUGGAAUUCGAUCUACGUUACGAAUCGGCUAAAGCGAUUAAAGGGUAGAUUAUGGCCGAUUUUGUGACUCAACAUCGCGGUGUAGUGGAGACUUUGGAAAUUGUGCCUUGGACGCUCUUCUUUGAUGGAUCCACGUGUGACUGGGUGGCAGGGAUCGGCAUAGUGUUAGAUUCCCCUCAGGGAAAGAAGUAUGAGUUCUCUUUGUCGAUUGUUGCCACGUCAACGAAUAAUCAAGCCGAGUAUGAAGCUUUGAUCAAGGGGCUGGAAUGGUUAAAAGAAGUUCAUGCUGAUGCUGUUGAAAUCUUCGGGGAUUCUAUGUUGGUUAUAAAUCAAUUGGCUGGAAGUUAUGAAUGCCGAAGCGAAGUCCUAAUAACUUAUUAUGAAAAUAGUAUACAACUAUUAAGGGAAUUCAAAGACUUUUGAUUAGAGCAUGUUCCUCGGUUACAUAAUGAGGAGGCUAAUCGGUUGGCUCAGCAUGCCUCGGGAUAUCAACCCAUAUUGAAUACGUUAUCGGCAAUCAGUGCCGAUGAUUGGAGAAAAGAGAUCAUUGAUUAUUUAAGGAAUCGAUCUAAGAAGCUUGAGAGGCGUGUCUGGUUUCAAGCUACCAAGUUUGUGUUCCUUGAGGAUGAGCUAUAUUAUCGAACAAUCGAUGGAGUUCUUCUCAAAUGCUUAGGUAAAGAUGAAGCUAAAAGUUUGAUGGGUGAAAUCCAUGAAGGAGUGUGUGGAGCACAUCAGUCGGCUUUUAAGAUGAAAUGGAUGAUCAGGAGAAAUGGGUAUUAUUGGCCGACUAUACUCGAGGAUUGCUUUAAAUAUUUCAAAGGGUAUCAAGGAUGUCAGAAGUUUGGCAAUAUUCAAAGGGCACCCGCAUCGGCCAUGAAUCCCAUUAUUAAACCUUGGCCGUUCCGGGGAUGGGCUAUUGACCUAAUCGGCCAGAUUUACCCACCAUCGAGUAAAGGGCAUAAAUUCAUCUUAGUCGCCACUGAUUAUUUCACUAAGUGGGUUGAGGCUAUUCCUUUGAAGAAAGUUACGUCGGCCAAUAUGAUUGAUUUUGUGAAAGAACAUAUUAUUUACCGAUUUGGUAUUCCUCAAACAAUUACUACCGAUUAGGGUACUAUGUUUACAUCGGGAGAGUUUGAUGAAGUUGCCAUCGGUAUGGGGAUUAAAGUGUUGAAUUCUUCUCCUUAUUAUGGUCAAGCCAAUGGGCUGGCCGAGGCAUCUAACAAAGGAAUUGUUAAACUUAUCAAAUGGAAGAUUGAGGAAAAUCCUAGGAGGUGGCAUACAUUGUUGAAUGAAGCUUUGUGGUCAUAUCGGAUGGCUUGUCAUGGGUCGACCAAAGUUUCACCUUAUCAGUUGGUGUAUGGGCACGAUGCAGUACUACCAUUGGAAAUUAAGGCUGGGUCUAGGCGAUUAUCUUUCCAGGAUCACUUGACUGCCGGUGACUAUGCUACUUUGAUGAAAGAUGAGUUAGAUGAUUUAGCAGGGCAUCGGCUCAAAGCUUUGGUAAGUAUACAAGAAAAUAAAAAGAGAGUUACCAGGUGGUAUGAUAAAAAGGUAAAGGACAAGGAGUUUAUCGAUGGAGAUUUGGUAUGGAAGCUGAUAUUGCCGAUUGGGACUAAAAGUUAAAAGUUUGGCAAGUGGUCUCCCAAUUGGGAAGGUCCUUAUCGGAUAAGCCGGUCUGCUCCUGGUAAUGCUUAUAUUCUGAAAACUAUCGAAGGAGUUUAAUUUCCCAGAGCAUUGAAUGGAAAAUAUUUAAAGAAAUAUUACCCAAGCAUAUUGGUCGAUGCAUAAAAGUUUAAGUGCCGAUAACACUCCUAUCGGCUGGAUUGAAAUGUAUCUGGGACUAAAGAUGAUGUUUCAAAAGGGUGCCGAUAACAAUCCUAUCGGCUAGACCAAACUAAUCAGCAGUCUUUGAAGAAAGAGCAAAACACGCCGCUGAUGAAAAGCUCAUACAUUUAGCAGAGCUUGGAUCGCCGAUAUAGCGCGUAGAUGGAUUUGAUCGGCUUCUUCUAUCUCCUUGAUGUCUUCAUCGACAGAACCCUCUACUGGCUUUAGCUUCUUCUUCAUCUGCAGAGCCUUGGGAGCUUGGACAUUUCGCUCUUGUUCGAGGGUCUUGAUCGCUUCGGGCAGCUGACUUUCUUCCUGUUAAGCUUGGGUCAGAGCUUCUUCUACUUGUUUAAGCUCUGCCAACAGGGCUUCCCUUUUUGCCGAUAGGUCAGACACCUUUUGUUUCAGCGUAUCUCCUGAGGAUUUUAGAAUGCCGAUGCUCUUUUGUUUCUCAUCGGCAAGAUGCUUCACUUUCAUUACCUCUUGUGAGAGCUGGGCAUGAGUGGCUCUAUCGGCGAGGCGCUGAGUGGCCUUUUGGUACUGGAGCUGGUGACUCUCCAAGUGUGCAGCCUUGAAGAGGAUCUCCUCGGCAUCGGCAGGGAUUUGGCCUCGAGCCUUAAACAAAGCCUUAGCUGGAUCGGAGUCAUCAACCAGUUGGGCUGUAUCCUGAUGAAACAGGGCCAGCAGAUCCUCCAGUUUAGCUCUGAUUUCUGCCGAUGAAAUCCCUACUGCUUGAGAAGAGCUUGCUUCCUCACCUUCAUCAUCAGAAAUUUCAAUAGCAAAAGAGAACAAGCUAUCUGAAGAGUCUUGUUCAUGGAAAAGAAAAUAAAAUAGGUUAUUUUAUGAUCAAGCACUAGUGAUGAUAAAAAUAGAGAUCAGGUAACGUACUUGUUUCAGGGCAAUUUCUCGCCUCUGGCUAGCUGAAGCCGAUGGUACUACAGGUUGACUGGCUGGAGUUGCCGAUGGAAUAAUGCUAGCUGAAAGAUAUAUGAUAGUGAAUUACAAGUUAGAAAAAGAAAAAUCCAUCGGCAAAUAAUCUUAUGAACAGAACCCUACCUUGAGGGGGUGCAGUGCUUGUCUGGAUUGAAGAGACUACCAAUGAUAUGAUUGAUCCCACUAGAUUGGCGGUCUAUUCAAGUACAUCGGCUGAUAUUUCUUGUGGCUGAGGUGGAGAUGGUACUUGUUGUGUCUGAGCCUCUGGUGAAGAAGGGGACGAUUCCACGUGAAUCGGUGACCCUGGAGGAGGGGGAGGAGGUGAUGCUGCCCUCUGACGCUUUGCUUGUGACUUGGUACUCUUGGGACCCUUUCUCUUAGCUUGACUAGCUUGGGAGGCGUCGGCACUUGCCUUGGUACUUCUGGUCUUUACCGAUUUGCCAGUUUGUUGAUACAACAAUAAAGAUUUCAUAAGUACAAGAGUAACAGAGUAUUAAUAGAAUUUUGGUCGAAACAGUGAAAGUUACUGAUGAAGUUCCCAUAGCAGCCGAUGUAUCUUGAAAAGUUUGUGUAAGUAUAGAAUGGAAUCGGUAUAAAUUGAAGAGGUGAAAGUUUUCUACCUUGAAAGCUUGCGCCAGAGCAGUAGCAGCGACUGAUGGAGAUGUCUUCGCCCGCUUGGUGGUGAUUUUCUUGAAACGCACACCCCGGUGCAUUAGAGCCGCCAAACAUGGAGCAUUAUUGCCGAUCAAAGAGAUCGGGCCUGAUGGGAGGAGUUCGAUCGGCUUACCACUUCUGCUGACUGACGGUGGUGUGUCAUCGACCUGUAUAAAACAGAAGAAGUAAGUUGCCGAUAAGGAUAAAAAUAAUGAGAUUGAAGCAUUGGUUAAAAACAUACAGCAUUUUCGGGAACCUUGUACGCGGAGUCGAUCAUACCGCGGUAUGUAAGAGCCGAUCUGCAGAACAAAUGCUCUUUCCAUUCCGCCCACCAUUGCUUGUACGCCUGGGUGAUGAAAAGAGCUGGGAUCCAGGCCGAUAGGUCAAUGUCUAACGUAUCAGAAUUUGGUGGGAGUUGAGCUAUUCUGAUCCACUCAAGACCACUUGUGAUGAUCUCCCUUGGUUUCACCACAUCGACAUAGCAGAGCGCAAUCGGCAGUUGUCCGAAGGCCAAUUGGCAAGCCAAUGCCGAUGGAUUGUAGAACUCAUAGGUAAGAUUGGAAGCUUUCCCACUGCCAAAGAAAUUCACCGAUAUAGCUCUCGGAGUGAUAAUUGCCAUCAUCAGAUCAUGGUCCUUGUUGAGAGCAUUAUCAAAGGGAUGAAAAGUCAGGGAAAUCUGGUGUCUGGAUCCUCAUAAGGCAUCCAUGCCUAUUGUUCUUUGGUCAGACCCUCAUAAAGAGUCUGAAAGAAUCGGCUGACCUGAUCUUCAUUGCCACUAGUACCGGGUAGAACUAUGGCAGCUUCGCCGUAGUUCAGAGGGGGGCGAGAUGCCGAUUCUUCCUCAUCCAACUCGUGAUCUUCGGCUAUAUCUCUGGGGAAGCGCUGUGCAAAAAGGUUGAAUUCAAGGCGCUUGUGCAUAUGGACACUGAGCCACAUGUUGAUGAACCACCAGGGUCCCCCUAAAUUGCCGAUGGGUUGGCCUAGCAGGAGUUUCUUAGCCACCUGAUGGAGGAGGUGAUAAACAGAGCUGAGCAAGUAUCGGCCAAGAGGAAAUCGACCAGGCCAGUCUUUCCGCUGCCGAUAGAUAGACAGAGGUUGGUCCCGCCGAUCGGCCACAGAAUACAAACUUAUCCAAUCACAUGUUCAAGAAAAUUGCCUGCUCCCUUUCCCCGACAGAUCCUGUUUUGCGGUACUUCUGAAUGUAUCCAGACCAACCGCCGAUAGCGCGAGUCUCUACCUUGGAACUGGGCUUGGUGUCAAACAGAUGACUGUUAUCGGCAGUGGAUAUGUCUAAACCGGUGAGCAUGAGUACAUCGGCAAGAGUAGGUGAAGCAGGGCCAUGGCCGAAUACAAAAGCAUUGAGCGUGUCUGACCAAAAGUACGAGGCAGCUAUUAACAGUGACUCGUUCCUCUCCAUAUUGGCAAGAGAUAAUCUGAUGAACUGGUCUAAUUUCCGCUCACCCAAUUGGACUUCAUUUGAAUGGCUGACUCUCAGGAACCAGUCUUUCCAUCCCUUGGUAGGACUGGGCCAGGAAUGAAAGGCAUCUUUCCACAGAUCUAAGGAAACGUUUUUGGCUUUGAAGGGGAUUCUAUUUGUCUUUGCGUUUAUUAGAUCGGUGGGAUCUGGAUUUCCUAACGGGCCGAGACAUUGGAAGUGAGGUUGAUCGGUAGGAAUUACGAUCUUUUCGGCCAAAUCCUAAAAAGUUUUGAGGAUGAAAGAACAAAAAGAAAAAAGGGGUACUCAGUAAAAGGAAUCGCAGAUGAAUAGGAGUACAGCAAAAGUGCAAAAAGAAAAAGGAUGGUAGACUGACCUCAGGAACGAUGAAGUUGAUGGCCAUUUCUUCACGAGGAAGAGGAUCAAAGACUUGGAGGAUUGGUGAAGAAGGCAUUUGCUGAAAUUCUUGAAGUUCUCAGGCAAUGCCGCCGCCAGGAAAGUGGAUUUUGGGUUGUAGAAUGACAAGAUGGAGAAGGAAGUAUUUAUAGGACAAAACGGGCAGGGGCAAAUAUGACUUAUCUCUUUGCCGCAUCCGUGAAAUCCGAGGGUGUUCAGGUGGAUAUGGUAACCGUUCGCACGGUAAUCAAGAGAUUGCGCAGGUGAUUUGACAGCAAGCGGUCAUGAUUUUGGAGAUAUUUUACUGUGCAAGAUCACCUGGUCGGCCCAUCGGCAGUUCUCUCUAACGGUAAUAUUGCCGAUGAGCGCUUAAGUCGGGAGAUUCGAUUGGAGAGGUUGAGAAAUUCAAGGAAUCUCCGGGAGAAUCGGGCCAAGGUUGUUCAGAUUUGACGGCUGAUUACCAAAUUGGGAGAAGUAAUUGCAGAAAGGCGUCAUUACUGUAGAGAAUUUUGGAGCAUUAAUGAUUUUAUACUCCGAAAUUGGGGGGCAUGUGUUGACACUGUUUUUGGACACGUAUCUUUUGACACGUACCUGGAGUUAGUGAAAUGUAGAUCGGCAGAUGGAGCAAUGGUGACUAGUCUAUAGGGAAGUGGUGGUGAAGCUAUUGAAACCGACGAUGAACGUGAAGCCGCCCGCCAUGGCCGCGAAGGCGGGGAUGAUGGUCAUCUGGUUCGUCUGGGAAGCUGUACGCACACCCCCUACCUGGCGCGCCACUGUCGACGAAAGCUAGUCGGCAGUCUACCUUGGGUAUACCCACGGUAGUAGUUUAUCGGCAGACAGGUGCGCAAGCUACGAACUCGAUGGUGACGCAAGACACAGACAAGGUUUUUAUCUAGGUUCGGCCGCCGUGUGGGCGUAAUACCUACGACCUGCGUCUGAUUGUAUUGGAUUGUAUUGAGUUGAGAUGAGUUGUAUGACCUGUCCUCUAGGGGACCUCUGCCCCUCCUUAUAUAUCUUGAAGGGACAGAGUUACAAGCAAAGUAUCCUAUUUGGUACAAUAUCUUGUAGCCUUGCGGUGCACGCCGACCAGCAUCGUGCACCACACGUCUUCAUCUUGUGGGCCGAGCCACCUCUGAUGGUGCGGCCCAUGUCAACCCAUGAGGGUAUAGGGGUUUAUACCCCCCCACAAUGGCUCCAUCAUGUAACAAUGAAGGCAAAAGAGUUUUCAGCAUAGUUAGCAAACUAAAAUUUAUUUUUGGGAAGAAGACAAAAGAUGGAAAACCAAGAAAGAAUAUCAAACCAGCUCCAGGGGCUACAUUCAAGAAUAAGUCUAUUUUCUUCAAGUNNNNNNNNNNNNNNNNNNNNNNNNNNNNNNNNNNNNNNNNNNNNNNNNNNNNNNNNNNNNNNNNNNNNNNNNNNNNNNNNNNNNNNNNNNNNNNNNNNNNAAGGCUAACAGGUUCUUUCCAGACGGCAGGCAGCUCGAGUAGGCGGGUCACGUACGACAUAACGUAUACAUAAAUAAUAUAAAGCAUUAAACAAUAAGCAAUGAGUAUCUUAGACCAACAAGAUUCAUCACCCUUAAUGCAAGAAUCCCCAAGACCGCUCUUGACCGUGAGCACGGCUAGUAUACCAGUUUAAUAAACACUCUGCAGAGGUCUUACAUCUUUACCCAUGAGUCAUGAUUUACCCUUUUGCCUGAGGUAGAUAUCCUCUUAACCCCCUUCCUAGGGAGGUCGGUAGGGAUCACUAUGAAGUCUUUCAAAGUUUCGUCUAACAAGUUAAGGCCGCUUGGUUUCUGUAGUCAGUCCGUGUGAUUCUACCACGCACGGAAUCCAUGGUCUGCUAUCCCCCAUUUGUGCCAUGUGGGUAUCCUCUAACAAGCUAGAAAACUUACUCAUACUUGACUAAAGUGAGAGCCAUUAUAGCUCUCAUGGAUGCACGGUUAUCCCAGUUAUCACUUACGGAUAAAUCCUCAAGUUGCUAAAAAGUCAUUAUUAUCGUUUGUUGCUUUACAUUAAUCUAGUCACAAGAUCAAGGUCACAGAAUUAAAACCCAAAUGCCAUACUUGCCUUGAUCCAAUUGCUCCUGCUGGUCCUGUUGGUCUUACUUGUUUCCAAGGCUCUGAUCUUGAUCACUGAAGUAAUGCUCACCGACUAAACUCAGUCACCAAUCAUCAACACACAAGCAAUUGAGGCCACCCGUACACAAAGCAAACAAAGUUACAAUUAGAAUAGUACACCAACAGUAAAUAAAUUUAAAUAAAAGUUUUUCAAAAUUAUCUACACGCUGCUACGAUCACGUCAAAGAGAAAUUCACGGAAAACGUAGUUAUGACCCAAAAUCUACUCCUUAAACGGGACAUCAAAAGCGAUAUAAGGACUCAUAUUUAUCUAAGAAAUCUAAUAGUGGUGAACCUAGACAACAAUGGUACCAAUGCGAAGCUUAUGAAAUUAUGAAACUAACGUGACUUGAACGGAACGAAUCAGAGCUUAAACGGAGAAGAUAUCAUUUUUCUAAGAUUUUCUUUAGAAAAGUAAUUUAUUAAAUAGGGUCACGAAAUUUAAAAGUUUUAAACUGGUCAAACAGUGAGACUAACAAGUAGAGCUUGUGACUACGAAUCUAACACAAUUUCAACGGGUCAAAUCGGAGUUAAAACGAAUAUUUUAAGAGCUAAAUAAAUCCAGUGGCAAACUUGUAAUUUUGUGAAGGUGUAUUUUGAAAUCAAUCCGGCGAGAAAUACAUUUUCAAACUCGGUUGGCGUAUUCUAGGAGGCGCUUUGGACCACGGGUUUAAAUCCCAUAAUUGCCAGGGACUCUUUAGCAAAAUGGCCCUACGAAGCGGUACGGGCUGCUCCUGGCCAUCGGAUUCAAGAUCGACGGCCGGGAUUAGAUCGAAGGGGAGAGAGGGCGGCGCCGGUGGUCGGAACAGGAGAGCCAGUGAUGGCGCGCCAUGAACGGCGGCGAGAAGGUCACCGGCGUGACCCGUUAGACUGUUAGACUGUAUGGUUUUCCAAACCGAGAGCACCAGGGGAUAGAGAGGGAGUCAAGGCGAGCCCGUACCGGGGCAAAACGUGACCGGAAGAGUGGCCAACGCGGCGGUCUGCGGCGAUGCCAUGGCUAGUCCUACCGAAGCUCACGAGGAAGACUCUAGGGACAUGUUUUCACAAGGGAGAAAGCCGGAUAGGGAGAAGGGAAGGAGGCGCGCUCACCACGAUGAAAAUCGGAGGCGGAGACAGCUCAGUUCAUCAGGUUGAACGCGGCGGAUCGCGGUGGUCACCAGCGGUGGUUCUCUGUGCAAGCGAGCUCACGGGAGAGAGAGGGAGUGGGGUCUAGAAGGCGAAAUGGACGGAGGGCAGAGGCACGAGCUCGGUCGCGUCUAGAGAGGCGAGGCGUGGGGCAGAAUGUGGGAGAGAUAGGAGCGAGGUUGCGGUAGUUGCGUCUCUGCUGCUGAGCGUUCGAGGGUGAAGAGGAUGGUUGUUGAAGGAGGGGGAUGACUGGCGGGCCCCACCUGUCAUUGAGCCAAGGGGAAAAGUGUGUUGUAGUUGCUGCCGAGCUGCGGACUGGGCUAGCCCAGCAAUGAGAGAAGGGGAAGGGAGCGCGUGGGCCGGGAGGAGUUGGGCCAGGCCGGCCAAAAAAGAUGGAGGGGAUAGAAUUGCCUUUUUUAACAAAAUUUUCAAAGCUCAUUUUCGAUUUGAAUUUGAGUUCAAAUCCCUUUUUCACAAAACCACACAUCACAUAAAUAAAUGUACAUCAUGAAUGCAUCAACGUGUUUCUAAACUUAUCGUAAAUUUUUAAUUUCCCAAAAUUUAUUAAUUUCCUAUAUUAUAGUGCUCACAAAAAAAUAUUUUAAUUAAAUCAAAUUCAACUAUUUAAAAGAAGAAAUUUUUUUGGGUGUUACUAUUCUACCCCCUUAAGAUGAAUCUCGUCCUCGAGAUUCGGAAGAGGCUCAGAUCCUCUCAGAGAAACUGGAAAAUAUCUUGAUAAUCCUUUCAAAUUCACAACUUGCAUACCAAACCUAAACACUCAUGUUUCAAGGUCACACCUCAUGAACAAAAUUCCCAUUGUGUAUCUAUCAUUCAUAAUUGAUCAAAGUCCAUCUUGACUACUAAUUUUUUUAGCUUACAACUCAAGGAGACAUCGAAACUUAAUAUGCAUUUGCCUCCCCAGGUAGGAGUGGACCACCGCGAUACUCAAUUCUUCUCCCUGACGGUGCUGUUAAGAGCAUUUUGUACUGGGUACCAUAGAUCACUCCUUUGUGUGCACACAACCAUCCAUUGCCAAGAACCACAGGGAUAUCGAGUGACUCUAACACUAUGCGAUUUAUAGUGAAGUUUUCCUUGUUUAUGACCAGAUUGAUAUUUGAGCAAAUCUGAUCUGCCUAUAUUUCUCCCACUAGAGUUUGAACUAACAAAGGCUUUCUGGUUGGACACUUCACCCUCUUGAUCUUCUUUACCAUGUCGGUGGAAAUGAAAGAAUGUGAAGCACCAGGGACAAACAGAGCAAAAACUUGCACUUAGUCUACUUGAAUAUAGCCUCCCACCACUUUGGUGGCUCCUUGAAUGUUAUGCCUAUCCACAUUGCUCAGUCUUCCAUUAACAUAGUUCCGCUUUUCCUUACCUCCAUGAGUAGGCUUCUUACGAGCUUUCCUUUUGUGCUUCCGUCGUUGUGGAUUCUGAUUUGUUUCAAUGCCAACUUGCUCUUCAAUAUUAUUAUUUUGAUAGUACUUAGCUUCAUCAUACUCAUAACAUCCUUCAAAGAUAAGAUGGUCAUGUUCUUCCCAUAUAUCCAUGAGAGGAGUCAUAUUGGGCUCCUGAUCCAUGGGAUACUACACUCCCUGUCCUCAAGUGACCAACGUCAGUAACACGGCAAGGAUAGAUGACCAUAAUCAUAGAAUAUCCCAAGAGACAACCCUUACAUCAAGAUAAAUUGAAAAUGCAUCAUCCCUUGAUAUCAAGAUACUACCCCCUUAAGAUGGGAUUGUAUGGGGGACACUAGCUCUUAUAUCCUUUUUAGGCGCUACACAUCAUAUAAUCUUUUAAAAUAAUUGUACCGAGUCUCUUGAUCCAAGGUUGAUUCCAUCACUAUAUUCCAACUAUUUUUACCUUUAUCACAGUUAAGUUGCUUCACUCUCACAUCCCCCAUAUAACUUUGUAGGCUUCGGUGUCAUCUGAUCCUCAUAAGCAUAACCCUCAAUCUAUGAGUAUCAACCAUGACAUAUUCCUCCAUUGAUAUUCUCCAAGUGGGACGAUAUCUUGAAACAAAAACAAAACUUAUUAAACAUUUGAUGUCCUUACAAAUUAUCCCACAUUAACCAAUACUUCUCGUUAUAACUUGAUAGGUUACCGAUAUGAAUCGGUACGAGGGUGGCCCGAUCUUCACGACAGUAGAUCAAAAGAACAAGGAUAACUUGCUGCGAACAGCGGGUAACUAGCUUUAUACCUGACAAAGGUUGGAUGCGACCAAGCGACGGGGAGAGAGGCACCGAAAACACGAAGACUUCGACUCGAUCUCCGAACGACCGCAGAACCACAAUCCGGAACUAAUCCACACAAUACGGCGCAGCCGAACGGAAGCCGUAGAGCACGAAGUAGGGGAACCCAGAGGAUUCACUUCACAAGUCCAAGAAGAACAAGGAAUAACAAAGGUUCAGUAAGGCACUCAACAACGUGGCUGCAAUAUCAUGUAGUUUAUCAAAUGAUCAAAGGUUCCUAAUAGCUUAGAGGUAGGGGGUAUUUAUACUAGGAACAACCCUCCUAGAUAGGUAUGAAAACGAAAUAGAGUUUCUGAGGGAAGGCAAUGUGAAAGGACCCCUCGGAAUGGAUUACCGAACUGGCUUCGCGUGACUGUUGGCCUCCAGAGCAGUUUCCAAUAAACUGACCAUAACUUUUUAUUGGGAAGUCCAAAUGAUGAACCGUUUCUUGGGUGUGAAACUAGACUCCAAGAGCUUUCCAGCAAUGUAUGCCAUGCACCAUGAAACAUUGCAGAUUGGUACAGUUUUGCACGGAAAGUUGUGCCAACUUUCUGUCACGACAGACUGUUGACCUUCUGAGCAGUCUGUACUAAUUCUAGUCUGCAGGCAAUAUGGAGUAUCCACACUGGUCGCCACUAGAUUCAUUGGAAAGUACACUCGACAAGAUUUUCAACAAGUCCUCAUGGGCUUUCCAACAAGUCCUCAUGGGCCUUUCCAACCAGGACUUGCACUGGUUCGUUCAUCAGGGUCCGAUUCAUCCUUCUCUUCUUCUAUAUACCUGAGUACAAUCAAGGUAGAACACUUAGGUAGUAUAUAAUUCUCAUUAAUGUUAAAAUGAAUCUCACAAAGUAGCGCGUGGACCUCUAGUUGUAGCUUCUUUGCACGACUACGUGUAACCGGUCCAUCGAUGACUUGGGCUGGUGUCGGUGUAGGUAAAACUUGAGUGGUUGUAACUUGACUUGGAGCUUGUGACAUCUUGCUUGCUGGCAUGGUCAUAUCAUCCUCCCCCACUUCAAAAAGAGUCGUCCUCAACUCUAACUCUUCUGUUCCAAAGAGUUGUGCUAGGACAUCGGUUUGUAAUGUUGUGAUAACAUCGCAAUCUUCUUGUUCCAUGAUAGCAAGGUGUUUGAAUCUAUAAUCAUAUAAACCAAGUAGUAGCCUUGAAUGUGGAAACCUAAAUGAUUUGGAAUUAUGUUUCGCUUUCACCUUGAGUGGAUGCUUGAAUGUUGAUUGCCCUGGUAUGGUCUCAUCAUCCUCCCUCCCUUCAAGCAAAGUCGUCCACGACUUUUGUUUACGUGAAAACAGCUUAGAUAAAAUCGAGGGUGGACGUACUUGAUAAUUCCAAUAAUCAUUCCUUUUGUUCUGUUCAUUUAUUUCAUUUUGAAUUAUUUUUGCAAUAUUUCCUUUUCCAUGUAAGAAAUAUUCUCUCAACUUUGGUGAACCUACAAACAGUUUAGAGGACGGUAGCACAAAAAUUUCUUCCAAUCCAAUCAUUUGAUUCAUGUUGUCAUGUUUUAUCUUUAGAAGAUCAAACUUUUCAUCAAAUGGAAGAUUGAGGAAAAUCCUAGGAGGUGGCAUACAUUGUUGAAUGAAGCUUUGUGGUCAUAUCGGAUGGCUUGUCAUGGGUCGACCAAAGUUUCACCUUAUCAGUUGGUGUAUGGGCACGAUGCAGUACUACCAUUGGAAAUUAAGGCUGGGUCUAGGCGAUUAUCUUUCCAGGAUCACUUGACUGCCGGUGACUAUGCUACUUUGAUGAAAGAUGAGUUAGAUGAUUUAGCAGGGCAUCGGCUCAAAGCUUUGGUAAGUAUACAAGAAAAUAAAAAGAGAGUUACCAGGUGGUAUGAUAAAAAGGUAAAGGACAAGGAGUUUAUCGAUGGAGAUUUGGUAUGGAAGCUGAUAUUGCCGAUUGGGACUAAAAGUUAAAAGUUUGGCAAGUGGUCUCCCAAUUGGGAAGGUCCUUAUCGGAUAAGCCGGUCUGCUCCUGGUAAUGCUUAUAUUCUGAAAACUAUCGAAGGAGUUUAAUUUCCCAGAGCAUUGAAUGGAAAAUAUUUAAAGAAAUAUUACCCAAGCAUAUUGGUCGAUGCAUAAAAGUUUAAGUGCCGAUAACACUCCUAUCGGCUGGAUUGAAAUGUAUCUGGGACUAAAGAUGAUGUUUCAAAAGGGUGCCGAUAACAAUCCUAUCGGCUAGACCAAACUAAUCAGCAGUCUUUGAAGAAAGAGCAAAACACGCCGCUGAUGAAAAGCUCAUACAUUUAGCAGAGCUUGGAUCGCCGAUAUAGCGCGUAGAUGGAUUUGAUCGGCUUCUUCUAUCUCCUUGAUGUCUUCAUCGACAGAACCCUCUACUGGCUUUAGCUUCUUCUUCAUCUGCAGAGCCUUGGGAGCUUGGACAUUUCGCUCUUGUUCGAGGGUCUUGAUCGCUUCGGGCAGCUGACUUUCUUCCUGUUAAGCUUGGGUCAGAGCUUCUUCUACUUGUUUAAGCUCUGCCAACAGGGCUUCCCUUUUUGCCGAUAGGUCAGACACCUUUUGUUUCAGCGUAUCUCCUGAGGAUUUUAGAAUGCCGAUGCUCUUUUGUUUCUCAUCGGCAAGAUGCUUCACUUUCAUUACCUCUUGUGAGAGCUGGGCAUGAGUGGCUCUAUCGGCGAGGCGCUGAGUAGCCUUUUGGUACUGGAGCUGGUGACUCUCCAAGUGUGCAGCCUUGAAGAGGAUCUCCUCGGCAUCGGCAGGGAUUUGGCCUCGAGCCUUAAACAAAGCCUUAGCUGGAUCGGAGUCAUCAACCAGUUGGGCUGUAUCCUGAUGAAACAGGGCCAGCAGAUCCUCCAGUUUAGCUCUGAUUUCUGCCGAUGAAAUCCCUACUGCUUGAGAAGAGCUUGCUUCCUCACCUUCAUCAUCAGAAAUUUCAAUAGCAAAAGAGAACAAGCUAUCUGAAGAGUCUUGUUCAUGGAAAAGAAAAUAAAAUAGGUUAUUUUAUGAUCAAGCACUAGUGAUGAUAAAAAUAGAGAUCAGGUAACGUACUUGUUUCAGGGCAAUUUCUCGCCUCUGGCUAGCUGAAGCCGAUGGUACUACAGGUUGACUGGCUGGAGUUGCCGAUGGAAUAAUGCUAGCUGAAAGAUAUAUGAUAGUGAAUUACAAGUUAGAAAAAGAAAAAUCCAUCGGCAAAUAAUCUUAUGAACAGAACCCUACCUUGAGGGGGUGCAGUGCUUGUCUGGAUUGAAGAGACUACCAAUGAUAUGAUUGAUCCCACUAGAUUGGCGGUCUAUUCAAGUACAUCGGCUGAUAUUUCUUGUGGCUGAGGUGGAGAUGGUACUUGUUGUGUCUGAGCCUCUGGUGAAGAAGGGGACGAUUCCACGUGAAUCGGUGACCCUGGAGGAGGGGGAGGAGGUGAUGCUGCCCUCUGACGCUUUGCUUGUGACUUGGUACUCUUGGGACCCUUUCUCUUAGCUUGACUAGCUUGGGAGGCGUCGGCACUUGCCUUGGUACUUCUGGUCUUUACCGAUUUGCCAGUUUGUUGAUACAACAAUAAAGAUUUCAUAAGUACAAGAGUAACAGAGUAUUAAUAGAAUUUUGGUCGAAACAGUGAAAGUUACUGAUGAAGUUCCCAUAGCAGCCGAUGUAUCUUGAAAAGUUUGUGUAAGUAUAGAAUGGAAUCGGUAUAAAUUGAAGAGGUGAAAGUUUUCUACCUUGAAAGCUUGCGCCAGAGCAGUAGCAGCGACUGAUGGAGAUGUCUUCGCCCGCUUGGUGGUGAUUUUCUUGAAACGCACACCCCGGUGCAUUAGAGCCGCCAAACAUGGAGCAUUAUUGCCGAUCAAAGAGAUCGGGCCUGAUGGGAGGAGUUCGAUCGGCUUACCACUUCUGCUGACUGACGGUGGUGUGUCAUCGACCUGUAUAAAACAGAAGAAGUAAGUUGCCGAUAAGGAUAAAAAUAAUGAGAUUGAAGCAUUGGUUAAAAACAUACAGCAUUUUCGGGAACCUUGUACGCGGAGUCGAUCAUACCGCGGUAUGUAAGAGCCGAUCUGCAGAACAAAUGCUCUUUCCAUUCCGCCCACCAUUGCUUGUACGCCUGGGUGAUGAAAAGAGCUGGGAUCCAGGCCGAUAGGUCAAUGUCUAACGUAUCAGAAUUUGGUGGGAGUUGAGCUAUUCUGAUCCACUCAAGACCACUUGUGAUGAUCUCCCUUGGUUUCACCACAUCGACAUAGCAGAGCGCAAUCGGCAGUUGUCCGAAGGCCAAUUGGCAAGCCAAUGCCGAUGGAUUGUAGAACUCAUAGGUAAGAUUGGAAGCUUUCCCACUGCCAAAGAAAUUCACCGAUAUAGCUCUCGGAGUGAUAAUUGCCAUCAUCAGAUCAUGGUCCUUGUUGAGAGCAUUAUCAAAGGGAUGAAAAGUCAGGGAAAUCUGGUGUCUGGAUCCUCAUAAGGCAUCCAUGCCUAUUGUUCUUUGGUCAGACCCUCAUAAAGAGUCUGAAAGAAUCGGCUGACCUGAUCUUCAUUGCCACUAGUACCGGGUAGAACUAUGGCAGCUUCGCCGUAGUUCAGAGGGGGGCGAGAUGCCGAUUCUUCCUCAUCCAACUCGUGAUCUUCGGCUAUAUCUCUGGGGAAGCGCUGUGCAAAAAGGUUGAAUUCAAGGCGCUUGUGCAUAUGGACACUGAGCCACAUGUUGAUGAACCACCAGGGUCCCCCUAAAUUGCCGAUGGGUUGGCCUAGCAGGAGUUUCUUAGCCACCUGAUGGAGGAGGUGAUAAACAGAGCUGAGCAAGUAUCGGCCAAGAGGAAAUCGACCAGGCCAGUCUUUCCGCUGCCGAUAGAUAGACAGAGGUUGGUCCCGCCGAUCGGCCACAGAAUACAAACUUAUCCAAUCACAUGUUCAAGAAAAUUGCCUGCUCCCUUUCCCCGACAGAUCCUGUUUUGCGGUACUUCUGAAUGUAUCCAGACCAACCGCCGAUAGCGCGAGUCUCUACCUUGGAACUGGGCUUGGUGUCAAACAGAUGACUGUUAUCGGCAGUGGAUAUGUCUAAACCGGUGAGCAUGAGUACAUCGGCAAGAGUAGGUGAAGCAGGGCCAUGGCCGAAUACAAAAGCAUUGAGCGUGUCUGACCAAAAGUACGAGGCAGCUAUUAACAGUGACUCGUUCCUCUCCAUAUUGGCAAGAGAUAAUCUGAUGAACUGGUCUAAUUUCUGCUCACCCAAUUGGACUUCAUUUGAAUGGCUGACUCUCAGGAACCAGUCUUUCCAUCCCUUGGUAGGACUGGGCCAGGAAUGAAAGGCAUCUUUCCACAGAUCUAAGGAAACGUUUUUGGCUUUGAAGGGGAUUCUAUUUGUCUUUGCAUUUAUUAGAUCGGUGGGAUCUGGAUUUCCUAACGGGCCGAGACAUUGGAAGUGAGGUUGAUCGGUAGGAAUUACGAUCUUUUCGGCCAAAUCCUAAAAAGUUUUGAGGAUGAAAGAACAAAAAGAAAAAAGGGGUACUCAGUAAAAGGAAUCGCAGAUGAAUAGGAGUACAGCAAAAGUGCAAAAAGAAAAAGGAUGGUAGACUGACCUCAGGAACGAUGAAGUUGAUGGCCAUUUCUUCACGAGGAAGAGGAUCAAAGACUUGGAGGAUUGGUGAAGAAGGCAUUUGCUGAAAUUCUUGAAGUUCUCAGGCAAUGCCGCCGCCAGGAAAGUGGAUUUUGGGUUGUAGAAUGACAAGAUGGAGAAGGAAGUAUUUAUAGGACAAAACGGGCAGGGGCAAAUAUGACUUAUCUCUUUGCCGCAUCCGUGAAAUCCGAGGGUGUUCAGGUGGAUAUGGUAACCGUUCGCACGGUAAUCAAGAGAUUGCGCAGGUGAUUUGACAGCAAGCGGUCAUGAUUUUGGAGAUAUUUUACUGUGCAAGAUCACCUGGUCGGCCCAUCGGCAGUUCUCUCUAACGGUAAUAUUGCCGAUGAGCGCUUAAGUGAGGAGAUUCGAUUGGAGAGGUUGAGAAAUUCAAGGAAUCUCCGGGAGAAUCGGGCCAAGGUUGUUCAGAUUUGACGGCUGAUUACCAAAUUGGGAGAAGUAAUUGCAGAAAGGCGUCAUUACUGUAGAGAAUUUUGGAGCAUUAAUGAUUUUAUACUCCGAAAUUGGGGGGCAUGUGUUGACACUGUUUUUGGACACGUAUCUUUUGACACGUACCUGGAGUUAGUGAAAUGUAGAUCGGCAGAUGGAGCAAUGGUGACUAGUCUAUAGGGAAGUGGUGGUGAAGCUAUUGAAACCGACGAUGAACGUGAAGCCGCCCGCCAUGGCCGCGAAGGCGGGGAUGAUGGUCAUCUGGUUCGUCUGGGAAGCUGUACGCACACCCCCUACCUGGCGCGCCACUGUCGACGAAAGCUAGUCGGCAGUCUACCUUGGGUAUACCCACGGUAGUAGUUUAUCGGCAGACAGGUGCGCAAGCUACGAACUCGAUGGUGACGCAAGACACAGACAAGGUUUUUAUCUAGGUUCGGCCGCCGUGUGGGCGUAAUACCUACGACCUGCGUCUGAUUGUAUUGGAUUGUAUUGAGUUGAGAUGAGUUGUAUGACCUGUCCUCUAGGGGACCUCUGCCCCUCCUUAUAUAUCUUGAAGGGACAGAGUUACAAGCAAAGUAUCCUAUUUGGUACAAUAUCUUGUAGCCUUGCGGUGCACGCCGACCAGCAUCGUGCACCACACGUCUUCAUCUUGUGGGCCGAGCCACCUCUGAUGGUGCGGCCCAUGUCAACCCAUGAGGGUAUAGGGGUUUAUACCCCCCCACAAUGGCUCCAUCAUGUAACAAUGAAGGCAAAAGAGUUUUCAGCAUAGUUAGCAAACUAAAAUUUAUUUUUGGGAAGAAGACAAAAGAUGGAAAACCAAGAAAGAAUAUCAAACCAGCUCCAGGGGCUACAUUCAAGAAUAAGUCUAUUUUCUUCAAGUAUUUGAAAUACUGGCCAGAGUUAGACGUACGCUACGCGAUCGAUGGUAUGCACGUUCAGAAGAACAUGUUUGAAAGCCAAAAUGGCCAUGUUAGACAUGAAGCGCAAAAUAAAGGAAGGACUAAAUUCACGCAUGGACAUGGUAUAGUCAGGCAUAAAAAAGAAUUUCACCCUAUUAGGCUAGAAAAUGGGAAGUACCACCUCCCGAUAGCAAGGCACAACCUCAACAAUGAAGGGAAACAUGUGAUGUGUGUGUGGUUGAAGAAAUUGAAAGUCCUAUCUGGAUUCUGCUAUAGCAUACGGAGUAUUGUGUCAAUGAAAGACCUUACACUCACCAACUACAACUCACAUGAUUGUCAUGUCAUGCUGACUACUUUCCUCCCUAUUGCCAUUAGGGCUAUAAACCCGGUGAGGAUCAAGGUUGUAGUUACACGGUUGUGCUACUUCUUCAACAUGAUCUCAUAGAAGGUGAUUGACCAUGAUGAGUUGGCGUCUCUUAAGGAAUUCGCAGUGCUGACAGUGUCAUAGUUUGUGAUGUGUUCCCCCUAGCAUUCUUUGAUAUGAUGGUUCACCUUGUGGUCCAGUUGGUUCCACAAAUAGAGGCAUUGGGCCCCAUAUACUUGCAUGUGGACGUAUGAGCGUUUCAUGUCAACACUAAAUGGUUAUGUAUCAACUCAUGCUCAUCUAGAGGCGUCUAUGGUAGAGGGGUACUUAACCGAAGAGGCCAUUAAGUCGAGAGGUCCAUUCUGCAACAGGGUUCUAAAAGAACAGGUUGCAAUAGGUCUGCCUUCAUCACGACACGAGGGUAGGCUGAAUGGAAGUGGGAGGAUAGGAAAGAAAUCAUGCAUCCCAAAAAUUACAAUACAAUCCUUGAGGCACAUCACAUCGUCCUACAUCAGCUCUCGAUAAUGGAGCCUUUGAUCAAGAUACACAUUGAUGAGCUUCACAAACAUAAUCAAGGGCACACAAACGAAUGGAUAAUGAAGGAACAUAAGAAUUGGUUCACCUGAUGGCUAAGGGAGCAGGACAUUCUUGAUGGGGAAACACUCAAGCAAUGCACCAUCAAGGUCUUGGUAUCUGGGCCGUCAUGCCAGGUCAUGGCUUGGCAAACCUUUGACAUUAGUGGCUUCAUGUUCUGUACCAAAUCUAAGGACCAAAAGAGCAUGGCACAAAAUAGUGGUGUUUGAUGCGACGCCUUAGACUCUGAAACUGGUGAGGCAACAACUUACUUUGGCUACGCUGUGGACAUAUGGGAACUACACUAUGGUAUAUUCCAGAUCCCUGUAUUUCAAUGUCAAUGGGUUAAUGACAAACAUGUUACAGUGGACAACUAUGGGGUCAGAGUUCUAGAUCUAGGCAAGAUAGGGUACAAACAUGAUCGAUGCAUAAUGGCUAACCGUGCUGCACAGGUCUUCUAUGCUAAGCAGAUCCUGUCUCCUAAUGAUAAGAAGAAAAUUUCUAACCAGCCGAAGCACGUAGUUUUUCCUAGAAAGCAACAAGCCAUAGGAGUUGAUGGUGUAUCUGAGCUGGACGAAUUUAAUCAGUUCAGUAACAUGUCUCUCUUUGUAGAUGACCAUCAAGCAAUGAUAAUAAAUGUUGAGUGAAGCAUCCCACGGAGUUCGUUGCCCUGUGUGCACCAUGAUGGACAAGGAAGAAUAAUAGUUGCCUAGAUUAUAUUUAACGUUUGUUGUGUAAUCAAUUUAUGUUACAAUGUGUACCUACGCUGCUAGCAGCUUUCAAGCCAUUCUAAACUAGACAAUGUAUCGACUUGGUUCAAUCCACGAAUAUUCCAAUGUCUUAUUGGUCUCAAACUUUUUCUAAGUCUUACUAGUGCCUUGGUUGUUCAAUCCACCAAGUUUGGGAUUUUUCUGACGUGGUUUGGUACUUUAUCUGGUUUAAUUGAAUUUUUGCGUGAUGUCUCUAAGUAUUAGCGACUGAACUGAGUCUACCCCAAAACAACUCUGAAUGGUGCCAAAAUUCUCUACAGGGUCUCAUCUACCCUAGGAAUCAAAACUUUGUGGAGGUUUGUGAAAAAACCAAGUUGGAUCAAGGUGUAACUCAUCAUUUUUGUCUCAUUUAGCAUGAAGAAGAAUGUAAUAAUAACUUGCAUGACCAGAAAAUCCUAAGAUCUUGUGUGGGACCAUCAUUUAGGUGUAGGUGCUUGCAAAGAAAAUUCAAGUCAUUUUGAGAUAGGCAUAACAUACAUGCUUCAUAGACGUAGAAGAGCAGUACUUCCACUAAACCAUACCCUAACACUUUGGUUACUCCGCUUUAUAUGGUGGAAUAUGUGGUGGACCAAGGAAUAUAUUUUUCGUGGCAUGUAAAUAGUACAAAGAAGCUAACAAAAUUGGAUUCAUAUUUUUUUGGUAUUUCUAUAAUUAUUUAUGUAUUAAACAAGAUAUGGGGCCUAUAUUUAAUUUAAAUCAUUUUCAAUAGAGCUACAUAUAAAAGUAUCUCAAUCAUGGUAUUUAAUAUUAUUAACAUGUAGAUCUACUCAAUGGAAACACAAUAAACUUUUUUUCACAAUAUUUGGACCAAUAUUUGUGAAGAUAUGAAUUUUUGAAGCUUUUAAAUUGUUUCUGCAAAAUAAUUAAAAAGUAUCAAAAACUCUUUUCUACAGGCAGUUGGCUUAGUUAACCAUCUAUACAAAUGUAUUUCUACAGGCAGUCCUCUUAGUAAACUGCCUAUAGCAACACAUUUUUACAAUGCCAACCGCCUGUAGCAGUCCUUUCUACAGGCGGCGGUCAAUGCCGACCGCCUGUAGAAAUAGCCACCGCAUAUAAGAUUGGAAUGGAGCCUUGAAAUUUUCUAAGUACUAAGGUGGGCUAGAUUUCCAAAAACACACCAUCAGGCUACAUGAUUUUUUCACCGCCGCCGCUGUCGCGACGCCUCGGAGAGACGCACCGGGUCGCGCCACACCAGUUCGUCGGAGAGCCGCCACAUGGAGUCAUCGAAGAAGCCUCCGUCACCUUCGUCUUUGUCUCCGCCGCACCAGGGUCUUUGUCUCCGCCACACCGGAGUCUUCAUUUGGCUCUGUCGACCUCUUCGACGACUUCCCGUGUGGUAAGGCGUCCUCUAUUGCUCUAGGUGGCGGUGGUGGCGGCGGCGGCGGUUUUGUGUGCAGUGGCUGCUAGGGUUUGGUGGCAGCUACUGCGGCGGGUGUGAAUGGCGGCAGCUAUUGCAGUGACUUCGGCGUUCCGGUGGUGGAGGCGAACGGGCCGGGAAGGGGAGAGAGGCGGUCGACCGGAGGUAGGGGAUGACCCCGAUACGAGGGCCCCACCUGGUAGAGAUAGAGGGAGAUAGGUAGAGAGAGGGACAGAGGAGAGGCGUCGUGGGCCUACUGGGCCGGCGCAGCUCAGGCCCAGUUCAUGAGAGAGAGAUAAUUGAGUUUUUUUUCUGUUAUUAACUUCUUUUUUUGUGCUAUUUUUUUAACUUCAAUUGAAUCAUAUAUGUAUGUAUGGAAAUAUAAAUAGAAAAAGUCAUAUAAAUGUAUUUAUGGAAAUAUAUGUAUGUAUGUAUGGAAUUCAAUAAAUAUUAUAAUUUAUGUAUGAUGUAUUGAAAUAUAUUUAUGUUUUUUUCAGAAAUAAUAUGUAUUAUGUCUUUAAUCCUUUAUAUAUAAAUAAUAUAUAUAUGCAUGUAUUAAUUUGUGCCUAUCCUAUAUAUAUAAUGCUAACAAAAUUUAAUUAAUUAUUAUGUAUUAUGUCUUUAAUCCUUUAUAUAUAAAUAAUAUAUACAUGUAUUUAAUCAAUUUGUGCCUAUCUUUUAUGUAAGAUCUCGACUUUGCACAUGUGAUUGAAUAUACUAUGUAAUAAUAUAAUUAAUCCUUAAUGAGGAGUAUGCAUAAUAUUUGAAAUAUACUCUUGCACCUACAGAUUCUCGCGAUGAGUUCUCCGUGCAAGGUCGAAGCACAAGGGACCGUCCAUAUGGAACAAGCCCAAGGGUCCCACCCCACGGUGCAAGUAGAAGAAAUCCAUGAAACGAGCCAAGCCCUGGGGUCGUCCGAUAAUGAUUCUUACUAUGUUCAUCAAGAAGCUAGUGACGACGACAUGGAGAUUCCCGAAGUGAGAAAGGCUCAUCAUGAAUUGGCACGUGACCCUGAUUUACAAUCUAAAAGCCGAUGUGGUAAAUUACAAAUCCAUGAUUUCAUCAAUAAGCUAGCGAUGACGACAUGAUUUCAUUUCAUAUCUAAUCUCCAUGUGAUUGAUAAUGUCUAUAAACAAGAGGGAUUGUCUCAGAUUCAAGAGCUGCUCAAGCAAUAGGAAAUGGUCUGUGAUCAGGCAGGAGAGGCACCAGAACCGACCACAUCAACAACCACUGAGAGAUCAAGGAAAGGAAGCAGAACACCGGUUUGAAACACGGUGAGAGGGGAUUGAACAAGUUUCCACAAGAAACAUAUAUCAUUGAGGAUGUGAGCCCGAAUAGAUAGCCCCUACGACUUGAGGAGUCGCUCUCCAAGUACCGAAACAAAAUUGGCUUCUAUGUUAGGGACAUCCUUGACAUCACCAUUAUGGAUUGGUCUAGUGGGCUAGAGGGUGAUAAGAGAAAAAUCUAGGAUAAAAUGAAGACGAGGUUUAAGUUUGCUAAGACAGUACCAGAGGCACUAGUACAGGUAUAUACAAUGAAGCAGUUUGCGAUUAGUUUUCGAAACUAGAUGCACAAGAUGAAUACUAGGUAUGCAAGGACAGGAAAGGACCCUACAACAAGAUAUAAGAUUUCACUAGGGUAGUGGGUGGUUUUUCUAGAGCAGAGAAGAGAUCCAGCAUUCCAAGCUAAGAGCGAAGCCAACUCCCAACUCACAAAAAAGAACAAGUACCACCACCGUCUAGGCACGGGUGGUUACCAGCGCCAGAUCCCCAAAUGGAGACAAAAAGAGGCUACAAAGAAGGUGGCAGGGUUGCCUAUGCUAUCUAAGCAAGUAGGCGAAAGGUCCGCAAAUUGGAUUCUUGCUCGAAAACCAAAGGAAACCAAGAGUGGUUUGUCCUUUGAGGACCCUAUGCUCAAAGAAGCAACAAAGAGCAUCCUGGAGGAGGCAGCGAAGACACAGGAAGGGAAAAUCAAGCCACAAAUGGAGAGGGACAUCCCUAGUGACAACAUAGGUAACCCUGAGCAUCCUAGCUACAUUCGAGGCAUCUCGUCCAAAGAAACAUGGGAGACUAGAUUCAGCCCUUAGUGGGCAAGUCAGUACAAGAAACGUGAUCGUUACAAGGAAGCAAUGGCAAGUUUCUUUCAAGAGGAGGCUAACAAAGAGUUCAUAGGGAUGAUGGAGAAAUUGCUAGAAGAUCCUCCUCCUCAGUUGAUGCAGAAACUGGCGAGCACGGUGUCAGUUCAACAAAUGAGCGCUCAGGGCCCCCCCAGAUGCAGCUAGUCCUAGUGGUGGCACAACAGUUGGUGUCAGCAUGUCCAACCGAGAUGCCAAGCAGUGUCAUGUCUAUAGGAAACAAGGCUCACUAUCCGGUUGACGACAUUGUUAAUCCCGUGCCUCGCUCCCUAGUCAUAAGGUAUGGCCUUAACAAUCAUUAUAUAAGGGAAGUAGCCACAGGCAAAGCGAUCCUAGGAGGACCGAAAUACCAUGGUGUAGACAUUCCUGAAGACUACUGCAGAGUAGAAGUAUUGACAGUGGUCCAAGGAUACAAGGACAAGAUGCUAGACAUCCUCGGUCCUGAGAACAUUGAGAAACUCAGACAGGCUAUAAAUAGUUUCAUCCUUUGGCCUUGUGGUAACGUCCAACCAAGGGAGGCACCACCAUCCUCUAAAGAGAUGCGCCUUACUUAGGAGUUGUCAACACCUAUCGAUCUUGUUCCUCAACCAUUACCAUCACCUCCCCAGUCUCUUCUUGACCAACAAGCAUCACCACCCCAUUUCUACUCUAACCCUAAACCAUUUAAUUCCCCAACACAAGCACCUACCGGCUAGUCUCCUCAUGACCCACCAACAUCAUCUCCACCAACAUUUAAUUCCCCACCUUCCCCAUAGCCCAAAGAUCCUGAGCAAACAAGCGAGCCACCAAAAAAGCCAAGGAAGAAAUUUUUGAUUCCCAGCUAGUUUCUGAAUAUGAGACUAAGAAAAAAACAACUUGCAUGGCCAUGUUUUUGAAAAGCAUUGGACCAAAAUGCACAGUAGUAGUGCAUGUUUUCAGAGCUCUCGAAGUCGAUGGAGCCUUUUGCUGAGGUAAUUCCCUAUGAAAUAAAGUUGCCAACUAAAUAAGAUUACAUGAACAUCCCUACAAAAUUUGUGGUGGGAAGGUCUCUACUCAAGUGGGAGAAACUCUUAAGGGUCCCAAACUCCCAACCAAUAUAAAAAGGCUGCAUGACUAGUACAUGAGAGCCUCUUCUGUUGGCAUCGACACUAUCAGCAUGUCUAUAACAUAUAGGGCAUUUCAGAGUAAAAAAGAUAAUGCAUGGGUAACAUCGAAGACGUGUGGUUGAUGAUGAACCUCAAGAGACUGGAUGUGCAGAUCGUAAUGAUCUUUGCAUUUUAAGUGUUACAUAUGUUACACAUUCAUUGUAUAUAGUUGCAUCAAUGUUCAAUACCUUACAUGCAUGUGCCUCGCAGGAGCUAUAUGAGCAGCAGAGUUGUAUUAUGGUCUUGAUUUGGAUUAUUGUGUCGAAGAAAGGGUUGCCUAUCUGAACCCAAUAGAAGUAUGUGAAUAACGACACACAUUCAGAAUCGGAAAGUACAACAAAGAAAGAGAGGGCUUAGAAGGUGAAGAACUGGAGGCAAAACUCAAACAGUUGAAGAUGAAGUUUUUAUCUGACUACGCCCACUACAUUGGAAAGGCACUGCUUAGGUAUCAAGACAGGUUGGCGGUAGUCAUUCUGUAUAACUUUAGGUAAGUGAAUUUGCAUAGAUCAAACUAAGUUAUUCCAAUGCACAAAUGCAUUAUGAAUUCAUGCAGGGACCACUGGAUCUACUUCUGUGUUUAUCCCACGGAAGGAAGGGUUCUAGUACAAGACUCCGCAGAUUACCCAAUAGAUAACUAUGCAAAAUUCAUUAAACUCUUAGAGCUGUAAGUCGAGAUAUGCAUGCAUACUUUUGCAUUAUUAGUGUUUGAGGAUAACAUUGUCGUUCUAUUCGACAUCUCAGGGCAUACAGGUGGUAUAAGGUAUCACGUGGGAAGUGUGCGUCCAAAAAACCAGGACAACCAUUCGAUGUUUUAUAUAACUGGCCGGUACGUUUGAAAAUUUACUCUUAUAAAAACAAAACAUAGGUGUACGAUACAUAUAUAGGACCAUAGUUGCAUGUAUAAAUAACCACUUUCCCUUUAUAUGGUGCCUCAAGCAACCACCCAGAAGUGUCUCCUGUAGAUAUUAUGUGUGCCACCACAUGAGAGAGAGCGGACGAUUUGCUAGCAACCCUUCCAAGGUAAUUAGUAUAUGAUGCUUUCCCUUCUUACAUUAAAGGUGGAUAUUUUAAGUAUAUGAUGCUUAUAAACUUUUUUUGCAGGAAUAUAAGGAACCCAAGGCGAGUAAGAUCAACGAAAAGACUUUAUACGAAAUGGUUGAGGAUGUGUGCACAUUCCUCUUGAAACAUGUCAUUCCACAUGAAGGGAAAUAUCAUGAUCAUACCAGUACAAUAUCCUUGCCACAGUACGGAGUUCUCACAGAGCUUAGUAGGCUAGGCCUUAGUAGGAAGGGUUAUUAGUAUACAAUUGUAAACUUUGAUGUAUGCAAUGUAAGCUGUAUAUACACUUGUAAUUAACUUUAUGUAUAUACAAUGUGUGAUGUAUAUUUAUAUUUAAUGUUGCUAUAUUUUAUAACACCCAAUUUUAAGAACAAAAUCAGAUAUGCACCAUAUGUGAGUUUUAGAAGACAAAUCUCACAUAUAGCUAUAAAAAAGGGGUAAUAUCAAAGGACAACAAAUAAAUUAAAUAUCGUACAUAAUAAAUCAGAAACAACCUUAGGCAGCAAAAUCACGGAAGAUAACUCCAAACUUCGGGUAUUAACUUCACUCUACAGGAUCCAACUGACUGGUUGAUCAUAAGUCCAAUACUUCUCCUAAGGUGAGGGGGAGAUAGCAAUAGUGAGUCCAAGACGAACUCCACAAGUAUAGCAACUAGAUUGUAUAAAUCCCACAAUCUCAUGAUCAAUGUGACAUAAAUAAUAUAAAGCAUUAAACAAUAAGCAAUGAGUAUCUUAGACCAACAAGAUUCAUCACCCUUAAUGCAAGAAUCCCCAAGACCGCUCUUGACCGUGAGCACGGCUAGUAUACCAGUUUAAUAAACACUCUGCAGAGGUCUUACAUCUUUACCCAUGAGUCAUGAUUUACCCUUUUGCCUGAGGUAGAUAUCCUCUUAACCCCCUUCCUAGGGAGGUCGGUAGGGAUCACUAUGAAGUCUUUCAAAGUUUCGUCUAACAAGUUAAGGCCGCUUGGUUUCUGUAGUCAGUCCGUGUGAUUCUACCACGCACGGAAUCCAUGGUCUGCUAUCCCCCAUUUGUGCCAUGUGGGUAUCCUCUAACAAGCUAGAAAACUUACUCAUACUUGACUAAAGUGAGAGCCAUUAUAGCUCUCAUGGAUGCACGGUUAUCCCAGUUAUCACUUACGGAUAAAUCCUCAAGUUGCUAAAAAGUCAUUAUUAUCGUUUGUUGCUUUACAUUAAUCUAGUCACAAGAUCAAGGUCACAGAAUUAAAACCCAAAUGCCAUACUUGCCUUGAUCCAAUUGCUCCUGCUGGUCCUGUUGGUCUUACUUGUUUCCAAGGCUCUGAUCUUGAUCACUGAAGUAAUGCUCACCGACUAAACUCAGUCACCAAUCAUCAACACACAAGCAAUUGAGGCCACCCGUACACAAAGCAAACAAAGUUACAAUUAGAAUAGUACACCAACAGUAAAUAAAUUUAAAUAAAAGUUUUUCAAAAUUAUCUACACGCUGCUACGAUCACGUCAAAGAGAAAUUCACGGAAAACGUAGUUAUGACCCAAAAUCUACUCCUUAAACGGGACAUCAAAAGCGAUAUAAGGACUCAUAUUUAUCUAAGAAAUCUAAUAGUGGUGAACCUAGACAACAAUGGUACCAAUGCGAAGCUUAUGAAAUUAUGAAACUAACGUGACUUGAACGGAACGAAUCAGAGCUUAAACGGAGAAGAUAUCAUUUUUCUAAGAUUUUCUUUAGAAAAGUAAUUUAUUAAAUAGGGUCACGAAAUUUAAAAGUUUUAAACUGGUCAAACAGUGAGACUAACAAGUAGAGCUUGUGACUACGAAUCUAACACAAUUUCAACGGGUCAAAUCGGAGUUAAAACGAAUAUUUUAAGAGCUAAAUAAAUCCAGUGGCAAACUUGUAAUUUUGUGAAGGUGUAUUUUGAAAUCAAUCCGGCGAGAAAUACAUUUUCAAACUCGGUUGGCGUAUUCUAGGAGGCGCUUUGGACCACGGGUUUAAAUCCCAUAAUUGCCAGGGACUCUUUAGCAAAAUGGCCCUACGAAGCGGUACGGGCUGCUCCUGGCCAUCGGAUUCAAGAUCGACGGCCGGGAUUAGAUCGAAGGGGAGAGAGGGCGGCGCCGGUGGUCGGAACAGGAGAGCCAGUGAUGGCGCGCCAUGAACGGCGGCGAGAAGGUCACCGGCGUGACCCGUUAGACUGUUAGACUGUAUGGUUUUCCAAACCGAGAGCACCAGGGGAUAGAGAGGGAGUCAAGGCGAGCCCGUACCGGGGCAAAACGUGACCGGAAGAGUGGCCAACGCGGCGGUCCGCGGCGAUGCCAUGGCUAGUCCUACCGAAGCUCACGAGGAAGACUCUAGGGACAUGUUUUCACAAGGGAGAAAGCCGGAUAGGGAGAAGGGAAGGAGGCGCGCUCACCACGAUGAAAAUCGGAGGCGGAGACAGCUCAGUUCAUCAGGUUGAACGCGGCGGAUCGCGGUGGUCACCAGCGGUGGUUCUCUGUGCAAGCGAGCUCACGGGAGAGAGAGGGAGUGGGGUCUAGAAGGCGAAAUGGACGGAGGGCAGAGGCACGAGCUCGGUCGCGUCUAGAGAGGCGAGGCGUGGGGCAGAAUGUGGGAGAGAUAGGAGCGAGGUUGCGGUAGUUGCGUCUCUGCUGCUGAGCGUUCGAGGGUGAAGAGGAUGGUUGUUGAAGGAGGGGGAUGACUGGCGGGCCCCACCUGUCAUUGAGCCAAGGGGAAAAGUGUGUUGUAGUUGCUGCCGAGCUGCGGACUGGGCUAGCCCAGCAAUGAGAGAAGGGGAAGGGAGCGCGUGGGCCGGGAGGAGUUGGGCCAGGCCGGCCAAAAAAGAUGGAGGGGAUAGAAUUGCCUUUUUUAACAAAAUUUUCAAAGCUCAUUUUCGAUUUGAAUUUGAGUUCAAAUCCCUUUUUCACAAAACCACACAUCACAUAAAUAAAUGUACAUCAUGAAUGCAUCAACGUGUUUCUAAACUUAUCGUAAAUUUUUAAUUUCCCAAAAUUUAUUAAUUUCCUAUAUUAUAGUGCUCACAAAAAAAUAUUUUAAUUAAAUCAAAUUCAACUAUUUAAAAGAAGAAAUUUUUUUGGGUGUUACUAUUCUACCCCCUUAAGAUGAAUCUCGUCCUCGAGAUUCGGAAGAGGCUCAGAUCCUCUCAGAGAAACUGGAAAAUAUCUUGAUAAUCCUUUCAAAUUCACAACUUGCAUACCAAACCUAAACACUCAUGUUUCAAGGUCACACCUCAUGAACAAAAUUCCCAUUGUGUAUCUAUCAUUCAUAAUUGAUCAAAGUCCAUCUUGACUACUAAUUUUUUUAGCUUACAACUCAAGGAGACAUCGAAACUUAAUAUGCAUUUGCCUCCCCAGGUAGGAGUGGACCACCGCGAUACUCAAUUCUUCUCCCUGACGGUGCUGUUAAGAGCAUUUUGUACUGGGUACCAUAGAUCACUCCUUUGUGUGCACACAACCAUCCAUUGCCAAGAACCACAGGGAUAUCGAGUGACUCUAACACUAUGCGAUUUAUAGUGAAGUUUUCCUUGUUUAUGACCAGAUUGAUAUUUGAGCAAAUCUGAUCUGCCUAUAUUUCUCCCACUAGAGUUUGAACUAACAAAGGCUUUCUGGUUGGACACUUCACCCUCUUGAUCUUCUUUACCAUGUCGGUGGAAAUGAAAGAAUGUGAAGCACCAGGGACAAACAGAGCAAAAACUUGCACUUAGUCUACUUGAAUAUAGCCUCCCACCACUUUGGUGGCUCCUUGAAUGUUAUGCCUAUCCACAUUGCUCAGUCUUCCAUUAACAUAGUUCCGCUUUUCCUUACCUCCAUGAGUAGGCUUCUUACGAGCUUUCCUUUUGUGCUUCCGUCGUUGUGGAUUCUGAUUUGUUUCAAUGCCAACUUGCUCUUCAAUAUUAUUAUUUUGAUAGUACUUAGCUUCAUCAUACUCAUAACAUCCUUCAAAGAUAAGAUGGUCAUGUUCUUCCCAUAUAUCCAUGAGAGGAGUCAUAUUGGGCUCCUGAUCCAUGGGAUACUACACUCCCUGUCCUCAAGUGACCAACGUCAGUAACACGGCAAGGAUAGAUGACCAUAAUCAUAGAAUAUCCCAAGAGACAACCCUUACAUCAAGAUAAAUUGAAAAUGCAUCAUCCCUUGAUAUCAAGAUACUACCCCCUUAAGAUGGGAUUGUAUGGGGGACACUAGCUCUUAUAUCCUUUUUAGGCGCUACACAUCAUAUAAUCUUUUAAAAUAAUUGUACCGAGUCUCUUGAUCCAAGGUUGAUUCCAUCACUAUAUUCCAACUAUUUUUACCUUUAUCACAGUUAAGUUGCUUCACUCUCACAUCCCCCAUAUAACUUUGUAGGCUUCGGUGUCAUCUGAUCCUCAUAAGCAUAACCCUCAAUCUAUGAGUAUCAACCAUGACAUAUUCCUCCAUUGAUAUUCUCCAAGUGGGACGAUAUCUUGAAACAAAAACAAAACUUAUUAAACAUUUGAUGUCCUUACAAAUUAUCCCACAUUAACCAAUACUUCUCGUUAUAACUUGAUAGGUUACCGAUAUGAAUCGGUACGAGGGUGGCCCGAUCUUCACGACAGUAGAUCAAAAGAACAAGGAUAACUUGCUGCGAACAGCGGGUAACUAGCUUUAUACCUGACAAAGGUUGGAUGCGACCAAGCGACGGGGAGAGAGGCACCGAAAACACGAAGACUUCGACUCGAUCUCCGAACGACCGCAGAACCACAAUCCGGAACUAAUCCACACAAUACGGCGCAGCCGAACGGAAGCCGUAGAGCACGAAGUAGGGGAACCCAGAGGAUUCACUUCACAAGUCCAAGAAGAACAAGGAAUAACAAAGGUUCAGUAAGGCACUCAACAACGUGGCUGCAAUAUCAUGUAGUUUAUCAAAUGAUCAAAGGUUCCUAAUAGCUUAGAGGUAGGGGGUAUUUAUACGAGGAACAACCCUCCUAGAUAGGUAUGAAAACGAAAUAGAGUUUCUGAGGGAAGGCAAUGUGAAAGGACCCCUCGGAAUGGAUUACCGAACUGGCUUCGCGUGACUGUUGGCCUCCAGAGCAGUUUCCAAUAAACUGACCAUAACUUUUUAUUGGGAAGUCCAAAUGAUGAACCGUUUCUUGGGUGUGAAACUAGACUCCAAGAGCUUUCCAGCAAUGUAUGCCAUGCACCAUGAAACAUUGCAGAUUGGUACAGUUUUGCACGGAAAGUUGUGCCAACUUUCUGUCACGACAGACUGUUGACCUUCUGAGCAGUCUGUACUAAUUCUAGUCUGCAGGCAAUAUGGAGUAUCCACACUGGUCGCCACUAGAUUCAUUGGAAAGUACACUCGACAAGAUUUUCAACAAGUCCUCAUGGGCUUUCCAACAAGUCCUCAUGGGCCUUUCCAACCAGGACUUGCACUGGUUCGUUCAUCAGGGUCCGAUUCAUCCUUCUCUUCUUCUAUAUACCUGAGUACAAUCAAGGUAGAACACUUAGGUAGUAUAUAAUUCUCAUUAAUGUUAAAAUGAAUCUCACAAAGUAGCGCGUGGACCUCUAGUUGUAGCUUCUUUGCACGACUACGUGUAACCGGUCCAUCGAUGACUUGGGCUGGUGUCGGUGUAGGUAAAACUUGAGUGGUUGUAACUUGACUUGGAGCUUGUGACAUCUUGCUUGCUGGCAUGGUCAUAUCAUCCUCCCCCACUUCAAAAAGAGUCGUCCUCAACUCUAACUCUUCUGUUCCAAAGAGUUGUGCUAGGACAUCGGUUUGUAAUGUUGUGAUAACAUCGCAAUCUUCUUGUUCCAUGAUAGCAAGGUGUUUGAAUCUAUAAUCAUAUAAACCAAGUAGUAGCCUUGAAUGUGGAAACCUAAAUGAUUUGGAAUUAUGUUUCGCUUUCACCUUGAGUGGAUGCUUGAAUGUUGAUUGCCCUGGUAUGGUCUCAUCAUCCUCCCUCCCUUCAAGCAAAGUCGUCCACGACUUUUGUUUACGUGAAAACAGCUUAGAUAAAAUCGAGGGUGGACGUACUUGAUAAUUCCAAUAAUCAUUCCUUUUGUUCUGUUCAUUUAUUUCAUUUUGAAUUAUUUUUGCAAUAUUUCCUUUUCCAUGUAAGAAAUAUUCUCUCAACUUUGGUGAACCUACAAACAGUUUAGAGGACGGUAGCACAAAAAUUUCUUCCAAUCCAAUCAUUUGAUUCAUGUUGUCAUGUUUUAUCUUUAGAAGAUCAAACUUUUCAUCAAAUGGAUGUUGAGAACUAAUGUUAUUCCAAAAAUUAUUGUGGCAGCAAAAUUUAUUUAAGGGUUUAGAAGUAUAAUUUUUAAACUCAAUGCUCCAAGGUGUGGAUGAACAACUUUUUGGUGUAUAGGUUUUGCUUUGCACAAGAUUUCUAACUUCAAGUGGAUGGUAUGAACAUGCUGACAAUAUGAAUUGAUCGAAACCAUAAGCACUAAGUAUUUGUUGCAUCUUAAAAGAUGUCUCACUUUGUUUAUCUCUCAACAUUUUUGAGUCUAAAUCAAUAAGCUUGUUAUAUGUUACACAAAUGGCAUGAACCUCGAAGGUAUCUACAACAUGUUCUCCAAUCAAGACAAAUGUAAAGUGGAAGUUAUGAAUAGUAUUCAAUGAACUCAAAGAUGUUAUGUUAGAAAUUUUCUCAAGCAUUCGUUCAAUAUUGAUAGGCAUGUUAAGCAUAGUAUAACACAAACAUUCAAGAGGAGUUAUCCUUGUAAACAAAUCAGCACAAGUAACCGACUGGAUGAGGUGUUGUUUGUUGUUAUAUGAAGUGUUGCAAGGAUCAUUCAAAGCACAAAGACUCUCAUCAAAAAAAAAUUUAGCACUUGUAUCAACAUGAGUUCUAGUCAAAUCAGCACAAAUGUUUUGGUUAUGUUUUAUUGCUAAAACAGUGAUAUCACAAGUACUCAGUAUGUGUUGAUUUAUUCUUCAUGUAUUUUAAAUCCAAUGAUUCUACAUGUACCAAGGUUUGAAUCUCUGAAUUUUUACCUUCAUUGUUGAUCUUAGAUGGUUUUGAUGAAUUAACUAAAGGGUUGAGAAAUGUGCAGCCAUCUCUAAGAUGUAUGAGUAUUGAUUGCAUCGUAUCACACAUAUGAAUGCAAAUCAUCAUGUAUAUGAACCAUAUCAAACCAUAGAAAAUAUCAUGUAUGAUUGAACUUUUGUUAUCAACUUGCAAAAUUACAUCACACAGGUGAACAUGUGAACUAAUCAAAUCAGUGCAAAUAUUUCAUGUAUGGUUAAUCCCAUUUGAACCAUAUAUAUUAUCAUAAUUACUUGCCAUUUUAUUUUGCAAACUCAAAUCUGAUUUAUUUUCAAUAACUUUUGGACUUUUUGGUGGUGCAAGUACCAAGGAUUGCACCUCUGAAAUCUUACCGUUAUCCAUGUCAUGGUUCAGGUUUUGGGCAAGACACAACGGGUUUAGUUGAAUGGCUACCUUCUCAUUUCUCUCAACAAGUAUGGUGUUGUCUUGAGCAUCAAUCUCUUUCCUAUUCUCAUCACCAACCUGCACACACUAUACCACAACACUUAAAUAGUAUCAGACGUGUGUUGCUAAAGAUAACUAUUAGCAUUGAACGGUCUGUUGCUAAAGGAUCCCCACAGAGCAUCCGUUGUUAAAUUUUAAUACUUCAAUGGACGGUCUGUUGCUAUAAUUAUUGUAAAUUUACGUUGGAUCGUCUGUCGCUAUAUGUCAUCAACUGAAUCGGACCGUCCGUCGCGAAAUAAAAUAUCCAGUGGCGCGAAGUUUUCGGCCCGUCCCGCAAAAAUUUUGGCCCAUGAUCUAAACCCUAAGGCCACUCAAGCCCCCACGCCCUGAAUCCACCCCGCCGCCCCUGCGUCUGCCUCAUCCGCUCCGACACCGUACUACCCCUCCCGACGCACGCCGACGCCCCAUCCGCCGCGGCCGACACCCGCCUCCACCCCGUCGCCCCGGCCGACGCCCGCCUCCACCUCGUCGCUCCGGCCGACGCCCGCCCGGCUGCAUCGAGCACGCCGCCCCGGCCGUCGCCCGUUCGGCUACGUCCACCGCCUCCACCCCGUCGCCCCGCCCGACGCCCGCCUCCACCCCAUUGCCCCGGCCGACGCCCGCUGGCUGCAUCCAGCCCAGGAUGCGUCGGGCACCAGUGGCGGUGGGAUCCCAUCCUAGGUGGUGGCGACGACGAGAUCCUAGCCUAGGCAGCGAUGACGGUCAGAUCCCGAUACAGGGGCGACGGCAGCGGCGGGAUCCAGGUGCGUAGUUCAUGGAUUUCAUUUGGGUAACCCUCUUCACCUGUACAUUUUUAUCACGCAAUGCUCUACUCUCAUCUCCCCCCUCCCUUCUCUGCAGACCCAUCCCAACAGCAGCAGCUCGGCUCAGUUGUGCUCCUCAUUCUUAGGUUGCAGCACUUUGGUCAGAUGAAUUGUGUUCUCUUUUCAGGUACAGAAGCAAUGUACUGCUUUUUUUAAUCAUCACAACACACUUUGGUGUGCUGAUAAAGUGUAGUUCGAAUUGCAGGUUGGGAUUUUUAAUUCCAUUGCCUAAUCAUUUUUAAUAAUUGCAGCACUUAUUAGUUCAAUUAGUUGUACAAUUAGUAAGUAAUUUAAUUCGUGCUUUGCUGCUUUGCUUCUGUGCUGCUUCAUGAUUUCCUAUAGAUGUAGCUGCAGGUUCUUGUUAUUCUUUACGACAAAAAAAAUUCAGACUUUGCACCUUUGGCUGGUCAGAUCGGUGACACCCAUGGCCGUGGUGAGUUUGUAAUCCAAAUCCCGUGGUGUUGUGUUCACCAUCGUGGGUGCAAUGCAAGAUUGAACAUGGAGGCCUUCUGCAUCCAUGCCGACCAGGUCUUUCUCCCUGCAAUCAAUUGCAAAAUUUUGUACAGGAUUUGCUUCUGUUUGGAUAGAUCAAUGUAUUAUCCCAAGUGCAGAGGCCGUGUCUAGCAUUCCGUCAAUAUGGCAAUAGCACUUCCCCAAAAAAAUUUACUGUGAAAGUACCGUUCAGAGAUUUUGACAAUUUAGAUUUAGAUACACUGAGAAAUGCAGGAAUUAUUAGGCAAGGAACACCGAGAAAUGCUGAGUUGUGCACAAUGCUUGUAUUAGGGGAAAAACUUAAUGAAGAAAACUAACACUGCCAUAGUCCAGGAAAAAGUAUCUGAAUUUUUAGAUAAUGGAAAAUUUUCAGCUUCAGCCUUCUUCUAAGAAUUCGAGCUUGUAUUGGAGGUACAGAAAGUUAUUUUUUGACAACUAGCAUUAUCCUACAUGGCUAUUAUAUAUCUGAAUUUUAGACUUACUAGAUCAUUUACCUUAUAGAUAGAUCAAUGUUUAUGGCUAUCAUACUUUUGUAUUUACUCGAGCCAGGAAGAAGUAUGGAUCAGGAAACGAGCAAGCUGCCAGAGAGGGUAUAUACAUAGUUUAAAGCAUCUUUCAUUUUUUCUUUUGUCCUUUUGUAUAGAUCAGGAAACGAGCAAGAAGUAUAGAUCAAUGUUUUUUUCUGUGCUCAAUGCAGGUCAUGCAAGGAGAUCUUUUUAGCUAGAUGCAGGGAGGUUGUGCAAGCAGAUUUCUGCUUUGAUGAUGACUGAUUUCCACGAGCCAGCAAGCACAGCCUAUGCCGAGAAGCUCCACGAGCGCCAGCACACAGGGCCCUCCUCACCUCCACUCCAACAGCGCCAGCGCCGAGAGGUCCGAGCUACUUCCCUCCGCUUCAACUGAACUAAUUAACGGUUACUGGUUUGCUUCAAAAUGUGGGUUUCAUGUAUCCUUCCCUGCUAGUUCUGCUUAACUGGGUUGCUUUAGUUAGUUGCAGCUAUGACUGCCGAUUCAGGAUGACUAUGUUCAGGAUUACAGAAUGACAGUGGAUUGAUCCAGAUUCAGAUAUGGCUGCUAAUUGAUCUUAUUUUUUAUUAGCCUACGAAUUACCUGUUUUGUGUAGUAUGCUAGUGCUGCUUUUGUAUGUGUGGGUAAUUAACAUAUCUAUAGAAGAAAACUUGUCUGCUUACCCUUUGUGUUUUCCCCAUUUUUUCUUUUGUAAAUCAUAAAUUGGCAUAUAUGAGUAGGAGGGAUCGACGGGUAGAUAGAUAUUUAUGUACAGUCUUUUAUUCCUUUGUUUACCAUGUUGAUAGCAGUGCUUCUCUCAAUGUUGCAAUAAGUGCAUAGGCUAGGAUAGGGAGCUUUGUUUCCACUGCGGCAUGCAACAAGCAAAUAGGCUAGGCUAGGAUUACAGAAAGUUCAAAUUGAUUUAAAUUGAUUACAGAAAGUUCACAGCAGGGGCUGUGACUGAGUGACUAUGAGUGAGUGAUGCCUCUUGAACCCAACACAGUGCCCUUCAUUUCAGGUUUUAGUAGGAAAUAAAUAUGCUGAUCACUUGCCUCAAGGAAUUUCAGGUUUCACAGAGAAACGUGUAACAUGUUUAGUUUUACAAAUUAAGAAUAGCACUAGCAAUACUUAACAAGUCCUUGCACAAGAGACCAUCUAUUUAUGCAAAGUUAAAAACAAAUACUUAUUAUUUCAACAUGAGCUUAUAUGAAUUUACCUAUUUGUGCUCAGGUUGUUUUUGUCCAAUAUGUAGCGAGCUAGCAGGUUUGGUUUUUGUCCAACAUGAGCUUAUACUAAUUGCAUGUUUGGUUUGGGUUUCAGGGUUUGCUAUGGUGCUAGUUAGCAAGUUGGUGGAUGAUUUACCACUCGAAGCUGAUUUAGGUGCUAGUCUCUCUCUUUUGGAUAACCAGUUACAUGAGCUUCUUAUCUUAGUUCGGGUAGUAAGUAAGUUUACUUGGAGUAUGUUGGUGGGACAUGUAAUAUGAAAUUGGUAAUUAGCAAGUGACAUGUAUAUAAGACCCAGGUAGAUCACCAUUGCCUCUUGUUGCUGCAGAUUGAUACUCAUCAUGUUUUGACUAGUUCCAUAUUAAGUGACAUUACAUAUAUAUAAUGUACUAGAUCGAUAUAAGAAUCAAUGUAUGGAUAAUUUGAUCACUUUUGUGUAUGUGAAUCAAGGUAUGGAUAAUGUUUGAUCAUCGGCUAUACGUUUAGAGCAGCUUUUAUUUUUAUUUUUACCUAUUUAAUUAAGCUCGAUGGACUGUCCGUUGCUAAAAGUUCUUAUUGCGAUGGAUUGUCCGUUGCUAAAAGCUCUAACAGGCUGUCUGUUGCUAAAGGUUGGACUGUCGAACUGUCCGUCGCUAAAUAUGAUGUCCGUCGCUGUAUACAUACAACGACGGCUUCAAUAGCAACGGCAGCAGUCCGUCGCUAUAGCCUUUAGCAACGGACUGUCCAUUAGUGUACACCCCUUUUAACAACGGAUUGUCCAUCGCUGUUUAAAGGUUGUGGUGUAGUGACAUUUGCAAAGACAAAACUAGAAGUUGAGAUGAGAGUGUUAGUUUCAAACAUAUUCUCACUUGGCCUGCAUUCUAAAUAUCUAUUUUUCUAUGGUGUAUCCCCCACACUCUUAUUGUUGACACUCUCAACCUUAGAGUGGGUGGAAUCACUUAACUCACUUUUGUUUUCACUCUCUCAUUUUGGCAAUGUGGUUCUCAUUCUCACAUAGGUUUUGAUGCACAAUUACUUCAACAUCUUGUGAAGCCACAUAUGCAUGUGUAUCGUUGUCAUUGACAAUCACUUGUUCUUCCUCAUCAAAGAUUGGGGGCUGAUCAUAAUUCACAACAUUAUUUUCUUCAUGAACCUGCAUGGCAAAAGGAACAAGAAUAGAAGGUAUUAUAAUGUUAGAAGUAAAUAAUUCCUCACAUGAUUCAUCUCUUUUUCCUCUCAAUUUUUGUGGAUCACUCUCACAUAGAGUUUGGUGGCUCUCCUUAAAUAUUGUGGAAUCUCUCAUCUUCUUAUUUUGAACUCGCACUGAAUUUUGGUUGGUGCCACUCUUUCUCACGUAUGGUGGAAUGUCUCAUCUUUUUCUUUUGAUUUCUCUCACUCAAUUUUGGUUGGUGGCACUCUUGCUGAGUUUUUGUUUUAGGGGACACGCAGUAAUCUUCAUCAUCAAUGAGCACACGGGGUUGAAUGCAAUGCCCAUAAGCACCUCCUCCAUGUUGUCCACUGUGGCCAAAGAGACCACGGCGAGAGUUGGCUGAGCUAUGUUGUUUAGCCCGACCGCGCACCACAGGAAAACGUUCAUCAAACAUUUUCUCCAUGGCCUCCACUAGUGAGUUUUGUAGUUGGCGUAACUCAACCCGCGAAACUGGUGUUUCUUUUUCUCCAUAUCGACCACUACGAACGCUCGAAUUGGAUCCUAGCAUGUUAGCACUUAUGCAAGAUAUAGUAGAAUGGGUAAUUUUGUGGAAUCACACAAUCUCACCUCUUACUUACCUAUGCUCUUUCCUGUUCUCAAGGACAGUGAAUUAUGCUAGUGCUAGUGUAGCAGCUCAACAGAAGUGAUUCCGAGGUCGCAAGGAUUACGAGUUGAAUGUCCUGGUUUCAGUUUUAGGUGGAGCUAUAGGCGGCUAAACAAGGGAGGCUACGGUACUGAAAAUCAAGUGAUUUGAUGUGCUCAAAAGAUAUAAUGUUGCUGGUAUAUAAAUCACCAAGAAUCUGAACAUGUAAAUUGUUUUCAGUGAGCAAACCGCAGUACAACCCCUUUCCUCUUCUUCUACUUUUUCUGUUCUUUUCUCUUUUCUUUUCUCUGAUUUUUUUUUUCACUGACUUUUUUUAACUCUUUUUUUAUACUAACAGGGGUGCGGAUAACAAAUGAAACACAACACAAUAUAUGUGAAGAGGGUGACUAGCAACUUGAUGAACACAGAACACAAGAUAACAGUACCGUCAAAGGGCUCUAGGAUUUUUUUUGUGGCUUUUUCAGUGGACUAUAGGUGAUGAACAAAACAGUAACAAAUGAUAGAAAAAAAACUAAAGGUAGAUAUGUGGAUGAUUGUGAGACCUACCGUGACAAUUAAAGCUUUGAUACCAGUUGAUAGGUUACUGAUAUGAAUCGGUACGAGGGUGGCCCGAUCUUCACGACAGUAGAUCAAAAGAAUAAAGAUAACUUGCUGCGAACAGCGGGUAACUAGCUUUAUACCUGACAAAGGUUGGAUGCGACCAAGCGACGGGGAGAGAGGCACCAAAAACACGAAGACUUCGACUCGAUCUCCGAACGACCGUAGAACCACAAUCCGGAACUAAUCCACACAAUACGGCGCAGCCGAACGGAAGCCGUAGAGCACGAAGUAGGGGAAUCCAGAGCAUUCACUUCACAAGUCCAAGAAGAACAAGGAAGAACAAAGGUUGAGUAAGGCACUCAGCAGCGUGGCUGUAAUAUCAUGUAGUUUAUCAAAUGAUCAAAGGUUCCUAAUAGCUUAGAGGUAGGGGUUAUUAUACUAGGAACAACCCUCCUAGAUAGGUAUGAAAACGGAAUAGAGUUUCUGAGGGAAGGCAAUGUGAAAGGACCCCUCGGAAUGGAUUCCCGAACUGCCUUCGCGUGACUGUUGGCCUCCAGAGCAGUUUCUAGUAAACUGACCAUAACUUUUUAUUGGGAAGUCCAAAUGGCGAACCGUUUCUUGGUUGUGAAACUAGACUCUAAGUGCUUUCCAGCAAUGUAUUCCAUGCACCAUGAAACGUUGUAGAUUGGAACAGUUUUGCACGUCAAGUUGUACCAACUUUCUGUCACGACAGACUGUUGACCUUCUGAGCAGUCUGUACUAAUUCUGGUCUGCAGGCAAUAUGGUGUAUCCACACUGGUCGCCACUAGAUUCGUUGGAAAGUACACUCGACAAGGUUUCCAACAAGUCCACAUGGGCCUUCAUAGCGUUUGUGAUUAAAAAGUUAUGAAGAUUUCUUUGCACUGGUCCAUUUUUGACUUCCACUGGUCCGUUUUUUACUUCCACUGGUCCGUUUUUGACGUGUCUUCUAGGACUUGCACUGGUUCGUUCUUCAGGGUCUGAUUCAUCCUUCUCUUCUUCUAUAUACCUGAGUACAAUCAAGGUAGAACACUUAGGUAGUAUAUAAUUCUCAUUAAUGUUAAAAUGAAUCUCACAAAGUAGCGCGUGGACCUCUUGUUGUAGCUUCUUUGCACGACUACGUGUAACCGGUACGUCGAUGACUUGGUCUGGUGUCGGUGUAGGUAAAACUUGAGUGGUUGUAGCUUGACUUGGAGCUUGUGUCAACGAAAGCUAGUCGACAGUCUACCUUGGGGUAUACCCACGGUAGUAGUUUAUCGGUAGACGGUGCGCAAACUACGAACUCGAUGGUGACACAAGACACAGACAAGCUUUUUAUCCAGGUUCGGCCGCCGAGUUGGCGUAAUACCUACGUCCUGCGUCUGGUUGUAUUAAUUUGUGUUGAGAGAAUAACGAUGUCCUAGGGGGGUCCCUUGCCUCUCCUUAUAUAGUCUGGAGGACAGGCUUACAGAUCUGGAAACUAAUCCUAGUCGGUUACAAUUGCCAUAGAUAGUUCGAUAUCAAUUCCUGUUCUAACCGACUAGAAUCCUGCUUGAUCUCCACGUCUUGUUUCCUUGCGCGAGCCUCCGAGCUGUCGGAUCAAGCCUUGAACUUGUCUCGUAAUGGGCCAAGCCUCCUGGCCCAAGUCAGGCUGUAAGGGUAUAGGGAUUUAUACCCCCACAGCUAGUCCCCGAGCACCAUGUAUUGUUAAGUAACACGCCAUCUUGAGCUUCUUCGACCAAUGAAACUUGACAUCUUCAACCAGCAUGAGAAUUGCCCAAAUAAUUGCAACGGUAUUUUGACCAAAUCUAAAGAUAUUUGAUCGACAUCAUCAUCGAAGAAGCCAAUUGUUCGAAGAAUGCAUGGUGCUCUUGAGAAAAAAUAUUUCUUUUUCGGUGAAGUGUGCUCACUUUACUUUUCUGAAAAGUACAGACCUUCAAAAAAGCAAGCAAGUUCACCGCUCGGUGAAGUGUGCCCACUUAGUCCCCGAGCCUGGUAGUAGGUGACGUAGGCACGUAGUGCCAGGGUCAAAAGAAAAGUCCUCAAAGUAACUUUGAAUGUGAGAUGCAUCGCCAGAUGCAUCGUACCGAUGUAGUCCCCGAGCUUGCUGGAAGGCGAAGUAUGAACCUUGUAGCAUGGUCUAAAAAAUUAAAAUUAUCCAGUCCCCGAGCAUCUCAUACUCAUUUUCUACCGGAUAGACUUAUCAAUUUGGCGAGCUAGUCAACCAGUCCCCAGGUGUACAUUGCUCGAAGAUCGGUACAACCCGCAGAUUCCCGAACUAGCAGACUGGGCGACCAGUCCCCGAGCAUCAAGUGCUCGGUGGUCGGUGCAGUCCCUGAAUUCCCGAACUAACAGACUGGGCGACUAGUCCCCGAGCAUCAAGUGCUCGGUGGUCGGUGCAGUCCCUGAACUUCCAAUUUGAUAGACUGGACGACCAGUCCCCGAGCAUACAGUGCUCGAUGGUCGGUACAGUCCUCGGAUUGUUGAGUUGACAGACUGGGCGACCAGUCCCCGACCAUAAAGUGCUCGGUGGUCGGUGCAGUCCCCGGAUUGUUGACCCUCUACCAAUUUUUGUCUGUUUAUUUUGAAAAAAUCUUACCACACAAAUGAUUGACGUGACGAGACCUCCUGACAUAAUGUCAGAUGGUUGCGUGAAAAGUUGCGCCUGAUAACUGUGCAGCCGCCCUUUACGCGGUUUGAGAAAAGGAAACCAUCAAUUUGUACGAAAACGCCGCCGCAUUAAUUGUCGAUAAUUAUUGAAAACCGAAGCGCCGCGUCUGCCGUUGGGCCCGCCCACUUCCCUAGAAUGCGGGAAGUGGGAGGGGUGGAGUUGUGGUUUAUAAAAUCCGGACAGUUACCCCCGCAUUGCUUACCCCACCAUUUCCUUCAAGCUUUCCGCUUUUGCCUUCUACAAUCACCUGCACCCUCCUAGCUCGCAACCACUCCCGCAUCUCCAAUGGCGAAGAGCGACUCCAAGAAGAGGGCCGAGCUGAUGGCCAAGGAAUGGAAGAAAUCCCGCAGCACUUCGAAGUCCCUCGGUGACCUCGUCGAUAUGGGGCUACUGCACAGCCCAGAGCUUGGUGGCUGGAGGGCGCCAGAGGGGGAGAGCUACCCCGACCCCCGCGCCGGUGAGAUCGUAGUAUUCGAGGAUUUCCUUAAGAGGGGUUUUGGGGUUCUUGUUCAUCCUUUUCUUCAGGAGCUUCUCUUGUACUAUGAGAUCGAGAUUUGCAAUCUGCACCCGAACUCCAUCCUUCUCAUCUCCACCUUUAUCCAUCUGUGCGAGGCCUAUGUUGGCAUAGAGCCGCACUUCGAUCUCUUUCGUUAUCUUUUCUGUUUAAGGAAGAAGGGAGCGGUUGGAGGCUCCAAGAUUGCAGGUGGAGUAUACCUCAAUCUUUGCGACAGGAUGAAGAACCGUUAUCUGAGCUGCCCAUGGAACACUUCCCUAACCGAAUGGUACAGGAAGUGGUUCUAUGUCAGGGAAGAACAGGGCAGCUCCACGUUCUGCGACGUGGGGUACAUCCCCGAGAAGAGGGUCAGUUGGACCGACCGCCCAGAGUUCACCGGCCAGGUAGCGGAUCUGAUGAAACUGAUCGACUGGUCGCGUUUGGACGGGCUGGGUGUGGUCGGCAACUUCGUUUGUCGUCGGGUGAUGCCCUGCCAGAAGAGGGUGCACUCGGCGUAUGAGUACGCUGGAAGCCAGGACCCGACCAGGAUGAUGCCUGAGAUCCUGGAGAAGGCGGAGGUGCAGCGGCUGUUGAACGAACUGUUCAACUUUGCAGACGGGAGCUUCAUCCGUGGUAGUGAUCAGCUGCAAGCCUUCAAGUUGGGGCGACUAGCUCCUAAGGUAUCGCUACAUACUGAUUGUACCUCCUUAGUUUUUGUUUUUGUCAGCUGCUGACUUGUCUUUGUUACUUUUGCAGAUCGGAGAUGUUGACCGGUGCACAGUGUAUGUGUCACUGGCACUUGGGAUGGAGAAUCCCGCGGGGGAGGAUCCGCCGGAGGAUGACGCUGCUCGGUGUGCUCGGUACACCAGCAGUGAGGAGGAGCAGGCCUGCCCCGUCCCGACCACCGAGGACAGAGUGGCGGGGAAAAGGCCAUUAGCAACAGACCCUUCUCCUGCGCCGACGCUGCCAGCAGAGAGCAGCCAGACGCCAAAACGCCGUCGGCUCGUCCGGAUCGCCGACGACGACGACGAGGAGGAGGAGGCCGCGCCGUCGUUGGUUCGGAGGCCUCGUAGUCGUCCGGACGUCGCGCCGGCCACCGCUGGUCGGGUGACCAGUGACCCGCCUGCUCCGCACGUCGAGCCGACGCGUGUUGUGGAGAUGGGGGCGCAGGCACCGUCCGGUAGAGUCAGGAGGCGGUUCACUGCGACGCACCGGCGCUCCGACCUGUAAGUUCGCAUUCUUACUUUCGUGCUGCGAUUUGUUGCGUUUUGUUGCUGCGUUUUGACACUGUUUAAAUGUCGCUUUAUUGUUAGUGUGGCGUCGGAUGUCGAUCCCGACCACGUUACCGGCCAGAGGGUGGCCGAGCCUGCCGAUGCCGCUGAGGACGCGGCGCCACAGACCACGGAGCAGCCUGCGGCGGCAACCGUGCCUGAGAGUGCUGAGGAGCUUCCGGCCUCAGCAAGGACCGCAGCGAGCAGCCCGACAAGGGAUGAAGAGGCUACGAGGACUCCUCCCCCGAGUAGCGUCGCGGAAGGGGAAGACAGAGCCCCGACCCCUCCCCCCGCCGAAGAGAGGGGGGUCCCAACGCCGCCCCGGGCAGGAGUCUCUUCAUCCGCAGGCUCCCCGGGCCUGGUCCAAGGGCCGGUGAUGCCUGCGACCGCAACCGGUGGCAAUGCGGCGAACGAGGAAACCCAGGCGGCCUCCGACAACGAGGUGGAGGAGAUUGAAGGUCGUCCCCGUGAUGGCCGCCACCACGUAUACGUGUGGCGCCAACGCGGGGACCACUUCAUCGGGCACGAGGAGCUCGCGGAGACGGAAGAGGCCGCCAGGGUGGAGCGCGCGGCCAAGCGUCUCGUGGACGAAGUCAAGGUAAGUGAUCCUUUGCACUGCUCGACACUUUUGUGUUAUCUUGCUGGGUCGACAUAUGUUCUUCUUGCAGGGCGCAGUGAAUACGGCGAAGUACCGGAAGAGGUGCUUCGACCAAAUAGAAGGCAUUGUGGCCGAAAACAAGGCCCUGACCGUGGAGGUGGACCGGCUGCGGUCGGAGGUUGGGGAGAAGGUGGCCGAGAUGAGCGCCAGGAAGAGCGUCGUCUCGAGCUCACUCGUCGUUUAGCCGACCAGUAUCGGCAGCGGACAUGUCAGUCAUAUAAUCCGAGCAGCAGUAUGUAGCCACGUGGUUGGUUCUGUUUGACCAGGGAAGUGUUCUUGUAGACUUGGAGGAGGAGGUCGCGCGCCUCCGACAGGAGAAGGAGCAGCUCAGCCAAGAGCUUGCCAGGGUGUUGGAAACCGGGCGCCGAGCAAGCGAGGAGCUGGGCCAGAGGAACCGGGAAUUAUCUGGUAAAUAUUCGUGCCGCCCCCCUUUAUUUAGCUGCUCAAUGUUCCUUUCAUUGUGCUUAUACUGACCUCUUGCUUGAUUUGCAGUGCUCAAGGUGAAUGCCAAGAAGCACUUAGACGAGCUGGUCAAGCACCGGGACUCCUCGAAGAAUAACUGCAUUAGGCUUUGGAAAGGAGUGGCCCCGGUCCUGGACCUGAUCAGCCCCGAGCUUCCGGAAGACCAGCCCCGCGCGCCGAAGCUGACGCCGGUCGAGAAGGCGCAACGGGCGUGGGACUGGCUCCAGCAGUUCGUGAAGGACACUGGGGAGUUCGCCGGCGCGCAUGUCCUCAGCAUGGUGCGCGCCCACUACCCCCUGGUCGACAUGUCCAGGCUGGAGAGAGGUUACCCCAAGGAGGUCGGCCCGCAGGAGGUGGACGAGCUUCGGGCCGGCUUGCUGGACUUGUCGUCGACGGUGAUCGGCGACAUCAAUCUAUGCGGGACGGCCACUCCCCCCGACCAGCCGGGUUCAGACAGGUCGGCCAGGGAGUUAUCGGGGGCGUCUAUCGCUGGAGAUGGGCGGUCGACGCCUGCGGUCUCGACCAGCCAGGCGCCGGUGGCCCCGACCCCUUCGUCCGGGCAGCAAGGCCAGGCGGGUGAUCAGCCCGAUCAGUAGUCCAGUAGGGUAGUCUGUAGGAGUAGACUAGUGACCGCCCGUCAGGGUAUUUAUUGUAAACUUUGUAUGUAAAGUUUGUAAUAAAGUUUGAUUUUGUCAUGACCAUAUUUUGAGCACUGUAAAGUUGUCUGAGUGAUGUAUCACUGUGUUCGAUUGAUAGUCGUUAAGAACUUCCAUCGCAGAGGACAUUGUUGCUCCUCGUCGAAAGCUCUGCGUGUAAACAAAGUAUAGCCAAAAAGAGAAACUUUUAUUAUUGCUAAUUAUAAGAGACUUACAAGCAAAAAUUAUUGGAAUUUAUGGAUAAAAGCGGCGCAGUUUGUCAAUGUGCCAAGAGUUAGGCACGCGUGUCCCGUCUGGAUGCGCCAAUCUGUAGGAUGUGGGACGUGUGACUUCGGCAACCACAAAGGGUCCUUCCCAGGGAGUGGACAGCUUGUGCAUUCCUUCCUGGUUUGUUUUCCACCUGAGUACCAGAUCGCCGACCAUGAAAGAACGGUCCUUGAUGUUCCUGUUGUGGUACCGUCUGAUGGCUGCAAGAUACCUUGCUGUUCGAAGGCAUGAAUUUAGACGCUUUUCUUCCAUGCAAUUUAUUUCGAGCUCCCUGGUGUUGUCGGCCAUCGACUGGUCGAAGUUUUCAACUCUUGGAGACCUGAAGGUUAUAUCAGACGGCAACACUGCCUCGGUGCCGUAAACCAUGAAGUAGGGAGACACCCCGGUGUUUCGACUAGACUGUGUUCGGAGACCCCAGACUACGGCCGGCAACUCUCUCAUCCAUCGACCAGGGGCUCUGUCAUUCUCGGUGUACAACCUUUUCUUUAGGGCAUCAAUGAUCAUCCCGUUCGCACGCUUGACUUUGCCAUUUGCUCAUGGGUGAGCUACUGACACGUAUUUUAUGACUAUGCCUCUAUCAUCGCAGAAGUCCAAAAAUGUGGUGCCAGUGAACUGAGUACCCAGGUCGGUGAUUAUACUAUUUGGGAUCCCGAAUCUGUGUAUGAUUUGAUUGAGGAACUCCACGGCCUUCUCGGAAGUUGCUUUGACCAGUGGCAUGUAUUCAAUCCACUUUGAGAAUUUGUCGAUUAAUACAAAAACAAACUUGAAGUUGCCGGGGGCCAGUUUAAAUGGCCCGAUCAUGUCGAGCCCCCAGCAGGCGAAAGGCCAGGACGACGGAAUAGUUUGAAUCUCAUGAGCAGGUACGUGGGUCCUUUUGGCGAAGAACUGACAUCCCUCACAAUGUCGGACCAGUUUUUUUGCAUCGGUGACCGCGGUUGGCCAGUAAAAACCUGCUCGGAAAGCCUUCCCGACCAGCGUUCUGGAGGCAGCGUGGUUGCCGCAGGAUCCGGCAUGUAUGUCGUCGAGGAGCUUGAUGCCAUCGUCUUGUGAUAUGCAUUUGAGCAGCACCUCAGAACUUGCGUUUUUUUGCAUAAGUUUGCCGUCCACCAGUAUAUAAUUCUUUGAUCGUCGAAUGAGGCGCUCGUUCUUUGUUUUAUCCUGAAAGCCUGACCCGUCCGAUAUAUAUCUGAUGAACGGGGUGCGCCAGUCACGGCUACUGGUUGUCGGAGUAGUGACGUCUACGAGCAUUGCCUCAGUAGGUUGCUUUUCGACCAGGGCUGAGCACACACUUGGCUCAUGGAUGUUCUGGACGAAAACACCUCGCGGGAUCUAGGCCCGGGAUGACCCUAACUUUGACAACGCAUCCGCUGCUUGGUUCUUAUCCCGGACCACGUGCAUGUAUUCUAUGCCGUAGAAGUUGGCUUCCCAUUUGCGAAUUUCUUUGCAGUACAGAUCCAUCUUCUCGUGGGUUGCGUCCCAUUCCUUAUUGAGCUGGUUGAUGACUAAAGCGGAGUCGUCGUGAACGUAGAGGCGUUUGACUCCCAGCUCAAUGGCUAGUCGUAUGCCGUGCAGGCAUGCUUCGUACUCGGUGACGUUAUUCGAUGCGAGAAAAAGGAUCCUAAGGACGUAGCGCAGUUUGUCCUUGUUAGGCGACACGAAAAGUAUCCCAGCGCCGGCACCGUUGAUGUUCAGGGACCCGUCGAAGAACAUUAACCAGUGGUCGGAGACGUCGGAAACAGGAGGCUCGUUGAGAUCCGUCCACUCUGCGAUGAAAUCGACCAGGGCCUGAGACUUGACUGUGGUGCGGCUCUGAAAAUCCAGAGAGAAUGGGCAUAAUUCCAUUGCCCAUUUUACAAUUAUGUCGUUGGCGUCUUUAUUGCGCAGAAUAUCCCCAAGAGGGAAACUGGUGGUUACCAAGACUCGAUGGCCGUCGAAGUAGUGCUUUAGCUUCCUUGACGUUAUCAGAAUGGCAUAUAUGAGCUUCUGUAUUUGCGGGUAUCUGGCCUUGGACUCGUUUAAGACUUCGCUUAUGAAAUAAACGGGUCUCUGGACCUUGUAGACGUGGCCUGGCUCGUCUCGCUCGACCACUAUUGCUGUGGAGACGACCCUGUCGGUUGCUGCAAUGUAAAGAAGUAGGUCUUCAUUGGGCUGAGGCGCCGUGAGAACAGGCGGUGGGGUGAGGAAAGUCUUAAGCUGGGUGAACGCAGCGUCAGCCUCUUCUGUCCAGGAGAAUUUUUCUGACGCCUUCAAGAGUUUGAAGAAGGGGAGGCCUUUUUCUCCUAGUCUUGAGAUGAAGCGGCUGAGAGCGGCCAUACAUCCGGUGAGCUUCUGAAUAUCCUUGACAUUCUUAGGUGGUCGCAUGUCAAGUACUGCUUUUACUUUUGAAGGAUUCGGCCGUAUGCCGUCGCGGCUGACGACGUUGCUGAGUAGUAGACCGGAAGGGACCCCAAAGAUGCACUUUUUGGGGUUAAGCUUCCACUUGUAUCUGUUUAGUGCCUUGAAGGUUCGGUCUAAGUUAUCAAUUAGGGUUCUUGUGUCCCUUGUUUUGACGACGACGUCAUCUACAUAAGCCUCGACUAGGUCAUCACGAAUCUCGUCGUGAAGGCAUUGCUGGAUGGCCCUUUGAUAUGUGGCCCCGGCGUUUUUGAGUCCGAAGGACAUGGUGGUGUAGCAGUAUGCGCUGAAAGGAGUGAUGAAAGACGUUUUGAUCUGAUCGUCUUCCUUUAGUGAGAUCUGGUGAUAACCAGAGUAGCAGUCUAGAAAAGAUCAAAAGGACAGUGUUUGUUGAGAUCGGUGUAAUCGACCACCUCGUCGAUGCGAGGGAGACCAAAAGGAUCUUUAGGACAGUGUUUGUUGAGAUCGGUGUAAUCGACGCACAUUCUCCAUUCAUUAUUCUUUUUCCGUACAAGAACCGGAUUGGCAAGCCAAUCAGGAUGAUACACUUCUUUUAUGAAUCCGGCUGCUAGAAGCCGUGUUAUUUCUGUCCUAAUAGCCUCCUUUUUGUCACGAGCGAACCGUCGCAGCUUUUGCUUGAUGGGUCUUGCGGUCUUCGAGACAUUUAAGGAGUGCUCGAUCAGGUUUUGUGGGACGCCGGGCAUGUCUGCGGGUUUCCAUGCGAAAACACUUACGUUGUCCCUUAGAAACCUGACGAGCGCGUCUUCCUAUUUAGGGUCCAGGUCGGCCCCGAUGAGGGCCGUCUUCUCGGGACUGCCCUCGACCAGCUGCACUUCCUUGUACUCCUUGGAUUUUGAAUUCUUCCUGGCGGUCUCCUGCUCGGGUAGUCGGAGCUGGUCGGGGGGUAGCUGUGCAGCUUGGGUUGCUGUUUCUGCCAUGCGAAUUGAGAGAUCGAUUGCUUCAGUGAUCUUGAAGCUCUCCUCCUCGCAAGUAUAUGCAGUGUAGACAUUGCCUCUGACGGUUAGGACGCCCUUCUCCGUAGGCAUUUUGAGGACCAGGUAUGAGUAAUGCAGGACUGCCAUGAAUUUUGUCAGCGAUGGUCAGCCCAGUAUAGCGUGGUAAGUCCCAUCAAAGUCGGCGACCACAAAGUUGACGAACUCUGUUCGGAAGUGGUCGGACGUGCCGAAUUGGACAGGUAGUGUUAUCUGUCUGAGGGGCACUGAACUCUGACCAGGCAGGACUCCCCAGAAUUGAGCAUCGUAGGGGUUUAGCUAUGUCGGAGAUAUAUUGAGAGCGAGCAGGCUGUUACGAAAGAGGAUGUCAAUGGAGCUUCCUCCGUCCACGAGCACCCGCUCGAAUCUGAUGCUGUUGAUGCAAGGGUCCAAGAUUAGAGGGAAGUGACCUGGUUCUGGGAUAGCGGCCCACUGAUCCUUCCUGCUGAAGGAGAUUUCCCUGUGUGACCACGGGGGGAAUUUCAGAUCUGCGAUCAGGCCGUCCGAGCUGUCUAUGUUGAGGCAGGCUCUUUGUAGGAGCUUUCUUUCUCGCUUAGAUUCGAUGGAGACCUUGCCCCCGAAGAUGGAGUGGACCACGUCGGUGGGACUGACAUAUUGGUGUCGUGGGUCCCUAUCUUGGUCCUCGUCCUCGUCUUCGUGAUCGCGCCCGUCUUGUUUCCCAUUUUUCUUGGCGGAGUCGUCUUGGGCGGCCCGCCGCGUAUAGAUGUUUUUGAGGACGCGGCACUCUUCUAUGGUAUUGUUGGACUUUGGAUGCAGUUGGCACGGUCCUUUCAACGUUUUGUUGUAGUCUUCUUGGUAGUCCCGCUGCCCGUUGGGGCGCUUGACUGUAUUCACUUCGUGAUCAUGGUCGCGGGGGCGCUUUCCUCUGAAAUCGUCACGAUUGUCACGCCGCCUGUCCCAACCUUCCCUGUGAUCGCGGUUAUCGGGGCAGCGGUGGUUCCUGUUGUCGAAGCGACCGCAACUAUAGUCUCGCCGACGAGGCUGGUCGGGACCUCUCGCAUCGUCCCGGAUGAGUUUUUCUGCGUCGUCGGCGUCGGCGUAAUUUUUAGCCGUGGCGAGGAGCUCGGCCAUCGUUGUUGGCCUUUUGCGCAACAGCUUGUUUCUCAGUGCUUCAUGGAAGCGCAGCCCCUUGAUGAAAGCAAAUAUGGCCUCGUCGUGGGAAAUCUUCGGGAUCUUAAGGCGCAUAUCCGAGAAUCGUCGGAUGUAAUCGCGUAGAGGCUCGUUUUUCCUGUCCCUUAUCCUUUCGAGGUCGUACUUGUUCCCGGGCUGCUCGCAUGUGGCGAUGAAGUUGUCGAUGAAAGCCUGGCGUAGCUCUUCCCAAGAGUCGAAAGAGUCCUCGGGCAGGCCAAGGAGCCACUGGUGACUAGCCUGGUCGAGGACUACCGGGAAGUAGUUGGCCAUGACGUGCUCGUCUCCUACUGCUGAUCGGACGGCGAUCUCGUAAAGAGUGAUCCAGUUUUCUGGAUUUUCCUCGCCGUCAUAUUUUUUGAGUUUCUCGGGCUUGAAAUUGCGAGGCCAUACGACCUAGUGGAGGUGUGAAGAGAACUGCCUCAGGCCCGGGGGGCCGUGUGUUGCAUCGUAUUCGAUACGACGUAGGUUUUCAUGGACUGCUCUCUCCGUGGCGCGCCUGUUGAUGCGGUCUCGGGCGUCUUUGGGGGGGAUGUUGUAUCGAAGAUCCCUGUGCUGGUUUACUUCGUGACCACGCCCGUGAUUCUGCUCAUGAUGGCUGCCAGCAUCCCGACCGUCAUCGCCACGCCGUGAGUCUUUUCGAUGAUUGUUGGGGGAACGGUUGCGGUGGUGCCCGCUAGGCUGUGGUGAGGUCCGGCUGCGGUGGGUCUGGUCGGAGGAGGCCUCUGUAUAGCAGACGGCUUGGACUCUUUUGAGCAGACUGGCUGUUUGUCCCAUCGCGGCGAUCAGAUGUGCUCGAACGCUGGAUCGGACGCCCUGGUACUCAGGAGUAUCAGGGAGUCGAUCUAAAUUGGCCAUGGUGACAGCCACAUUGGCGCUUGCCAUUUUGUAGACUGGCUGAUCCCCGACCAUGUCGAAAGCGUCGCUGAGAUUAUGCGGCGGGAGUUGGCGUUCCUCAUCCGCGCGUCGUCGGGCGCGGUCGGCGUUGCGCUGCUCGCGGAGCUGCCUCUGCUCGUCUGUUUCUCCAUCAACGGCUGGCUCGUCGGCGUUGACGUUAAAAACGAUGUCUCCUCGCCGGGGUGGGAAGACCGGGAAACGAGAGAAACCCGGAGCAUAUGGAGGCAAAUCCAGGUCAUAGUCCUCGUCCUCGGAGUUUAUGACUUCAGUGGGAACGGAACCAGUGCUCGAAUUUGUGCUGGAAGCCUGGCCGUCCCAUAGUUCUCAGACCGUCACCAUGUUGACGUAGUGAUGAGCUGGUCGACCGUUCCACUUUGGCAGCCAACCCGCCUCGUUAAAAAGGGAUUGGACGUGCCGUGAGUAGAGAGAGGCCGAGUUGUUCAGGCCGCAAGGAUACCCUUCCUCCAGAUCAGCCUUGAUCUUGACGGACCGUCCCGAGGGGGUGGAGGUUAUCGUCAGAGUCGUCCCCAGCUGUUCGUGUGUGACGACACGAGUUGGCCGGUAGGAGUUGAAAAAAUCCGUCGGUGCGGCUUGAUCAGGUCGACGCAAGAUCCCAUCUACUAGUUGGGAAGCUUCGAGAAGCUUGGAAUCAGCGCGAUCAAGUGCUCGGAGAAGAUCCAAGCCGUCGAUCUUCUUUCCCUUGUAGCGCGGGAGCGGUGGUCGGGUGCUCGGUGCCAACAUCCGUGUGGUCGGAACCGGCGCCGCCGUCAUCCCAGAUUGGAUCUGGGUUCCUUCCGAAACCGUGGUCAUGAGACCGCCGCCGUGCGUCGUCCACAUGAUCUGGCCGACGGUGAACGUGAGGCCUUCGGGCAUGGCCGCGGAAGCUGGAACGAUGACCAUCUUGUUCGCCGGAGAAGUUGUACGGACACCCCCUACCUGGCGCGCCACUGUCGACGAAAGCUAGUCAGCAGUCUACCUUGGGGUAUACCCACAGUAGUAGUUUAUUGGUAGACGGUGUGCAAACUACGAACUCGAUGGUGACACAAGACAUGGACAAGCUUUUUAUCCAGGUUCGGCCGCCGAGUUGGCGUAAUACCUACGUCCUGCGUCUGGUUGUAUUGAUUUGUGUUGAGAGAAUAACGAUGUCCUAGGGGGGUCCCUUGCCUCUCCUUAUAUAGUCUGGAGGACAGGGUUACAGAUCUGGAAACUAAUCCUAGUCGGUUACAAUUGCCAUAGAUAGUUCGAUAUCAAUUCAUAUUCUAACCGACUAGAAUCCUACUUGAUCUCCACGUCUUGUUUCCUUGCGCGAGACUCCGAGCUGUCGGAUCAAGCCUUGAACUUGUCUCGUAAUGGGCCAAGCCUCCUAGCCCAAGUCAGGCCGUAAGGGUAUAGGGAUUUAUACCCCCCACAGCUUGUGAUAUCUUGCUUGCUGGCAUGGUCAUAUCAUCCUCCCCCCCCCUUCAAAAAGAGUCGUCCUCGACUCUAACUCUUCUGUUCCAAAGAGUUGUGCUAGGACAUCGGUUUGUAAUGUUGUGAUAACAUCGCAAUCUUCUUGUUCCAUGAUAGCAAGGUGUUUGAAUCUAUAAUCAUAUAAACCAAGUAGUAGCCUUGAAUGUGGAAACCUAAAUGAUUUGGAAUUAUGUUUCGCUUUCACCUUGAGUGGAUGCUUGAAUGUUGAUUGCCCUAGUAUGGUCUCAUCAUAACUCCUUUAACUAGGCUACCGCCUUAAGAAAAGGUCAACUAGGAGGCACAAGAAAGGUAGCCUGCACUGUUUAUUGACAAGUUAUCUAGCAUUGAGACCUUUUGACAUCCCAAGGAACUUAUGUGUAAGGGAAGAAACAAAUAUCCUGAAAUUUUCUUGCGAUAUGAAAAACACCAGCGUAGUAAAAUAGACAUAACUCUUGUUCUGUUAAUCCAAUAGGGUUAUAGCUUAUACCGUUAGAAAGCUUAGAAACUUAUCUAAAACUUUUCUAUAGAACAUUUUUCCAAAUUCUAUAGGUACAUUUGUCCCAAAUAGAAAGCAACCGAAACUGGUCCAGGUUCUUGACAACACAAUUGUAUCAUCUUAUGAUUUUGAUAACUUCAAUACCAAAAUAGCUAUCAGGGUGAUUCUUGAGGUCAGAAAAAGAUCUUGAAGUCCACUUUCAUCCAAAAGUUUUCUUAUGAUUUUUGGUCAUCCCAGAUCAAAGAUAUGAACGGAUAAAGAAGUAUUACUCUGGAAAGGCAGGAUAAGAUAACAAGAAUAAACCAAAACCCGACUAAUUAUUUCAUUAAUCCUUAUAGCUUAGGCCUAUAAACUAAUGAAAUUGUGGAGAAAACCCCAUAAGAUCAUUGCACUCAUUACAAAGAUCCAAAUCAAACAUAAACAUAAAGACAAUUCAACCAAGUAGUAAAGGUUCACAAGGCACACAAACUCGACUUUUGCUACUAGUGUUUAUAUUACACAAGGGCACAAUCUCCUAUCUCUUGGACUCGGUGUGGCUACUUUCAUGAUAAAACUGUUUGUUCUUCUAUGGAUAAGAAUUUACAUAGUGUCCUUCCUGUCGGCAGUGAUAACACUUUCUCUUAGCUGGAUCCUUUGUGAUGUCAUUUUCCAUUGAGGUGUUGCUCAGUGUGUUAUCAGCUCGCUGACUUUGAAGGUUUAUCUUUGGCUAGUUAGCUUUCUACCUGACUUGGUUGAUCCUUUGAGGUUGAAACUCUUUAUAAGUGAUUGUCCAUCCAUCUAUGCAUACCUCAUGAGUAGUGGGGUUAGCUUGAGAAAUUUCUUCAUCUCCAAGGUUUAGAUUUUCAUGACACGAGUUUAAAGCUAAAUGUGAAAACUUAGGAUUUGAAUGUUGAUCACUUCCCAAUGCUGGCUCUAAUGAUUUUGCCUUCCUCUUCUUAUCCACAUUGGUCACACAAUUUGGUUUUAUCUUAACUUUCUUUUUAGAUGACCUAUUUCGAAGACAAGGGAGACCAUAAUUCCUACAACAAUGGCAUUGAUCCUGAUAUCCCACUGUGUUACUACCAACACCUCUGUGGGCUCUCAUAUUUUUCUAAGCUUUUGCUACUUGUCUCUUCACUAGUCCUGAGAUGCGCUGUUGAGAGUUCCCAUUCUGAGUAAUUCCUUCCACUGCUUGUAUUUGCAUGUCCAGAAGCUUCUCCUUGUCGAAUGCUUUCACAAGUGGCAUCUCUGGGUCCUUUUGUUCAUUCAUGCCAAAGGUCUCCUCGUUAUGAGCCAUCUAAAUAGACAAUGAGGGAGGAUUUAGAAUAGAGACAAAGUUUUAUAAUAUAAUAGGGCAGAGGUAAGCAUAAAUGUUAGCAAUUAUCAAGGUUAAAGAGAAAAGCAAGAAGUAAGCAAAAAUAGGAGCAUGCUAAAACGUCUGGUUCUAACUAGGCUUGCAUCCUACAAUCAGCAUUGCUUUGAUACCACAUUGUAACACCUGAUUUUAAGAACAAAAUUAGAUAUACACCAUAUGUCAGUUUUAGAAGACAAAUCUCACAUAUAGCCACAAAAAGGGUAAUAUCAAGGGACAAUGCAUAAAUUAAAUAACAUACAUAAUAAAUUAGAAACAACAUUAGGCAGCAAACCACGAAAGAUAAAUCCAAACUUCGUGUAUUAACUUCACUCUACAGGAUUCAACUGACUGGUUGAUCACAAGCCCAAUACUUCUCCUGACGUGAGGGGGAGAUAGCAAGAGUGAGUCCAAGACGAACUCCACAAGUAUAGCAACUAGAUUGUAUAGAUCCCACAAUCUCAUGAUCAAUGUGGCAUAAAUAAUAUAAAGCAUUAAACAAUAAGCAAUGAAUAUCUUAACACAACAAGAUCCAUCACCCUUAAUGUAAGAAUCCCCAAGCCGCUCUUGACCGUGAGCACGACUAGUAUACCAGUUUAAUAAACACUCUACAGAGGUCGUACAUCUUUAUCCAUGAAUCAUGAUUUACCCUUUCGCCCGAGGUAGCUAACUUCUUAACCCCCUUCCUAGGGAGGUCGACAGGGAUCAUUAUCAAGUAUUUCAAAGGUUCGUCUAACAAGUUAAGGCCGCUUGGUUUUCGUAGUCAGUCCGUGUGAUUCUACCACGCAGGGAAUCCACGGUCUGCUAUCCCCAUUUGCGCCACUUGGGUAACCUCUAACAAGCUAGAAAAAUUACUCAUACUUGACUAAAGCCAGAGCCAUUAUAGCUCUCAUGGUUGCACAGUUAUCUUGGUUAUCACUUACGGAUAAAUUAUCAAGUUGCUAAAAAAUCAUUAUUAUCGUUUGUUGCUUUACAUUAAUCUAGUCACAAGAUCAUGGUCAUAGAAUUAAAACCCAAAUGUUAUACUUGCCUUGAUUCAAUUGCUCCUGCUAGUCCUGCUGGUCUUAUUUGUUUCCAAGGCUCUAAUCUUGAUCACUGAAGUAAUGCUCACCGACUAAACUCGGUCACCAAUCAUCAACACACAAGCAAUUGAGGCUAAAUGUACACAAAGCAAACAAAGUUACAAUUAGAACAGUACACCAACAGUAAAUAAAUUUGAAUAAAAGUGUUCUAAAAUUGCUUACAUGCUGCUACGAUCACGUCAACGAGAAAAUCACGAAAAACAGAGUUACCACCCAAAAUCUACGCCUUAAAUGGGACAUCAAAAGUGAUCUAAGGACUCGUAUUUAUCUAGAAAAUCUAAUAGUGGUGAACCUAGACAAUAAUGGUACCAACGCGAAGCUUAUGAAAUUAUGAAACUAACACAACUUGAACGGAUCGAAUCGGAGCUUAAACAGAGAAGAUAUGAAAUUUCUAAGAUUUUCUUUAGAAAAGUAAUUAAUUAAAUAAGGUCACGAAAUUAAAAAGUUUCAAACUGCCAAAACAGUGAGACUAACAAGUAGAGCUCGUGAUUACGAAACUAACGCAAUUUGAAUGGGUCAAAAAGGACUUAAAACAAAUAUUUUAUGAGCUAAAUAAAUCUAGUGGCAAACUUGUAAUUUUAUGAAAGCGUAUUUUGAAAUCAAUCCGGCGAGAAAUACAUUUUCAAACUCGGUUGGCAUAUUCUAGGAAGCGCUUUGUACCGUGGGUUUGAAUCCCAUAAUUGCGAGGGACUCUUUAGAAAAAUGGCCCUACGAAGCGGUAUGGGCCGCUCAUGGCCAUCAAAUUCAAGAUCGACGGCCGGGAUUAGAUGGGAGGGGAGAGAGGGCGGCACCGACGGCCAAAACAGGAGAGCCAGUGGUGGCGCGCCAUGAACGGCAGUGAGAAGGUCAAGGCGAGUCCGUACCAGGGCAAAACGUGGCCGGAAGAGUGGCCAGCGCGGCGGUUUGCGACGACGCCAUGGCCGGUCGUACCAGAGCUCGUGGGGAAGACUCUAGGGACCACGUUUUCGCAUGGGAGAAAGCCGGAGAGGGAGAAGGGAAGGAGGUGCGCUCACCACAACGAAAAUCAGAGGCGGAGACGGCUCGGUUCGUCGGGUUGAACACGGCGGAUUGCGGUGGUCACCGGCGGCGGUUCUCUGCGCAAGCGAGCUCAAGGGAGAGAGAGGAAGUGGGGUCUAGGAGGCGAAAUGGACGCAGGGCAGAGGCACGGGCUCGGGUGCGUCGAAAGAGGCGAGGCGCGGGGGAGAACGUGGGAGAGAUAGCAGCGAGGUUGCGGCAGUUGUGGCUCUGCCACUGAGCGUCCGAGGGCGAAGGGGACUGUUGCUGAAGGAGGGGGAUGACUGGCGGGCCCCAACUAUCAUUGAGCCAAGGGGAAAAUGGUGUUGUAGUGUCUGCCGAGUUGCAGACUAGGUCGGCCUAGCAAUGAGAGAAGGGGAAGGGAGCACGUGGGCCGAGAGGAGUUGGGUGAGGUAGGCCAGAAAAGAAGGAGGGGAUAGGGUUGCCUUUUUUUAACAAAAUUUUCAAAGCUCAUUUGAUUUGUUUUCACAAAACCACACAUCACAUAAAUAAAUGUACAGCAUGAAUGCAUCAACGUGCUUCUAAACUUAUCGUAAAUUUUUAAUUUCCCAAAAUUUAAUAAUUUCCUAUAUUGUAGUGCUCACAAAAAAACCUAUUUUAAUUAAAUCAAAUUCAACUAUUUAAAAGAAGAAAUUUUUUUGGGUGUUACAUAUUUGAACACCAUCAAUAUAGACAUAUAAUGUAAAAUAAUUAAUGAAUUACCUAAACCCCAAACGCAUUUGUACGGACGGUUCACUUAGCUAACCGCGUAUGUAAAUCGUCUAUUUACACUAUUUCUACAGUCCCCGACGCACAUGCGCUGGAAUCCGCCUAUACAAAUUGCUUUGGAACAAAUAUGCUUGGCAAUUCGUCACACUGUUUCUUAAUAUCCUUGCGCUCUCUUACAUUGCUCUGGUUGGUAGUACACGCUUGGCAUCAAAUAAACAAAUAUAAGGUGAUCUUGAUGGCUAUGGUACUGACGCACGCGUCAUUAUCCUUGGAUAAGCUCUGCGCUGUUCCCCGUUGCGAAUCCUCGCGUGAACGCACCCACGACGACCAAAGCAAGGAGACAGAUCAUGUACGCUAUCUUGCCACCAUGCAUUUAAAGAUGAGGACAUUGCUUUAAAUAGAUACCCAUAAUUUUUCUGUAGUCUAACUUAAUAAACAAAAUAUUUACGGUUCUUCUUUAGUCCAAUUUAAUGAAUUAAAGUUUAUUUAGUUUAUUAAAUUAAACUAGAGAAAAAACACAAUUACCCAUUUAGAAUACCAUCCCUAUCCUUACAUGCAUCCAAGCCAAGCGAGGUAGCGUCAAAAAAGAUCCGACCUCGCUUUCACUCUCCGUUCGCACUUUAUCCCCAUUAGCGCCAGCAGCAUUGAACUGACCCACACACACCACUACUUUCGAUCUGUAUGUCUUUGCUAGGUGCAGAAAUUUAAACAUAUGAGGCCUCGUUUAUUGUGUCGCAGAUCAUCAACGAAAAAGGCCAGUUUCAUGGGGGCAAUCAACCAUGAUCACAUGUUAUAUAUAUAUAUAUAUAUAUAUAUAUAUAUAUUCAUUCAAUCUGUGUUUUUUGGAACUAUGUGUUUGGAGCUGAGAAACAACUGGAAUUUAAUUAGAGAUAAGAUACAAUCUAUGAACUGUGUGUGAUGAACAAUUCGUGACUCGGUGAUGAAAAAUUGUGAUCGUUCUUGUAUGUAUAUGUGAUAUUAGUAUAUGUUUAUAUAUAUGAUACUCUAUGUGUAUCAGUGUUGUGGGGGCUGUUUUGUGGGUUACAGACGUGUAGGCAUAAAACGCAUCUGUAGUAUUUUCCUUCCUAUGGAUGUGUCUCUAGACUAGGUACGUCUAUGGUAAGGAUAAUAAUACAAACGUGCGUAUAUAAUAGGAGUAUAUAGUAUAUAUGCUCCUCACUAUGGACACAUGAACUGUACAUGCGUUGCUACUAUGGUCAUUCAUACAUACAUGUUUAAAGAUGGCAUCUGUAGUACUCCCUCCAUCAAGUGACGUUUUUUACUUUUAGAAAUCGUGUUUGACCAUUUGUUUUAUUCAAAAAUUUUAUGUAAAUUAUAAAAUAAAUAAAUCAUUAGUAAAGUAUCUCUAAUGAUAAAAUAUGUCUUAACAAAAUAUAUAAUAUUUAUGUAAAAAUUUUGAAUAAGACGGAUGAUUAAAUAAGAUGUCUGAAAUUCUAAAACGACACUUUUUUUUGGAAGGGUGCGUAGCGUAUACACGUCUGGAUCGUGGUCAUUGAAACAAGCGCACUCACCCAUCUCAUCUGUAGCAGUAUCCUUAGUACAGACUCGUUGAGGGUAUAUGAGUUUGAACUAUGAUAUUCACAAUGACAUGUGUUCAUUUUAAUUACAAUUAUAUUUAAGUACUGUAGUUAUAUUCUUACUAUAGAUACUUAUUCUGUGUGUCUAUGAUAAGCCUUUUUACGCAUACAUUAUUACCGACAUGCGCAGGCGCAUCUAUGACGCGCCUAAACGCGCGUCUGUGAAGUGUUUUUACGAACAUAUUAUUGCUGACACGCGCGGGCACAUCUAUGACGUACCUAAACGCAGCACACAUUGCUUGUCUUUAGUUAUAAGGAAGCAGAGAAACAAAACUGAGCAAAUUUAAAUAGAUUGUGUGUGUGAAUAUAUACUCGUUUUUUAUCAAAUACAUGUUGAAGUAACAAUAAUUGUCUGAAAAAAAGCAGACAAGCCUACAUAUUGUAGAACCACGUUAAAAUGUGGGCACUCUAGAUUUUCCGUGUUUAUGAGAUUUGUGCCAGGGUAACCCGAAACACCAUACAUGUGGUUGCAACACCAUUAUCAUUCAGCACGAGAAGCAAUUGCAACCCGCUGGACCGGACGAUAUUGUCAACUUUGGGAUCUCGCUAUGGCCUUUGCAGAUAACAUAGCUAGCAGUAUUGGACAGAACUGCUAACCAAAUAUGAGUUUUAGAUGCAAAUAUAUCCAUAUGUUGUAAGGGAACAUAAACCAUAUUGAUCAGUAUCAUGCUAAUAACAUUGAGCUUGCUAUCACUACUAUAAAAGCAUGUAUCAUCAUCAUUAUCAUCACUCUCGGUUCUGAGCUACAAACCAACAUUGAUAAGUGGCAUGUCACUACGGUUAUAGCCUCGAGCCAGCCGUGAAAUACCACUGCGGCUAUGUAACACCCUAAAAAUUCCCUUCUUUAAAAUAGUUAAAAUUUGAUUUAUUGAGUCAAUUUUGUGAGCAUUAAAAUAUAAGAAAAAUAAAUAAAUUUUGGGAAGCUAAAAUUUAAUAUAAGUUUAGAAUAACAUUUUCGAUGCAUGCAUGCUAGGGCAUUUUUAUUGUGAUGAUUGUUUUAAAAAUAAAAUGUCAAUUUGCUCAAAAAUUCAAUUAGAAAAAUGUGUUUGGAAAAUUUAUUUCAAAAAGAAAAUGGCAAAAAAAAACACUUUUCCUCCCCUUUCCCUCUCUUUCUCCUCUCGGCCUUUUCGGCCCAACCCUCCCCCGCGCCCUUCUUUCUUUGGGUCUGGCCCAGCCGGCCACACCCCUCUCUCCCCCUCUCUCUCCCGCUGACAGGCCGGGCCCGCCUGUCAGCUCCUUCUCCUCCAACUGCCUCCAUCCUCUCCAUUCGCAUGAAUGGAAACCGACGCUGCUCCCCGCUCCCACUCUCCCAUGUUCUCCCCGUGCCUCGCUCCCUUUCAGCCGUGCCCGAGCCCGCAUCGUUGCCCCGGUUCAUUUCUCACUCCCAGACCCCGCUCCCUCUCUCUCUCUCUCUCCCGGCACUUUGCAUAUCGCCAAGCCACCCACCGUUGCCAUUAGCGCCCGAUGCUCCUCUGGGGCCAUCAAAGAUUGCUUGCCGAGCUCCGCAGCGUGAUCACGAAACUGUAGGUGCACUUUUCCCUCUGUUUCCCGGUCUCGGGGUUGCCCUAAACACCGUUGAACUCGUGCAGGGAAGCGCCGCCCGCCAUCUCGCGACGCACGCCUACACUGAACCUUCCCCGGCCUCGUAAACUCCCUGGGUGAGUUCCCUGUGUUCCCCUCUUGCUUCCCGUGCUUUCGGUUCAACGAAUCGUGCUUUAAAUCACGUGAUUGCCGAACUCCGGCGAGAGGCGUGGCCUUCCGGCCAUGGCGCCGCCGCCCAGACCACCGGCGGUCAGCCGGACUCCCCCUCAUUUUAUCCCAAUUUAAUCCGAGCCAUCCGCGUGAGAUCCAACGGCUCACGAUGGACAAUACCCUUUCGGCAUGAAAUUUUGUUAAAGAGCCCCUCAACUUUUUAAAUAUAGAACCCGCGGUCCCUGGCGCCUUCGAAAAAAUACGCCUUGCUAUGUUGAAAACGUAAACUAUCGGGGCUUGCUUCAUAAUACAUUUUCAGUAUUUACUAAAUUGCCACUGAACUUGUUUUGGCUAUAAAAUAUUCAUUUUAACUCCGAUUUGACCCAUUCAAAUUGCGUUAAGUUCGUAUUUGAAAGAUAUACAUGUUAGUAAUACGGUUUUCUCAGUUUGAAACUUUUUCAUUUCGUGACACUAUUUAAUUAAUUUAUUUUCUAUAUAAAAUCUUAGAAAAUUCAUAUCUUCUCCGUUUUAGCUCUGAUUCGAUCCGUUCAAGUUGCGUUAGUUUUAUAAUUUCAUAAGCUUCGCAUUAGUACCAUUUUUGUCUAGAUUCACCACAGUUAGGUUUCCUAGAUAAAUAUAAGUCCGUAGAUAGCCCUUGCAGUCGCGUUUAAUGCGUAGAUUUCACAUCGUGACUCCGUUUUCCGUGAAAUUCUCGUUGACAUGAUCGUAGCAGCGUGUAGAUGAUUUUGGAAAACUUUUAUUUAAAUUUAUUUACUGCUGGUGUACUGUUCUAAUUGUAAUCUUGUUUGCUUCGUGUAUGUCUGUCUCCAAUUGUUUAUGUGUUGAUGAUCGAUGAUCAAGUUUAGACAGUGGGCAUUACUUCAGUGAUCAAGAUCAGAGCCUUGGAAGCAAGUAAGAUCAGCAGGACCAGCAGGAGCAAUUGGAUCAAGGCAAGUAUAGCAUUUGGGUUUUAAUUCUAUGACCAUGAUCUUGUGACUAGAUUAAUAUAAAGCAACAAAUGAUAAUAAUGACUUUUUAGCAACUUGAGGAUUUAUUCGUAAGUGAUAACCGGGAUGAAAGUGCAACCAUGAGGGCUAUAAUAGCUUUGGCUUUAGUCAAGUAUGAGUAACUUUUCUAGCUGGUUAGAGGUUACCCACGUGGCGCAAAUGGGGGAUAGCAGACCGUGGAUUCCCUGUGGGGUAGAAUCACAUGGACUGACUACCGAAACCAAACGACCCUAACUUGUUAGACGAACCUUUGAAACACUUCAUAGUGAUCCCUGCCGACCUACCUUGGUAGUGGGUAACGAGGCUGAUCCCCUCAGGUGAAAGGGUAAAUCAUGACUCAUGGGUAAAGAUGUACAACCUCUACAGAGUAUUAAAAACUGGUAUACUAGCCGUGCUCACGGUCACGAGCGGCCUUGGAGAUUCUUACAUUAAGGGUGAUGAAUCUUGUUAUGUUAAGAUACUCAUUGUUUAUUGUUUAAUGCUAAUAUAUGUCACAUUGAUCAUGAGACCGUAUGAUCUAUACUAUCUAGUUGCUAUACUUGCAGAGUUCGUCUUGGACUCACUCUUGCUAUCUCCCCCACACCUCAGGAGAAGUAUUGGGCUUGUGAUCAACCAGUCAGUUGGAUCCUGUAGAGUGAAGUUAAUACCCGAAGUUUGAAGUUAUCUUCCAUGGUUUGCUGCCUAAGGUUGUUUCUGAUUUAUUAUGUACGCUAUAUAAUUUAUGCGUUGUCCUUUGAUAUUACCCCUUAUUUGUAGCUAUAUAUGAGGUUUGUCUUCUAAAACUCACAUAUGGUGCAUAUCUGAUUUUGUUCUUAAAAUCGGGUGUUACAAAGUGGUAUCAAAGCAAUGCUGACUGUAGGACGCAAGUCUAGUUAGAACCGGACGUUUUAGAAUGCUUCUAUCUCUACUUACUACUUGCUUUCACCUUAACCUUGAUAAUUGCAAAAAAAAUUAUGCUUACCUCUGCCCUAUUCUAUUAUAAAACAUUGUCUCUAUUCUAAAUCCAACCUCCUUGUCUAUUUAGAUGGCUCAUAACGAGGAGAGCUUUGGCAUGAAUGAACAAAAGGACUCAGAGAUGCCACCCAUAAAAGCAUUGGACAACGAGAAGCUUCUAGCCAUGCAAAAGCAAGUAGUGGAAGGAAUGACUCAGAAUGGGAACUCUCAACAGUGCAUCUCAGGACCAGUGAAGAGACAAGUAGCAGAAGCCUGGAGAAAUCUGAGAAGCCAUGGAGGUGUUGGUAGUAGUACAUUAGGAUAUCAGGGUCAAUGCCAUUGUUGUAGGCAUUAUGGUCUCCCUUGUCUUCGGAAUAGGUCUUCAAAAAACGAAGUUAAGAUAAAACCAAAUUGUGUGACUAAUGAGGAUAAGAAGAGGAAGGAAAAAUCACUAGAGCCAGCAUUGGGAAGUGAACAACAUUCAAAUCCUAAGUUGUCACAUUUAGCUUUGAACUCUGGCCAUGAAAAUCCAAACCCUGGAGAUGAAGAAACUUCUCAGGCUAACCCCACUGCUCAUGAGGUAUGCAUAGAUGGAUGGACCAUCACUUAUAAGGAGUUUCAACCUUAAAGGAUCAACCAAGUUAGGAAGAAAGCUAGCCAACCAGAGACAAACCUUCAGAGUCAGUGAGCUGAUAACACACCGAGCAACACCUUAGUGUAAAAUGAUAUCACAAAGGAUCCAGUUAAGAGAAAGUGUUAUCACUGCCGACAGGAAGGACACUAUGUAUACUCUUGUCCACAGAGGAAUCAAUAGAUGCAUCAUGAAAGAAGCCACAAUGAGUUUAAGAUAUAGGAGUUUGUGCCCUUGUGUAAUAAAAACGCUAGUAGCGAAAGUCGAGUUUGUGUGCCUUGUGAACCUUUACUGCUUGGUUGAAUUAUUUUUAUGAUUAUGUUUGAUUUGGAUCUUUGUAAUGAGUAUAAUGAUCUUGUGAGUUUCUUCAGAAUUUCAUUUAGUUUAUAUGUCUAAGGCAUAAGGAUUAAUGACAUAAAUAGUUGGGUUUUGGUUUUUCUCUUGUGACCUUAUCCUGCCUUUCUAGAGUAUCUCAUCUUUAUCAGUUUAUGUCUCUGUUCUUGGAUGACCAAAAAUCAUGAGAAAAUUCUAGAUGAUAAUAGACUUCAAUAUAUUUCUCUGACCGCAAGAAUCACCCUCAUAGCUAUUAUGGUUUGGAUGUUACAAAAAUCACAAGACGAUAUAGAUAUGCUGUCAAGAAUCUGGACCAGUUUUGGUUGCCUGCUGUUUUGGACAAAUAUAACUAUAGAAUUUGGACAAGUGUUCUAUAGAAAGGUUGUAGAAAAUUUUCUAAGCUUUCUAACGGUAUAAGCUACGGCCCUAUUGGAUUAACAGAACAAGAGUUAUGUCUAUUUUACUGCACUGGUGAUUUUCAUAUCACGAGGAAAUUUCAGGAUAUAUGUUUCUUCCUUGCACAUAAGUUCCUUGGCAUGUCAAAAGGUCUCAAUGCAAGAUAACUUGUCAAGAAAAAGUGCAAGCUACCUUCCUUGUGCCUCCUACUCGACCUUUCUUAAGGGGGCUAGAACCUUGAUAUCACGGGUUGAUGCAUUUUCAACUUAUCUUGAAGUGAGAGUUGUCUCUUGAGAUAUUCGAUGAUUAUGAUCAUCUCUCCUCGUGUUAUUGACGUUGGUCACUUGAUGAUAGGGAGUGUAGUAUCUCAUGGAUCAGGAGCCCUAUAUGAUGCCUCUUACUGAUACUUGGGAAGAGAAUGAUGAUCCUACGCUUGAUGGAUGUUAUGAAUGAUGAAACUGUGUACUAUCAAAAUAAUGAUACUGAAGAGCAAGUUAGAAGUGAAUCAAAUCAGAAUCCACAACGGCGAAAGAGAAAAAGGAAAAGCCGUAAGAAGUCUGCUGAUGGAAGUAAGGUGCAACAAGACUAUAUGAAUGGAAGACUGAGCAAUGUGGAUAGGCAUAACAUUCAUGGAGCUACCAAAGUGGUUGGUGGCUAUAUUCAAGUAGACUCAGUGCUAGUUUUGCUCUGUUUGACCCGGGUGCUUCGCAUUCUUUCAUUUCUGCCGACUUGGUAAAGACGAUCGAGCGGGUGAAGUGCCCAACGAGGAAGCCUUUGUUAGUGCAUACCCCAAUAGGAGAAAUACAAGCAGAUCGGGUGUGCUCAAAUAUCAAUCUGGUCAUAAACAAGGAAAACUUCACUGUAAACCUCAUUGUGCUAGAGUCACUUGGUAUUCCCUUGGUCCUUGGUAAUGAUGGUUGUGUGCACACAAAGAAGUGAUCUAUGGUACACAGUACAAAAUGCUCUUAAUAGCACUGUUAGGAAAAAGAAAUGAGUAUCACGGUGGUCCACUCUUACCUGAGGAGGCAAAUGCAUAUUAAGUUUCCAUGUCUCUUGGAGUUGUAAGCUAAAAGAAACUAGUAGUCAAGAUGGACUUUGGUCAAUUAUGAAUAAUAGUUAUUCAAUGGAAUUAUGUUCACGAGGUGUGACCUUGAGACAAGUGUUUAAGUUUGGUAUGCAAGUUGUGAAGUUGAAAGGAUUAUCAAGAUAUUUUCCAGUUUCUCUUAGAGGAUCUGAGCCUCUUCCGAAUCUCGAGGACGAGAUUUAUUUUAAGGGGAUAGAAUUGUAACACCCUAAAAAUUCCCUUCUUUAAAAUAGUUAAAAUUUGAUUUAUUGAGUCAAUUUUGUGAGUAUUAAAAUAUAGGAAAAAUAAAUAAAUUUUGGGAAGAUAAAAUUUAAUAUAAGUUUAGAAUAACAUUUUCGAUGCAUGCAUGCUGGUGCAUUUUUAUUGUGAUGAUUGUUUUAAAAACAAAAUGUCAAUUUGCUCAAAAAUUCAAUUAGAAAAUGCGUUUGGAAAAUUUAUUUGAAAAAGAAAAUGGCAAAAAAAACUUUUCUUCCUCUUUCCCUCUGUUUCGCCUCUCGGCCUUUUCGGCCCAACCCUCCCCCGUGCCCUUCUUUCUUUGGGCCUCGCCCAGCCGGCCACACCCCUCUCUCCCCAUCUCUCUCCCGCUGACAGGCUGGGCCCGCCUGUCCGCUCCUUCUCCUCCAACUGCCUCCAUCCUCUCCCUUCGCGUGAAUGGAAACCGACACCGCUCCCCGCUCCCACUCUCCCGUGUUCUCCCCGUGCCUCGCUCCCUUUGAGCCGUGCCCGAGCCCGCGCCGUUACCCCGCGUUCAUUUCUCCCUCCCAGACCCCGCUCCCUCUCUCUCCUGGCACUUUGCAUAUCGCCAAGCCACCCGCCGUCGCCAUUAGCACCCGAUGCUCCUCUGGGGCCAUCAAAGACUGCUUGCCGAGCUCCGCAGCGUUGCAUACGUUUUCAGUAUUUACUAAAUUGCCACUGAACUUGUUUUGGCUAUAAAAUAUUCAUUUUAAAUCCGAUUUGAUCCAUUCAAAUUGCGUUAAGUUCGUAUUUGAAAGAUAUACAUGUUAGUAAUACGGUUUUCUCAGUUUGAAACUUUUUAAUUUCGUGAAACUAUUUAAUUAAUUUCUUUUCUAUAUAAAAUCUUAGAAAAUUCAAAUCUUGUCCGUUUUAGAUCCGAUUCGAUCCGUUCAAGUUGCGUUUGUUUUAUAAUUUUAUAAGCUUCGUGUUUAUACCAUUGUUGUCUAGAUUCACCAUUGUUAGAUUUUCUAGAUAAAUACAAGUGUGUAGAUAGCCCUUGGAGUCCCGUUUAAUGCGUAGAUUUCACGUCGUAACUCCGUUUUCCGUGAAAUUUUCGGUGACGUGAUCGUAGCAUCGUGUAGAUGAUUUUGGAAAACUUUUAUUUAAAUUUAUUUACUGCUGGUGUGCUGUUCUAAUUAUAAUCUUGUUUGCUUCGUGUAUGUCUGUCUCCGAUUGUUUGUGUGUUGAUGAUCGAUGAUCGAGUUUAGACAGUAGGCAUUACUUCAGUGAUCAAGAUCAGAGCCUUGGAAGCAAGUAAGAUCAGCAGGACCAGCAGGAGCAAUUGGAUCAAGGCAAGUAUAGCAUUUGGGUUUUAAUUCUAUGACCAUGAUCUUGUGACUAGAUUAAUAUAAAGCAACAAAUGAUAAUAAUGACUUUUUAGCAACUUGAGGAUUUAUUCGUAAGUGAUAACCGGAUAAAAGUGCAACCAUGAGAGCUAUAAUGGCUCUAGCUUUAGUCAAGUAUGAGUAACUUUUCUAGCUGGUUAGAGGUUACUCGCGUUGCGCAAAUGAGGGAUAGCGGACCGUGGAUUCCCUGCGGGGUAGAAUCACAUGGACUGAGUACCGAAACCAAGCGACCCUAACUUGUUAGAUGAAUCUUUGAAAGACUUCAUAGUGAUCCCUGUAGACCUGCCUUGGUAGUGGGUUACGAGGCUGAUCACCUCGGGCGAAAGGGUAAAUCAUGACUCAUGGGUAAAGAUGUACAACCUCUGCAGAGUGUUAAAAACUGGUAUACUAGCCGUGCUCACGGUCACGAGCGGCCUUGGGGAUUCUUACAUUAAGGGUGGUGAAUCUUGUUGUGUUAAGAUACUCAUUGUUUAUUGUUUAAUGCUCUAUAUUAUUUAUGUCACAUUGAUCAUGACACCGUGGGAUCUAUACUAUUUAGUUGCUAUACUUGCGGAGUUCGUCUUGGACUCACUCUUGCUAUCUCCCCCACACCUCAGGAGAAGUAUUGGGCUUGUGAUCAAUUAGUGAGUUGGAUCCUGUAGAGUGAAGUUAAUACCCGAAGUUUGAAGUUAUCUUCCAUGGUUUGCUGUCUAAGGUUGUUUCUGAUUGAUUAUGUACGCUAUAUAAUUUAUGCGUUGUCCUUUGAUAUUACCUCUUAUUUGUAGCUAUAUGUGAGGUUUGUCUUCUAAAACUCACAUAUGGUGCAUAUCUGAUUUUGUUCUUAAAAUCUGGUGUUACAGGGUACGUGGCUAUGCCCAGCAGUGAUAACCCUCUUGUACAUAAGACAAAAAACAUAACAUCUAUCAGAUGAAGAUAUAAACUUUAUAUGAAAAUAUAAACCGGAGUGUAAAACAUUGUAGUUAUGCACUUAUUUUAGUUUAGAUGUCCAAAUAUUUAAUAUAAGUAGACAUAAUAAACGGUUUUCAUUGGAGACAACGUCUUUGUCAAAGUUGUAGCACAUGAUGAAAUCUACAACCUUCUAGUUAACAACUUUUUCAUCUAAGGUCAUUUAUAGAAUAAAAUAUAAAAGAUCCAUACAUGUGAAGUUAAAAGAAUAACAUUAACUAUAUAGCCAUUCUAUGUUAGCUGAGAUAUUAUUAGUUGAUGGAACUUAGUUCGAAUCCACCAUAGAAAUGCAUAUUUUCCUCUUUCUUUAAUUUUAAAUAUUUUCACUUCAGAUUCUAGCCAUGAGAAUGAUAUCACCGGUACUAGUAGUUUGUAUAAAGAUGAGCUAUAUGCCCCGGUGCAUCAUGCGUGUGAUACUAAAGUUUUGUUGUACUAGAUCCAAACUUGUAGUAUAUACGUGUGAGAAGCAGACACUCCAAAAGUAAAAGUGACAGAUUAGUUUUUUUUUUUUUUACAACAAAGUGACACAUUAGUUGGAGCGGGUAUCAGAGUGAGAAACAAAACAGAACAAAAAGUUAAUUAUUGUUUUAAAAUUAAAUAUACUUGCGCAUAUAGAUAACAGCUAAUUAACCACAUAUACGUUGGGUUGGUGGUUGGUUAUUAGCAUGUACGGAGUACACUCAAAUGGCGCCACAGUGGCGUGUCCGGCAACGCUGGCUGGCCGGGCCUGAGUGGAGUGUGUGUAUAUAAGCAACAUGUAUGCAUGUCGAGCAUGCAUGCCUAGCAGACAAGGCCAGUGGCGUGAGCGAUCGAGCUAUAUAUAUAGGGCAGGGUGAGGCCGGCCGGAGACGCCUGAGCUGAGAGAAGAUCGAUCGGAGGGUGUGAUCUUGAGGUCACAUGGAACUUGCCGGGACAUGGAGGAAGGUGAUGCCUUAUAUGGCCAUGGUCUUUCUUCAGUUGGGCUUCGCCGGGAUGUUCCUCAUCUCCGUCGCGUCCCUGCGGCAGGGAAUGAGCCACUACGUCCUUGUUGUCUACCGGAACGUAGCCGCAGCCAUUGUUAUGGCUCCAUUCGCCCUCUGGUUUGAGAGGUGAUUAUAUUCAUCUAUCCAAAUCCAUUCUGAUAGCACUCACAUCACGUUUUUUUUUUAGAGAUCCUAGCAUAUAUACUUGAUAUGCAGUUCUACAUACAUGUCGUGUUAUGAAUAUCGAAGGGAUGAUUAAGGGCAUGUUUUGCAUAUAGCUUUUUUACGGCUCCUCAACUUGUGGUACAUCUUAUCAUACUGUAGUAGCACUGUUGACAUGAGGUAUUUUAUUUUGUCUCCCCUUACAAAAUGAACAUAGAGCUAGAAAAAAGCCAUGAUUUGUCGCUCAUCUAAUAUAUUUGUUCUGCCAUAAAUUCCAUUAAUAAAUAUUCCAAAGUCAUUAAUUGGCAUCUUUGUAUUCAAAAUUGUAAGAUGUCAAUUGUAAAAAUUUUCGUUCCUUUUUUUUCUGCCUGAUGAGAGACUUGCCUUCAAAUAUAUUGAUUGACCAACAAUUAUAUAUUAGUUAACAGUUUUUAUCACACAUAAUCAUACGGACUAGACACUGCAUGUAUUCUGGCAUAUCACGCUACUACAUUUUCGUUGGGUCCUGACGAUGCAUUCAUAUGGAAACAAAAAACUAAUUAAGUUAGCGAUAUAAUCUCAUCUCAUGAAUUUCAAAAGAAGGGUGCCUUUCCUUGGACAUCGCUUAUUUUUGGUGAGGCCAAUUGGCAACCGCAUCUCCAAGAGACUAUGUAAAAUUAUACUCUAAACUAUAAGAUUUUGCCAUUGUGUAAAAUAAAAACUCAGUCAAAACAUAGAAUUCGACAACAGCCUUUAUAUAGGAUAGCUAGUGAGGACGACAUGCUAUAUAUGAUAAGCGAAAGUUUAGGAAUAUCAAACUUGUUAUUUUAGUAAACCAAAUAGCACACCAGUUGAAUUUUAAUUUUUGUUUUAAAAAUGUAAAAAUAGCCUAGAUAACAUGAAUAAUAUAUGUGCUGGAGUUGCUCUUAAAAUACAUAAUGGAGAGGCACCUCCUUCAGUUGGCUUCGGGUAAAAGCAGAGUUUUCUCAAAAUAAAAGAAAGAGAAACAAAAGUAGCUUUCGGUGUGUCGAUGUUGCUAAAAAGUUUAUCCCUAUCAUGAGAGUUACUGAUUGAUCGUUCAAAGACGAAAAAUAAAUAACGACUCUUGUACAUGGCCAGCGUGCGUUGGUCGAUGUGCACUAGUACUUUUUUGUGUGACUAAAGUUGGUAGUAAAGAAUCGGAAAGCAAGAAAGCGACCUCGUAUUCAUUAUUAACAGUAUCGUCCUUUCUCGUGACAGGAAAACAAGGCCUAAACUGAGCCUAUCAGUGUUCAUCAAGAUCCUGGCUUUGGGAUUACUCGAGUUACGAUUAACACAAUUACCCUUUUUUAUAUCAUCUUUCACUUUGUCUAUACAUGACAUACGAAUUAUUUAUUAACAAGUGUACUUUUCUUUGAAUUACUCAAGGCCCGUGCUCGACCAAAACUUCAUCUAUAUGGGAGUGAAUAGCACAUCAGCAAGCUUCGCCUCGGCAUUAACCAACAUAUUGCCAGCUCUAACUUUUGUAAAUGCCAUCAUACUCAGGUGAAGCUACGCUACAAUACACACAAAAACACACAGGGUUUGUUUGCCAUAGCUCAACUUCAUUAAUAAAGCUGUUUUUUUAGAAAAUAAUUGCAUAAGCAACUUUAUUUAAAUUAAAGCUAAGCUAUUUUAGAAAAAAUGUUUAGUAAAAAUAGCUUCACCAACUUUUUUAUGCAUAAAUGAGAGAGAGAAAUGGAUGAGAGAGCUGUAAUAAACUACUUUUUUUAAUUUUAUCCCAACUUAUAUUUUUAUGAGAGGAGAAGAAAAACAACUUCACCCGUAAAUUUGUUUUAGAAAUAACCAUUUGGCAAAAAAAACAGCUCACAACAGCUUAUGAAGCUGUUGUGAGCUGUUUUUUUUUUUUUUGGUAAACACUUGUUUUCAAAACAACUUCAUGGGUAAGCUGUUUUUCUUCUUCUCUCAAAAACAUGAGUAGGAUGAAACUGAAAAAAAAGUAGUUUAUUGUAGCACUCUCCCUCAUUUCGUUCUCUCAUCUAUGCAAGAUGUAGUUGGUGAAGUUAUUUUAUCAAAUAUUUUUUCCAAAGUAGUUUAGCUUCAUUUAGGAUUUAGAGAGAUGCUGAUGAAGCUAAUUUUUUUUUUAAAAAAAACUGAUUUACUAAUGAAGUUGACGUGUGCCAAAUAAGGCCUUUGUAGAAAUGGCCGUACUAAAAACUAAACAUGCAAUGGUUUCAUGCUCCACGUACGUGAUGAUCAUAACCAAGGAUGGAGAGAAUAGAGACUAAGGAGCGACGGAGCCUGGCUAAGAUUGCUGGAACGGCCAUAACCGUCGGGGGUGCCUUGCUUAUGAUACUUUUCAAGGGCCCCAACGUCAACUGCCCAUGGAGCAAGCACGUCAUCAACGACUCCGUAUCCGACAGCGGUGCCCACAACAGCGGGCACUGGCUCAUGGGCACGUUCAUGAUCCUGUUAAGCUGCUUCUGCUGGUCGGCCUUCUUCAUACUCCAAGUAAUUAUUACCUAAAACUCGAGGCUUUUUUUAGCUUGCUAGCUACUUAUAUACUACUCCCUCCGUAUCGAAAUUUAUUUAGAACAGCGAUAUAGUUUUCAAAACAUAAAUUGGACCUUUUAUUUUUAUAAAAAUAUUUAGACAAAAAUAAUAUAUGUAUAUUUUUUGGAAGUAUUUUUUAAGAUAAAUGUAUUCAUAUAAUUUUCACAUAUGUAAACUCAACAAUUUAAAAUUUAAAAGUUACUGAUGAUUUAUAUUGUAAAUAUUUGACUCAAAUCUUAUUCAAAACGACUUCUAAAUCUGCUUAGAAUUAAUGCCUCGUGUGGCUGGCGCGCUAUCAUAUAUGGACCGAGACAUACACUUUUCUUGGUGCAAAGCUAAUCCUAAUAAGAGGAUGUAAAUUUUCAGUCAUACACGUUGAGGAGUUACCCAUGUGGACUCUCCUUGACCACUCUGAUAUGCGCAACGGGUGCCAUGGAGAGCGGCGCGGUCGCCCUAGUCAUGGAGCGUGACACUAAAGCCUGGUCCAUCGGGUUUGACAUAAGACUCUUCACGGCCGUCUACUCUGUAAGUCGUAUCAGUUGUCCUAUAGCUUGUACUGCAUGUACGAUUGAUUAAUUGGCUCACAAUUGCUGCAGGGAAUAAUGUGCUCCGGAGUUGCUUACUACGUGCAAGGGAUAGUGAUUAAGGAGAGGGGACCAGUAUUUGUGACUGCGUUUAGCCCACUCUGCAUGAUUAUAGUGACUGUGCUAGGCUCCUUCAUUCUUUCUGAGGUGGUUACUUUAGGAAGGUAUAUAAACACACACACACACAUGUCUGAUCCAGGAUUAACUACAUUAAUUAUUUCAUUAAUUAUUGUCUAAUUUACAUGGACAAAGCUAGAGCAUCUUAAUUAGUUGAUGUGAUCGUCCACAUGUGUAGGCUGAUUGGUGCGACAGUCAUUGUUGUUGGCCUCUAUGCGCUCAUCUGGGGCAAGAACAUGGACCAUCUGAAGUCUAUUGAUAAUAAUAAGGAAGAAAACAGUUUUGAGAAGCACAAGAGUUUUGAGCUAUCGUUCUCAACUUCUGACGUUAACAAAACAAGCAGUCUCGGCAACAUCUAGAAGCUACUGAAGCGGCAUAUAGUAAGGAAACACAGUGCGCUGACGUCACCGGUUUGUGUCCGUGUGUGUCAUGAUGUCUCUGCUGGUCUGCUUAUCGUAGGGCCUGUUUGGUUCGUGUUUCUUAGGAGCCUGGUUCGUAUUAAGGAGCCGGGCUGGUUGGAGCCAGGCUGAUGUCAUGCAACUCGGUCUAUUUGGUUGGUUGCAUAAGCUGAGUCCGUAUGAGAAGAGAUGUUGUUUGGUUGCCCGCAUAAACAAAUGUUGCAUAACAUAAAAAAUAUUAAAUAAUUAUCAAAAUGAUAUUUACGUUACAUAAAUACACUCAAAUACAUCUUAUUUAUCUUAAUAUUUGCUAAUCUUCUUUAAAAUAUACUAAUAUCACUUAAUACAUACUAAUUAUACUGUAAUAAGGUAAUUAGGAGAUUAACACCCGCACCCGGCCAGCCAGGCCUGCCAGAAACGCUCGAUUUGGGCGUUCUCUGCGAGCCUGGCUCGCCUUGUACGGUUGCAUGGCAGCAGCCUGGCUCUGCCGCUUGAUCAGGCAACCAAACGCAUGCAAGUUGCAUGCGGCGAGCCAUGCAUGGCGUGAUGCAGGCAACCAAACGCCUACCUAUCGAACCCAUUGAUUUAACGCUAGCGGCCGGCCUAGCAUUGCAGUGAAAAAUGCAAUUUUAGCAUGCUCUAUGUCCCCGUUCUACAUAUUUGUGGUGACGAAACGUCAAAUUCAAGGGAAAAGAAAUUAUUCUAGUCUAUGCAUGAAUUGAGCACCUAACGACGUUCAAAAACGGUUUUCCUAAUAUGUUUUUAAAACCACAAUAUGUUUACUGGGUGCGCCUUGUUGUUCGAGGGCUUCGGUAACCACGUGUUAGCAUCCCCUAGGGUGUUGCUUUAUCAAACUCUAUUAUAAGCUUAAUGAAUAACGUGCCAGUCGUGAUCGCAAAAAAAAAAACAUCGUUAAAAAAUGUGACAUUUGCAUUGUCGGGCUUCUCAAUGCCGUCGCAAAAUCAUUUCUAGAGUUUGGUGCGCUAACACACCUGCCCCACACCAAAUACAUAUGCAGCCAACCGUCCAUAGAAGCUGAUUUCUAAUUAUGGUUGCCUUCGGCAAUGACCUUUGAAAAUCUGUUUUCAGGGUUGUUGGCUAAAAAGAACUGCUAUUGGAAGCAGUGGGGGAUCUAGGACAAAAUCGGACUAUGGCGAACUUUAGACUACUACUAGCUUUUUCCACGAAGCGAUUGUAUAGAAGAUAAAAGAUAAUAGCAUGAAAAGAUAUAUUUAUAUAUAUAUCCAUAAACCAUGUGUCCAUGCAUGUCACAAUCUCAUAUAAUUGAUGUUUUAAAACUAUAAAAGAUGAAACCAAAUGGUAUCAGUACCCAUAGCUGCAACUUCAAUUGUUUUUUCAGGUGUAGUAUUAAUUAUCUGUACCGGUACUUGACCAAAAACGGGACUAAAGUAUCGCUUUAAUCCUACAACUAUCCAUAAAAAAUAGUAAAUCAAUUGCUCAACUAUAGGCCAAUCAAAUUCGCAAUAAAUGGAAUCAGUUUAACUUAAUAUUUCUGUUUCGCCCCCUAUGUUGCUGCUGCACCAGAAUUUUACCCGUUGAAUACCUGAACUUGACAGCAGCAACAUUCCAGCAUCUAGCGGUGCAACGCAGCAGCAACCGGCGACCAGUAGUGCGAUGCACGUGCACCGAUGCCUACGGACCAAGUUCAGGUAGCAUUGUAGCAUUUCAACCCGUGAGUAUUCAGGGGUGUCGUAUUUAUAAUUUCCCGUAGAAAGGCAUUGUGAACGCAUCUAGCUUUGGUUAUAAACAUGAUUACUUAUUGAAAUGCAUGGUAGACAUAGUAUAAACAGGGGUAAGUAUAUAGUUGAUUUGAUAGCGGACACACAUCGGAGCAACCUCAAGGAAUAAAGGGAAAACAAAGAAUAAAAGAACAACUACGCGAGCAGGCAUGGUCGUAUACAAGUUAUACAACAGAUCUGUUAGCAGGUCAUCUAGCUAAUAAGAACAAGUUAGAGCUAAGUCUGAGAUACUGGGGAGAUCUCCAUAGCUGGUCUGCCAGCAAAUAGAGACUAUACAUGACUCCGACCGAAUAUCCGAACGUGGGGGAAUACGAAGGAUGACAGGGCUGUCACCACCCUGCCACCUACACCUCUGCCCGUGGGAUACCCGCAUAUCCUCGAGUCUUCGCAUACCUGAGCACCAUGCCCGUGUACUUGGAAACACCCCCUAGCCUCCCGGGAUCCCAACCCUUCGGAUUGACGGGCUCGGCUAAGGGUGACCAUUACAGCCCAGAGAACCAUUAUCUCAUCCCUAGUUCUUCCUCUAUUCAUAUUAAUUUGAUGAAUGAUGAAGAACUGUGAUGAACAUAUCAAGAACAUAGAGCUAGAACUAUGAACUAGCUCAUAAACUAUGAUCAUGAUAUGAACAAGACUAUACUCUAGAUCAAAAGCAUAACUGUAUAAAGAAUAUAAGAACUUGCUCAUGGAGGAAAGCAUAAUUGUAUUCAUACGAAGACACUCUUGAUCCUCCAAGGAGACAAGCUCUCCUUGCUAGCUUUGUCUUGCUCUACUACUAGUACUAAACUAAAGAGAACAAGUGUAGAAUGUGAGGUGUGUUGCUCUAAAUGAUGGUGUGUGUUAUAAAUGAGAGGGGAGCUAUCUAUUUAUAGCUCAACUAGGACGGUUUGUGGGAACUAAAUAUAGUAGUAGGUGAAACCGUCCUAUGCAUGUCGCCAUGCAACCGCCGGAAGAAGGUGGGGCCGGGGAACCGCCACCAGUGUUGCGCCCGCACUUGGUUGCGCCCGCAACCUGGGUGGGCCCCCUUGGCCACCACCUUCGCGUGGUCGGUUGUGCUCUGGGCCCUGAUCCUCCUCGUGGUUGUUGGGUAUUCUUAACAUCAUUACCAAAAGUAGACUUAGUUUUCUAAUUCUGAUAACGGUGCCAAAAAUGCCAAACCUAUCCCUCAUACCACUUAAGCCAAGUUGUCAUCCCCAGCAUGACAUGAGAGACGCGGUAUUGAAAUAUGCAAUUACUCUUCUAAAUAAAUAAGGAAUGGGAUCUGCAAGCGCACAGAUUAAUACCGAUGUAGCAUUUUAACCGGGAAGUAUUCCAGGUAUCGUUAUUUAUAUUUUUACCACUAGGAAGGGAUUAAUCAUCAAUAUUGAUUACAGAAUAGAAUAUGAGAUUGAGUAUCUAUCAUUGCAUAUAUAAUUGAGAACAUUUAUCUAACUCUUUCAUACAGGGGUAAGUGUCACAUGAAAGAUAUAUGAAGUAAUGAAUAGUGACAAAGAUAAUUGAUCUGAUCAGCAUAACUUAGCCACAUAAUAAAUAUGAUAAGCACCUCAAUUAGAUACUCUAGAAAGUCAUUAGCAUGGUAUUACAACGAACUACAAGAAUAUUCCCUAAGUUAUUCUCAACUAUAUAGUCUAGCAUUAUCAUAGUUAGUGCAAGCAUACUUAGCAAUCAUUGUGAGACAAGACUACGCCCAUGCAUAGUGAUAUUAGCAAGGAAUAUGAGAAACAUAGCAAUCACUCCCCUGUAAUAAUGUUGCUCUGCCAGCCCAAUACACGAGAGGGGGACUAUAUAAGAAUCAAUGAAGCUGUCACUAUCACGAACUACCCCACGAUCUGGCAUAUUGGGUACAAUCGCAGAUAAAUACGGUAUAAGCACCACGCCUACACAAUAUCUAUCAUUUACCCAUGGAUCCGAUGGAUAAACGCUAUACGAUCCUAAGCAUGUAUAUAGAUCCAAUCUAACUAAGCCAAGUACAUAACUAUGAUAAACUAAGAACAAUACAAUAUUGAAUAUAAACAAGUAGAGCAAAGUCAUAAGCAAUAUAUUGAAGUAGAACAAAGUCAUAUUCAUAAUAUUGAAGAACAAAGAUGAUUAGAAGAACAAUUAGAAGAACAAUUAGAGAAUUACCAAGAAUCCUCUUGACAGAUCCGGAAACCAAUCGAAGAUUGACUCCUUCUAGUUCUAAUCCUAUGUAGCUAUGCUAAUCAGAUAUCUAAUUGAUGUGGUGGCUCUAAUCUUGAUCAGAGGCUUCUUCUCCCUUGAGGAAUAAUGAACUAGGGUUGAGAGGCUCUCUCCUCUAGGGGCCAGGGGGUCUGGUUUUAUAGUCCCUUCAAGUGAAUAUGGGCCGUUGGAUUAAACCGACAUUGAUUGAAUGGUUAUCCUUGAUCCUUUAGGUCGGUGGAGAUCUUCCCCGAAACAGAGUCCUGAUUGGUCUCAGCAGGAGGGCGGGCGCCCAGGGCAACUGGGCGGGGGCCUAGUGCCUGGCCCUGUUCGGCCUUCGCUUCCUUCCCGUGGCUUCUGGAGUCUUCUAGAUGUAAGAUAAUUGCGCGGCACGUUAAUAUCUCUAUGUAAUCCCGACGUGUGGGCCUUUCUUACGUAUUUCCUGAUAACCCCCUGCAGAAAUAGACAAACACCAAAACUCGUGGAAUUCUGUCAGAUAAAACCCUAAGUCUAGAUGUUGAUUUCAUUUGGAUCCUUCUUUGUUUGUUUGAUAAUUAAAUUUGAUACUUAAGGACCGUCAACAAACUCCCCCAAGCUUACCUCUUGCUCGUCCCUGAGCAAGGAUAGAUUAGAAGUUGCUGCAAUACUUUAAAAAAAUUGACGGUACACAUGCUUUUUAAAUAAGGUCUCAUCUCUGAGUUAGAAUAAACUGUCAAGACUUAAAACUUACUUACUUUACCUUCACCAUGGGACUUGCAACCGUCACUUGUGUCUUGAGCAGUUAAAAGAUAGAACAGUCUAGUCAAGUGCCAUGUCUCUUAUUCUUGAUCAGCUAUAGCUCUAGAGUUUUUGCAGAUUUUCAAAUAAAACUCAGAGAUUCCUUGUAUGACUCUCUCAUAUCUCUCUUUUGUGGUAUUUCUGGAUCCUUACCAAGGCAGUGAUGGUAUAUGCCUUUUCUCAAAAAGUAUGUGAUAUUUUUGGUAUAAAGCACAGUGACAUUGCCUUCUCUCUCACCCUACUCUAAUAAGGCUUUAAUAUCUGGAGCUCAUAGGUGGGAGAUAAAGUAUACAUACUUACAAGACAUUUAUUGUAUAGUCAAACCAUGGAUCCAAAGAAACAAAUCAAUAAGUCAAAUCAAGAUGUGCAUGUGUGGCGAAUGAAUGGUGUAUGGUGAUGAUGGUGAUAACAAUGGUGAAAGUCUAAUUCUACUUUUGCUCUUUUGAGGGGAUACAUACCUUUCUUGCUUUUUGAAACUUUAUGAGGAGAAUGAGAUGCUCUUCUUUUUCUUUCCUCUCAGGUGGGUAUCUUGUACCCCUAAUUCUACUGUCAGACACUUGUCCAUUUUUACCUCUCGUCUCACUUUUUCUUUUCUUUCGAGGUUCCGGGCACUUGCCCCUUUUUAUUUCCUCGUAUCUCUCUUUUUUUUAUUAGAGCACUCAUCUCUUGAGAUAAUAUAGCAAGUGGUAGUAACAAGAUAACUUGAGCAUUUAUUUCACAGGAAAAAAACAUUAAUGUUUUUGGCUAUUCUCUCCCGGAUUAGGAGUAGAAUAUUUUUGGGUGAUUCUGGAGAUGGAAAUGGGUGGAUAUAUGUGGAUGGUACUUCCGGAGUAGAAGCAGCAUAUGUGAGUGAACGUGCAAGUGAAAUCUUGAUUUAACCACAUGACAAGCUCCUAAGGGUCUACACAGCUUGACCACACUCAAUGCUCAUAAGUAGUAAAUAGUAAAUGUGUGGCUCAAAGUCUAGCAAACAUGUAUAUAUGGCUGUGGUAGGAAUUUAAACUCUCAUCAUACAGGAACUCAUCAUGCAAUAUUUUAAAUAUUUUCAAAGAUAACAUUCUCCAGAAUUCUAGCAUCUCUAGGAACAGAUAAACAGCAGCUCAACCUUCCCAUAUCAUAUCCGUUAACAACUUUGACUUCAGAUCAAGUUUUCAUCCCACAAGUUCAGGUUUAGAGCAAGCUUUAAAUUAUAACAGUUAUGUCUAAACUUGAGAGAGAACUUAAAAUGUGCAAAUUAGGCAGAGCAACUAUUCAUCAUAUCCAUGCUAGAGUUUUAUUUAGAUACACAUUAGCAUAACCACUUUAUUUAUUUAUUAAACACACUAAGCAAAAGGCAAAUAUAUAAGCACAAAAUCUUUAUUUGUUUUUCCAUAAUUAUGUAUAUCUAUAUUUUAAUAUAGUAUAAGUAUAAAGAUAGAUAGAAAUACUUAUCGGGAUAAAUGGGGGUGCUCUCCCCCAAGCUGAAUUUUGACGUAAUUUCUCUUGAUGUAGCUAGCAGAUGGCAGAGGUGUAUUUGAAAGUCAGUAGCAUUCUGACAGCGAUUAGAAUGUCCUCCGUCUGCUAGUCUUCUUGAUUCUUAAAUUCUGUGGAGCUCAAAUAGACAACAAAGCUUGUGGAACUGAUUAAGUGUUAGCAUAAAUAUCUAGCCUUUAUCAUGUUGAGACUCCUUAAUAAUUAUUACUCUCUAUUUUUAUAUUUUCAUUUUAUAAAGCAGAAAAGAAAUUUUUAUUUUAUUUUUAUGCCACCACAGUGAAUGUACUUAUGGGUUUUAUGCCACUCGUAUACUCACAUGGGGCUUACUGUUUUUCAUUUUUAUUUUCUUUUUAGGAUAGUAUGAACAUGAUUAACUAAGUAAACUAUUUUAAAUAUUUGAAAGGGAAAGGAUAACUACCUAGUUUACCUCUUGGCAAGGCGUUCUGUAUUUUUAAGUCCUCCGAACGGGACUCUCCGUUUUCUUAAUUGUCCUGAGGUUCGUUGGGUGGCGUAGUCGGUACUUCCGGCGGCGCCUCCUCUUCAUGUAUGAUUAUCUUCUCUUUCCACACCUGACUCGGUGCUAUGGUCUACUCUGGAUAAUUUUAUUUAAACUGUACGUCUUGUGACCUUACAACUUCUCCAUCGUAGUCUGCCCAUCCGUCCUUGAUGAUUUCCCUCCUCUGGUUGCGGUUGCAUCGUUUUCUUACCUGCUUAGAUUCUUCAAAUAUGUAGUUAGGGUCAGUACAAUAACGGCGUACCUUUCUGAGGGGAAGUGCAUAUGGACUUCUCCGGUUCCAAUGUAGAUGAUUGCUUUAACGGUGCUGAGGAACGGUCUUCCAAGGAUGAUGGGUGGAUCGUACUCGUCUUUUCCCAUAUCAAUAACCUGAAAGUCUGUGUAGACAAAAUGAUCGUCUAUUUUGACAGGGACAUCAGUUACUAUUCCUUUAACUUCUCGAAACGUCUGAUCUGCCAUCUGGAGCUGAAUGUAUGGUGGUUUUAGGGGCAUGGUUCCAAACAAGAGCCGAUAGGUGACUGCGGCCAUUAUGUUGACGCCCGAUCCGGUGUCGCAAGUCGUCUUGUAGAAUUUGUAUCCAUUUAUGGAGCAAUAGAUGCUUGGCAUUCCUAGGUUGUCCUUUUUGGUCAAAAAUGGUGACUUAAGUUGUUGAUCUUGACCUCCAUGAACUGCAGUGACCAUCUUAGCUGACUCGGUCCACACUUGCUUGUUCCUGUUCCUCCUGUUGGUCCUCUUCCUUGAUUCAUGUCUGGAUUAAUCUGGGAUUUGUGUAGUCUUGUUCUUGAAGAAAAAUGUCUCCUUCCUCCCUUUGAUGUAGAAACUGAUCUUGGCAGCACUGGCGUAGAUGACAGCUCCCGAGGUGUUUAAGAAUGGCCUCCCUAGGAUGAUAGGUGCCCUCUCAUCAUUACCGGUCUCUAUCACCACGAAGUCUGCUGGGGCAUAUAAGGUACCAACUCGGACACAAAGGUUCUUCAAUAUUCCUUUUGGAAAACUUAUCGUCUGAUCUGCAAACUGCAAACACAUGGUUGUUUCUAAUAAAGGAUAUGUAAAGAAUUUUUCAUAGAGUACCCUGGGUAUAAUGUUGACGCUAGAGCUAAAGUCGCAGAGUGCUUCUGGGACGUCCACCAUGCCGAUGGAGAUUGGGAUGACGGGGUGUCCUGGAUCGCCUCUCUUGACCGGCAGAGGGUCAGUAGUGAAUUCAGUGACGGGGUUACUCCAGUUAUUACCUGCAUCAAACAUGUCUACAAGAUUUGCAGAUUCUAAUCCUUCCGGUUGUGAUGGUAUACCGGGGUUAGUAGUAGGAACAGCAGCAGCUAUUUGAUUUAAUUGAGAUUCAAUCAUUUUAUUAAAGCUAAUUUGAUUCUUGAUGGCAGUAGAGAAAUUUUCCAUUCUAUUAUUUAUAUUUUCUAGCAUUUUAUCAUUAGAUGCCAAUUUCUUAGAUAGGUUAUCCAUUAGCGUUCCUUGAUUAGACACUAACUCUCUCAGAUGUGGAAAAUUAUUAUUAUUAUUGUAAGAAUUAUUACCUUGAUAAUUACCUGAGUAGUUAGGACUCUGUUGAUUCCAACCUUGAUUUUAUUGAGGACGGUUGUAGUAGUAGUAGUAGUUGUUGAUGUAGUUUACAUCCUCAAGCAUCUUAGGGCAGUGAUUGCCUGUGUGUCCAGUAUCUCCACACUCCUCACAAGUCAUGUGAGAGUCGUAGAUGUGCAUAACUUCUUUCUUAUCUCUGGCUCUAUUGUCGAGCUUCUUCAUGAGCAGGUCUAGCUUUGCAGACAGCAUGUCUACCUCCUUGAGCUGAUGCAUACCUCCACCUCUCUUGCGUGUCUGGGUCCUCUCUUCAUUCCAGCCUUGAUUGGACGCCAUCUUCUCCACAAGAGCUAUGUCAUGUUAUAUGGUGAGUGAUAAGAAUGCUCCUCCAGCUGCAGCAUCCAUGGUCUUUCGGGCACUGUUGCCGUGCCCAUGAUAAAACGUCUGCAUUAGUAGCCAACUCUCCAUUCCAUGAUGGGGACAUUCUAGGAUGUAGUCUUGGAAGCGCUCCCAUGCUUCUGGACCAGAUUCAUCAUUUUGUUGCUGAAAACUUGUAAUUUUCCCACGGAGAGCAUUGGUCUUGCCCAUGGGAAAGAACUUAGCCAGGAAGUUUGUUGAGCAGAGUGCCCACGUAGUAUUCCUCUCCUUUGUAGCAUAGAACCACUGCUUCGCUCUUCCUAACCGUGAGAAUGGGAAGAGGCGAAGUAGUAUAGCAUCUCUGGGGACUCCUGAUAUGGUGAAUGUGCUGCAUAUCUCCAGGAAGUGUUGGAGAUGAGCACUAGCAUCUUAGUGUGCCUUCCCACAGAACUGGUUGGAUUGCACCAUGUUGAUAAGUCCAGGCUUGAGCUCCAAGUUGCCGUCGAUCUCUGCAGCAGGUCUAGUGCGGAUGUUGUCCGUAGUGGGAGCUGAGAACUUGCAGAAUUAUUUCUUCGCCAUGGCUUCGAACUCUGAAGACAAGUUUCGGUGAUCUUCUUGAUUGGAUGAUGCUUCUUGCUGAAGUGUUGAUGAUCUCUUCUCGAGCUUGGUUCUUGUUUUCCUGAAUAAGGCUUCGAGAUUGUCAACAAAAUUUCCUGGAAGAUGUCUUUUAUUCAUACAUUCCCCUGCAUAAGAUAAAAUAGAAAAAUAUCGGGGUAAAACUGUAUGGGAGAAUAGAUAAGCUCAAUCAUAUUAGUGAUGCGAAUGAUAACUCAAAAUCCUUUAUUCAUUCCUGAUUAGUAAUCAACCUUCCUCGGCAACGGCGCCAAAAAUGCUUGUUGGGUAUUUUUAACAUCAUUCCCAAAAGUAGACUUAGUUUUCUAAUUCUGAUAACGGUGCCAAAAAUGCCAAACCUAUCCCUCAUACCACUUAAGCCAAGUUGUCAUCCCCAGCAUGACAUGAGAGACGCGGUAUUGAAAUAUGCAAUUACUCUUCUAAAUAAAUAAUGAAUGGGAUAUGCAAGCGCACAGAUUAAUACCGAUGUAGCAUUUUAACCGGUGAGUAUUCCAAGUAUAGUUAUUUAUAUUUUUACCACUGGGAAGGGAUUAAUCAUCAAUAUUGAUUACAGAAUAGAAUAUGAGAUUGAGUAUCUAUCAUUGCAUAUAUAAUUGAGAACAUUUAUCUAACUCUUUCAUACAGGGGUAAGUGUCACAUGAAAGAUAUAUGAAGUAAUGAAUAGUGACAAAGAUAAUUGAUCUGAUCAGCAUAACUUAGCCACAUAAUAAAUAUGAUAAGCACCUUAAUUAGAUACUCUAGAAAGUCAUUAGCAUGGUAUUAGAACGAACUACAAGAAUAUUCCCUAAGUUAUUCUCAACUAUAUAGUCUAGCAUUAUCAUAGUUAGUGCAAGCAUACUUAGCAAUCAUUGUGAGACAAGACUACGCCCAUGCAUAGUGAUAUUAGCAAGGUAAAUGAGAAACAUAGCAAUCACUCCCCUGUAAUAAUAUUGCUCUGCCAGCCCAAUACACGAGAGGGGGACUAUAUAAGAAUCAAUGAAGUUGUCACUAUCACGAACUACCCCACGAUCUGGCAUAUUGGGUACAAUCGCAGAUAAUACGGUAUAAGCACCACGCCUACACAAUAUCUAUCAUUUACCCAUGGAUCCGAUAGAUAAACGCUAUACGAUCCUAAGCAUGUAUAUAGAUCCUAAGUCAUAUUCAUAAUAUUGAAGAACAAAGAUGAUUUGAAGAACAAUUAGAAGAACAAUUAGAGAAUUACCAAAAAUCCUCUUGACAGAUCCGGAAACCAAUCGAAGAUUGACUCCUUCUAGUUCUAAUCCUAUGUAGCUAUGCUAAUCAGAUAUCUAAUUGAUGUGGUGGCUCUAAUCUUGAUCAGAGGCUUGUUCUCCCUUGAGGAAUAAUGAAUUAGGGUUGAGAGGCUCUCUCCUCUAGGGGCCAGGGGGUCUGGUUUUAUAAUCCCUUCAAGUGAAUAUGGGCCGUUGGAUUAAACUGACAUUGAUUGAAUGGUUAUCCUUGAUCCUUUAGGUUGAUGGAGAUCUUCCCCAAAACAGAGUCCUGAUUGGACUCAGCAGGAGGGCGGGCGCCCAGGGCAACUGGGCGGGCGCCCAGUGCCUGGCCCUGUUCGGCCUCCGCUUCCUUCCCGUGGCUUCUGGAGUCUUCUAGAUGUAAGAUAAUUGUGCGGCACGUUAAUAUCUCUAUAUAAUUCCGACGUGUGGGCCUUUCUUACGUAUUUCCUGAUAACCCCCUACAGAAAUAGACAAACACCAAAACUCGUGGAAUUCUAUCAGAUAAAACCCUAAGUCUAGAAGUUGAUUUCAUUUGGAUCCUUUUGUUUGUUUGUUUGAUAAUUAAAUUUGAUACUUAAGGACCGUCAAUAGUGGUUACGGAUGGGUCCAGUUCAUCUUUUGUGGGCUUUUCUCUAUUGGAGUUGGUUUGCGUCUUUUCUAAAUACGAAUUCUUGCAGUGCGCAUUUCUUGUAUCUUUUGCACUUUUCCACGUGUCAUACCUGAAAAUAGCAUAUACACCAAGCCCUAUUUUCUAUUUAUUUUUAUUUAUAAAAAGAUAUUUAUUUUUAUAUAAUAAGCAUCGCCAACAAGCAUCCACAGCCGAAUCCCCUUCCCCCCGCUACCGCCCACAUCCACCUUCGCCACCAAUACACCCCCGCCCAGCUCAAAGAUGGAACACACCCCUGGGUUCUCUUCCGACCACUGGAUGCUUGGUCGCAUGACCUUUGUGGCGAUGGACGCCUUUUCCCAUGAGGCGGUGCGGCUCCUGGCACAUGCUAUUGAGGUGAGCAUGUGAGAAGAGGGCUACCGCCCACCACCCUGGUGGUGGCCUAUGCCCUGAGUAGCUAGCUCCGCGUCGCGUGCCACAACCUUUGGGUGUCUCGACGCAACUCCGAGACUUGCCUCAUGGAGUUAAAGAUUGCCCCUGAGCGAGAUAGAGCAGUUGGCAGAGGUUCGAUCAACAUCGGCGGCUCCUCCCUCCCUAUCCAGCCUUGGCGUUCUGCAGUGGAACCAUGGAGCGCGUCUGGUGGCACCACGCCAAGGUCACCUUAGACAAGGUCCCUAUGGAGGCGUGGAACGUAGAUGGUGUCUGGCUCAUCCUGGGGGACUCCUGCAUCCUUGACCACCUCGAUAGCCACUCCAUCGAGCUAGAGUAGUCAGAGUUCCUCACCUGCUAGGUGUGGAUGGAGGACCCUAACGAUCUACCCAGGGCAAUGGAGUUCUUCCUCUUUGCGGCUGGUGAGGGGCACGCCUUUGACAUCAAUGGCUUUGUAGGAUGUCCUAGAACAUAAAAGGAGACCUAGAGGGGAGGUGAAUAAGCGUGUAAAAAUUUAACUCAAAACCCUGUUAGAACAGAAGGCAGCACUGCCGAUCUUAUAGGGCAGCACUGCCAGCCUACAAGAGAUAAUGAGAUAGAGGUGAGAUUUUGCAGAGAGUAAACUAAAACUAUAAACUACAUAGUCCUGCAAAAUCAACACAAACUUUAGUUCGAAGACUAAAUGCCACAAAAAAACUCCCAUGGAUCUAGAUCGAGUCUCCAAACCCUAGAAAGGGUUAGACACAAGAAAUAAUCUUCAAUAGCACACAAGAAAGAGUGAUUUAUCUCAUGGUUCAGCUCACCACUAAGGUUUGCCUAGAUCCACAUUGUUGAGGAAGCCACCAAAGGCUUAGGCUUGCCACAAAGGCUUACCCUACUCUCGUUCUCAAGUCAAGAGUGAACUUUUGAGGUGAGGGGUAAUUUCUUAGCAGCAAGAGUGAGGUUACGAACCUCCCUAGGCUGCCACAUGAGAGGGCAAGCUCAAGGGCGACGCAUAGGAGGCUAGGAUGAUGAGGACAUCACCACGCCAGAUACGUCGACACCAUCGUCUUUCUCAAGUUGCAAUUCAUCUCCAACUCAGCUACCACAUCACUCUCAGAUUCAGCAGACACGUCGUUAGUGUUUCGAUCAUAACUUCUUCAUUCGACAUCAAAACGGGGUGAUCUUCGAAUUGUUGGAAAGGGAAAGACGACACCGUCGUUUUGGAUCUAGUCCUAGCUUUAGAUCGUCCGUGGAUUAAUCUGUAUGACCAUGAUAAUGUGCUGCAUCACCUAUUUUGGGCCAUCUUGGCCUUAAGCCCAAGUUGUGGGCCCCUCUCCCUGGUCACCUCCAACCCUAGAACGCCUCUCUUUUAUAUUCCAUGCAGCCGCCUCUGUUUAUACUUUGGUUUUUAUUAGAGUUUAGUUUUCCAUCGAGAAACUGAAUCGUUCAUUGUAACUGUGGUGACAAAUUCUUUUACAGUGAUCCAGGGCCCAUGUUCUUGAUCUCCUCCACUGUGUUGAUUAGUCCUUUGGAACUGAGUUCUCAAACACUCCAUUGAUAUUUGCGUCAUUCAUAUUUGCAAUUUUAGAUUGCGUGUUUAUACCUUCUUGCUUGUGUUCAUCAAUUUGCUUGCAGGAAUGGCCUUCUUGACGAGGUGAAUCAAGUUGUGCUUGCUUGAUAACCAACGGAGCAGUGGUGUAACAGUUGCAGGAUUCAAAAUCGUGUAUGAUUUGAAGGCGGAUCGCCAACGUCGAGAUCUCCACAAAUCAAACUUACUGGUUACCUCUCGGAAGGUUGGGCCUAAACCUCAUCAAUUGGUAUCAGAUAUUUCAUGUUUAUCGUGUAGUAUAAUCUCAUUUGCCCUAGAUUCAUAUUUGUUCACAAAAAGCCCAAAAAAAUAUUUCAAUUUCCGCUUUCCUAUUACCCAUUGUGCCUUGCAAUUUCGUUUUCAGAUUUGCUUUGUUGAGUUUGUGUCCAUGGUUGAGUCUAGUUGCUGGUUUUGAUUGUGUUUGUCAUCGUAGUUCAAUUGCACCGUUGCUGUUCUAGGUUUUUGUCGCUAUCCUAUCCACUGUUUUCAAAGAACAAGUUGAAGAUACCAUAUUAAUCGACUUGCCCCCGCUAGCCGCCAUGUGUGAUCUCUCGCCGCCGCGCUAACCCUAGAUAAUAGGUUGCCAGCCGCUAUUAUUUUGAAUGCAUUGCAGCCCUCCUUACAUCAUUAGACGAAUACCUACUUAUGUUAGUCACAGGGAUGAUUCAUCCUAUGAUCGGUGUUGGAGUUUAGGGAUGCUUUACCCUAACUGCCACCGCCGCCGUGUUGUGCCUUCCGAAAAAACAUAACUUGAGAUACCUUCAGUAAAACAGGCAUAUCUUUUCGCUCGUUUAUCAGAAAAAUCUGAAAUUUUUACAGCAGCUUCUUAACAUCAUUUGGACCCAACCUAAACUGGGAAAGCCCUGUUUAGUCUCAUCAAAAUUUCCAAAAAAUCAAGAAAAUAAAGAAAAAAAGUUGUCAAGGGUUUGCACGUUUUUCACAAAACUUGCUGAAUUUCUGUAGACCACAUCCCACCUCAGUUGUAGGUGCCAAUUUUUUUGGUUACAUCUUUUGUGAUCCUUGUUCAAAGAAAAAAAUAGUGAAUUUUUUUUUGAUUCAUACUAGUGCCUUUCAAGAAAAUUCGGGGUAAAUUCAGGAAAAAGGGAAAAUCCACCCUAUUUGCUUGUUCGCUGAGUUCUUUCCAUCGUAUUUUAUUUGACCUUGUUGCACUAGGUCUAGACACGUCUUAGCCAAUAAUUAUGAUUUGUCAUUUGGAUACUUAUUGAACUUAGCUAAAUCUGUAUUCAUUAAUUGCUAAUCCUUAUUGUACAUAGUGUGCCUUUCCAAAGCUCCACAUAUACUUCUGUCAGCACAUAUUCAUCUUGCAACUGUUAGCCACGCUCAACAACAGAUUGCUUUGCCAAUUUAGUUUUGCUCCUGUUUGGCUUUGGUAAGAACACUUGUAAGACGGUGGUAAGCCGCUUCUGAUUUUGCAUUCUACUUUCACCACCACCAUCAUUUGGUUCCUGUUAGUUGAUAGGGAUAAUACUUUGGUGUUGUCUUUUUCUAUUUUCAAAUAAUGGCAGGAUCUCCGACGGAUUUUAAUGAUUGUGUGUCUAAGGGUGAACUUACAACAUUCAUCACGGAACAGCACAAUCUUAUGAACGAGCUGACACGCAACGUGAACAAUCUGGUCAUUCGCAUUGAACAGAUUGAGCAACGCCCUCCAUGUCAUUGUGGUGAUGAUGAAGAUGCUGAUGCAGAUGGAGAUCUAUCUGAUCAUGAAGAUGCGGAUGCUGACGGAGAUGCACACAACCGUCGCCGCUACAACUUUAAUAGUCGCGGUAUAUGAGGUAAUAAUCAUGGUAAUAAUGAUCCUUUUACUAAAAUUAAAUUUAGUCUAUCUCCUUUUGCUGAUAAUAUUGAUCAUGAGGCAUAUUUAGAUUGGGAGCUUGCUAUUCAACAAAAAUUUGAUUCUCAUAAUGUUUCUGCUGAGCAUAGAGUUAGACUUGCUACUAGUGAGUUUACUAAUUUUCCUUUGUUUUGGUGAGUGAUCUUUGUAAUGCUAAUGAUGCUGCUGCCGUGCCUCAAACUUGGAAUGCUUUAAAACAACGUAUGAAAUCUUGUUUUGUUCCUCCUUAUUAUCAACAUAAUUUACGUCUUAAAGUGCAAACUUUAAAACAAGGAGGUAAAGGAGUAGAAGCAAACUAUCAAGAAUUGCUUAUUGGUUUAGCACGUUGUGGUAUAAAUAAAGAUGAUGCUGAUGCUAGUGCUAGAUUCUCUGGUGGUUUAAAUCGUGAUAUACAGAAUAUUCUUGAUUACAAAGAAUGACGUUCCCAGUUGUAUUAUCUUGCUACUAAGGCAGAACGCGAAGUAUAGGGACGCAAAUAAUACCAGUCUUUCAGGUCUAAUAAUGGGAGGAAUUUUCAGCAGCGUUCCGAGCCGGAGAUGCCCAAGAUUUCUGUUGCACCGCAACCAUCUACACCUGCAUUUUCUUCUAGAGUAAGUAAAUUAUCUAAUGUGCAGCCCCCUCAGCUGAAGAAAAGUGCCACAACGGGUGCUUCUACUAGCUCCUCACCGCCCAGCUCUAAAAUCAUUUGCGACCGAUGCAAAGGCACUGGACAAGCUAUGAAGGAUUGCCCCAAUCGUCGCGCUUUCAAUAGUACCGAGGAUGAAUAUGUAAGUGCUAGUGAUGUUGAAGAUGAUUUAGCCCUUGCUGCUAACGUUGCUGUAGAUUCCACCGAGGGCGAUCAAAACACGGAGACCAUCGUCAUCGAUUCUGUGGCUGCCUCCGUGGGCUAUCCUAGCCUUCUUCUGCAGCGUGUGUUGAGUUCAUGUCUGGGACAUAAAGAAGAGAUGUAGAUCCAGCGCCACAAUUUGUUUCACAUGUAUCUCAUUGUGUAGGGUUGUCGUAUUCUCACCAUCAUUGAUAGCGGGAGUUGCAACAGAAUACUGAGUUCAGAUUUGGUUGAGAAGCUUGGUUUGACCACACGACAACAUUUGUAUCCAUACAAACUUUAAUGGUUCAACAAUAGUGGUAAGACUAAGGUAACCAAAUCAGCCCGCAUUAGCUUUUUCACAGUGCUGGUUUUGAUGUUGUAUCUAUGCAAGCUUGUUCAAUUUUGUUAGGACAUCUAUGGAAAUUUGAUAAUGAUGCUUUAUACCAAUACAUACACUCUCAUGCAUAAGGACAAGAAAAUUACUUUGCUGCCUAUGUCACCUAUGGAUAUUGUUAAUCAUGCUAAAGAGAUUAACAAAAAACCUCCAAUAGACAUUGAUAAAAAUAAUGAGAUUAAGUUACAAGGAGGUGCUUUACUUGCUACAACUUCUACUACUGCUGAGUUAUGUGAUAAUCUAGAUGCACCAUGUCUUAUGCCUGCUGUGACAAACCUUUUGUAGGAGUUUGUUGAUGGGGAAGAGUCGAGAACGACUCCGAUUCUAGAAGGUGGGGAUGUUAAGGACAUCACAAAGAUGGAGUCGAGGAUGACUCCAAUUCAAGAAGGGGAGGAUGAUGAGGACAUCGCCAUGCUAGACACGUCGACACCAUCGUCUUUCUCAAGAUUCAAUUCAUCUCCAACUCAGCUACCACGUCACUCUCAGAUUCAGCAGACACGUCGUCGGUGUUUCGAUCAUAACUUCUUCAUACGGAUCAAAACGGGGUGAUCUUGGACUUGUUACAAAGGGGACGACGACGCCUUCGUUUUAGAUCUCGUCCCAGCUCUAGAUCAUCUGUGGAUUAAUCUGUAUGAUAACGACAAUGUGUUGUGUCAUCUAUUUUAGGCCAACUUGGCCAUGUAUCAAGUCGGGCCUUAAGCCCAAGUUGUGGGCGCCUCUCCCUGGUCGCCUCCAACCCCAGAACGCCUCUCUUUUAUAUUCUAUGCAGCCGCUGCUGUUUAGACUUGGGUUUUGAUUAGGGUUUAGUUUUCCAUCGAGAAACUGAAUCAUUCAUUGUAACUGUGGUGAGAAAUCAUUUUACAGUGAUCCAGGGCCCCAUUCUUGUUCUCCUCCACUGUGUUGAUUAGUCCUUUGGAACCGAGUUCUCGAACGCUCCAUUGAUAUUCACGUCAUUCAUAUUUGCAAUUUCAGAUUGUGUGUUUAUACGUUCUUGUUUGUGUUCUUCGAUUCGCUUGCAGGAAUAGCCUUCUUGGCGAGGUCAAUCAAGUUGUGCUUGGUUGAUAACCAACGGAGCAGUGGUGUAACGGUUGCAUGAUUCGAAUCGUGUAUAUCUUUCUUCUCUUUUCUUCAUCUUUGGAUGGCCUUGAUUCUCUAGUACACUUUACGUUCCCCGUAGAAAUCGAUACUCUGGAAUACUCCCGGGUGAAAGCUACAUCGGUAUCCGUGUGCUUGCAGAUUUUUCUGUUUGCGUUUAAAGUACCCAACAGGCACGCAGACACAAAUUCACUAGUUGGUGUUAGGGGUCACAGGUCUUAAACACCGACAAUAGUCAUCCAAACAACAGAAUUUGAAUUGUGGCCAAAUCCAAUACCAAGGCUGAUUUGGUAUUGAGAACCCAGUACAAUUCCAUGUCCCUAAGUAUCUACAUGACUACAUCCAAACAAACCCUGAGCAUCAAUAUUUGAGAGAAUUGAAAUUCUUUGCUCUAAUGUAAAUUAUAUGCAAAUGCUUAGUGAAAAUCAUUUUAAGCUUCAUUGCAUUUAUUUUAUAACAGUUUAGUUCAAUGAAAAGUGAUUUUAAUCAAUUGCCAUUAAAUACAGGUUAAUGACAAGACCAGAAAUGUCAGGGCUUAGAAAAUGACCAUGAAGCUGCAAAAAUUAUAUUUUUUUGAGGAAACAGGAGGGGCUGCACCCCUACUAGAAAUUUAUUAACAAAAAUUUACAAACAAAGUCUAACUCAAGCAAUCUCAUGAACCAAAAAAGGUAAGUAAAAAAAUAGCUAAAAUUACAGAAAGUUGUCUAUCCAUUGAACAAUGAAGUGGUGAUAGCGUGUCUUUACUCUUAAAAUAACUAGAGCAAACUCAUUCCUGAAAACUGCUCUGCAUCUUUGAACUGAAUGCGCCAAGUUUCUGAGAAUAAUAUCAUUUCACAUCAUCCAAAUUGCCCAGCACAUCGUGAUGAUGAUUUCUAUAGAAAAGGUACCCUCAACUGAGCCUUGAGACUUUCCAAGAUGGUUGGAAUAUCUUCAGAAUUUGGUAUGAAGAGUUGCAAACUGUACCAACAUGCCAUCGCGAAAGGACAGUGAAAAAGCAUGUGGAGAAGAUCUUCUUCAAUGCUGAGGGAACAGAAAACACAAUUACCCUUUUAAUUAAACAAUUGUAAAGCUUUAGCCUUCAAGAGGUUCGAGAUUUCAGUGUAUCUACUACUACACACUUUACUUCCACCCGCAAAUAAAGCUUCUGUAUUACACUAAAAGAUCCUAACUUCCUUGCUAUAGAAUCCAUCAAGGAUUUGAUGGCUGCUUUUAGCAUCAUACUCUAAGAGAAUGAAAUUCUAAAAUGUCAAGGGUUUAAGGCUCCAACCAUAAUUUAUAUGUCAAAAUAUCAAAGAUGGAAAACACGAGUGCUGAUGUAAAUUCUGUGCUCAGGUAUCAACGCAGGGCUUUAUGCAAGAGAACUAAUGGAUGGUUGUAAGAAGUUCAUUACUUAGAAUCAAGGGGCUCCAGAUCUUAGACCAGAGAAAAUUCUUUCCAAAGCAGCAGAUGAAGCAUGUUCACCUGGUUCUUCCACUGUAUUAGUUGCUCACUUUGAUGGCCAGGUCUGUUUUUUUCUUAUUGACCUUUUUCAUGGUGCUCACUGCACUUAUCAAUGUUACAGGUCCUUCAAGCAUCAAAUAUUGGGGACUCUGGAUUUAUGGUGAUAAGAAAUGCAGAAGUGUUAAAAAAGUCUAAACCUAUGGUUUAUGGUUUCAAUUUCCCACAAAUUGAGAAGGUAGAUGACCCCUUAAAGCUUGUAUAGGUGCAAACAAUGACCAACCUUGGUAAUCGUAUUCAACCACAUGAUUAGUUAAAUAUUAACGUUUGGACUAAUAUUUCAUUCUUAUUUCAGAAUUAUACUAUUGAUCUAAAGGAAGGUGAUGCAACUGUGACGGCAACCGAAGGCCUUUUGGAUAAUGUAUACGAACAUGAAAUAGCUGGAAUUAUCUCCAAGUCGUUACAGGCAGAUCUAAAACCAGCGGUCAGAAUCAACUAUCUUCAUAAAUAAAAAUGUCCAAUGUGAAACAAAAUUACUCAAUUGCAAUGUCUAUUCUAUUUGCAGGAGAUUGCAGAAAAAAUGGCUGCGAAUGCCCAGGAAGUUGGGAGGUCCGGAGCUGGGAGAAGCCCAUUUUCAGAUGCUGCUGUGAUGUUUGGGUACCUUGGCCUGAGGUGGGGCAAAUUGGAUGACAUUUUCAGAUGCUGUUGUAUCAAUUGUCUGGACAUAUGAAACUUAAGUUAUAGUUUAUAAGAUAAGAUGACUACAUGCAGAGAAGAAGCCCAUGUUUUGUGGAAGCUCAACACCAAGCGGGUCGCCCCAUCAGUAUUCUAUGCUGCUAGAAGUAAGCUAUGUGGUGAUUUCUCAAAAGUUCAGGGCCUUUGCAUGAGCAUCAUACAUUGUGGUCGAUCUUCAAUAGGUGGGCCAAUAGCCAAUGGACAACAGCAUUGUAGCGAAGCUCCUCCCUGUUGCCCUUACCGUGCAGCAUCUUGAUUUUUGGUUUCGCUGUGAAAAUAUAGGGCAUUUAGAUGUUGCCCUUGCCAGUGUACCAAUGUCAGGUAUGCAGGAACAUGUCGAUAGGAACUGAACAUUCAUAAGCAAUACUGAUUGCAACUUGCAAAGUUAAAGUAAAAAAGUUUGUAAUACCGUAGUUUUGACAUCCCCUUCUGCAUUUAUCAUUCGUAUCGGUUUGACAAUGGAUGGACAGAUACUGCGAUCUUAUAAGCAAAGGUGGAUCAUAGGGUCCUUACUCCUGAGCCAUGUCUGGUAUGGAUGCUGCCAUGCUGGCACUAUGAAGAUAGAUGUUGGUGUAAAUGUUGUGUUGUAGAGGGACUUAUAUGCAAAAAGUAAGAAGAAAAAAUAUACAUCCUCUGAUCUGGAAGUUCCCAGACAGAGCUUUCCCAAACACAAUAUGGUAUCUAGAGCCAGAGUUAGGGUUUCGCAUACCGUCGGCGGCGUGGCCGCCUGAGCUGGACUCGGCGGCGCAGAAGCAAGGGAGGUGCGUCUCAAGGUGCUGCGAGGCUGCGCAGCAUGCGGUGCUGCACGAGAGCUGCGCACGCCGCGAGCAGGAGAGGCGGCGGUCUGCGGUGCUGCACGAGAGCGGCGCGCGGCGCGGGCAGGUGGCGCGCCAAGCGGAGGCGGGCUGCGCGGGCAGGCGGCGCGUCCUGCGGAGGUGCUGCGGCGCCGAGUGCCUGCCUGGGCACAUCGUCCCCCUUCGGGAGGGGACGGUAAGUGGAUUUGGUGUCUGAGAAUAGAGAGAGAGGAGUGCGGUUGCUAAAAAAAAGAGGAAGUUUGUGCGGCCAGAGAGUAAAAGGGAGCUGGUGAAGUGUUGUGUGUUGUUGCUGUUGAGGAGUGUAGGAGGAGAUGGAUCCAGAGGAGGAAAGGAGAAAAGCAGCAGAGGCUGCAAAGAAAACAACAAUUGAGCAAGGAAGUGAUGGUAAAGGUGGAGGUGAUCCACUAAUUACCAAGAGUGAGUUGAGAGAUGAGAUGAGAUCCUGGGUUCAAGGACUUAUGUAGAUGGAUCUGAUUGGUCCUAGGGAGGUGUGUGAGCUCAAAUUGGAACUCAUUCCAAAUGAUGUGAAGUUGGAAGGAAGUAAGAAUUAUUUAAGUUGGUCUAGAAGGGUGCAGGUGAUACUAGGAGGAAAGGGGAUAGAACACUAUCUGAGAGAGGAUUGUGUUGAGCCGGCUAACAAGGUUAGCCUUGAGUGGAGAGUUUGGCACACGACAAACUCCACCAUAGUAGCAUGGUUAUUGGCAUCCAUGUCACCGUUAGUUAGUAGAGUGGUGGAAGCUAUGCAUACUGCGGCACAGAUUUGGAAAUCUUUGAGUAUCAGGUACUCCAAGCGGGGGAAUGUGAUGGUGAUGAUGGAAAUUUAGAACAAGGUUGAUGAAGUGAAACAGGCAGGGCGGACAGUGGAGCAAUAUGCUUGUGAGUUGCAGCAGUUGUGGGGAGAGCUGGAUCACUAUGCUCCACUUCGUAUGAGGGAUCCACACGAUGCCCAUGAUGUUCAAAAGUGGAUUGAGGAUAGAAGGGUGAAUCAUUUCUUGAAGAACUUGGAUCCUCAGUUUGAGAGUAGAAGAGCUGCUUUUUGUCACCAGGAUAGUUUGCCUACCAUAGAGAAGGCUGUGGCAGCCAUGAUCACUGAGGAGAGUAGGCUUUAAAUGAUGGGUGACAAUCCUGUGAAAUCAGCAUAUACCACUGUGACAGAGAGGUUGUGUUACAACUGUGGAGAGAAGGGACACAUGAGUUACAAUUGUCCCCUUCCAAAGAACUAUGGUGAUAGGAUUGGAGGCCGUGGUGGUCGUGGAGGACGUACUGGAGGACGUGGAAGAUGCCGUGGUGCCCCUUAGGCCAAUGCAGCCAUGGAGAGUUAUAUCACAGAUAGUAGUCCUCAGGUUAAUGUUGGGAUCAAGACCCUCACCUUAACUGGGGAACAGGUCAAACAGUGGGAACAAUGGCAAAAGUCUAAAGCAUGUGAAGGUUCCAGUUCUACUCUAGUGGGUUCUGUGAUGGCCACCACCAGUCACUUUGGUAACUUUGCCAACUAUGCCCAUAUGGGCAAAGGUACUCAGGCACAGGCACUUGCAACCACAUGUAGGCAUAACAUAUAGUGGGUUGUUGACUCAGGAGCUUCCAAGCAUGUCACAGACAUAUCUAGUCCUUUUAGAACAUACACUCCACAUUCUUACACUGAAACCAUACAAACUGCGGAUGGUACCUCUCAACCCAUUCAUGGUGUAGGAUCUAUAGAAUGCACUCCGUCUCUUCAUUUAUCUUCUGUUUUGCAUGUUCCUUCCUUCCCAGUCAAUCUCCUUUCAGUUAGUGCACUUAUUGAUCAGUUUAAGUGCAUCGUUAUAUUUGAUGAAAAUUCUUGUGUUUUCAGGAGAAGAGGAUGGGGAGAGUGAUUGGGACUGGAGUCAGGCAUAAUGGGUUGUGGUUCAUUAACCAGGAGCAGUCAGCAUUGGCAGCAGCAGCGGGAACACAAGAGAGAGAAAUCUACUUGCUUCAUCGCCGGUUAGGACAUGUACCUUUUGGAAGUUUGAAUAUAUUAUAUCCUGAAAUUUUUAGAGAUAUGAACAUAAAAAAACUUGUGUGUGAUGCUUGUGAACUUGGGAAGCAUACAAGGACAACUUAUCCUAGUAUUGGCCUUUGGAGUUGUGAACCUUUCAUGUUAGUACACUCGGAUGUUUGGGGUCCUUGCUCAAUUACAUCUGUGAGUGGAUUUAAGUGGUUUGUCACCUUUAUUGAUUGCUAUACUCGUAUGACAUGGGUUUACAUUCUUAAGGGUAAACAUGAGGUCCUUCGGUGUUUCCAGGACAUUCAUAAGUUAGUUGAAAAUCAAUUCAAUGCUAAAUUUGGAUUAUCUGAACUGAUAAUGGGAAAGAAAUAUGUGAACAAUGUUUUUGGGGCAUAUCUUUCAGAGCAUGGAAUUAUACAUCAGACCACUUGUCUAGAUACUCCAUCACAAAAUGGUGUAGCUGAGAGAAAGAAUUGACACUUGUUAGAGGUCGUAAGGUCAAUCAUGUUUCAAAUGAAUGUGCCCAAGUAUCUCUGGAGUGAAGCGGUGCUAACAGCAGCAUAUUUAAUCAAUCGUAUGCCAUCUAGAAUUCUUGGUAUGAAGUCACCUGUAGAGCUGUUGUUGGGACAACAAGAAUUUAAAGUACCUCCAAAGGUGUUUGGUUGUGUGUGCUUUGUCAGGGACCAUAGACCUUCGGUUGGUAAAUUGGACCCUCAGGCGGUGAAGUGUAUUUUUGUUGGCUAUUCUUCUACACAAAAGGGUUACAAGUGUUAGGACCCUAUUGCAAGGAAUUUGUUUGUGAGUAUGGAUGUGACGUUUAGGGAGUCUGAACCAUACUACACAAAGCCAUGUGAUCUUGAUCCGCUCUUAGAGGAAUUCUCUUCAGUCACUGAGGGUGACUAUAGAGAGGGGAGAAUGAAGGAGCUAAUGCUCAAAGAGAGGUGAUUGUUGGUACCAUCCCAUGUUCAAUGGGUAGGUCUGAAACUCAGGAGGUAACUCAUCAGGAUAAUGUGAAUAAUGGUGACUGUGAAGGAGAAGAGAUAGUUGGCGAUGAGGUGGUUGGUGAUGGGAAUGAGGAGACAACCGAUGAAGUAAGUGAAGAGGUGAAUGUUGAGAUUCAAAAGGGACCAAUCGUGUACCAGAGGAGAUGGUUCAGGAGUUAGGGGGAGCAAGUAGUUGCAAAGGAACCAAUAGUUUACCAAAGGAGAUGGAGUAAGGGGGAGCAAAUCAGUGGACCACAGCCACAAUAGCCUGCUACACUAGUCCCAAAUCAAUCCUUGGACCUCUCUCCAUCAAGUGGCAGUGUCCCUCCUAACCCUAAACAUGUAGAGCUACCUCUUGCACAACGUGGGGAUACUAGAUCUAAUUUUGGAAAACCACCUGUUCGCUAUGGUUUUGAGCAUCCUAGUAUAGAUCAUGACAUUGCCAACUUCCUCUCCUAUUUUCGCCUUUCACCUGCAUAUAGAGCAUUCGUUGCAUCUUUACAAACAGUGCCUAUUCCAAAAGACUGGAGGGGUGCAAAACAGGAUCCUAACUGGAAUCCAGCAAUGAGAGAAGAGAUGCAUGCUCUUCAGAAGAACAAGAUGUGGGAAUUGGUCCCACUUCCAAAGGGAAAAAAAGCUGUGGGCUGCAAGUAGGUCUUUACUGUGAAGCAAAACCCAAAAGGAGAGGUGGACAGAUACAAGGCAAGACUAGUAGCAAAAGGGUAUAGUCAAACAUAUGGUAUUGAUUAUGAUGAAACUUUUGCUCCAUCGGCAAAGAUGGGAACUGUUAGGACCCUAAUCUCGUGUGCAGUUAACUUUGGUUGGCCUCUGCAUCAAAUGGAUGUGAAGAAUGCAUUUCUCCAUGGUGAUUUACACGAGGAAGUCUAUAUGGAAAUUCCACCGGGAUUUGCUAAUAGUCAAACUGUUGGUAAAGUGUGCAGACUAAAGAAGUCACUCUAUGGACUGAAGCAAUCACCCAGGGCAUAGUUUGACAGGUUUAGGAGGGCGGUCUGCAGUAUAGGCUACAUUCAGUGCAAUGGUGAUCAUACGGUCUUCUACAGACAUAGAGGAACAUUUAUCACCAUUAUGGCAGUAUAUGUGGAUGAUAUUAUGAUUACAGGAGAUGAUAUAGAGGAGAUAAAAUGUUUGAAGGAGAAUCUGGGAAAGGCCUUUGAGGUAAAAGAUCUUGGACCACUGAGGUACUUUCUUGGGAUUGAGAUUGCUAGGUCACCUAAAGGGAUAGUUCUCUCUCAAAGGAAAUAUGUCCUUGAUCUAUUGACUGAAACAGGCAUGCUUGGAUGUCGGCCAUGUAGUACUCCUAUUGAUAAAAAUCAUCAAAUAAGUGCCGAAUAUGGAAAUCAUGUGGACAAAGAAACAUAUCAAAGAUUGGUGGGAAGACUGAUAUACCUGUGUCACACAAGACCUGACAUUUCCUAUGCAGUGAGUGUGGUGAGCAUGUAUGCAUGAUCCAAGAGCUGGACAUAUGGAUGUUGUUUACAGGAUCUUAAGGUAUCUGAAGGGAACCCCUGGGAAAGGGUUAUGGUUCAAGAAGAAUGGCCACCUUGAUAUAGAAGGCUAUUGUGAUGCAGAUUGGGCGAGUAGCAAAGAUGAUAGGAGGUCCACCUCUGGGUAUUGUGUGUUUGUGGGAGGCAAUUUUGUCUCUUGGAGAAGCAAGAAGAAAGCAGUUGUGGCUCGGUCUACUGCGGUGGCUGAGUAUAGGGCAAUGACAAUGAGCUUGUGUGAGAUGCUGUGGCUAAAAGGCUUGUUGAAGGAGCUGCAGGUAUUAAGAAACGAGACAAUGAUGCUUCAUUGUGAUAACAUUGCCGCAAUCAAUAUUGCAAACAAUCCAGUCCAGUUUGAUCGUACCAAGCAUGUGGAGAUUGAUAGAUUCUUCAUCAAAGAGAAGUUAGAUGGUGGAGUCCUAAAGUUAAAAUAUGUAAAAUCACGUGGCCAACUAGCUGAUUGUUUUACAAAGGGUUUAGGACCUAGUGAAGUUGAGUUGAGUUGUAGCAAGAUGGGCAUGUUAGAUAUUUUUAGCCCAUCUUGAGGGGGAGUGUUGGUGUAAAUGUUGUGUUGUAGAUGGACUUAUAUGCAAAAACUAAAAAGAAAUAUACAUCCACUGGUCUGGAAGUUUCCAGACAGAGCUUUGCCAAACACAAUAAUAAAUACAGAUCUGCACUUUCUUUCGAAGUUCCAUACUUUUGCCCGUUCAGCUUUUGACAGCGAGCCUUUCUUUGGUUCUGGGAGGAAAAGGUUCUAAGAGACGAUGCCAAUAGGGAUUUCAUCAAUGUUGGGGAAUGGCUCCCAUCUCUGUCCAAGCAGCAAGAAAAAUUCAAUGUCUCUGUUCCCACUGAAAUUUGCAGUAGAGAUGUCGUCCCCAUCCAUAUUCCAACGCCAAAAAUAAUUCCUGUAGGAUUCUUGUCCUCAUAUCGAUACACCACAGAAUAUAGAUGACAAUUUGAGUUUAGUAUAAAAGUAACUUUUACUUUUUUAACAUAAGGUGUAAUUGAUGAUUUGACACACAACACAAAUAUACAGACUAGUAUACUACACAAAAAACACACCAUAAUGCGUAUAUGAAAAAUGGGACGGCAACAUAGGGAUUUAGGACGGAGGAUAGUGAACCUUCCAUGUGUUUGAAAACCCAUGGCGAAAGAUUGCUCCUGCGUCCAUUGGGAAUUCUCCGUUAGGAAUCAAGCCCCAUUGAUAUCUCUAUCAUUUAUACUACAUAUCAAAUGUGUUCGUCAACCAUCAAUUAAAAAAAUAUAAAUCAACGAAGAGUUCAAAAAAUUAGACUUUACUUCUAUAAGCUCUAUCACACAACAAAAAAAAAGGUUUCAAGCUGCAUACAGUGGAUAGCAUGUACAGAAUCUAGCUCAUGAGUACCAACAAUGAGUCAAAUCUAAAUCUAAUACUAAAAAAGAAAGAACAGAUAGCCUUCCAAGAGAAUGUUUGUGGCAUCAUCGAUGCUUGAUCUUCCUCCUUACACUUUUGCUUCAUGUGGCCUCCUGUUAUUUCUUCAUUGGGCUCAGAGGAUGCGGAUUAUUCCCACACCUUCGCUUGAUCCCUCCUUUGCAUCCAUCCUAUCUUGUGGUCAUUAGGGGAUGUGAAACUCUUCACUUGUGCUCAAGCAUCAUGUUGUUCUCAGGGGCAAGGCCGAUGCAGGCCCGCAAGAUGUUCUCCAGCAUGGCCCUCUGCUUGGCCAGAGCAUUCACCACUGGUGUGCCAGGGGGUACCUGUUUAAGAAACCAAUUUACUAUCAAUUUCAUGAACACAUAUUGAAUUCUGAAUACAUUGUAAAUCUUUCUGAGCAUCUAAACUGCAGGAUAAUCCUAACUGUAAUUCUGCAGUUACGAACUACCUACAUUCUCAAUAUUAGAUUGAACCUAGAAGGUUCUAGGCGUUUUUCAGUAAUAAGAAGAGAAAAUAGAACCCCAAAAUGAAACCGAAAGAGGACUUAAACCUAUGUGGUUGGGUGCAUAACCACACCUUCUACCCAACCGGUUGAGCUAGGCUUACUUCCAAACGUACAUUCUCAUAUUUUACUGUUGCCUCACCAACUUCCUCUGUUCCUAAUAUAAACCAUUUGAUAACAUGCAUUAAUAGACAACAAAAACAAUUAUGAUGCUCUGAUUCUAAAUUCUUUGAUACUCCAUUUUGAGAGGCCAAUAUAAACAUGUUGACAAAAAAUUGUAUCAAUUGCAAACAAAAAGAAAAGCUUACAAGAGGAGCCUUGCUGAGAUAGCUCAAAAUUGUGGCGACGGGAUGGAAGGAGUGGAACUUAUCCUGCACAAAGAGCAAAUGGUGAACGAUGUCAAAAAUUUUCAUUCACACAUUAGUUAGUGCAGCAUUUACGCUACACAGUGAAGCAUAGAUUAAUCUGGUCUGUCAUCUGUACCUGCCCUUCGGCCUUGAGCUGAAUCCGAGUGCUGAGCUCAGCUAGGAGCACCAAGUCCAGGAUGAUCGGUGCAGCGAGAAGCGAAUCCUCGCAGGUGUUGUGCAGCACAAUGGUGUUCUUGCCACCCAUGAAGAUCUCUGAGGUAUAUUCAUCCAUAGCUCUCUUGCUAUCACCCACAUAGGGGAUGUACUGCAAAGGAGCGAUCAACUUUGAGUAACAACCAAACAUAAAGUAGCAUGGAUAGACUCAGUCAUCACACAAACAACUAGUCAACGAACCUUGAUCACGAUUACAUGAUCAGGAUGUUCAUUGAGUUUGUAGAGGAUGGGAUUGCUAGCAACCAUGUCGUCCACCACGCUGCUCUUGGAGAUCUCUUUAGACCGGAAGACUUGUGGGGCAGAGAGAUUCAUGCCGUCAUUGUUUCCUAGGUGGUUGUAGCUAGCAAUUGAGGUGGGCUACAACAGCACAGACACACAAGAAAGAUCCACCCUAUUUAUCUGAUAUGCCAAUAAAUAUCGAUUAUUCAUGAAUGUCAAAGACAAUUCAUCUUACUCCCAGGCUCCCAGCAAUAGACAAGGAAUAUAUAUGACGGUACCUUAAUCCCAGCACCAACGAGGAAAUCGACCAAUACGGACUUCAUCUUGGUCUGCCCACUCUUGAAGUCGUCGCCUCCUAUCACCGAAUUUUUUUUUAUGGCAAGCUCCAUCAGCCCUGUGCAUGAACAGAACAUCACUACAAGCAUGGAACGAGGAAUGCGACACUGGAUCGGAUACGCAUUUAGAAUUUUGUAGAGCACCAUUACGCACCGGGCACGAAUGUGUUCUGAGGGCUUCCAUUGACGAAUGGAACACCCUCAAAGACACAGGCUAUUGCAUACAAGGUGGAUGGUGAGAUCUCUGCUUCAUUCUUUUCCAACGAAGCCAAGAGGUUGUCCAUGGUGUCGUUAAGCCCACUAACUACAUUGCUAUACCUCUCGGUGUUUGCUGUCCAUAGCACGACUAUCUUGUCGACCUUGGUUUUUUCCUUGAACUCCCUACAUAGUUCAUGAACCGGCCCCAUGAUUAAGUUCAUAACAAUCCUCCUUCGAAAAAAUAGGAGUACUAAUAUUUUUCUUGAGACAAUGAAUUCACCAUUGUGGGUUUCGGUUUCUGUCUUGUGACAGUAUUCUAUGUUUUGAGUUUAAGGAUCUAUAAGUACCUGAUGUCCUUCUUGAUCUGCUCCACCUGCUCUUUCUUGGUGCCCUUGAUGAUAUUGUUAGCACGGGCACCUUGGUUUGCGGCAACGAAGUCUGGGUUGAAAAUGCCAGCGAGUGGCAGCAUGGAUUCCAUGUAGGGCCUGAGCUGCUUUUGAAGGUGAAUGUCUAGGACCUUGGCCCUGGCCAUGGCGUCAGCCAUGUUCAGAUUGCUGAUGUCCCAUCCACCAAAGACGAUGGAGUUGGGAUCAACCUGCAUGAUUCAAGCAAUACAUUACCACUACUGAAGAAAGAAAUGGGUAUCACAGUGUCACAACAAAACUGAUACUUUUUAUUGAGGAAAACUACACAUAAUUAUGUAUGGAUCCUCAUGUGCUUAGGUAAUUAAUCUGGAUCCUGAUUUGCUUGGGUAAUUAACUACCACAUCCAAACAAUUUUUUAACUUAGAAACAUUGAAGAAAGGAAUGGGUAUCAAUAUCAUAGUGUAGCAGCACGAAAAACUAACAGACGAAGGAAAAUAACACAUGGCUAAUUCAGAUCCUCAUUUGCUUGGGUAUAAUUAAUUAGGAUCCUGAUUUGCUUCAAUUGUUAACUAGUACCAUCCAUGCACUAGAAAUUAAUAAACAGAGCACUGUACAAACUUUGUGCUACUAUUGCAUUCAUGGAUUGUGCAUGUAACUGGAAUUGGUUAUUAGUAUCAAUAAUUGUGAUGCAACGAGAGAUGAGUGAUUAGGAUGUGUAGGGAGAGGAUCACACCAUAGGCACGAGGCUCUUGAAAGGCGCGUAGACCUCCUCCCCGUUGUGGCUGCCGACCCUGAUGGUGGAAGCCUGGGUCAGGGAGCCGAAGUAGUUGGCCUUGUGAACCUUCUCCUUUGUCUCCCACGAAAUUCCUCUGCAAGAAACACCAUCUGAAACGUGAAACAAUGCAAUACGGAGGAGGUUUAUUUUUUUAUUUAUGGAGAUCGCAGUUCGUCAUCAGCUGAUAGAGCUGUUGAGUCGUCUCACCCAACUGACUGCAUGCACGGAUCUGAUAAGAGCGAGGGAAAUGUGCGAUAUGACAAGCAAGGAAGUGGCAUGUAGCUACUGGAAGGAACUUACUCCCUAUUGGCGAUCACCCCGGCCGUGAGCGUCGUGCCGUUGUUGCCGCCCCAUCCGACGAGCAUCACCCUGCAUCCAUCAUUUGAAACAAUACAACUAAUAAUAAUCAAAUCAUAUAUGAUCUAUGGAUCGGAAGGAAGUAGUAGUAUAUAUCAACUGAUGAUCUGCUUAUAUGAGUAGCUAAUCGAGAACAAGGCGGUUUAUUAGGUUCUUAAAGAUCUCUCGACCGAGGUCCGAAGCAACAAUGCAAAGGCAUCAACAAAAGAAAUGAAAAGUAAUUAAAGGGGAAAAAAACAAAUUAAACCCAACAACACAUAGAAUCGAGAAAGAACAUCGCAAUCGUCGAUCACUAUCUGAACCGGAACGGAGAGGCCGCGCGCUACCGGUGGAUCCAUCGAUCGAUCGAUAUGUAUAUACAUGCAUACAGUCAAUUAUUGGUUCGCUGGGAUUGACGCGACGACGCACCCUAGCUUUGGGACGUUGGUGCUGGUCUUGAAGUUGUAGGUGACAGACUUUGGGCGCACCAUCCACCCCGCGCCACCGCCAUUCCCCGGCGGGACGACCUCGGUCGUGUCGUAGCGGUACUCCGACUGGAUCUCGCCGUCGCCGUACUGCACCAGUGGGCUGUCCACCCGGAAGCUCUCCACGAACAUCCUCCGAUCUCUUCGCGAUCUUGGCUGGGUUCUCUCUCUCUUUCUCACGAAAACACCAACGGAACGGAACGGAACGCAGAAGUCGCUGCCUCACACUCGCGAAACGCUCAACGAUACGAUGUGCACAGGGUGGGGUGGGGUGGGGAUCCGAGAGGUUCCAAAGGGUAGGGCAUUAUAUAUAGCUCUGCGCGCGGCGUCCACGUGGGGCGCGCCGCGGGAGGAGCGCGACCACUGACGAGCGGUCGUGGGCGGUGCCAGUGGCCUGGCCCGGCCGAUUCUCUCGGAUCGGAAUCCCAUCGGUUGUCUUUUCUACUAUAUAUGCAGUCAAAAUUUAGGCCAUGAUGUUAUAAUGGAUUUUCCCCUUUGCUCAUCCAAUACUACUCCUUAAUAUAAGUUGUGCAGUAAUAAUGCAGAUCCGUAUCCGCCUUUUACCCUUUACAGUAGAAUCAUGACGACAGGCCACAUUUCUAAUCGAAUCACACAAUCUUUUUUAGUCACGAAUGAUUAUCCACAUGGACCACGGGCUCAUUUAUAUCGAGCUGCAUGCAUGUAAGGUCAUAUAGCUGAAAUUAAUUAAUUUGUUACUAAAAAUAUCACUAGCUCACACCAAUUCCUCUCUGCUAUAGCUUAGAACUAUCAUAGACACCAUUUUGACAGGCAACGUUGUCCUUAUUUAUUCCAAAAAAUAACCACAUCAGCAGUACUUUUCGAUGACCGAACAGUGGACCUCCGAGAGUCUGUGUGUUAUGCGCGCAGAAAGAUGAAAGUUCAAUUCGGAUUAUCUCUCUUGUGUUCCUGCAUGUACGCCAGGGGAGUCUGGCACCUACUUCUUUGCAUCGUCGACUAGGAGUCUCUUACGCCAGGAACGGACACCAAGCUCGCAAACGGUUGGCAGCGAGCGCUGUUUGUGAGGCUGUCACACAGGCGUCUCUUCGACUCGGCAGUUCUCCUUUGCACCUGGAACAUGUGGAAGGAACGAAAUCGCAGGACCUUUGAUGGCCUCCAGAAGAUGCCUGUGCAGCUGGUUACACUAGCCUCUCUUGGCAGGUGGCAACCCGCGGCAGCUACCUUAAUUAACCUGCCGUGCUUCACUCUCCUUGCUCCUAGUCGCACAAUUGUUUUUUUUAGCACCACCAUUUAUGCUAGCUUAACCUGCCGGUGCCUUAUGUUAGUGUUCAUGCAUCGACAUGCUUGGUGGCAGCAUGCCAUCUCGCGUUGUUUGGGCGUGUAAUAUUUUUCCAAACUCCUCUUAAUGAAAAUUGUGCCAAGCAUGUUCCAAAAGAAAAACAUAAGUCUCGUUUUGCUCAAAUUUGACUUUUGUUGAUGUUUAUGCUGAUUUGUUGUGAGAAAAAAUAUUGUUCUGUCGCCGAAAGUUACUGUUGAAGAACGUAAGAACCUUAUUUUACAUGUUUAAUCAUGACACCAGUGUGAGUUCAAUUCCUUACAUGAACGAAUUGCAGUGCUAGAGAUAAAAAAAAACUCGUUUACCCCACGUUGCUAGCAAAAGCGUGGGUUUAUGGCACCGGCCAAUAGGCCCCUAUGUGCAGGGUACAAGGUUUGGUGCUUUUCUCGGACUAGAACAAGGAGUCCUCUAUCUUAAUACGAACUAGGUGAAUUCUCCGUAUAUUGCUACGGAAUUUUUUUAAAGAUAAAUCACUAUAUACAUCACAUUACUAUAUGGUAUUUAGUAUAUUAAAUAUGUAUGUAUAAAUAUAAAUUUGACUUGCAUGUAUUUUAUUAUAUAAGAUCUAGUAAAAAAUUUCUAAUCUAAUAGAAGAAAAACUAAUAUUUGAUUAGAUUAUCGAGGAAUUCAUGAUCAAACAAAUAGUGUAUGUACAUGACGUUAAUAGAUUAAAGAUUUAAAGUAUUUCACAUGAUAUCACCAGUACACAGAUGCUCUAAGCCGGCGGUGGCAAAAGUUUUCCACAGACGGUUUUAAUUAUCGUGCGCCUAUAUUGUAACAUUAUACAGCAAGGAUUAGAAACUGCCUGUGUAAAUCGAUUAACACAGACGGUUUACAUAACUGAACCGCAUGUGUUAAUGCUCCAUUACACAGGCGGUUCAGUUAUGUGAACCGCCUGUGUUAACUAAUUUACACAGACGGUUCCUUAAGCAAACCGCUUGUGCUAUUCUUUGUAUAAGUACCCCCCAGCCCCCCUUCUUCCUCCUCAGCAUAUAUAUAUGACAUGGUCAUUUUUUGUAAUUAACUAGUUGAGUGGCCAUAGGUUGCUACGGAAAUCACUUACGGAUCAGUAUUUUAAUUAAAAAAGCUCAAGUGGUUCUUUUUUUACAACAUCAUAUAUGUGAUAGACAUAUAUUCAUUUAAAAGAAGGAUAAGAUAUUAUUUGCCAAUGUAAAUAUACCAAGGAACUCAAGAGAGCAACAUAUUUCUACCAUGAGAACAACUUCUAUAUUUCACUAUGCAAGUUCAACCUACAAGUCUCACAAAAAAUGACAAAGCAGUAAAAUAAAAUUAAAAGGUCGAUCAUGUAGUUCACUCCAUCAUCAUUAAUCCCGAGAAAAAAGAAAAUACUAACUCAAUGAUAACACUUCACUUCACCUGACGCUAAAAGACCAUUUUCUUUUUUCCUCCACAAGAAAUCACUGAACUAUAUCCAAGGAUCUAAUUACUCCCCCCCUACUCCUGUCCAGCUAAGAGUUUCAACAUUACAUCAUUUAAUCAAAGACAAUAGGAUAAUCUUUCUACCAAAUCAAUCCUUGCAAUGUGACUGAAUACUCUAAAUGUGCCCUUAGCACCUUUAACUAACAAAACAGAAACUAUUUAGAUGGAAAACAGCUUGAUAACAUUGAUCAAUAUGGUUAGCAAAUGUAUAUCUUGCAAAUCUGCAAAUCCUGAGCACUAAGAAACUCCUUGCAUGGGACUAUUGCAUUCUUCAUAAUAUCUCUCUGCUUAGCAAUCUGUUGGCUGUACUCCCUGCACAUUAUUCAAUAGCAGUAGAUAGAGUAAAGUGUAAAUAGUUGUUUGUUUCAGUUUUACAGGUGACAAUGUCCUAGCUAAUCUUUAGGAGGACAGGUGUGUGGUGUUAGUGGGUGGCAAUGUCCUAGCUAAUCCUAGUUAUUAGUGGCCAGUUGCCUAAGUCGUGAAUAGUUUCUAGGAGCCACUAAGUGGUUCCUGGUGCCUAAUCAUGGCUCUUGCAUAUAUAUAAAGCUGCUUUAAAUAAUAUGCAAUAAAAACAAAAAAGUUGCAAGUUCUGCAGUAGUGCCAUAUCUCUGAGUUGAGCCUCUGAUCUUGAGUGAUCCGGUUCAUAGUGAGAUUGAUUGACUUACACCAUCUCUAGCAGAGCCACUACUGUGCCCUCUCCACCCGUGGCACAGAGAUCUCCCACCACAAAGCCAUCAAAGGAAUCAAGCAAAUCUUCGAUUGAAACCAUCAAAUAUAUCAUCAAAUUUGCUGAAAGAAAUACAUCAGCUCAGAUGAUAAUAUCCAAAUCUUGAUUUGGGUGCAUAAUAAGAAGUGCAGAAGCAAUACCAGUUAUCAUCUCAAAUUAGAAUCCUCAAAUUUCCAGAUUAAUGUUUAAGAAGUGCUGAUAAGAUGUGCAGAAGCAAUACCAAUGAUCAUCUCAAAUUAGAAAGCUUAAUUUUAUAUUUUAAUGUUUGGAACAUUGGCAAACUACUUCAGAGUCUUAAACAAGUAGUUCCCAACAAAAAAAGAAAAUCACAAAUGAAUAGGAUGUUUUAUUAUGGUAAGGAAACAACAUAAUAAUCAGACGAAUAAUUAUCUAGGAUCAUACUAAACGCUAUUUUGAUGAAAUGUAGGGAUCACAAGAGUUGCAUUAAGUCACACAUCUGCAUUACAAAAGUUGUGUCAAUAAUUCCUCAACACAAUGUAUAUUUGAAAGGUCCUUGUUUGGUUUUGGCAAUUGAGUGACAAGUUAGGUGGACUAAUGAUGUUUAUGUGAGAUACACAGGAGAUUAGUCCAUAGGUGAAUAGGUGAUGAUGGAAGAGCUCAUUGCAUAUGAGACAUGACAUGAAGUCAUGGGACCAAGGUGGAGAAGAUCAAGAUGAGGCUUGGCUUCAUGAACCGGUUGCAGGAUUGAAGGGCAAGUCAAAGGCUUUGAAGCGAGGGACCGCGUGUGACGGUGAAGCUUGAGCAAGACUUGGCAUCGAUGGACCGAGGCAAUGGUGAAGAGCAAGUGAGGUCAAGAUCGAUGAACCAAUAUGNNNNNNNNNNNNNNNNNNNNNNNNNNNNNNNNNNNNNNNNNNNNNNNNNNNNNNNNNNNNNNNNNNNNNNNNNNNNNNNNNNNNNNNNNNNNNNNNNNNNUCAUACAUUUGUGAUUGGUUGGUGCAUGUGUUGCAUCAACAUCAAAGUAGAUGGAACGGAAUGCGCAAGGCAAAGGUAUAACCUAUAGGGCAUUUCAUUUCACCGGUCUAAGUUGAGUAGAGAAGUGCUUGACCGGAUUUUGGACAGAUAACCUGUGGGGGUAUAAACCCCUAUACCCUUACGGCUAGACUUGGGCCAGGAGGCUUGGCCCAUUACGAGACAAGUUCGAGGCUUGAUCCGACAGCUCGGAGUUUCGCGCAAGGAAACAAGACGUGGAGAUCAAGCAGGAUUCUAGUCGGUUAGAAUAGGAAUUGAUAUCGAACUAUCUAUGGCAAUUGUAACCGACUAGGAUUAGUUUCCAGAUCUGUAACCCUGCCCUCCGGACUAUAUAAGGAGGGGCAGGGGCCCCUAGAGGACUGGCAUACACAUUAUUCUAUCAACACAAAUCAAUACAACAAGACACAGGACGUAGGUAUUACGCCCACACGGCGGCCGAACCUGGAUAAAAAGCUUGUCCAUGUCUUGCGUCACCAUCAAGUUUGUAGCUUGCGCACCGUCUACCGAUAAACUACUACCGUGGGUAUACCCCAAGGUAGACUGCCGACUAGCUUUCGUCGACAGUGGCGCGCCAGGUAGGGGGUGUGCGUACAGCUUCCCAGACGAACAAGAUGGCCAUCAUCCCCGACUUUGCGGCCAUGGCGGGCGGCUUCACGUUCACCGUCAGCUUCAACAGCUUCACCACCACGACCGCGAAGGAGGCGUAGAUCCAAUCUGUGCCGAUCACUUCUUCAGCGACGUCGGCUGCAGCUCCAACCACGCUGGCUACGGCUUUGACCACACCAGCAACGUCUCCGACCACGCCGACAAAGCGUCGCCGCUUCUCUGCUACAAAGGGAGGCAGAUCGACGACACCGACCUGCUCGGGCUAUCGACCAAGUUGUUUGGCCUACUUGCUCUGACCACGAGUCGCAAUAAUAAUCGCCGCGAAGAACGGCGCUACGACAACCGCGACCACCGUCACGACAACAAGUCAAAAAGCUCGAGGGCCGGACAAUUUUGUCGUCACCAACCAGACUUUCGUCCAAAGAUAAGUACACUUCUAAUAUUUUAUUUAUUUUUGGCAUAAUAUUUUUUAUUAUCCUUCAAAACAACCUUUUGGUUAGCCGACUAGUUUUUUCUCCUACACGAGUUUUCCAGAGUUGGUACUGUCUCCGACUCCUCCCUACACGUGCAUGAGAUCCGCCCUCUGCGUUCCGGGUGGUCGGCAGUAGCUCUCUAGCGAGGCUGGCAAUCCCACGCGUGUCUAGGUUCCGUACCUCAUGCUGAUUGUUGGCUAAACCAGAGCUGGUACAAGCUCUAGGACGAAUUACCUACUCGUGCUAAUUUUAUAACAAAAAAUCUAAAACUUAUCUCAGUACUGAUUUUUUAUCUAAAGUUUAUUUAUACAUUAUGUACUACCUAUUCUCUAUGUUUAUUUUUCAGGAGUUUGGCCCAGUCGACAAGCUACGCUCGGAGACUCGUCGACUAUUCACUACGCUGUGCUCGGGAACUGCUCCGACCACCGAGCACGUUUACGUUCCCAACCACGCUCGGGGACUUAUCGACUACUCUCUACGCGGUGCUUGAAGAUUGUGCCGACCACCGAGCCCGUUUACGUUCCCAACCACGCUCGGGGACUUGUCCACCAGUCCCUACGCCGUGCUCGGGGACUGUACCGACCACCGAGCAUGUCUACUUUCUCAAUCGUGCUCGGGGACUCGUCAAUCACUCCCUUCACUAUGCUCGGGGCUUGCUUCGAUCACUCUCCAACCACAGCUUGGGGACUGUUCUUCUCAGUUACAUAUGAAUUGGACUCAUAUAGAACUCAGGGGUAAUUUUAUUUUUUUAGACCUUGCUACAAGGCUCAUACUUCGCCUUCUAGAAAGCUCGGGGACUACAUCGGUAUGAUGCAUCUGGCGAUGCAUCUCAGUUUUAGAAUUUUUAUGAAGACUUUUUUGACCCUGGCACCACGUGCCUACGUCACCUAGUACCAGGCUCGGGGACUAAGUGGGCACACUUCACCUUGCGGUGAACAUGCUUGCUUUUUGAAUGUCUGUACUUUUUAGAAAAGUAAAGUGGGCACACUUCACCAGGAAAGAAAUCUUUUUUGAUUAAGAGCACCAUACAUUCUUCGAACAACCUGCUUCUUCGAUGUCAAUGUUGAUCGGAGUCUUUUGAGUUGAUUAAAAUACCGUUGCAACUGUUUGGGCAACUUUCCUGCUUAUUGAAGACGUCAAGUCUCACUGGUCGAAGAAGCUCAAGACGGCGUGUUACAUCACAAUACAUGGUGCUCGGGGACUAGCUGUGGGGGUAUAAACCCCUAUACCCUCAUGGGCUGAUGUGGGCCGCACCAUCAGAGGUGGCUCGGCCCACAAGAUGAAGAUGUGCGGCGUAUGACGCUGGUCGACGUGCACCGCAAGGCUACAAGAUAUUGUUCCAAAUAGGAUGGUUUACUUGUAACUCUGUCCCUUCACGAUAUAUAAGGAGGGGCAGGGGUCCCCUAGAGGACAGGCAUACACAUUAUUCUAUCAACACAAAUCAAUACAACAAGACGCAGGACGUAGGUAUUACGCCCACACAGCGGCCAAACCUGGAUAAAAAGCUUGUCCGUGUCUUGCGUCACCAUCAAGUUCGUAGCUUGCGCACCGUCUACCGAUAAACUACUACCGUGGGUAUACCCCAAGGUAGACUGCCGACUAGCUUUCGUCUACAGAUAACCGUUCAAUCAAUGUCGGUUUGAUCCGACGGCCCACGUUCACCUCAGGGGACUAUAUAAGCAGACCCCCUGGCCCCUAGGAGACAAGAAUCCAAUUAUUCAUUAGCAUAUUUUCCAGAGAGGAUUCAGAGAGAGAGGUUCCUUAGGGUUCCCACCUCAUCGGGCGUAGCAUCCAAUGUGAGAGUAGACUAGUUCUACUAGAUUGAGAGAGAUAGAGUGGAGGUGUAGAUCAGAGGAAGCCCGGCCUGUCGGUGUCUACUCCGAGGUUGUACCUGCGGGAUCAAGUCUUCUAACCCGAGGCUUGCUCCUAGGAUUCUUUAGUAUUUCGACUUCUAAAUUCUAGUAAGUUAUUGUUUUGUUGUUCUUUGGUGUAUGAGUUUACUUUGAUCUCUUCGCGUAGAGGUUAGAGUAAUCAUCUCUAGCGUAAACGUGGUGUUUGGGCUAGGAUACUCAUAGAUAUCCUCUGACUAGCUGGACCAUGGUAGUAGCGAGGAACGUGACAUUUUCGAGUUACCUUUGUAGCCCAUAUCCUGUUAGUAGGAUCGAUAUGAUUUAUAGGUGCGGGUCGAACAUCCUCUCUGGUGUCUAGAUUCCAUGAGCUUCCCCAACAGAACAGUCGAUCAUCCUUACCAUGGUUAGAACGAGAGUGCAGUUGUAGUCUUCUCUAUACAUCACUCACAUCGAAUCACAUUCUUUGUAGCCUAAAGGUUAGUAGUAAUAGACCGGGUUAGUCAGAUGCACUCUUUCUCCUAGUGGUAAAAAUAUAAAUACGAUACUCUGGAUAACAUCCCGGGUGAAGUGCUCUCCGAUAUCCGUGCGCUUGCGGAUUAAUUCUGAUUGCGUUACCAAAUAUCAACAAGCAUUUCUGGCACCGUUGUCGGGGAGAAACACGGUUUGCUGAGAUAACCUUGAGUCUUACAACUAGCUUGUAUCUAUACUUUUAUCUUUUCUUAUGUUUUUAUAUUCUUUAUUUUCUUUACUCUUACCUUAUGGAAAACCAAGAUUCUAAAUCGAUCUAUCAAUUUGCAACACCUUCGAAAACUGACCUUUUACCAUGGGAGUCAUCACAACCUAUCCAAACAUCCCAGUAUAGGUCAAGUUCCAGGUUGAUUGCCAUGAUUCAAAACCUAUCCUUUUCAGGAAAGGAAGACAAAAACCCUUACCUUCACAUUAGAGAUUUUGAGCAAACAUGUGAUUGUCUUCGCAUUGAAGGCAUUUCUGAUAAAACUUUACGUUGGAAGCUUUUUCCUUUUUCUUUAAGGGUGUUGACACUUGCUAACACCACUUGAAUACUAGGUUGUCAUCCCCAGCAUGGCACUAGAGUGUACUAUGGUAUUUAUAUGCACACAGAUAAUCCGCAAGCGCACGGAUACCGUUGAAGCUUUUACCCGGUUAAAGGUUUUAUCGUAUCCACAGGGAAACGGGAGAACCAACUACGCUCUAACUUAACCAAGAUAGAUAGAUAGGUGUAAAUAGGAAAGAUGAUAGAAUUGAAUAAGAACAAUAUUAUAGGUAAGAUAACAGUGAGUGAUAAUAUGGGAAUAGAUAAUAGAGCAAUUCUAGUAUAUGGGCGAUGGUAGCAGAAUAGAGAGGAUAACUAUGGUUUCUCUACUUCAAAGGGGUAUGUCUAUGUCUGGGACGAACCACGUGAUAAGAGUACACCACAAAUGAUGCUUAUCCAUAGGCCGAUAAACCCUACCCGUCCUGCUAACGAGAGGUGGACUACAGGGGACCAACGUAACUGUCACCUACGUGGCCUACCACAUGAUCUAGCUAGUCAGGGGAUAUCCACAAGUAAUCUAGGUCUAAGCACCACGCUUACACCUAUACUACAACUCUAACCUAUAGGGUCCUAUAGAUUAGAAGUACUCAAAAGAGUUGUGAACUAGAACAUACAUGAUUAGUAAUUGCAUAAUGAAUUAGAAGUAGAUUACCAGAGUCAUCCCAUGAGCAAGCUUGAUUAGAGCUUGAUCAUUGUGAAGUACAACCGGAGGAAGAACCGACAGGCCGGCCUCUCCUCUAAUCCUCCUUCGCUCUCCAUCUCGCUACUAUCUAGAUCUACUCUAGUUUAGAGAAGAGAGGAGAGCUCUCAUCUCUAAACCCUAGCUUUUGCUCUGUCUAUGAAUAAUGAAUAAUGAUCAAGGGGUUGUCUCCUCCAGGGGCCAGGGGGUCUGGUUUUAUAGUCCCCUCAAGUGAACCUGGGCCGUCGGAUCAAACCGACAUUGAUUGAACGGUUAUUCUUGAUCCUUUAGGUCGGUGGAGCAUAAUCCGCGAGAUUGAGCGUGAUUGGCCACAGGAGGUGGGCGGGCGCCCAGUAGGACAGGGCGGGCACCCUGCCUGUGGCCCCGAUUCGCCUCCGCUUCGGUCUCGUGGCUUCUGGAGUCUUCUAGAUGUAAGAUAAUUGCGCGGCACGUUAAUAUCUUUACGUAAUCCCGACGUGUGGGCCUUUCUUCCUUAUUUCCUGAUAACCCCCUGCAGAAAUAGACAAACACCAAAACUCGUGGAAUUCUGUCAGAUAAAACCCUAAGUCUAGAUGUUGAUUUCAUUUGGAUCCAUUUCUUUGUUUAUUUGAUAAUUAAAUUUGAUACUUAAGGACCGUCAACAAACUCCCCCAAGCUUACCUCUUGCUCGUCCCUGAGCAAGGAUAGACUCAGCUAUAGAUCAUAAGUUGUUGCAAUAUCUUUAAAAAUUGACGGUACACAUGCUUUUAAAUGAGGUCUCAUCUCUGAGUUAGAGUAAACUGUCAAGACUUAAAACUUACUUACUUUACCUUUCACCAUGGGACUUGUAACCGUCACUUCUGUCUUGAGUGGUUAAAAGAUAGAACAGUCCAGUCAAGUGCCAUGUCGCUUAUUCUUGAUCAGCUAUAGCUCUGGAGUUUUUGCAGAUUUUCAAAUAAAACUCAGAGAUUCCUUUGUAUGACUCUCUCAUAUCUCUCUUUUGUGGUAUUUCUGGAUCCUUACCAAUGCAGUGAUGGUAUAUGCCUUCUCUCAAAACAUGUGGUAUUUGUGGUAUAAGGCAUAGUGACAUUGCCUUCUCUCUCACCCUACUCUAAUAAGGCUUUAAUAUCUGGAGCUCAUAGGUGGGAGAUAAAGUAUACAUACUUACAAGACAUGUAUUGCAUAGUCAAACCAUGGAUCCAAAGAAAUAAAUCAAUAAGCCAAAUCAAGAUGUGCAUGUGUGGCGAAUGAAUAGUGUAUGGUGAUGAUGGUGAUAACAAUGGUGAAAGUCUAAUUCUACUUUUGCUCUUUUAAGGGGAUACAUACCUUCCUUGCUUUUUGAAACUUUAUGAGGAGAAUGAGAUGCUCUUCUUUUUCUUUUCUCUCAGAUGGGUAUCCUGUACCCCUAAUUCUACUGUCAGACACUUGUCCAUUUUUACCUCUCGUCUCACUCUUUUUCUUUUCUUUCGAGGUUCCGGGCACUUGCCCCUUUUUAUUUCCUCGUUUAUUUUUUUUCUUUUCUUUUUUUUCUUCUUUUUUUUCAGAGCACUCAUCUCUUGAGAUAAUAUAGCAAGUGGUAGUAGCAAGAUAACUUGAGCAUUUAUUUCACAAGGGAAAAACACAGAUGUUUUUGGCUAUUCUCUCCCGAAUUAGGAGUAGAAUAUUUUUAGGUGAUUCUGGAGAUGGAAAUGGAUGGAUAUAUAUGGAUGGUACUUCCGGAGUAGAAGUAGCAUAUAUAUGAGUGAACGUGCAAGUGAAUCUUGAUUUAACCACAUGACAAGCUCCUAAGGGUCUACACAGCUUGACCACACUCAAUGCUCAUAAGCAGUAAAUAAUAAAUGUGUGGCUCAAAGUCUAGCAAGCAUGUAUAUAUGGCUGUGGUAGGAAUUUAAACUUUCAUCAUACAGGAACUCAUCAUGCAACAUUUUAAAGAUUUUUCAAAGAUAAAAUUCUCCAGAAUUCUAGCAUCUCUAGGAACAGAUAAACAGCAGCUCAACCUUCCCAUAUCUUAUCCGUUAACAACUUAGAUUUUAGAUCAAGUUUUCAUCCCACAAGUUUAGAUCUAGAGCAAGCUUUAAAUUAUAACAGUUAUGUCUAAACUUGAGAGAGAACUUCAAAUUUGCAAAUUAGGCAGAGCAACUAUUCAUCAUAUCCAUGCUAGAGUUUUAUUAUUAAGAUUCAUAGCAAACUUUAUUUAUUUAUUUAUUUAUUUAUUUAGCAAACUAAGAAAAGUAUAUAUAUAUAAGCAUAAAAUCUUUAUUUGGUUUUUCAUAGUUUAUGUAUUUUAAUAUUCUAAUAUAAUAUAAGUAUAAAGAUAGGUAGAAAUACUUAGCGAGAUAAAUAGGGGUGCUCUCCCUCAAGCUGAAUUUUGACGUAAUUUCUCUUGAUGUAGCUAGCAGGUGGCAGAGGUGUAUUUGAAAGUCAGCAGCAUUCUGACAGCAAUUAGAAUAUCCUCUAUCUUUCGGCGAGGGUUCAAUGUUUUAAGUCUUCUUAACAAGACUUCUCACCGUGUUCAUUCUUCAGGUGCGUCAUUUGAUUCAGGUGCGGACCUUGACGUCUGCACCUCUUGAUACGGUGUCGCCCAUAUUCUUCGUUUGCCCAGCAGUUCGAAGUGCGGUGUUAGCAGUAUCUUGCUCAAUGUGUUUGUGCUCGUAGUGUACCUGCUCAUAGAGACAAGGCAGAGAUCAAGUGAACCAAAAGUGUAUUUGUUCUUCUCUAACCUUAAGCAUAGUGAGCAAGACAAGUUGAUGGAUGAUAAGUUCAUGAGUGUAGCACUUAUAACAUUUGUCAGAUCAGAUCGCUCAACCUUAUGGAAAGAUAAUCUAUCUAUGUAUAUGUCUUUUUAUUUAUAUCUCUCAAUGAUUGAAUGUGUAACAUUUUAGCUCAUAUGAUUAGGAGUGUGGGAUCAUGGAGGUAGUACUAAGAACAAGGAUUAAAGGACUAAACAUGUUGAAUCAGUUGGGUUGGUUAAUCUAGAGUUGUAAAUCAUACACGUUUGUCUCUUUUAUUUAUAUGAACGCCAGAACCAAGGAGAAGCUUAUAAAAGUGAUAGUCAAGUACCUUAGGAUGUUACCUUGCUUGAAAAGUGAUGGUACAGUAUCACCUUGUGGAAGCUUUCCUUUCUUAGCGGUUGUGCAUCGUGUUCGUGGCACCCUCCAUGGAUCUUCACUUUAUGAUGAAUGAGCUAUGUCCUUCUUGUGCUAAUUGUUAAACUUCAUGUGUCACUUUCUUCGUCUCUGAUGUGAGUUUAUCUCAGGACUUCCCAAAUCGAUAUUGAAAGUUUUUCUGCAGGGGUUAGUCCAACAAAAUAUACCAAUAUCUACUCAAGCAGUUUUUAGUUCAAUAACCAAACUAGACUCCUUGUCUAAUCAGAUUAAGGAAGGCUAUUUAACCUAAGCACCAUGCUUAAUUUAAAUGCCAAUGGAAGUAUGGCGAGUACUUCCAAACCAACACUUGCUAGUAAAUAGACAACGGUAGCAUGACAGCGUUUAUAGAGAUCUACUCAAGUGGAGAUGAAGUAGUGUGAUUAGUAUUUAACAAAUUGAGCAUGUCUCAAAGGUAGGGACAACCAGCAUAGCAACAUGGCAAAGGAUGUUUUUAUGUAAAGUACUCCCCCAAGCUUGAAUUUUGCAAAAAUUCAAGUUUGGAUGAAUUUAAUUCAAUGUUGUAUGAUGAUUGGUUGGACAUACCUUGUGCUUGUCAUUCAUCCGAUCUUCUUGCUCCAAUCUUAGAAAGGUUAGUGACAAGAAUACCCGAAGGAAUAUAUUUUUUUUACAAUUAUCCUUAUAUGCUCAAUACACAAGGUAAUGUUGCAAAUAAUUAAAGGCUCAUGUUACGAUCUGAUCAAUGCUUAUUUUAAGACACUAAGCUUGUCCUUGGGAAACCAUCAGUUUAUGUUGGCGAAGUGGUUUCCCCUCCGACGCCAACCUAUAUCUAGAUCAACUCAACGAGAUCUGCAAUAUUUAUUAUAGACAUAUGCAUCGACAACCGCCCUUUUAAAGUUUUUAUAAAUAGAAAGGAAGAGGGGGUUGGAGAUCUCAAGUGUGGUGAUGUCGGAGAGACCAAUAGAUUGGGAAGAUGUUGCAUAUGAGCAUGGAGUAAACGAAGUGGCUAUGAAAUAAAUUCCAUGCUCAUUAAUGUUAUCUUCGUCUCUAAUCUGAAUGUUCGGAGUUUCUCCUGGAUUGGUCUCACCUAUGUCCUGUUCUGUAGUUGGAUGAAUCUCAUCUUCAAAGGGAGUCAAGAACUCACCAUUUGAAAUUGAGCCAAAGUCAGAACCUAUUAAGGCUUCUUUCUUAUCCAUCCAUUCUACACAUUCUAGCCAUUUAGAACUUGUGAUCAAAAUAGGGGAGGUGUUAGAAUUUUCUAUAUGGCUUAGCUCUCCUUCUAUGGCAUUACUUGACAUGCCAUCCUUAUGGUCUUCAUGACUCCUAUGGUUUGGUCGUCUUGGUGAAUUGCUAGGAUCAUCAUGAGAGUGAAAAGAAGAGGGAUAAGAGGGAUCUCUAAGGUCAAGGAUGGAUUUAGAACUUGUGAACAUGGAAGGGGAGUAGAUAGAAUUGUCUAUAUGGCUUAGCUCUCCUUCACUUGAUAUGUCAUCCUCGACUUCUUCAUGAUAGGAACCAGGACAUUCUCUAAGAGAAACAUUAUUGCAAUGAUUUGAAUUAUCCCUGCUUGAAGGUCUCUUAUAGAACUAGAAGUCUAAACCAUCAGCAUUUAAAAGAUUUAAGGUCGGAAUUCCUUCCUCCCUUGGAGAAUUUUGGGGUAUUGAUGGUUUAGAAUCGAUAGCUAAAGUUUGGGAUUGAAGUGGUUGUGAUCUGGCUAUCAAAACUUCUUCUUCUUGUCUAGGAACUGGUUCUUUCUCUUUCUCAGGGAUAUAAAAGCUAGGAGACUUUCCGCUCAUUAAAUCAAUCAAAUUCCAAGCUUCACUAGCGGAUAUGUGGUGGAAAGAUCCUCCAGAGGCCGCAUGAAGGGUUUGCCUAUUUUUCCUACUAAGGCCCUCAAAAAAGUGAAUUAGAAGAACUUCUUCUGGAAUAGAAAGUUUUGGGCCAGUGAGAGUAAGGUUAAUAAAGCGGUCCCAUGAUUUGCCAAGAGAUUCUUCUUCCAGUUGUCUAAAAGAAAGAAUCUCACGCCGAAGUUCCACCACUUUGGAGAUUGGAAAAUAUUUAGAUAGAAAACUACUAUAUAACUCCUUCCAAUCUCCAUGAACACUCCCUACUUUAAGUUUAUACCAAUGUCUAGCUUUUCCCGUUAAAGAGAACGGAAAGAGCUUCCAUUUAAGGGUCUCAUCGGACAUGCCUUCUAUGCGAAGGAGGUCACAGACUCGAUAAAACUCUCUAAGGUGUGUGUAUGGGUUUUCCUCACCUUCUCCUGAGAAAGGUUGUUUUUGAAUAAAUUCUAUGUAUUCGGGGUCUAUCUCAAAACUAGAUGCUAUGAUAGGCUUUGAAGAUUUUGGUGGUUCGAGAUGUGUGCCCAUAGGUCUAUGAAAUUCAUAGAUAGACAUGUUUGAAUUCAUGAUAGACCAGAGAUCAAGGAUUAGAUAAGAAGAAAGAUUAGCAGAGAUGAGGCAAAGGAUAAAAGGAAAAUAUUUUUUUUAUUAUUUUUUUUAAAAAAAUGAUUAAGCUAGUUCGUAGUCAACUCAGCAACCGUUUCCCCGGCAACGGUGCCAAAAAUGCUUGUUGACACUUGCUAACACCACUUGAAUACUAGGUUGUCAUCCCCAGCAUGGCACUAGAGUGUACUAUGGUAUUUAUACGCACACAGAUAAUCCGCAAGCGCACGGAUACCGUUGAAGCUUUUACCCGGUUAAAGGUUUUAUCGUAUCCACAGGGAAACGGGAGAACCAACUACGCUCUAACUUAACCAAGAUAGAUAGAUAGGUGUAAAUAGGAAAGAUGAUAGAAUCGAAUAAGAACAAUAUUAAAGGUAAGAUAACAGUGAGUGAUAAUAUGGGAAUAGAGAAUAGAGCAAUUCUAGUAUAUGGGCGAUGGUAGCAGAAUAGAGAGGAUAACUAUGGUUUCUCUACUUCAAAGGGGUAUGUCUAUGUCUGGGACGAACCACGUGAUAAGAGUACACCACAAAGGAUGCUUAUCCAUAGGCCGAUAAACCCUACCCGUCCUGCUAACGAGAGGUGGACUACAGGGGACCAACGUAACUGUCACCUACGCGGCCUACCACAUGAUCUAGCUAGUCGGGGGAUAUCCACAAGUAAUCUAGGUCUAAGCACCACGCUUACACCUAUACUACAACUCUAACCUAUAGGGUCCUAUAGAUUAGAAGUACUCAAAAGAGUUGUGAACCAGAACAUACAUGAUUAGUAAUUGCAUAAUGAAUUAGAAGUAGAUUACCAGAGUCAUCCCAUGAGCAAGCUUGAUUAGAGCUUGAUCAUGGCGAAGUACAACCGGAGGAAGAACAGACAGGCCGGCCUCUCCUCUAAUCCUCCUUCGCUCUCCACCUCGCUACUAUCUAGAUCUACUCUAGUUUAGAGAAGAGAGGAGAGCUCUCAUCUCUAAACCCUAGCUUUUGCUCUGUCUAUGAAUAAUGAAUAAUGAUCAAGGGGUUGUCUCCUCCAGGGGCCAGGGGGUCUGGUUUUAUAGUCCCCUCAAGUGAACCUGGGCCGUCGGAUCAAACCGACAUUGAUUGAACGGUUAUUCUUGAUCCUUUAGGUCGGUGGAGCAUAAUCCGCGAGAUUGAGCGUGAUUGGCCACAGGAGGUGGGCGGGCACCCAGUAGGACAGGGCGGGCACCCUGUCUCUGGCCCCGAUUCGCCUCCGCUUCGGUCUCGUGGCUUCUGGAGUCUUCUAGAUGUAAGAUAAUUGCGCGGCACGUUAAUAUCUUUACGUAAUCCCGACGUGUGGGCCUUUCUUCCUUAUUUCCUGAUAACCCCCUGCAGAAAUAGACAAACACCAAAACUCGUAGAAUUCUGUCAAAUAAAACCCUAAGUCUAGAUGUUGAUUUCAUUUGGAUCCUUUUCUUUGUUUAUUUGAUAAUUAAAUUUGAUACUUAAGGACCGUCAACAAACUCCCCCAAGCUUACCUCUUGCUCGUCCCUGAGCAAGGAUAGACUCAGCUAUAGAUCAUAAGUUGUUGCAAUAUCUUUAAUAAUUGACGGUACACAUGCUUUUACAUGAGGUCUCAUCUCUGAGUUAGAGUAAACUGUCAAGACUUAAAACUUACUUACUUUACCUUUCACCAUGGGACUUGUAACCGUCACUUCUGUCUUGAGUGGUUAAAAGCUAGAACAGUCCAGUCAAGUGCCAUGUCGCUUAUUCUUGAUCAGCUAUAGCUCUGGAGUUUUUGCAGAUUUUCAAAUAAAACUCAGAGAUUCCUUUGUAUGACUCUCUCAUAUCUCUCUUUUGUGGUAUUUCUGGAUCCUUACCAAGGCAGUGAUGGUAUAUGCCUUCUCUCAAAACAUGUGGUAUUUGUGGUAUAAGGCAUAGUGACAUUGCCUUCUCUCUCACCCUACUCUAAUAAGGCUUUAAUAUCUGGAGCUCAUAGGUGGGAGAUAAAGUAUACAUACUUACAAGACAUGUAUUGCAUAGUCAAACCAUGGAUCCAAAGAAACAAAUCAAUAAGCCAAAUCAAGAUGUGCAUGUGUGGCGAAUGAAUAGUGUAUGGUGAUGAUGGUGAUAACAAUGGUGAAAGUCUAAUUCUACUUUUGCUCUUUUGAGGGGAUACAUACCUUCCUUGCUUUUUGAAACUUUAUGAGAAGAAUGAGAUGCUAUUCUUUUUCUUUUCUCUCACAUGGGUAUCCUGUACCCCUAAUUCUACUGUCGGACACUUGUCCAUUUUUACCUCUCGUCUCACUCUUUUUCUUUUCUUUCGAGGUUCCGGGCACUUGCCCCUUUUUAUUUCCUCGUUUAUUUUUUUUUUCUUUUCUUUUUUUCUUCUUCUUUUUUUUCAGAGCACUCAUCUCUUGAGAUAAUAUAGCAAGUGGUAGUAGCAAGAUAACUUGAGCAUUUAUUUCACAAGGGAAAAACACAGAUGUUUUUGGCUAUUCUCUCCCGAAUUAGGAGUACAAUAUUUUUAGGUGAUUCUGGAGAUGGAAAUGGAUGGAUAUAUAUGGAUGGUACUUUCGGAGUAGAAGUAGCAUAUAUAUGAGUGAACGUGCAAGUGAAUCUUGAUUUAACCACAUGACAAGCUCCUAAGGGUCUACACAGCUUGACCACACUCAAUGCUCAUAAGCAGUAAAUAAUAAAUGUGUGGCUCAAAGUCUAGCAAGCAUGUAUAUAUGGCUGUGGUAGGAAUUUAAACUUUCAUCAUACAGGAACUCAUCAUGCAACAUUUUAAAGAUUUUUCAAAGAUAAAAUUCUCCAGAAUUCUAGCAUCUCUAGGAACAGAUAAACAGCAGCUCAACCUUCCCAUAUCUUAUCCGUUAACAACUUAGAUUUUAGAUCAAGUUUUCAUCCCACAAGUUUAGAUCUAGAGCAAGCUUUAAAUUAUAACAUCUAUGUCUAAACUUGAGAGAGAACUUCAAAUUUGCAAAUUAGGCAGAGCAACUAUUCAUCAUAUCCAUGCUAGAGUUUUAUUAUUAAGAUUCAUAGCAAACUUUAUUUAUUUAUUUAUUUAUUUAGCAAACUAAGAAAAGUAUAUAUAUAUAAGCAUAAAAUCUUUAUUUGGUUUUUCAUAGUUUAUGUAUUUUAAUAUUCUAAUAUAAUAUAAGUAUAAAGGUAGGUAUAAAUACUUAGCGAGAUAAAUAGGGGUGCUCUCCCUCAAGCUGAAUUUUGACGUAAUUUCUCUUGAUGUAGCUAGCAGGUGGCAGAGGGGUAUUUGAAAGUCAGCAGCAUUCUGACAGCAAUUAGAAUAUCCUCUAUCUUUCGGCGAGGGUUCAAUGUUUUAAGUCUUCUUAACAAGACUUCUCACCGUGUUCAUUCUUCAGGUGCGUCAUUUGAUUCAGGUGCGGACCUUGACGUCUGCACCUCUUGAUACGGUGUCACCCAUAUUCUUCGUUUGCCCAGCAGUUCGAAGUGCGGUGUUAGCAGUAUCUUGCUCAAUGUGUUUGUGCCCGUAGUGUACCUGCUCAUAGAGACAAGGCAGAGAUCAAGUGAACCAAAAGUGUAUUUGUUCUUCUCUAACCUUAAGCAUAGUGAGCAAGACAAGUUGAUGGAUGAUAAGUUCAUGAGUGUAGCACUUAUAACAUUUGUCAGAUCAGAUCGCUCAACCUUAUGGAAAGAUAAUAUAUCUAUGUAUAGGUCUUUUUAUUUAUAUCUCUCAAUGAUUGAAUGUGUAACAUUUUAGCUCAUAUGAUUAGGAGUGUGGGAUCAUGGAGGUAGUACUAAGAACAAGGAUUAAAGGACUAAACAUGUUGAAUCAGUUGGGUUGGUUAAUCUAGAGUUGUAAAUCAUACACGUUUGUCUCUUUUAUUUAUAUGAACGCCAGAACCAAGGAGAAGCUUAUAAAAGUGAUAGUCAAGUACCUUAGGAUGUUACCUUGCUUGAAAAGUGAUGGUACAGUAUCACCUUGUGGAAGCUUUCCUUUCUUAGCGGUUGUGCAUCGUGUUCGUGGCACCCUCCAUGGAUCUUCACUUUAUGAUGAAUGAGCUAUGUCCUUCUUGUGCUAAUUGUUAAACUUCAUGUGUCACUUUCUUCGUCUCUGAUGUGAGUUUAUCUCAGGACUUCCCAAAUCGAUAUUGAAAGUUUUUCUGCAGGGGUUAGUCCGACAAAAUAUACCAAUAUCUACUCAAGCAGUUUUUAGUUCAAUAACCAAACUAGACUCCAUGUCUAAUCAGAUUAAGGAAGGCUAUUUAACCUAAGCACCAUGCUUUAUUUAAAUGCCAAUGGAAGUAUGGCGAGUACUUCCAAACCAACACUUGCUAGUAAAUAGACAACGGUAGCAUGACAGCGUUUAUAGAGAUCUACUCAAGUGGAGAUGAAGUAGUGUGAUUAGUAUUUAACAAAUUGAGCAUGUCUCAAAGGUAGGGACAACCAGCAUAGCAACAUGGCAAAGGAUGUUUUUAUGUAAAGUACUCCCCCAAGCUUGAAUUUUGCAAAAAUUCAAGUUUGGAUGAAUUUAAUUCAAUGUUGUAUGAUGAUUGGUUGGACAUACCUUGUGCUUGUCAUUCAUCCGAUCUUCUUGCUCCAAUCUUAGAAAGGUUAGUGACAAGAAUACCCGAAGGAAUAUAUUUUUUUUUACAAUUAUCCUUAUAUGCUCAAUACACAAGGUAAUGUUGCAAAUAAUUAAAGGCUCAUGUUACGAUCUGAUCAAUGCUUAUUUUAAGACACUAAGCUUGUCCUUGGGAAACCAUCAGUUUAUGUUGGCGAAGUGGUUUCCCCUCCGACGCCAACCUAUAUCUAGAUCAACUCAACGUGAUCUGCAAUAUUUAUUAUAGACAUAUGCAUCGACAACCGCCCUUUUAAAGUUUUUAUAAAUUGAAAGGAAGAGGGGGUUGGAGAUCUCAAGUGUGGUGAUGUCGGAGAGACCAAUAGAUUGGGAAGAUGUUGCAUAUGAGCAUGGAGUAAACGAAGUGGCUAUGAAAUAAAUUCCAUGCUCAUUAAUGUUAUCUUCGUCUCUAAUCUGAAUGUUCGGAGUUUCUCCUGGAUUGGUCUCACCUAUGUCCUGUUCUGUAGUUGGAUGAAUCUCAUCUUCAAAGGGAGUCAAGAACUCACCAUUUGAAAUUGAGCCAAAGUCAGAACCUAUUAAGGCUUCUUUCUUAUCCAUCCAUUCUACACAUUCUAGCCAUUUAGAACUUGUGAUCAAAAUAGGGGAGGUGUUAGAAUUUUCUAUAUGGCUUAGCUCUCCUUCUAUGGCAUUACUUGACAUGCCAUCCUUAUGGUCUUCAUGACUCCUAUGGUUUGGUCGUCUUGGUGAAUUGCUAGGAUCAUCAUGAGAGUGAAAAGAAGAGGGAUAAGAGGGAUCUCUAAGGUCAAGGAUGGAUUUAGAACUUGUGAACAUGGAAGGGGAGUAGAUAGAAUUGUCUAUAUGGCUUAGCUCUCCUUCACUUGAUAUGUCAUCCUCGACUUCUUCAUGAUAGGAACCAGGACAUUCUCUAAGAGAAACAUUAUUGCAAUGAUUUGAAUUAUCCCUGCUUGAAGGUCUCUUAUAGAACCAGAAGUCUAAACCAUCAGCAUUUAAAAGAUUUAAGGUCGGAAUUCCUUCCUCCCUUGGAGAAUUUUGGGGUAUUGAUGGUUUAGAAUCGAUAGCUAAAGUUUGGGAUUGAAGUGGUUGUGAUCUGGCUAUCAAAACUUCUUCUUCUUGUCUAGGAACUGGUUCUUUCUCUUUCUCAGGGAUAUAAAAGCUAGGAGACUUUCCGCUCAUUAAAUCAAUCAAAUUCCAAGCUUCACUAGCGGAUAUGUGGUGGAAAGAUCCUCCAGAGGCCGCAUGAAGGGUUUGCCUAUUUUUCCUACUAAGGCCCUCAAAAAAGUGAAUUAGAAGAACUUCUUCUGGAAUAGAAAGUUUUGGGCCAGUGAGAGUAAGGUUAAUAAAGCGGUCCCAUGAUUUGCCAAGAGAUUCUUCUUCCAGUUGUCUAAAAGAAAGAAUCUCACGCCGAAAUUCCACCACUUUGGAGAUUGGAAAAUAUUUAGAAAGAAAACUACUAUAUAACUCCUUCCAAUCUCCAUGAACACUCCCUACUUUAAGUUUAUACCAAUGUCUAGCUUUUCCCGUUAAAGAGAACGGAAAGAGCUUCCAUUUAAGGGUCUCAUCGAACAUGCCUUCUAUGCGAAGGAGGUCACAGACUCGAUAAAACUCUCUAAGGUGUGUGUAUGGGUUUUCCUCACCUUCUCCUGAGAAAGGUUGUUUUUGAAUAAAUUCUAUGUAUUCGGGGUCUAUCUCAAAACUAGAUGCUAUGAUAGGCUUUGAAGAUUUUGGUGGUUCGAGAUGUGUGCCCAUAGGUCUAUGAAAUUCAUAGAUAGACUUGUUUGAAUUCAUGAUAGACCAGAGAUCAAGGAUUAGAUAAGAAGAAAGAUUAGCAGAGAUGAGGCAAAGGAUAAAAGGAAAUUAUUUUUUUAUUAUUUUUUUUAAAAAAAUGAUUAUGCUAGUUCGUAGUCAACUCAGCAACCGUUUCCCCGGCAACGGUGCCAAAAAUGCUUGUUGACACUUGCUAACACCACUUGAAUACUAGGUUGUCAUCCCCAGCAUGGCACUAGAGUGUACUAUGGUAUUUAUACGCACACAGAUAAUCCGCAAGCGCACGGAUACUGUUGAAGCUUUUACCCAGUUAAAGGUUUUAUCGUAUCCACAGGGAAACGGGAGAACCAACUACGCUCUAACUUAACCAAGAUAGAUAGAUAGGUGUAAAUAGGAAAGAUGAUAGAAUCGAAUAAGAACAAUAUUAAAGGUAAGAUAACAGUGAGUGAUAAUAUGGGAAUAGAGAAUAGAGCAAUUCUAGUAUAUGGGCGAUGGUAGCAGAAUAGAGAGGAUAACUAUGGUUUCUCUACUUCAAAGGGGUAUGUCUAUGUCUGGGACGAACCACGUGAUAAGAGUACACCACAAAGGAUGCUUAUCCAUAGGCCGAUAAACCCUACCCGUCCUGCUAACGAGAGGUGGACUACAGGGGACCAACGUAACUGUCACCUACGCGGCCUACCACACGAUCCAGCUAGUCACGGGAUAUCCACAAGUAAUCUAGGUCUAAGCACCACGCUUACACCUAUACUACAACUCUAACCUAUAGGGUCCUAUAGAUUAGAAGUACUCCAAAGAGUUGUGAACCAGAACAUACAUGAUUAGUAAUUGCAUAAUGAAUUAGAAGUAGAUUACCAGAGUCAUCCCAUGAGCAAGCUUGAUUAGAGCUUGAUCAUGGCGAAGUACAACCGGAGGAAGAACCGACAGGCCGGCCUCUCCUCUAAUCCUCCUUCGCUCUCCAUCUCGCUACUAUCUAGAUCUACUCUAGUUUAGAGAAGAGAGGAGAGCUCUCAUCUCUAAACCCUAGUUUUUCUCUGUCUAUGAAUAAUGAAUAAUGAUCAAGGGGUUGUCUCCUCCAGGGGCCAGGGGGUCUGGUUUUAUAGUCCCCUCAAGUGAACCUGGGCCGUCGGAUCAAACCGACAUUGAUUGAACGGUUAUUCUUGAUCCUUUAGGUCGGUGGAGCAUAAUCCGCGAGAUUGAACGUGAUUGGCCACAGGAGGUGGGCGGGCGCCCAGUAGGACAGGGUGGGCGCCCUGUCUCUGGCCCCGAUUCGCCUCCGCUUCGGUCUCGUGGCUUCUGGAGUCUUCUAGAUGUAAGAUAAUUGCGCGGCACGUUAAUAUCUUUACGUAAUCCCGACGUGUGGGCCUUUCUUCCUUAUUUCCUGAUAACCCCCUGCAGAAAUAGACAAACACCAAAACUCGUGGAAUUCUGUCAGAUAAAACCCUAAGUCUAGAUGUUGAUUUCAUUUGGAUCCUUUUCUUUGUUUAUUUGAUAAUUAAAUUUGAUACUUAAGGACCGUCAACAAAGGGGAGAAGCUAGACAAUGGUAUAGUCAGAAGGUAAGUCAACAACGAGGUGAAUGGGGAGUCUUACGAGCCAACUUUUGUGUAGAUUUUUAUUCCCUUGACCGUAUCGGCGACCUUAGACUCGAAGUCCUAUCUUUUAAACAAAAAGAUAAUGAAACUUUGGGAAAAUCCUGGAAAUGUUUUUCUGAUCUUUUAGAAUCUGGUCCAAACCUUAAUCCUGAAGACCCUGUUCUUUUAUUUCACUUUAGAAAUACCCUUCAUGAUCAUAAACAAAUGCUACAUACAAUGUCUAGAGGUUCUUUCUUUCGCAUCCCUACUGAUGAUGCUAGAGUGAUCCUAGAUAGAAUCCUAGAAGUUGAGAUAGAUAAUACCCUUCAUGAUGAAACCCACGAAGCCGAAGUAGACACUCUACCAAAUUCUCCAUCUACUUUAGCUAUCCCAAGUUCUGAGCCACAAAAGGAAGAAAUUCCACCACCUGAUUUCAUGCUGGAUAUAGAAUCUGAUCUUUUUGCCAAUUUUGGGAACAUUUCAAACUACCAUUCUAUAGGCAGACCCCAAAACGGCCAUUUUAGCAUUUGUUUGCCAACUGAACAUCAAUUGAGAGAGCUUAUCAUAGUCAUGAGUAGCGAAUGGUUGGAGGAGUCAGAGCUUUCCUCUGAUGUGAUCCGUUUGGACACACCUCCUAUAACUAUACCUUGUGCUUAUGAUUCUGAUCGAUUUGAUGCUCUCUAUAAUCCUGUUGUGGGGAUCAACAUCAUGUCUGAAUCUUUUGCACUUAAAUUAUUUAAAAAUUUGGUCCUAACCCCCACAACAAAAGUCAUAAAGGAAUCUUCGGGACGAUUAGUCCCCAGUCUUGGAAUUAUUAAUGUCCUACCUCUUAUGGUAGAAGGCUCCAUAAUUCAUUUGAACUUCUAUAUCUUUGAUACAUGGGACUUCGACCUGUUGAUAGGACAACCUUUUAGAAGACUCCUUUAUGAAGGUCAUACUGGAAAGCUACACAUUUAUUUUGGAAAAACUUUUAAAUUUCCAAUAACAAUUUUUCACUCCUUAAAUAAUAAGACCGAGUCAUAUCUUUUGCCCGAUCCUAUGGAGGAGGUAAAGGGUGCAUCUCUAGAGCUUUUUGAUGAACCAGACUUAGAAGACAAAGCUCCUUUCUUCACAGAAGAAGAGGCCGAACCUUCUGAACCUGAACCCUUGGACGAGUUUGCAGAAACACCUAGACCUCCCAUAGAGCUUAAAACUUUACCACCCGGUCUUAUCUAUGCUUUCCUAAACAAUAGUCCAGAGUUUCCUAUGAUCAUUAGUGAUAAACUCACUCAGGAUUAAACUCUACGAUUGAUGACCAUUCUUGAGAAACAUCACUCAGUUUUUGGCUACUCACUCCAAGAUCUGAUAGGAAUCAGUCCUAUGAUUUGUACCCAUCGUAUUCCAAUAGAUCCUUCUGUUUCACCUUCUCGAGAGCCCCAACGUAGACUUAACAACGCGAUGAGAGAGGUAGUUAAAAAGGAAGUUAUAAAGUUGCUGCAUACAGGUAUUAUAUAUCCUGUGCCGCACAGUGAGUGGGUGAGCCUAGUUCAAGUUGUGCCUAAAAAGGGAGGCAUGACUGUUGUUACGAAUGAAAAGAACGAGCUAAUUCUGCAAUGCACCGUCACAGGGUGGCAGAUGUUAUAGAAAACUGAAAAAAACCACAAAAAAGGAUCAUUUUCCUUUAACUUUCAUAGAUGAGAUGCUAGAGCGAUUAGCGAACCAUUUCAUUCUUCUGUUUCUUAGAUGGAUAUUCAGGGUAUCACUAGAUCACGAUCCAUCCCGAUGAUCAAAGCAAAACCACUUUUACAUGCCCAUAUGGAACUUAUGCUUACCGUAGAAUGUCUUUUGGGUUAUGUAAUUCACCAGCUUCUUUUCAAAGAUGCAUGAUGUCUAUAUUUUCUGAUAUGAUUCAAGAGAUUAUGGAAGUUUUCAUGGAUGAUUUCUCUGUAUAUGGAAAAACUUUUGAUAGUUGUCUUGAAAACUUAGACAAGGUUUUGCCAAGAUGUGAAGAAAAGCACUUAGUCCUUAAUUGGGAAAAAUGUCAUUUUAUGGUUAGGGAAGGAAUAGUGCUAGGACACCUAGUGUCUGAAAGAGGUAUUGAGGUAGACAAAGCUAAAAUUGAAGUAAUUGAAUGACUACCUCCACCUGUGAAUAUAAAAGGAAUUCGAAGCUUUCUUGGCCAUGCUGGUUUUUAUCGCAGAUUCAUAAAAGAUUUUUCAUUUAUUGCUAGACCACUUACUCUUUUGCUAGCCAAGGAUGCUCCUUUCGAAUUUGAUGAUGCAUGCCUAACAUCUUUCAAUUUAUUAAAGAAUGCACUCAUCUCUGCACCAAUCAUUCAACCCCCUGAUUGGUCGUUGCCUUUUGAAAUUAUGUGUGAUGCUAGUGAUUAUGCUGUGGGGGCAGUUUUGGGACAAACUAAAAAUAAGAAGCAUCAUGCAAUUGCUUAUGCUAGUAAAACUUUGACAUGAGGUCAACUUAAUUAUGCAACCACUGAAAAAGAGCUUCUAACCAUUGUCUUUGCCAUUGAUAAAUUUAGAUCUUAUUUAGUUGGAGCUAAAAUAAUUGUUUACACUGAUCAUGCUGCACUAAAAUAUCUGCUCACUAAAAAAUACGCUAAACCUCGCCUGAUUAGAUGGAUCUUAUUACUUCAAUAAUUUGACCUAGAAAUAAAAGACAAAAAGGGAGUAGAAAAUUCUGUUGCUGAUCACUUGUCUAGAAUGUACUUUAAGAAUCCACAGAAAACCCCCAUCAAUGAUUCACUCCGGGACGACAUGCUCUAUGGGAUUAACAGGUCUGAGCCCUGGUUGCAGAUAUUGUUAAUUUUCUGGUUUCAUGGUAUGUACCACCAGGAGCAAACAAGAAGAAGCUUAUUCAAGAAAGUCGUUCACAUAUACGGGAUGAGCCAUACCUCUUCCGAGUAUGCUCUGAUGGCUUACUCAGGAGAUGUUUGACCACCGAAGAAGGAUGGAAGAUCAUCGACAGGCGUCAUUCAUCACCAUAUGGAGGUCAUUAUGGAGCAUUCCGUACACAUUCAAAGAUCUGGCAGUGUGGAUUCUACUGGCCUACAAUGUAUGAAGACACGAAGCAAUAUAUUAGAAGAUGUGGGCCAUGUCAAAGGCACGGAAACAUAAACACGAGGGAUGCCAUGCCACUCACCAACAUCCUUCAGAUUGAGCUCAUUGAUGUCUGGGGAAUAGAUUACAUGGGUCUAUUUCCCCCAUCAAAGAAGUGUCAGUUCAUCUUGGUGGCAGUUGACUACGUUUCCAAGUGGGUAGAGGCACUACCUUGCAAACAUGCUGACAACAUCAGUUCAAAGAGGAUGUUUGAGGAAGUUAUAUUUCCAAGAUUUAGAGUUCCUAGAGUAGUGAUAAGUGAUGGAGGAGCACACUUCAUCGACAAACGCUCCAAGCAAUAUCUAUCAAAACAUGGAAUCCGUCACAACGUCGCUACCCCCUACCAUCCUCAGACAAGUGGCCAUGUAGAGACUUCCAACAAGCAAAUCAAGAAUAUUAUUUAGAAAACAGUUAAUGAGAUGGGAACGACAUGGAAGGACAAGUUACUCGAUGCACUCUGGGCAUACCGGACAGCAUACAAGACCCCAAUUGGAAUGUCCCCAUACCAAUUGGUGUACGGGAAGACUUGCCACCUACCUGUUGAACUAGAAUUCAAAGCACACUGGGCCUUAAGGAGAGAAUAUGGACCUAGAUGUUGCUGGAGAUCAAAGAAGAAUGCAACUAUCAGAAUUGGAAGAAUGGCGGGAGAAAGCAUAGCACAAUUCAAAGAUCUAUAAAGAAAGAGUCAAAAGGUGGCAUGACAAGAGGAUCAAGAAGAUGGAGUUCACACCCAGAGAUAAGGUAUUACUUUUUAAUUCCAGGGUGAAGCUUUUUGGGCAUGGAAAACUCCGGAGUAAAUGGGAAGGACCAUUCAAGGUAAUCAAUUCAUCAUCCCACGGAGCUAUCACACUUCAAAAUGACGAAGGUACGUUAUUCAAUGUAAAUGGUCAACGUCUUAAAUUAUUUUUAGAGCCCUAUAAAGAAUUAGAAGAGAUAGACGUGAUCCAUUUCUACCUUCCCAUGGAGAAUUAGAGCCCGACCUUUUUAAUCUGACAUUUUUGGGUCACAUAUAUUUUUCGAAUAAAGUCUGCAUCUAGAAGCACGCUCGAGGAAGCGGGCCCACAGAGGGGCCAGGCACAGGGCGGGCGCCCAGCCCCUGCCCCCUCUCAGUCCCGAUUUCCUCCGCUACGAUAAACACAUUUAUGGUAAACCAAAUAAUCAUACAAAUGGAAAGUUUCACACGCACGACGGCGGGAGUAGCCCGAACAAACCCUAGAGGCACUUUUUGACCCCUAUAUAAACAGACCCCUGACGUCAGUUUUCAAACACCAAUUUAUUCAUGCCUUCUCUCUUUAUUCUAUUAGAGCUUGCUUAGUCCCUCACUGCUUCAAUGGCCGAAGAGUUCCAUGACAAUUGGGAAGUCGUCCCCUUCGACCUCAACAAGAAGCCCAUGGAAGACCUCGAUGCCUACGCUCUCGUCCCGGCCAACACAGAGCGAUAGCUUGAAGCCAUGCCAUUACGCCAGCGUAGCUCUGCCCAAUUCCACCAUGCUCAACCAGUUCUCACCGCACCACCGCAGCCCCUACUUCUCAAGGGACCGUCAGCCAAGAAGGAGGCCACCAUCAAGGUACCCGCCGGCACAAGGAUCCUGCCACCCAGACCCAAUGAGAGGGUCGUUGGAGUCAAGACCAACCGGAGCGGCGAGAUCAGCAGCAUCCGCUACACUACGGAGGAGGAGAGGCCUUACUUCAAGGGGAUUAGAGCAGCCAAAGUACGUUUCAUCCCUCCAAAGACAGCCCUAAAGCACGCUCUCAAUGCUCUUGAGACACCUCCUAAGCACCGCAAGACUAUAGCACAUAUCGAUGAGGACGCUCGUAGGCUAGACAGGGUCAUCAAAGAGCUCCAGUCCUCAGUUAACUCUAUCACUAGGUAGCUCUCUAACUAGAACACAAUUAUACUAGGUCUUGGGCAUGAUCUUAUUAGUGCCAAUAAGAAGAUCAGGGAGUUAGAGCGCCGCUAAGUUAUCUAAAUUAGAUCUUGAGGCAAUGAAUCUUAGUUAUUUAUCUUUAAAAUUCGGUUUAGAUCUAUUAUUAGUUUCAGUCCAUUACUAGUCAUUUGUAAUAAAUGCCUCAAGAUUAAUAAAAUUAUUAUUAUUAUGUCUUGUGUGUUUCUAUUUUAUUUUUACAAGAAAGCAGAAAACAAGUAUGGGGGAGAUCCCUCGACAUGCCAAACACACUUCGACUACACCACUCCACGAUUUAGGUACAUACUCUGCACACUUUAAACAUACACAUAUAUCUUGGUUCAUGCAGAAUAUUUUCUCUGACAUGAUAAAUGAACAAGGUCAAAAUGUUUCUAAUCAUGAUUAAUCUCACUCUAUGAUAUCUCCUGAAAACCUACAAUUAUUGAAAAAUCAUUUUUAAACCCUGUGUUACUUAAGUCAUUAUGGAAUGUAAGAUGGUAGAGUAUGAGUACCUUAUUCUUGAUAUCGUUGUUACGUGGAGAAUUUAUUUUAAAAUCUUCAAAAAAUUCUAGCUACCAUCCUCAAGUGUUUUAUAUGCCUGAUAAAACUAAAAAUAUUAAUUAUGAUAGUUACAAAAGCUAUCUGCUCUGUAUUGAGGUUGCUCAAAACAAUAUUAGACCCUUGUUGAGAGAUUUAUCAUGCUCCUAAGAUCAAGUCAUUUAUUCAGAAAGAUUCACUCUUCUGAAGUAUUAUUGCAUUAGAGGCAUGGGCUAUGCAAAAAUAUGAAUAUUUCAAGUAAAUAAAAAGGAGCAAGUGCUCGACAACCUCGUAGAAAAAAUGGACAAGUGUCCUGCGGUGGAAUUAGGGGUACCUAGUUAUCCACCUAAAAAAAGAGAAAAGAAGAAAAUGAUAGCCCAUGGUCCCUCUAAUAAGCAAUAUGCCAGUAAGAGUUGACAAGUUUUUAAUUUCCAAAGUCUUUGAUCUAAGAGUAUGGCAUUCAUCUCCUCCCCGUUUUGAUCAGACAAUAAAUACAAUGUAAGAAUGCUUGAGAAUUUCUGCAAAUUAAAACAGCCUCAGUGAAAUAUACAAAAGAUAAUGAGUGAUCUGAGAGCACCUAUGAGGAUAAAGGUAUGCUAAAUUUCUUUUCAAAAACAUACAAAAAAUCCAUGUAACAGGAUUGAGAAGAAAGGAUCUCUACUCUUGACCAUAUAUUUCCCUGAUUGGUAUGACAUUCCUCUCCUCGGAUCCCGUUUUGAUCACGCAAUAAAUGUGUUGACACCGUUUUUGGUCACAUACCCAGGGACCAGUAAAGUAUAGUUCGGCAGGUGGGGCAACGGUAACUAGUCUGCAGAAGAGUUGUCGAUGAGGAUAGUUGCCGAUGAAGAGACGAUUGAAUCCAGAGGUGAUGACGUGUUCUUACCGAUGAUCAAUAUCAGUGUUUGCCGAUGGCCAUAACAGGAAGUCUACCGAUGAUUCUAAAGGAAAGCGUGGAGAUUGCCAAUUGAUCUGUGGCGGUGUCCCGGUCGGUUACAAGGGGGUAGUUUUGUGAUUUCCUUAGUUAUUUAAAUUUGUUUUGUAUACGGAUUCUGUUUAAUUUGGAAUUCGAUCAUAGUCGUGUCUGAUUGUAGCACUUUGAGCGGGGUAUAAAUGUAGACCCUAGGGCCUUGUAAUAUCAAUCUAUCUAUCAAUCAAACACAAGUUUUUACUCAUAUCCCAGUACCUACUUUUUCGACGACUUUGUCAUAUUUUUCUUUUUUAUUAUGAGUUCUUGGGAAUUCAUCGACUUAAGCUCGGCGUAUUCUCGAGUUCCGCGUGAAUACCUCUUGGCCGUGACAUCCGGGCGCAUCGCUCUUGUCGGGACCAAAGUAUUCGAGUUAUCACCUUUGCCGGUAGUAAGGUCAAAUCGGCUGGCACGCCUUAAUGUUUGAAUCGGGUAUUAGCCCUUUGUGUUUGCAGAUCAGCUUUUGCAUCAACACAUCUUGUGGCACGCCCAGUGGGACCAAAUUCAAGAUCAAGAUCAACAUGUCAAACACCAAUUUUGACUUGGAGAACAUCAUCCCCGUGACGGAAGCCAAUCUCAGAGAUGAGCAGAAGCAAGCUAUUGCAAAAGCCAUGGACGAUUACAAGCAGCAAUGUUUGAAGUCCUUCAGUAUCAACAGGAGUGGCGAAGUAAUCUAGAAAGAAGCACUGCCAGCACCUCGGCAGGUUACUUUUGAAGCCAAUCCUAGUAAACUUCAAGACAUGGUUGAUAAUGCUAUUAACCAUGCCUUGAUCAAUCAAGCUGGUGUGCUGUCCAAUACGGUUUUCAAUGCCGUGGCUAGAACUUUCAAAGAAGGACAAUUGCCACCAAAUUAUGUGGGCCCUGUCUAUCAUCAGCUGGGAUCACCAGUGGUCACAGCUCCAUCGGCUACAACAGCCGCUACGGGUGUAGAGGUUAUUUCUCCUCCAAGCACACUAGGACUCACUAUUGCAAUCUACGUCGAUGACGACCAAUCCAUCAUCCUCAGAUGAGGAAAUCAUGCUUGCUACAGAUCUACUCGCAUCGGCAAUGUCAGGAUCUGUUCCUCCUAAUUGGUGGGGUUAUGUUAUGCCCCCGGAGAUGAUGUUGAAGACGCCCGGCACGUCUCAAACGGCUGACAUGAGAGGCAAGGCUCCUAUGGCAUCGGCACCUCCAAAUCUGCCGAUGAAUCAGAGUUCCAGUAUACUACAACUAGUACCGCAAGACCUUACACCGGGAAUUCUCAAGCUCCAACGUUCCAUAUGCCUAACGCAUCGGCAGACUCAAUGCCAACACAGCAGAGGUUUAUGACACAGCCAGGGUAUGUCAAUUCAAUGAUGAUGCCCAAUUUCCAGUCAUCGGCAGGGUUUAUGCCGAUGAAUGCCAACAAUGAAUGGACAGGGCAGCCGGUCUUUCCACAGAUGCCUCAACAGAAUCAUCAGGCUCCAAGGUUUCAACAAAGCCAAGUCCAGCCUGGAUUUCGGAAUCAAGGGUUGGCCAACCAACCGAUGAAUCUUGGUCAGCAGUUUGGUGGUCAGACGAUCAACCCCAUGUUCCAUGCAGAUCAUGCGCCUCAGCGACACGUGGAAAUGUAUCAGCAGGCGCCAGAUCCACAACCACCCCAUCAGCAAGAUGCCGAUGCUUAUUGGGCCGAUAAGAUUGCUGAAGUAAUGAGGGAAUAAUUUGGGAUAAAGCCCAAAGUCAACACUUACUCUUAUCGGACACCUUAUCCUCCUGCUUAUGAUUUAAUUCCACUUCCAAAUCGAUACAAGGUACCGGAUUUCACUAAGUUUUCUAGACAGGAUGAUACAUCGACUGUGGAGCAUGUCAACAGGUUCAUCAUCCAAUGUAGGGAAGCUACUAACAGGGAUGAAUUAAGGGUUCGGUUGUUCUCGUCAUCAUUGUCUGGAUCGGCGUUCACUUGGUUUAUAUCGUUGCCUCCUAAUUCAGUGAUUACUUGGGCCGAUCUGGAGAAGCAAUUCUACAGAUACUUCUUUUCUGGAGUCCAUGAGAAGAAGAUCACCGAUUUGGUCAGAUUGAAACAGCGCAAUGAUGAAUCGGUUGAAGGCUUUGUACAGAGGUUGCGGGAAGUCAAGAAUAAAUGCUAUAGCCUGGUUCUGGACGAUCGGCAGCUAGCCGAUUUGGCUUUCCAGGGUUUGUUGCCACAUAUCAGAGACAAGUAUGCUUCUCAAGAGUUCGAGAUUACAGAGGAUUUCCGAUCAGGAUGUCAAACCCUUUGAACCCAAGAGAGCAUGGAACAAAAAGGUGUCAUUUGUUGAUGAGGCAGCAAGCUCAGAUUCUAAUGAAGAGCCGAUCAUCGGCUUAGCUGAGUGGGUGAAGAACAAAAAGCCGAUGUCUUGCCCUUUUGGGCAUAAGGAGCGAGAGAAGUUUGCAUUUGACAUUACUAAAGCCGAUAUGAUGUUUGACUUUCUACUUCAGGAAGGGCAAAUCAAAUUGUCGCCUAAUCAUGUUAUUCCAUCGGCCGAAGAAUUAAAGAAGAUGAAAUACUGCAAGUGGCACAAUGCAACUUCUCAUAGCACCAAUGAGUGCAAGGUUUUUAGGCAACAGCUGCAAUCGGCUAUUGAAUCUAGGAGAAUCAAAUUUGAUAGUUCCAAAGCUCAGAAGCCGAUGAAGAUCGAUCAACAUCCUUUCCCAACAAAUAUGUGGGAUGCUAAGGAAAAGACCAAGGUCUUGAUGUCAGAAGCAACUGAAAGGAAUGCAUCGGUAGAUCCUUAGUGUUGAUGCAAAACUGAUCUGCAAACACAAAGGGCUAAUACCCGAUUCAAACGUUAAGGCGUGCCAGCCGAUUUGAUCUUGCUAUCGGCAAAGGUGAUAACUCGAAUACUUUAGUCCUGACAACAGCGAUGCGCCCGGAUGUCACGGCUAAGAGGUACUCACGCGGAACUUGAGAACACGCCGAGCUUAAGUCGACGAAUUCCUAAGAACUCGUAACAAAAGGAAAAAGUAUGACGAAGUCGUCGAAAAGUAAAUGCUGGAAUAUGAGUAAAAACGUGUGUUUGAUUCAUUGAUUGAUUUUUUAUUACAAGGCCCUAGGGUCUAUAUUUAUACCCUGCUCAAAGAGCUACAACCAGACACGAUUAGAAUUCGAAUUCCAAAUUACACGGAAUCCGUAUACAAAACGAUGCAAAUAAUUAAGGAAAUAACAAAACUAUCCCUCGUGACAAACCGAAACUCCUCCACAUAACGACCGGCAGCUUCCGGACUCCCUCUUUGCAUCAUCGGCAGACCCUUUGCCAUAGUCAUCGGCAGACUUUCUUAUCUAGCUAUCGGCACCAUAUUACUGCCUGUGGACUUAGUCACGUUCAACUUCUCCCUCAUCCGCAACCAUCCUCAUCGGCAACCCACUUUGUAAACAUCGUACUGCCACCUUAUCCUGCCAUCCUAGACACGUGCCCAAAAACGGUGUCAACACAUGCCCCCCAGUUUCGGAGUAUAAAACUAUUAAUGCUCCGAAAUUCUCUGCAGUAAUGAUGCCUUUUCCCGCAAUUAAUGCUCCUAAUCUGGUAACCGACAACCUCAAUCUGAACAACUCUGAUCCUAUUCCUCCGCAGAUUUCUCGAAAUCCCCAACUUCCUAAACGGGCAUUUUUCUCAGCCGUACAUCGGCAACAAUACCGUUACAAAGAUCUGCCGAUGUUCUGACCAGAAUAUUCGCACAAACGGUUACUUCCCCUCUAUCCGCCCAUCGGCAAUAUGACCGUUAUAGAAUAUUGCCGAUGGACCGACCAGGAGAUCUCGCAUAGUAAAAUAUCUUCAGAUAAUGACCGCUUCCCGUCAAAUCACCUGCACAAUCCCUGGAUUACCGUGCGAACAGUUACCAUAUCCACCUGAGUACCCUCGGAUUUCUCGGAUGCGGCAGAGAGAUAAGUCGGAUUUGCCCUUGCCCAUUUUGUCCUAUAAAUAGUUCCUUCUUGGGUACUCCUUCCCCAUCACACCAUUCUACUACCCAACUUUACUUUUCCAGCGGCGGCGCCACCAAAAACUCCCAAGGUCUCCGACAAGUACCCCUCUUCACCAACUCCGGCGCCUUCAAACGCUUCCUUCACAGCAAGAUGGCCGUCGGGUUCGUCGUCCCUGAGGUCAAAUCUCCACCCCGUCUUCUGUAUUUUUUCUUCAUAUCCCUGUUCACUCGCAAUUCAUUUUACUGAACAUCUUCCUUUUCUUUCCUCUUUGUAUUUCCUUUUAUGCCCAAAAUCACUAGGAAUUGUCCAACAAAAUUGUCAUCCCCACCGAUCAACCACACCUUCAAUGCCUCGGCCCUCUAGGGGACCCAGAUCCAACUGACCUUAUCAACGCAGAAACCAACAGGAUCCCCUUCAGAGCCGAAAAUUUUUCCUUAGAUCUGUGGAAGGAUACCUUCCGCUCUUGGCCCAGCCCAACUGUAGGGUGGAAAGACUGGUUCUUGAGGGUUAGCAACUCUAAUGAAGUUCAGUGGGGUGAAAGGAAUCUAGCCCAAUGCAUUAGAUUGUCCAUUGCCGAUAUGCAUAGGAACGAGUCACUGCUGAUAGCUGCAUCCUACUUUUGGUCAGACACCCUCAAUGCUUUUGCCUUUGGCCACGGCCCUGCUUCUCCUACUCUUGCCGAUGUAGCCAUGCUUACUGGUCUAGAUAUAUCUUCUGCCGAUAGCACCCACUUUUUUGAUACUGCCCCUGGUGCCAAAGUGGAGACUCGCGCUAUCGGCGGUUGGUCGGGGUACAUUCAGAAGUACCGUGGGAAAGGAUCUGUCACCAUAAAGGAACAAACCACCUUUCUGAACAUGUGGCUGGACAAGUUUGUAUUCUGUGGUCGAUCGGCAGGACCUACUUCCGUCUACCUAUCGGCAGCAGAAAAACUGGCUAACGGUGGCCGAUUCCCUCUCGGCCGAUACUUGCUUGGCGCUGCUUACCACCUUCUCCAUCAAGUAGCUCAGAAACUUCUGCUCGGCCAAUCCACUGGCAACUUGGGAGGCCCCUGGUGGUUUGUCAACAUGUGGCUCAAUCUGCAUCUGCACAAGCGUCUCAACUUCAACCUGUUCACACAACAUUUCCCAAGAGAUAUAGCUGAAAACCAUGUAUUGGGUGAAGAGGAAUCGGCAACACGCGCCCCCUUGAACUUUGGCGAAGCUGUCAUAGUUCUGCCUGGUUCAGGGGGUAAUCCAGAUCAGAUCGGCCGAUUCUUCCAGACUCUGUAUGAGGGUUUGACCAGAGACGAACGACCAUGGUUGGCUUAUGAUGACCCAGAUAGCAUGCUCCCUCUGACCUUCAAUCCAUUUGAUGAAGCUCUCGAUAGGGACAAUGAGGCGAUGAUGGCAAUUGUGACUCCCAGAAUCAUUCCAGUGAAUUUCUUUGGUAGCACAAAAACCUCCCCUCAAACUUACGAAUUUUACAAUCCAUCGGCAUUAGCUCGCCAGUUAGCUUUCGGCCAGUUGCCGAUUGCACUUCCUUAUGCCGAUGUGAUAAAAGCCAGAGAAACUAUCAACAACCUUCUUGAGUGGACUCGAGCAACCCAACUACCACCAAACGCCGAUAUAGAUGUAGAUCUGUCAGAAUGGGUUCCGGCUGCUUUUAUCACUCAGGCAUACAAGUUAUGGUGGGCAGAAUGGAAAGAGCAUCUAUUCUGCAGAUCGGCACUUUCAUACCGCGGCAUGAUUGACUCCGAAUACGAAGUUCCUGAUGACACUGUAAGUAACUCAAACCGACGUUUCAUUUUCUCAAUAUUACCUCCAUCGGCAGCUUACCCUUGUAUUCCUUUUGCAGGUUGACAAUAUUCCUCCAUUGGUUAGCAGGAGUGGCAGGCCGAUCGACUUGUUUCCAUCAGGCCCGAUUUCCUCAAUCGGCCACAAUGCUCCCACUCUAGCUUCCAUCGUGCAUCGGGGUGUACGCCUCAGGAAAGUCACCACCAGAAGAACCCAGACAUCACCAACGGUAGCUGCUCCCACUCUUGCGCGGGCUUUCAAGGCAAUUUGUCAAAUCUUUUCCUUUAUGCUGGCUAUCUUUAUAUCGGCUAUAUUUAUGCUCAUAAACUCUUGUUCAUUAUUGCAGCAAACCGGUGCAUCGGCGAAAGCCAGGCGUGAGAGUACCGAUGCCCCCCAGUCUAGCCAACCCAAGAGAAAGGGCACCACUGGUGCUAAGACUGGAACAAAGCAUCAAAAGGUAGCAAUUCCCCCUCCUCCUCCGGUAUCUCCAAUUCCGGUGGAGUCUUCUCCUUCUUCUCCAGAAGCCCAGCCACAGCAAGCACCAUCUCCCCCACCUAUGCAGGAAGCACCACAGAUAGAAGAACCCCAACAGGAAGGAUCUCAAACAGAAGAUACAUCUGCUGACAUGGGUGAACAAACAACUGGCCCGGUGGGUCCAGUUAUACCAUCGGCAGUUCUCCCGGUUCAGGCAACCGUUGUCCCUCCUCCAGGUAACAUACUUUAACAAUAUCGCUACCGAUGAACUUAUUCUUAUUUAGUCUCAUAACUCCUUUUGUCUUCUUUCAGUUGAUAUCGUUCCAUCGGCAAUCUCAGCCGAUCAACCUGUAGCUCCAUCGGCAUCUUUGGCCGAUCAGCCUGCAGCUCCGUCAGCACUUCUCAGUCAAAGACAAGAGAUCGCCUUGAAGCAAGUAAGUCACCGUUUACCGUUAGGACUAUUUGCCGAUUCUCUGAGUAUGAGCUAAUUUUGCUUUCCCUCCCAGGAACAAGAUUCUCCCGAUAGCCUGUUCUCCUUUGCCAUCGAUCUCUCUGAAGAAGAAGGUGAAGAAGCAAGCUCUUCUCAGACGGUCGGCAUCACAUCGGCAGAGAUCAGGGUCAGGCUGGAAGAAUUGUCAGCUCUCCUUCACCAGGACACAGCGCAAUUGGUUGAUGAUUCCGACCCUACCAAGACCCUGUUCAGAACUCUCAGAGGCCAAAUCCCAGCCGAUGUUGAAGAAAUCCUGUUCCAAGCCGCUCAUCUGGAGAGUCGCCAGCUGCAGUACCAGAGAGCUUCUCGGCGUCUUGCCGAUAGAGCCGCUCAGACUCAACUCUCCGAUGAAAUGAGGAAAGAGAAGCUUUUGACCGAUGAGAAGCACAAGAACAUUGGUAUCCUGAGAUCAUCUGGAGACGCGCUGAAGCAGAAAAUAUCCGAUCUAUCGGCAAGAAAAGAAUCCCUGUUGGCAGAACUCAAGGAAGUAGAGAACGCUCUGUCCCAAGCCCAACAAGAAGAGAGCCAAUUGCCAGAGACCAUCAGGCUUCUUGAGCACGAGCGAAAUGCUCAUGGUCGCAAGGCACUUCAACUGAAGAAGAAGCUGAAGCCGAUAGAAGGUUCUGCCGAUGAUGAUAUCAAGGAGAUAGAAGCAGCCAACCAAAUUCGGCUACGCGCUAUAUCGGCAAUCCAGACGCUGCUUAACACAUAGAGUUUCCAUCGGCAUUAUAUCUGCGCUUUCCUGCUUCCUCAGCUUUUAGUCUAGCCGAUAGGACUGUUAUCGGCACCUAAACUUUUGAAACACCAAGUCUUGUCCCCAAGCAUUUGGAUCCAGCCGAUAGGAGUGUUAUCGGCACCUAAACUUCUAUGCAUCGACCCAUAUACUGGGGUAGUACUUCUUUCAAUAUUUGCUGUUUAAUGCUCUGGGAAAUUCAAUUCCUUCGAGGGUUUCUAGAAUGUAGGCAUUACCAGGAGCCGAUCGACUUAUCCGAUAAGGACCCUCCCAAUUAGGAGACCACUUUCCAAACUUCGAACUUUUGAUCCCAAUUGGUAAAAUUAAUUUCCAUACCAAAUCCCCAUCGGCAAACUCUUUAGCCUUCACUUUCUUAUCAUACCAUCUAGCAACUCUCUUCUUAUUUUCUUCUAUACUCAUUAAAGCUUUUAACCGAUGCCCUGCUAGAUCGUCUAACUCAUCGGUCAUCAAAGUGGCAUAACCAUCGGAAGUUAAUUGAUCUUGAAAACAUAAUCGCCUAGAUCCAGCCUUAAUUUCCCAAGGCAACACUGCAUCAUGUCCAUACACCAAUUGAUAGGGUGAUACUUUGGUCGAUCCAUGACAAGCCAUCCGAUAAGACCACAAUGCUUCAUUUAAUAAUGUAUGCCACCGCUUAGGAUUUUCUUCAAUCUUUCGUUUAAUAAGCUUGAUAAUUCCUUUGUUAGACGCUUCGGCCUGCCCAUUGGCUUGAGCAUAAUAAGGAGAAGAAUUCAACACUUUAAUUCUCAUACCGAUUGCGAAUUCAUCGAACUCCCCCGAUGUGAACAUGGUGCCCUGAUCGGUAGUAAUCGUUUGGGGAAUCCCAAAUCGGUAAAUAAUAUGCUCCUUCACAAAAUCAAUCAUAUUGGCCGAUGUGACUUUCUUCAAAGGAAUAGCUUCAACCCACUUAGUGAAAUAGUCAGUGGCAACUAGAAUGAACUUAUGUCCUUUGCUAGAUGGUGGAUAAAUCUGGCCGAUCAGAUCGAUGGCCCAUCCCCGGAAUGGCCAAGGCUUUAUUAUAGGAUUCAUAGCCGAUGCGGGUGCUCUCUGGAUAUUACCAAACUUUUGACAACCUUGACAUCCCUUGAAAUAUUUAAAACAAUCUUCAAGUAUGGUUGGCCAAAAAUAUCCAUUCCUUCGAAUCAUCCACUUCAUCUUAAAGGCUGACUGAUGCGCUCCACACACUCCUUCAUGGAUUUCCCCCAUCAAACUUCUAGCUUCAUCAUCACCCAAGCAUCGGAGAAGAAUUCCGUCGAUAGUUCGAUAAUACAAUUCAUUUUCAAGGAGCACAUACUUGGUUGCUUGAAAUCGAACCCGUCUUUCAACUUUUUUGGAUGGAUCUUUUAGAUAAUCAAUAAUUUCUUUCCUCCAAUCACCGGCACCGACUGCCGAUGUCGCAUUAAUCAUUGGCUGAUAUCCCGAGGCAUGCUGAGCUAACCGAUUAGCGUCUUCAUUAUGCAAUCGGGGAACAUGCUCUAAUCGGAAAUCCUUGAAUUCCUUUAACAGUUGCAUACUUCUCUCGAAAUAAGUUAUGAGAACUUCACUUCGGCAUUCAUAGCUUCCGGCCAAUUGAUUUAUAACCAACAUAGAAUCCCCGAAUAUUUCAACAGCAUCAGCACGAACUUCUCUUAACAACUCCAAACCUUUGAUCAGAGCCUGAUACUCAGCCUGAUUAUUUGUUGAGGUGGCAACAAUCGGCAAGGAAAACUCAUACUUCCUCCCCUUAGGGGAAACUAAUACAAUGCCGAUUCCUGCCCCCCGGUCACAGGUAGAUCCAUCAAAGAAGAGCGUCCAGGGUACAAUUUCCAAGGUUUCCACUAGACCGCAAUGCUGAGUCACAAAAUCGGCCAUAAUCUGCCCUUUGACUGCCUUAGCCGAUUCGUAACGCAAAUCGAACUCCGACAGCGCUAAAAUCCAUUUACCGAUCCUACCACUCAUAAUCGGCAUAGAUAGCAUGUAUCGGACCACGUCAUCUUUGCAAACAACAGUGCAUUCGGCCGAUAACAGGUAAUGUCUCAGCUUGAUACAUGAAAAAUAUAAGCAUAAGCAUAGUUUCUCAAUGGCCGAAUACCUGGUUUCAGCAUCAAUCAACCUCCUACUCAAAUAAUAAAUUACCCUUUCUUUCCCUUCAAAUUCUUGAACUAAAGCUGAACCGAUAACCGAUCCAUCGGUAGAUAAAUACAAUCUGAAGGGCUUCCCUUGUUGAGGUGGAACUAGAACUGGAGGAUUUACUAGAUACUUCUUGAUUUCAUCCAGAGCCAACUGCUGUUCUUCUCCCCAAAUAAACUCUUGAUCGGCUUUCAAUUUAAGAAGAGGACUGAAAGCACGAAUCCUACCAGACAAAUUCGAUAUAAAUCUCCUGAUAAAAUUUACCUUGCCGAUCAAGGAUUGGAGCUCGGUUUUGUUGGUAGGGGCCACUAUCUUAUUGAUGGCAUCAAUAGAUCUUCGACUAAUUUCAAUACCCCUCUGAUGUACCACGAAACCAAGAAACUGCCCUGGCGAUACACCAAAUGCACACUUGUUGGGAUUCAUCUUCAAUCCAUGCUUCCUUGUGCACUCUAACACUUUUUGUAAAUCGGCAAGAUGCUUUGAGAAAUCUCCAGACUUAACCACCACAUCAUCAAUAUAAAUCUCCACGAGCUUGCCGAUGAACUCAUGAAAUAUAAAAUUCAUAGCCCUUUGAUAAGUAGCACCAGCAUUCUUCAAUCCAAAAGUCAUGACUAUCCAUUCAAAUAACCCAACAUGACCAGGACACCUGAAUGCGGUUUUUGGAAUAUCCUCCUCCGCCAUGAAUAUUUGAUUGUAACCUGCAUUACCAUCCAUGAAGCUGAUGACCUGAUGACCAGCCGCAGCAUCAACCAGUAGAUCGGCGACAGGCAUUGGGUAUCCAUCCAUCGGCGUAGCUUUAUUGAGAUUCCUGAAAUCAAUGCACACCCGAAGCUUCCCGUUCUUCUUGUAAACCGAAACAACAUUGGAAAUCCACUCGGCAUACCGACACUGCCGAAUAAACUUAGCUUCAAUAAGUUUGGUGAUUUCGGCCUUAAUAUCAGGUAGAAUGUUAGGAUUACAUCGGCGGGCUGGUUGCUGAUGUGGCCGAAAUCCAGACUUGAUGGGUAACCGAUGUUCAACAAUUGAUCGGUCUAAACCAGGCAUCUCGGUAUAAUCCCAAGCAAAGCAAUCUUUAUAUUCCUUUAACAAACUAGUCAAUUGUUGCUUACUCUCAGGAUCUAAUUUAGCACUAAUAAAAGUAGGCCUAGGCUUAUCACCACUACCUAUAUCUACUUCUACCAAAUCAUCGGCCGAUGUGAAUCCCUGGCCUAAUUUUCCAUCAUCGGCGAAUCUAUCCAUUAAAAACCGUCGUCAGAACCGACUGCUUGGAUCGGUGGAAUCUCAUAAUCGGCAACUUUGAGAAAAUCUUUCUCCCAAACUUCUCCUGAAAUGCACCUGGUCCUUUCGUAAGUAUCCGCUUCUGCCGAUGCGAUAACAUAAGAAGAAUCUCCUGGGACAAUCUCAAUCUUGUCACCUACCCACUGAACCAAGCAUUGAUGCAUUGUAGAUGGGAUACAACAAUUGGCAUGAAUCCAAUCUCUUCCCAAUAAUAAGUUGUAAGCACCUUUUCCGCUGAUCACGAAAAAAGUUGUCGGCAAGGUUUUGCUGCUGAUGGUCAACUCUGCACAUAUCGCCCCCUUGACUGGAGACACGUUUCCUUCAAAGUCUUUGAGCAUCAUAUCGGUCUUGGUCAAAUCUUGAUCCCCUUUCCCAAGCUUCCGAUAUACUGCAUACGGCAUAAUAUUAAUAGCAGCUCCACCAUCAACUAGGAUCUUGGUCAUUGGCUGCCCAUCAACCCUUCCUUUGAGGAAUAGAGCUUUAAGAUGCUGCCUCUCGUCAUCGGCAGGUUUCUCAAAGAUAGCCGUCAUCGGAUCCAGAGCCAACUGAGCUAUCUGAUCAGAAAAUUCCAACUCAUCAUCACUGGCUGGUGCAAGAAACUCCAUCGGCAACAUGAAGACCAUGUUGACGCCUGCCGAUGGACCUUCCCUCUUAAUGUCUGACGGUUGCCGACUUCCAGAGUUCUCUCCCUUGUUUAGCUCUUCUUGCCUUUCACGUUGCAACCUCCUUUUCUGUGUCUUGGUUAAUCCUCCAGGGCACCAUGGAGGAAGUGGCCUUUGCCUUGCAGUCGGGCGUCGGUUCUCCCUUGACUCCAUACGAUGCGUGUUAGCAUCCCUGCAAAAUAUGAAUUCAUUGGGAACCCGCGCAUCAGCCAUUUCCUCGAGCUCUUCUUGGUUCCUGGGAAAAUACUGGACACGGUCACUAAGUCUGUCGUGCCCACUAAAUCUGCCCCCCAGCCGGUCAUGAACUGACACCCUUCCUCUGAUCGGCCCAUUAAAUCGCCGUUCAUCAUCAUGAUAAUGCCGAUCGAUCCUAUCGUACCGAUCAUAACCGUUGCACUCAGGGCAGUCUCUGACAGUAGGAAGCUUGAUAUUUUCCUCCCAACAAUGGAUGAAGAAUGGACAAUUCCAAUGAUCCCUGUGCCGAUUCCACUCCUGUCGGCGUCUUUCUUCUUCCCGUCGAUAAUCUUCCUGCUGGCGCCGAUACCGAUCUUCCCGUUGUUGCCAAUUUCCUCGAGGCCUUCUAUGAGUUAUGACGAUACCAGAUCGAGGAGGCCUUCCUGAGCUAGUUCCUUCCUGGACCAAGCCCUUACUUCUUGCAUCGGCAGUAGUAACUUGAUGCUGAGGAUCUACCGAUGCACUCUUCUCAGCUGUCUCCGAUGUUAAGACCUUAGCCUUCCCCUUAGCAUCCAACAUGUUUGUCGGGAAAGGAUGUUGGUCUAUCUUCAUCGGCUUCUGGGCUUUGGCACUGUCAAACUUGAUUCUCCCUGACUCUAUAGCCGAUUGCAGCUGCUGUCUGAAUACUUUGCACUCGUUGGUGUCAUGGGAAGUUGCAUUAUGCCACUUGCAAUAUCUCAUCCUCUUCAACUCUUCUGCCGAUGGGAUCACAUGGUUAGGUGACAGUUUGAUCUGACCUUCCUGAAGUAGAAAGUCAAAUAUCCUAUCAGCCUUAGCGGUGUCAAAAGCAAACUUCUCUGGUUCCUUCUGCCCAAAAGGACAAGACAUCGGCUUCUUGUUUUUUACCCACUCUGCCAAGCCGAUUACUGGUUCUUCAUCAGAAUCUGAGCUUGUUGCUUCAUCGACAAAUGACACUUUCCUAUUCCAUGCUCUUUUAGGCUCGAAAGGCUUGAUGUCUUGAUCAGAAAUCCUCUACACCAAAUGACUUAAACUUUCGAACUCCUGAGAGGCAUACUUAUCCCUGAUAUGUGGCAACAAACCCUGGAAAGCCAAAUCGGCUAGCUGCCGAUCAUCCAGAACCAAGCUAUAGCAUUUAUUCUUGACCUCUCGUAUCCUCUGCACAAAACCCUCAACCGACUCAUCAUUACGUUGCCUCAACUUGACCAAGUCGGUGAUCUUCUUCUCAUGAACCCCCGAGAAGAAGUAUUUGUGGAAUUGCUUCUCUAGAUCGGCCCAAGUAAUUACUGAGUUGGGAGGUAAUGAUAUGAACCAAGUAAAGGCCGAUCCAGACAAUGAUGAUGAAAAUAGACGAACCCUCAAUUCGUCCCUGUUACCAGCCUCUCCACAUUGAAUGAUGAACCUGUUGACAUGCUCCAUGGUUGACGUGUCGUCCUGCCCGGAAAACUUUGUAAAAUCCGGUACCUUGUACCGAUGUGGAAGCGGGAUCAAAUCAUACGCGGGAGGAUACGGUAUCCGAUAAGAGUAAGUGUUGACUUUGGGUUUUAUCCCAAAUUGUUCCCUCAUUACUUCAGCAAUCUUAUCGGCCCAAUAUGCAUCGGCAUCUUGCCGAUGAGGCGGCUGCGGAUCUGGCACCUGGUGGCGAACCUCCACGUGUCUAUUCGGGACGUGAUCUACAUGGAACAUUGUAUUGAUCACCUGUCCUCCAAUCUGCGGACCACCAAACUGCUGUCCACCGAUUGGCUGUCCUCCAAGUUGCUGUCCAAAAUUCAUUGGCUGGUUGGGAAUCCCCUGACCUUGGAACCCGGGAUAGACCUGCCCUUGCUGGUACCCUGUAGUCUGGUAACUCUGCUGGGGCGAUUGUGGAAAGACUUGCUGUCCAAGCCAUCCAUUAUUAGCGUUCAUCGGCAUAGGUGCUGCCGAUGAUUGGUAAUUGGGUACCGUCGUUGAAUUGACAUACCCCGACUGAGCCAUAGACCUCUGUUGCAUCAGCAUUGACUCUGCCGAUGCGUUGGGCAUCUGGAACAUUGAAUCUUGAGGAUUUCCAGUGUGAGGCCUUGCAGUAGUAGUUGUGGUAUACCGAGGACUCUGGUUCACCGGCGCAUUGGGAGGUGCCGAUGUCAUAGGAGUUUUGCCCCUCAUGUCAGUUAUUUGUGAUGUUCCCGGUGUCAACUCUGGAGGCAUACCGUAACCCCACCAGUUGGGAGGAAGAGUCAACCCUGACAUUGCCGAUGCCAACAUAUCUGUUGUCAGUUUAUGCUGCCCAACUGAAAUUUGUGGGUUGGUUGUCAUCGGCAUAGAUAGUGCACCAGUAGUCCCCGAUGUACUUGGAGGGACGGCAGAUUGUGCACUUGCAGUCGUCAAGGCAGCCGACGGAGCUGUGACCUCUGGUGCCGUUGGCUGAUGAUGGGAGGGGCCCACAUAAUCUGGUGGGAUUUGUCCUUCCUUGAAAGUUCUUGCCACGACAUUGAAAACCGACAGUACACCAGCUUGGUUAAUCAACGCUCGAUUGAUGGCAUUGUCAACCAUAUCUUGAAGCUUGCCAGGAUUGGCGUCAAAGGUAACCUGCCGUGGUGCCGGCAGUGCAUCUUUCUGGACCACUUCGCCGCUCCUGUUUAUGCGGAAAGACCUCAAGCAUUGCUGCUUGAACUCUUCCAUGGCUUGGGCAAUAGCUUGCUUCUGCUCAUCCUUGAGGUUGGCCUCCGUCACGGGGAUGACGUUCUCUUGAUCGAGGUCAGAGAUCGACAUGUUGAUCUUGAUCUUGAAUCCGGUCCCACUGGGCGUGCCAAAAGAUGUGUUGAUGCAAAACUGAUCUGCAAACACAAAGGGCUAAUACCCGAUUCAAACGUUAAGGCGUGCCAGCCGAUUUGAUCUUGCUAUCGGCAAAGGUGAUAACUCGAAUACUUUAGUCCUGACAACAGCGAUGCGCCCGGAUGUCACGGCUAAGAGGUACUCACGCGGAACUUGAGAACACGCCGAGCUUAAGUCGACGAAUUCCUAAGAACUCGUAACAAAAGGAAAAAGUAUGAUGAAGUCGUCGAAAAGUAAAUGCUGGAAUAUGAGUAAAAACGUGUGUUUGAUUCAUUGAUUGAUUUUUUAUUACAAGGCCCUAGGGUCUAUAUUUAUACCCUGCUCAAAGAGCUACAACCAGACACGAUUAGAAUUCGAAUUCCAAAUUACACGGAAUCCGUAUACAAAACGAUGCAAAUAAUUAAGGAAAUAACAAAACUAUCCCUCGUGACAAACCGAAACUCCUCCACAUAACGACCGGCAGCUUCCGGACUCCCUCUUUGCAUCAUCGGCAGACCCUUUGCCAUAGUCAUCGGCAGACUUUCUUAUCUAGCUAUCGGCACCAUAUUACUGCCUGUGGACUUAGUCACGUUCAACUUCUCCCUCAUCGGCAACCAUCCUCAUCGGCAACCCACUUUGUAAACAUCGUACUGCCACCUUAUCCUGCCAUCCUAGACACGUGCCCAGAAACGGUGUCAACACUUAGCAUCAAAUAACUACUGCCGAUGCCAAAGGAAAAGCCUUGAUCCGAGAGGGAACUACCUCGGGAAGGCCUCCCCGAUCUGGUAUUGUGAUAACUCAUAGAUGUCCUCAGGAGACUUGGCAGCAGCGUGAGGAUCGGUAUCGGCGCCAGCAAGAAGACUAUCGCCGGGAAGAAGAAUGACGCCGACAGGAGUGGAAUCGGCACAAGGAUCACUGGAACUGCCCAUUCUUUAUCCAUUGCUGGCAACAGAACAUUAAAUUACCCACUGUUAGGGACUACCCUGAAUGCAAUGGUUAUGAUCGGUAUGACAGAUCCGAUUGGUGCUAUCACGAUGAUGAUCGGCGAUUUAAUGGGCCGACUAGGGGGAGAGCGUCAGUUCAUGAUCGGCUGGGGGCAGACUCAGUGUACACGAGAGGCUUGGUGAUCAUGUCGAAUAUUUUCCCACGAACCAGGAAGAGCUUGAAGAGAUGGCUAAUGCACGAGUUCCCGAUGAGUUCAUAUUUUGCAGGGAUGUUAAUACUCAUCGGAUGGAGUCAAGGGAACAUCGUCGUCCAUCGGCAAGGCAGUCACCACUUCCCCCAUGGUGUCUAGAGGGGUUGACUAAGACACAGAAAAGGACACUGCAGCGUGAAAGACGAGAAGAGCUAAGCAAGGGCGAGAACUCUGGCCAGUCUGGGGAUCAGCAACAACUGGAUCCUAAGGGGAAAGGGACAUCGGCAGAUGUUAACAUGGUAUUCAUGUUGCCGAUGGAAUUCCUUGCGCUAUCCAGUGAUGAUGAGGGGUUGGGUUUUCCGACUAGAUAGCUCAGUUGGCUUUGGAUCUAAUGACAGCUAUCUUUGAAAAGCCUGCCGACAAUGAAAGGCAACAUCUUAAAGCUCUGUUUGUCAAAGGAAGAGUUGACGGUCAGCCAAUAACCAAGAUAUUAAUUAAUGGUGGGGCUGCUAUCAACAUCAUGUCGUAUGUAGUCUAUCGGAAGCUUGGAAAAGGAGAUCAAGAUUUGACCAAGACCGAUAUGAUGCUAAAAGACUUUGAAGGAAACGUGUCUCCGAUUAAGGGGGCAAUCUGCGUCGAGUUGACCAUCGGCAGCAAAACCUUGCCGACAACCUUCUUCGUGAUCAGUGGAAAAGGUGCUUAUAAUUUGCUGCUAGGGAGAGAUUGGAUUCAUGCCAAUUGUUGCAUCCCAUCUACAAUGCACCAGUGCUUGGUUCACUGGGUAGGUGACAAGAUUGAGAUUGUCCCAGGGGAUUCUUCUUAUGUCAUUGCAUCGGCAGAAGCAGACACCUAUGAAAGGACUAGGUGUAUCUCGGGAGAAAUUUGGGAGAAGGAUUUCCUCAAAGUUGCCGAUUAUGAAAUGCCACCGAUCCAAGUAGUCGGUUCUGAUGAGGAGUUUUAAUGGAUAGAUUCGCCGAUGAUGGAAAACUAGGCCAGGGAUUCACAUCGACCAAUGAUUUGGUAAAGGUAGAUAUAGGUAAUGGUGAUAAGCCUAGACCUACUUUUAUUAGUGCUAAGUUAAAUUCUGAGUGUAAGCAACAUUUAACCGAUUUGUUAAAGGAAUAUAAAGAUUGCUUUGCUUGGGAUUAUACUGAGAUGCCUGGUUUAGACCGAUCGAUUGUUCAAUAUCGGUUACCCAUCAAGUCUGGAUUUCGGCCACAUCAACAGCCAGCUCGCCGAUGUAAUCCUAAUAUUCUUCCUGAUAUUAAGGCCGAAAUAACCAAACUUAUCGAAGCUAAAUUUAUUCGGCAGUGUCGGUAUACCGAGUGGAUUUCCAAUGUUGUUCCAGUUUACAAGAAAAAUGGGAAGCUUCGGGUUUGCAUCGAUUUCAGGAAUCUUAAUAAAGCUACACCGAUGGAUGGUUACCCAAUGCCAGUUGCCGAUCUACUAGUUGAUGCUGCGCCUGGGCAUCGGAUCAUAAGCUUUAUGGAUGGCAAUGCAGGAUAUAAUCAAAUAUUCAUGGCUGAAGAAGAUAUUCCAAAGACUGCAUUUCUGGUCACGUUGGGUUGUUUGAAUGGAUAGUCAUGACCUUUGGUUUGAAAAAUGCUGGUGCUACUUAUCAGAGGGCUAUGAAUUUUAUCUUUCAUGAGUUCAUCGGCAAGCUGGUGGAAAUUUAUAUUGAUGAUGUGGUGGUUAAGUCUGGGGAUUUCACAAAACAUCUUGCCGAUUUGCGAAAGGUGUUGGAAUGUACAAGGAAGCAUGGUUUGAAGAUGAACCAUAACAAGUGUGCAUUUGGUGUAUCAGCAGGACAAUUCCUUGGUUUCAUGGUGCAUCAAAGGGGGAUUGAAAUUAGUAGGAGAUCCAUUGAUGCUAUCAACAAAAUACUUGCUCCUACCAACAAAACUGAGCUCCAGUCCUUGAUCGGCAAGGUAAUUUUUAUCAAGAGGUUUAUAUCUAAUUUGUCUGGUAAAAUUCGUGCUUUCAGUCCUUUACUCAAAUUGAAAGCCGAUCAAGAGUUCUUAUGGGGAAAGAGCAACAGUUGGCUUUGGAUGAAAUCAAGAAUUAUUUGGCAAAUCCUCCUGUUCUGAUUCCAGCUCAACAAGGAAAGCCUUUCAGAUUGUAUUUAUCUACCGAUGGGAUGGUCAUCGGUUCGGCCUUGAUUCAAGAAUUUGAAGGGAAGGAGCGUGUAAUUUACUAUUUAAGCAGAAGAUUGAUUGAUGCUGAGACCAGGUAUUCGGCCAUUGAAAAGUUAUGUUUGUGUCUAUAUUUCUCAUGUAUUAAGUUGAGGCACUAUUUGUUAUCGGCUGAAUGCACCGUUGUAUGCAAAGAUGAUGUGGUCCGGUAUAUGCUAUCUAUGCCGAUCAUGAGUGGCAGGAUCGGUAAGUGGAUUUUGGCACUGUCGGAAUUCGAUCUGCGUUACGAAUCGACUAAAGCGGUUAAAGGACAGAUUAUGGCCAAUUUUAUGACUCAACAUUGCGGUGCAGUGGAGACUUUGGAAAUUGUACCUUGGACGCUCUUCUUUGAUGGAUCUACGUGUGACAGGGGGGCAGGAAUCGACAUAGUGUUAAUUUCCCCUCGAGGAAGGAAGUAUGAGUUCUCUCUGCCGAUUGUUGCCACGUCAACAAAUAAUCAAGCUGAGUAUCAAGCUUUAAUCAAGGGGUUGGAAUUAUUAAAGUAAGUCCAUGCUGAUGCUGCUGAAAUCUUCGGGGAUUCUAUGCUGGUUAUAAAUCAAUUGGCUGGAAGCUACGAAUGUCGAAGUGAAGUCCUAAUAAUUUAUUACGAAAAGAGUAUGCAACUCUUAAGGGAAUUCAGUGAUUUCCUAUUAGAGCAUGUUCCUCGAUUGCAUAAUGAAGAGGCCAAUCGGUUGGCUCAGCUUGCCUCGGGAUAUCAGCUCAUAUUAAACACAAUAUCGGCAAUCAGUGCUGAUGAUUGGAGAAAAAAUCGUUGAUUAUUUAAAGGAUCCAUCCAAGAGAGUUGAAAGGCGUGUUCGGUUUCAAGCCACAAAGUAUGUGCUCCUCGAGGAUGAAUUAUAUUAUCGAACAAUUGAUGGAAUUCUUCUCAAAUGCUUAGGUGAUGAUGAGGCUAAAAGUUUAAUGGGAGAAAUCCAUGAAGGAGUAUGUGGAGCACAUCAGUCGGCUUUUAAGAUGAAAUGGAUGAUUAGGAAGAAUGGGUAUUAUUGGCCAACCAUACUUGAAGAUUGCUUUAAAUAUUUCAAGGGGUGUCAAGGAUGUCAGAAAUUUGGCAAUAUUCAAAGGGCACCCACAUCGGCCAUGAAUCCCAUUAUUAAAACUUGGCCGUUCCAGGGAUGGGCUAUUGAUCUAAUCGGCCAAAUUUACCCACCAUCAAGCAAAGGACAUAAAUUCAUCUUGGUUGCCACCGAUUAUUUCACUAAGUGGGUGGAAGCUAUUCCUUUGAAGAAAGUCACAUCGGCCAAUAUGAUUGAUUUUGUGAAAGAGCACAUUAUUUACCGAUUUGGAAUUCCUCAAACAAUUACUACCGAUCAGGGUACUAUGUUUACAUCAGGGGAGUUUGAUGAGUUUGCAAUCGGUAUGAGAAUUAAAGUAUUAAAUUCUUCUCCUUAUUAUGCUCAAGCUAAUGGGCAGGCUGAGGCAUCUAACAAAGGAAUUAUCAAGCUUAUUAAACGGAAGAUUGAAGAAAAUCCUAGGAGGUGGCAUACGUUGUUGAAUGAAGCUUUAUGGUCGUAUCGGAUGGCUUGUCAUGGGUCGACCAAAGUUUCACCUUAUCAAUUGGUAUAUGGACAUGAUGCAGUGCUACCCUGGGAAAUUUAGACUGGAUCUAGGCGGCUGUCUUUUCAAGAUCAAUUGACUGCCGAUGACUAUGCUACUUUGAUAAAAGACGAGUUGGAUGAUUUAGCAGGCCAUCGGCUAAGGGCUUUGAUAAGUAUAGAAGAAAAUAAGAAGAGAGUUGUCAGAUGGUAUGAUAAGAAGGUAAAUGCUAAGGAGUUUGCCGAUGGAGACUUAGUAUGGAAACUAAUCUUACCGAUCGGGACUAAAAGUUCAAAAUUUGGGAAGUGGUCUCCCAAUUGGGAAGGUCCUUAUCGGAUAAAUCGAUCUGCUCCUGGCAAUGCUUAUAUUUUAGAAACUCUUGAAGGAGUUGAAUUUCCCAGAGCAUUGAAUGGUAAAUAUUUAAAGAGAUAUUAUCCUAGCAUAUGGCUUGAUGCAUGAAAGUUUAAGUGCCGAUAACAUUCCUAUCGGCUGGAUCAAAGUGUAUCUGGGGCCAGACUCAAUGUUUUAAAAAGGUGCCGAUAACAGUCCUAUCGGCUAGACCAAAAUAUCAGGAGGAUUUAAAAGAAAAGAGCAAAACAUGCCAUCGAUGAAGAGUUCACAUGUUUAACAGAGCCUGGAUCGUUGAUAUGGUGCAGACGGAUCUGAUCGGCUUCCUCUAUCUCCUUCAUAUCUUCAUCGGCAGAGCCCUCCACUGGCCUCAGUUUCUUCUUCAUCUGCAGUGCCUUGCGAGCCUGGAUGUUUCGCUCCUCUUCAAGAGUCUUGAUUGCUUCAGGCAGCUGGCUUUCUUCCUAUUGACUUUGGGACAGAGCUUCUUCUACUUGUUUGAGUUCUGCCAACAGGGCUUCUCUCUUUGCCGAUAGAACAGAGAUCUUUUGCUUCAGCACGUCUCCUGUGGAUUUCAAGAUGCCGAUGCUCUUGUGCUUUUCAUCGGCAUGGAGCUUUACUUUCAUCAUCUCUUCUGAGAGCUGGGCGUGAGUAGCUCUAUCGGCAAGGCGCUGAGCGACCUUUUGAUACUGAAGCUGCCGGCUCUCCAAAUGACCCACCUUGAAGAGGAUUUCCUCGGCAUCGGCAGGAAAUUGGCCUCUGAGAGUCUUGAACAAGGCUUUAGCUGGAUCGGAGUCAUCAACCAAUUGGGCUGUAUCUUGAUGAAGGAGGGCCAACAGAUCUUCCAACUUUGCUCUAAUCUGUGCCGAUGAGAUUCCAACUGCUCGGGAAGAACUUGCUUCCUCGCCUUCAUCCUCAAAAAUGUCGAUGGCGAAGGAGAACAAGCUGUCGGGAGAGUCCUGUUCCUGAAAAGGAAGACAAAAUAAGUUAUUUUAUGAUCAAGUACUGAUAACAAUAAGAAUAGAGAUCAGGUAACUUACUUGUUUCAGGGCUAUUUCUCGCCUCGGACUAGAUGAGGCCGAUGGAACCACAAGCUGAUCGGCUGGAGUUGCGGAUGAAACUAUGUCAGCUGAAAAAAUUGACAGAAGUGAUUAAUAAAGUGGAAAAAAUAGGUUCGUCGGCAAUAGAUGGAAAGUAUGUUACCUUGAGGGGGUGCAAAACUUGUCUGAAUCGAUGAGACUACCGAUGCUAUGAUUAGGCUUGCUGGAUCGGCGGUCUGCUCGUGUACAUCAGCCGAUGUGUCUUUUGGCUGAGGUUCUUCUGGCUGGAGUUCUUCUUGUGGCUGGGGAGGAGAUGGUACUUGCUGUGUCUCGACUUUUGGAGAGGACGGGGAUGAUUCUACUAGGAUCGGAGACCUUAGGGGAGGAGGAGGCGUUGCUGUUCUCUGGCGCUUUGCUUGCGAUCUGGUACUCUUGGAACCUUUUCUCUUCGGUUGAUUGGACUGGGGGGCAUCGGCAGUCGUACUUUUGGUCUUUGCCGAUAUACCGGUGUGUUGAUACAACAAUGAGAAGUUUAUGAGUACAAGUGUAAUAGGUAUGAGAAUGGAAUCAGUAUGAGUUAAAGAAUUCGAAAAUUUACCUUGAAGGCUUGAGCUAAGGCAGUGGCAGCUACUGAUGGGGAUGUCUUCGUCCGCUUGGUGGUAACUUUCUUGAGACGCACACCCCGAUGCAUUAUGGCAGCCAAGGUUGGAGCAUUGUUGCCGAUCAAAGAGAUCGGGCCCGAUGGAAGGAGUUCAAUGGGCCUACCACUCCUGCUGAUCAAUGGUGGUGUGUCAUCGGCCUGUAUAUGACAAAGAAAGUAAGUUACCGAUGGGAAAUGAAAGUGAAGGAAUUGAAGCAUCGGUAUUAAAAUACUUACAGUGUUAUCAGGGACUUUGUACAUGGGGUUGAUCAUGCCACGGUACAUGAGAGCCGAUCUGUAGAACAGGUGUUCUUUCCAUUCUUCCCACCACUGUUUGUAUGCCUGAGUGAUGAAGAGAGCUGGGAUCCAAGCCGAUAGAUCGACAUCUGUAUCGGCAUUUGGUGGAUGUUGGGCUACCCUGAUCCAUUCCAUAUUGCUGGUGAUAAUCUCCCUCAGCUUUAUCACAUCGGCGUAGCAAAGUGCAAUCAGCAAUUGGCCGAAAGCCAGUUGGUGAGCUAGUGCCGAUGGGUUAUAAAACACAUAGGUCAGAUUGGAGACUUUCCCACUACCAAAGAAGUUCACUGGUAUGGCUCUUGGGGUGAUAAUUGCCAUCAUCACGUCACGAUCCUUGUUGAGAUCAUCAUUGAAGGGGUGAAAGUCAAAGGGAAUCUGGUGUCUGGAUCUUCAUAAGGCAUCCAUGCUCGCUGUUCUCUGGUCAGGCCCUCGUACAGAGUCUGAAAGAAUCGGCUAACCUGGUCUUCGUUACCACCCGUGCCAGGUAAGAUUAUGGCUGCUUCACCAAAGUUCAAGGGAGAGCGAGUUGCCGAUUCUUCCUCAUCUAGUUCAUAAUCUUCGGCUAUGUCCCUGGGAAAACGCUAUGCAAAGACGUCGAAUUCAAGGCGCUUGUGCAUGUGGAGAUUAAGCCACAUGUUAAUAAACCACCAAGGACCCCCUAAGUUGCCGAUGGGUUGGCCGAGCAGAAGUUUUCUGGCUAUUUGGUGGAGGAGGUGAUAAGCCGAGCCAAGCAAGUAUCGGCCAAGAGGAAAUCGGCCGCCAUUGGCUAAUCUUUCUGCUGCCGAUAGGUCAACAGAAGUUGGUCCUACCGGUCGGCCACAGAAUACAAAUUUAUCUAGCCACAUGUUUAGAAAAGUGGUCUGUUCCCUUGCAUUGACUGGACCUGUUCUUCGGUACUUCUGAAUAUACCCUGACCAACCGCCGAUAGCACGAGUUUCCACCUUAGCACUGGGUUUGGCGUCGAACAGGUGGGUGUUAUCGGCAGUGGAUAUAUCUAGGCCGGUGAGCAUAAGUACAUCAGCAAGUGUAGGGGAAGCAGGGCCAUGGCCAAAUACAAAAGCAUUGAGUGUGUCUGACCAAAAGUAUGAGGCAGCUAUCAGUAGUGACUCAUUUCGCUCCAUAUCGGCAAGAGACAAUCUAAUGCACUGAUCUAAUUUCCGUUCACCCCAUUGGACCUCAUUUGAGUUACUAACUCUCAGGAACCAAUCCUUCCAUCCCUUGGUAGGACUGGGCCAGCAACAGAAGGCAUCUUUCCAUAGAUCUAGAGAAAAAUUCUCGGGUCUAAGGGGGAUUCUGUUUGUCUCUGCGUUUAUAAGAUCGGUGGGAUCUAAGUUUCCUAGUGGACCAAGGCAUUGGAGAUGGGGUUGAUCUGUAGGGAUUACGAUCUUGUUGGCCAAAUCCUAAAGAUUUUAAGGAUAAAAGAAAAAGAAAAAAGGGAAUAUUCAGUAAAAGGAAUUGCAGAUGGAUAGAAGUACAGCAAGAGUACGAAAAAGAAGGGGGAUAAGCUAACCUCAGGGACGACGAAGUUGAUGGCCAUUGCCCCGUGAGGAAGAAGAUCGAAAACUUGGGGGUUGUUGGAGGAAGCUCAUACUGGAGUUCUUGGAGUUCUCAAACAGUACCGCCGCCAGGUAAGCAGAGUUUGGGCUGUAGAAUGAUGCGAUGGAGAAGGAGUACCCGAGAAGGAAGUUUUUAUAGGACAAAACGGGCAAGUGCAAAUUUGACUUAUCUCUACACCACAUCCGUGAAAUCCGAGGGUGCUCAGGUGGAUAUGGUAACUGUUCGCACGGUAAUCAAGGGAUUGCGCAGGUGAUUUGACAGCGAGCGGUCAUGAUUUUGGAGAUAUUUCAAUGUGCGGGAUCUCUUGGUCGGUUCAUCGGUAGUUCUCUCUAACGGUAAUAUUGCCGAUGAGCGCAUAAAGUGGAGAGAUUCGGUUCGGAGGGUUGAGGAAUUCGAGGAAUCCGCAGGAAAAUCUGGCCAAGGUUGUUCAGACUUAACGGUCGGUUACCAAAUUGGGAGAAUUGAUUGCGGAAAGACAUCAUUACUGCAGGGAAUUUCGUAGCAUUAAUGAUUUUAUACUCCGAAAUUGGGGGGCAUGUGUUGACACCGUAUUUGGUCACGUACCCAGGGACCAGUAAAUUAUAGAUUAGCAGGUGGGGCAACGGUAACUAGUCUGCAGAAGAGUUGCCGAUGAGGAUAGUUGCCGAUGAAGAGACGAUUGAAUCCAGAGGUGAUGACGUGUUCUUACCGAUGAUAAAUAUCAGUGUUUGUCGAUGGCCAUAACAGGAAGUCUGCCGACGAUUCUGAAGAAAAGCGUGGAGAUUGCCGAUUGAUUUGUGGUGGUGUCCCGAUCGGUUACAAUGGGGUAGUUUUGUGUUUUCCUUAGUUAUUUAAAUUCGUUUUGUAUACGGAUUCUGUUUAAUUUGGAAUUUGAGUCAUAGUCAUGUCUAAUUGUAGCUCUUUGAGCGGGGUAUAAAUGUAGACCCUAGGGCCUUGUAAUAUCAAUCUAUCAAUCAAUCAAACACAAGUUUUUACUCAUAUCCUAGUACCUACUUUUUUGACGACUUCAUCAUAUUUUCCUUUUUUAUUACGAGUUCUUAGGAAUUCGUCGACUUAAGCUCGGCGUAUUCUCUAGUUCCGCGUGAAUACCUCUUGGCCGUGACAUCCGGGUACAUCGCUGUUGUCGGGACCAAAGUAUUCGAGUUAUCACCUUUGCCGAUAGUAAGGUCAAAUCGGCUGGCACGCCUUAACGUUUGAAUCGGGUAUUAGCCCUUUGUGUUUGCAGAUCAGCUUUUGCAUCAAUAAAAUGCAAGGUAAGUAUGCUUGAGAACUUUUGCAAAUUAAAACAGCCUCAGUGAGAUAUAUAAAAAAAUAAUGAGUGACCUGAGAACCUAUGAGGAUAAUGGUAGGCUAAAUUUCUUUUCAAAAAUAUACAAAAACUCCAAGUGACAGGAUUAAGAAGAAAGGAUCUCUACUCUUGACCAUAUAUUUCCCUGACUACAGUACACAGUGAAUUUUUACAACACCCUACAGGUAUGAAGAGAGUGCUUUACAAUGUUUUAACACGAGAUAUUUUUCUUAACCAUCCAUUUCUCGAGGACGAGUAAAAGCCUGAGUAUGGGGGUGUUUGUUGAUGGUUCUUAAGUAUCAAUUUUAAUUAUUAAAUAAACAAGGGAAAGGACCAAUAUACAAACAACACCUAGAAUUAGGUUUUGAUCUCACAGAAUUCUACGAGUUUUGUUGUUUAUCUGUUUCUGCAGGGGGUUAUCAUGAAAUAAGGAAGAAAGGCCCACAUGUCGGGAUUACAUAGAGAUACUAACGUGCCGUGCAAUUUUCUACCAUCUAGAAGACUCCAGAAGCCACGGGAACGAACGGGAAGGCAAUCGGACCCGGGGGCAGGGCGCCCGCCCUACCCUCCUGGGCGCCCGCCCACCUCCUGUAGCCAAUCACGGUGAAUCACGCGGAUUAUGCUCCACCGACCUAAAGGAUCAAGGAUAACCGUUCAAUCAAUGUCGGUUUGAUCCGACGGCCCACGUUCACCUGGGGGACUAUAUAAGUAGACCCCCUGGCCCCUGGGAGACAAGAAUCCAAUUAUUCAUUAGCAUAUUUUCCAGAGAGGAUUCAGAGAGAGAGGUUCCUUAGGGUUCCCACCUCAUCGGACGUAGCAUCCAAUGUGAGAGUAGACUAGUUCUACUAGAUUGAGAGAGAUAGAGUGGAUGUGUGGAUCGGAGGAAGCCCGGCCUGUCGGUGUCUAUUCCGAGGUUGUACCUGCGGGAUCAAGUCUUCUAACCCGAGGCUUGCUCCUAGGAUUCUCCAGUAUUCCGACUUCUAAAUUCUAGUAAGUUCUUGUUUUAUUGUUCUUUGGUUUAUGAGUUUACUUUGAUCUCUUCGCGUAGAGUUUAGAGUAAUCAUCUCUAGCGUAAACAUGGUGUUUGGGCUAGGAUACUCAUAGAUAUCCCCUGACUAGCUGGACCGUGGUAGUAGCAAAGAACGUGACAUUUCCGAGUUACCUUUGUAGCCCAUAUCCCGUUAGUAGGAUCGAUAGGGUUUAUAGGUGUGGGUCGAACAUCCUCUGUGGUGUCUAGAUUCCGUGAGCUUCCCCAACAGAACAGUAGAUCAUCCUUACCAAGGUUAGAAUGAGAGUGUUGUUGUAGUCAUCUCUAUACAUCACUCACAUCGAAACACAUUCUUUGUAGCCUAAAGGUUAGUAGUAAUAGACCGGGUUAGUCAGAUGCACUCUUUCUCCUAGUGGUAAAAAUAUAAAUACGAUACUCUGGAUAACAUCUCGGGUGAAGUGCUCACCAAUAUCCGUGCGCUUGCGGAUUAAUUCUGAUUGCAUUACCAAAUAUCAACAGGACUAUUAAACGCUACUCCGUUAGAGGGUAGUUAUAAAGGUGAUCUUUGGGUUUGUCGGGGAACAUGCUGUGAGACAUAGAUGAUCAAGAUGGAACUUGCCCCUCUCUAUGUGAGAGAGAUAUCACUGGAUCACUCAAGUGAUUGGAUCAACAAAUGUAUCACGGAACCGUCCAAGUUAUAAGAGCACAAGUACAAAAACAAUCACCGAAGUGAUCAAUUUAUCAUACUUGAGCCCAUAUAACUCCGGUAGUCCAACAAAAUCAUGAGGGAUUUCAAACCAACCAACAUACAAGCCAAGAUCGUAGUGAUUCAACAUAACAAGUCACACGUUACAUACAUUUCGCAAGUAGUUCAAAUCCAUCGGAGUUCGAUAAGGUUAUUACAACUCAAGUUUACAAAUAGCGGAAGCAAAGUAAUUUGAAACCAAUAUUACUUUUAUUUUAAAUACAUGCCAGUACCAUGGUCCAUUCCAACCAAAGCAUCAUAGAUGAGGUAAGUAAGAAGGAUCACGCCCAUGAUCUUACUCCUUCCCUAUAGCAGGAGUCAUCCAAAUCUUGCAGUAGCUAUGAUACAUCACAACCUGCAACAAGUGGGAAUAAACCCUGAGUACGAGAAUGUACUCAGCUAGACUUACCCGUCAUAAACUAGAAAUAAGUGACACCAAGGAGUAUGCAAGGCUGAUAUAUAAGUGGAGCUCGCUGGACAAUAUUUUUCAUAAAAAGCUUAAGUAUAAAUAGUUAAACCUUUCUUAUUUAGCAUCCAUUUAAUUCUCAUUAACCUAUCAACUAGAUUAGCACCUGUACUAUAGCAAUCACUUGAUUAAUAUCAAUCAAUAAUAACCAUAUCAGGUUUGUCAAAGCCCUGAUCAUCAUCAUCAUCAUAGAACCAUUGAGUUAUUUAGUGAAUGCUACGUUUGCCGCUGCUCUGUCAAGUUCUCACUAUCCGGGAGAGACGGCGAUUCGAAUCGAUUCCUAUCCAGCUGGAGGGUUAUUCCUAACACUCACCCAUGCUUCCCCCGUCAGAGAGCAAGUGGGUCACCUUUGGUACGACUUAGGAAUCGCGGCUCCGAUCAGCGCCGCACUCCCAAGGCUACCACUCUGCCAGGGAGGUCAGGACUUUUAACUCACCUGCCUUUGGUCUUACGCCAAUGGUCCCCCGCACACCGCACUUCCUCCGGUAGUGCGCACUUUAUACUUGCCGGUCUUCCGGCCUGAGUCAUACUACUAGGCUUCACGGUCGGAAUGAGUUGUCCGGCCAACUAAGUGUUAGGCAUGCGUUCAACAUGACAAGAGGACGUACAAUGAUCGGUCCUUAAUCGACACAGACGGGGAUAGAUCCACACCCAAGACCUCCAUACAUUGAUGCGUCACUAUUAUCAUCCCGCCCGGUCUCCUUUCAUAUUAUUAACACAUGGUUCUUUUCCACGAUAGAAAAUAUAGCCAACCGUGAUUUGGAAUCCACCUAUAUCCUGCAGGUGACAGGAAAUCACCUGGCUUCUACCGAGCAAGGCAUGGCUAAGCAUAGACGUGAUCCUGACUAAUUAGGAUUCAGGUUAUAUAUUUACUGGACAAGGAAGGGUAUAUAUGCAGCAAGGGUUUCAUCCAACUCCUAUACUUAAUGCAACAAUACAUAUAUAACAUAUAUAUACUCAUUCACUUUCAAAAAAAAUAGGAGGCUUAUAAUGCUCCGGGGCUUGCCUGGAAUGUGACACCGAGUCAGAUUAGUUAGCUUGCUCCGUCUUGGUGACAUCUAAGAUCAUAACACUUGCUUAAUCAUUCCAUCUCUGGGAUGAUCCACCAUCACGUCCUUCACGUGGUUCAUCUAGCAUACCUAGAUGACAUGCAAGAUGCAAGUGCAUGAACACAUGGAAGUGCAAUAGACAAAGAAUCACACACAGGAAGCAAGGCAAGAGCAGGGUUACACUAAACAUACUUAAGCACUCCUCAUUGCUUACUUAAAGAUUACACAGCCAACAUGUUAAGACAACAAAGAAUGCAACACUAAACAUAUUAGACAUGGCAUACAUGUUUCACAAGAUCUCAGGUGUAUUAACUUGACCAUUAUCAAAGACAUGAGUCAUACAUAGCAAUAUACCAAGCAACAGCAAUAAAAGACAUCUGCCAUUUUUAGAACUGUUAACAGCAGCUGAGUAAAUAAAUCAUAACUGGAGUUACACAACCCCAAAAGACAUACAAGAAGACAUUUUAGAAAGCUUAAGAAAUUAUCUACAUUUGAUAUUUAGACAUCAAAGCAUGAUUCUCAACUUAAACUGGUUGAAAUUAUAAAGCUCCAGAAUCUGUCCCUAACAAACAGAGAGCAGCCAUUUCUGGAAUCCAAAUUUGAACAGACAUAACUCACAAACCACGGGGCCAAAUACUACCAAAUUUUAACAGCAGCCAGAUAGGUGAAUUAUCUACAACUUUGCUAUCAACAAGAUUCCCAGAAAACAUCAUUUACAUACUGUAAUCCAAACAGUUCCACAAACUGUCCAGAAACAACAAUUGCAAACAAUUAAUUAUUAACUAAUGUUUCAAACAUGCAUUUGAGCAAAACCAUUGUUACCAACAGUUUGCACAUAUCUAAAGAACACCAUAAAACAUAGUGGUCAUUACCAAAUAAAUUUAUUUAAUGCAUUUCUUAAUUUAUUUGGAUAAUAAGGUGAAUUAAAGAACAUAUAACAAAAGUGUUCAAUAAAUUCUACCAAAAUUACAGUAGCUUCUAACUACUAUCCAUAGCCCACUGUAUAAAUUUCACUGCAUUUUAAUAAAGAUAUCAACAUCUAUGAAAAAGACAAAUUGCUAUUGCAAUUAACCAUGUGAGGAUAAGAUAAAUGCACAAAUCAUAUUUGCUUCAAACACAUGACCAUAUUAUAUGUCAACAUGAUACAAAAAUAUCAUAUAAUUUUACAGGACCAACAUUUUCCAUUUUCACAUUUUUAUUUAUAAUUAUAAACCAUUUAUCAAUCCCCAUGAAGACAUCUCUGAUCAAAACAUGGACAGAAUCUGUCAUGCCACAUUAAACAGCUAUAACUUGAGGUUCCAAUGUCCAUAAUUUAUGGUUGUGUACUUUAUAGAAAGCUUACGAAAUUGUGAACAACUUUGUUAGAAACAUCUGGAGCUAAAUCUAUAACUAACAAGGUCUUACAUAACAAACAAUGCAAUCCAGUCUAGGUUUAGACAGAAACUGGAACAUUAUUUUAAACCACUAUAACUAAACAUAUGCUUAACCAAAAAUUAUGCUAUUUAGCUUGAUGGAAAGAAUAUGAAAAGUACUAAAACUCAUAUAUUUUCAUCCAGGCAUGAUUCACAACUUAACUGAGCCAAAUAAUACAAACAUGCAGAUCUACUCAGAGUAGGAGCAAAGCAACACAGGGUAAUUGUUAUUUUUAUAACUCUUAAUAUAUCAUGACUAAAUUCAUGAAACUUUUACCAGACAUCCACUUUUAUAUGUGAAGCACUCCACAAAAUUUUCACAUUUAUUUGAGAAAUAAUACAGUGGUUAUGAAAAAGACAAAUAUAGCAAGCAAUUAAAACCGAACUGCACAAAUCUAUUUUUACCGUUAAAACUUCAAACUAAAACAUGCAAUAAUAUAGAUCUACUGCACAUAGAAUUUCAUAAUGAUUCCAAAGAGUCUGCAUUUUCUAUUUUACGACUUUUCUACGAAUUUCUAUGCAUUUCCAAAGUUCAUCCAUAAAAUCUGCAAAAGAAAAGAAAAAGAAAACAGAUCUUGCACCGGGGACCCUGGAUUUUCCAUGAAUCACGCCACAGCCUAGUAACACUAUUCAUAUGAGUCUUGGCUUCGCAUCUGGAACCCUGAGUUGUUUCUUAUUGUAACCCGAGGGAAGGCGAAAUCCAGCUUCGGGGUCGGGGGCGACGCCAUCGACGAGGAAGCGGCGCUGGGGUCUCCCAAACUCUCACGCGACCACGAUGGGGCUCAGCCUGGAGGACGGCCCGGCCACGAUGCUCAUCCAUGCUAGCUGCUCGGGGUAGCGGGCGGCAAUGGUGGUGUCCGUGCUCGACAGAGAUGGGGGAGCAAGUUGGAGAGACACAGAGAGCCGGAGGGAGUGGAGGGGGGUGGAGGCGAGUGAAUGAGGAAGUGGGGAGAGCUUCAGGUUGUCCCAACGCGAGAUGGAGCACCAGCACAUGUGCAGCAAUGGUGGGGGCGCGGUCACCGCAUGGAGGACACGUCCAGGACACGCGUUGCUCUUUGACGCAUUUCGCCGAGCACGUGGCAGGUGACCGUGUGGCCGACGUGGGCAGCCGAUUUGGGCCGGAUCUGGAACGAAUAUGGACAUGGACCAAAAACUAAGUUUGCUCUACUCUUACACUCUCCAACUUUGAUUAAGGUGCCAUGGUCAUUAGAGUUGCAGAUUAGUAAAUGAUUUGAUGCCAACCUUUGAGUGUCAAUGAAUUGAUAAAGAUUAGCAAAACUCAAAAUUGAUGACCAAAACGAAGUCCAACUGGUGUCAUCUUUUUAUAUGCUCUUUUCCACAAUAUGUACUCCAACUUUUAUUUUGUCACCCAAACAAGUUGUUUAAUAAAAUUUGGAGAACGCGGAAUGCCAACGUGAUGAACUGCAAUUCCACACUUAGAAAUUCGAAAUGCUGGAAAUUACAGCAGAUUCAAUUUUGUGACUAUUAUUUGACAUGCAUAGGAGAUGAUUCAGACUUGGUCAUUUUAACAAAGUUUGUAGCAUACAAACUGUACUACAACUUUUAUUAAAGGACCUUAUACUGUUUUGGCAUGGUUAGUAAGAUACAAGGCUCCCAACUAGGGUACCCGAAACUGAGCACCUUGAGGACAGCCAAAUUUCUGGGGUUCCAAAACAGCACUGCAUUGAAUCUUGUGAGCUUAAUUUGACUAGGAUAGGUACCAAACUAGCUCUUGACCUUUAAAUAAAGUUUGUUCUACAGAAGCAAAACUACAACUUUUAUUUAAGGUCCAACCUCAUAACGGGUACCAAAGUCAAACUUUCACUUUGGUCAAUGUAGCAACUUGAUAAAGCUCAAACUAGGGUUUUAGACCAAAUAAAACAUUUUCUUGGCACAAGCUCAACAUGAACCCUUCAUGACUUUUGUUGUAGAGUUCAUCUAGAGUCAUUUGGUCAAGAUUACAAGAUUAGGUUAGUAACCCAAGGUUCCGUUCAAUUAAUAAGGUCAUUCCAACAAGCAUGUAACUUAUCAUUUCAUUUGGCCUUUUGAAUCCAAACUUCAUGAAACUUUUUGAGUGAUCAACCUAGGUAGAGAUGGAGAUGAUACACACGAAAGAAGCACCAUCAACACCCACAAGCUUUAUUAUGCAGGAUCAUCAAGCAUUCACUUGUCAUGACAUCAAAGUAUGUUUCAUACUAUCAUAUAUGAACAAAUGAUGCUUAUGCUCAUAAAAUGUAAGUGCCAAAACUCAAGACAAACACCUGGGGUGUUACAAAAUACAUGGCCGUGCUUGGGUUAAGUGUUAACCUAUGAGUUGGACCAAAUAUCUUGUGGCAAGAGAAUAACAUGUAUAUGUAUGUAGUGGUUCGUCUGAUAUGAUCUUUGCGUACGUGUAGGAGUUGUCAAGCCUUGCUUGUGGCUGCUGUCAACUAUUGGGCGAGUAGGAGUACUCGGCCCAUGUCUAUAUGCACGUGAACCCAUAGGGUCGCACGCUUAAGGGGCUAGAAACCUAAUUCGGGUUGGACCCGAAUUAGACAAGGCUUAGGGUUUCUAAUUGGGUACAUAUAGAGAUAUGUGUAGUUUUAGAUGAGUCUCAUGAUCUUGGUUCAUGGUUUUGCUGUGCUGGUAAUGUAACGAUCUACUUGUACUGGUCGGAAUUCCACCAUCUGAGUUAAGUGAUGCAUGUAAACCCAGUCAUGGUGAGAUAGAGAUCAAUCAAAUUGAUCUAAUUGAACCCUAGGUCAAGUGCCGGGCGCAUGUGAUGCGCGGCGGUAGUAGAUGAGAUCUACUGCCGGGCGGCGGAUUGCCGGGCAAAGUGUUGUUCGGUAAAACAGCCGUAACUUUUGAUUCGUAACUCGGAUUGAGACGAUCUUUAAAGGAAAAUCAUAGAGAAAAAAUUUUUACAUCCGACUCUCCACCGUGAAACUAUGUUUGGGGAAAUUAGAAUUGCAAAAAAAGGCCAGGAAAAUUGAGUUUUGAGCCCUGCAAGUUUAGAUGUCCGAAUCGGUUAACUCUGUUUUGCAGGGAUUCAUGACUGGUAUAGCCCUUAUGUGUAUGUGAUGCAUGUAUGUAAUAAAUUCAUGGCUUGCACGUCAUGAUAAUGACAAUAUGGCUGGAGCCACAUAGAUAUUGUCCACCUGAUGUAAUAGCCUACAUGCCAAUCUGUGAUGAUCCUAUCUGUGACUAUGUAAUUUUAAUUCACUGCCUCACAUUAGUGAUAGCUAGUCUUGGUGGAAUUAUUACUGGAGGAUGGCGUACAUGGGUCAUGUAGAUGGAGAUCAUCAUGAUGAACAGAUAUAUGGAGAUGGAGAUGCCCAAAGUGAUAAUGGGCUAUACCAAGUCAUAUCUGUGUUAAUGUCGUUCUUACUAUGUUCUACUUUCAUAUGCGAUGAUGUUUUGUCUAUAUGCAUGCGGUAGUGAAGUAGAACGAUCCCUCAGCAAUGUUUAAGUUACAUGCUCCCCCAGACCUUGCACUGUCAUGCAUCUUGUUCAAUCGGUGGUAGGUCUAUGAAAUUAGGGUGCCACUGAUUUUCCUUGACUAGGCAGGUUCGUAUCGGAUACUUACUACAGAAGGGUUGGUUUCUUGAACAAGGUCAUCCUAACAGUUAGGGACCUUGAGCAUAAGUAGUUGGGUAACACAAGUGUAGAGAUGCCAUCCCAACAACAAGAGUCAUAUGUGAUAUGAUUAGCAAGGAGUUGCUUAUCGAUCUACCAUGUCUACUAGCGGUGAUGCUAAAGCUCACUAGUAUACUUGUUAGUUGUGGGUCUUGAAUCACUAAGUAUCAUUUGAGGGAUAUUGAUUUUAUUGGGAGUAGAUUUUAUUUAAUAUUAUUUACUCCAUCUUGGAUACGUUUUCUUAGUAUUUUGCAUUACUUUUGUUGUAGAUUAAUGGCGCCCACCAAUCAAACAUUUACUUUGCGCUCAAUUAUUGAGAAAGAUAAGUUGAAUGGAACAAACUAUGCGGAUUGGAUCUGCAACCUGAGAAUUAUUCUCAGGGCUGAGAAAAAGAAAUAGAUUCUGGACACCCCAUUACCAAAAGCACCUGAGGAUAAUGCAUCUACUGCAGAGAAGACCGCUUGCAAGAGCAUGUGAUGCUGAUCUUGAAGUGAGUUGCCUCAUGCUUGCUUGUAUGGAACCUGAGCUGCAGAUGCAGUUCGAAAAUAAUCAUGCAGCAUAUGAUAUUAGCAUAGCGCUUAAUGAUAUGUUCCAGGCUAAGGCUAGAACUGAAGGGUUCCAAGUCUCAAAAGCUUUUGUUGAUUGCAAGCUAGCAGAGGGUGCAGCAGUUGGCCCACAUGUAAUCAAGAUGGUUGGUUACACUCAGAGGUUAGAGAAGCUAGGCUUCUCAAUUGGCCAAGAGUUGGCUACUGAUUGCAUUCUCUCGUCUCUUCCACCCAGUUAUGGAAACUUCAUCUCGAACUACCAUAUGCAUGGGGCGGAGAAGGGCUUGAAUGAGUUGUGUGGCAUGCUGAAAACAGCAGAGGCUAACAUCAAGAAGAGUGUAGGCAGUCGCCAAGUGUUGGCUGUCCAAAACAAGCCUAACUUUAAGAGAAAGAAGGGCGGUGCUUGGAAGAAGAAAAAGGGCAAGGCUAAGGAUGAGAUCCAUAAGCCAAACCCACCUGCACCUAAGGCUAGCCGAAAUGCUGAUGCUCAGUGCUUUCACUGUAAGAGGAAAGGUCACUAGAAGAGAAACUAUAAAUUGUACUUGGCGUCCUUGAAAAAGGAUGGCGGCGGUAAAGGUACUUCAGCUGCUCAUACACUUGUUGUUUAUGUUAUAGAUAUUUUCCUCGCUAACUCUUAUAUUAAUUCUUGGGUAUUUGAUACCGGAUCGGUUGCUUAUAUUUGCAAUACAAUGCUGGGAAUGAUAAGAUGUAGAAGCAUUGAAAAGGGAGAAGUUGAUUUCCGUGUGGGCAAUAAUGCAAGAGUUGCUGCGUUGAACAUCAGGACGAUGCAACUUCAUCUACCAUUGGGAUUUAUUUUCGAAUUGAAUAAUUGUUAUUUUGUUCCUAAUUUAAGUCGAAACAUUGUGUCUCCUUCAUGUUUGAUGAAGGAUGGUUAUUCAUUUACGAGCAAAGACAAUGGUUGUGUGAUCUCUAAAAAUGACAUAUUUGUGGCUUAUGCAUCCAUUGUGAAUGAGUUAUUUAUUUUAAAUCUUGAUGAUGCACUUAAUGAGUUAAGUCCUACUUAUUUGUGGCAUUGUCGUUUGGGUCAUAUAAUUGAGAAUCGCAUGAAGAGGCUCCAUGAUGAUGGCCUUUUAGCUUCGUUUGAUUUUGAAUAAUUGAAGACAUGUGAGUCUUGCCUACUGGGAAAGAUGACCAAGGCACCUUUCACAGGUUUUCCUAAGAGAGCGUCUGACAUAUUGGAACUUGUACAUAAUGAUGUAUGUGGACCAAUGAGCACGACAGCUAGAGGUGGAUUCCAAUACUUCAUAACUUUCACUGAUGAUUUUAGUAGAUAUGGAUAUGUCUACUUAAUGAAACAUAAGUCUAAAACAUUUGAAAAGUUCAAAGAAUUUCAUAAUGAAGUAGAGAAUCAACGUGGCAAGAAAAUUAAGGCUUUGCGAUCUGAUCGUGGAGGCGAAUAUUUGAGUCACAAAUUUAGCAAUCAUCUAAAGAGUCGUGGAAUCACUCCACAACUUACGCCACCCAGAACGCCUGAGAGGAAUGGCGUGUCCGAGCGACGUAAUCGAACUUUGUUGGACAUGGUUCGAUCUAUGAUGAGCCAGUCGGACCUACCUUUAUCAUUUUGGGGAUAUGCUCUAGAAACAGCCGCUUUCACUUUAAACAGGGUACCAUCUAAGUCUGUAGUUAAGACACCAUAUGAGAUGUGGAAUGGUAAGUGUCCCAAUUUGUCUUUUCUAAAAAUUUGGGGUUGUGAAGUUUAUGUCCAAUGACUUAUAUUAGAUAAACUAACACCCAAAUCAGACAAGUGCUUUUUCAUAGGAUACCCAAAGGAAACUUUAGGGUAUUAUGUAUAUAAUCGGACAAAGGGCAAAGUGUUUGUUACUCAAAACGGUGUUUUCUUAGAGAAAAAGUUUCUCAAAAGGGAGAAGAAUGAACAGAAGGUUCAUCUUGAAGAAGUUCAAGAUGAACUAGUUGGGAAUGACUCUACGAGCAAUGCUAACGUAGCAGAACAAGCUGAGACGCCCGUGGUAAUUGAAGCACCACCACAACCACGAAAAUCAGCAAGACUUCACAAAUUGCGGGGGGGAUUGUUAUUGUUAGACGAUGACGAACCUACAAAUUAUGCAGAAGCAAUGAUGGACCUAGAUUCCGAGAAAUGGCAAAGUGCCAUGAGAUCCGAGAUAGAUUCCAUGGGAGACAAUCAAGUUUGGAACUUGGUUGAUCCGCUUGAUUGGGUUAGACCCAUAGAGUGCAAAUGGAUCUAUAAAAAGAAAAAGGAUAUGGAUGGAAAUGUUCACGUCUAUAAAGCUCGACUUGUCGCAAAGGGUUUUAGGCAUGUUCAAGGAAUUGACUACGAUGAGACUUUCACGCCAAUAGCGAUGCUUAAAUCAAUCCGGAUCAUUCUAGCAAUUGCUGCAUAUUUUAAUUAUGAGAUAUGGCAGAUGGAUGUUAAAACAGUCUUUCUAAAUGGAAAUUUGGAAGAGGACGUGUAUAUGAUACAGCCCGAAGGUUUUGUUGAUCCUAAUAAUGCUAGAAAAAUAAGCAAGCUUAAGAAAUCCAUUUAUGGAUUAAAGCAAGCAUCUCGGAGUUGGAAUAUUCGUUUUGAUGAACUGGUCAAAGGUUUUGGCUUUCAUCUGAAUGAAGAAGAACCUUGUGUUUACAAGAAGGAAAGUGGGAGCGCUGUUGUAUUUCUAAUCUUAUAUGUGGAUGGCAUAUUAUUGAUUGGGAAUGACAUUCCAAUGUUGCAAUUAAUAAAGACUUCAUUGAAUAAUAGUUUUUCUAUGAAGGAUUUAGGAGAAGCAGCAUACAUUUUGGGCAUUAAGAUCUAUAGAGAUAGGUCCAGAAGGCUAAUACGAUUAAGCCAAGAUACAUAUAUAGACAAGGUGUUGAAAUGGUUCAACAUGGAACAAUCUAAAAGAGGGUUCUUGCCUGUGUCACAUGGUAUGCGUUUUAGCGAUAAGUAGUGUCCUUCAUCAGAUGAAGAGCACAAACGCGUGAGUAAGGUUCCAUACGCUUUGGCAAUUGGUUCCGUCUUGUAUGCCAUGAUAUGUACUCGCCCAGAUGUCUCAUAUGCUCUAAGUGUUGCGAGCAGGUACCAGAAUAAUCCAGUUGAAAGUCACCGGACACUUGUUAAAACCAUUCUUAAGUACUUGAGAAGGACUACAGAUGUGUUCCUAAUCUAUGGAGGUGAGGAGGAGCUCGUUGUAAAUGGUUACACCGAUGCUAGCUUUCAAACUGACACAGAUGAUUCACAAUCUCAAUCAGGUUUUGUGUUCAUGAUAAAUGGUGGUGCAGUAAGCUGGAAAAGUUCCAAGCAGGCGACAGUGACUGAUUCUACAACAGAGGCCGAGUACAUCGUAGCUUCUGAAACUGCGAAGGAAGGUGUUUGGAUGAGGAGGUUUCUCAUUGAGCUUGGUGAGUUUCCGAGUGCAUCGAGCCCAUUGAAUCUACACUGUCACAACAAUUGGGUGAUUGCACAGGCUAAGGAGCCUAGGAAUCACUAGAAGAACAAACAUGUACUACAGAAGUUUCACCUCUUUCAAGAGUUCAUUAUGCGAGGUGAAAUUAAGAUGUGCAAGAUACAUACGAAUUUGAAUAUUGCAGAUCCUUUGACAAAGGCUCUUCCACAGCCUAAGCAUGAGGCAAACUUGAGGUCUAUGGGUAUUAGAUAUCUUAGAGAUUAACUCUAGUGCAAGUGGGACACUAUUGGGAAUAUGCCCUAGAGGUAAUCAUAGAGAUGAUGAUAUUACGAUUGUAUCCGUGACAUAUAUUAUGUGUUCAGUGAAUAUCCAUUAUAGACAAAGUUGUAUUGAUUAACAAUUAUGUGAAUUAUUUGUGAAACUCUUUUACUUGUAUGGUUAUUCUAAAGUUGUCCCUGAUCAGAGUUUGUGUGAGGAUACACAUGAACAUUAGAUUAGCACAUGUAUUAGUUGAUGACUUUGUUUCACAAGUCAUAAACAUAGAUGUCAAACUAAUAAUGUGGGCACAUGUAUGACAUGGGCUGGACUAACCCAACAUGAGAUGUUCUUAUAAUCUCUUUAUCAUGUACGUUAUGUCCUUCGACUUGAGAUUGUUGUAUGUUCUCAAGAUGUGAAACGACCUACUUAGAGACUAUUAAACACUAAUCUGUUACAGGGUAGUUAUAAGGGUGGUCUUUGGGUUUGUCGGGGAACAUGCUGUGAGACAUAGAUGAUCAAGAUGGAACUUACCCCUCCCUAUGUGAGAGAGAUAUCACUGGAUCACUCAAGUGAUUGGAUCAACAAAUGCAUGGCCAUGCUUAGGUUAAGUGUUAACCCACGAGUUGGACCAAAUAUCAUGUGGCAAGGGAAUAACAUGUAUAUGUAUGUAGUGGUUCGUCUGAUAUGAUCUUUGCGUACGUGUAGGAGUUGUCAAGACUUGCUAGAGGAUGCUGUCAACUAUUGGGCGAGUAGGAGUACUCGACCCAUGUCUAUAUGCACGUGAACCCAUAGGGUCGCACGCUUAAGGGGCUGGAAACCUAAUUUGGGUUGGACCCGAAUAAACUAGGCUUAGGGUUUCUAAUUGGGCCCUCGACUCGGGGCUAAUUGGAGGACGCCUAUAUAAGAGAGGGAGGGGGUGUGGCAAGGGUUAAUCCCAAGCCAUUAGGCAGCCGCCGCCGCUCACCCACGCUCGCGCCUUUUGCUCCUCGCAGACCUAGCAGCCGAAGGCGCAACGCUUCUUCCCCGCACGUGUGGGAUACCUCAGAGGUGCUGCAUCAGGAGCACAAGGACGAACCGCUGGAGAGGGAUUGCCAUGGUGGACGACCACACAACUGCACGGCACUGCUACUACACACACAACUACACCGAGUCGCUUACAUUGCAUCUGUGCAUCUAGUGGUAAUCCUAUGAUCUAUAAGUUGUAGUUGAUCCUUAUUUAUGAGGUCGAAAUUUUUGUUUCCUAGCUAGCGUAACAUCCUCAUAAUCCAUCAGUGGUAUCAAAGUCAUUACUGCAUUGUUAUAGAUUCAAUUGGGUACAUAUAGAGAUAUGCGUAGUUUUAGAUGAGUCUCAUGAUCUUGGUUCAUGGUUUUGCUGUGCUGGUAUUGUAACGAUCUACUAGUACCGGUCGGAAUUCCACCAUCUGAGUUAAGUGAUACAUGUAAACCCAGUCAUGGUGAGAUAGAGAUCAAUCAGGUUGACCUAAUUGAACCCUAGAUCAAGUGUGUUGGGCAUUCUUAACGUCAUUACCAAAAGAAGACUUAGUUUUCUAAUUCUGAUAACGGCGCCAAAAAUGCCAAACCUAUCCCUCAUGCCACUUAGGCCAAGUUGUCAUCCUCAGCAUGACAUGAGAGAUAUGGUAUUGAAAUAUGCAAUUGCUCUUCUGAAUGAAUAAUAAAUGAGAUCUCCAAGCGCACAGAUUAAUACCGAUGUAGCAUUUUAACCGGGAAGUAUUCCUGGUAUCGUUAUUUAUAUUUUUACCACUAGGAUGAGAUUGCUAAUCAUCAAUGUUGAUUAUGGAAUGGAAUAUGGAAUUGAGUAUCCAUCAUUGCAAGUGUAAUCGAGAGCAUUUAUCUAUCUCUUUCAUACAGGGGUAAAUGUCACAUAAAAUAUAGAUAAAGUAUGAAUGAUGACAAAGAUAAUUAAUCUGAUCAGCAUAACUAGCCACAUAUAAUAAUGAUAAGCACCUCAUCAGAUAUUCUAGCAAGUCAUUAGCAUGGAAUUAGGAUGAACUACAAGAAUAUUUCCUAAGUUAUUCUUAACAAUAAAGUCUAGCAUAUCAUAGUUAGUGCAAUUAUACUUGGCAAUCAUUGCGAGACAGGACUACGCCCAUGCAUAGUGAUAUUAUCAAGGAAGAUGAGAAACAUAGCAAUCACUCCCUUGUAAUAAUCUUGUUCUGUCUUCCCUAUACACGAGAGGGGGACUAUAUAAGAAUCAAUGGAGAUGUCACCACCACGAACUACCCUGCGAUCCGGCAUAUAGGGUACAAUCACAGAUAAAUACUGUAUAGGCACCACGCCUACACAAUACUUAUCAUUUACCCACUAUACACAUGGAUAAACGCUAUACGAUCCUAAACAUGUAUAUAAUUCCAAUCUAACUAAGCCAGGCAUAUAACUAUGAUAAACUAAUAACAAUAUAAUUGCAAAUAUAAACAAGUAGAGCAAAGUCAUAAUCAAUAUAUUGAAGUAGAAUAAAGUCAUAUUCAUAGUACUGAAGAACAAUGAUGAGCAAAUGAAGAACAGUAGAGGAAUUACCAAGAAUCCUCUUGAGAGAUCCGGAAACCAAUCGAAGAUUAACCCCUUCUAGUUCUAAUCCUAUGUAGCUAUGCUAAACUAGAGAUCUAGUUGAUGUGGUGGCUCUAGGGCUUGAUCAGAGACUUCUUCUCCCGAGAUGGAUGAAUGAAUUAGGGCUUCUCAGGUCCUCUCCUCCAGGGGCCAGGGGGUCUGCUUAUAUAGUCCCUCCAAAUGAAUAUAGACCAUCGGAUCAAACCGACCUUAAUCGCUCGGUUUUCCUUAAUCCCUUAGGUCAGUGGAGCAUGAUCCGCGAGGCGGAGCCUGAUUGGCUCUCAGGCCAGGGCAGGCGCCCAAGGGGGGAGGGCGGGCGCCCUACCCCCGGGUCCGCUCAGCCUCCCGCUCGUUCCCGUGGCUUCUGGACUCUUCUAGAUGUUGGAUAGUUGCGGUGCACGUUAAUAUCUCUAUAUAAACCCGACGUGUGGGCCUUUCUUCCAUAAUUCCUGAUAACCCCCUACAGAAAUAGACAAACACCAAAACUCGUGGAAUUCUGUCAGAUAAAACCAUAAGUCUGGAUGUUGGUUGCAUUUGGAUCCUUUUCUUUGUUUAUUUGUUAAUUAUAUUUGAUACUUAAGGACCGUCAACAAAGUGUCGGGCCCAUGUGAUGCAUGGUGGUAGUAGAUGAGAUCUACUGCGGGGCGGCGGAUUGCCGGGCAAAGUGUUGUUCGGUAAAACAGCCGUAACUUUUGAUCCAUAACUCGGAUUGAGACGAUCUCUAAACGAAAAUCAUAGAGAAAAAAUUUUUACAUCCAAUUUUCCAUCGUGAAACCAUGUUCGGUGAAAUAGAAUUGCAAAAAAAGGCCGGGAAAAUAGAGUUUUUGGCCCUGCAAGUUUAGAUGUCCGAAUCGGUUAACUCUGUUUUGCAGGGAUUCAUGACUGGUAUAGCCCUUAUGUGUAUGUGAUGCAUGUAUGUAAUAAAUUCAUGGCUUGCACGUCAUGGUAAUGGCCUGCGUGCCAAUCUGUGAUGAUCCUACCCGCGACUAUGUAAUUUUAAUUCACUGCCUCGCGUUAGUGGUAGCUAGUCUUGGUGGAAUCAUUACUGGAGGAUGGCGUACAUGGGUCAUGGAGAUGGAGAUCACCAUGAUGAAUAGAUAGAUGGAGAUGGAGAUCCCCAAAGUGAUAAUGGGCUAUACCAAGUCAUAUCUGUGUUAAUAUCGUUCUUACUAUGUUCUACUUUCAUAUGCGAUUAUGUUUUGUCUACAUGCAUGCGGUAGUGAAGUAGAACAAUCCCUCAGCAAUGUUUAAGUUACAUGCUCCCCCAAACCUUGCACUGUCAUACGUCUUGUACAAUCGGUGGUAGGACUAUGAAAUUAGGGUGCCACUGAUUUUCCUUGACCAGGCAGGUUCGUAUCGGAUACUAACGACAGAAGGGUUGGUUUCUUGAACAAGGUCAUCCUAACAGUUAGGGACCUUGGAGUAUAAGUAGUUGGGUAACACAAGCAUAGAGAUGCCAACACAACAACGAGAGUCAUAUGUGAUAUGAUUAGCAAGGAGUUGACAAGGGAAUAACAUGUAUAUGUAUGUAGUGGUUCAUCUGAUAUGAUCUUUGCGUACGUAUAGGAGUUGUCACGCCUUGCUAGAGGUCGCUGUCAACUAUUGGAUGAGAAGGAGUACUCGGCCCAUGUCUAUAUGCACGUGAACCCAUAGGGUCGCACGCUUAAGGGGCUGGAAACCAAAUUCGGGUUGGACCCAAAUUAGACAAGGCUUAGGGUUUGUAAUUGGGCCCCCAACUCAAGGCUAAUUGGAAGACGCCUAUAUAAGAGAGGGAGGGGCAUGGCCAGGGUUAAUCCCAGGCCAUUAGGCAGCCGCCGCCGCUCACCCACGCUCGCACCUUUUGCUCCUCGCGGACCUAGCAAUCCGGAGGCACAACGCUUCUUCACCGCACGUGUGGGAUACCUCGGAGAUGCUGCAUCUGGAGCACAAGGACAAACUGUGUUAGAGGGAUUGGCAUGGUGGACGACCAUACAACUGCACGGCACUGCUACUAUGCGCACAAGUGCACCGAGUCGCUUCCGUUGCAUCUGCACGUCUAGUGGUAAUCUCGUGAUCUAUAACUUGGAGUUGAUCCUUGUUUAUGAGGUUGAAAUUUUUGUUUUCUAGCUAGCGUAGCAUCCACAUAAUCCAUCAUAGGAGGCUCCAACUACAGUCCUACAAACACCAACCCUAACAUGGUGGAAUACGUCGGCCAUCAGGGCUGUCACCACCUGGGGCUACCAUAACUAUAUGUUGGAAUAGGUGCAAUCUCAGGUAACCUAUAGUCUAGAUGCCAUGUCUAUACUGCAUAUUACUACUCUAGUCACAAUUAAUAACUAGAGCACCCGAUGCGGGCGGAGAUCUUUUGCUAAAGUAUAACAACUAUACUAACCAAUCAAAUGUAAUGUAUAAAAGUAAAUAGAGAAGAUGAAAUAUAUUAAAGCAUAAGUCUUACAAGAAUAUAUACAAAGAUAUACCAGAACUCUGACGACUCCUCCAAAGACACCUCCAGAACCCGGGCGUAGCGCCACUCUCCCUAACUCUCAACUAGAACUAAUCUACUACAUUGGAAAGUCUAGCCCUAAUUCACUAUUGGUGAGAGGUCAUCCAUUCGAGGGACGCCUCUACAUCUCCAUAAUAAUGUGGUGCCCCCAAAGAGGGGGUCUGUCUCUUUAUUUAUAGCCUAGAAAAGCCUCCCACCUCUUCUGGACAGGCAAUGUGGGACUAAAUGUUCCACCGUUUGCUCUGUUGGGCUAUUAUACAUCAACAUGGGCCUUCCAAUGAUCCCUUAUGUGAGCCCACUCAGGGGAGCAGCUUGGGGCGCCUCUCUUGGGUCUCUAUCAUGCCAUAUGCUCUUCUCACGUCAUGGGCCUUGUUUGGGUGUGAGGCCCAUUAGUGGUAAUUCUCCUUUAUUUGUAAAAUUAAUAUCUUUUCACUCCGCACUCCAAAUAUAGCAAAUGAUAUGUCCGUUUCGAUCGCCUCGACGAGCCCAUCACAAUGGUGUAGUCUAAAUCAUCAUUUCACAUACUUUUAUUUGAUGGAAAAUUGCAUAUUCCUACAAAACAAGUGAGAACCCCAAAACUCAUGGAACUCGUUACAAUCAAACCCUACAACAAUGCUUAAUGGUUGAUAUAAUGUUAUAUUGAGCAACAGUUGAUGGUAUAAAAUAGGCAUUAAGGACCAUCAAUAAGUUCCCCAAGCUUACCCUUUGCUAGUCCCUUAGCAAAGCCUAACUAGUAAACUUGAAUGAGAAGUUGCUACAAUGCUUUCACUCCUCAAAAGUACACAUGCUUUCAAACUGAAAUUGUCACACCCAUAUUUCAAGAACAAAAUAGGAUGCAUAAAAGACUCAUAUGUGCCCCAGAAAUAGUCGCACACAUAAGUAGACAAAUCUCAAGAAUAUCAUCGCAGUGUUUAUUACAUAGCAGAACAAUAAUAAUCACAUAGUCUUAUACAAUAAUGAUAAAUAAGAAUAAAUAGCUCUCUCAACAGAAGCAUCACACAGGGACAAACAUUGACUGAUUGACUUCAAACCUAAUGCUCAUAUCGAUAGUCCUCAAUCCAUUCAUCAUCAUUUUCAUAACCUGAGGUGUUGGAAAAUUAUAAGAGUGAGCACACAUUGUACUGAACAAGUAUAACCAGGGGUUCAUGAGGCUCAAAUAGCUGACACUGGUUUAACUGCAUUUAGCUUUUAUAUGUAGAUAGCAUGUUCGUAAUUAAAUAGCAAGUGUCAAGGUAGCAUAAAUAAUCCCAUAAUCACAUGAUCAAUUGUAAGCAUAAUUAACUCAUAGCAUAAACGAUAAAUGAAUGAACAUAAUAACUUAAUAAGCAUCAUCAUCUUUAAUAUAAGAACCCCCAAUGCCGCUCUUAACCAUGAGCAUGGCUAGUAUACCAGUUUUAAACACUCUGUAGAGGUUGUACAUCUUUAUUCAUGAGUCAUGAUAUACCCUUUCGCCCGAUAACCUCUUAACCCCCUUCCUAGAGAGGUCGGCAGGGAUCACUAUGAAGCCUUUCAAAAGUUUGUCUAAAAGUUAGGGCCGCAAGGUUUCACGAGCAAGCAGAUAUAGAGCCCCCCUUCCAAAAUGGCACAAUGACACGCAGCCUAUACACAUCUAGCGCCCUUACGGGUAACCUCUAACAAGCUAGAAAAGGUCUUGAUACUGAGCUAAAGCUAGAGCCAUGAUAGCCCUCAUGGUUGCACUAUUAUCCCGAUGAUCACUUAUAGACAAGAUCUGAUAUGGUUAUCAGUCAUCUUUUAACGUUCAUUGCAUAGCGAUUAUUCAUCUUACAAGAUCAUGUAUUACAUCAAGCACUAGCAUAACUACACCAAAAUGAAUAUCAAAUAGGUAACAAGAAAUUCAGGUAACAAUUAUCUAUGAUUUUGCUAAGGUCGUCAAGGUGGACACAUGCAUAUGAUAAACAUUGUAUUAAUUUUGUAUAGGUAACAAGGAUGGUCCCAAGUAUACUUACCUUGAUCAAAGCUCUCUUGAGACUCCUGCUGGUCAUCACAAGCUUGGUCUUACUCACCAACGUAUAGAUCACCGUCUAUUCCCAAACAUCAAUCAACAACACGCAUUCCAAUGGAGACAAUCAUACACAAAGCUAACAAGCUAUAAUUAGAACAUUACACCGACAGUGAUAAAACAAAGAUAAAAGUUUAUAAAAAUAUUCUACGCAGCGCUACGACCACACAAACAUAAUGUUCAUGAAAAUCAGAAUUAAAACGUAGAAGUUAUGAAUUUUCUAAGAUUUUCUAUAGAAGAAUAAUUAAUUAAAUGCUUCUACAAAAUUUAAAAGUUUAAACUAGUGAAACAGUACCACUAACAUGUAGAGCUCGUAAUCACGAACCUAACGCAAUUUGAAUGGAUAGAAACGAAGUUAAAAUGAGUAUUUUAUAAGCAAAACAAUUUAAGUGGCAAUUCUGUAAAUACUGGAAUACGUAUUUUCUUUCAAACCGAUGAGGGUACGCUUUCAGAAAUGAAAAGCGCAAAACCUAAGGAUGUAAGUGGGGCGGCGAUGGGCAGCCCACCCCGCGUGCGCAUCAGCUCCAAGUGUUAUGUGAGCCGAUGCGGCAGCCCACAUCUCGCCGCUCUCAAUUUGUGGGUUGGAUCGGUAGCCCACAAAGUGCCGCAACGCAGGUUCGCUGCUAUCUGCUAAAACCGGCCGAGCAAGCUUCGCCUCCUUGAGGCGCCAAGGUCUGAGGCAUGCGCUCCCGCCGCCGCGCUCGCCAUGCGAAUGACUGACGAUGGUGCUUGCCUGGACCUCCACCAAUGGUCAUUGCUGCCUUGUUCUUCUCCCUCGUGCAUAGAACCGGCACGGUGGCGCCGCAUCGUCAGCAGCUCAACACAGACGCCGAGGCGGAGCUUCGUGUUGCAGCACCGUCUCAGCUUGGACGAUAGCACCAUCGUCAUCUCCAUGGACUGAUAAGAGCUAAUCCUGGCAACUCAUCGUACGUGGUGGUCCGGGUGAAACCAACACAAGCUUGGCCGCGCAUGAGGAAAUGAAAACAAAAACGCAAAAACGUGUGCAUGCUGUCUGCGGCCGCGCCACCUGUCUACUUCGCCGACUCCGUGUCGACCUGAGUCGCUCGCCACGCCGGACGACAUCGGAUGCGUCAUCAUCUAGCUCGCCGACGCGUCGCAGACACAGCAGCACGCUACCCCCAUGGGCGUGCCUCCACGUCGGCCGGCCAAACUGCUCCCGCGCCCUCGGCGAUGCCACCGUACCAGCAGGCGGACGGUGCUGGGCGGCUAUGUGGGUUGCCGCUGGGUACAUGUGGGUUCGGCAUUCCAACCCACCCUAUUUGAGUGGGCUAUCCUGAGCAGCUCAGCGGGUUAGCGGCGUGGACAGCUCAUUGGGUUGAUGCCAUGGCCCACCCCAACUUGCAUCCUUAGCAAAACCCCAAGGCCCUAAGGAUGGCGGGUUAUUUUGUAAAAAUAUCUAGGGACUCUUUAGCAAAAGUUACCCCGAAGGGGUAUCUUCUGAGUUCAGCCACUGAUUCCCGAUCUUACGGCUCAGACUACACCUGGAGGGGGACACCGGCCGGCCGGCCACCGGAGAAAGGUCCAGCACGGCGGCGCCAUGGCUGGGCGAGCCGAGCUCGCCGGAGUUCGUGGUUUCCGUGAAGCUGAGUACUAGAAAACGAAAACAAUGCACCGGGCGGAGGAGAAGCUUACACCGAGCUCACCUACGCGCUUGAUUCGGCCUGAGAGAGGACAGGGAGAGCUCGCCGUGGUGGAGAAAGAGCUCGGUCUCGGUGAGAUCUAAACCUCAGCUGAAAACGAUAGCUAGGGUUUGAUUUUUGCGACGAAAGUGGAAACCAACACAUGGGGACCCUGUUGGGAGCUUUAUAGGGCUCGGGUUGGCUCAAUCCCACGAAAUCCCGAUGAUUUGGGAUUUGGUGUUUGAGUCCGGCUCGGUUACGGAUGGGAGGAAGAAGACGGGCAAUGCUCGAUGGGUCCCUAGUGUCAGCGAGAGAGGAGUGGGGCCCGGCUGUCAGCCAAAGAAAGAGAUAGGGGGAGGACAGCGCGCGACUGGGCUGCCUGGGCCGCAAGUUGGGCCGAGCGAGGGGAGAGAGGAGGGCGCACUGGGCCGAGGCGAGGGGGAGAAGCCAGGGGGCUUGGUCGGGCCGAGCGCUGGGCCUUGGCCACUGGCCACUAGGCCGAGAGCAGGGAGUUUACUUCCUCUUUUUUUUUAUUUCUUUUCCAAAGCCUUUUCCAAAUGAACUUUUGAGUAUAAAUAAAAUAAAACCAAAAACAGUUAACACAAACAUAAUUAUGCUCCAGCAUGAAUGCAAAACAUGUUCCUAGCCUUAUAGUAAAUUUUAAUUUUGACAAAAAAUAUUUAUUUACUAGAUUAAAUGCGCACCAAAUUGCUUAAAUAAAUCUAAUUAAAUCCUAUCAUUUAAAAAUCAGAUUUUGGGUGUUACAGAAAUUCUCCUUUGAAUUAGACAAAACUGCUCUAACUUUCAAACUUACCCAUUUUACCAUUAACUAUGGAGCUUUUCAACUUCCAUGUGUGUCUUGAGUAAUUGAAAGAUAGAACAAUCAAGUAAAGCACUAUGUAUCAAAUUCUUUACUCAACCAAUAUUCUAGAGUUUUUGUAAGUUUUCAAAAUAAAACUCAGAGCUUAAUCGUAUGACACCCUCAAGUGUCUUAUUGUAUGUGGUAUUUAUGGAUCUCACUCAGGCAUUUAUGUUGUCAUGCCCUCCUACAACUAAUGAUUAUAGUGGAGCUUAUAGAAGUGGCAUUAAACAAGGCUGAGCAUACUUGCAAUUCAUAUAUUGUAAAGUCAAACAAUGGAUCCAAAGAGAGUCAAGUCAUACAAUCAAACCAAGAUAUGCAUGUGUAUGGUAUAUGGUGGAUGGGUGUAUAUAUAUGAUGGUGGCUAAUCCUAAUUCUACUUUUGCUCUUUAAAAAUAAAUCUCUCUCUUCGACUUCAAACUUUCUCAGGAAAACAUGGGCUAUCUCCAAUUUUUUUUCUUUUUCUUCUUCUCUUUUUUUUCUCUCUCUCUAUAUAUAUUUUUUAGGGAGGCGAGCAUCAAAGUACCUAUUAUUUCAAUUGCUUGGACACAUGUCUAUUUUUUUAACUCCCUCUAUUUUUUCAAUACAUUUUUCUUUUGCUCAUGACUUUUUGAGUUGGGGUCGUCUAGGGUUUCGAAAACGCGCGUGUAGCCGUGAAAAUUUGAAAUUUCAAAAUAUGAGUGGUCCAAACCCUCUUAGAUGAAAAGUUGACAAUUACACCAAAUGUGUAUCUUGAUAAGGUAGACAAACUUUGUAUUCAUGACUUUUGUAGCUGAGACCAUCUCGGUCCGGUGAAAGUACCUUUUUUAGAAAAAUCCAAGAUUUGACUUGGUCAAACUAGGUCAAACGAGGCAAUAAAAUACCUCAAAUGAAAAAAUUUUGAAUACAAAGGAGUUAGAGCUCAUCAAGGUCUACCUUUGAUACAUAGUCCAUUUUUGCAUUUGGAAAAGUUUAAGUAAACCUUUGUCACAUGUUUUAAGAAUCAAGGCUUGAGUUGGUCAAACCUAGUCAAACAAGGCACUAGAUGACCUCAAAUGAAAAACUUUUCAAUACAAGGGUGUUAGAGCUCAUCAUGAAACACAUUCCAUAUAUAGGGAAUUUUUGUGUUUGAGAAAGGGUUGAUAACUGUGGUCACAAAGUCUAGAAUCUCACACAAACUUUAUAAAACUAUAUGUGAGACCUUCAGAUUUAGAACUACACUUUCAUAACACUUUGUUAAAUGCAAAAUUGUGUUAUGUACGAAAUGUAGAUCUUGAUGAGUGGAACAAACUUUCUAUUCAUGACUUUUUGAGUUGGGGCCGUCUAGGGUUUUGAAAACGUACGUGUAGCCGUGAAAAUUUGAAAUUUUAAAAUCUGAGUGGUCCAAACCCUCUCAAAUGAAAAGUUGACAAUUACACCAAAUGUGUAUCUUGAUAAGGUGGACAAACUUUGUAUUCAUGACUUUUGUUGCUGAGACCAUCUCGGGUCCGGUCAAAGUGCCUUUUUAGAAAAAUACAAGAUUUGACUUGGUCAAACAAGGUCAAACGAGGCAAUAAAAGACCUCAAAUGAAAAUAUUUGGAAUACAAAGGAGUUAGAGCUCAUCAAGGUCUACCUUUGAUACAUAGUCCAUUUUUUCAUUUGGAAAAGAUUCAGUAAACUUUAGUCACAUGUUUUAAAAAUCAAGGCUUGACUAGGUCAAACCUGGUCAAACAAGGCACUAAAUCAUCUCAAAUAAAAAACUUUUGAAUACAUGGGUGUUAGAGCUCAUCAAGAUACACAUUCCAUAUAUAGGGCAUUUUUGUGUUUGAUAAAUGGUGGGUAACUAUGGUCACAAAGUCUAGAAUCUCGCACAAACUUUAUAAAACUACAUGUGAGACCUUCAGAUUUAGAACUACACUUUCGUAACGCUUUGUUAAACUUAAAAAUGUGCUAUGUAUGAAAUCUAGAUCUUGAUGAGUGGAACAAACUUUCUAUUCAUGAGUUUUCGAGUUGGGGACGUCUAGGGUUUUGAAAAUGUGCGUGUAGGCGUGAAAAUUUGAAAUUUCAAAAUCUGAGUGGUCCAAACCCUCUCAAAUGAAAAGUUGACCAUUACACCAAAUGUGUAUCUUAAUAAGGUGGACAAACUUUGUAUUCAUGAAUUUUGUAGCUGAAACCAUCUCAGGUCCGGUCAAACUGUCUUUUUAGAAAAAUCCAAGAUUUGACUUGGUCGAACUAGGUCAAAUGAGGAAAUAAAAGACCUCAAAUGAAAAAAUUUUGAAUUCAAAGGAGUUAGAGCUCAUCAAGGUCUACCUUUGAUACAUAGUCCAUUUUUGCAUUUGGAAAAGUUUCAGUAAACUCUAGUCAUAUGUUUUAAAAAUCAAGGCUUGACUUGGUCAAACCUGGUCAAACAAGGCACUAAAUGACCUAAAUGAAAAACUUUUGAAUACAAGGGUGUUAGAGCUCAUCAAGAUACACAUUCCAUAUAUAGGACAUUUUUGUGUUUGAGAAAGGGUUGGUAAACUGUGGUCACAAAGUCUUGGAUCUCACACAAACUUUAUGAAACUAUAUGUGAGACCUUCGAAUUUAGAACUACAAUUUAAUAACGCUUUGUCAAAUGCAAAAAUGUGCUAGGUAUAAAAUGUAGAUCUUGAUGAGUGGAACAAACUUUUUAUUCAUGACUUUUUGAGUUGGGGCCGUUUCGGGUUUCAAAAACAUGCGUGUAGCCGUGAAAACUUGAAAUUUCAAAAUCUCAAUGGUCCAAACCCUAUGAGAUGAAAAGUUGUGCAUUACACCAAAUGUGUAUCUUGAUAAGGUGGACAAACUUUGUAUUCAUGACUUUUGUUGUUGAGACCAUCUCUGGUCCGGUCAAAGUGUCUUUUCAGAAAAAUCCAAGAUUUUUCUUGGUCAAACUAGGUCAAACGAGGCAACAAAAGACCUCAAAUAAAAAAAUUUUGAAUACAAAAGAGUUAGAGCUCAUCAAGGUCUAACUUUCAUACAUAGUCCAUUUUUGCAUUUGAAAAAGUUUCUGUAAACUCUAGUCACAUGUUUUAAAAAUCAAGGCUUGACUUGGUCAAACCUGGUCAAACCAGGCACUAAAUGACCUCAAAUGAAAAACUUUUUAAUACAAGGGUGUUAGACCUCAUCGAGAUACAAAUUCCAUAUAUAGGACAUUUUUGUGUUUGAGAAAGGGUUGGUAAAUUGUGGUCACAAAGUCUUGAAUCUCACAUAAACUUUAUGAAACUAUAUGUGAGACCUUUGGAUUUAGAACUACACUUUCAUAACACUUUGUCAAAUGCAAAUUGUGCUAUGUAUAAAAUAUAGAUCUUGAUGAGUAGAACAAACUUUCUAUUCAUGACUUUUCGAGUUGGGGGCGUCUAGGGUUUCGAAAAUGUGCGUGUAGCCGUGAAAAGUUGAAAUUUCAAAAUCUAAGUGGUCCAAACCCUCUGAGAUGAAAUGUUUACCAUUACACCAAAUGUGUAUCUUGAUAAGGUGGACAAAAUUUGUAUUCAUGACUUUUGUAGCUGAGACCAUCUCACAUCUGGUCAAAGUGUCUUUUUAGAAAAAUCCAAUAUUUGACUUGGUCGAACUAGGUCAAACGGGGCAAUAAAAGACCUAAAAUGAAAAAAUUUUGAAUACAAAGGAGUUAGAGCUCAUCAUGGUCUACCUUUGAUACAUAGUCCAUUUUUGUAUUUGGAAAAGUUUCACUAAACUCUGGUCAUAUGUUUUAAAAAUCAAGGAUUGACUUAGUCAAACCUGGUCAAUCAAGGCACUAGAUGACCUCAAAUGAAAAACUUUUGAAUACAAGGGUUUUAGAGCUCAUCAAGAUACACAUUCCAUAUAUAGGACAUUUUUGUGUUUCUGAAAGGGUUGGUAACUGUGGUCACAAAGUCUAGAAUCUCACACAAACUUUAUAAAACUAUAUGUGAGACCUUCGGUUUUAGAACUACACAUUCGUAAUGCUUUGUCAAAUGUAAAAAUGUGCUAUGUAUGAAAUGUAGAUCUUGAUGAGUGGAAUAAACUUUCUAUUCAUGACUUUUCGAGUUGGGGCUAUCUAGGGAUUCAAAAAUGUGCAUGUAGUCGUGAAAAUUUGAAAUUUCAAAACAUGAGUGGUCGAAACCCUCUGAGAUGAAAAGUUGACCAUUACACCAAAUGUGUAUCUUGAUAAGGUGGACAAAUUUUGUAUUCAUGACUUUUAUAGGUGAGACCAUCUUGGGUUCGGUCAAAGUGUCUUUUUUACAAAAAUUCAAGAUUUUACUUGGUCAAACAAGGUCAAACGAGGCAAUAAAAGACCUCAAAUGAAAAAGUUUUGAAUACAAAAGAGUUAGAGCUCAUCAAGGUCUACCUUUGAUACAUAGUCCAUUUUUGCAUUUGGAAAAGUUUCAGUAAACUAUAGUCACAUGUUUUAAAAAUCAAGGCUUGACUUUGUGAAACCUAUUCAAACAAGGCACUAAAUGACCUCAAAUGAAAAACGUUUGAAUACAAUGGUGUUAGAGCUCAUCAAAAUACACAUUGCAUAUAUAGGACAUUUUUGUGUUUGAGAAAGGGUUGGUAAACUGUGGUCACAAUGUCUUGAAUCUCACACAAAUUUUAUGAAACUAUAUGUGAGACCUUUGGAUUUAGAACUACACUUUCGUAACGCUUUGUCAAAUGCAAAAAUGUGCUAUGUGUGAAAUGUAGAUCUUGAUGAGUGGAACAAACUUUCUAUUCAUGAUUUUUCGAGUUGGAGCCAUCUAGGGUCCCGAAAACGUGCUUGUAGUUGUGAAAAUUUGAAAUUUCAAACUCUGAGUGGUCCAAACCCUCUCACAUGAAAAUUUGAGUGGUCAAUAUACAAAUAAUAUAUAUACAUUAUAUUUAUAUAAAAAAUGAAUAAUAUAGAAAUAAUUAUGUUCAAAAGAUAUAGAAACAAUAUAAUUAUAUUAUAGUAUCAAUACACAAAUAAUAUAUAUAAACAACAUUAUUAUGUUACAAAUAAUGAAUAUAGAAAAAUUAUGUUACAAAUAAUGUAGAAACAAUAUAAUCAUAUUAUAAUAUCAAUUUACAAAUAAUAUCGUCGGUGGAAAUAGUGGCUGCGGAGGAGGCCUCGAUGCCGCUGCAAGCGGUUGCUCCUGGGGUGAGUUCAUCUGAUCAAUCGCCAUCCUCGCAUUCAUUAUCUGCAAUCCUAAUGAACCCUAGUCAUGGAGAGAAUCAUUUGGCAUCUUCUUCUCCGAGUUCGUUUCAUGCUGCUCACGGUGGUGGGCAUUCGUCAGUAGUUUCUCAACGGGCGACAUAUUCCUUCCCUGUAGUCCAUCCCCUAGAGAUCUUAGGCAAAAAUCCAUGGCGAGUAGCUUUCCCUUUCAUUCCGUUACUAAAUUGAAGGUGAAACUUCGUCAGACUCCUAUUGAACUGGUUUGGAAUCUUCGAUAAGAUUCUAAUCCAGGGUGCUCUGGUGUGCUUGAGGACUCUGCUGUGGAGAAACAUAGUUUGGGGUUGAAGACAGCCCGGCAAGUGGGGCUUGAUUGUCAGCCUCACUGGUUCCAGUUACCGCCUAAGGUGAGGAUCAUCCUGGGAAUCCUGGGGUCCUGUCCAGAGGGUGUUACACGCGGCGAACAUCCGCCGACUAGUAUCGACGGUGAGCAUAAGGGUAUCAGUGAACUCGAGUCAAGACACCUAUCUCCCUUACAAAAUACGUCUUCCUCAGCUAGCGUUUCGAGUCCAAACCCUAUCCCCAAGUCCUUUCCAAAUCUCCGCCGGAUUGUUGGUCACCUGUGGCAGAUCCCAUCCACAAAAUCGUUUGCGGCGGCCGUGAGGACCGAGCCGGCACCUACGGUCGUUGUAACGAUGCAACCAAGAGGUGGAGGAAGGAGGACGGGGUGGAGGGACCGGGGGGCCGAGAUUAGGGAGGAUAUGGUUGCAAUCAUCAAGAAGGAAGUGGAUCUGGUGAAGGUAAUCUGAAUCGUGGUGGCUUUGGUGGGGGUAGGCAUGAUUGGGGUCGUGGAAGGACUGGUGCUCGCAUAAAUGUGGGGCAAAUGAAACAACUCAGUGCUGAGAACAAUCCGGGUGAGGAGUUGGAACACUCACAGGUCUCUAACAGUGAGGACAAAUGGGAGCGGCGUGAGGAAAAGAAAGAAGAAAAGGAAAAUGCUUGGGCACCAAGGUCCAACAAAUAGCUUGCUCAAACUAAUAAUGCAGCUCCACCUGAGGAUUCGUCCAAGAAAAAUUUUGAGGUAAUGCAGUCUAACAAUGCCCGUGUUGCUUGUGAGAUAUGUGGUUUCACCAAUCAUGUCACUAGAGAUUGUCGUAAGAUGUAUUGUGAGAUCUGCAAUAGUAACACUCAUAUUACUUAUGAUUGUGUGAACUGUCUGCCCUGGAAUUUUGGUCCAGAACUGUGUGCUGCACAAGUAGAAGGGCAUAGUUUUUUCCAUAUUAAUGAAAUCAUUGAUUCCAAGAUCUCUAGGGAAAGGGCUAGUACUGCUGUUAUUUCUGUGAUUCAGGGUAAGGUGUUUGCUAAGGAGAUUGAACACAUGUUUAUGAAUUUGUUGGGGGCAAACACUUGGAGGUGGACAUCAGAAACAUCUUAUGUCAUGAGAUUCCCAUCUGCUGAAAUGGUGAUGGAAUGGAGUCACAUUAAGACUAUGUCUAUGAAGGGAGGUGGUGCCAAGAUACAAAUUGAGAACUGGUCGUCAUAUGGUGGCAGUAAAGGUGUGCUUCAGCAGGCCUGGUUCAGAGUUACAAACAUCCCUGAUGAUCAGAGAUCCAUUGUUACUCUAGCUAAGGUGGGAGGUCUAGUUGGCAAAGUUAUUGAGAUUGAUGAAAAGUCCAGAUUCAGAAUUGAUUAUGUCAGGAUGAAAAUUGCAUGUAGAGACAUUUCCAAGAUCCCUAAAACCGCUGAGGAGUUCUAGGCCUGUCAAUAUAUGAUUUUGGCUUCGAGAGAGAGGUUCUUGAUGAUGGGAAAGGAAAGGUUCUUAAAAGUGGUAUCAGGAUUGGAGAAGAUGAGCCACCUAACAAGAAAUUCAGAAAUGAGAGUGGACAAGAUUUUUCAAUCAUAAACAGGAAAGUUGGUGACAAUGAUGGUCGUGAUUCCAGGCAAGUGCAGAAUUUUGGAAAACAAGUGAUGGCCUCUGCUCCAUCAAAACUGCAGUCUUCAUCAGUCAUUGACAGUGAUGCUAAGCUGUUGAAAGAUGCUCAAAACGGUCUGUCUAGUCAGAUUAUGCUUGGAGGGGAAGGCAAAGUAUAUAUACCUGAAAGUAUGGAGGAAUCUGAUUCUGAGAGUGACUCUUUUGGGGAAAGGCUUAGGAAACUAAAUGAGGAGGGACAGUCUUCUAAACUAGGAAAGAAUCAAGAACAACUUUGGUUUAUGGAAGUGAAUGAGAACAAGGCAGUUUUAUAUGAUGAAACAGUAGCUGAUCCAAUGAAAUGCAUAAGUGUGACAACUCCUAAAAGUGUUGAAGUUCAGAAGAGCAACAAUGCUGACAAGGUUUCUGUAUCACCUGAGAUUUUUAUCACUGAUGAUAAUAUUGUCAACACACAAGAAAGUUUGGCUUUACCUGAAGAAGUUCCUAUGGAGAUGGAGAUUCCUCAAGAUGAUCAAAAGUCCUUGAAGGGAAACAGGAAGGUGUUGGAAAAAACACAAGCUGUCCAUCCCAUUGCCAGGAGGAGGAGUGAGAGGCUGGCUAAAGAAAUCACUAUUUGCACCAAGGAGAAGACUAAGAUGAUGGCCAAGAAGAGAAAUCUGGAAGGUAUUUGCUCUAAUCAGAAUAUGUUUUAUGUUCUUCCUAUUGAUGAAAUGGCUGAACUGUCUUCUAAUAUGGGGGUUGUAAUUGAACCAUCUAACUUUGGUACUUUUGAAUUAUUAAAAGAUUUGGAAUGUGCUAGACAUGAUUUGUUCAUUAAGCAAAGAGAUGGUGGUCAAACAUCCCAAUCAUCUCAAGCUGACUCAGCUGGGAUUGUUGAAUCUUCUGACCAUCCUUUGCCAAUUGAAUGGUUACAUGAAGAGGACUCUGACUCAGAGGACUUCAUUUUAGUCUCAUCAAAAAAGAAAGAAAAAGAGAAAAGAAAGAGUUUAAAGAUCUCGCCCAAUAUAACAAAAAAAAAGCAGGCUCUGGAAAAUCCAGAUCUGCAUAUCAGUAAGCGUAGAAGAUCUACCUUACAAUUGCCAAAAAGACCAAAAAAAGUGAAUAUGUCAUUACAAGGUCUAAUUUGGAACUGUCGUGGUCUCAGGAAAAAGGGGGUUGCUACUUUUCUUAAGUCAGUUUUUUUGAGUAUAAUCUUCAUUUUGUUGGUCUUCAAGAGACAAUGGUUGAUGAAUGUUCAGAAAGUAUUCUUAGGAAAUUUGAUCCUAAUCAAGAUUUUCUUUGGCUUUGGAAUCCAGCUAAAGGGAAGUCUGGGGGUAUCCUUGUUGGAAUAAGGAAAGAGUUUUAUGAUGUGGGAGCUUUUAAACAAGGGGAAUAUAUGCUUCAAACCAAUCUUUGGGAUAAGCAGAAUAAAAUCAAAUGGAAUCUCUUAGUAUUAUAUGGAGCUGCUCAGGAUGAGAACAAAACAAAAUUCCUAUCUGAGUUAGCUCAAUUUUGUUCUCACAAUAAGGAACCUAUUUUGAUUGGAGGUGAUUUUAAUAUCAUUAGAUAUGCUAAUGAAAGCAACAAGAAUAAUGGGGUUCAUAGACACAUUGGUAUGUUUAACUCCUUGAUUCAGCUAUAUGAGCUAAGAGAAUUGAUUAUGACUGGAGGAUGCUUCACCUGGUCCAAUAAUCAAGAGAUCCCUACAUUAGUCAAGCUUGACAGGAUUCUUAUGUCCAAAGAUUGGGAGACAUAUUUCCUUUAGCUAUGAUAAAGAAACUUCCUAGAGAAAUAUCUGAUCGUAAUCCUUUACUCUUGUUAUCUGGAUCCCAGAAACAUAGCAAAAGUAUUCAGUUUAAGUUUGAAGUAAGCUGGUUCAAAAAUCCUGACUUCUUCAUUCAUGUGGAAAGAAUUUGGAGCAAACCUUGUAGAGCAUCUUCUGCAUUGGAUAAAAUUCAACAAAAGCUUAAACUGUUAAAACAAUAUUUUAAAGGGUGCGAUCUUAAUCUUCAAGGUGAGCUCAGAAGGCUUAGGAAAGAGUUAUGUGAAGAGUUGAGGGUUCUUGAGAAUAUAGAAGCAACAUCUAGUCUUUCAUGUGAACAAUGGCUCAGGAAAAAUUGGAUUAUGUGUGAAAAUUUGAGAAUCCUUGAACAAGAAGAAGUAUAUUGGUACUCUAGGUCCCAUGAAAACUGGUUGUUACAAGGUGACUUGAAUACCAAAUUUUUUUCAUAGAGUUGCUAGUGGCAGAAAAAGGAAGAAUACUAUUCUAAGUCUAGAAGAUAAUGGGGUCAUCUUUGAAGGAGAUGAAAAGUUGUUGGCUCAUGCUACUGAUUUUUAUUCUAAUCUGUUUGGACCCACACCUAAUUUUGAGAUUCAGAUUGAUGAUUGUAUCUGGGAAGAUGCUGCUUGUUUGUCUGAUACAGAUAAUGAACAACUAUGCAAACCUUUUUCUGAGGCAGAAAUCAGGUAUGCAUUAGAUCAAAUGGAAAAGAAUAAAGCAAUAGGCCCUGAUGGUAUUCCCAUAGAAUUUUAUCAAGAAUGUUUGCGUAUCAUCAAAAAAGACAUAGUGUCGUUAUUUGAUGAUUUUUAUCAAGGCAAAGUGGAUAUUAGUAGAUUAAACUAUGGGAUUAUCACUUUGUUGCCUAAAACUGAUGAUGCAUCGAAAAUUCAACAGUUUAGGCCUAUAUGUAUUUUGAAUUGCUUAUAUAAGCUGAUCACGGAAACUCUUACUAUAAGAAUUGAGUCUCUUGCUGAUAAAUUGAUUCAUCAAGCCCAAUCGGCCUUUAUGAAAGGAAGGAACAUUAUGGCUGGGGUACUCACCUUGCAUGAAAUUUUGCAUGAAACAAAGAGGAAAGGUGAAUGUGGGGUCAUUUUGAAACUGGACUUUGAGAAAGCCUAUGACAAGGUUAAUUGGUCCCUCUUAUUUGAAUGCUUAAAGGCUAGAGGUUUUUGUGAUCAAUGGUGUGAUUGGAUAAAAGAGGUGGUGUCUGGUGGAACAGUCAGUGUCAAGAUUAAUAACCUUUUGGGACCUUACAUCAAGAGUUAUAAAGGAGUGAGACAGGGUGAUCCUCUAUCCCCUAUUCUGUUCAAUUUUGUUGCUGAUUGUUUGACUUGAAUGAUCCAUCAAGCACAAAAAAGUGGUCUGACUUUGGGUUUGGUUGAGCAUAUCGUACCAAAUGGUGUUGCUAUCUUACAAUAUGCUGACAAUACAAUCAUAUGUUUGAAAAAUGAUCUGAAUAAAGCUAGGAAUCUUAAGUUUCUUCUAUAUCUAUAUGAAAUGCUGGCUGGUCUUAAGAUCAAUUUUAAUAAAAGUGAGGUGGUGAUGAUUAAUGAUCAUUCGAAUGUUGCUAACUCUUAUGCUGAGAUAUUCAAUUGUCAAAUUGGCUAUUUCCCUAUCAAAUAUUUGGCGGUCCCUGUGAGCCCAAGUAGAUUGCAUGUUGCUGAUUGGAGGCCCCUCUUGGAAAAAAAUGCUAAGAGGCUAGAUGUGUGGAAAGGAUCUUCGUUAUCCAUUGCUGGCAGAUCUACUCUUAUUUCUUCCAGUCUUAAUAAUACCCCUAUCUAUCACAUGGCAAUUUACUUACUCCCUAAGACUGUGAUCAAGGAGUUAGAUAAGGUGAGAAGAACCUUUUUUUGUUAAGGUGGACAUACAAAAAGGAAGUACCAUUUAGUUAAAUGGACUAAAAUUUGUAAGAGCAAAAAGAAAGGCGGUUUGGGGAUUAAAGAUAUCAGGAAAACAAAUUUGAGCCUUCUUUGUAAAUGGUGGUGGAAGCUUGAAAAUGAAUCUGGUAUUUGGCAGGAUAUUGUGAAGUUCAAAUAUCUUCAAACAAAUUCAGUUGUGUCUAUAAAACAUAAGCAAUCUGAUUCCCCUGUGUGGAGUGACUUACUCAAAAUAAAAGAAAUUUAUCUCCAAGGAAGGAAACUAAAAGUUAAUAAUGGUGCUUCAACCUUGGUUUGGAGAGAUACAUGCUUAUAUAAUGACCCUUAUGUUCUAGAUCCCCUGAUUUGUUUAAACUUUGUGAUCAGAAAGACAUUUAUGUCUCCCAGUUGAUCAGUGGCUUGGUUACUAUUUCCUUUUGUAGAUGGCUCACUCUUGAGUUGAGCAAUUGUAGCACCCGGUUUUAAGAACAAAACCAGAUACACACCAUAUGUGAGCCCAGGAAGUCAAAUCUCACAUAUAGCCACAAAUAUGGGUCCAAGGCCAUUAGUGAUCAUUUAUUCUAUAUUGGUGAUCAUUUAUUCUAUAUUGGUCCAAGGCCGCUCGUGACCGUGAGCACGGCUAAUAUAUCAAUUUUACAAUCUGCAGAGGUUGUACACUUUCACUGUGAGUCAUGAUUUACCCUUUCGCCCGAGGUAGCUAAUCUCUUAACUCCCAUCCUAGGGAGGCCAGCAGGGUUCACUAUGAAGCCUUUCAAAGGUUCGUCUAACAAGUUAGGGCCGCUUGGUUUCAUUACUCAGUCUAUGUGAUUCACCCGCAGGAAUCCACGGUCUGCUAUUCCCCAUUUGCACCACAAGGGUAACCACUAACAAGCUAGAAAUGGUCCUCAUACUGAGCUAAAGCCAGAGCCAUGUAGCCCUCACAGUUGUACUAUAUGUCCCGAAUGGUCAUAUACAGAUAAGUCCUUAGGGAGAGAAACUAGAGCACCAUAGGAUAGCCCAAUGCUCUAGCCCUCUUUUCCAAAGUUGCUAAAAAGUCCUCUUUUAAUGUUUAUUGCAUAUUCCAUUAAUCAAAUUACAAGAUCAUUGUUUAGUGGAGCACUAGCAUAAGCUACCCAAUGCAAAACCAUAGGUGACAAGGUACAAGAUCAAUACUAGGAAAUCCUUAUCAAGGAGACACAUGAAAUAUGAAUUGUGUGAUUAAAGUUGUUAGGAAACAAGGAUGAUCCCAUGCUAUACUUGCCUUGAAUUUUAGAUCCUUCUUUUAGUUCCAAAACUUCCACAAACUGUUUCUUGAUCACCACGUAAAAGCUCACCGUCUAAACUCAGCCAUCACAUCAACAUCAAUCAUCCAGAGGCAAUCAUACAAAGCAAACAAACCUAUAAUUAGAACAAUACACCAACAGUAGAAAAUAAAGAUGAAAAGUUUGUAAAACAAAACUACAUCGCACUACGAUCACACAGACGUAAAGUUCACAAUAAUCGGAGCUAUAACGAAGAAGUUAUGAUUUUCCUAAUAUUUCCUUUAAUAAAAUAAUUAAUUAAAUAGGAUCACGAAAAUAAAAAGUUGUAAACUUGUAAAACAGUGAGACUAAGACUAGAUCUUGUGAUUACGAAUCUAAUGCAAUUUGAAUUGAUCAAAUCGGAGUUAAAAUAAAGAUUUUAUGAGCUAAACAAAUCUUGCGGCAAUUUUAUAAUUACUGAAAACGUAUUUUGAUUUAGAAACCAAGGUAAACUAAUUGGAGCAGAGCACACGCCUGGCGGCCAGCCAUUGGCAGCAGCGAGCUCCUAGCCGGCAAGCAUGAAACUUAAGCCUACAGCCACGAUUUGAUGCUGGGAAAAUAAACUCACCAAUAGAGAUUUAAAUUGUUAAGAUCUCAUUUCUAGGUUAGGGUAAACUGUUAAGAUUUAAAUUUACUCAUUUUAUCUUUCACCAUGGGGCUUGCAACCGUCAAUUAUGUCUUGAGCAGUUAAAAGAUAGAACGGUCUAGUCAAGCACCAUGUCUCUGGUUCUUCGAUUAACUAUAACUCUGGAGGGUUUGCAGAUUUUCAAAUAAGACUUAGAGAUUCCUUGUAUGACUCUCUCUAGUCUCUUUUUUGUGGUAUUUCUGGAUCCUUACCAAGGCAGUAAUGGUGUAUGCCUUCUCUCAAAGUAUGUGGUAUUGUUGGUAUGAGGCAUAGUGACAUUGCCUUCUCUCUCACCCUACUCUAAUAAGGCUUUAAUAUCUGGAUCUCAUUAGGUGGGAGACAGCUAAUACAUACUUACAAGACAUUUAUUGCAUAGUCAAACCAUGGAUCCAAAAGAACAAGUUAAUAAGUCAAAUCAAGAUGUGCAUGUGUGGCGAAUGAAUGGUGUAUGGUGACGAUGGUGAUAACAAUGGUGAACGUCUAAUUCUACUUGUGCUCUUUUGAGGGGAUACAUACCUUUCUUACUGUUUUGAAACUUUUUGAGGAGAAUGAGAUGCUCUAUAUUUUCUUUUUUUUCUUUUCUCCCAGGUGGGUAUCUUGUACCCCUAAUUCUACUGUCGGACAUUUGUCCAUUUUUACAUCUCGUCUGACUUUUUCUUUUCUUUCGAGGUUUCAGAGAACUUGCCCCUUUUUAUUUCCUCGCAUUCUUUCUUUUUUUUUCUUUUUUUUAGAGCACUCAUCUCCUGAAAUAAUAUAGCAAGUGGUAGUAACCAAGAUAACUUGAGCAUUUUUUUUUCCAGGGAAAAACAGAAAUAGGAGAAUGCUUUUGGCUAUUUUCUCCCGGAUUAGGAGUAGAAUAUUUUUGGGUGGUUCUAGAGAUGGAAAUGGAUGGAUAUAUGUGGAUGGUACUUCUGGAGUAGAAGUAGCAUGUGUGAGUGAACGUGCAAGUGAAUCUUGAUUUAACCACAUGACAAGCUCCUAAGGGUCUACAUCGCUUGACCACACUCAAUGCUCAUAAGCAGUAAAAAGUAAAUGUGUGGCUCAAAGUCUAAUAAGCAUGUAUAUAUGGUUGUGGUAGGAUUUUCAACUCUCAUCAUACAGGAACUCAUCAUGCAACAUUUUAAAGAUUUUCAAAGAUAAAAUUCUCCAGAAUUCUCGCAUCUCUAGGAAUAGAUAAAUAGCAGCUCAACCUUCCCAUAUCAUAUCCAUUAACGACUUAGACUUUAGAUCAAGUACUCUUCCCACAGGUUCAGGUUUAGAGCAAAUCUUAAUUAAUACCAGUCAUGCCUAAACUUGAGAGAGAUUUCAAUUUUGAGAACUAGUCAUGGCAGAGCAACUAUUCAUCAUUUCCAUGUGAGAGCUUAUCAUGAGGAUUCAUAGCAAACUUUAUUUAUUUAUUUAUUUAGCAAACUAAGCAAAGAUAUAUAUAAGCAUAAAAUCUUUAUUUGGAUUUUUAUGAUUAUGCAUCUUUUUAUUAUUUGAGUAAAGUAUAAAUGUGAGUAAAACACUUAGCUGGAUAAAUGAGGGUGCUCUCCCCCAAGCUGGAUUUUGACGUAGUUUCUUCUAAUGUAGCUAGCAAGUGGUGGUGUAUUUGAAUGUCAGCAGCACCCUGACAGCGAUUAGGAUGUCCUCCAUCUGCUUGUCUUCUUUGAUCCUUGAAUUCUGUGGAGCUCAAAUAGACAACAAAGCUCUUGGCAAGGCGUACGGUGUUUUUAAGUCCUCCGAACGGGAGUCUCCAUUUUCUUAGUCGUCCUGGGAUUCGCUGGAUGGCGUAGUCGGUGGUUCCGGUGGAGCCUGCUCUUCAUGUAUAACUAUCUUUUUUUUCUCCACAACUGACUCGAUGCUACGGUCUCCUCAGGAUAGUUUUGUUCAAGUUAUAUGUCUUCAGACCUUACAACUUCUCCAUCAUAGUCUACCCAUCCGUCCUUGAUGAUUUUGCCUUCUCUGGUUGCGUUGCGCCAUCUCCUUCUUGUCCCGACCUGCUUAGAGUCUUCAACUAUAUAGUUAGGGUCAGUAAAAUAGUGGCGUACCUUCUCAGAGGUGAAGUGCAUGUGGACUUCUCGGGUUCCAAUGUAGAUGAUUGCUUUAACGGUGCUGAGGAACGGUCUCCUAAGGAUGAUGGAGGAUCAUACUUGUCUUCUCCCAUGUCAAUAACCUUAAAAUCAUCUGGAGCUGAAUGUAUGUUGGUUGUAGGGACAUGGUUCCAUGCAGGAGCUGAUAAGUGACUGCGGCCAUUAUGUUGACGUUAGAUCCGGUGUCGUAGAGUGUCUUCUCAAAAGAAUAUCCGUUGAUUGUGCACUCGAUGCUUGGAACACCAGGGUCGUCCUUCUUGAUCAAGAAAGGUGACUUGAGUUGACGAUCUUGACCUCCUUGAGCUGCAGUGACCAUCUUAGCAGACUCGGUACACAUUUGCUUGUUCUUGUUCCUCCUGUUGGUCCUCUUCCUUGGUUCAUGUCAGGAUUGCUCUGGGAUUUGUGUAGUCUUGUUUCUUGAAGGAAAACGUCUCCUUCUUCCCCUUGAUGUAGAAACUGAUCUUGGCAGCACUAGCGUAGAUGACAGUUCCCGAGGUGUUCAGGAAUGGCCUCCCCUAGGUAUAAUGUUGACGCUGGAGCCAAAGUCCCAGAGUGCUUCUAGGAAGUCCACCAUGCCGAUGGAGAUCGGGAUGACGGGGCGUCCUAGAUUGUCUUCCACAACAGGGUUACUCCAGUAGUUACAUCCUCAAGCAUCUCAGGGCAGUGUUUGCAUGAGUGUCCAGUAUCUCCAGUGUGUUUGUGCUCAUAUAUCUAGGUUCUUCACUUGGUGGAGUCUGGGAGUUCUAAAACUCCUUCAUAUUUUGCUCGAAGUGUACCUACUCAUAGAGACAAGGCAGAGAUCAAGUGCAAGGGCCUUGUUGGUGGAAAACACCAACAGGACCAAAAGUGUAUUUGUUCUUCUCUAACCUCAAGCAUAGUGAGCAAGACAAAGUUGAUGGAUAAUAAAAUCAUGAGUGUAGUAUUUAACAUUUGUCCGAUUAGAUUGCUCAACCUUAUGGAAAGAUAAUCUGUCUAUAUAUAUGUUUUGUUUAUAUCUUCCAAAGAUUGAGUGUGCAACAUUUUAGCUAAUAUGAUUAGGAGUGUGGAAUCACAAAGGUGGAAGGACUAAACAUGUUGAAUCGAUUGGGUUGGUUAAUCUAGAGUUGUAGAUCAUACAUGUUUGUCUCUUUUAUUCAUGUGAACGCCAGAACGAAGGAGAAGCUUAUAGAAGUGAUAGUCAAGUACUUUAAGAUGUUACCUUACUUGAAGAGUGAUGGUACAGUAUCACCUUGUGGAAGCUUUCCUCUCUCAGCGGUUGUGCAUUGUGUUUGUGGAACCCUCCAUGGAUCGUCUUUUGUGAGCUAUGCCUUCCUUGUGUAAAUUGUUAAACUUCAUGUGUGUCUCUCUUUGUCUCCAAUGUGAGUUUAUCUCAGGACUUCACAGGUCGAUAUUGAAAGUUUUCCUGCAGGGGUUAGUUCAACAAAAUAUACCAAUGUCUACACAAGCAGUUUUUAGUUCAAUAACCAAACUAGACUCCAUGUCUAAUUAGAUUAAGGAAGGCUGUUUAACCUAACCACCAUGCUUAAUUUAAAAACCAAUAGAAGUAUGUACAGUACUUCCAAACUGACACUUACUAGGAUAAACAAAGGUAGCGUGAUGGCUUUUAUAGAGAUCUACUCAAGUGGAGAUGAAGUAGUGUGAUUAUUAUUUAACAAAUUGAGCAUGUCUCAAAGGUAGGGACAACCGACAUAGCAACAUGGCAAAUGGUGUUUUUAUAUAAAGUACUCCCCCAAGCUUGAAUUUUGCAAAAUUCAAGUUUGGAUGAAUUUAAUUCAAUGUUGUAUGAUGAUUGGUUGUACAUACCUUGUGCUUGUCAUUCAUCCGAUCUUCUUGCUCCAAUCCUAGAAAGGUUAGUGACAAGAAUACCCGAAGUAAUUUUUUUUACAAUUAUCCUUUUAUGCUCAAUACACAAGGUAGUGUUGCAAAUAAUUAAAAGCUCAUGUUACGAUCUGAUCAGUGCUUGUUUUAGGACACUAAGCUUGUCCUUGGGAAACCAUCAAUUUAUGUCGGCGAAGUGGUUUCCCCUCCAACGCUGACCUAUAUCAAGAUCAACUCAACGAGAUCUGCAAUAUUUAAUAUAGACAUAUGCAUCGACAACCGCCCUUUUAAAGUUUUUAUAAAUAGAAAGGAUGAGGGGGUUGGAGAUCUCGAAUGUUGUGAUGUUGGAAAAACCAAUGGAUUGGGAAGAUGUUGCAUAUGAGCAUGGAGUAAAUGAAGUGGCUAUGAAAUAAAUUCCAUGCUCAUUAAUGCUUAGAGUGAAAUCCAUGUGGUGUGGUGAAAAUGGUAAGGUGAGUGUGGUAUAAAAGAAAAAGAAAAAGGAUACACGGACGACUUGGUUCGAAACUAGCACAGCUACCGUUCCCCGGCAACGGCGCCAGAAAGCUUGUUGGGUAUUUUAAACGCAAACAGAAAAAUCCGCAAGCGCAUGGAUACCGAUGUAGCUUUCACCUGGGAGUAUUCCAGAGUAUCGAUUUUCCACAGAGAACGUGAGUGUACUAAUUAAGAUCCAAGAUCGCCCAAGGAUAACUAUAUAACUAUUUUUGGUGGGAAGAGAGGAAGUUUCCUGAGAGUUCUCUAGUUGAUCUAAGAAUCAAGAAUUACUUCAAGAUUAUCUACAUCGGGACAUCAGAACACUAACCACAGAAAGAGAUGAGAAUGGGGCUAGGAAGCUCCGACUACGGUCCUACAAACAAUGAUCCGAACGAGGUGGAAUACGUCGACCGUUAGGGCUGUCACUACCCUAAGGCUACCACAACAAUCCGCAGGAUUGGGUGCAAUUCCAGGUAAUUGCAAGACUAAACACCACGUCUAAUCUAUUAAUUACUACUCUAAUGUUUCAAAGAUUAGAGCACUUGAUGCAAGCGGGAAUCCAAUAAAUAACUUGAAUGUAAAUAAAAGUAAUUAAAGAACUCAGGAAUUAUGAAUUGAAGAACCUGGAGAACGAUGAAGAACGAACCAGUUGCUGCAAAAGUACAAUGUUGAGGAAGAUCUGACAGAUCCGGCUCCUCCUCCACUCUCCUCUUCUCUCUCCCUAUUUUCUAGAUUACAACUAGAACUAACUAGAACUAGAACUAGAGGAACUAGAACUAGAACUAGAUGAACUAGAGGUAGAACUAGAUUAACUAGAGGGAUCCUUUCUACCUGGAUGAAGAAUUGAAACCCCAACUUUGAUUCUGUAGAAGAGGUAUGAUCUCCAGGGCCAGGGGGUCUGAUUUUAUAGUCCCUUCAAGAGAAUAUGGGCCGUUGGAUCAAACCGACAUUGAUUGAACGGUUAUCCUUGAUCCCUUAGGUCGGUGGAGCAUAAUACGCGAAGUUGAAGCUGAUUGGUUACUGUAGCUGGGCGGGCACCCAAGGGACUUGGGCGGGUGCCCUGCCCUCGGGCCCGAUCGGCCUCCCGUUCGUUCUCGUGGCUUCUAGAGUCUUCUAGAUGGUAGAAAAUUGCGCGGCACGUUAAUAUCUCUAUGUAAACCCGACGUGUGGGCCUUUCUUUCAUAUUUCCUGAUAACCCCCUGCAGAAAUAGACAAACACCAAAACUCGUGGAAUUCUGUCAGAUAAAACCCUAAGUCUAGGUGUUGGCUGCAUAUAAGUCUUUUUCCAUGAUUAGUUGAUGGUUAAAUAUGAGCAUUAAGGACCGUCAACAGUAAGCCACCUCGUUCCAUAUUUCUUAUAUCUUGAAAGGCCCGACAUACCUUAGUGCUAACAUUCCUUUCAUAUUAAACCUCCACUCACUUCUCAUAUGUGCCACUUCCAAAAACACAUAGUUUCCCACUUCAAAACUUAUUCUCUUCUCACAUGUCAGCAUAUCCCUUCUGUCGAGAUUGUGCCACCCUUAAGUUAUCUUUGAUCACUCUAAUUGUUGUUUUGCAUCACUUAGAACUUCUAGCCCAAACACUGGUGUUCUCCUGUUUGAUUUCAAAUCAACAGGGUUCUACACUUACAUCCAUACAAGCUUUCAAAAGGCCCCCACUGAAGGCUCUUCUACUAACUGUUGUUCUAAGAAAACUUCACAUACGGUAACCUCUUUGUACCAUACUGCAGUACACAAGCUCACCACAUAUCUUCUAAGUAAUCUUUUCAGUUCCUGUGGUUCCCAAAUGAGUAAUUAGUAGAGCUCCUUUGGCAGUACUAGUGACAUCACCCAGUUCAACACUCAACCCUUCAAAUUUCAGUGUCAUUUGAACUCCUCUAGCACACUCUUUAUGCUCUGAGCAUUCGCAAAGGCUUUUUCUUCUUCAAGUGAUAGCAUUUUUUUCCAACCAUAACUCUUGUUUCACUCAAAUCCAUCGACAAUGUGACCAGCUCAAAUCCAACUUCCUAAAGAUGCCCUUUAGAUUCUUACAUUCUACACAGAUAUCACUCCUUAGACCCAAGAAGGCAGUAUCUCCAUGCUCCACUAUGGAUACCUCCACAUCACACGAUAGUUAAUCCAACCCACUUAGUUGACUUAUGCACAAGCCACUACUUUUCUUGUAUGGAGCACAUCUAAGGUCUUGAUGGAAUAGAAUAACCCUAUAUGUUGAUCUUUAUAACACCUUCAGUGAACCACUGAUAGAAUCUUUUCAUUCCAAGUCAAUCUCUUAUUCACUCUUAUGUCAAGAUCACAUUGGCCCCAGCAAACCUAUGAUAGCCUCUUGCCAUAUCUAUAAAUCUCUAAGUCUCAUUCACUUUCCUUUGGUGGUUUCCAACUCUUGCAUCUUUAACUUUCUUAAGUCCAUAAUUAAAGAUGACAUCUCCUAGAUGAGAACUUCCAUCGACUAGAACAUACUAGUCGUGCUCCAUUUAGUAAUGAAGUCUUUUGAGUCUCCGUAGAAUCAACAGUAGAUGUAGCUUAUCCACUUCCUAAGUUGUCAAGUGACAAAUUUCACUAACUUGAGCCAGGAUAGAUGAUUAUAAUCAUGGGAUAUCUCCAGAGACACUUCUUACUUCAUGGUGAAUUGAAAGGGCAUUAAUCUAUCAUAUCAAGGUACUACCCCCUUAAGAUGAGAUAGGUCGGUGGACAGUUUGGACUAGCUCUCACAUUCCGUCUUAGAUGAUACACAUCAUAUGGUCUUUUAAAUUCAUUGUACCAAGUCUCAUGAUCCGGAGUGGGUUUAAUCACUAAGUUCCAACUAUUGGUACCUCUAUCAUAGUUGAAUUGCUUUGCUCUCACAUCCCAUGUAUAACUUCGUAGACUUUGGUGUCACCUGAUUCUCAUAAGCACCACUUCCAAGCUAUGAGUACUAGCAAUGACCUAUAUCUCCAUCCAUAUUAGCACACUUCAAUGGAACUAUUUCUUGCAUCAAAAACCAAAUUUACCAAACACUUGAGGUCCUUAUCGAUGAUCCAACAUUAACCAAUUCUUCUCCUUGUAACUCCUUUGAUAAGACUACCCCCCUUAGAAAAGGUAACUAGGGGUUUAAAUGGGUAGUUUAGUCCACGUCUCAAGUGUGUUUCUUAUCAUAAAAUCUUCUAAUACCGAAGAGAAACUCAUGUGCACUAAUGUGUACAAGAAAUCUGAAUUUCCUCACGACACGAGAAACACCAGCGCAGUAAAAUAGAAAUAACUCCUUUUCUGUUAAUCCAAUGAGGUCUUAGCUUAUACCGUUAGAAACCUUAUCAAAAUCCCCACAACUUUCAUAUAGAAGGCUUCCUUAGUUUCUGUCUUUAAACCUAGGUAAAACAGCCCAACAUGAUAUCCAUCCCGACAAUGUCUCAGCAUCGAUACAACAAUUUGCAGAAGUCAUAUCUCGAGCUACUUAGAUCAUAUGGGGACGAGUCUUACAUGGUUGAAAAUCUUAUGAAGUCCUCCACAACUUCUGUAUAUCCCACUUUUCUAGAUUCUGAUGUUAAGUUGGCUGAAAAGUAGGAAUUAACUAGAACUGUCCAGAUUUUGAAACUGUGCGGAAGCAUUAAAUUGUAGAGGUCAUAACUCAAGUUCUAUUGAUCCGGUAAAGUUGCAGCUUGUACCGUUGGAAAGCUUAUCAAAUGAUCUACAACUUUAUUAUAGAACCCUUUUCCAAAUUCUAUAGUUACAUUUGUUCAAAACAGUAGGCAACUGAAACUGGUCCUGAUUCCUGACAGCUAAACUGUACCAUCUUGUGAUUUUCAUAAUUCCCAAACCACAACAGCUAUGGGGGUGAUUCUUGCGGUCAGAGAAGGACCUUGAAGUCUACUAUCACCCAGAAUUUUCACAUGAUUAUAUGGUCCUCCGAGAAUAGGGAUUUGAACUGAAUCAGAUAAGUUGCUCCCAAAAGACAGGACAGAGAAACAAGAGAAACUAAAACCCAACUAUUUAUUCACUAGUCCUUAUAUCUUAGACCUAUAAAUUAAAUGAAAUUGUGGAAAAACCCACAAGAUCAUUGCACUCAUUACAAAAAAUCCAGCUCAAACAUAAGCACUAAGACAAACCAACCAAACAUUAAAGAUUCACAAAGCACUCAUAUUUGACUCAGCUUUCCCUACUAACGUUUAUUACAAAGGGGGACUUCCUACUUCUUAAACAUGGUGUGACUGCAGUGGCAUCCAGGGUAGCAUCUCUUGCGUGGAGUUAAGCGAGGUAUGUCCUCCACCUCAUUGAUCUUAGGUAAUCCACCACGACUUCUCCACUCAUCAAUCUCAUCAAGGGCUUCCUCAUAGUGUUGCCUUACUUCUGCCAAUUCCAGUUGACUGUCUUCCAACUUUUGAUGCAUGACUUGGAUAGUCAAGGCCAUCUCCUUUAGUUGUUCAUUCUUCUCCAUGUAGGGGUCAGCCAUCACACAUUGCAAGGUGCCUGGUGGACGACGAGGAAGAUAUUUUUGUUUGUCAUUCUUCCUCUCUUCGUAGUGCUUUCCAUGAUAUGCCAGAAGAGCUUGAUGGGCAGCAUCAGAUAUGCUAGCAUGCUUACUGAAGCGGUCACUAAGAGACGAGUGAAUGGAUUCCACCACGCGUGAACCAGUAAACUCAUUCCACCUUGUGAUGUGUGCUUCUGUGCUCCAGAGGCUCUCAUACUUAGGAUGAGUCCACUUAGUGCACUUAUAUUCCACCUUGGCUUGCUAUUUAGGAUAGUGGUCUUGUAGUAUACACACAAGCCGAGGGUGAAAGAAAUCUUUGCCACUAAAGGAUGUGGUAAAGUACUCCUUCCACCAACAAGUAUGUCUUGAUGGGACAGGGCAAGCUUCUUCAUACUCUGGUUCCGUUAAGCCAUAGAUACCCCGAGUUAAGCAUGGUCUUCCAGAGUUGCUGCGAGCAAUCUUUUCAUUACGAGCCAUCUACGGAAUUAGACCAAGAGGGAGUUAGAAUAGAAGCAAUACUUUUAGAAUAUAAUUAGAUGAUAGAAGCAUAAGAAUUUUAGCAAAUAGAAAGGGUGAGAUAGUAAGCAUGAAUGUAGUGAAGCCAAGAUGACUAACACGACCAUUACUAUCUAGGCUUGCGUCCUACAGUCAGCAUUGCUUUGAUACCACUUUGUAGCACCCGGUUUAAAGAACAAAACCAGAUACACACCAUAUGUGAGCCCAGGAAGUCAAAUCUCACAUAUAGCCACAAAUAGGGGUAAUAUCAAUAGACAAUGCUUAUAUAAAACGAACUUAGUAUAAAAGAUAUAACCUUAGAUAGCAAAUAGCAGAAAGACACUUCGUUCUUCAGGCAAAAGCUCCAAAUCCACAGGGACGACUGACUGGUUGAGCACAAGCCUAAACUCUUCUCCAAGAUUGCAAUCUGGUACCCAUCUGGGAUUUUUAUCCAAAUAAAAUGUAAAGACAAGCGUAAGUAAUCUCGUACUCAGCAAGAAUAACAUAGGGUUCAUGAGGCUCAAAGGCUAGACACUGGUUUAACUACAUGUAGCUUUUAGUUGUCACAAUUUUAGCAUAUGAGUAGCAUCAAGUUGUCAAGUCCCAUAGUAAACUCAUGAUCAAGUAAAGUGAAUAAAGAAUAGCAUAAGCAACAUAUUAACAACAGUAACUUUAAUAAUCUGCCAUUAGUGAUCAUUUAUUCUGUAUUGGUCCAAGGCCACUCGUGACCGUGAGAACGGCUAAUAUAUCAGUUUUACACUCUGCAGAGGUUGUACACUUUCACUGUGAGUCGUGAUUUACCCUUUCGCCUGAGGUAGCUAAUCUCUUAACCCCCAUCCUAGGGAGGCCGGUAGGGUUCACUAUGAAGCCUUUCAAAGGUUCGUCUAACAAGUUAGGGCCGCUUGGUUUCAUUAGUCAGUCCUUGCUAUUCACCCCUAGGAAUCCACGGUCUGCUAUUCCCCAUUUGCACCACAAGGGUAACCACUAACAAGCUAGAAAAGGUCAUCAUACUGAGCUAAAGCCAGAGCCAUGUAGCCCUCACAGUUGUACUGUAUGUCCCGGAUGGUCAUAUACAGAUAUGUCCUUAGGGAGAGAAACUAGAGCACCAUAGGAUAGUCCAAUGCUCCAGUCCUCUUUUCCAAAGUUGCUAAAAAGUCCUAUUUUAAUGUUUAUUGCAUAUUCCAUUAAUCAAAUUACAAGAUCAUGGUUUAGUGGAGCACUAGCAUAAGCUACCCAAUGCAAAACCAUAGGUGACAAGGUACAAGAUCAAUACUAGGAAAUCCUUAUCAAGGAGACACAUGCAAUAUGAAUUGUGUAAUUAAAGUUGUUAGGAAACUGUUGACGGUCCUUAAUGCUCACAUUUAACCAUCAACUAAUCAUGGAAAAUGAUCCAAAUGCAACUAACACCUUGACUUAGGGUUUUAUCUGACAGAAUUCCAUGAGUUUUGGUGUUUGUCUAUUUCUGCAGGGGGUUAUCAGGAAAUACGGAAGAAAGGCUCACACGUCGGGUUUACAUAGAGAUAUUAAUGUGCCCCGCAAUUUUCUAUCAUCUAGAAGACUCCAGAAGCCACAGGAACGAAGCGGAGGUCGAGAGGACUCAGGGACAGGGCGCCCGCCAUCCUUUCCUGGGUGCCCACCCUCAACCAGAGUCCAAUCAGGACUCUCUUUCGGGAUAUUGCUCCACCGACCUAAAGGAUCAAGGAUAACCGUUCAAUCAAUGUCGGUUUGAUCCAACGGCCCAUAUUCACUUGAAGGGACUAUAAAACCAGACCCCCCUGGCCCCUGGAGAUCAUACCUCUUCUACAAAAUCAAAGUUAGGGUUUCAAUUAUUCAUCCAAGUAGAGAGGAUCCCUCUAGUUCUUCUAGUUCUACCUCUAGUUCAUCUAGAUCUAGUUCUAGUUCAUCUAGUUAUAGUUCUAGUUCCUCUAGUUCUAGUUCUAGUUAGUUCUAGUUGUAAUCUAGAAAAUAGGGAGAGAGAAGAGGAGGGCGGAGGAGGAGCCGGAUCUGUCGGAUCUUCCUCAACAUUGUACUUUUGCAGCAACAGGUUCGUUCUUCAUCGUUCUCUAGGUUCUUCAAUUCAUAAUUCCUGAGUUCUUUAAUUACUUUUAUUUACAUUCAAGUUAUUUAUUGGAUUCUCGCUUGCAUCAAGUGCUCUAGUCUUUAUAACGCUAGAGUAGUAAUUAACAGAUUAGACGUGGUGUUUAGUCUUGCAAUUACCUGGAAUUGCACCCAAUCCUGCGGAUUGUUGUGGUAGCCUUAGGGUAGUGACAGCCCUAACGGUCGAUGUAUUCCACCUCGUUCGGAUCGGUGUUUGUAGGACCGUAGUCAGACAUUCCUAGCCCCCUUCACAUCUUUUUCUGUGGUUAGUGCUCUGAUGUCCCGAUAUAGAUAAUCUUUGAAGUAAUUCUUGAUUCUUAGAUCAACUAGAGAACUCUCAGAAAACUUCCUCUCUUCCCACCAAAAACAAUUAUAUAGUUAUCCUUGGGCGAUCUUGAUUCUUAAUUAGUACACUCACAUUCCCUGUGGAAAAUCGAUACUCUGGAAUACUCCCGGGUGAAAGCUACAUCGGUAUCCGUGCGCUUGCGGAUUUUUUUGUUUGCGUUUAAAAUACCCAACAAGCUUUCUGGCGCCGUUGCCGGGGAACGGUAGCUGUGCUAGUUUCAAACCAAGUCGUCCGUGUAUCCUUUUUCUUUUCCUUUUUUACCAUACCACAUGGAUUUCACUCUAAGCAUUAAUGAGCAUGGAAUUUAUUUCAUAGCCACUUCAUUUACUCCAUGCUCAUAUGCAACAUCUUCACAAUCCAUUGGUCUUUCCAACAUCACCACAUUCGAGAUCUCCAACCCCCUCAUCCUUUCUAUUUACAAAAACUUUAAAAGGGCGGUUGUCGAUGCAUAUGUCUAUAUUAAAUAUUGCAGAUCUCGUUGAGUUGAUCUUGAUAUAGGUCAGCGUUGGAGGGGAAACCACUUCACUGACAUAAAUUGAUGGUUUUCCAAGGACAAGCUUAGUGUCGUAAAAUAAGCACAGAUCAGAUUGUAACAUGAGCUUUUAAUUAUUUGCAACAUUACCUUGUGUAUUGAGCAUAUAAGGACAAUUGUAAAAAAAAAUUCCUUCGGGUAUUCUUGUUACUAACCUUUCCAGGAUUAAUGACAAGCACAAGGUAUGUCCAACCAAUCAUCAUACAACAUUGAAUUAAAUUCAUCCAAACUUGAAUUUUGCAAAAUUCAAGCUUGGGGGAGUGCUUUACAUAAAAACAUCCUUUGCCAUGUUGCUAUGUUGGUUGUCCCUACCUUUGAGACAUGCUCAAUCUGUUAAAUACUAAUCACACUAAUUCAUCUCCACUUGAGUAGAACUCUAUAAAUGCUCUCAUGCUACCUUUAUUUGCUUUAGUAUAUGUUUAGGUUUGGAGUAGUUUUAUUUAUCUCUUACUUAAGCAUGGUGCUUAGUUAGGAAUGAUGAUCUUACUUCCAAGGGAGUUUAAAUUAAGCAUGAUGCUUAGGUCAAAAUGCCCUCCUAAAUCAAAUUAGACAUGGUGUCUAGGUUGAUCUUUGAACCGAUAGUAUGCUAUAGUAGAUAUUGGAUAUUUUGUUGGACUAACCCCUGCAGGAAAACUUUCAAUAUCGACUUCGGAAGUUGAAAGGUCCUUGUUUGGUUUUGGUAAUUGAGUGACAACUUAGGUGGACUAAUAGUGUUUAUGUGAGAUACACAGGAGAUUAGUCCACAGGUGAUGAUAUGAUGGAGGAGCUCAUUGCAUAUGAGACAUGACAUGGAGUCAUGUGACCAAGGUGGAGAAGAUCAAGAUGAGGCUUGGCUCGAUGGACCGGUUGCAAGAGUGAAGGGCAAGUUGGAGGCUUUGAAGCGAGGGACCGCGUGUGACGGUGAAGCUUGAGCAAGACUUGGCACCGAUGGACCGAGGCAACGGUGAAGAGCAAGUGAGGUCAAGAUCGAUGAACCAAUACGGUCACGUGAUGAUAUGAAAUGGAUCAUAUCAUUUGGUGAUUGGUUGGUGCAUGUGUUGCAUCAACCUUAGAGGAGAUGGAAUGGAAUGCGCAAGGCAAAGGUAUAACCUAGGGUAUUUCCAUUUCACCGGUCAUAUGUGUGUAGAGAAGUUUAUGACCAGAUUUAGGAUAGAUGGCCGUACUAUCAAGAGGGGCAAACUUGUUUGCAUAUCGAUCAUCUAAUGCCACUUGAGCGAUCUAACUUUGCAUACGUGUUAGGAUCGAGUGGCGUGGCAAGUUUGAGAGGCUAACUCCUUUGGGAAAAUGUUUAUGAAAAGCUAACACACUUGCACAUGGUGGUGUACACUUGGUGUUGGCACAUUUGCAAAGGAGGUGGAGUUCCUAGGGUUGAGAGAGGUGUGGGUUUCUCUCUCCCUCCCACCGAGCUUGCGAGACGGGAUUCGGCGCUUUUGAGAAAAUUAAGUGCAUAUUUUCUAUUGCGCCGGUGGGAAUUUUUUGGAGAAGUCACGGGAGUGCACCAGACGCUCUGUGCGGAGGCACCGGACGCUGGCCUUGAGCGUCCGGUGUGCUGUCGGGUGCAGCAGAGUGCACCGGACGCACCGGAGAGAGUCCGGUGCUCAGCGUCCGGUGUGUCGGCUGUUUGGCGACCCUCUCUGCACAUGAGUCCGGUGAGCACCGGACGCUCUGGGUGCGUCCGGUGGCUUGCGUCCGGUGACCGUGCGAGUUCGCGGAGCUCUCUGCGCACGGGUCCGGUGUGGACUAGUUGAGCGUCCGGUGGUGCUGUGUCAGGCGCGAGCGUGAGGUAGCCGUUGGCGGCAACGGUCGUUUUCAAAUGGCUAGUGACACGUGGCCGACGCCUGAGCACCGGACGCUGGGAGUUGAGCGUCCGGUGGCUCCCUGUGAGCGUCCGGUGCCCACGUGUUUUGCCCAGUGAAGGGGCAACGGCUAGUUUAGCCCUUGGGGCUAUAAAUAGAAGUGGUGGCCGGCCUUGGCCGGUGCUGAGCACCCUUGGGACUUAGUGUCCAUGCAUGGGGAGUGCUAGUAAAGCCUCUAACUCACAUAUGCUUGAUAGUGAUCAUCCGAUUGUGUGAGUGAGCGAUUCUAGUGCGUUGCAUUGAGAGAUUGCAUCGAGUGGCACUAGGUGUUCGUGUUGCAAGCCAGUGGUGCUUGUUACUCUUGGAGGUUGCCACCUCCUAGACGGCUUGGUGGCUUGUGACUCCGUCGAAGCACGCAAGGAGAUUGUGCGGUGCUCCGGAGAAGAGAUUGUGAGGGGUACGGUGCUCACCCCGCGGGGAUCGCGAAGAGCAACUCUAUUGGAUCGUGUGUGUCAUUGAGCUACCUCACUUGUGGGUAGGUUCUUGUGGUGUCCUAGUGGGGACGAGGUUCGUGUAACACCUCUUAGCCGCCGAACCACCAAGUGUUGGUCGACACAACGGGGACGUAGCUUGGUGGCAACCAAGUGAACCUCGGGAGAAAAUCAUCGUGUCAACUUUGUUCUUCCUGUUGGUUUGCAAGUCCCUAACACAAGCUUGUUUUUACAUUCAUAUAUUUGUUCUUGUGUAGUUGCUCUUGUAACUAGUUAGCUUGUGUAGCUUGCUAGUUACCUUCUUGCUUGUGUAGCUUGAAGUAGUUCCCUUGCGUGACUAAUUUGGUUUGUGUAACCUUGUUAGUCACAUUGCUUAGUUUGUGUAGCUAAGUUAGUUGCGCUCUCUAAUUUGGCAUUAGUUGCCUUGUUAUUGAGCUUGCUAGUGAGCUUAGGCUUUGUGCGCUUUGCCUCACUAGUUUGUGUAGGAGCUCCCCCAGUUUGCAAAGUACUAGUGGCAUAGGUUUGCUCCUAGAAUUGGUUAGGUGAGCUCUUGCUAAGGUAGCACCUUGCUUGCUUGUUUAGGAUCUUUUCAAGGUGCUAGAGAACUUACAUAGAGGGGUGUAGUCUUGGCUAGACCGAUAGUUUUAAUUCCGCAUUUGUUUUGGUUAGCCGGCGUAAUAAGUUUUAGAAAGGACUAUUCACCCCCCUCUAGUCCGCCAUCUUGACCCUUCAGAAGUCCUGAGAUAAACUCACAUUGGAGAUAGAGAGAGAGACACAUGAAGUUUAACAAUUUACACAAGGAAGGCAUAGCUCACAAGAGAUGAUCCAUGGAGGGUGCCACAAACACGAUGCACAACCGCUAAGAGAGGAAAGCUUCCACAAGGUGAUACUGUACCAUCACUCUUCAAGUAAGGUAACAUCUUAAGGUACUUGACUAUCACUUCUAUAAGCUUCUCCUUGGUUCUGGCAUUCACAUGAAUAAAAGAGACAAACAUGUAUGAUUUACAAUUCUAGAUUGACCAACCCAAUCGAUUCAAUAUGUUUAGUCCUUUCACCUUUGUGAUCCCACACUAAAUGUUGCACACACAAUCUUUGGAAGAUAUAUAUAAAAAAAAGAGAUAAGUAUAGAUAGAUUAUCUUUCCAUUAGGUUGAGUGAUCUGAUCUGACGAAUGUUUUAAAUGCUACACUCAAGAUCUUAUUAUCCAUCAACUUUGUCUUGCUCACUAUGCUUAAGGUUAGAGAAGAACAAAUACACUUUUGGUUUUGUUGGUGUUUUCCACCAACAGGGCCCAUGCACUUGAUCUCUGCCUUGUCUCUAUGAGCAGGUACACUUCAACCAAAAUAUGAAGGACUUUUACAACUCCCAGACUCCACUAAGUGAAGAACCUAGAUCUACGAGCACAAACACACUGGAGAUACUGGACACUCAGGCAAUCACUGCCCUGAGAUGCUUGAGGACGUAACUACUGGAGUAACCCCAUUGUGGAAGUAAUUACUGACCUUCUGCCGGUCAAGAGAGACAACCCAAGACGCCCCGUCACCCCGAUCUCCAUCGGCAUGGUGGACUUCCUAGAAGCACUCUGCGACUUUGGCUCCAGCGUCAACAUUAUGCCUAAGGUACUCUAUGAAAAAAUUCUUUACACAUCCUUUACUAGAAACAACCAUGUGCUUGCAGCCUGCAGAUCAGACACUAAGUUUCCCAAAGGGAAUAUUGAAGAACCUCUGCAUCCGAGUUGGUACCUUGUACGCCCCAGCAAACUUCGUGGUGAUAGAGACUGGUACUGAUUAGAGGGCACCCAUCUUAGGGAGGCCAUUCCUGAACACCUCGGGAGCUGUCAUCUACGCUAGUGCUGCCAAGAUCAGUUUCUACAUCAAAGGGAGAAAUGAGACGUUUUCCUUCAAGAACAAGACUACACAAAUCUCAAAGCAUUCCCAACAUGAACCAAGAAAGAGGACCAACAGGAGGAACAGGAACAAGCAAGUGUGGACCGAGUUAGCUAAGAUGGUCACUGCAGUUCAAGGAGGUCAAGAUCAUCUAUUUUAGUCACCAUUCCUGACCAAAAAGGACGACCCAAGUACGCCAAGCAUCCAGUGCUCCAUUAAUGGAUACAACUUCCAGAAGAUGCUUUGCGACACCGGGUCAGGCGUCAACAUAAAGGCCGCAGUCACCUAUCAGCUCUGGUUUGGAACCAUGCCCCAAAAACCGACAUACAUUCAGCUCCAGGUGGCAGAUCAGACAUUCAGAAAAGUUAUUGACAUGGGAGAAGACGAGUACGAUCCACCCAUCAUCCUUGGGAGACAGUUCCUCAGUACCGUUAAACAAUCAUCUACAUUGGAACCGGAGAAGUCCACAUGAACUUCCCCUCUGAGAAGGUACGCCGCUAUUUUACUGACCCUAACUAUAUAGUUGAAGACUCUAAGCAGGUCAGGACAAGAAGAGGACGACGCAACCGCAACCAGAGAAGGCAAAUCAUCAAGGAUGGAUGGGCGGACUACGAAGGAGAAGUGGUAAUGUCUGAAGACAGACAGCUUGAACAGAACUGUCCUGAGGAGACCGUAGCACCAAGUCAGGUGUGGAGAGAGAAGAUAGUUAUACAUAAAGAGGAGGCGCUGCCGGAAUCACUGACUACACCAUCCAGCAAAUCUCAGGAUGACUGAGGAAACGGAGAGUCCCGUUCGGAGGACUUAAAAUACACCGAAUGCUUUGCCAAGAGGUAAACAUGGUAGUUAUCUUUUUCCUUUCAAUUAUUUUAAAAAUAGUUUGCUUAGUUAAUCAGGUUUAUAUCAUCUUGAAAAGAAAAUAAAAAUGUUAAAAAUAGUAAGCCCCAUGUGAGUAUGAUCAUGGCAUAAAACGCAUAAGUACAUUCACUGUGGUGGCAUAAAAAUAAAAUAAAUAUAUUCCUGUCCUAUAAAAAUAAAAUUAAAAAAAUAAAUUUAUGAUCCUACUAAAGAGAGUAACAUUUAUUGAGGAGGCUCAACAUGAUAAAGGCUAGAUAUUUAUGCUAACACUUAACUAGUUCCACAAAGCUUUGUUGUCUAUUUGAGCUCCACAGAAUUCAAGGAUCAAAGAAGUCUAGCAGACGGAGGAUAUCCUAAUCGCUGUCAGAGUGCUGCCGACAUUCAAAUACACCUCCAGCACCUGCUAGCUACAUUAGAAGAAAUUGCGUCAAAAUCCAGCUUGGGGGAGAGCGCCUCCAUUUAUCCAGCUAAGUAUUCUACGCACGUUUAUACUUUACUAUAAUAUGCUUAUAUAUAUAUCUUUGCUUAGUUUGCUAAAUAGAUAAAUAAAUAAAGUUUGCUAUGAACCCUCAUGAUAAGCUCUCACAUGGAAAUGAUGAAUAGUUGCUCUGCCAUGACUAGUUCUCAAAAUUGAAAUCUCUCUCAAGUUUAGGCAUGACUCUUAUUAAUUAAGCUUUGCUCUAAACCUGAACUUGUGGGAAGAGUACUUGAUCUAAAGUCUAAGUCGUUAAUGGAUACGAUAUGAGAAGGUUGAGCUGCUGUUUAUCUGUUCCUAGAGAUGCUAGAUUUCUGGAGAAUUUUAUCUUUGAAAAUCUUUAAAAUGUUGCAUGAUGAGUUCCUGUAUGAUGAGAGUUUAAAUUCCUACCACAGCCAUAUAUACAUGCUUGUUAGACUAUGAACCAUACAUUUACUUUUUACUGCUUAUGAGCAUUGAGUGUGGUCAAGCUGUGUAGACCCUUAGGAGCUUGUCAUGUGGUUAAAUCAAGAUUCACUUGCACGUUCACUCAUACAUGCAGCUUCUACUCCGGAAGUACGCAUCCACAUAUAUCCAUCCAUUUCCAUCUCCAGAACCACCCAAAACUAUUCUACUCCUAAUCAGGGAGAGAAUAGCCAAAAACAUUUCUGUUUUCCCUUGUGAAAUAAAUGCUCAAGUUAUCUUGUUAUUACCACUUGCUAUAUUAUCUCAUGAGAUGAGUGCUCUAAAAAAAGAAAAGAAAAAAAAGUAUACGAGGAAAUAAAAAGGUGCAAGUGCCUGGAACCUCGAAAGAAAAGAAAAAGUGAGAUGAGAGGUAAAAAUGGACAAGUGUCCGAUAGUAGAAUUAGGGGUACAAGAUACCCACCUGAGAGGAAAGAAAAAGAAAAUAUAGAGCAUCUCAUUCUCCUCAAAAAGUUUCAAAAGAGCAAGAGAGGUAUGUAUCCCCUCAAAAGAGCAAAAGUAGAAUUAGACUUUCACCAUUGUUAUCACCAUCAUCACCAUAUACCAUUCAUUCGCCACACAUGCACAUCUUGAUUUGACUUAUUGACUUAUUCUUCUGGAUCCAUGGUUUGACUAUGCAAUAAAUGUCUUGUAUGUAUGUAUUAGCUGUCUCCCACCUAUGAGCUCCAGAUAUCAAAACUUUAUUAGAGUAGGGUGAGAGAGAAGGCAAUGUCACUAUGCCUUAUACCAUAAAUACCACAUACUUUGAGAGAAGGCAUAUACCAUUAUUGCCUUAGUAAGGAUCCAGAAAUACCACAAAAGAGAGAUCGGAGAGAGUCAUACAAGGAAUCUCUGAGUUUUAUUUGAAAAUCUGCAAAAACUCCAGAGCUAUAGUUAAUCGAAGAACAAGAGACAUGGCGCUUGACUAGACCGUUCUAUCUUUUAACUGCUCAAUGACAUAAGUGACGGUUGCAAGCCCCAUGGUGGAAGGUACAAUGAGUAAGUUUAAAUCUUAACAGUUUACCCUAACCCAGAGAUGAGAUCUUGUUUGAACGCAUGUAUAUCUUUAAGGCAUGAAACCACUGCAGAAACUCUUAAGUUCAUCAUUGCUCAGGGACGAGCAAAGGUUAAGCAUGGGGGAGCUUGUUGAUGGUCCUUAAUGCUCACAUUUAACCAUCAACUAAUCAUGGAAAAGGAUCCAAAUGCAACUAACACCUAGACUUAGGGUUUUAUCUGACAGAAUUCCAUGAGUUUUGGUGUUUGUCUAUUUCUACAGGGGGUUAUCAGAAAAUACGGAAGAAAGGCUCACACGUCGGGUUUACAUAGAGAUAUUAAUGUGCCGCGCAAUUUUCUAUCAUCUAGAAGACUCCAGAAGCCACAGGAACGAAGCGGAGGUCGAGAGGACGCAGGGACAGGGCGCCCGCCCUCCUUUCCUGGGCGCCCGCCCUCAACCAGAGUCCAAUCAGGACUCUCUUUCGGGAUAUUGCUCCACCGACCUAAAGGAUCAAGGAUAACCGUUCAAUCAAUGUCGGUUUGAUCCAACGGCCCAUAUUCUCUUGAAGGGACUAUAAAACCAGACCCCCCUGGCCUCUGGAGAUCAUACCUCUUCUACAGAAUCAAAUUUAGGGUUUCAAUUCUUCAUUCAAGUAGAGAGGAUCCCUCUAGUUCUUCUAGUUCUACCUCUAGUUCAUCUAGAUCUAGUUCUAGUUCAUCUAGUUCUAGUUCUAGUUCCUCUAGUUCUAGUUCUAGUUGUAAUCUAGAAAAUAGGGAGAGAGAAGAGGAGAGCGGAGGAGGAGCCGGAUCUGUCGGAUCUUCCUCAACAUUGUACUUUUGCAGCAACUGGUUCGUUUUUCAUCAUUCUCUAGGUUCUUCAAUUCAUAAUUCCUGAGUUCUUUAAUUACUUUUAUUUACAUUCAAGUUAUUUAUUAGAUUCCCGCUUGCAUCAAGUGCUCUAGUUUUUAUAACGCUAGAGUAGUAAUUAAUAGAUUAGACGUAGUGUUUAGUCUUGCAAUUACCUAGAAUUGCACCCAAUCCUGCGGAUUGUUGUGGUAGCCUUAGGGUAGUGACAGCCCUAAUGGUCGAUGUAUUCCACCUCGUUCGGAUCGGUGUUUGUAGGACCGUAGUCAGACCUUCCUAGCCCCCUUCUCAUCUCUUUCUGUGGUUAGUGCUCUGAUUGUCCCGAUAUAGAUAAUCUUUGAAGUAAUUCUUGAUUCUUAGAUCAACUAGAGAACUCUCAGGAAACUUCCUCUCUUCCCACCAAAAACAAUUAUAUAGUUAUCCUUGGGCGAUCUUGAUUCUUAAUUAGUACACUCACGUUGCCUGUGGAAAAUCGAUACUCUGGAAUACUCCGGGGUGAAAGCUACAUCGGUAUCCGUGCGCUUGCGAAUUUUUUUGUUUGCGUUUAAAAUACCCAAUAGAAACAAGGAUGAUCCCUUGCUAUACUUGCCUUGAAAUUUAGAUCCUUCUUUUAGUUCCAAAACUUCCACAAACUGCUUCUUGAUCACCACGUAAAAGCUCACCGUCUAAACUCAGCCAUCACAUCAACAUCAGUCAUCCAGAGGCAAUCAUACAAAGCAAACAAACCUAUAAUUAGAACAAUACACCAAUAGUAGAAAAUAAAGAUGAAAAGUUUGUAAAACAAAACUACAUCGCACUAUGAUCACACAGACGUAAAGUUCACAAAAAUCGGAGCUAUAACGAAGAAGUUAUGAUUUUCCUAAGAUUUCCUUUAAUAAAAUAAUCAAUUAAAUAGGAUCACGAAAAUAAAAAGUUGUAAACUUGUAAAACAGUGAGACUAACAUGUAGAUCUCGUGAUUACGAAUCUAACGCAAUUUGAAUGGAUCAAAUCGGAGUUAAAAUGAAGAUUUUAUGAGCUCAAAAAAUCUGGUGCCAAUUUUGUAAUUACUGAAAACGUAUUUUGAUUUAGAAACCAAGGUAAACUAAUUGGAGAAGAGCACACGCCUGGCGGCCUGCCAUUGGCAGCAGCGAGCUCCUAGCCGGCGAGCAUGAAACUUAAGCCUACGGCCACGAUUUGAUGCGGGGAAAACAAACUCAUCAAUAGAGAUUUUGCAGAUAGGUACGAAGCGGAGAUGGAAAGCAGGGCGACGGGCGGAUCGACACCGGACUGAGGGCGAUCACGUUGUAGAGAAGAAAAUAUAAUUUUAUUUUACUACCUUAGGAAUUCUCAAAUUAGAGGCUUCCCAUAUGGUAGUCUUUGGUGUGCUUUGCCUAAGGGGUUGGUACAUAUAUAUAGGAAGAAAAACUCCCCACCUCCACGUCAACUAGCGAUAUGGUACUAAUUCAUUUGCACCCUUUAUCUUUACUAAUAGGCCUAAAUAAACAUUAAAGCCCAUUAAUAAAUAAAGACAUGGGCCUUGAGCGUUGAGAAAAAUGAGAGAUUUAUUAUUUUUGGAAUUAAAUAAUUUCAUGGAUAAAAUAAUUCUAGAAAAAUCCAGAAUUAUUCUUUAAGUCACGAAAAAUACUCCGAAAGCUCCAAAAAUUGGAGGAAAAUUCUCAUAGACUUUAUGGAAUAUGAGGAAUCCAAAUAAAGUAUUUGGAGCUCAUGAUGAGAUAAUAUGGAGUAUCUAAAAAUUAGAUUAUGCUCACAGAAGAGUGAGAACAAAAGCUGAAAAAUUUUCCGAAAAGUUUGUAGAGAUUGCUUGAUGGACGAGAAACUAAAAGAAGUGCUUUGAGUGAUAAAGAAAAGAUUUUUCGAAGCUCCUAAUAAAACUUGAGCUAAGAAACAAGGAAUUUAGUUGUAGAUAAAGAUAAAGACGUACCAAUCAAGGAAGAUUGAUCUACUAAACGCAUUUCAAAAACUUUGCUCACUCUCAACACACAAAGGAGUAACAAGCAAACAUUACAUUAAAUCUUAUACACCAACAUGUAUGCACAACAAUGUUGCUAAGCCUUACGAUAAAUUUAAUUUAAUGAAAAAUAUUAAUUUUCCUAUAUUUUCAUGGGCACAAAAAUAUAUAAUCAAAUUGUUUUAACUCUAUUUCGAAAGGAGUAGAUUUUAGGGUGUUACAGCAAUGAAUGGGAAAAGAUUAUGGAAGAUAUAUUUGAAAUCAAUCUAGUUGAUGAAAAAGAUAAAGUGGUAUGGAAAUUAGAGAGUAAAGGCACUUUUUCUGUUAAAUCUACAUAUAAUGCUUUGACUAGUUCUGAGGGUGGUCUGAGUCAUAAGUGCAUUUGGAAAGGAAAAAUUCCUCUAAAAAUCAAAAUCUUCUUGUGGCUGGUUGCUAACAAUGCCAUUUUGACCAAAGAUAAUAUGAUUAAAAGACAGUGGAAGGGAGACCCUUCAUGUUUUUUCUGUCAGUCCCUAAAUCACUUAUUGUUCAUAUGCUCUGUUGCAAAAUCUGUUUGGGCUAUCAUAGCAACUAGUUUGGGAGCAUCUAAUAUUCCCAUUUCUUUUAAUCAAAGUUGGCUUUGGUGUGACAUGUGGAUUCCAAAUGCCAAACAGUUUCAUGCAGUGGGGAUUGGAGCUGUCUGUUGGGCUAUUUGGAAGAUGAGAAAUAACAUCAGUUUUGAAGGGAAAACUCUUAAAAGUCCCCUGGAAAUUAUAAGUCAUGCUUGUGCUUUGAUGAAAUACUAGGCAGGUUUAUAGAGUGAUGUGGACAAGGAAGCGUUGAUCGAUGGAGUGGCGACUAUGUUCAAGAUUGUUGUGCAGAUUCUAGCCAAGAAACGCCGUGGAGACAAUCAGACAGGCGCAGUGAAGGACUCUGUCAAUGAAGAUGAGGCAAGCCAGGAUCCAGAUCACUGAAUGCGACCUGAAGAACAUCCGUGUGUCGUCUGGAAGCUUUUGUUGGGCUACUGUUAUGUCCUUUGCUUUCGCUAUGAUGUCAAACGUUCUUAGGCUGGUUUCGCUCUUUUAGUUCUCUUUUCUGUUCUGAAUUGUCUGGCUUUCCUGUCUGUUCAAACUCUGUUCACAAUGUAUUUCCGUUAUCAGUAAUGGAAAUGGGAUAACCCCUAGUUCGGAAAAAAUUUACAAAUAAUAUAUAACAUUAAAUAAAAAUAGAAAUGAGCCACCAAAAAUAUUGAAAAUAUAGAAAAUAUUUUGUACAGGCGGGACCGCCUGUAUAAUUCUAUUUCUUCAGCCAGUGGUUAAUGCCAACCGCAUGUACAAAAGCAUUUCUACAGGCGGUUAGCAUUGAGACCGCCUAUAGAAAUGGUUUCUACAAGCGGUUCUCAAUGCGAAACGCCUGUAGAAAUGACGCCCAAGGCCGCGCCAACCCCCCAAAAAAUUUCAAGUCUCAAGACGCGAGUUCACUUCAAACUACGCCGUCAGGCUGCCGAAUUUGUCGCCUUCUCCGCCACCACUCCGCCACUGGUCUGCGCUGUUGUUCCUCUGCUCCCGACCACGAGCCCACUAGGUAUGCCCGCCCCCCUCUCUUCUCCGACCCCGACCCUGACCCCGGCUGUGCGGCCGUCACCGCCAGCACAACCUCCCCACCACUGCCGCCGCCCGCACUCCCAAGAGAGGACGCCUGACCCUCCUCACUCUCCUCUCCACUCCCUCUGCAUUCCCUAUCGCCAUUCUCGCUCUCCUAACAAGCUCCAAGGUAAUAGCCGCGAGUGCCCAUGGCCAUGGCCACUGUGGGCGAGCUCUUGCCGAGUUGAGCCGCUCCCUGCGUGCGCCCGGGCCCCCUAAGGCUCCCCAUCAACUUCCAUACCACCGACGAAGUCCCUGCUGGCCGGAACUAGCAAUCCGCCUCCACUUCCUCUGUUUUCCUAUUGACCAGGGAUCUUGGAUAUAAAUUCGACUAAUGGCAGGGGGCUAAGUGCACAGCUCAAGACUUAGAUGAAUAGUGUCUGUAGGACCUGUUCGGUUAGGUUGAUUUAAGUUUCUUCCAGCGUCCCCGUUUCAAAGUCGUUUAACUUUGUUUUGGCAGAUUUUUAGUUGAACUUUGAUAAUUCAUAGUAAAUGCUAGAAAAGUCGUAAAAUAGUAAAUGAAUGAUUUUUGGAAUAUUUGUAAAAUUGUCUAUCCAGUAGAUUUAUAAUAUGGCAUGUUUUAGUUUGAAGGUUUAGCUGUAAAAAUAAUUUUAUGCAGUUAGGUUUUAAUUGCUUAUUGUAUUUGUCUUUUUCAUAACUGUAGUAGUAUUGCUCGAAUAAAUAUGAAAUUAUUGUGAUAUGCGUCUCAUAUGAUAUUUGAGGUCUAGUAAUUGUUUCAUGAAUUUAGUAAUAAUAGAUUAAGAUCUAUAGAAAUAACAAAUGUCCUGUGUUGCUUUGCUCUUAUUCUGAGUAGAUUUGCAUAUUUAUUUUAUUUGGCUCAGUUAGGAUGUGAAUCUUUCCUUAUGGUAAAUAUAUGAGCUGUAGUACUUUUCAUAAGCUUUCCCAAAAGCUAAAUAGCACAAUUUUUGGUUAAGCACAUGUGUAGUUAUAGUGGUGUCGGUGUUUUCCCCACGGGGGGUCACACCAACGAGUGAAUUUGUAUGCGUGCUCCCUUUUCCAGUGAUGCAAAAAGACUCAAGGAUUUAUCCUGGUUCAUGCAAGAGAAGGCCCUACGUCCAGCGGGGGGGAGAGUUUGUAUUAUUUUGCACCUAAGUGCUUGUACAGGGGUGAAUACAAGCAUGGUAUGAAGUAAGAUGGAGAUGGAAACUCUACUGCGUGUGAGCGUUGUAUGUUGUGGUGUAUUGCCUCCUGUGUUCGCUCCCGGGCCUCACCUUUUAUAGUUCCAAGGAGAAGCCCAGGGUACAAGUAUAGGUGUCAGAGUAGGGGUCGAUAGAGGUAUGGCGCGCGGACCUACUCAAGGCCUCCGUACCGGCGUGGUCUCGAGCCGUCUCGUCUUGGUAGCUUGAUGAUGAUUACGCGUGCCCCGGUAUCCUGCUUUGGGCGCCGUCUUGGACUGGUUCAUCGGUUGCACGCCUGUACGAUAUAGUGGUAGAUCCGUCGGAGUGGUUGCUGUGUUGCCAUUCGACGCCCAACCCUUCCCCAGGAAGGAAACGGGUUUGGUCGAGGGUCGGCCGCCGUGUAGCGCCUUGCAAGCCAGAGUGUUGACCUUGGAUGCCUCGAGGGGGUCUUGAUUAGACGUUCCGACCCUGCUUCCUGCGUCCUGACAUACUCUGGAUUGUUUGGCGGGGAAGGCUGCAAAAAGAAUGACGGGACGGGUGCCUGUUCCCUAUCACGCUUCCCGUGACUGGCAUGUUAGCUGAGAACGCGACAAGCGCAUUAAAUGCCCUGGUUCCCGUGCGCGCGUCAGGCGGCGGGUGGCGUCCUUGCGCUCGACGCCUCCCGGUUCGCUCGAGCCUGUUUCCGUAUUCGACGGUAGUUGGCGCUCGAGCCCUGAUCGAUUCGCUCGACGCCCUGAUCGAUUCGCUUCGAGGUUGCGGCCGUUGAUGACCAUACACGUGACGGGGUAGUACGUCGAGUAGGGGGCCUCGACUUGCGUACGGGCGAUCUCAUUACAUCAGUUAGGAUACCCCUUACUGAUAUCCUCGACAGUAGCCCCCGAGCCUCCAUUUGAGCGCUGGCCCUCGAGUGGAGGCUAUAUUUUCGUGGUCGAAUUUCUGUGGGGGCGCAAGAGCGACCCCGCGGGGGUAGCCCCCGAGCCCUUGGAGGAGUUUUCGACUCCUUCGAGGGUUAUAUCGCCUAAUUCACAGAAGCGCUGUCGACACCAGUGGUGGAAGGCUCUGUUUGGCUUGUUUUGCGCAGGGGUUUCGACGUACUCCGGAUAGAGCGAGCGUCAUCCACCCUAGAUUGAGCUCCUAAUAGGUAGUCCGAGUAAGAACCUGUGCCCGUUUCGAGGGGGUCAGUUGUAGCCUGGAGAUGUUCUCAUAAAGCGGGGUCGACGUGGUCGGGGAUGCUGGGCUCGUUCGAUAGAGUCCAGUGGCUUGAUGCCUCCCAUCGGGGGGAUUCCUCUCGACUGUCUCAACCCUACCUCGGACAUCCCUAGCGAGUUCUCGAGGCGGGCCUCGAUUUUCGACCACUCGCUGGGCAUCCCUGAGUUUGGUGCUCGAGAUCGGCUGUCGAACCCUUUCGGCGGGUCAGCCUGUGACCUCACGAGGCUUUUGUCGGUACGUACCUUGGCUUUCAAAGGAAGGAAAAGGUCGUGGCGGUUCGCCUUUCUACCCGUUGGGCACGUCUUUUCAGGCGGGAGCCGUUGCGACACUGUAUCGGCGUAGAAUUCGGAGCGCCCCGUCUGUGAGGAGGAAAAAGACCGUUAGGCGGCGCAUUUAUGGGGGGAGUUACCUCAUUUAUCGGAUCUGUCCGUUGGUGGGUUGCUGCCUAUAAAUAUCCUGUGGCCUUGCCGCCGUUCUCCCUUCCGCCUUCUGCCUCCAUUCUUGCCUUAGCUCCCUUGCCAUCUCACGCGUGCGCACCCCCUCGAGUAGUAGCGAGUCCGCCUUUCUUCCACCCAAGAUGCCUGUGAGACUUGUCGCCGCCGAUGACUGGCGCCCGUCGUCGAUGACGAAGCGCCGGUUGCUGGAGCUCGAGAGGGAGGGACUCCUGCGCCACCGCACAUCGCUGUCAUCGCCAGAGUGGAUUGCACUACCAGCGGACCAUAGGGAGCCCAAGACGCCCAAGGGCUACGUGGUUUCGUUCGCCAAGUUCCACCGCCACGGCCUGGGCGCUCCUCCGAGCCGCUUCAUGCGGGCGCUCUGCCACCAUUAUGGGGUGGAGCUCCAUCACUUGUCCCCAAAUGCCAUCACCAUCGCGGCGGUCUUUUCCGCGGUGUGUGAGGGCUAUUUGGGGAUGAUGCCCCACUGGGAGCUGUGGCUUCACCUCUACAGGGGCGAGCUCUUCAACGCCCCCACUAGAACUACAGUCGUGAGGAAACCUGUGCGGGUCGGGUGCCUCAACCUGGUGCUGAAGACGAAGAAGACGGAGAGGCCACGCGAGUACAUCCUAGUGGGGUUGUCAUCGAACCACGUUGGGUGGGACUCCCAGUGGUUCUACCCGAGGAACGACGACGGCCUUCUCCCUGCCUACACCGGCCGUCUGAUCACGGAGCCCCCAGAGGACUGGACAUACAGCGUCGUCCAAGUCCACCAGUCGCGGCUCGAUCCCCUCCUCGACGCCCUGAAGAAGCUACUCUUGGAGGGCCUGUCCGCCGCUCUCGUCCUCUCGGCCGUCCAUCAUCGGAGAGUUCUCCCGUUGAUGUCUCGGCCGCUGAGGACGGAUGAGAUGGGGCCCGAUGCUUCGUCCCGGGACCUCGAGGCAUCCCGGAUGUCCAACGAGGCAAUGGCGGAUGAUGAAGUUGCGGCCCGGGUCAGGGCGGCCGUCGCCGGCGACUUCCAGCCGGAGCACGUCAAUGGCUUCCCCAUGAGGCCUGAUGCGGGCUCGAUCGACCUGGUACGUUCUUUUCUUGUAUAUGGCUUUGAUUCUGGAUUUCCCUGGCUUCCCUUUUUAAGCUUGUCUUUGUUCUCGCAGGGACCGAUCGACGUCCGGUCCUCGAGGCCUCUAGUAAAGGAGGACGAGGUCGACCAUGACAAGCGGCGCCAGUCCGCUGAGAAACAGAAGUCCGUCAAGGACUCAGAGAAGAAAGAGAAGAAGAAGAAGAAUCUUGACCGCCAAUCGCUGGAGGGGCGUCGAGCUAAGUCCAGGCAGAGGGGGGAGCCUGAAGAAGAAUCCCCCAGUGAGGAUGACGGCGGAGACGGCGAUGACAACAGCGACGACUCCGAGGGGAUGGCGUCUCGCCUCGACCGGAUCCUCGAGGGUCCGCCUAAGGCGACGUUGACGCUCUAUGGAUGGGAGCGCCAAAGGAAGGGCCAAGCGGAUCUCACCGCCCCCGCGCUGACACCCCUCCCGCGCCCGCGCCGAGUCGUGCAGCCCCACGCCCCCAACCUCCCCCUGCACCAAAGGCGGGUGGCCGAGCUAAGCCCCAGGCAACGGGGCCGUUGACCUGUGGCCGCGCCGCGACCUCCGAAAAGGGAGAGACGGCCGCAGGAGCGCUUGCCCCGGCGCUCACCAGGUGGGAGACGCUGGACCAAGGCCUGCGCCUGCCCGCGAGGGGCCUGGAGCCUCGACGCGGGGCGGCUCGAGGCCUGCCGUUCGAGGUACCGGCAGGCGGGCCGUGCUCCCUGUGGGGUAUGUUUUUCGACGCUGUGAUUCUCAUCCUCCUAUUUCUUUGUGUUUUCUCGUAUAACGGUCUCCCUUACGUCCAUUUCUCUUUCCUCAGGUUGAAGCGGACGCUCGAGCAGGCCCAGCCUUCAAUGGCGAAAAGGCUCAAGGUGGGAGCAGCCUCCAAGGACUCAGGUUGGUUGUUUAUUCCCGUUGUUAAGGGAUUUAUGUUGUUCUUACGUCGACCAUCAUAACGACUGACCUUUGUUUUGCGUUUUAUAGGUUCCUCCGACCCUCGACCAUCGACUGGCGCCGAGAGUGCCCCGCCCCGUCCCCUGGCGGGUGAGUCUGCCCCGUCAUCGCCAAAACAGGCUGAGGCGCCUCAGCCCCAAGGGCAAGAGGGAGCCCCCGAGCCUCCCCGAUCGGGGGUUGAGGCGGAGCCGAUCACUAUAAGUGACGGGUCUGGCGGCGACAGGUCUUCGAGGGACGCUCGCCCUAUGGACGAGGAGGUCGAGGCCUCUCCCACUACGAGACAGAAUCCUUGGCCCAUCGGGCUCCACUCUGUCAAAGAGCAGAGGAGGAAAGAGGAAAGAGAGCGUGAGCAGAAGACGCGGCAUCAGCCGUAGGAGGAACAGCAGCUGCUGCCAACAGGUGGAGAGGUGGGGCAGCCGUCAGCAGGUCCCCGCUCGAGGAGCUGCUGGAGCGGGACCGUCGCCAGGAGCCGCAGGAGCUCCAGGAGCAGCGCCAGUACAGGGGCCAGCCGUCGGAGGAGCCGCUCGAGCCUCAUCCUCGUAGUCCGCCCCAACCGGUACUACCGGCGCCGCAAGAGCCCGGGAACCAGGAGGAGGGUUUGCCAGUUUUCGGCCCUCCGACCCCGGUGUGGCUCCGUCCAGGGGCGCCCGCCGCGAUCCCAGCAGAGUCGGCGUGGUGGCGCACGCCUGCAUGAUGCGCACCCCCAUCGACCCUGAGUCCGAGAUCAGGAGGACGAUCUACGGCAUGGACGGAAUCGCACCGGAAUUCCUCCGGGAGCGUCGGUCGUGGGAGGACCGUAUUCCCGCCGAGGAGGACGAGGCUGGGACAUCGGGCGGUGGCGGAGGCAGCGAAACCGGCACCUAGAAGACGGUGGAUGACGACAGGCGGUUCCCCUCCCUCAUCGACUUGUUCCUGCGCCACGGGGGGUCACUCGAGACCGUCGAGGCGCUCAUCCGUGGCGUCAAGGCGCGGGCCGACCAGGAGAUGGAGAAUUGGUGCCCCGAUCGGAUCCGUGUCUGGGCUUCCACCGAUCCGUCUAAGCCCAACAUUUUUCUUGACGAUCGGAAGGAAGCCGAGAAUUUGGAGCACGUCGAGGAGCUCUGCCUUUGGAUGAAGCACACGGUGGGGCUCCUGUCGGACGUUGUUAAUAACGGACUCGGGCCGGCCUACUUUGUAAGUAUUUCCCAGUCCUUUAAUCUUUAUGGAACAUUUGGUUUUGUGUUUUAACUGCUCGAUCGCCGGUUCGCAGGACCUAAAAGAGACCUCCCGCAUUAAGUCGAGCUUCAUCCACGCCACGAGAGGCGGCUGGGAGCAGCUCCCUAUCCUCAAGGACCAACUCCUGGAGUCGCAGGAGAAACUCCUCAAGGCUUAUAAAGAGCUCUUGGCGCUCAAGGAGGAGAAGAAGGAGAGGGUGGCUGCCCUGGCCGAGGCUCGAGAGGCCUCAAGGAAGGCUGUGGAAGAGGCUGCGCUACUGAGGGAGCGGGCCAUGACGGACGACAUGGUCGGGGAUGCUGGGCUCGUUCGAUAGAGUCCAGUGGCUUGAUGCCUCCUGUCGGGGGGAUUCCUCUCGACUGUCUCAACCCUACCUCGGACAUCCCUAGCGAGUUCUCGAGGCGGGCCUCGAUUUUCGACCACUCGCUGGGCAUCCCUGACUUUGGUGCUCGAGAUCGGCUGUCGAACCCUUUCGGCGGGUCAGCCUGUGACCUCUUGAGGCUUUUGUCGGUACAUACCUUGGCCUACAAAGGAAGGAAAAGGUCGUGGUGGUUCGCCUUUCUACCCGUUGGGCACGUCUUUUCAGGCGGGAUCCGUUGCGACACUGUAUCGGCGUAGAAUUCGGAGCGCCCCGUCUGUGAGGAGGAAAAAGGCCGUUAGGCGGCGCAUUUAUGGGGGGAGUUACCUCAUUUAUCGGAUCUGUCCAUUGGUGGGUUACUGCCUAUAAAUAUCCUGUGGCCUUGCCGCCAUUCUCCCUUCCGCCUUCUGCCUCCAUUCUUGCCUUAGCUCCCUUGCCAUCCCACGCGUGCGCAACCCCUUGAGUAGUAGCGAGUCCGCCUUCCUUCCACCCAAGAUGCUUGUGAGACUUGUCGCCGCCGAUGACUGGCGCCCAUCGUCGAUGACGGAGCGCCGGUUGCUGGAGCUCGAGAGGGAGGGACUCCUGCGCCACCGCACAUCGCUAUCGUCGCCAGAGUGGAUUGCACUGCCAGCGGACCAUUGGGAGCCCAAGCCGCCCAAGGGCUACGUGGUUUCGUUCGCCAAGUGCCACCGCCAUGGCCUGGGCGCUCCUCCGAGCCGCUUCAUGCGGGCGCUCUGCCACCAUUAUGGGGUGGAGCUCCAUCACUUCUCCCCAAAUGCCAUCACCAUCGCGGCGGUCUUUGCCGCGGUGUGUGAGGGCUAUUUGGGGAUGAUGCCCCACUGGGAGCUGUGGCUUCACCUCUACAGGGGCGAGCUCUUCAACGGCCCCAAUAGAACUACAGUCGUGAGGAAACCUGUGCGGGUCGGGUGCCUCAACCUAGUGCUGAAGACGAAGAAGACGAAGAGGCCACGCGAGUACAUCCUGGUGGGGUUGUCAUCGAACCACGCUGGGUGGGACUCCCAGUGGUUCUACCCGAGGAACGACGACGGUCUUCUCCCUGCCUACACCGGCCGUCUGAUCACGGAGCCCCCGGAGGACUAGACAUACAGCGUCGUCCAAGUCCACCAGUCGCGGCUCGAUCCCCUCCUCGACGCCCUGAAGAAGCUACGCUUGGAGGGCCUGUCCGCCGCUCUCGUCCUCUCGGCCGUCCAUCAUCGGAGAGUUCUCCCGCUGAUGUCUCGACCGCUGAGGACGGAUGAAAUGGGGCCCGACGCUUCGUCCCGGGACCUCGAGGCGUGCCGGAUGUCCAACGAGGCAAUGGCGGACGAUGAAGUCGCGGCCCGGGUCAGGGCGGCCGUCGCCGGCGACUUCCAGCCGGAGCACGUCAAUGGCUUCCCCAUGAGGCCUGAUGCGGGCUCGAUCGACCUGGUUCGUUCUUUUCUUGUAUAUGGCUUUGAUUUUGGAUUUCCCUGGCUUCCCUUUUUAAGCUUGUCUUUGUUCUCGCAGGGACCGAUCGACGUCCGGUCCUCGAGGCCUCUAGUAAAGGAGGACGUGGUCGACCGUGACAAGCGGCGCCAGUCCGCUAAGAAACAGAAGUCCAUCAAGGACUCAGAGAAGAAAGAGAAGAAGAAGAAGAAUCUUGACCACCAAUCGCUGGAGGCGCGUCGAGCUAAGUCCAGGCAGAGGGGGGAGCCUGAAGAAGAAUCCCCUAGUGAUGAUGACGGUGGAGAUGGUGAUGACGACAGCGACGACUCCGAGGGGAUGGCGUCUCGCCUCGACCGGAUCCUCGAGGGUCCGCCUAAGGCGACGUCGAUGCUCCGUGGAUGGGAGCGCCAAAGGAAGGGCCAGGCGGAUCUCACCGCCCCCGCGCUGACACCCCUCCCGCGCCCGCGCCGAGUCAUGCAGCCCCACGCCCCCAACCUACCCCUGCACCAAAGGCGGGUGGCCGAGCUAAGCCCCAGGCAACGGGGCCGUUGACCCGUGGCCGCGCCGCGGCCUCCGAAAAGGGAGAGACUGGCCGCAGGAGACGCUGGACCAAGGCCUGCGCCUGCCCGCGAGGGGCCUAGAGCCUCGACGCGGGGCGGCUCGAGGCCUGCCGUUAGAGGUACCGGCAGGCGGGCCGUGCUCCCUGUGGGGUAUGUUUUUCGACGCUGUGAUUCUCAUCCUCCUAUUUCUUUGUGUUUUCUCGUAUAACGGUCUCCCUUACGUCCAUUUCUCAUUCCUCAGGUUGAAGCGGACGCUCGAGCAGGCCCAGCCUUCAAUGGCGAAAAGGCUCAAGGUGGGAGCAGCCUCCAAGGACUCAGGUUGGUUGUUUAUUCCCGUUGUUAAGGGAUUUAUGUUGUUUUUACAUCGACCAUCAUAACGACUGACCUUUGUUUUGUGUUUUAUAGGUUCCUCCGACCCUCGACCACCGACUGGCGCCGAGAGUGCCCCGCCCCGUCCCCUGGCGGGUGAGUCUGCCCCGUCAUCGCCAAAACGGGCUGAGGCGCCUCAGCCCCAAGGGCAAGAGGGAGCCCCCGAGCCUCCCCGAUCGGGGGUUGAGGCGAACCCGAUCACUAUAAGUGACGGGUCUGGCGGCUGUUGACGGUCCUUAAGUAUCAAAUUUAACUAUCAAAUAAACAAAGAAAAGGAUCAAAAUGAAAUCAACAUCGAGACUUAGGGUUUUAUCUGACCGAAUUCCAUGAGUUUUGGUGUUUGUCUAUUUCUGCAGGGGGUUAUCAGGAAAUAAGGAAGAAAGGCCCACACGUCGGGAUUACAUAGAGAGAUCAACGUGCUGCGCAAUUAUCUUACAUCUAGAAGACUCCAAAAGCCACGGGAAGGAAGCGGAGACCGAACGGAGUCAGGGACAGGGCGCCCGCCCAAGUCCUUAGGGCGCCCGCCCACCUAUUUCGGCCAAUCACGCUCAAUCUCGCGGAUUAUGCUCCACCGACCUAAAGGAUCAAGAAUAACCGUUCAAUCAAUGUCGGUUUGAUCCGACGGCCCAGGUUCACUUGAGGGGACUAUAUAACAAGACCCCCUGGCCCCUGGAGGAGACACCCCUUGAUCAUUAUUCAUUAUUCAUAGACAGAGCAAAAGCUAGGGUUUAGAGAUGAGAGCUCUCCUCUCUUCUCUAAACUAGAGUAGAUCUAGAUAGUAGCGAGAUGGAGAGCGAAGGAGGAUUAGAGGAGAGGCCGGCCUGUCGGUUCUUCCUCCGGUUGUACUUCGCCAUGAUCAAGCUCUAAUCAAGCUUGCUCAUGGGAUGACUCUAGUAAUCUACUUCUAAUUCAUUAUGCAAUUACUAAUCAUGUAUGUUCUGGUUCACAACUCUUUUGAGUACUUCUAAUCUAUAGGACCCUAUAGGUUAGAGUUGUAGUAUAGGUGUAAGCGUGGUGCUUAGACCUAGAUUACUUGUGGAUAUCCCCUGACUAGCUGGAUCGUGUGGUAGGCCGCGUAGGUGACAGUUACGUUGGUCCCCUGUAGUCCACCUCUCGUUAGCAGGACGGGUAGGGUUUAUCGGCCUAUGGAUAAGCAUCCUUUGUGGUGUACUCUUAUCACGUGGUUCGUCCCAGACAUAGACAUACCCCUUUGAAGUAGAGAAACCAUAGUUAUCCUCUCUAUUCUGCUACCAUCGCCCAUAUACUAGAAUUGCUCUACUCUCUAUUCCCAUAUUAUCACUCACUGUUAUCUUACCUUUAAUAUUGUUCUUAUUCGAUUCUAUCAUCUUUCCUAUUUACACCUAUCUAUCUAUCUUGGUUAUGUUAGAGCGUAGUUGGUUCUCCCGUUUCCCUGUGGAUACGAUAAAACCUUUAACCAGGUAAAAGCUUCAACGGUAUCCGUGCGCUUGCGGAUUAUCUGUGUGCAUAUAAAUACCAUAGUACACUCUAGUGCCAUGCUGGGGAUGACAACCUAGUAUUCAAGUGGUGUUAGCAAGUGUCAACAAGCAUUUUUUGCGCCGUUGCCGGGGAAACGGUUGCUGAGUUGACUACGAACUAGUUUAAUCAUUUUAUAAAAAAAUAAUAAUAAAAAAAAUAUUUUCCUUUUAUCCUUUGCCUCAUCUCUGCUAUUCUUUCUUCUUAUCUAAUCCUUGAUCUCUGGUCUAUUAUGAAUUCAAACAUGUCUAUCUAUGAAUUUCAUAGACCUAUGGGCACACAUCUCGAACCACCAAAAUCUUCAAAGCCUAUCAUAGCAUCUAGUUUUGAGAUAGACCCCGAAUACAUAGAAUUUAUUCAAAAACAACCUUUCUCAGGAGAAGGUGAGGAAAACCCAUACACACCCCUAAGAGAGUUUUAUCGAGUCUGUGACCUCCUUCGCAUAGAAGGCAUGUCCGGUGAGACCCUUAAAUGGAAGCUCUUUCCGUUCUCUUUAACGGGAAAAGCUAGACAUUGGUAUAAACUCAAAGUAGGGAGUGUUCAUGGAGAUUGGAAGGAGUUAUAUAGUAGUUUUCUUUCUAAAUAUUUUCCAAUCUCCAAAGUGGUGGAACUUCGGCGUGAGAUUCUUUCUUUUAGACAACGGGAAGAAGAAUCUCUUGGCAAAUCAUGGGACCGCUUUAUUAACCUUACUCUCACUGGCCCAAAACUUUCUAUUCCAGAAGAAGUUCUUCUAAUUCACUUUUUUGAGGGCCUUAGUAGGAAAAUAAGCAAACCCUUCAUGCGGCCUCUAGAGGAUCUUUCCACCACCUAUCCGCUAGUGAAGCUUGGAAUUUGAUUGAUUUAAUGAGCGGAAAGUCUCCUAGCUUUUAUAUCCCUGAGAAAGAGAAAGAACCAGUUCCUAGCCAAGAAGAAGAAGUUUCGAUAGCCAGAUCACAACCACUUCAAUCCCAAACUUUAGCUAUCGAUCCUAAACCAUCAAUACCCCCAAAUUCUCCAAGGGAGGAAGGAAUUCCGACCUUAAAUCUUUUAGAUGCUGAUGGUUUAGACUUUUGGUUCUAUAAGAGACCUUCAAGCAGGGAUAAUUCAAAUCAUUGCAAUAAUGUUUCUCUUAGAGAAUGUCCUGGUUCCUAUCAUGAAGAAGUCGAGGAUGACAUAUCAAGUGAAGGAGAGCUAAGCCAUAUAGACAAUUCUAUCUACUCCCCUUCCAUGUUCACAAGUUCUAAAUCUAUCCUUGACCUUAGAGAUCCCUCUUAUCCCUCUUCUUUUCAGUCUCAUGAUGAUCCUAGCAAUUCACCAAGACGACCAAACCAUAGGAGUCAUGAAGACCAUAAGGAUGGCAUGUCAAGUAAUGCCAUAGAAGGAGAGCUAAGCCAUAUAGAAAAUUCUAACACCUCCCCUAUUUUGAUCACAAGUUCUAAAUGGCUAGAAUGUGUAGAAUGGAUGGAUAAGGAAGAAGCCUUAAUGGGUUCUGACUUUGGCUCAAUUUCAAAUGGUGAGUUCUUGACUUCCUUUGAAGAUGAGAUUCAUCCAACUACAGAAGAGGACAUAGGUGAGACCAAUCCAGGAGAAACUCCGAACAUUCAGAUUGGAGACGAAGAUAACAUUAAUGAGCAUGGAAUUUAUUUCAUAGCCACUUCGUUUACUCCAUGCUCAUAUGCAACAUCUUCCCAAUCUAUUGGUCUCUCCGACAUCACCACACUUGAGAUCUCCACCCCCCUCUUCCUUUCUAUUUAUAAAAACUACAAAAGGGCGGUUGUCGAUGCAUAUGUCUAUAAUAAAUAUUGUAGAUCUCGUUGAGUUGAUCUAGAUAUAGGUUGGCGUCGGAGGGGAAACCACUUCACCAACAUAAACUGAUGGUUUCCCAAGGACAAGCUUAGUGUCUUAAAAUAGGCAUUGAUCAGAUCGUAACAUGAGCUUUUAAUUAUUUGCAACAUUACCUUGUGUAUUGAGCAUAUAAGGAUAAUUGUAAAAAAAUAUUCCUUCGGGUAUUCUUGUCACUAACCUUUCUAGGAUUGGAGCAAGAAGAUCGGAUGAAUGACAAGCACAAGGUAUGUCCAACCAAUCAUCGUACAACAUUGAAUUAAAUUCAUCCAAACUUGAAUUUUGCAAAAUUCAAGCUUGGGGGAGUACUUUACAUAAAAACAUCCUUUGCCAUGUUGCUAUGCUGGUUGUCCCUACCUUUGAGACAUGCUCAAUUUGUUAAAUACUAAUCACACUACUUCAUCUUCACUUAAGUAAAUCUCUAUAAAUGCUGUCAUGCUACCUUUGUCUAUUUACUAGCAAGUGUUGGUUUGGAAGUACUCGCCAUACUUCCAUUGGCAUUAAGCAUGGUGCUUAGGUUGAAUAGCCUUCCUUAAUCUGAUUAGACAUGGAGUCUAGUUUGGUUAUUGAACUAAAAAAACUGCUUGAGUAGAUAUUGGUAUAUUUUGUCGGACUAACCCCUGCAGAAAAACUUUCGAUAUCGAUUUGGGAAGUCCUGAGAUAAACUCACAUCAGAGACGAAGAAAGUGACACAUGAAGUUUAACAAUUAGCACAAGAAGGACAUAGCUCAUUCAUCAUAAAGAGAUGAUCCAUGGAGGGUGCCACAAACACGAUGCACAACCGCUAAGAAAGGAAAGCUUCCACAAGAUGAUACUGUACCAUCACUCUUCAAGCAAGGUAACAUCUUAAGGUACUUGACUAUCACUUUUAUAAGCUUCUCCUUGGUUCUGGCGUUCAUAUAAAUAAAAGAGACAAACGUGUAUGAUUUACAACUCUAGAUCAACCAACCCAACUGAUUAAACAUGUUUAGUCCUUUAAUCCUUGUUCUUAGUACUACCUCCAUGAUCCCACACUCCUAAUCAUAUGAGCUAAAAUGUUACACAUUCAAUCAUUGAGAGAUAUAUAGAAAAAGACAUAUACAUAAAUAGAUUAUCUUUCCAUAAGGUUGAGCGAUCUGAUCUGACAAAUGUUAUAAGUGCUACACUCAUGAACUUUGUCUUGCUCACUAUGCUUAAGGUUAGAGAAGAACAAAUACACUUUUGGUUCUGUUGGUGUUUUCCACCAACAGGGCCCUUGCACUUGAUCUCUGCCUUGUCUCUAUGAGCAGGUACACUACGAGCACAAACACACUGAGCAAGAUACUGCUAACACCGCACUUCGAACUGCUGGGCAAACGAAGAACAUGGGUGACACCGUAUUAAAAGGUGCAGACGUCAAGGUCCGCACCUGAAUCAAAUGACGCACCUGAAGAAUGAACACGGUGAGAAGUCUUGUCAAGAAGACUUAAAACAAUGAACCCUCGCCGAAAGGUAAGAUUGGUAGUUAUCCAUAUUUAUCCUUUCUGCAUUCCCUUUUCCCUUUAAUUAUUUACUUUCCUUAAAUAGAUUUUUAGUUAAUCAUGCUAUCUUGAAAAGAAAAUAAAAAUGUUAAAAAAAUACUAAGCCCCAUGUGAGUAUACGAGUGGCAUAAAACCCAUAAGUACCUUCACUGUGGUGGCAUGAAAAUAAAAUAAAUAUUUCUUUUCUACUUUAUAAAAUAAAAAUAUAUAAAAACAGGGAGUAAUAUUUAUUGAGGAAGCUCAACGUGAUGAAGGCUAGAUAUUUAUGCUAACACUUAAUUAGUUCCACAAGCUUUGUUGUCUAUUUGAGCUCCACAGAAUUUAAGAAUCAAGAAGACUAGCAGACGGAGGACAUUCUAAUCGCUGUCAGAAUGCUGCUGACUUUCAAAUACACCUCUGCCACCUGCUAGCUACAUCAAGAGAAAUUACGUCAAAAUUCAGCUUGGGGGAGAGCACCCCUAUUUAUCUCGCUAAGUAUUUCUACCUAUCUUUAUACUUAUAUUAUAUUAGAAUAAUAAAAUACAUAAACUAUGAAAAACCAAAUAAAGAUUUUAUGCUUAUAUAUAUAUAAAUCUUUUCUUAGUUUGCUAAAUAAAUAAAUAAAUAAAUAAAUAAAGUUUGCUAUGAAUCUUAAUAAUAAAACUCUAGCAUGGAUAUGAUGAAUAGUUGCUCUGCCUAAUUUGCAAAUUUGAAGUUCUCUCUCAAGUUUAGACAUAACUGUUAUAAUUUAUAGCUUGCUCUAGAUCUAAACUUGUGGGAUGAAAACUUGAUCUGAAAUCUAAGUUGUUAACGGAUAUGAUAUGGGAAGGUUGAGCUGCUGUUUAUCUAUUCCUAGAGAUGCUAGAAUUCUGGAGAAUUUUAUCUUUGAAAAAUCUUUAAAAUAUUGCAUGAUGAGUUCCUGUAUGAUGAAAGUUUAAAUUCCUACCACAGCCAUAUAUACAUGCUUGCUAGACUUUGAGCCACACAUUUAUUUACUGCUUAUGAGCAUUGAGUGUGGUCAAGCUGUGUAGACCCUUAGGAGCUUGUCCUGUGGUUAAAUCAAGAUUCACUUGCACGUUCACUCAUAUAUGCUACUUCUACUCCGGAAGUACCAUCCACAUAUAUACAUCCAUUUCCAUCUCCAGUUUUACCCAAAAUCAUUCUACUCCUAAUCCGGCGGGAGAGAAUAGCCAAAAACAUUUUCCUAUCCCUGUUAUUCCCUGUGAAAUAAAUGCUGCAGUUAUUUUGGUUACUACCACUUUCUACAUUAUUUCAGGAGAUGAGUGCUCUGAAAAAAAAGAGAAAAGAAAAGAAAAAAAAAUAAUAAACGAGGAAAUAAAAAGGGGCAAGUGCACGGAACCUCGAAAGAAAGAAAAAGUGAGACGAGAGGUAAAAAUGGACAAGUGUCCGACAGUAGAAUUAGGGGUACAAGAUACCCACCUGAGAGGAAAGAAAAAGAAGAGCAUCUCAUUCUCCUCAUAAAGUUUCAAAAAGCAAGGAAGGUAUGUAUCCCCUCAUAAGAGCAAAAGUAGAAUUAGACUUUCACCAUUGUUAUCACCAUCAUCACUAUACACCAUUCAUUCGCCACACAUGCACAUCUUGAUUUGGCUUAUUGAUUUGUUUCUUUGGAUCCAUAGUUUGACUAUACAAUAAAUGUCUUGUAAGUAUGUAUACUUUAUCUCCCACCUAUGAGCUCCAGAUAUUAAAGCCUUAUUAGAGUAGGGUGAGAGAGAUGACAAUGUCACUAUCCCUUAUAUCACAAAUACCACAUAUUUUGAGAGAAGGCAUAUACCAUCACUGCCUUGGUAAGGAUCCAGAAAUACCACAAAAGAGAGAUAUGAGAGAGUCAUACAAAGGAAUCUCUGAGUUUUAUUUGGAAAUCUGCAAAAACUCCAGAGCUAUAGCUGAUCAAGAAUAAGCGACAUGGCACUUGACUGGACUGUUCUAUCUUUUAACCACUCAAGACAGAAGUGACGGUUACAAGUCCCAUGGUGAAAGGUAAAGUAAGUAAGUUUUAAGUCUUGACAGUUUACUCUAACUCAGAGAUGAGACCUCAUUUAAAAGCAUGUGUACCGUCAAUUUUUAAAGAUAUUGCAACAACUUAUGAUCCAUAGCUGAGUCUAUCCUUGCUCAGGGACGAGCAAGAGGUAAGCUUGGGGGAGUUUGUUGACGGUCCUUAAGUAUCAAAUUUAACUAUCAAAUAAACAAAGAAAAGGAUCCAAAUGAAAUCAACAUCGAGACUUAGGGUUUUAUCUGACAGAAUUCCACGAGUUUUGGUGUUUGUCUAUUUCUACAGGGGGUUAUCAGGAAAUAAGGAAGAAAGGCCCACACGUCGGGAUUACAUAGAGAUAUCAACGUGCCGCGCAAUUAUCUUACAUCUAGAAGACUCCAGAAGCCACGGGAAGGAAGCGGAGACCGAACGGAGUCAGGGACAUGGCGCCCGCCCAAGUCCUUAGGGCGCCCGCCCACCUAUUUCGGCCAAUCACGCUCAAUCUCGCGGAUUAUGCUCCACCGACCUAAAGGAUCAAGAAUAACCGUUCAAUCAAUGUCGGUUUGAUCCGACGGCCCAGGUUCACUUGAGGGGACUAUAUAACCAGACCCCCUGGCCCCUGGAGGAGGCACCCCUUGAUCAUUAUUCAUUAUUCAUAGACAGAGCAAAAGCUAGGGUUUAGAGAUGAGAGCUCUCCUCUCUUCUCUAAACUAGAGUAGAUCUAGAUAGUAGCGAGAUGGAGAGCGAAGGAGGAUUAGAGGAGAGGCCGGCCUGUCGGUUCUUCCUCCGGUUGUACUUCGCCAUGAUCAAGCUCUAAUCAAGCUUGCUCAUGGGAUGACUCUGGUAAUCUACUUCUAAUUCAUUAUGCAAUUACUAAUCAUGAAUGUUCUGGUUCACAACUCUUUUGAGUACUUCUAAUCUAUAGGACCCUAUAGGUGAGAGUUGUAGUAUAGGUGUAAGCGUGGUGCUUAGACCUAGAUUACUUGUGGAUAUCCCCUGACUAGCUGGAUCAUGUGGUAGGCCGCGUAGGUGACAGUUACGUUGGUCCCCUGUAGUCCACCUCUCGUUAGCAGGACGGGUAGGGUUUAUCGGCCUAUGGAUAAGCAUCCUUUGUGGUGUACUCUUAUCACGUGGUUCGUCCCAGACAUAGACAUACCCCUUUGAAGUAGAGAAACCAUAGUUAUCCUCUCUAUUCUGCUACCAUCGCCCAUAUACUAGAAUUGCUCUACUCUCUAUUCCCAUAUUAUCACUCACUGUUUUCUUACCUUUAAUAUUGUUCUUAUUCGAUUCUAUCAUCUUUCCUAUUUACACCUAUCUAUCUAUCUUGGUUAAUUAGAGCGUAGUUGGUUCUCCCGUUUCCCUGUGGAUACGAUAAAACCUUUAACCGGGUAAAAGCUUCAACGGUAUCCGUGCGCUUGCGGAUUAUCUGUGUGCGUAUAAAUACCAUAGUACACUCUAGUGUCAUGCUGGGGAUGACAACCUAGUAUUCAAGUGGUGUUAGCAAGUGUCAACAGCGGCGACGGGUCUUCGACGGACGCUCGCCCUAUGGACGAGGAGGUCGAGGCCUCUCCCACCGCGAGACGGAAUCCUUGGCCCAUCGGGCUCCACUCUGUCGAAGAGCAGAGGAGGAAAGAGGAAAGAGAGUGUGAGAAGAAGACACGGCAUCAUCCGCAGGAGGAACAGCAGCUGCUGCCAACGGGUGGAGAGGUGGGGCAGCCGUCAGCAGGUCCCCAGCUCGAGGAGCUGCUGGAGCGGGACCGUCGCCAGGAGCCGCAGGAGCUCCAGGAGCAGCGCCAGUAGAGGGCCCAGCCGUCGGAGGAGCCACUCGAGCCUCCUCCUCGUAGUCCGCCCCAACCGGUACUACCGGCGCCGCAAGAGCCCGGGAACCAUGUGGCAGAACCCCCUAAGUGUUUGGGCCCACCGGCACCUGCCAUUGUCCUCAGGACCUCUGACGGUGAUGCCGGGAGUCCUCCCACUUUAGAAGUCCGAUGAGCAUUGCUGGGCGCUCAUUCCACUGCUACCCGUGGCGUACCAAGCUGGCUCGUCCUGACCACUGGUAAUGGUCAAACAACGAGAACUGUUUCUUCUCGCCCUUACAGGAUAGCAAGUGGCCACCUUAACACCAGGAUCAUUCGUUGCGAAGAUAAAGCAGUAACUCAACAACACAAGACCAAAUAAUAUUUCAGAGUGAAACAGCGGAAGUAUUACAUAACUUAAUUUACAAAAGGAGUUCUUCCAAAUAGUAGAGUGUUAUUACAAGCCUGGUCCAGCGGAGCAACUGAAACUUUAGUAUAGACAGAAUAAAUUUACAGACCCUGCCCAUGGGUCACGCUCACUCUUCUUCGUCGUCAACCUCGACGACGGUCACACAACAGGGUCCGAAACAAGUCGGCUCCUGUGCUUCACCUGCAACAGGGGUAUUGAAACCCUGAGUACGGGAGUACUCAACAAGACUUACCCGAUGAGAAAAAGAGGAGAACUAAGGGAUGCAGGCUUAGGGUAGGCAAGGGGUGGUUGAGCAAGGAGCCAAAGUGUUUUGCGUAAAAAGCUUACUAGUAGUGCAUCCUUAUUUUCAAGUUUUACCCACGAAUUCCUCCCUCGCAGAGGCCGAGGAGUUCGAGGACAGUCUAACUGGUUGUUCCUCACAGACGAAUCCGUGAGUUCCUAGUCCUAUCAUAAAGUAAUAGUUAUCGAUGGCCAUAGCUUCAUGUCGCUAUGAGUCCGGGAAUUGGGAUCCGAACCUCAUGAGACAUUUUCCCCUUUCUCAUUUUAUCACUUAGUUGCAUAUUUAACUACGAUGAGGGUCGAAGGAAUUGAGUCUCCCAAUCGGGGAGCAACGACGAUUCGAAUCGCUUAGCAAUCCAGCUGGAGUUCCUAACCACCCGACAUAUGUAGAACCAAAUCUUGCAUAUAUCAACCCAAAUCAAGCUCUCCCCAAAUUUGACCAGGUUCGCGGCACCCGAGAGCACAGUACUCCACCAUCCUACAGCCGAUCUAGAUGUUUUCCGGUCAUCUCAGAUCCGUAAGGUGGGUACACACUACUCUCGCCAUCUUUCCACUCCCAGUGCGCGAGUAGCUGUUCGCGUCGAGGGAUCACAAGACCGGGCUUACCGAAGGCAAGUGGCUAGUACUAUAAAUUCUCAACCCAGCAGGCCAUCAACGGAACGGUCCUUAAUCAACACAGUCGGAGACACUACUUUAAGACUCCAUUCUCAGAGCAAGUCCACCGACCGGUUUCAAAUUGAAACAUCAUUGAUCGUAAGUGUAUCCCACAACAACCCUUCAAACUUUCUUGUUUAAAAACCUAUCUAGUAGCAGGGCUAAGCAUCGCUACGCAGUUUUAAAAUAAAACAGGUGUCAAUGACAGGAUAUAGAUAUCAAGGUAGUAAAUGCAGCAAGUAGGUUAACCCAAUUCUCAACUAUCUAAUGCAGCAUUUUCAAACCAUAAGUGAUAAAAGAUUCAAAACAUUCAAGGAGGGGUUAAUGCAUCCGGGGCUUGCCUUGGUUGCAGGGCAGAGAGGGACCCUCGGAGACUUCCCAAGUCUCGGAUCCGACUUCCUCGAACGGAGCACCGACCUCGGGGUUCGGUUCAACGGGCGCUCCUUCGGUCACGGACACUAUACGCAAAAUGAUGAAUGCUUAUGAUAUGCGUAUGACAAAUAUGCAAGAAGGACCAAAUCGAGUACAACUCGCCUUCUUGAUGCAAUACAGAAUUAUCGCUAAAUAAAGUUGUUUAAUAACUUAAUGAUUUUACCCAAGAGAUUGCAUCUGUAAACUAAAACUCUAUUUAAUUCACACUUAUCUUAAAUUAGUUAAUUAUUAAUCCUAAUUACCUUAAUUAACUCUUAAUUAAUUACUAAUGACAGUAAUUAAGCAUUAUGGCUAAACAAUAAUCAAAUGCCAAAGGUCAUUAGGGUUAAUGACCUUAGGUUAUCACACAAUCCAAAAUCACUCAACCCUAAUUAUGAGGAUCUAAAUAAUCACCAUUUAAUUAUUUUGGAAUUAUUAUUUAAGUGCUAAAUAAGGGUUUAUUAAUAUUUUAAUCAAACAUUAUCCAAAUGCCACCAAAUUUUGUGUGGAGCCAGGGAAUACCACUCAGAGGCUCUCCACAAUUUUUGGUGAUUUUUGGACCUCCUAAUAAAUUACUAAAAUUCCUAGAAGUUUUAUUCACUAAUUAAAGAGCCAAUUUUUAUAGACAUGUAAACUACCAGAAAAAUAGAAUCUACUAUUUUUCUUGUGUUCUACCCACUUUAUGGAACCUAUACAAAAACUUUCAUCAUUUUUGGAUUAGCACACCAUUUAUCAUAUAAUUUCAAACAUCAAACAAAAAUUGCAUAAAAAGAAAAAGAAAAGGAUCUCUGCGCAGUGGGCGGCCUGGAUCUUGGCCCGCAGGUCGGCCCACAACCGCGCUGCGCAGACGGCCUGCUUGGACACGGCCCAAAUCGGCCCGGGGGCGCUCCCCUGCGCGGACGGCGCGUGCUGCCCCCUCUCCUCACGUUGCGGGACGCUGACAGGCGGGUCCCGCCUGUCAGCUUCGCCUCCCUCGCUCACGGCGGUGCUGCCGCCGCUCCGGCGACCGUUAGCGGGUUCCGCGGCCCCCGCGCGCGCGCGCACCAGCACCGUGCCAACCCUGCGACUCCAAAGUUACCACUCACGGACGCUCUCUCGCUCUCUUUCCACCUCAACCACGCAAAUGGCGGACGGCCGCGUCGGUCGCCGAGGACCGGGCACGAAGGUUCGGUAGAGCGCGAACCAGUAGGUCCGGGAGGUCCGGGAAGAAGUGGGGAUCAUGAUGCUCACAUCACCACGGCGGGAGAAGCGGUAGAGAAGCUUGGCGACGGUGGCCGUGCGGUCGGGCGGAUGCUCCGGCUCCGGCGAGGUUGCUCCGGUGAUUCUGUUGGCGUCCAGUGAGAAAUAGCGAGCGCAUGAGUAUCGGGGAAACAAGAAGAAUUCGGAACGACCGCCUUCAAGGCGUGGUACCGACUGGAGCAGCGUGCUCACGUGAAGGGUUCCACGGCGGCGACGCCGGCCGGACUUAGAGAAGAAGGAGAAGUUCUGGCGUUUGAGGGGGUUAGGGCGUGAGCUCGGGGGUGCUCUGGGUCCGCAAGGAGGUGGCGAAAACGGCAGCGUGCUCAAAUUGGCUCGAAAGGAACGGAGUGCGGUGGAUUUCAGAGAGAGGGAGGUCGAGUUUCUCCGGCCGUGGACAGUGAAAACGGACGGCGUCGUCCACGUCGGUGCUCAAGUGGAGGGGAAGGCAAGCCUGAGGCAUCCACGUCGCCUGGCGACCCUGGCAGCAAGCAGCUGCGUGCACUCACGCAUGCGCGCGGCGCUGCUCGCGCGGCAGCUGCGCUGGGCAGGGAGCCGGUGAUCCCUAUCGGAUCACUGUAGGAGACCCCUAUCCCCUCUUUUCAGAACUUUGCGAAAAUCAACCGAAAUUUGAACUGGAGUCAAAUUUUUGUCAAAACAAAAGUUGUUCCAAAUUUUGUAAGCUACAAAUCAUAUUUAGGUGUCCCAAGCUGAUUCUCACUGGAAAUAAGUUAAUUUUGCCAGACAGUUUGAAAAUCAGACUCAAUUCAAAAGAAAUUCAAAUUUUUGAAUUGGGGCAAAUCAGGAUUUCUAAAAUUACUUUUGAUUUUGCAUAACAGCUUGAAAAACUCCCAACAUGAAAGUUGCUCAACUUUUUGUGCUCUACAACUUUCAUGUUGACCACUUUUCAAAAUUCCAAAUGGAUUUUGAAUUGGGGGUUUAAGUUGGAAAAGGGGACACUUUCUAGAAAUCUGUAUUUUCAAAAUUACUUUGAAUUUUGUAUUGAAACUUCAAAAACUCAAAACACCAAAGUUGUACAUCUUGCCAAGAGCUACAACUUUGCUUUUGAACUCAACCUCAAAUUUUGCUUAGUUUUUGACUUAUGCAAAAGGGGACAAAUCUAGGAUCCAGAAAUCAGGGUUUUCCCCCCCUUAGCUUUUCGGAAAACUUCCACCCUAGGGUUUUAGCAACCACACAAGCAACAACACACCACAGAAGCACACUCUACUUCCCUAAGCUCAAGCAAUCAAGGUAAACUUAUUUUAAGUUGAUGCAUACUAAUGUGCUUUAACAAAUAUGCUUUGCAAUGCUUAUGAUGACAUGAUCCGUUUUUAGUAACCGUAACAUCAGGGAUGUUACAGCCCUUCCCCCUUAAAGAAAUCUCGUCCCCGAGAUUUAAAACCUUAGGGUAAGUAAUGGAAAAGGAAAUUUGUCAAAACUCUUUCAUCUUCAACUUUUCCAUAAGGCAAGGAGUUGGGGAAAAAAAUACUUCAUUAUAAGCAUAUAUGUACAUUAAGUACAUGGCUUUGGUGACUCUUUUCCUUCACUAGAGUACACUCUCUGGUUAUCAUAUGCUGUCCUGAAGGUUAGCAUGGAAUUCAGGAAAAUUCUCUAGCAAGUAAUCUUCAGAUUCCCAGGUGGCUUCUUCUUCAGAGUGCUGGCUCCAUUGUACCUUAUACCAUUUGGUGGUUGUCCUUCGAGUAACUCUAGCUUUUUGAUCCAGUACUCGGAUAGGGUAUUCCGAAUAAGUUAGAUCUGGUUCAAGCUUUACAUUUUCAAUAUCUUGAACUCGAUCUGGUACCCGAAGACACUUUUUCAGUUGAGACACAUGGAACACAUUAUGUACCCCGGAUAAUCGUUCGGGCAGUUUAAGGCGGUAAGCGACCUGCCCACAUCGGUCGAUAAUUGGAAAUGGACCAAUGUAACGAGGCGCUAACUUGCCUUUAACACCAAAACGAUUUACUCCUUUCAUUGGGGAUACUUUCAAAUACACAUGAUCACCUUUGGCGAACUUUAAUGGUCGAUGUCUUUUAUCAGCGUAACUUUUCUGUCGGGACUGAGCAACUUUCAAGUUAUUUUGGAUUUGUUUCACUUUGUUCUCAGUCUCUUUCACUAAGUCAACUCCGAAGAACCAUCUUUCUCCAGGUUCCGACCAGUGUAACGGAGUUCGACAUCGGCGACCAUACAGUGCCUCAAAGGGAGCCAUUUUGAUACUCUCUUGAUAGCUAUUAUUGUAGGAAAAUUCUGCUAGAGGCAAGCAGUCAUCCCACUUAUCUGGAAAAUUCAGGGCACAAGAUCUUAAUAGAUCUUCUAGGGUUUGAUUCACCCUUUCAGUUUGCCCACCGGUUUGAGGGUGGUAGGCUGUGCUGUAUAAAAGAUUAGUGCCCAGGGACUCAUGUAAACAUUUCCAGAAUUGGGAGACAAAUUGUGUGCCUCUAUCUGACACUAUUGUCUUUGGCACCCCAUGCAGACUUAGGAUACGGUCGAAAUAAAUCUUAGCAUAGGUGGAGGCAGGAUACAAUAGCUUUACUGGCAGAAAAUGUGCUGUUUUGGUGAGACGAUCUACUAUGACCCAAAUGGAAUCAAAGCCCUUGGCCGUCUUGGGCAAUCCUACUAUGAAAUCCAUACUUAUGUCGUCCCAUUUCCAUGCGGGGAUAGGCAAAGGUUGCAACUCCCCAGCGGAUUUGAGAUGAAUGGCUUUGACCUUUCGACAGGUGUCACAUUGGGCCACAUAGCGAGCUAUUUCUAUCUUCAUUUUUGUCCACCAAAACCUUUGCUUCAGGUCCUGAUACAUCUUAUUGCUUCCCGGAUGAAUGGAAUACCUCGUGGUAUGAGCUUCAUCCAGGAUUUGCUGACGUAGCUUAGGUACCUUUGGAACCACUAACCGGUUCUUGAACCAGAUUACUCCCGCAUCAUCCACCUUAAAGUCUGUGGGUGCUCUAUUAGAAAUCUUCUCUUUAAGAUGUCUCAUGCUUUUGUUUUCUUUUUGUGCCUUUAUGAUUUGAGCCUCGAGAUUGAAAUCAAUCUUUAAAUUGGAAAGGCUUCCUUGGGAAAUCAUUUCUAUUCCCAAAUUCUCUAGCUCUUGGCACAAAGUUAUAUCCCUAGGCGUCACUGUUAAGCAAUUACAGUGAGCCUUACGACUGAGGGCAUCCGCUACUAUAUUUUCCUUGCCAGGGUGAUAAUGCACCUCAAGGUCGUAAUCUUUAAUUAGUUCUAGCCACCUUCGCUGGCGCAUAUUAAGCUCAGCUUGAGUAAAGAUAUACUUCAAGCUUUUGUGAUCUGUAUAUAAAUGACAUGUGUUCCCCAACAAAUAAUGACGCCAGAUCUUUAAUGCAUGUACCACGGCGGCUAGUUCAAGAUCAUGGGUCGGGUAAUUCUCUUCAUGGGGUUUGAGUUGUCUGGAAGCAUAUGCAAUUACACGACCCUCCUGCAUCAGCACACAGCCUAACCCGAUCCCUGAUGCGUCACAAUAUACAUCAAAGGGUUUUUCAAUAUCUGGCUGGGCUAAGACAGGUGCAGUUGUCAACAACCUUUUCAGAGUCUGAAAGGCUUGCUCACAUUGGGGUGACCAAACAAAUUUUGUUUGACUUUUGAGCAAGGUUGUGAUUGGUUUGGCGACUCUGGAAAAGUCCGGGAUGAAACGACGGUAAUAUCCCGCCAUGCCCAGAAAACUACGGACCUCAUGUACCGUAGUCGGGGGUUUCCAAUUCAACACAUCUUCUACCUUGCCUGGGUCUACAGCGACUCCUUCCGCUGAUAAUACAUGACCCAGGAAAUGAACUUUGUCCAACCAGAACUCACAUUUGCUGAACUUGGCAUAUAGUUGAUGCUCCCUGAGACGGGUCAGCACGACUCUUAAGUGUUCAGCAUGUUCUCUCUUAGUCUUGGAGUAAAUCAAAAUGUCGUCAAUAAAGACAACAACAAAUUUAUCUAGUUCUGGCAUGAAGACAGAGUUCAUCAGGUACAUGAAAUGGGCCGGUGCGUUAGUCAACCCAAAAGACAUCACCAAGUAUUCAUACAGCCCGUAACGGGUUGUGAAAGCGGUCUUGGGCACAUCUUCCGGCCUAAUUUUAAUUUGGUGGUACCCUGAUCUCAAAUCAAUUUUUGAGAACACUUUGGCCCCAGCUAGCUGGUCAAACAAUAAGUCAAUGCGGGGCAAUGGGUACUUGUUCUUAAUCGUUACCUCAUUUAGAGGACGAUAGUCGACACACAGCCUUAAUGUCUGAUCUUUCUUUUUCACAAACAAGGCUGGGCAACCCCAUGGAGAAGAACUGGGCUGAAUAAAACCCUUCUGCAACAACUCUUGUAAUUGGGUUUUUAAUUCGGCCAGCUCUUUCGGUGCCAUUCUGUAGGCCCUUCGAGAUAUUGGGGCCGUUCCUGGUUUCAAUUCUAUACUGAAUUGUACAUCCCGGUCCGGAGGCAGACCUGGUAAGUCUUCAGGAAAUACAUCCGGAAAAUCUCGAACUACCGGAAUAUCUUUGACUUCAGACACAUUUGCGGCAUGAACUUGCCCAAUUGUCCGUUUGGGAGUAACUAAUUGGAUUAGCAAAUAAGAAUUCUCAUUGGGCAAUGGGAUUUUAAUGGUUCGGUGCAAAGUGUCUAGCACAACCCCUCGUUGCGCCAUCCAGUUCAUGCCUAAGAUGACAUCAAUUUCUUGGUCCUUAAGAACAAUCAUGCUAGUAGGAAAAUUGUGCCCACCAAAUUCGAUGGGUACUUGGUGAACCAUUUCUUUAGACAUCAGCCGUCCUCCUGGCGACUGUAUAUAAAAAUGAUCUUGUGUUUCCCCAAUGGGUAUGCCAUGCUUUAACACAAAGGUGCGAUUGAUGAAUGUAUGAGAUGCACCAGAAUCAAAGAGCAUUAAAGCAGGAUGCUUCGCAACAGGAAACGUACCCAUCAUCACUGGUUCACCCUCUGGAAUUGUCUCCACUUCAGUAUGGAAGACUUGCCCUGUCUUCUUUACCGGUCUACCUUUCUGUACCUGUUGCCCUUUUUGAACCCCAGUUCUGAACUGACCCGGCUGGGGUUGGCCCAUAGGUGGCCUUGGAAAGGUAGGGUUGGUUUGGCGGGGAAAAGGGCACUCUUUAGAGAAAUGCCCAGGUUUACCACAAUUGAAGCAAGGGUAAUUGUGGCUGGGCGGAGCAGUAGGGCGAACACCCGGGGCGUUCGGCUGGCGUGGUGCAAAAGCGAUGGCAGUAGGUCGAGAAUAUACCUGCUGCCCGGGUCUGUACUGUGGAGGGGAGAAAGGACCACGAUAAGGUGACGGCGUUUGGAAACGUCCGUGGCCCUAUGGAUGAUAAAUGAUCCUCUGGCGCUUUUGACCGCGACCAGAGAAAGAAGAGGAAGCAGCCUUCUUCUUGGCUUCCUUAUGUUUCCUAUUCUUUUCCUCUGAGGCGAUAGCAAUAUUUACCGCCUCAUAGAAAGUAGCAUUUUGGCAAGUGGUCAUCAUGGUCUGAAGUUUAGUAUUUAGACCACGCAUGAAACAGGCUUUCCUCUUUCUGUCAGUGUUCACAUGAUCCGUGGCAUAUUGAGAGAGAUGAUUAAACCUUGCCACGUAUUCCAUAACACUUUUAUCGCCUUGCUGCAAGGCGAGAAACUCUUCGGCCUUCAUGGCCAUGAGCCCUUCGGGGAUGUAGUGGGCGCGGAACGCGUCCUUAAAUUCGGUCCAAGUGACUUGGUGUCCGGGAGCUUGAAUAGCUAAGAAGUUCUCCCACCAGGCACCUGCAGCUCCCCGAAGCUGCUGAGCUGCAAAUAAGGGUUUCUGAGUUUCUGAACAUUGAAUCAAACUGAACUUAUGCUCCAUGGUUCGGAGCCAGUCAUCCGCUUCUAAAGGCUCAUCGGCCUUAGUGAACACCGGGGGCCUGGUCUCGGUAAAGUCCACAUACCGAGCCUCUCCGUCCCCGUUGCGCGGUGCCCUGAAGUUUGGAGCAGGGUGUGGUUGACGCUGUGCUAGCUCGCGCAGCAAGCGAGCAUUGUCAGUAGUGGCACUUAACAAAACAGCAAUGGCGUCAGCCAAAGAAGGUGGAGCAGGUGGAGGGUUGGGGAUAUCAUCCCCUCCCUGGGAUGUCCCAGCUCCAUUGGAGCCGCGAGUACGCAUCGGCAUCUGUUACAAGAAUCGUAGAUACCUGUUACCACGUAAAAUUCAUAACACAGAACAUAUCUUACAUUCUUUCAUUCACUUAUUAAACAUUAGUUAGAUACACACCAAGAGUAAGCAAGUACAACUUUUCAAACCAAAAGAGAACUUAUAUACAAACCCGAACCCCACUACGGCAAGCUAAGACCCCUACAACGACGUUGCCCUCGGUUUCACCGAACUAAUCGGUGUGGCCAGAGCUGUAGCCCGGGUCGUCAUCGCCAUCAUCCUGAUUACCCCCUGGGUUGUUGUUAUCGGGGUCGGACUCCUCUUCAUCAUUGAGGCCUGGGUCAGGUUCUCCAUCGUCUGCCAACUCGCCAUCCGUAUCCAUUUCUCCUUCGCCGGGAGGUGGGUGGAGUUGAUGAUACAGAUCAAAUGCAAUAUCACGAUAUUGCAUAGCCAGGUCAUUGACUGUAUCUAAGUGAUGUGCCAGCUCCAGUUUCUCCAGCUGGAGCUGGUCCUCUCGUUGCCACGCGACAUCCCGUUGUGCGGUGACCGUGGCCGCCAUCUUCACAUACAAAUCCUUAAGAUACCUUGCCUUGCCCAACUUUGCGUUCAUCCUAGUUAGCUCAUGCCUAUGGGUGCUCCUAGCUUCUUCCUCUCGGGCAAUGGCUGCAUUCCGCUCGUCCACCAUCCGGGACAACAUAGCUUCACAGUUUUCCGUAGCUUGUUUUUCUUUGGCCAGUUGAACUUUAAGUUUGCCAAUCUCCAUAAUAUUGUACAUUCUCUCUCUCAUCACCUCAGUCAAUUCGGCGGACAACCUGUCCACCUCCUGCUGAGGCGGUGAACGGCUACUACUGGCUUGAUCACUGCGUGGAGCUAGCUGAUGUCGGGGAACUCCUUUUGGACCGGUCCGCUUACGCGGGGUCUGCUUCUGACGAGCCAUCCUGUAGAGGGUAAGUUUAGAUUAGUAAGAGAGACCUUAAAGGUUAGCAAGAAUAGGAUUGAUUCUAUUCACCCAACCCAACAAGGAGGAAGGAACUUAACCAGUUAAUACAUCAUGAUGCAUGCACGAACUUACGAUUCCUACUAACAAUUCGUAACAACAGUACCUUAAAUUUUUACAACAUAGGGCAAUACUUUAGGUUGCUCCUCCAUACCACUUCAAAAAUUCUCAGAAAGCCUAUAGACAGGGGUAGAUUAGGACUAAGCACUUGGACUCAAAAUAGGCAGGUUCAUAAUAUUAGUUCCAAACGAAUUUUUGAAGUUUUUCAAAAGGUUCAGCAGUCAUCUUAGCAACGAAUGCUCUGAUACCAGCUGUGGCAGAACCCCCUAAGUGUUUGGGCCCACCGGCACCUGCCAUUGUCCUCAGGACCUCUGACGGUGAUGCCGGGAGUCCUCCCACUUUAGAAGUCCGAUGAGCAUUGCUGGGCGCUCAUUCCGCUGCUACCCGUGGCGUACCAAGCUGGCUCGUCCUGACCACUCGUAAUGGUCAAACAACGAGAACUGUUUCUUCUCGCCCUUACAGGAUAGCAAGUGGCCACCUUAACACCAGGAUCAUUCGUUGCGAAGAUAAAGCAGUAACUCAACAACACAAGACCAAAUAAUAUUUCAGAGUGAAACAGCGGAAGUAUUACAUAACUUAAUUUACAAAAGGAGUUCUUCCAAAUAGUAGAGUGUUAUUACAAGCCUGGUCCAGCGGAGCAACUUAAACUUUAGUAUAGACAGAAUAAAUUUACAGACCCUGCCCAUGGGUCACGCUCACUCUUCUUCGUCGUCAACCUCGACGACGGUCACACAACAGGGUCCGAAACAAGUCGGCUCCUGUGCUUCACCUGCAACAGGGGUAUUGAAACCCUGAGUACGGGAGUACUCAACAAGACUUACCCGAUGAGAAAAAGAGGAGAACUAAGGGAUGCAGGCUUAGGGUAGGCAAGGGGUGGUUGAGCAAGGAGCCAAAGUGUUUUGCGUAAAAAGCUUACUAGUAGUGCAUCCUUAUUUUCAAGUUUUACCCACGAAUUCCUCCCUCGCAGAGGCCGAGGAGUUCGAGGACAGUCUAACUGGUUGUUCCUCACAGACGAAUCCGUGAGUUCCUAGUCCUAUCAUAAAGUAAUAGUUAUCGAUGGCCAUAGCUUCAUGUCGCUAUGAGUCCGGGAAUUGGGAUCCGAACCUCAUGAGACAUUUUCCCCUUUCUCAUUUUAUCACUUAGUUGCAUAUUUAACUACGAUGAGGGUCGAAGGAAUUGAGUCUCCCAAUCGGGGAGCAACGACGAUUCGAAUCGCUUAGCAAUCCAGCUGGAGUUCCUAACCACCCGACAUAUGUAGAACCAAAUCUUGCAUAUAUCAACCCAAAUCAAGCUCUCCCCAAAUUUGACCAGGUUCGCGGCACCCGAGAGCACAGUACUCCACCAUCCUACAGCCGAUCUAGAUGUUUUCCGGUCAUCUCAGAUCCGUAAGGUGGGUACACACUACUCUCGCCAUCUUUCCACUCCCAGUGCGCGAGUAGCUGUUCGCGUCGAGGGAUCACAAGUCCAGGCUUACCGAAGGCAAGUGGCUAGUACUAUAAAUUCUCAACCCAGCAGGCCAUCAACGGAACGGUCCUUAAUCAACACAGUCGGAGACACUACUUUAAGACUCCAUUCUUAGAGCAAGUCCACCGACCGGUCUCAAAUUGAAACAUCAUUGAUCGUAAGUGUAUCCCACAACAACCCUUCAAACUUUCUUGUUUAAAAACCUAUCUAGUAGCAGGGCUAAGCAUCGCUACGCAGUUUUAAAAUAAAACAGGUGUCAAGGACAGGAUAUAGAUAUCAAGGUAGUAAAUGCAGCAAGUAGGUUAACCCAAUUCUCAACUAUCUAAUGCAGCAUUUUCAAACCAUAAGUGAUAAAAGAUUCAAAACAUUCAAGGAGGGGUUAAUGCAUCCGGGGCUUGCCUUGGUUGCAGGGCAGAGAGGGACCCUCGGAGACUUCCCAAGUCUCGGAUCCGACUUCCUCGAACGGAGCACCGACCUCGGGGUUCGGUUCAACGGGCGCUCCUUCGGUCACGGACACUAUACGCAAAAUGAUGAAUGCUUAUGAUAUGCGUAUGACAAAUAUGCAAGAAGGACCAAAUCGAGUACAACUCGCCUUCUUGAUGCAAUACAGAAUUAUCGCUAAAUAAAGUUGUUUAAUAACUUAAUGAUUUUACCCAAGAGAUUGCAUCUGUAAACUAAAACUUUAUUUAAUUCACACUUAUCUUAAAUUAGUUAAUUAUUAAUCCUAAUUACCUUAAUUAACUCUUAAUUAAUUACUAAUGACAGUAAUUAAGCAUUAUGGCUAAACAAUAAUCAAAUGCCAAAGGUCAUUAGGGUUAAUGACCUUAGGUUAUCACACAAUCCAAAAUCACUCAACCCUAAUUAUGAGGAUCUAAAUAAUCACCAUUUAAUUAUUUUGGAAUUAUUAUUUAAGUGCUAAAUAAGGGUUUAUUAAUAUUUUAAUCAAACAUUAUCCAAAUGCCACCAAAUUUUGUGUGGAGCCAGGGAAUACCACUCAGAGGCUCUCCACAAUUUUUGGUGAUUUUUGGACCUCCUAAUAAAUUACUAAAAUUCCUAGAAGUUUUAUUCACUAAUUAAAGAGCCCAUUUUUAUAGACAUGUAAACUACCAGAAAAAUAGAAUCUACUAUUUUUCUUGUGUUCUACCCACUUUAUGGAACCUAUACAAAAACUUUCAUCAUUUUUGGAUUAGCACACCAUUUAUCAUAUAAUUUCAAACAUCAAACAAAAAUUGCAUAAAAAGAAAAAGAAAAGGAUCUCUGCGCAGUGGGCGGCCUGGAUCUUGGCCCGCAGGUCGGCCCACAACCGCGCUGCGCAGACGGCCUGCUUGGACACGGCCCAAAUCGGCCCGGGGGCGCUCCCCUGCGCGGACGGCGCGUGCUGCCCCCUCUCCUCACGUUGCGGGACGCUGACAGGCGGGUCCCGCCUGUCAGCUUCGCCUCCCUCGCUCACGGCGGUGCUGCCGCCGCUCCGGCGACCGUUAGCGGGUUCCGCGGCCCCCGCGCGCGCGCGCACCAGCACCGCGCCAACCCUGCGACUCCAAAGUUACCACUGACGGACGCUCUCUCGCUCUCUUUCCACCUCAACCACGCAAAUGGCGGACGGCCGCGUCGGUCGCCGAGGACCGGGCACGAAGGUUCGGUAGAGCGUGAACCAGUAGGUCCGGGAGGUCCGGGAAGAAGUGGGGAUCAUGAUGCUCACAUCACCACGGCGGGAGAAGCGGUAGAGAAGCUUGGCGACGGUGGCCGUGCGGUCGGGCGGAUGCUCCGGCUCCGGCGAGGUUGCUCCGGUGAUUCUGUUGGCGUCCAGUGAGAAAUAGCGAGCGCAUGAGUAUCGGGGAAACAAGAAGAAUUCGGAACGACCGCCUUCAAGGCGUGGUACCGACUGGAGCAGCGUGCUCACGUGAAGGGUUCCACGGCGGCGACGCCGGCCGGACUUGGAGAAGAAGGAGAAGUUCUGGUGUUUGAGGGGGUUAGGGCGUGAGCUCGGGGGUGCUCUGGGUCCGCAAGGAGGUGGCGAAAACGGCAGCGUGCUCAAAUUGGCUCGAAAGGAACGGAGUGCGGUGGAUUUCAGAGAGAGGGAGGUCGAGUUUCUCCGGCCGUGGACAGUGAAAACGGACGGCGUCGUCCACGUCGGUGCUCAAGUGGAGGGGAAGGCAAGCCUGAGGCAUCCACGUCGCCUGGCGACCCUGGCAGCAAGCAGCUGCGUGCACUCACGCAUGCGCGCGGCGCUACUCGCGCGGCAGCUGCGCUGGGCAGGGAGCCGGUGAUCCCUAUCGGAUCACUGUAGCAGACCCCUAUCCCGUCUUUUCAGAACUUUGCGAAAAUCAACCGAAAUUUGAACUGGAGUCAAAUUUUUGUCAAAACAAAAGUUGUUCCAAAUUUUGUAAGCUACAAAUCAUAUUUAGGUGUCCCAAGCUGAUUCUCACUGGAAAUAAGUUAAUUUUGCCAGACAGUUUGAAAAUCAGACUCAAUUCAAAAGAAAUUCAAAUUUUUGAAUUGGGGCAAAUCAGGAUUUCCAAAAUUACUUUUGAUUUUGCAUAACAGCUUGAAAAACUCCCAACAUGAAAGUUGCUCAACUUUUUGUGCUCUACAACUUUCAUGUUGACCACUUUUCAAAAUUCCAAAUGGAUUUUGAAUUGGGGGUUUAAGUUGGAAAAGGGGACACUUUCUGGAAAUCUGUAUUUUCAAAAUUACUUUGAAUUUUGUAUUGAAACUUCAAAAACUCAAAACACCAAAGUUGUACAUCUUGCCAAGAGCUACAACUUUGCUUUUGAACUCAACCUCAAAUUUUGCUUAGUUUUUGACUUAUGCAAAAGGGGACAAAUCUAGGAUCCAGAAAUCAGGGUUUCCCCCCCCUUAGCUUUUCGGAAAACUUCCACCCUAGGGUUUUAGCAACCACACAAGCAACAACACACCACAGAAGCACACUCUACUUCCCUAAGCUCAAGCAAUCAAGGUAAACUUAUUUUAAGUUGAUGCAUACUAAUGUGCUUUAACAAAUAUGCUUUGCAAUGCUUAUGAUGACAUGAUCCGUUUUUAGUAACCGUAACAUCAGGGAUGUUACAAACCAGGAGGAGGGUCUGCCAGUUUUCGGCCCUCCGACCCCGGCGUGGCUCCGUCUAGGGGCGCCCGCCGCGAUCCCAGCAGAGUCGGCGUGGUGGCGCUCGCCUGCAUGAUGCGCACCCCCGUCGACCCUGAGUCCGAGAUUAGGAGGACGAUCUACGGCAUGGACGGAAUCGCCCCGGGAUUCCUCCGGGAGCGUCGGUCGUGGGAGGACCGUAUUCCCGCCGAGGAGGACGAGGCUGGGACAUCGGGCGGCGGUGGAGGCAGCGAAACCGGCACCUAGAAGACGGUGGAUGACGACGGGCGGUUCCCCUCCCUCAUCGACUUGUUCCUGCGCCACGGGGGGUCACUCGAGACCGUCGAGGAUGUCAUCCGUGGCGUCAAGGCGCGGGCCGACCAGGAGAUGGAGAAUUGGUGCCCCGAUCGGAUCCGCGUCCGGGCUUCCACCGAUCCGUCUCAGCCCAACAUUUUUCUUGACGAUCGGAAGGAAGCCGAGAAGUGGGAGCACGUCGAGGAGCUCUGCCUUUGGAUGAAGCACACGGUGGGGCUCCUGUCGGACGUUGUUAAUAACGGACUCGGGCCGGCCUACUUUGUAAGUAUUUCCCAGUCCUUUAAUCUUUAUGGAACAUUUGGUUUUCUGUUUUAACUGCUCGAUCGCCGGUUCGCAGGACCUAAAAGAGACCUCCCGCAUUAAGUCGAGCUUCAUCCACGCCACGAGAGGCGGCUGGGAGCAGCUCCCUAUCCUCAAGGACCAACUCCUAGAGUCGCAGGAGAAACUCCUCAAGGCUUAUAAAGAGCUCUUGGCGCUCAAGGAGGAGAAGAAAGAGAGGGUGGCUGCCCUGGCCGAGGCUCGAGAGACCUCAAGGAAGGCUGUGGAAGAGGCUGCGCUACUGAGGGAGCGGGCCAUGACGGACGAGGAAGCCGCGUCCAAAGCCCGGGAGGAGGCCCUGUCUUAUAAGAACACCGUUGCUGACCUGGACAAGGAGAUGGGCCUCCUCAAGACCGACCUGGACUCCAUCCGAGAAUCCUUCCAGAGGACGAAGGUGGAUUGUGUGAACAGCGGGAUUGCCAGGAGCGCCGCAGAGGAGGCCAAGAAGAAGGCCCUCGAAGACCUAGAGGCGGAGCAGGUUCGAUCCCGCAGCCUCUCUGACGACGUCGAUCAUCUGAAGAGGGCACUGCUGGAGAAGGAAGGAGCCAUCGCGCAGGCCGGCAAGGCGAUCGAGGAUCUGCGCGUCGCCAACACCGAGCUGGCGCGCUCCAAAAGGGAGGUCGAGAGGGCCAACACCUAUUUGGUUGGCGAGAACACGGCCUCGGAGGAGAGCAUCCGCGGUACGUUUCUACUAUCGAGUUUCUUUUCUGAGGUGUGUUGGGUGUUAUCUAAUUUCUUCAUGUUGGUCCUUGCAGGACUCAAAGAUGAGCUGCUGGCCACCCAAGUCGAGGCCCGCUCCAUCAAGACCCAGCUCGAGGGGGAGGUUGCCUUAAAUGGUCGUCUACGGACUGCGAUAAGUGACCUCUCGGCCUCCUGGGAGCUUGAGCCUGUUGACGAGUCCAGGGAGGAGGCUCGAGGUGAAGCGCUCGUCGACCAGCUAUGCUACCUUGGUGCUACGCUGAGGGACCGGGUGCGGGACGCCCUCCAUAUUGGGGUAAAGCGGGCAAUGGCAGUUGUCUGCUCGGGCUUUUCCUAUGAUAUGGAGGUGGUGUCUCAUGGUUUAGUCACCGACAUCUCCAAGAUUGACGUGGAGAACGAGGAGAGCCUCCACGCCUUGAUCGACGACGCAGAGAUCCCUGGGGAGAGGUUGGCCAAGCUAUUCGAGCCCGAGGUACUUCCCCCUGAGACUAGCUCAGGCGCAGGCGAGGGUGGUGAGGGCCGUGAUGCGAACUAAGGCCUGCGAGCCUGCUCUGGGUGCCUAGGCCCCUUGUAUAGUAUUAUGUUAAUUUGUCUUUAAGUAAUACAAUGUUUUUAAGUGGUUGUCAAAUGUUUAUUUGUCUUUUCGCUCGAGGCUCCUUUAUUUCCCCUUGUGCCUAUGUUUGUAUUCCUCGUUUGGUCUUUUAUUUAAGGCGAUCUCGAUUGCCUCAAGGGUGAGGAAGCGAGUAGAGUUUCCGUAGCCCGGGGGCGUCGGAGUUCUCAGCCUCGUCGUCUCUCGGCCCUUAAGGGGCUCGAGGUGCCUCUACUACUCGACCGUAUGGGAUUACUGAUAGGAACGAAAGGGUUACUUGGUUUUUUCGACACUUGGGGGGGCAUUACCCCCUUGCUAGCCCCCGAGGGGGUAUCGACUAUGAUCGGUCAUAGUUGGUACUCCCUUCUAACAUCGAGAUUUUGACUCGUGAAAAGGUAAAUUGCUCGAGGGAAAGACCUUAUUUAUUCAUGCGUUCGUUUACAAGGCCUUGGUACAGAAUAUACAUGGGAACAUAAAGCUUUGAAAUUCUAGGGGUAGAAUCGACGUAGCUGUUCGAUGUUCCACACGUUGGUGAAAAUCGCCCCCUUUUCGUCCACGAGCUGGUAUGUCCCCGGCUUCAAGACCUCGGCCACUACGUAUGGGCCCUCCCAAGGUGGAGUCAGCUUGUGGCGUCCUUGAUUGCUUUGCCGCUGUCGUAGGACGAGGUCGCCCACGUUCAAGUCCCUCUUGCGCACGUGCUUAUCGUGGUAGCGUCGAAGUUUCUGCUGGUAUCUGGCAGAGUUGAGGAGAGCCAUGUCUCAAGCUUCCUCGAGUUGGUCGACCGCGUUCUCUUGAGUCUCUUUAUUUGAUUGCUCGUUGUAUGCUUUGAGUCGAGGGGAUCCAUACUCGAGGUCCAUUGGGAGCACAGCCUCAGAGCCAUAGACCAUGAAGAAUGGGGUGUAUUUUGUGGCCCUGCUCGGCGUCGUCCUUAAGCUCCAUAGGACUGAGGAAAGCUCCUCGACCCAUUUCUUGCCGAAUUUCUUCAAGCGAUUGUAGAUCCUUGGUUUGAGCCCCUGCAAAAUCAUGCUGUUGGCACGCUUGACCUGGCUGUUAGUUCGAGGGUGGGCCACUGCUGACCAGUUCACACGGAUGUGAUGCUGAUCGCAGAAGUCCAACAACUUUUUGCCGGUGAACUGAGUGCCGUUGUCGGUGAUGAUGACGUUGGGAAUCCCAAACCGGUGGAUGAUGUCGGUGAAGAAAAGGACGGCCUGCUCAGAGCGGAUGUUGGUGAUGGGUCGAGCCUCGAUCCAUUUGGAGAAAUUGUCGAUGGCCACCAACAAGUUGGUAUACCCCCCUUUUGCCUUUUGUAGAGGCCCUACUAAGUCGAGCCCCCAUACCGCAAACGGCCAUGUGAUAGGGAUCAUCUGGAGAGCGUGGACUGGCAGGUGCGUCUGUUUGGCGUAGAAUUGGCACCCAUGGCAUGAGCGUACAAGCUCGAUGGCAUCAGCUACGGCCGUUGGCCAGUAGAAGCCUUGUCGAAAGUCGUUCCCUAUGAGGGUUCGAGGAGCUGCAUGGUGGCCACAAGCCCCCCGAGUGUAGAUCCUCGAGGAGUUUUCGGCCUUCUUCUACGGUGAUGCAACGCUGCAAGACCCCCGUCGGGCUUCGUCGAUAUAGCUCAUUGUCCUCGCCAUAGAUUACAUAUGACUUGGCCCGUCGAGCAAUACGGCGGGCCUCGGAUCGAUCUUCUGGUAGCUCGCAGCGGAUUAGGCAGUCGAGGAACAGCGUGCGCCAAUCAAACGGUCGACUGGGCCGCUGUUCCACCUCCAUUACCUCAGCUGCCAUUAGUAGCGCUUUGACGGUGUCUGUUUGCUGGGUAGGAGCGGCUUCGACACCAGCCCCCGAGCCCAAGUCGACGGAUGGCUCAUGUAGAUCUCUUGAGAACGCGUCAGGUGGCACCGUGCCUCGAGUCGACGUGAUCUUGGCGAGUUCGUCGGCCGCCUCGUUGUAGCGUCGGGCGACAUGGACAAGCUCGAGGCCGUGGAACUUGUCCUCAAGUCGACGGACCUCCUUGCAGUACGCCUCCAUUUUCGGGUCAUGGUAGCUCGAGGUCUUCAUCACUUGGUCGAUGACGAGCUGAGAGUCGCCUCGGACGUCGAGGCAUCGGACUCCUAGCUCGAUGGCGAUCUUCAGACCAUUGACAAGGGCCUCGUACUCUGCGAUGUUGUUGGACACAGCAAAAUGUAUCCUGAUGACAUAUCUCACAUGGACGCCCAAGGGCGAGAUGAAUAGCAGGCCCGCCCCAGCUCCCGUCUUCAUGAGAGACCCAUCGAAAUACAUCGUCCACACCUCUGACUGAACCUGAGCCGGGCAGCUGGGAGUCUGUCCAUUCCACGACGAAAUCCACCAGGGCUUGUGACUUGAUAGCUUUACGGGGUGCAUAAGUGAGAGUCUCACUCAUGAGCUCGACCGACCACUUGGCGAUUCUUCCCGUGGCUUCUCGACUUUGGAUGAUCUUGCCCAAGGGAAAAGACGAGACCACCGUGAUAGGGUGGCCGAGGAAGUAGUGCUGCAGCUCGCGUCAGGCGAGGAUUACGGCGUAGAUUAGCUUCUGGAUCUGUGGGUAACAUGCCUUGGUCUCUGAGAGCACUUCGCUGACAAAAUAGACCGGCCUCUGGACUGGCAGUGCAUGCCCCUCCUCCUGCCUCUCGACCACUACUGCUGCACUGACGACCUGGGUCGUCGAUGCAACGUAUAGAAGCAGAGGUUCUGCGGGUUGAGGCGGGACUAGCACUGGUGCAGAGGUCAACGUUUUCUUCAAGUUAUCAAGUGCUUCCUCGGCCUCUGGGGUCCAAGAGAAACGCUCGACUUUCUUCAGAAGUCGAUACAGUGGCAACGCCUUUUCUCCCAACCUCGAGAUAAAAUGACUCAGCACCGCGAGGCAUCCCGUGACUCUCUGCACGCCCUUGACGUCUCGGAUCGGCCCCAUUCUUGUGAUGGCAAAGACUUUCUCGGGGUUGGCCUCGAUGCCACGCUGGGAAACGAUGUAACCCAAGAGCAUGCCUCGAGGCACGCCGAAAACGCACUUCUCGGGGUUGAGCUUGAUCUGGUUGGCGCGUAAGCAGCUGAAAGCGAUCUCGAGGUCCUGGAUCAGGUCUCCCCGCCGCUUUGACUUGACGACGAUGUCGUCGACAUAGGCCUCGACCGUCGACCCUAUGUGCUUGCCAAACACGUGGAGAAUGCAUCGCUGGUACGUAGCCCCCGUGUUUUGAAGCCCGAACGGCAUGGUUACAUAACAAUACAUCCCAAAAGGUGUAAUGAAAGAUGUCGCGAGCUGGUCGGACUCUUUCAUUUUUAUUUGAUGGUAACCAGAAUAUGCAUCAAGGAAAGAAAGGGUUUUACAUCCCGUAGUUGAAUCAACAAUUUGAUCGAUACGAGGUAAUGGAAAAGGAACUUUCGGCCAUGCUUUAUUUAAACUUGUAUAAUCGACACACAUCCUCAUUUUCCCAUUCUUUUUCUUAACUAGUACAGGAUUUGCUAACCAGUCGGGAUGGUGAAUCGGCGCAACCGUUUCUUCACUGGCUUGGAACCGGCUCGAAUUUCCAAGGAGUGCUCGACGACUUCCCUCGGUAUGCCAGGCACGUCCGAGGGACUCCAUGCAAACAUGUCGGCGUUUGCACAGAGAAAGUCGACGAGCAUGGCUUCCUAUUUGGGAUCGAGGUCGGCGCCGAUCGUCAGCGCCUUGCCAUCAGAGUUGUUGGGGUCGAGCGGGAUCUUCUUGGUUCCUUCCGCCGGCUCGAAGCUACCCGCGUGGCGCUUGGGCUCUGGAGCCUCAGCGGCUAGGGCCUCGAGCUUCGAGGCGAGCUCGGUGGAACUCUCGAGUGCCUCCCCAUACUCGACGCAUUCGACGUCGCACUUGUACGCGUGCUCGAAGGAGGAGCUGACGGUAAUGACGCCCUUGGGACCGAGCAUCUUUAGCUUCAAGUAGGUGUAGUUGGGGAUAGCCAAGAACUUGGCGUAGCCCGGGCGCCCGAUGAUGGCGUGGUACGUGCCCCAGAACCCUACCACCUCAGGUGAGGGUCUCUUUUCUGAAGUUGGCCGCUGUGCCAAAGCAGACCGGUAGGUCGAUUCGACCUACUGGCAACGCCUUCUUCCCAGGAACGACACCAUGGAAGCCUCCGGCGCUUGGUUGGAGCUGCGACCUGUUGAUGUUGAAGAGGUCGAGUGUCUCGAGGUAAAUAAUGUUUAAGCUGUUGUCGCCGUCCAUCAGUACCUUUGAGAGUCUAGUGUUGAUGAUGAUGGGGUCGACGACAAGCAGGUAGACGCCAGGGGCGACCACCUUGUCGGGGUGGUCCUCUCGAUCGAAGGUGAUGGGGGUGCUCGACCAGCUGAGGUACUGAGGCACCGCCCUCCUUGCCGCAAAGACUUCAUGGCAUUCCCUCUUGCGCUGUCUUGCGGUCAACUGCGUCGAGGGACCUCCGUAGAUCAUGUAGCAGUCGUGGACGGCAGAGAAGCCAUCAUCGUCUUUGACGUCCCCUUUGUCACCGCUCUUCUCUUUCUUUUGGUCAUCGCGGGCAUCCUUCUUGAAGACCAGACCGUCGAAAUGCUUUUUCAGCAUACGACAGUCCUCGAGCUUGUGAUUGGCUCCUCCCUUAUGGUAAGGGCACGGCUCCUUUAGCAUCUUAUCGAAGAUGCCCGCCUCUGGCGGGCUUUGAGGCCUUUUGCGUUCCAUGGCGGCGACGAGAUCGUCGUCGAGGUCUUUCCACUAGAAUGGGUAUGUUUUCUUCUUCUUCUUGUUCUUCUUGGGCCCUUGACUGGGGCCCUCAUCCUCGUCGGCGGGCGGCUUUCCUUUCCUUCCUUCAUAGCUGAAGAAGGCGCCCACCGCUUCUUCCCCAGCAGUGUAGUUUGCUACUACGUCCAUCACCUCGUCGACGGUCUGAGGGCGAUUCUGGCCUAGUUCCCGCACCAAGUCCCGACUGGUGGUACCAAAGACAAAGGCCAGGAUAAUGUCGUGGUCGGGGAUGUGCGGCAGCUCGGUGCGUUGCUUCGAGAAGCGUCGAGCGUACUCUCGAAGCGUCUCUCCUGACUUCUGCUUGCACUUGCUGAGGUCCCAUGAGUUGCCGGGUCGUAUGUAGGUCCCUUUGAAGUUACCCUCAAACACCCUGACCAAGUCGACCCAAUCGUGGAUCUGGUCGGCUGGGAGCUCCUCGAGCCAUUUGCGAGCGGUGUCGGAGAGGAAGAGCGGCAGCUGUCUGAUGAUGGCUUGAUCGUCCCCUCGUGCGCCUUCUAGCUGACAGGCCAGCCUGAAAUCUGCUAGCCACAGCUCUGGCUUGGUCUCACCGUUAUACUUUGCAAUGCUGGUCGGGGGUCGGAACGGGCUGGGCAGCGGCGUGCUGCGGAUUGCCCUGCUGAACACUCAUGGGCCUGGUGGUUCUGGGGCCAUUCGGUCCUCAUCGCUGUCGUACAUCCCGCUGCGAUGGGCGCUGUAACCGCGUUCUUCCGCGUCCCCGUACCGAUGGCGACGAUUCUCUUCAAUAUCGCGUCCUGCGUCGUGUCAUUGUUGGUUGUCGACGGGGAGGACGAGUGUGGUCUUUUUUCCUCGAGGGGGUGGCUGCUGAUGGACUGAUACCUCCUUUUCAUUCUGGGCUGGCUCAUCGCACUUUUCUGUGGCCGCCCCUCGACGUCGAGAGGCCGAUCUUUCUGCUUGCUGCACUGCAGCCACCUAGAGUAGAGUCUGCACCUCGUCUCGGAUGUGCCGUGCUUGGGAGUUUGAGGGCUCGGGCAUGUUACGUAACAGCAUCGUCGUUGCCACAACGUUCUGGCCCGCCCGAGGAAAGCGGCUGACGGGUUGUUCCGGCUCCCCGUCCCCAACGAUCUGUCAGUGCACCUCUCGAGCCCUUCUGCGGACACUUCCACCAGGCGGGUAAGGCAGGUCCUGCUCAAGGAUCUGCUCGAGCAGGACGAGGCGCUCACGAUCCUCAUCAAGUUUUGUCUUGAGCUCUCGCAGCUGCGCAAGUUGCGCGGCUCUGUCUUUUUGCGGUGGUGGGUCGACCUGUCCGUCGUUCCCAGGCAUCCUGGGGUCUUCCUUUGCUGCGGGGGCUCGACCGCCAGCAGUAGCAUCCUGCGUCUCGUCGGUAGUUUCUACCGCCCCGUCGAUAUGAUAGCAUUCCCUAGUAGGGUCGUAGCUAUUGGUCUCGGAGUCGGAGUCCGGCUCGGCGGCAUAGAAACAUCCACGUCCCUCCUCCAGCAGUCGCUGCCUGAGCGAGGUGAUCGUGUAUCGCCCAGGGCCUAGGCGACGGAGGCCUCGUACUUGGGAGAGACCCGGUAGCUCGGACGUCGGUUGCUGUGCUCUAGGGUCGCGUGGGAGGACCAUUGGUCUCUCCACGUACGUCUGGGUGUUUGGGCAUAUCGCCCCGACGAGCGACGCCGCGGCAUUGUCCAAACCGAAUGGCAACGCUCUUCUUGGGGCAAACAGCCCAUGUGGGAGUAGCCUGGCUGUAGGGGAAAGCGCGCGGGGCGCGUCGCCCCUUGUCGUCGUGUCCUCCUCGUGUCGUUAGGCCGUCAUGCCCACGGUUUCGGCGUGCGGCGCUGUCGGCUCCUAUGUCGUCUCCCGCCUGGCAGGAAUCGCUGGUCGUGCUGAGGCGGAAGAGCGACGGUGGUGCUGUCCACGCCUCUUCUUGGGCGGGGAGGCGUGGUGGCAAGGACGUCUCAGGGCCCUCUGCCGUGCUGGCGCAAUGCGGGCUCCUCCUGGUCCUUUGAUCGAGAGCAAGACCAUGUCAUAGCCGGAGCCAGUAGACAUGAACUCGAGACUCCCAAACCAAAUCACCGUAGAGCGCGGAAUCGGCGAGGCGGGAGUGGCCAUCUGGAAAGGAAUGGGAAAUCGGUGAAAAACACGCAGGACCCCCACCUGGCGCGCCAAUUGUCGGUGUUUUCCCCACGGGGAGUCACACCAACGAGUUAAUUUGUAUGCUUGCUCCCUUUUCCAGAUGGUGAUGCAAAUAGACUCAAGGAUUUAUCCUGGUUCGGGAAAGAGAAGGCCCUACGUCCAGCGGGGGGGGGAGAGUUUGUAUUAUUUUGCACCUAAGUGCUUGUACAGGGGUGAAUACAAGUGUGGUAUGAAGUAAGAUGGAGAUGGAAACUCUAAUGCGUGUGAGCGUUGUAUGUUGUGGUGUCUUGCCUCCUGUGUUCGCUCCUGGGCCUCACCUUUUAUAGUUCCAAGGAGAAGCGCAGGGUACAAGUAUAGGUGUCAGAGUAGGGGUCGAUAGAGGUAUGGCGCGCGGACUUACUCGAGGCCUCCGUACCGGCGUGGUCUCGAGCCGUCCCGUCCUGGUAGCUUGAUAAUGAUUACGCGUGCCCCGGUAUCCUGCUCUGUGCGCAGUCUUGGACUGGUUCAUCGGUUGCAUGCCUGUACGAUAUAGCGGCAAAUCCGUCGGAGUGGUUGCUGUGUUGCUAUUCGACGCCCAACCCUUCCCCCGGAAGGAAACAGGUUUGGUCGAGUGUCGGCCGCCGUGUAGCGCCUUGCUAGCCAGAGCGUUGACCUUGGAUGCCUCGAGGGGGUCUUGAUUAGACGUUCUGACCCUGCUUCCUGCGUCCUGACAUACUCUGGAUCGUUUGGCGGGGUAGGCUGCAAAAAGAAUGAUGGGACGGGUGCCUGUUCCCUAUCACGCUUCCCGUGACUGGCGUGUUAGGUGAGAACGUGACAGGCGCAUUAAAUGCCCUGGUUCCCGUGCGCGCGUCAGGCGGUGGGUGGCGUCCUUGCGCUCGACGCCUACCGGUUCGCUCGAGCCUGUUUCCGUAUUCAACGGUAGUUGGCGCUCGAGCCCUGAUCGAUUCGCUCGACGCCCUUUCCAUCUUCGAGGUUGCGGCCGUCGAUGACCAUACGCAUGACAGGGUAGUACGUCGAAUAUGGAGCCUCGACUUGCGUACGGGCGAUCUCAUUAUGUACAUCAGUUAGGAUACCCCUUACUGAUAUCCUCGACAAGUGGUUUAAAGUACUGUUUCAUUUUGUGUCUAUACUCAGAUAGGGUUGCAUUGUUUGUUAUGUAAGGCCCUGUUAAUUAUAGAUUUAGCCUUAGAUGUUUAUAACAAAGUUGUUCACAAUUUAGUAAGAUUUCUAGAAAGUACAUAACCAUAAUUUAUGAACACGUUAAACGCAAGUUAUAGCUGUUUAAUGUGGCCUGACAGAUUCUGUCCAUAUUUUGGAUAGAGAUGUCUUCAUGGGGUUAAUUGACCUUGUUAACUAUGGAAUCAUCUUUAGAUGAUAAUAAGAAAGUUGUAGGUAAGUUUAUAAGCUUUCCAAAAAGAUAAGAAUCAUGUUUGCUGCAGGUCUACAACUCCAGUUAUGCUUCUUUGAAUUGCCUAUUAGUUUUCUGUUUGUAAUUGUACCUCUACUGUUUGGGCAGCUUUAGUAGUUUUGAUUGUGCAACUAAUUCCAUGAUAUAAUGAUGUUUUUUGUGAAACAUGUAUAUAGCAAAGAUGUAGAUAACUUACUAAUCUAUCUUGUGGUAAAGUUCCAUGUUAUUUGGCUAGGUUCCAUGUCUAUGUAUAUACAUGAUGCAUAUGCUAAGUAAUUAUUAUUUCUUUUUUAUAAUGUAAUUAUUUAUGAUGCAAUGCAAUUAUAUAUAUAUAAAUAAUAAAUAAUAAAUAUUUACUUUUAAUUUAAGUGUCUAUGUGUACAUGUGAUGCUUAUGCGAGGUUUAUGAUGCAACUAUUUAUAAGUCAACUAUUUAUAAGUCAACGGUUGACUUAUUAGCUUUAGGGUUUAGCACUUAGAGUUUUAUCUUCAUUGUUCAUACUAUACUGUAUAGCAUUUUUAAUAACAUAUAUGUUUUAGAAUCUCGCAAUGACGACUGGUCCAAGUGAAAACAUAGAACAGGCACAAGGGUCCGGCCCCACGGAGCAGGCACUAUGGUCCGGCCCCAUGGUGCAAGAAAAAGGGUCCGACCGCACCGAGAAGGCACCACGGUCCGGCCCCAUGGUGCAAGAAAAAGGGUUUGACCACACCGAGAAGGCACCAGGGUCCGGCCCUACGGUGCAAGAAAAAGGUUUCGACCGCACGGAGCAAGAAAAAAGUGCCCGAGCACACGUAGAAGGAACAAGGGUCCCACAACAUGGAGUAUGCAGAAGGGUCACGUGAGUCAACUCCUUCCUACGAGACCUCGGUAAGCGACAUUCCUGAUCCUCACAUAGAGAGGAACGCCCGUCUUGAGUACGCACGUGACCCCUAUUACAACAUAGAGGGAGAAGAGGUGAAUUACUCAUCCAUAAUUAUAUGUGUUCUAUACUUUUAUGCCCCUCGGUAUAUGUGAAGAAUAAUAUAUGUGUUUAUAUGAAUAGGAGGUACUAUCUCGAUUGAAAGAAAUGGAGGACAUUCUAUCCCAAGAAGAAGUUGCACAUGAAGGUGCACUUGAGCCGACGACGGAGACGACCACCAAGACCGGGAACAAAAGGAAACGAGGUGAAAGAGGAUUGAAUCAGUUUUCAAAAGUAACCUAUAGAGUUACAGAUGUGAGUGCGAUAGGACAGCCCCUAGCUCAAGAGGAGACCUUACCUAUGUGGUGUAACACAUCUUAGUUAGAGACCAUCUUAACAUCACAUUCAGGGAGUGAAAAAUGUGGACAAAGAUGAGAUCGCAAGAAUGUGGAACAGGCUGCUUAUGAGGUUUGUUUUACCUUAGGGUUUAGAAAACCUCGUAAAAGAGCACACAUUGAAGCAAUGGGCGAUCAUGUUCACGAAUUACAAGUCUGAGUUGAAUUCAAAGUGGGCAAAGAAAGGGUUGGAUCCAACAUAGAGGUAUAAAAUCUCGGCUGGUUAGUGGGCAGCGUUUCUAGAGUAGAGGAGUUCAGAUGACUUCAAAGCUUUGAGCGAAGCCAAAUCCAAACUCACAAAAAGGAACAAGUACCACCACCACCUAGGCAUAGGUGGUUACCAGCGCAAGCUUGCCUAAUGGGAGCAUGAGGAUGAAGUGAAGAGGGCUAAGGGUUUGCUGGCGCUCCCUGACCAACUUUGUCGCAGGGGCUCACGGGGGGUUCGUGCUCAGGUACCAGCAAAGAAAGCCAAUUCCGGCUUGUCAUUUGCUGACCCAAUGGUCGAAGAGGCUGCGAAGAAUAUUUUCAAGGUGGCAGCUAAGCAGCAGGCAGAAGAAUUUAAGCCACAAAGGGAGAAGGAUGUUCUUACUAUUGCUCUAGGUAACCCAGAGCAUCUUGGUCGUGUAUGAGGCAUCUCAUCCAUUGAAGGAUGGAAAGAAGGAUUCGGACCAGAGUGGGAAGGAAUGUAUAGGAAACGCGAUCGCUACAAGGAAGAAUUGUCUAAUUUUUUUAAGGAGGAGGCUAAGAAAGAAGUCAAACAUGUGAUGGAUAAAAUGCUCUCCGGACCUCCUCCUGAGUUGAUGCAGCGAUUGGCGUCUGCAAUGUCUAGCCAAUUGAGUGGUCAGCCUCGUCAAACGCAGCUAGUCGUCGCCUCGACAACAUCACAACAGGCUCCGAUGGUCCCAAGUAGUGUCGCGUCUACCGGAAACAAGGACCCCUAUCUAAUUGACGAGAUUGAAAAUCCUGUUCCUUGAUCCCUAGUCAUAAGGUACAGUCUUAACAAUAAUUGUACAAGGGAAGUAGCCACAGGACUUGCGAUCCUAGGGCGCCAGUUUCAUGGUAGCAAAAUUCCAAAGGACUCCUUUAGGGUGGAAGUGCUGACAGUUGUCCAAGGAUAUGAGGAUGACAUGCUAGACAUUCCCGGUCCUAAGGGUAUUGAGAAGCUAGGACAAGCUAUCAAGAAUUUCAUUCUUUAGCCUCGAUGGGACGUCCUGUUGUUUGAGCUACCACAAACGUCGCCCCAAGAAGUACUGCUGACUCAGGAGUCGUCCCUUCUAGAUGUGGUGGUACCACACCUCUUCCGAGUCCACCACCCUUUCCGAUCUUCCCUCCACCAUCCUCACCUAUAAUGCCUCACCCACCAUCGCCGCCACCAUCACCUAAACCACAACCUUCGCCAACACCACCAGAAUCUUCCACACCACCACCACCCAAAAAUGCCGAGACACCACCACAACCAACCAAAAAUGACGAGACAACACCACCGCCACCAAAAAAGUUAAAAUUUUUGGUGCCCAAAUUGAUUUUCCCAUACGAGCCAAAGAAGAGGAAGUCUGUUGGUAUGGCUCUAUUUUUGUCAAGAAUUGCAAUGAGCCACACGACAAAACUAGUUGACUUGGCUGAGCACGAGAAGGAAGCAAAGAAGUCUGAACCAGCUUUUGUAAAUAUCAGGCCACCCACUAAAGAUGAUUAUAAAUAUGUCCCUAAGAACUAUGAGCUGGGCAGGCCUAUACUCACAUGGGAUAAACUUAGAAAGGUCCCAGCUAGUGUAAAAAGGUUCCAUGACUGGUAUAUGAGAGCAUCUUCUAUUGGCAUCGACACUAUCAUUCUAGAUAUACCAGCAGAGGCAUUUAAUAGUGAUCGUACAAGAGCAAUUGUGACUUUCGAGGAUAUGUGGUUAAUGAUGGACCUCCGAAGACUCGACGUGCAGCUCCUAACUGUGUUUGCAUUGUAAGUGUCACUCAUACAAUGCUUUCAUGUGUUAUUAUUUGUGAGUUGCAUUAAAAUUUAAUACUAACAUACAAGUGCACGUUGCAGAAUGCAAUAUGAAGUCCAACAUAUGUGGUACGGUCUGAAUCCGAGUACUAAUGCCAGUAAAAGGGGGGUCGCGUAUAUGAGCCCAAUGAGAAUAUAUGAGGACGAGCACACAUUCAGGAUCAGAAAAAAUCAUGACUCCUUAAAAGGUUUGGAUCCAAAAGAGCGUGGGAACGAAAUAUAGAAAAGGGAAAAGAACCAAGUAGCUCGUUACAGCCUCUAUCUAGCCAUGACAAUGCUAGAGUUUCAAGAUAGGGAAUUAAUAUUCGCACCAUACAAUUUUCGCUAAGUGUUAAUUUGUAUGCAUCGUAUUAAUAAUUAAAAUGCGCACUUUGAUCACAAAGUUGAUUCUCUCAAGGACCACUGGAUCUGCUUAAUGAUUAAUCCAUGGCUUGGACGUGUGCAUGUCCUAGACUCUGCAGACUAUGAACCAACAAUUUAUGCACCAUUCAUUACUCUCUUAGAACGGUAAGCCGAGUAAAAUAUGCAUAUAAAAUUUUAUAAGAGUUUGACAAUAACUUGCAGAAUGUUUUUGAUGUCAUAGGGCCUAUAGGUAUUAUAAGAUUAAAGAGGGAAGGUGUGAGUUAGGAAUACAGGGGUAGCCUUUGAGAUUCUUUUAUAAGUGGCCGGUACGUAUGAAAGUUUACCAAGUCAUUCUCGCUAUAUACUUAGAAUACGCAUAAGACGAUGUUACAACUAACAAAUAUGCACUUUUUCUUUAUAUAGUGCCACACGCAACCACCUGGAUCGGUCCACUGUGGAUUCUACGUUCAUGAGUUCAUGAGAAAAGGCGAAAGAUAUGUCACCAACUGUUGGGCAUUCUUAACGUUAUUACCAAAAGUAGACUUAGUUUUCUAAUUCUGAUAACGGCGCCAAAAAUGCCAAACCUAUCCCUCAUGCCACUUAAACCAAGUUGUCAUCCCCAGCAUGACAUGAGAGACACAGUAUUGAAAUAUGCAAUUGUUCUUCUGAAUGAAUAAUAAAUGAGAUCUGCAAGCCCAUAGAUUAAUAUUGAUGUAGCAUUUUAACCGGGAAGUAUUCCAAGUAUCAUUAUUUAUAUUUUUACCACUAGGAAGGGAUAGCUAAUCAUCAAUGUUGAUUAUGGAAUGAAAUAUGGAAUUGAGUAUCUAUCAUUGCAUGUGUAAUAGAGAGCAUUUAUCUAUCUCUUUCAUACAGGGAUAAAUGUCACAUAAAAUAUAGAUAAAGUAUGAAUGGUGACAAAGAUAAUUAAUCUGAUCAGCAUAACUAGCCACAUAUAAUAAUGAUAACCACCUCAACAGAUAUUCUAGCAAGUCAUUAGCAUAGAAUUAGGAUGAACUACAAGAAUAUUUCCUAAGUUAUUCUUAACUAUAAAGUCUAGCAUACCAUAGUGAGUGCAAUUAUACUUGGCAAUCAUUGCGAGACAGGACUACGCCCAUGCAUAGUGAUAUUAUCAAGAAAGAUGAGAAACAUAGCAAUCACUCCCGUGUAAUAAUAUUUCUCUGCCUGCCCUAUACACGGGAGGGGGACUAUAUAAGAAUCAAUGGAGCUGUCACCACCACGAACUACCCCACGAUCCGGCAUAUAGGGUACAGUCGCAGAUAAAUACGGUAUAGGCACCACGCCUACAUAAUACUUAUCAUUUACCCACUGUAGACAUGGAUAAACGCUAUACGAUCCUAAACAUGUAUAUAAUUCCAAUCUAACUAAGCCAAACAUGUAACUAUGAUAAACUAAGAACGAUAUAAUUGCAAAUAUAAACAAGUAGAGUAAAGUCAUAAUCAAUAUAUUGAAGUAGAACAAAGUCAUAUUCAUAAUAUUGAAGAACAAUGAUGAACAAAUGAAGAACAGUAGACGAGUUACCAAGAAUCCUCUUGACAGAUCCAGAAACCAAUCAAAGAUUGACUCCUUCUAGUUCUAAUCCUAUGUCGCUAUGCUAAACUAGAGAUCUAGUUUGUAACACCCCAGUGUUAUGGUUGCAUUGAUCAUGUGCAUAGCAUGAGCAUCAUCAUCUACUCAAAGCAUAUCAUGAUCAUCAUCUAUCUUGAGGCAUGUCAUUCUAUGCAAAAUUGUGAUUUAAAUUGCUUAAAUAGGCCUCCUAUGCUUAUAUUUGAGUGAAAAAUGCUUGUGUUUGUGCUUAAUGCCUUGGUAAUUAGUUUAUCUAUGCUUAACUUAACUUUGGGAACAAUGUUCAUGUUGAUCACUUCUCCAAAAUAAUCACUUAAGUCAUACUUAUGCAAAUAGGCCCUAGAAACCUCUUUUGCUUAGGCUUUUAAAAAGUGUUUCAUAAAAUAUUUGCAUGUCAAAACUUCCUACAGCAAAGUGGUAGAAAAUUUUAUAAGGAACAAAAGUUGUUUUAUGGCCAUCUCAUGAAAAUGAUCACAAAUAGCUCAAAAGUGGCCCACAAGGCAGUUUUGGGGUGGUUUCCUAUACUUAGAAAAAUUUCUAAGUCCUGGGUGCUUUGCAGUUUGCUCGAGGGGGUGUUCUUCAUCUUCCCGUUUGAAUUCUAGGCCGAAUCAAGCUGUGACCUUGUAAGCAAUGUUGGAGUACUCGUGUAGCUCUACAGCAUGGAGCAUUUAGCCAGCAAAAUCAUCGAGUGAUUACGGAGUAAACUGUCGUGCAAAACUGAGUUUCAGUCGGUUUGGGGGAAACUAAAUCGCGUCGUCGUCAGACAGGGGGAGCUCGCCGGUGUGCCGCGUGUCUGGACUCGUGGCGUCCGUACGUCGCCGUUGGCCCCGCCCGUCAGUCCUCCGCACGUCCUUCAGCUCGCCACGGCACCCCCGGUCGCGUGGACAGAGCCAUUCCGCCCCCGGUGUCCUCUCUCUCGCGCGCGUCGUCGUUUCCGCGUCGCCGCCGUUGCUUCGGCGAGCUCGCGCGCGCGCAUCUCCGUGUCUCCGGUCAAGCAACUCCGUCCAGUGCUUCGCAAGCCUCUCCUCUCCACCGUCGUCGAGCUGGUUGCGACUGCCGAGCCUCGGUGAGCCCGCAUUGCCUGCUCCGACGCGAGCCUACCUCGCCGGAGUUCCGCCAUGGUCACCGGCGUCGUGGCCAGGGCUCUGUAGUCCACCAUUCUUUCUCAUUCUUGUCCCAAAAGCUUCGCUAGGUCUUGCUGUUGCUCGUCCACGUUCUCUUCUGCUCUGUCUCCGGCCAGAGACGCCGGCGGUCGGCCGCGCGCCACUGCCGUGCCGCCAUUCGCGAGGGCAAGGUACCUAGGGUCCGGUAGAGUUAGGGUUUUGGGUACCGCUAGAUGCGGAAUGCAGUGGGGAGCACGAUGGUGCCCUUGGCCAGCGCCGAGACCUCGCCGUCGACGAGAUCUCCGGCGGUCAAGCCGCGCCUCUGCUUCCGGGUCACUGGCAGGUGGGGUCCGUUGACGCGCGGGUCCCCUCUGUCAGUCUCUCUUUCUCCUUUGUUUAAAUCAGGGUUUGAGCUGAUUUUGUAAAAAUCAUAUCUCUAGUUCUGCUGAUCCAAAAAUGUUGAAACAAAUUUUGUGGUGUUUCUUGAGAUGGUUAGUAUUUAAUAAAAAUAUAAAAUGAACCAUGUUUUCUGAGAAAUUAUUUAUUAAGGAUUUAAUCUUGUUAUUCUUGAAUAAAUGCAUAUCUCUAGUUAUACUGCUUAGUUUACUCUGAAAAUUUUAUGGUCGUAUCUGUUUGGUAUGGGAGUGCUUUGAUAAUUAUUUCAUUAUUUUUGGAGCCCUGCAGCUUUGUUAUGUAAAUUAUGACUGAAAUGUGGCUUGUUUCCUUAAUUAAAUCAUAUAAAAUAAUUGGUGCUUAUGCUGGUGUUCUACUUUGAUGGUAAACUUGUUUAUGGUAUUCCUAAGAUGUAAAUAAUCUGAAAUCUGUUGUUUGACACCAUAUAAGUCAUGUUUCUGAAUUUAUGAAAUAAAUGCCUUGAUACAUGUUAAAUACAUAUCUUUAUUUUGGUAUAUGCAAUUGCUGUGAAAUUUUUAUGGUGAUACUUUUAUGAUGUCCAUGUGCUUCUGUAAUUUUUAUAGGUUUUUCGGAGCACUUUGACUGGUAUCUUGUAAUUAUGCUCUUAUUUAGAAUUAAUUAAUAAAUGCCUUGUUAAGUAAAUGUUUUGGGGUUUCCAUCUGGUGUUCUGGUUGUAUUAUAAUAUGCUUAGGGUCAUAAGCCAUGUGGUUGGCAUGGUUUGUGUCUUGGUCAUGUCAUUAAAUAAUUAACUUUAGGGUUAAAUGCUGUUCUGGACAGCAAGGGAGCAAUUUAACUGUUACUUAAUGAUAACUUGACUUUCUGUGAAACUUGUCUAAAUCAAAGUUGUUCUAAAUUUGUUGAACUAGCUGUGGUUUAAAUUUGAGGUCAUUUGGCCAAGUAGUUUAAAAGUUAUAGCUGUUCCAAGUUGGGUUCCAGAAAUAGGGAUUCUCUGUUUUUCUGGGACAGAACCUGGAACUUUGUUUAAAAUGACUAGUUUAAUGUUUGAAUCUUGCUGUCAUGUUUGAAGAUGAGUUGUAGACAAUUUCAUAAGCUUUCCAGAAUGUCUUCACACAUGUUUGUUGGACCUGUAUAUCUUUAGCUAUGAUUUAAUUACUAAGUAUACUUGUUUUGUGUUGCUUGCUGUUUUGGUAGCAUGAUAGGUUUUGGGUUACACUAACUUGUUUACUUGUGUGAGCUUGUAUAACUUUUGCUCCGUAAAUGAGUGUCCAGUGAGUUGCUUGUGUUAUUAAGCAUUCAUCUGUAGCAUGUGCACCUUCUCAUUCAUCGAGCAUGCAAUAGGUGCACCGGACGUGGCAGUCUCCUUCGAGCUCCAAGCGAACCCUGAAGGCCAGGAAGGCAGCCAGGAGGUGGAGGUCCAGCAAGCCGGACUCGAGGAGCCCGAAGAAGAAGUUGAGUGCCCGAAUCACGAGCCGGCAUCGUUCGUGAAAGGCAAGCCCCGGAGCAUUCCAAGUCUCCCUCUAUUUUCGAAAGUUUACUUAAUAUGUCAUAUCUAUUGAUGCAUUACGUAUAGGAGUUGUGAUGAAACUGUUGCUGCAUUCUACUCUAUCCUUGUCCAGAUAACUCACCCUCCCUGGUUGUAGAGUUAGGAUCGAGUAGCAGCUUCGCUAUGCUUUAAUCGGUAGAAGUCGGGUGAUAUCCUGUCAUCCGCGCGAUAUAGGGUUAUGUCGGAUCACGAUGGUCUAUAUGUGCUAUCGUGGAUGGAACCUGAUUAAAUUGACUUAAGCCGGGCGGAGUUUUGCAAGUUUGUAGUAACUACGUCUGUGGCAGCUAAGGACCGAUCGUUGUACGUCCUCUUGUCAUGUUGAACGCAUGCCUGACACUUAGUUGGCCGGAUAACUCGUUCCGACCGCGAAGCCGAGUAGUAUGACUCAGGCCGGAAGACCGGCAAGUAUAAAGUGCGCACUACCGGAGGAAGUGCGGUGUGCGGGGGACCAUUGGCGUAAGUCCAAAGGCAGGUGAGUUAAAAUUCCUGACCUCCCUGGCAGAGUGGUAGCCCUGGGAGUGCGGCGCUGAUCGGAGCCGCGAUUCCUGAGUUGUACCAAAGGUGACCCGUUGGCUCUCCGGCAGGGGAUGCUUGGGUGAGUGCUAGGAAUAAACCUCCAGCUGGAUAGGAAUUCGAUUCGAAUCGCUAUCUCUCCCGGUUAGUGAGAACUUGACAGAGCAGCGGCAAACGUAGCAUUCACUAAUGAACUUGGUUCAUGAUAAUGAUGAUGGCAAGAAGAACAUAUGAUGAAUUUGAUAUGGUUAUUAUUGUUUGUAAUAAUCAAGUGAUGUGUUGUAGUACAGGUGCUAAUCUAGUGAUAGGCUGAUGAUAAAUAAAUAUGAUGCUUCCAAAAUAACUUAAUUGUAAUUUAAGCUUUUGGCAAAAGGUGAGUCAACCAGCUCCACUUAACAUUUAGCCUUGCAUGAUCUUUGGUGUCUUUUAUGUUUUACUAGACGGGUAAGUCUAUCUGAGUACAUUCUCGUACUCAGGGUUUAUUCCCACCUGUUGCAGAUGACAUCUUCUAUGACGGUUUCUGCAAGACCUGUCUCCAUCCCGCUGGGGAUGAGGACUAACCGUUGGGCACGGUUCUCUAAUCUUCUCGUCUAUGAUGCUUUUGGAAGGAUGGCAUAGACUCUGGCAGAAACAAAACUUGUGAACUGAACUUUGAACAAGUGUGUGUAAUUAUUUUGCUUCCGCUACUUCGAACUUGAGUUGUAAUAACUUAAUGACUCCGAUGUGGUGCCGCUUCGACGGCAAUGAAUGACUAUGUAACAUUCGUUGUGUUUAUGUUGAACUAUUACGAUCUUGGUUUGUUGCGAGUUGGUUUGAAGUCCUUCGUGAUUUCGAUUGACUACCGGGAUUAUAUGGGCUCAAGUUUGGAAACUUGAUUGAUUGUCGAUCGUUUCUACACUUGAACUCUUAUAAUUUGGUCGGUUCUGUGACAUAGUUGAUGUGGUGGCUCUAGGGCUUGAUCAGAGACUUCUUCUCCCGAGAUGGAUGAAUGAAUUAGGGUUUCAGAGGUGCCUCCUCUAGGGGCCAGGGGCCUGCUUAUAUAGUCCCUCCAAAUGAAUAUGGGUCGUCGGAUCAAACCGACCUUAAUCGCAUGGUUUUCCUUAAUCCUCUAGGUCGGUGGAGCAUUAUCCGCGAGACAGAGCGUGAUUGGCCCAAGUAGGAGGGCGGGCGCCCAAGGGGGGAGAGCGUGCGCCCUGUCCCCGGGCCCGCUCGGCCUCCCGCUCGUUCCCAUGGCUUCUGUACUCUUCUAGGUUAGGGAAAAUUGCGUGGCACGUAAUUAUCUCUAUGUAAACCCGACGUGUGGGCCUUUCCUCCAUAUUUUCUGAUAACCCCCUGCAGAAAUAGACAAACACCAAAACUCGUGGAAUUCUGUCAGAUAAAACUCUAUGUCUGGGUGUCGGUUGCAUUUGGGUCCUUUUCUCUGUUUAUUUGUGGAUUAUAUUUGAUACUUAAGGACCGUCAACAAACUCCCCCAAGCUUACCUCUUGCUCGUCCCUGAGCAAGGAUAAUCUUAAUGAUGGAUCAGAAGUUGUUGUAAUACCUUUUAGUUUUGACGGUACACAUGCUUUCAAAUAAGGUCUCAUCCCUGAGAUAGAGUAAACUGUCAAGACUUAAAACUUACUCAUUUUACCUUUCGCCAUGGGACUUGUAACCAUCACUUUUGUCUUGAGCAGUUAAAAGAUAGAACGUUCUAGUCAAGCGCCAUGUCUCUUAUUCUUGAUCAGCUAUAGCUCUGGAGUUUUUGUAGAGUUUCAAAUAAAACUCAGAGAUUCCUUGUAUGACUCUCUCAGAUCUCUUUUUUGUGGUAUUUCUGGAUCCUUACCAAGACAGUGAUGGUAUAUGUCUUCUCUCAAAGUAUGUAGUAUUUGUGGUAUAAAGCGUAGUGACCUUGCCUUCUCUCUCACCCUACUUUAAUAAGGCUUUUGAUAUCUGGAGCUCAUAGGUGGGAGAUAGAGUAUACAUACUUACAAGACAUUUAUUGCAUAGUCAAACCAUGGAUCCAGAGAAACAAGUCAAUAUGUCAAAUCCAGAUUUGCAUCUGUGGCGAAUGAAUGGUGUAUGGUGAUGAUGGUGAUAACAAUGGUGAAAGUUUAAUUUUACUUGUGCUCUUUUGAGGGGAUACAUACCUUUCUUGCUCUUUGAAACUUUUGAGGAGAAUGAGAUGCUCUACAUUUUCUUUUUCUUUCCUCUCAGGUGGGUAUCUUGUACCCCUAAUUCUACUGACGGACACUUGUCCAUUUUUACCUCUCGUCUCACUUUUUCUUUUCUUUCGAGGUUCCGGGCACUUGCCCCUUUUUAUUUCCUCGUAUCCUUUCUCUUUUUUUUUCUUUAUUUAGAGCACUCAUGUCCUGAAAUAAUAGAGCAAGUGGUAAUAACCAAGAUAACUCGAGCAUUUAUUUCACAAGGAAAAAUAGAAAUAGGAGAAUGUUUUUGGGUAUUCUCUUCCGGAUUAGGAGUAGAAUAUUUUUGGGUGGCUCUGGAGAUGGAAAUGAGUGGAUAUAUGUGGAUGCGUACUUCCGGAGUAGGAGCAGCAUGUGUGAGUGAACGUGCAAGUGAAUCUUGAUUUUAUCCACAUGACAAGCUCCUAGGGGUCUACACAGCUUGACCACACUCAAUGCUCAUAAGCAGUAAAAAGUAAAUGUGUGGCUCAAAGUCUAGCAAGCAUGUAUAUAUGGCUAUGGUAGGAAUUUAAACACUCAUCAUACAGAAACUCAUCAUGUGUUAUUUUAAAGAUUUUCAAAGAUAAAAUUCUCCAGAUUUCUAGCAUCUCUAGGAACAGAUAAACAGCAGCUCAACCUGCCCAUAUCAUAUCCGUUAACAACUUAGACUUCCGAUCAAGUUCUCUUCCCACAAGUUUAGGUUUUUAGAGCAAGCUUUAAAUUAUAACAGUUAUGUCUAAACUGAAGAGAGAACUUCAAAUUUGAAAAUUAGGCAGAGCAACUAUUCAUCAUAUCCAUGCUAGAGUUUUAUUAUUAGGAUUCAGUUUAGCAUAGCCACUUUAUUUAUUUAUUUAACAAACUAAGCAAAAGAUAUAUAUAUAUAUAUAAGCACAAAAUCUUUAUUUGGUUUUUCAUGGUUAUGUAUUUUUUUAUUUUAAUAUAGUAUAAGUAUAAAUGUAGAUAGAAAUACUUAGCGGGAUAAAUGGGGGUGCUCUCCCUCAAGCUGGAUUUUGACGUAAUUUCUUCUGAUGUAGCUAGCAGGUGGUGGAGGUAUAUUUGAAAGUCAGCAACACCCUGAGAGCGAUUAGGAUGUCCUCCGUCUGCUAGUUUUCUUGAUCCUUGAAUUCUGUGGUGUUCAAAUAGACAACAAAGCUUUGUGGAAUUGAUAAGGUGUUAGCAUAAAUAUCUAGCCUUUAUCAUGUUGAGCCUCCUCAAUAAAUGCUACUUUCUUUGGUAGGAUCACAAUUUUAUUUUUAUAUUUUCAUUUUUAUAGAGCAGAAGAAUAUUUUUAUUUAUUAUUUUUUAUGCCACCACAGUGAAUGUACUUAUGGGUUUUAUGCCACUUGUAUACUCACAUGGGGCUUACUGGUUUAAAAUUUUUAUUUUAUUUUUAGGAUUGUAUGAACAUGAUUAACUAAGCAAACUAUUUUAAAUAAUUGAAAGGAAAAGGAUAACUACCAAGUUUAACUCUUGGCAAGGCGUUCGGUGUUUUUAAGUCCUCCGAACGGGACUCUCUAUUUUCUCAGUCGUCCUGGGAUUCGCUGGAUGGCGUAGACGGUGGUUCCGGCGGCGCCUCUUCUUCAUGUAUAACUAUCUUCUCUCGCCACACCCGACUCGGUGCUACGGUCUCCUAUUCAAAAGCAAUAUAUCCUCAGAACCUUAUCACCUCUCCUUCGUAGUCUGCCCAUCCGUCCUUGAUGAUUUGCCUCCUCUAGUUGCAGUUGCGUCGCCUUCUUCUUGUCCUGACCUGCUUAGAAUCUUCAACUAUACAGUUAGGGUCAUUAAAGUAACGGCGUACCUUCUCAGAGGGGAAGUGCAUGUGGACUUCUCCGGUUCCAAUGUAGAUCAUCGCUUUGAUGGUGCUGGGGAACAGUCUUCCUAGGAUGAUGGGUGGGUCAUACUCGUCUUCUCCCAUGUCAAUAACCUGGGUCAUCCUUCUUGGUCAGGAACGGUGACUUGAGUCGACGAUCUUGACCUCUGUGAACUGUAGUGACCAUCUUAGCUGACUCGGUCCACACUUGCUUGUUCCUGUUCCUCCUGUUAGUCCUCUUCCUUGGUUCAUGUCGGGAUUGCUCUGGGAUUUGUGCAGUCUUGUUCUUGAAUGAAAAAUUCUCCUUCCUCCCCUUGAUGUAGAAACUAAUCUUGGCAGCACUAGCAUAGAUAACAACUCCCGAGGUGUUCAGGAAUGGCCUCCCUAGGAUGAUGGGUGCCCUCUCAUCAGUACCUGUCUCUAUCACCACAAAGUCUGCUGGGGCGUACAAGGUACCAACUCGGACGCAAAGGUCCUUCAAUAUUCCCCUAGGGAAACUUAGUGUCUGAUCUGCAAGCUGCAAACACAUGGUUGUUUCUAAUAAAGGACGUGUAAAGAAUUUUUCAUAGAGUACCCUGGGCAUAAUGUUGACGCUGGAGCCAAAGUCGCAGAGUGCUUCUAGGAAGUCCACCAUGCCGAUGGAGAUCGGGAUGACGGGGCGUCCUGGAUCGCCUCUCUUGACCGGCAGAAGGUCAGUAGUUACUUCCACAAUGGGGUUACUCUAGUAGUUACCUGCAUCAAACAUGUCUACAAGAUUUGCAGAUUAUAGUCCUUCCGGUUGUGAUGGUAUAACGGGGUUAGUAGCAGGAACAGCAGCAGCUAUUUGAUUUAACUGAGAUUCAAUCAUUUUAUUAAAGCUAAUUUGAUUCUUGAUGGCAGUAGAGAAAUUAUCGAUUCUAUUAUUUAUAUUUUCUAGCAUUUUAUCAUUUGAUGCCAAUUUCUUAGAUGGGUUAUCCAUUAGCUUUCCUUGAUUAGACAAUAACUCUCUCAGAGGUGGAAAAUUAUUAUUAUUAUUGUAAGAAUUGUUACCUUGAUAAUUACCUGAGUAGUUAGGCCUCUGUUGAUUCCAACCUUGAUUUUGCUAAGGAUGGUUGUAGUAGUAGUUGUUGUUGUUGAUGUAGUUCACGUCCUCAAGCAUCUUAGGGCAGUGAUUGCCUGAGUGUCCAGUAUCUCCACACUCCUCACAAGUCAUGUGAGAGUCGUAGACGUGCAUGACUUCUUUCUUAUCUCCAGCUCUAUCAUCGAGCUUCUUCAUGAGCAGGUCUAGCUUGGCAGACGGCAUGUCUACCUCCUUGAGCUGGUGCAUACCUCCACCCUUCUUGUGUGUCUGGGUCCUCUCUUCGUUCCAGCCUUGGUUGGACGCCAUCUUCUCCACAAGAGCUAUGGCUUGUGGUACGGUUAGUGACAGGAAUGCUCCUCCAGCUGCAGCAUCCAUGGUUUCACGGGCGCUAUUGCCAAGCCCAUGAUAAAAUGUCUGCAUCAGCAGCCAGCUCUCCAUUCCAUGAUGAGGACAUUCUAGGAUGUAGUCUUGGAAGCGCUCCCAUGCUUCUGGAACGGAUUCAUCAUGUUGUUGCUGAAAACUUGUAAUUUUCCCAUGGAGAGCAUUGGUCUUGCCCAUGGGAAAGAACUUAGCCAGAAAGUUCGUGGAACAGAGUGCCCACGUAGUGUUCUUCUCCUUUGUAGCGUAGAACCACUGCUUCACUCUCCCCAACAGUGAGAAUGGGAAGAGGCGAAGUAGUAUAGCAUCUCUGGGGACUUCUAACAUGGUGAAUGUGCUGCAAAUCUCCAAGAAGUGUUGGAGAUGAGUGUUGACAGUUCUUAAGUAUCAAUUUUAAUUAUUAAAUAAACAAGGGAAAGGACCAAUAUACAAACAACACCUAGAAUUAGGGUUUGAUCUGACAGAAUUCUAUGAGUUUUAUUAUUUAUCUAUUUCUACAGAGGGUUAUCAGGAAAUAGGGAAGAAAGGCCCACAUGUCGCGAUUACAUAGAGAUAUUAACGCACCGUGCAAUUUUCUACCAUCUAGAAGACUCUAGAAGCCACAGAAACGAACGGGAAGGCGAUCGGGCCCAGGGGCAGGGCGCCAGCACUGGUGUCUCCACCAAUCGGAGCCAACUUCAUGGAUCAUGCUCCACCGACCUAAAGGAUCAAGGAUAACCGUUCAAUCAAUGUCGGUUUGAUCCGACGGCCCACAUUUACCUGAGGGGACUAACCCCCUGGCCCCUGGAGGAGAACAAGUUCAUCAUAGAGUUGAGAGGUGCCCUCGAAGGAUAACCAUUCCUCUAAAUAGACUUAGGGCUUAGCAUCCAAUGUGAGAGUAGACUAGAUCUACUAGAUUGAGAGAGAUAGAGUGGAGGUGUAGAUCGAAGGAAGCUCGGCCUGUCGGUGUCUACUCCGAGGUUGUACCUACGGGAUCAAGUUCUCCUAAACCGAGGCUUGCUCCUAGGAUUCUUUAGUAUUUUGACUUCUAAAUUCUAGUAAGUUCUUGUUUUAUUGUUCUUUGGUUUAUGAGUUUACUUUAAUCUCUUCGCGUAGAGUUUAGAGUAAUCAUCUCUAGCAUAAACGUAGUGUUUGAGCUAGGAUACUCAUAGAUAUCCCCUGACUAGCUGGACCGUGGUAGCAGCGAGGAACGUAACAUUUUCGAGUUACCUUUGCAGCCCAUAUCCCGUUAGUAGGAUUCAUAGGGUUUAUAUGUGCGGGUUGAACAUCCUCUAUGGUGUAUAGAUUCCGUGAGCCUCCUCAAUAGAACAGUAGAUCAUCCUUACCAAGGUUAGAAUGAGAUUACGGUUGUAGUCUUCACUAUACAUUGCUCACAUCGAGACACAUUCUUUGUAGCCUAAAGGUUAGUAGUAAUAGACCGGGUUAGUCAGAUGCACUCUUUCUCCUAGUGGUAAAACUAUAAAUACGAUACUCUGGAUAACAUCCCGGGUGAAGUGCUCACCGAUAUCCGUCCGCUUGCGGAUCAAUUCCUUAUUGCGUUACCAAAUAUCAACAAGCAUUUCUGGCACCGUUGCUGAGGAGAAAGACGGUUUGCUGAGAUAACCUUGAGUCCUACUACUAGCUUGUAUCUAUACUUUUAUCUUUUCUUAUCUUUUAUAUUCUUUAUUUAUUUUCUUCACUCUUACCUUAUGGAAAACCAAGAUUCUAAAUCGAUCUAUCAAUUUGCAACACCUUCGGAAACUGACCUUUUACCAUGGGAGUCAUCACAGCUUAUCCAAACAUCCCACUAUAGGUUAAGUUCUAGGUUGAUUGCUAUUAUUCAAAACCUAUCUUUUUAAGGAAAGGAAGACGAAAACCCUUACCUGCAUAUUAGAGAUUUUGAGCAAACAUGUGAUUGUCUUCGCAUUGAAGGCAUUUCUGAUAAAACUUUACGUUGGAAGCUUUUUGCUUUUUCUUUAAGGGGAGAAGGUAGACAAUGGUAUAAUCAGAAGGUAAGUCAACAACGAGGUGAAUGGGGAGUUUUACAAGCCAAAUUUUAUCUAGAUUUUUAUUCCCUUGACCGUAUCGGCGACCUUAGACUCGAAGUCCUAUCUUUUAAACAAAAAGAUAAUGAAACUUUGGGAAAAUCCCAGAAAUGUUUUUCUGAUCUUUUAGAAUCUGGUCCAAACCUUAAUCUUGAAGACCCUGUUCUUUUAUUUCACUUUUUUCAAGGUCUUUAGAAAGAUCAUAAACAAAUGCUACAUACAAUAUCUAGAGGUUCUUUCUUUCGCAUCCCUACUGAUGAUGCUAGAGUGAUCCUAGAUAGAAUCCUAGAAGCUGAGAUAGAUAAUACCCUUCAUGAUGAAACCCAUGAAGCCGAAGUAGACACUCUGCCAAAUUCUCCAUCUACUUUAGCUAUCCCAAGUUCUGAGCCACAAAAGGAAGAAAUUCCACCACCUGAUUUCAUGCUGGAUAUAGAAUCUGAUCUUUUUGCCAAUUUUGGGAACAUUUCAAACUACCAUUCUAUAGACACACCCCAAAACGGCCAUUUUAGCAUUUGUUUGCCAACUGAACAUCAAUUGAGAGAGCUUAUUACAGUCAUGAGUAGCGAAUUGUUGGAGGAGUCAGACCUUUCCUCUGAUGUGAUCCGUUUGGACACACCUCCUAUAACUAUACGCCGUGCUUAUGAUUCUGAUCAAUUUGAUGCUCUCUAUAAUCCUGUUGUGGGGAUCAACAUCGUGUCUGAAUCUUUUCCACUUAAAUUAUUUAAAAAUUUGGUCUUAACCCCGACAACAAAGGUCAUAAAGGAAUCUUCAGGACGAUUAGUCCCCAGUCUUAGAAUUAUUAAUGUCCUACCCUUAUUGGUGGAAGGCUCCAUGGUUCAUUUGAACAUCUAUAUCUUUGAUACAUGGGACUUCAACCUGUUGAUAGGACAACCUUUUAGAAGACUCCUUUAUGAAGGUCAUACUGGAAAGCUACACAUUUCUUUUGGAAAAACUUUUAAAUUUCCAAUAAUAAUUUCACACUCCUUAUAUAAUAAGGCCGAGACAUAUCUUUUGCCUGAUCCUAUGGAGGAGGUAAAGGCUGCAUCUCUAGAGCUUUUAGAAGAACCAGACUUAGAAGACGAAGCUCCUUUCUUCAUAGAAGAAGCUGAACCUUCUGAACCUGAAUCCUUAGAUGAGUUUGCAGAAAUGCCUAGACCUCCCAUAGAGCUGAAAACUUUACCACCCGGUCUUGUCUAUGCUUACCUAAACAAUAAUCCAGAGUUUCCUAUGAUCAUUAGUGAUAAACUCACUCAGGAGCAAACUCUGCGAUUGAUGACCAUUCUUGAGAAAUAUCACUCAGUUUUCGGCUACUCACUCCAAGAUCUUACAGGAAUCAGUCCUAUGAUUUGUACCCAUCGUAUUCCGACAGAUCCUUCUGUUUCACCUUCUCGAGAGUCCCAACGUAGACUUAACAACGCGAUGAGAGAGGUAGUUAAAAAGGAAGUUAUAAAGUUGCUGCAUGCACAGAUAUAUAUCCUAUGCCGCACAGUGAGUGGGUGAGCCCAGUUCAAGUUGUGCCUAAAAAGGGAGGCAUGAUUGUCGUUAUGAAUGAAAAGAACGAGCUAAUUCCGCAAUGCACCGUCACAGGGUGGCGGAUGUGCAUAGACUAUAGAAAACUAAAUAAAGCCACGAGAAAGGAUCAUUUUCCUUUAACAUUCAUUGAUGAGAUGCUAGAGCGAUUAGCGAACCAUUCGUUCUUCUCUUUCUUACAUGGAUAUUCAGGGUGUUGAUGCAAAAGCUGAUCUGCAAACACAAAGGGCUAAUACCCGAUUUAAACGUUAAGGCGUGCCAGCCGAUUUGACCUUACUAUCGGCAAAGGUGAUAACUCGAAUACUUUGGUCCCGACAACAGCGAUGCACCCAGAUGCCACGGCCAAGAGGUAUUCACGCGGAACUUGAGAAUAUGCCGAGCUUAAGUCGACGAAUUCCUAAGAACUCAUAAUGAAAAAAGAAAAAUAUGACGAAGUCGUCGAAAAGUAGAUGCUGGAAUAUGUGUAAAAAUUUGUGUUUGAUUGAUUGAUAGAUGUCUUGAUUACAAGGCCCUAGGGUCUACAUUUAUACCCUGCUCAAAGAGAUACAACCAGACAUGACUAGAACUCGAAUUCCAAAUUUAGACAGAAUCCAUGUACAAAAUGAUUUAAAAAACUAAGGAAAACAUAAAACUAUCCUGCCGCGACAAGCUAGGACACCACCACGGACCAAUUGGCAAUCCCCAAAUCUUCCUUCCACGUCAUUGGCAGACUCCCCAUCGGCAACAAUCAGUACUAGCCAUCGGCAUAAACACAUCACCACCCAUGAACUUAGCCAUGUUCAACUGUCUCUUCAUCGGCAACCACCCUUAUCGGCAACUCUCCUGCAGACCAAUCACUCUUACCUUUUCUUGCCGAUCUACACUUCUACCGAUCCUGGGUACGUGUCCAAAAACGGUGUCAACAUAUGCCCCCAAUUUCGGAGUAUGAAAUCAUUAAUGCUCCGAAAUUCUCUGCAGUAAUGAUGCCUUUCCGCAAUUAAGUCUCCCAAUUUGGUAACCGACAACUUUAAUCUGAGCAACCUUGGUUCGAUUCCUCCGCAGAUUCCUCGAAAUCCUCAACUUCCCAAACGGACAUCUCCACUUUAGUCGCCCAUCGACAAUGUUACCGUUACUGAUACCUGCCGAUGGGCUAACCAGGACGUCAUGUUCAGUAAAGUAUCUUAUCCUCCCAACGGAUAUCCCCACUUUAUCCGCCCAUCGGCAAUAUUACCGUUACAUGGCGCUGCCAAUGGACCGACCAGGAAAUCUUGUACAGUAAAAUAUCUCCAGAUCACGACCGCUUCCUGUCAAAUCACCUGCACAAUCCCUUGAUUACCGUGCGAAUAGUUACCAUAUCUUCCUGAGUAUCCUCGGAUUUCACGGACACGGCGAAGUGAUAAGUCAGAUUUACCCUUGCCCAUUUUGUCCUAUAAAUAGUUCCUUCUCGGGCACUCCUUCUCCAUUGCAUCAUUCUACAGUUCCAACUCCACCUCCCUGGCGGCGGCGCUAUUCGAGAUCUCCAAGAACUCCAACAAAGCCUUUUCUUCACCAACCUCGGAGCCUUCGAUCAUCCUUUUUGUGACGAAAUGGCCAUUAAAUUCACCGUUCCCGAGGUUAGUUCUUCAUCCUACCUCCUGUACCUUUACCGUAUUCCUGUUCACCCGCACUUUAUUUUACUGAACAUUUUUCCCCUUCUUUUUUUUUGUUCUUCUUUUUACCUUCAAAACCAUUAGGAUCUGUACAAUAAAAUUGUCAUCCCUACCAAUCAGCCACACCUCCAAUGCCUUGGUCCAUUAGGGGAUCCAGAUCCCACCAAUCUUAUUAACAUGGAAACAAACAGAAUCCCAUUCAGAGCCGAGAACUUUUUUCUGGAUCUAUGGAAAGACACCUUCCGUUCCUGGCCCAGUCCUACCGUGGGAUGGAAGGAUUGGUUCUUGAGAGUUAGCCACUCAAAUGAAGUCCAGUGGGGUGAGAGAAAACUGGAUCAAUGCAUCAGGCUGUCCAUUGCCGAUAUGCAUAGGAAUGAGUCAUUACUGAUAGCUACAUCUUAUUUCUGGUCAGACACCCUCAAUGCAUUUGUCUUUGGUCACGGCCCUACUUCACCUACACUCGUCGAUGUGGUCAUGCUCACCGGCCUAGAUGUAUCCUCUGCCGAUAGCACCCACUUCUUUGAUACCAAACCCAGUGCUAAGGUAGAAACUCGCUCCAUCGGCGGUUGGUCAGGGUACAUCAAAAAAUACAAACGAACAGGCCCUGUGAACAUAAAGGAACAAACCAGCUUCCUGAACAUGUGGAUGGACAAAUUUAUAUUUUGUGGCCGAUCGGUAGGACCAACUUCUGUCUACUUGGCAGCAGCAGAAAGAUUAGCCAAUGGUGGCCGAUUUCCCCUCAACCGAUAUCUACUUGGCACAGCUUACCACCUCCUCCACCAAGUAACCAAGAAACUCCUGCUCGGCCAGUCCAUCGGCAACUUGGGGGGUCCCUGGUGGUUUAUCAAUAUGUGGCUUAGCCUCCACAUGCACAAGCGUCUCGAGUUUAACCUCUUCGCACAGCGCUUCCCCAGGGAUAUAGUCGAGGAUUAUGAACUGGAUGAGGAAGAAUCGGCAACUCGUCCUCCUCUGAACUUUGGCGAGGCUGUCAUAGUUCUGCUCGGUACAGGGGGUAAUGCAGACCAGGUCAGCCAAUUUUUCCAAACCCUGUAUGAAGGUCUGACCAGAGAACAGCGAGCAUGGUUGCCCUAUGACGAUCCAGACACCAUGUUUCCUUUGGUCUUUCAUCCGUUCAACGAUGCACUCAACAAGGAUCAUGAAGUGAUGAUGGCACUGAUUACUCCCAGAGCUAUACCAGUAAACUUCUUUGGUAGUGGGAAAACCUCCAACCAAACUUAUCAGUUUUAUAACCCAUCGGCACUAGCCUGUCAAUUAGCUUUCGGCCAGCUGCCGAUUGCACUCUGUUAUGCCGAUGUGAUAAAACCCAGGGAAGCCAUCACUAACCUCUUCGAGUGGAUUCGAGUAGCCCAACUGCCAUCGAGUGCCGAUACAGAUGCAGAUUUAUCAGAGUGGGUCCCGGCCGCCUUUAUCACUCAGGCAUACAAGCAAUGGUGGGAAGAAUGGAAGGAGCACUUGUUCUGCACAUCGGCCCUUACAUACCGUGGCAUGAUUGAUCCCCAAUACAAGGUCCCUGAUGAUACUGUAAAGUAUUUCCAAACCGAUGUUCUACUCCUUUUAUUCUCAACUUCAUCGGUAACUCACUUUCUGUGAUAUGUUGCAGGUUGAUGACACUCCUCCAUCGGUCAGCAAGAGUGGCAAGCCGAUUGAUCUGUUCCCAUCAGGUCCGAUCUCUUCAAUCGGCAACAACGCUCCCACUCUGGCCACCAUCAUGCAUCGAGGUGUAUGCCUCAAGAAAGUUACCACCAGGAGAACUCAGAUACCUCCAUCGGUAGCUGCCUCAACCUUGGCACAGGCGUUCAAGGUGCAUUUUCAAAUUUUUUCAUACCGAUCUCACUCUUAUAUCUGUUGCACUUAUACUUACGAAUCUCCCUUUUUGUAUCAGCACACCAGCUCAUCGGCAAGGACCAGAAGCAAAAGUGCCGAUGCGCCCCAGUCUAGUCAACCGAAGAGAAAAGGUGCCAAGAGUACCAGAGCACAAGCAAAGCGCCAAAGAGUAGCAACGCCUUCUCCUCCCCAAGUAUCACCAAUCCCGGUAGAAUCUUCUCCUUCCUCUCCAGAAACACAGACACAGCAGGUACCAUCCCCUUCUCAGCUACAAGAAGCACCACAAGUGGAAGAACCCCAACCAGAAGAGCCUCAACCAAAAGUACCUCAGCCAGAAAACAUAUCGGCUGACGUGCAUGAACAAACCGCCGAUCCAGUAGGUUCCAUUAUAGCAUCAGUAGUUUCUUCCAUCCAGACAAGUACUGCGUCUCCCCAAGGUAACACACUUCCUAUGAAAUCAUUGCCGAUGAACUCAUUUCUUCUGUCUUACAAUUAUUUCUAUUAUUCUUUCAGCCGACAUAGUUCCAUCGGCAACCCUAGCCGAUCAACCAGUGGUUCCAUCGGCAUCUUCUAGUCAGAGGCGAGAGAUUGCCUUGAAACAAGUAAGUUAUCCAAUCCUUGUCUGUAUUAUUUAUCAAUACCUGACCAAAGAAUAACUCAUUUUAUCUCUUUUUUAGGAGCAGGACUCUCCCGACAGUUUGUUCUCUUUUGCCAUCGACAUCUCCGAAGAUGAAGGGAAGAAGCAAGUUCCUCUCGGGCCGUUGGAAUUACAUCGGCAGAAAUCAGGGCAAAAUUGGAAGAAUUGUCGGCCCUCCUCCAUCAAGACACAGCCCAGCUAGUCGAUGAUUCCGAUCCGGCCAAGGCUUUAUUCAAGACCCUUAGAGGCCAAAUCCCCGCCGAUGCUGAAGAAGUUCUCUCUCAAGCCGCUCAUCUAGAGAGCCAUCAGCUGCAGUACCAGAGGGCUGCCCAACGUCUUGCCGACAGAGCUGCUCAGACUCAGCUUUCUCAGGAGAUGAUGAAAGCAAAGCUUCUUACCGAUGAGAAGCACAAGAACAUCGGCACUUUGAAGUCCUCAGGAGAUGCACUGAAGCACAAGAUCUCUGAUCUGUCAGCAAAAAGAGAAGCCUUGUUGGCAGAGCUCAAGCAAGUGGAAGAGGCCUUGUCCCAGGCUCAACAAGAGGAAAACCAGCUGCCCGAGGCGAUCAAACUCCUUGAGCAAGAGCGAAAUGUCCAAGGUCGUAAAGCGCUGCAGUUGAAGAAGAAAUUGAAGCCGGUGGAAGGCUCUGCCGAUGAAGACAUCAAAGAGAUGGAAGCAGCCAACCAGAUCCGCUUGCGUGCUAUAUCGGCGAUCCAAGCGUUGCUGAACACGUGAACUCUUCAUCGGCAACAUACUUGCUUCUUUCUGCUUUCCAAACUUCCUAAUAUCUAGUCUAGCCGAUAGGACUGUUAUCGGCACCUUUUAAAACACUAAGUCCGGUCCCAGAUACAUUUUGACCCACCCGAUAGGGAUGUUAUCGGCACUCAAACUUUCAUGCAUCGACCCAUAUGCUGGGGUAGUACUUCUUUAGAUAUUUGCCAUUUAAUGCUCUGGGAAAUUCAGCUCCUUCAAGAGUUUCUAGAAUAUAGGCAUUACCAGGAGCCGAUCGACUUAUCCGAUAGGGACCCUCCCAAUUGGGAGACCACUUCCCAAAUUUUGAACUUUUAGUCCCAAUCGGUAAGAUUAAUUUCCAUACUAAGUCUCCAUCGGCAAAUUCUUUAGCCUUUACCCUCUUAUCAUACCAUCUAGCAACUCUCUUCUUAUUCUCUUCUAUACUCAUCAAAGCCCUUAGCCGAUGCCCUACUAGAUCAUCCAACUCGUCUGUCAUCAAAGUAGCAUAGUCAUCGGCAGUCAAUUGAUCCUGGAAAGAUAGUCGCCUAGAUCCAGUCUUAAUUUCCCAAGGUAACACUGCAUCAUACCCAUACACCAACUGAUAAGGUAAAAACUUGGUCGAUCCAUGACAAGCAAACUGGUAUGACCAUAAAGCUUCAUUUAAUAAUGUGUGCCACCUCCUAGGAUUCUCCUCAAUCUUUCGUUUAAUAAGCUUGAUAAUUCCUUUGUUAGAUGCCUCGGCCUGCCCAUUAGCUUGAGCAUAAUAAGGAGAAGAGUUUAACACUUUAAUUCCCAUACCGAUUGCAAAUUUGUCAAACUCUCCCGAUGUGAACAUAGUACCCUGAUCGGUAGUAAUUGUUUGAGGAAUCUCAAAUCGAUAGAUAAUGUGCUCUUUCACAAAAUCAAUCAUAUUGGCCGAUGUAACGUUCUUUAAAGGAAUAGCUUCAACCCAUUUAGUGAAAUAAUCAGUGGCAACCAAGAUAAACUUAUGCCCUUUGCUAGAUGGUGGAUAAAUCUGGCCGAUCAAGUCAAUAGCCCACCCUCGAAACGGCCAAGGCUUGAUGAUAGGAUUCAUAGCCGAUGCAGGUGCCCUUUGAACAUUGCCAAACUUCUAACAUCCUUGACACCCUUUAAAAUACUUAAAGCAAUCCUCAAGUAUGGUCGGCCAAUAAUAUCCAUUCCUCCUAAUUAUCCACUUCAUCUUAAAAGCCGACUGAUGUGCUCCACAUACCCCUUCAUGGAUUUCUCCCAUCAAACUCUUAGCUUCAUCAUCACCUAAGCAUCUGAGAAGAAUCCCAUCAAUAGUUCGAUAAUACAAUUCAUCUUUGAGGAGCACAUACUUGGUGGCUUGAAACCGAACCCGUCUCUCAACUUUCUUGGAUGGACCCUUCAAAUAAUCAAUGAUUUCUUUUCUCCAAUCAUCGGCACCGACUGCCGAUAUCGCAUUAAUCAUGGGCUGAUAUCCUGAGGCAUGUUGAGCCAAUCGAUUGGCCUCCUCAUUAUGCAACCUUGGAACAUGCUCUAAUCGGAAAUCCUUGAAUUCCUUCAACAAUUGCAUACUCUUUUCAUGAUAGGUUAUGAGGACUUCACUUCGGCAUUCAUAGUUUCCAGCCAAUUGAUUUAUAACUAACAUAGAAUCCCCGAAGAUUUCCACAGCAUCAGCAUGAACUUCCCGUAGUAACUCCAAUCCCUUUAUUAGGGCUUGAUAAUCAGCUUGAUUAUUUGUUGACGUGGCAACAAUCGGCAAGGAGAACUCAUAUUUCCUUCCCCGAGGGGAAAUUAACAAGAUGCCGAUUCCUGCCCCUCGGUCACAUGUCGAUCCAUCAAAGAAGACCGUCCAAGGUGCAAUUUCCACGGUACCGCAAUGUUGGGUUACAAAAUCGGCCAUAAUCUGCCCCUUAACCGCUUUAGCCAAUUCGUAACGUAGGUCGAAUUCCGAUAGUGCCAAAAUCCACUUACCGAUUCUGCCACUCAUGAUCGACAUAGAUAGCAUGUACCGGACCACAUCAUCUUUGCAAAUAACCGUGCACUCGGCCGAUAGCAAAUAAUGCCUUAACUUAAUACAGGAGAAAUACAAGCAUAAGCAUAGUUUCUCAAUAGCCGAAUACCUGGUCUCAGCAUCAAUCAGCCUCCUGCUUAAAUAGUAAAUCACACGCUCCUUCCCUUUAAAUUCUUGAAUUAGGGCUGAACCGAUGACCAUCCCAUCGGUAGACAAAUACAAUCUGAAGGGCUUCCCUUGCUGAGGUGCAAUUAGAACUGGAGGAUUCACUAAAUAAUUCUUGAUUUCGUCCAAGGCCAACUGUUGUUCUUUCCCCAGACGAAUUCUUGAUCGGCUUUCAACUUAAGUAAAGGACUGAAAGCACGAAUUUUACCAGACAACUUAGAUAUAAAUCUUCUGAUAAAAUUUACCUUGCCGAUCAAGGAUUGGAGCUCAGUCUUGUUGGUGGGGGCAACUAUUUUAUUGAUAGCAUCAAUGGAUCUUCGACUAAUUUCAAUCCCCCUUUGAUGCACCAUGAAACCAAGAAAUUGCCCUGCCGAUACACCAAAUGUACACUUAUUGGGAUUCAUUUUCAAACCAUGCUUCCUUGUGCACUCUAACACCUUUCGCAAAUCGGCAAGAUGCUUUGUGAAGUCUCCAGACUUAACCACCACAUCAUCAAUAUAAAUUUUCACCAGCUUGCCGAUGAACUCAUGAAAUAUAAAAUUCAUGGCCCUCUGAUAAGUAGCACCAGCAUUCUUCAAGCCAAAGGUCAUGACUAUCCAUUCAAACAACCCAACAUGACCAGGACAUCUAAAUGCAGUCUUUGGAAUAUCUUCUUCAGCCAUGAAUAUUUGAUUGUAUCCUACAUUGCCAUCCAUAAAGCUAAUAAUCCGAUGCCCGGCUGCAGGAUCAACUAACAGAUCGGUGUUGAUAUUUGGUAAUGCAAUAAGGAAAUGAUCCGCAAGCGCACGGAUAUCGGUGAGCAUUUCACCCGGGAGGUUAUCCAGAGUUAUCGUAUUUAUAUUUUUACCACUGGGAGAAAGGGUGCAUCUGACUAACCAAAUCUAUUGCUACUACCCCUUUAGGCUACAAAGAAUGUCUCUCGAUGUGAGUGAUGUAUAGAGAAGACUGCAACCGUAGUCUCGUUCUAACCUUGGUAAGGAUGAUCUACUGUUCUAUUGGGGAGGCUCACGGAAUCUAGACGACACAAAGGAUGUUCGACCCGCACCUAUAACCCUACCCGUCCUGCUAACGAGAUGUGAUCUGCAAAGGUAACUCGGAAAUGUCACGUUCCUCGCUACUACCACGGUCCAGCUAGUCAGGGGAUAUCUAUGAGUACCCUAGCAUAAACACCACGUUUACGCUAGCAAGUGAUUACUCUAAUACUCAACCGGAAGAGGAUUAAAGUAAACUCAUAAACCAAAGAACAAUAAAACAAGAACUUACUAGUAUUAGAAGUCGAAUUACUGAAGAAUCUUAGAAGCAAGCCUCGGGUUAGGAGACUUGAUCCUGUAGGUACAACUCGGAGUAGACACCGACAGGCCGGCCUUCCUCCGAUCCACACUUCCACUCUAUCUCUCUCAAUCUAGUAGAAACUAGAAGAUCUAUUUCUACUUUACAUUGGAUGCUAAGCCUAAAAAGAAAUAUUAUUUAGAGAAGAGGUUUUCCUUCGAGGGCACCCCUCAAUCUCUAUGAUAAUUUCUUGUCUCCUCCAGGGCCAGAGGGGGUCUCCUUAUAUAGUCCUCCCCUUCUAUGCGUUUUUGGGUCGAUAGGCGAGGUGGUACUAUGUUAUUCUGGAUCCAAUAGGUCGGUGGAACGUCGUGUGCGAAGAGAGUCCGGAACGGAGUCCAGAGGGGGGCGGGCGCCCAGGUCCUCAGGGCGGGCGCCCUGGGCCUGGCCCCUUUCGGGCUCCGCUUUCUUCCCGUGGCUUCUGGAGUCUUCUAGAUGGUAGAAAAUUGUGCGGUGGGUUGAUAUCUCUAUGUAAUCCCGACAUGUGGGCCUUUCUUCCUUAUUUCCUGAUAACCCCCUGCAGAAAUAGACAAACACCAAAACUCGUGGAAUUCUGUCAGAUGAAACCCUAAGUCUAGAUGUUGAUUUUAUUUGGAUCCUUUUCUUUGUUUAUUUGAUAAUUAAAUUUGAUACUUAAGGACCGUCAACAAACUCCCCCAAGCUUACCUCUUGCUCGUCCCUGAGCAAGGAUGAACUCAAGAGUUUCUGCAGUGGUUUCAUUUCUUAGAAGUACACACGCAUUUAAGCAAGAUCUCAUCUCUGAGUUAGAAUAAACUGUUAAGACUUAAAACUUACUUACUUUACCUACACCAUAUGACUUGUAACCGUCACUUCUGUCUUGAGUGGUUAAAAGAUAGAAUAGUCUAGCCAAGUGCCAUGUCUCUUAUUCUUGAUCAGCUAUAGCUCUGGGGUUUUUGCAGAUUUUCAAAUAAAACUCAGAAAUUCCUUGUAUGAUUCUCUCAGGUCUCUCUUUUGUGGUAUUUUUGGAUCCUUACCAGGCAGUGAUGGUAUAUGCCUUCUCUCAAGAUAUGUGGUAUUUGUGGUAUGAAGCAUAGUGACAUUGUCUUCUCUCUCACCCUACUCUAAUAAGGCUUUAAUAUCUGGAGCUCAUAGGUGGGAGAUAAAGUAUACAUACUUACAAGACAUUUAUUGCAUAGUCAAACCAUGGAUCCAAAGAAACAAAUCAAUAAGCCAAAUCAAGAUGUGCAUGUGAAUGGUGUAUGGUGAUGAUGGUGAUAAUGGUGGUGGAAGUCUAAUUCUACUUUGCUCUUUGAGGGGAUACAUACCUUCCUUGCUUUUGAAACUUUAUGAGGAGAAUGAGAUGCUCUAUAUUUUCUUUCUCUUUCCUCUCAGGUGGGUAUCUUGUACCCCUAAUUCUACUGUCGGACACUUGUCCAUUUUUACCUCUCGUCUCACUUUUUUUUUCUUUUUCUUCGAGGUUCCGGGCACUUGCCCCUUUUUAUUUCCUCGUAUAUUAUUUAUUUUAUUAUUAUUUUUUUUCCUUUUUUUUUCUUUUUUUUAGAGCACUCAUUUCCUGAAAUAAUAUAGCAAGUGGUAGUAACCAAGAUAACUCGAGCAUUUAUUUCACAGGGAAUAACAGGGAUAGGAAAAAUAUUUUUGGCUAUUCUCUCCCGGAUUAGGAGUAGAAUAAUUUCGGGUAAAUGUGGAGAUGGAAAUGAGUGGAUAUAUGUGGAUGGUACUUCCGGAGUAGAAGUAGCAUGUAUGAGUGAACGUGCAAGUGAAUGUUGAUUUUAACCACAUGACAAGCUCCUAAGGGUCUACACAGCUUGACCAUACUCAAUGCUCAUAAGCAGUAAAAAGUAAAUGUGUGGCUCAAAGUCUAGCAAGCAUGUAUAUAUGGCUGUGGUAGGAUUUUAAACUCUCAUCAUACAGGAACUCAUCAUGUGAUAUUUUAAAGAUUUUCAAAGAUAAAAUUCUCCAGAAUUCUAGCAUCUCUAGGAACAGAUAAACAGCAGCUCAACCUUCCCAUAUCGUAUCCGUUAACAACUUAGACAUCAGAUCAAGUUUUCAUCCCACAAGUUUAGGUCUAGAGCAAGCCUUAAAUUAUAAUAGUUAUAUCUAAACUUGAGAGAGAACUUCAAAUUUGCAAAUUAGGCAGAGCAACUAUUCAUCAUAUCCAUGCUUAAGUUUUAUUAGAUACAGAUUAGCAUAGCCACUUUAUUUAUUUAUUAAACACACUAAGCAAAAUAUAUAUAAGCAUAAAAUCUUUAUUUGGUUUUUCAUAGUUAUGUGUAUUUAUAUUCUAAUAUAGUAUAAGUAUAAAGAUAGAUAGAAAUACUUAUCGAGAUAAAUGGGGGUGCUCUCCCCCAAGCUGAAUUUUGACGUAAUUUCUCUUGAUGUAGCUAGCAGGUGGCAAAGGUGUGUUUGAAAGUCAGCAAUAUUUUGACAGCGAUUAGAAUGUCCUCCGUCUACUAGUCUUCUUGAUUCUUAAAUUCAGUGGAGCUCAAAUAGACAACAAAGCUUGUGGAACUGAUUAAGUGUUAGCAUAAAUAUCUAGCCUUUAUUAUCUUGAGACUCCUUAAUAAUUAUUACUCCCUAUUUUUAUAUUUUUGUUUUUAUAAAGUAGAAAAAUAUUUAUUUUAUUUUUAUGCCACCACAGUGAAUGUACUUAUGGGUUUUAUGCCACUCGUCUACUCACAUGGGGCUUACAGUUUUUUUCACAUUUUUAUUUUCUUUCUAGGAUAAUACAAACAUGAUUAACUAAGUAAACUAUUUGAAAUAAUUAAAAGAGAAAGGAUAACUACCAAGUUUACCUCUUGGCAAGGCGUUCGGUGUUUUUAAGUCCUCCGAGCGGGACUCUCCAUUUUCUUAAUCGUCCUGGGAUUCGCUGGAUGACGUAGUCGGUGAUUCCGGUGGCGCCUCCUCUUCGUGUGUAACUAUAUUCUCUCUCCACACCUGACUCGGUGCUACGGUCUCCUCAGGACAGUUAUGUUCAAGUGGUAUGUCUUUAGUCCUUAUCACUUCUCCUUCGUAGUCUACCCAUCCGUUCUUGAUGAUUUGCCUCCUCUGGUUGCGGUUGCGAUGUCUUCUUCUUGUCCUGACCUGCUUAGAGUCUUCAACUAUAUAGUUAGGGUCAGUAAAACAGCGGCAUACCUUCUCAGAGGAGAAGUGUAUGUGGACUUCUCUGGUUCCAAUAUAGAUGAUGGCUUUGAUAGUGCUGAGGAACUGUCUUCCAAGGAUGGUGGGUGGAUCAUAUUCAUCUUCUCCCAUGUCAAUAACUUGAAAGUCAUCUAUAGCUGAAUGUAUAUUGGUUGUAGGGGCAUGGUUUCAUGCAGGAGCUGAUAAGUGACUACGGCCAUUAUGUUGACGUCAGAUCCGGUGUCGUAGAGUGUCUUCUAAAAAGAGUAUCCAUUGUUUGUGCAUUCGAUUCUUGGAACACCAGGGUCGUCCUUCUUGAUCAAGAAAGGUGACUUGAGUCGACGAUCUUGACCUCCUUGAGCUGCAGUGACCAUCUUAGCUGACUCGGUCCACAUUUGCUUGUUCCUGUUCCUCCUGUUGGUCCUCUUCCUUGGUUCAUGUCGGGAUUGCUCUGAAGUUUGUGUAGUCUUGUUCUUGAAGGAAAAUCUCCUUCUUCCCCUUGAUGUAGAGACUGAUCUUGGCAGCAUUAGCGUAGAUGACUGCUCUGGUGUUUAGGAAUGGCCUCCCUAAGAUGAUUGGUGCCUUCUCCUCAGUGCCAGUCUCUAUCACCAUGAAGUCUGCUAGAGCAUACAAGGUACCAACUCGGACGCAGAGGUUCUUCAAUAUUUCCUUUGGGAAACUGAGUGUCUGAUCUGCAACCCUGGGCAUAAUGUUGACGCUGGAGCCAAAGUCGUAGAGUGCUUCUGGGAAGUCCACCAUGCCGAUGGAGAUCGGGAUGACGGGACGUCCUAGAUCACCUCUCUGAGUAAUUAGGCCUCUGUUGAUUCCAACCUUGAUGUUGUUGAGGACGGUUGUAGUAAUAGUUGUUAUUGUUGUUGAUGUAGUUCACGUCCUCAAGCAUCUUAGGCCAGUGAUUGCCUGAGCGUUCAGUAUCUCCAGUGUGUUUAUUCUCGUAGAUCCUAGUUCUUCACUUGGUGGAAUCUGGGAGUUGUAAAACUCCUUCAUAUUAUGCUCGAAGUGUUCCUGCUCAUAGAAACAAGGUAGAGAUCAAGUGCAUGGGCCCUGUUGGUGGAAAACACCAACAGAACCAAAAGUGUAUUUGUUCUUCUCUAACCUUAAGCAUAGUGAGCAAGACAAAGUUGAUGGAUCAUGAGUGUAGCAUUUGUCAGAUCAGAUGGCUCAACCUAAUGGAAAGAUAAUCUAUCUAUAUUUAUGUUUUGUUUAUAUCUUCCAAAUAUUGCAUGUGCAAUACUUUAGCUUAUAUGAUUAGGAGUGUGGGGUCACGAAGGUAGUACUAAGAACAAAGAUUAAAGGACUAAUCAUGUUGAAUUAAUUGAGUUGGUUAAUUUGGAGUUAUAAAUCAUACAUGUUUGUCUCUUUAUUUAUGUGAAUGCCAGAACCAAGGAUGAGCUUAUAAAAGUGUUAGUCAAGUACCUUAAGAUGUUACCUUACUUGAAGAGUGAUGGUACAGUAUCACCUUGUGGAAGCUUUCCUUUCUUAGCGGUUGUGCAUCGUGUUUGUGGCACCCUCCAUGAAUCAUCUCUUAUGAGCUACGUCUUUCUUGUGCAAAUUGUUAAACUUCAUGUGUCACUUUCUUCAUCUCUAAUGAGUUUGCAUCUCAGGACUUCCCAGGUUGUUAUUGAAUGUUUUCCUACAGGGGUUAGUCCAACAAAAUAUACCAAUAUCUACUCAAGCAGUUUUUAGUUCAGUAACCAAACUAGACUCCAUGUAUAAUCAGAUUAAGGAAGGCUAUUUAACCUAAGCACCACGCUUAAUUUAAAUGCCAUUGGAAGUGUGACCAGUACUUCCAAACUAAUACUUACUAGGAUAAACAAAGGUAGCAUGAUGGCUUUUAUAGAGAUCUACUCAAGUGGAGAUGAAGUAGUGUGAUUAGUAUUUAACAAAUUGAGCAUGUCUCAAAGGUAAGGACAACCAACAUAGCAACAUGGCAAAGGAUGUUUUAUGUAAAGUACUCCCCCAAGCUUGAAUUUUGCAAAAUUCAAGAUUGGAUGAAUUUAAAUUAAUGUUGCAUGAUGAUUGGUUGGGCAUACCUUGCGCUUGUCAUUCAUCCGAUCUUCUUGCUCUAAUCCUAGAAAGGUUAGUGGCAAGAAUACCCGAAGGAAUAUUUCUACAAUUAUCUCAAUAUGCUCAAUACACAAGGCAAUGUUGCAAAUAAUUAGAAGUGCUUGUUUUAGGACACUAAGCUUGUCCUUGGGAAACCAUCAAUUAACUCAACGAGAUCUGCAAUAUUUAUUAUUGACAUAUGCAUCGACAACCGCCCUUUUAAAGUUUUUAUAAAUAGAAAAGAAGAGGGGGUUGGAGAUCUCAAAUGUGGUAAGGAUGGAGAGACAAAUUGAUUGGAGAGAUGUUUUAUAUGAGCAAGGACUGGGUGAGGUAUUUAUGAAAUAACUUCCAUGCUCACUGUUGUUUCUCUCAUUCUCAAACUCCAAGGAUGAUUCUUCAUGAAUGAUUAAAAUUCCUCUAGGAUUGUCUCUCAAGUUUGUUUUAUCUAUCCAUUCAAUGGUGAUAGCACAUGGAUUUUUAAUGCCCUCUAGCCAUUGAUGUUGCUCUUCUCGAUCCUCCUUCUUAUGCAUGGGAUGUCUAGAUAGAUUCAUAGGAUUAUCAGGAGGUUCAAGAGAAUAGAAAUUAUUAAGCUCAAGGAUGGGAUGGAUAGCCGAAUCAUGGGAUUGGAAUGUUUGGAAAUCGGCUAUUGAAACUUCCUUUCCUCGUCUGGGAGAUGAUUCCUUCUCUAUCUCUAGGAUUUUUCUAUGAAGACUAGUACAAGAAGGAUGUCCACAAAUGAAGACAUACCUUCCUUUACUAAUAGAUAAAGAAAGAAAGACUCUACCAAAUGUUAUAUGAUUAAGACCAAUGUGAAAAUAUCUAGAAAAAACAUGGUCUUGUAGGUCUAGGUCUAAACCAGAAUUUAUAGAAAGAUUAAAAGAUUCCCUAGGUGUAGCUAAAAGUGCAUUAUCUUCUUGAUUAAAAGAUAGGACCUCAGCUAUAGAAAAGGGUUGGUUUUGACCUAUUGCAAUCAACUCCGGACACAGAUCAUAAUUAGGGGCAGGACGUGUUGACUCCCAUGGUCUAUGGCUGGUCUCCGAAGGUGCAACGAAUUUAAUUAUAGGUAUGGAAUUUGAGUUAUCCAUAAAGAUAAAAAUAAAAAGAUAAAAUAAUAAAAGUAUAAAAGUAUAAUACAAGAUAAUAGCAAGACUCAAAGUUAUCUCAGCAAACCGUCUUUCUCCCCGGCAACGGCGCCAGAAAUGCUUGUUGAUAUUUGGUAACGCAAUAAGGAAAUGAUCCGCAAGCGCACGGAUAUCGGUGAGCAUUUCACCCGGGAGGUUAUCCAGAGUUAUCGUAUUUAUAUUUUUACCACUGGGAGAAAGGGUGCAUCUGACUAACCAAAUCUAUUGCUACUACCCCUUUAGGCUACAAAGAAUGUCUCUCGAUGUGAGUGAUGUAUAGAGAAGACUGCAACCGUAGUCUCGUUCUAACCUUGGUAAGGAUGAUCUACUGUUCUAUUGGGGAGGCUCAUGGAAUCUAGACAACACAAAGGAUGUUCGACCCGCACCUAUAACCCUACCCGUCCUGCUAACGAGAUGUGAUCUGCAAAGGUAACUCGGAAAUGUCACGUUCCUCGCUACUACCACGGUCCAGCUAGUCAGGGGAUAUCUAUGAGUACCCUAGCCUAAACACCACGUUUACGCUAGCAAGUGAUUACUCUAAUACUCAACUGGAAGAGGAUUAAAGUAAACUCAUAAACCAAAGAACAAUAAAACAAGAACUUACUAGUAUUAGAAGUCGAAUUACUGAAGAAUCUUAGAAGCAAGCCUCGGGUUAGGAGACUUGAUCCCGUAGGUACAACUCGGAGUAGACACCGACAGGCCGGCCUUCCUCCGAUCCACAUCUCCACUCUAUCUCUCUCAAUCUAGUAGAAACUAGAAGAUCUAUUUCUACUUUACAUUGGAUGCUAAGCCUAAAAAGAAAUAUUAUUUAGAGAAGAGGUUUUCCUUCGAGGGCACCCCUCAAUCUCUAUGAUAAUUUCUUGUCUCCUCCAGGGCCAGAGGGGGUCUCCUUAUAUAGUCCUCCCCUUCUAUGCGUUUUUGGGUCGAUAGGCGAGGUGGUACUAUGUUAUUCUGGAUCCAAUAGGUCGGUGGAACAUCGUGUGCGAAGAGAGUCCGGAACGGAGUCCAGAGGGGGGCGGGCGCCUAGGUCCUCAGGGCGGGCGCCCUGGGCCUGGCCCCUUUCGGGCUCCGCUUUCUUCCCGUGGCUUCUGGAGUCUUCUAGAUGGUAGAAAAUUGCGCGGUGGGUUGAUAUCUCUAUGUAAUCCCGACAUGUGGGCCUUUCUUCCUUAUUUCCUGAUAACCCCCUGCAGAAAUAGACAAACACCAAAACUCGUGGAAUUCUGUCAGAUAAAACCCUAAGUCUAGAUGUUGAUUUUAUUUGGAUCCUUUUCUUUGUUUAUUUGAUAAUUAAAUUUGAUACUUAAGGACCGUCAACAAUCGGCAACUGGCAUUGGGUAGCCAUCCAUCGGUGUAGCUUUAUUAAGAUUCCUGAAAUCAAUGCAGACCCAAAGCUUCCCAUUUUUCUUAUAGACCGGAACAACAUUGGAAAUCCACUCGGCAUACCGACACUGCCGAAUAAAUUUGGCUUCAAUAAGUUUGGUAAUUUCGGCCUUAAUAUUAGGGAGAAUAUUAGGAUUACAUCGGCGAGCCGGCUGUUGAUGCAGCCGAAAUCCAGACUUGAUAGGCAACCGAUGUUCAACAAUCGAUCGGUCCAAACCAGGCAUCUCGGUAUAAUCCCAAGCAAAGCAAUCUUCAUAUUCCUUUAACAAAUCGGUCAACUGCUGCUUACACUCAGGAUUCAAUUUAGCACUAAUAAAAGUAGGUCUAGGUUUAUCACCGCUACCUAUAUCUACCUCCACUAGAUCAUCGGUCGAUGUGAAUCCCUGGCCUAAUUUUCCAUCAUCGGCGAACCUAUCCAUUAAAAACCUUCGUCAGAACCAACUGCUUGGAUCGGUAGAAUUUCAUAAUCGGCAACCUUGAGAAAAUCCUUUUCCCAAACUUCUCCUGAAAUACACCUAGUCCUUUCAUAGGUGUCUGCUUCUGCCGAUGCAAUGACAUAUGAAGAGUCUCCUGGGACAAUUUCAAUCUUGUUGCCUACCCACUAGACCAAGCACUGGUGCAUUGUAGACGGGAUACAACAAUUGGCAUGAAUCCAAUCUCUCCCCAGCAACAGAUUGUAGGCACCUUUCCCACUGAUCACAAAGAAGGUUGUCGGCAAGGUCUUGCUGCCGAUAGUCAACUCAACACAGAUAGCUCCUUUAACUGGGGACACAUUGCCUUCGAAAUCCUUUAGCAUCAUAUCGGUCUUGGUCAAAUCUUGGUCUCCUUUUCCAAGCUUCCGAUACACUGCAUACGACAUGAUAUUGAUAGCCGCUCCACCAUCAACUAGAAUCUUGGUCAUCGGCUGACCAUCCACUCUUCAUUUUACAAACAGAGCCUUAAGAUGUUGCCUUUCAUCAUCGGCAGGCUUUUCGAAGAUAGCUGUCAUCGGAUCCAGAGCCAACUGAGCUAUUUGGUCGGAGAACUCCAACUCAUCAUCACUAGAUGGCGCAAGGAACUCCAUCGGCAACAUAAAGACCAUUUUGACAUCUGCCGAUGGACCUUUCCCCUUGGGAUCUGAUUGCUGCUGAUCCCCAGACUAGCCAGAGUUCUCGCCCUUGCUUAGCCCUUCUCGCCUUUCGUGCUGCAGUCUUCUCUUCUGUGUCCUGGUCAACCCCUCUGGACACCAGGGAGGAAGUUGCUGCUGCCUUACUGAUGGGCGACGAUUUUCCCUCGACUCCAUCCGAUAAGUAUUGGCAUCCCAACAAAAUAUGAACUCAUCGGGAACCCGAGCAUCAGCAAUCUCUUCAAGUUCUUCCUGGUUCCUGGGAAAAUACCCAACACGAUCACCAAGCCUGUCGUGUACGCUGAGCCUGCCCCCAGCCGAUCAUGAACGGAUGCUCUCCCCCUGAUCGGCCCAUUAAAUCGCCGAUCGUCAUCAUGAUGGCGCCGAUCAGAUCUGUCAUACCGAUCAUAACCAUUGCACUCAGGACAAUCUCUGACAGUAGGAACCUUGAUAUUUUCCUCCCAACAGUGAAUGAAGAACGGGCAAUUCCAGUGAUCCCUAUGCCGAUUCCACUCCUGUCGGCGUCUCUCUUCUUCCCGACGAUAAUCCUCUUGCUGGCGUCGAUACCGAUCCUCACGUUGCUGCCAAGUCUCCCGAGGCCUUCUGUGAGUUAUCACAAUACCAGAUUGGGGAGGCCUCCCUGAGUUAGUUCCCUCCUGGAUCAGGCCUUUUCCUUUCGCAUCGGCGGUAGUGAUAUGAUGCUGAGGAUCCACCGAUGCACUCCUUUCAGCUGCUUCUGAUGUUAAGACCUUGGCCUUUCCCUUGGCAUCCAGCAUGUUUGUCGAGAAAGGAUAUUGAUCAAUCUUCAUCGGCUUCUGAGCUUUGGAGCUAUCAAACUUGAUCCUCCCAGAUUCUAUAGCCGAUUGCAGCUGUUGUCUAAAAACUUUGCACUCAUUGGUGCUAUGAGAAGUUGCAUUGUGCCAUUUACAGUACUUCAUCUUCUUCAACUCCUCGGCCGAUGGGAUUACAUGAUUUGGUGAUAAUUUGAUCUGACCUUCUUGAAGUAGAAAGUCAAAUAUCCUAUCGGCCUUAGUGAUGUCAAAUGCGAACUUCUCUGGUUCCUUGUGCCCGAAAGGACAAGACAUCAGCUUCUUGUUUUUCACCCACUCUGCCAAGCCGAUGACUGGUUCCUCAUCAGAAUCCGAGCUUGCUACUUCAUCUACAAAUGAUACCUUUUUGUUCCAUGCUCUCUUGGGUUCAAAAGGCUUGAUAUCUUGAUCAGAAAUUCUUUGCACCAAAUGACUUAAGCUUUCAAACUCUUGAGAUGCAUACUUAUCCCUGAUAUGUGGCAGCAAACCCUGGAAAGCCAAAUCGGCUAACUGCCGAUCAUCCAGAACCAGGCUGUAGCAUUUAUUCUUGACUUCCCGCAACCACUAUACAAAGCUCUCAACUGAUUCAUCAUUGCGUUGCUUCAAUCUAACCAAAUCGGUAAUCUUCUUUUCAUGAACCCUGGAAAAGAAGUAUUUGUGAAACUGCUUCUCUAGAUCGGCCCAAGUAAUCACUGAGUUAGGUGGUAAUGACAUAAACCAAGUGAAGGCUGAUCCAGACAAUGAUGACGAGAACAACCGAACCCUUAACUCAUCCCGAUUAGCAGCUUCUCCGCAUUGGAUGAUGAACCUGUUGACAUGCUCCAUAGUCGACGUAUCAUCCUGCCCAGAAAACUCAGUAAAAUCUGGCACUUUGUACCAAUUUGGAAGCGGGAUUAAAUCAUAUGCAGGAGGAUACAGUGUCCGAUAAGAGUAAGUGUUGACUUUGGGUUUUAUCUCAAAUUGGUCUCUCAUUACUUCAGCAAUCUUAUCGGCCCAAUAGGCAUCGGGAUCUUGCCGAUGAGGCGGUUGCGGAUCCGGCACCUGCUGGUAAGCUUCCAUGUGUCUAUGCGGUGCACGAUCUGGAUGGAACAUUGGGUUCAUCAUUUGGCCACCAACUUGCUGACCGCCGAGCUGUUGACCACCCAGAUGUUGACCACCAAAUUGCUAUCCACCGACCUGUUCACCACCAACCUGUUGUCCGAGAUUCAUCGACUGAUUGACUGCCCCCUGGUUCUGAAAUCCAGGGUAGAUCUGACCCUAUUGAAAACUCGUAGCCUGAUGAUUUUGUUGGGGCAAUUGUGGAAAAACAUGCUGUCCAAGCCAUCCACUAUUAGCAUUCAUCGGCAUAGGACCUGCCGAUGACUGAUAAUUGGGCAUCAUCAUUGAAUUGACAUACCCUGGCUGAGUCAUAAGCCUCUGUUGCAUCAGCAUUGAGUCUGCCGAUGCGUUAGGCAUCUGGAACAUUGGAGCUUGAGAAUUCCUAGUGUGAGGUCUUGCAGUAGUAGUUGUAGUAUACUGGGGACUUUGAUUCAUCAGCAUAUUUGGAGGUGCCGAUGCCAUAGGAGCCUUGCCUCUCGUAUCAGCUGCCUGAGAUGUGCCAGGUGUCAUCAAGUUUUCCGGGGGCGUACCAAAACCCCACCAGUUAGGAGGAGGGGCUGGUCCUGACAUUGCCGGUGCCAAUAGAUCUGUAGUGAGCUUAAUCUGCUCAUCUGAAGUCGGUGGAUUAGUUGUCAUCGGCGUAGAUUGUGCAUUAGUAACUCCUAACGUACUUGGAGGAACAGGAAUUUCUAUGCCCGCAGCGGCUGUAGCAGCCGAUGGAGCUGUGACCACCGGUGAUCCUGGCUGAUGAUGAGAAGGGCCCACAUAAUUUGGUGGCAACUGUCCUUCCUUGAAAGUUCUAGCCACGGCAUUGAAAACCGUAUUGGACAGCACACCAGCUUGGUUGAUCAAGGCACGGUUGAUAGCACUAUCGACCAUGUCUUGGAGUUUACUAGGAUUGGCUUCAAAAGUAACCUGCCGAGGCAUCGGCAGCGCAUCCUUCUGGAUCACCUCGCUGCUCCUGUUCAUGCUGAAGGACCUCAGGCAUUGCUGCUUGUAAUCCUCCAUGGCUUUAGCAGUAGCUUGCUUCUGCUCAUCCUUGAGAUUGGCUUCCGUCACGGGGAUGACGUUCUCCUGAUCAAACUCAGUAGUCGUCAUGUUGAUCUUGAUCUUGAAUCUGGUCCCACCGGUCGUGCCAAAAGAUGUGUUGAUGCAAAAGCUGAUCUGCAAACACAAAGGGCUAAUACCCGAUUUAAACGUUAAGGCGUGCCAGCCGAUUUGACCUUACUAUCGGCAAAGGUGAUAACUCAAAUACUUUGGUCCCGACAACAGCGAUGCGCCCGGAUGCCACGGCCAAGAGGUAUUCACGCGGAACUUGAGAAUACGCCGAGCUUAAGUCGAUGAAUUCCUAAGAACUCGUAAUGAAAAAGGAAAAUAUGACGAAGUCGUCAAAAAGUAGAUGCUGGAAUAUGAGUAAAAAUUUGUGUUUGAUUGAUUGAUAGAUGUCUCGAUUACAAGGCCCUAGGGUCUACAUUUAUACCCUGUUCAAAGAGCUACAACCAGACAUGACUAGAAUUCGAAUUCCAAAUUUAGAUAGAAUCCGUGUACAAAACGAUUUAAAUAACUAAGGAAAACAUAAAAUUAUCCUGCCGCGACAAGCUAGGACACCACCACGGACCAAUUGGCAAUCCCCAAAUCUUCCUUCCACGUCAUCGGCAGACUCCCCAUCGGCAACAAUCAGUACUGGCCAUCGGCAUAAACACAUCACCACCCAUGAACCUAGCCAUGUUCAACUGUCUCUUCAUCGGCAACCACCCUUAUCGGCAACUCUCCUGCAGACCAAUCACUCUUACCUUUUCUUGCCGAUUUUCACUUCUACCGAUCCUGGAUACGUGUCCAAAAACGGUGUCAACACAGGGUAUCACCAAAUCCCAAUCCAUCUCGAUGAUCAAAGCAAAACCACUUUUACAUGCCCAUACGGAACUUAUGCUUACCGUAGAAUGUCUUUUGGGUUAUGUAAUGCACCAGCUUCUUUUCAAAGAUGCAUGAUGUCUAUAUUUUCUGAUAUGAUUGAAGAGAUUAUGGAAGUUUUCAUGGAUGAUUUUUCUGUUUAUGGAAAAACUUUUGAUUGUUGUCUUGAAAACUUAUACAAGGUUUUGCAAAGAUGUGAAGAAAAGCACUUAGUCCUUAAUUGGGAAAAAUGUCAUUUUAUGGUUAGGGAAGGAAUAGUGUUGGGACACCUAGUGUCUGAAAGAGGUAUUGAGGUAGACAAAGCUAAAAUUGAAGUAAUUGAACAACUACCUCCACCUGUGAAUAUAAAAGGAAUUCGAAGCUUUCUUGGCCAUGCUGGUUUUUAUCGCAGAUUCAUAAAAGAUUUUUCAUUUAUUGCUAGACCACUUACUCUUUUGCUAGCCAAGGAUGCUCCUUUUGAAUUUGAUGAUGCAUGCCUAACAUCUUUCAAUUUAUUAAAGAAUGCACUCAUCUCUGCACAAAUCAUUCAACCCCCUGAUUGGUCGUUGCCUUUUGAGAUUAUGUGUGAUGCUAGUGAUUAUGCUGUGGGGGCAGUUUUGGGACAAACUAAAAAUAAGAAGCAUCAUGCAAUUGCUUAUGCCAAUAAAACUUUGACAGGAGCUCAACUUAACUAUGCAACCACUGAAAAAGAGCUUCUGGCUGUUGUCUUUGCCAUUGAUAAAUUUAGAUCUUAUUUAGUUGGAGCUAAAAUAAUUGUUUACACUGAUCAUGUUGCACUAAAAUAUCUGCUCACUAAAAAAGAUGCAAACCUCGCCUGAUUAGAUGGAUCUUAUUACUUCAAGAAUUUGACUUAGAAAUAAAAGAUAAAAAGGGAGUAGAAAAUUCUGUUGUUGAUCACUUGUCUAAAAUGUAUUUUACGAAUCCACACGACACCCCCAUCAAUGAUUCACUCCGGGACGACAUGCUCUACGGGAUUAACAGGUCUGACCCCUGGUAUGCAGAUAUUGUUAAUUUUAUGGUUUCAGGGUAUGUACCACCUGGAGCAAACAAGAAGAAGCUUAUUCAAGAAAGUCGUUCACAUAUAUGGGAUGAGCCAUACCUCUUCCGAGUAUGCUCUGAUGGCUUACUCAGGAGGUGUGUGACCACUGAGUAAGGAUGGAAGAUCAUCGACAGAUGUCAUCGCCAUAUGGAGGUCAUUAUGGAGCAUUCCGUACACAUUCAAAGAUCUGGCAGUGUGGAUUCUACUGGCCUACAAUGUAUGAAGACACAAAGCAAUAUAUUAGAAGAUGUGGGCCAUGUCUAAGGCACGGAAACAUAAACACGAGAGAUGCCAUGCCACUCACCAACAACCUUCAAAUUGAGCUCUUUGAUGUGUGGGGAAUAGAUUACAUGGGUCCAUUUCCCCCAUCAAAGAAGUGUGAGUUCAUCUUGGUGGCAGUUGACUACAUCUCCAAGUGGGUAGAGGCACUACCUUGCAAACAUGCCCACAACAUCAGUUCAAAGAUAAUGUUUGAAGAAGUUAUAUUUCCAAGAUUUGGAGUUCCCAGAGUAGUGAUAAGUGAUGGAGGAGCACAUUUCAUCGACAAACGCUUCAAGCAAUAUCUAUCAAGACAUGGAAUCCGUCACAACGUCGCUACCCCCUACCAUCCUCAGACAAGUGGCCAAGCAGAGACUUCCAACAAGCAAAUCAAGAAUAUUCUUCAAAAAACAGUCAAUGAGAUGGGAACAGCAUGGAAAGACAAGUUACCCGAUGCACUCUGGGCAUACCGGACAGCAUACAAGACCCCAAUUAGAAUGUCCCCAUACCAAUUGGUGUACAAGAAGACUUGCCACCUACCUGUUGAACUAGAAUUCAAAGCACAUUGUGCCAUAAGGAGAUGGAAUAUGGACCUAGAUGUCGCUGGAGAUCAUAGAAGAAUGCAACUAUCAGAAUUGGAAGAAUGGCGAGAGAAAGCAUAUCACAACUCAAAGAUCUACAAAGAAAGAGUCAAAAGGUGGCAUGACAAGAGGAUCAAGAAGGAGUUUGCUGACGGUCCUUAAGUAUCAAAUUUAAUUAUCAAAUAAACAAAGAAAAGGAUCCAAAUGAAAUCAACAUCCAGACUUAGGGUUUUAUCUGACAGAAUUCCACGAGUUUUGGUGUUUGUCUAUUUCUACAGGGGGUUAUCAGGAAAUAUGGAAGAAAGGCCCAUACGUCGGGAUUACAUAGAGAUAUCAACGUGCCGCACAAUUAUCUUACAUCUAGAAGACUCCAGAAGCCACAUGAAGGAAGCGGAGGCUGAAUGGGGCCAGGCACUGGGCGCCCGCCCAGUUGACCUGGGCGCCCGCCCCCUCCUGGAGUCCAAACAGGACUCUCUUUCGAGAAAGAUCUCCACCGACCUAAAGGAUCAAGGAUAACCGUUCAAUCAAUGUCGGUUUGAUCCAACGGCCUAUAUUCACUUGAAGGGACUAUAAAACCAGACCCCCUGGCCCCUGGAGGAGAGAGCCUCUCAACCCUAACUCAUUAUUCCUCAAGGGAGAAGAAGCCUCUGAGCCACCACAUCAAUUAGACAUCUAGAUUAGCAUAGCUACAUAGGAUUAGAACUAGAAGGAGUCAAUCUUCGAUUGGUUUCCGGAUCUGUCAAGAGGAUUCUUGGUAAUUCUCUAAUUGUACUUCUAAUUGUUCUUCUAAUCAUCUUUGUUCUUCAAUAUUAUGAAUAUGACUUUGUUCUACUUCAAUAUAUUGCUUAUGACUUUGCUCUACUUGCUUAUAUUCAAUAUUAUAUUGUUCUUAGUUUAUCAUAGUUAUAUACUUGGCUUAGUUAGAUUGGAUCUAUAUACAUGUUUAGGAUCGUAUAGUGUUUAUCCAUCGGAUCCAUGGGUAAUUGAUAGAUAUUAUGUAGGCGUGGUGCUUAUACCGUAUUUAUCUGGGAUUGUACCCAAUAUGCCAGAUCGCGGGGUAGUUCGUGAUAGUGACAGCCUCAUUGAUUCUUAUAUAGUCCCCCUCUCGUGUAUUGGGCUGGCAGAGCAACAUUAUUACAGGGGAGUGAUUGCUAUAUUUCUCAUUUACCUGGCUAAUAUCACUAUGCAUGGGCGUAGUCUUGUCUCACCAUGAUUGCUAAGUAUGCUUGCACUAACUAUGAUAAUGCUAGACUAUAUAGUUGAGAAUAACUUAGGAAAUAUUCUUGUAGUUCAUUCUAAUUCCAUGCUAAUGACUUUCUAGAAUAUCUAAUUGAGGUGCUCAUCAUAUUUAUAUGUGGCUAAGUUAUGCUGAUCAGAUUAAUUAUCUUUGUCACUAUUCAUUACUUCAUAUAUCUUUUAUGUGACACUUACCCCUGUAUGAAAGAGUUAGAUAAAUGUUCUCAAUUAUACAUGCAAUGAUAGAUACUCAAUCUCAUAUUCCAUUAUAUAAUCAAUAUUGAUGGUUACUAAUCCCUUCCUAGUGGUAAAAAUAUAAAUAACGAUACCUGGAAUACUUAUGGUUUAAAAUGCUACAUCGGUAUUAAUCUGUGCGUUUGCAGAUCCCAUUCAUUAUUUAUUUAGAAGAGCAAUUGCAUAUUUCAAUACCGCGUCUCUCAUGUCAUGCUGGGGAUGACAACUUGGCUUAAGUGGUAUGAGGGAUAGGUUUGGCAUUUUUGGCACCAUUAUCAGAAUUAGAAAACUAAGUCUACUUUUGGUAAUGAUGUUAAGAAUACCCAACAAGCAUUUUUGGCACCGUUGCCGGGGAAGGUUGAUUACUAAUCAGGAAUGGAUAUAGGAUUUUGAGUUAUCAUUCGCAUCACUAAUGUGAUUGAGCUUAUCAAUUCUCUCAUACAGUUUUACCCCAAUAUCUUCCUAAUUUAUCUUAUGCAGGGGAUUGUAUGAAUAGAAGACAUCUUCCACGCAAUUUUAUUGAUAAUCCCGAGGCCUUAUUCAGAAAAACAAGAGCCAAGCUCAAGAAGAGAUCAUCAACACUUCAGCAAGAAGCUUCAUCCAAUCAAGAAGAUCACCGGAACUUGUCUUCAGAGUUCGAAGCUAUGGCGAACAAAUCGAUCCGUGAGUUCUCAGCUCCCAGUACGGACAACAUCUGCACUGGACCUGCUACAGAGAUCGACGGCAACUUUGAGCUCAAGCCUGGACUUAUCAACAUGGUGCAAUCCAGCCAGUUCUAUAGGAAGGCACACGAAGAUGCUAGUGCUCAUGUCUAACACUUCCUAGAGAUUUGCAACACAUUCACCAUAUCAGGAGUCCCUAGAGAUGCUAUACUACUUUGCCUCUUUCCAUUCUCAGUGUUAGGAAGAGCGAAGCAGUGGUUUUACGCUACAAAGGAGAAGAAUACUACGUGGGCACUCUGCUCAACAAACUUUCUGGCUAAGUUCUUUCUCAUGGGCAAGACCAAUGCUCUCCGUGGGAAAAUUACAAGUUUUCAGCAACAACAUGAUGAAUCUGUUCCAGAAGCAUGGGAGCGCUUCCAAGACUACAUCCUAGAAUGUCCCCAUCAUGGAAUGGAGAGUUGGUUAUUGAUGCAGACAUUUUAUCAUGGCCUCGGCAAUAGUGCCCGAGAAACCAUGGAUGCUGCAGCUGGAGGAGCAUUCUUAUCACUCACCAUACCACAAGCCACAGCUCUUGUGGAGAAGAUGGCGUCCAAUCAAAGCUAGAAUGAAGAGAGGACCCAGACACGCAAGAAAGGUGGAGGUAUGCAUCAGCUCAAGGAGGUAGACAUGAUGUCAGCAAAGCUAGACCUGCUCAUGAAGAAGCUUGAUGAUAGAGCUGGAGAUAAGAAAGAAGUUAUGCACAUCUAUGACUCUCACAUGACUUCUAAGGAGUGUGGAGAUACUGGACACUCAGGCAAUCACUGCCCUAAGAUGCUUGAGGAUGUGAACUACAUCAACAAUAACAACAACUACUACUACAACCGUCCUACACAAAACCAAGGUUGGAAUCAACAGAGGCCUAACUACUCAGGUAAUUAUCAUGGUAAUAAUUCUUACAAUACUAAUAAUUUUCCACCUCUGAGAGAGUUAGUGCCUAAUCAAGGAAAGCUAAUGGAUAAUCUAUCUAAAAAAUUGGCAUCUAAUGAUAAAAUGCUAGAAAAUAUAAGUAAUAGGAUGGAUAAUUUCUCUACUGUCAUCAAGAAUCAAAUUAGCUUUAAUAAAAUGAUUGAAUCUCAGUUAAAUCAAAUAGCUGCUGCUGUUCCUACUACUAACCCCGGUAUACCAUAACAACCGAAAGGAUUAGAAUCUGCAAAUCUUGUAGACAUGUUUGAUGCAGGUAACUGGAGUAACCCCGUCAUUGAAGUUACUACUGACCUUCUACCGGUCAAGAGAGGUGAUCCAGGACGCCCCGUCAUCCCGAUCGCCAUCGGCAUGGUGGACGUCCCAGAAGCACUCUGCGACUUUGGCUCUAGCGUCAACAUUAUGCCUAGGGUACUCUAUGAAAAAAUCUUUACAUAUCCUUUAUUAGAAACAACCAUGUGUUUGCAGUUUGCAGAUCAGACGAUAAGUUUUCCAAAAGGAAUAUUGAAGAACCUUUGUGUCUGAGUUGGUACCUUAUAUGCCCUAGUAGACUUCGUGGUGAUAGAGACCGGUAAUGAUGAGAGAGCACCUAUCAUCUUAGGGAGGCCAUUCUUAAACACCUCGGGAGUUGUCAUCUACGCUAGUGCUGCCAAGAUCAGUUUCUACAUCAAAGGAAGGAAGGAGACGUUUUUCUUCAAGAACAAGACUACACAAAUUCCAGAUCAAUCCAGACGUGAAUCAAGGUAGAGGACUAACAGUAGGAACAGGAACAAGCAAGUGUGGACCGAGUCAGCUAAGAUGGUCACUGCAGUUCAUGGAGGUCAAGAUCACCAACUUAAGUCACCGUUUCUAACCAAGAAGGACGACCUAGGAAUGCCAAGCAUCUACUGCUCUAUAAAUGGAUAUAACAAAUAGUAACUGAUGUCCCUGUCAAAAUAGACGAUCAUUUUGUCUACACAGACUUUCAGGUUAUUGACAUGGGAGAAGACGAGUACGAUCCACCCAUCAUCCUUGGAAGACUGUUCCUCAGCACUGUUAAAGCAAUAAUCUACAUUGGAACUGGAGAAGUCCAUAUGCACUUCUCCUCAGAGAAGGUACGCCGCUAUUUUACUGACUCUAACUAUAUCGUUGAAAAAUCUAAGCAGGUCAGAAAGCGACGCAACCGCAACUAGAGGAGGCAAAUCAUCAAGGACGGAUGGGCAGACUAUGAAGGAGAUGUGAUAGGGUCAGAAGACAUACAGUUUAAACAAAACUAUCCUGAGGAGACCGUAGCACCGAGUCAGGUGUGGAAAGAGAAGAUAACUAUACAUGAAGAGGAGGCGCUGCCGGAAGUACUGACUACGCCACCUAACGAAUCCCAGGACAAUUGAGAAAACAGAAAGUCCCGUUCGGAGGACUUAAAAACACCGAACGCCUUGCCAAGAAGUAAACUCGGUAGUUAUCCUUUCCCUUUCAAUUAUUUAAAAUAGUUUACUUAGUUAAUCAUGUUCAUACUAUCCUAAAGAGAAAAUAAAAAUGUAAAAAACAGUAAGCCCCAUGUGAGUAUACGAGUGGCAUGAAACCCAUAAGUACAUUCACUGUGGUGGCAUAAAAAUAAAAUAAAUAUUUCUUUUCUGCUUUAUAAAACAAAAAUAUAAAAAUAGAGAGUAAUAUUGAGGAGACUCAAUAUGAUAAAGGCCAGAUAUUUAUGCUAACACCUAAUCAGUUCCACAAAGCUUUGUUGUCUAUUUGAGCUCCACAGAAAUCAAGAAUCAAGAAGACUAGCAGACAGAGGACAUUCUAAUCGCUGUCAGGAUACUGCCGACUUUCAAAUAUACCUCUGCCACCUGCUAGCUACGUCAGAAGAAAUUACGUCAAAAUUCAGCUUGGAGGAGAGCACCCCCAUUUAUCCCAAUAAGUAUUUCUAUCUAUCUAUCUAUCUUUAUACUUAUACUAUAUUAAAAUAUAGAUAUACAUAACUAUGGAAAACCAAAUAAAGAUUUUAUGCUUAUAUAUAUAUUUUUUGCUUAGUGUGUUUAAUAAAUAAAUAAAGUGGCUAUGCUAAUCUGAAUCUUAAUAAUAAAACUCUAGCAUGGAUAUGAUGAAUAGUUGCUCUGCCUAAUUUUUUAAAUUUGAAGUUUUCUCUCAAGUUUAGACAUAACUGUUAUAAUUUAAAGCUUGCUCUAAACCUAAACUUGUGGGAAGAAAACUUGAUCUGAAGUCUAAGUUGUUAACGGAUAUGAUAUGGGAUGGUUGAGCUGUUGUUUUUCUGUUCCUAGAGAUGCUUGAAUUCUAGAGAAUUUUAUCUUUGAAAAUCUUUAAAAUAUUGCAUGAUGAGUUCCUGUAUGAUGAGAGUUUAAAUUCCUACCACAGCCAUAUAUACAUGCUCGCUAGAUUUUGAGCCACACAUUUACUUUUAACUGCUUAUGAGCAUUGAGUGUGGUCAAGCUGUGUAGACCCUUAGGAGCUUGUCAUGUGGUUAAAUCAAGAUUUACUUGCACGUUCACUCACACAUGCUACUUCUACUCUGGAAGUACCAUCCACAUAUAUCCACUCAUUUCCAUCUCCAGAACCACCCAAAAUAUUGUACUCCUAAUCCGGGAGAGAAUGGCCAAAAAUAUUUCUGUUUUCCCCUGUGAAAUAAAUGCUCAAGUUAUCUUGUUACUAUCACUUGCUAUAUUAUUAUGUCAUGAGAUGAGUGCUCUAAAAAAAGAGAUACGAGGAAAUAAAAAGGGGCAAGUGCCCGGAACCUCGAAAGAAAAGAAAAAGUGAGACGAGAGGUAAAAAUAGACAAGUGUCCGAUAGUAGAAUUAGGGGUACAAGAUACCCACCUGAGAGGAAAGAAAAAGAAAAGAUAGAGCAUCUCAUUCUCCUCACAAAGUUUCAGAGAGCAAGGAAGGUAUGUAUCCCCUCAAAAAGCAAAAGUAGAAUUAGACUUUCACCAUUGUUAUCACCAUACACCAUUCAUUUGCCACACAUGCACAUCUUGAUUUGUCUUAUUGAUUUGUUUCUUUGGAUCCAUGGUUUGACUACACAAUAAAUGUUUUGUAAGUAUGUAUAUUUUAUCUCCCACCUAUGAGCUCCAGAUAUUAAAGCCUUAUUAGAGUAGGAAGAGAGAGAAGGCAAUGCUUUAUACCACAAAUACCACAUAUU
RNAcentral lists this long non-coding RNA (479746 nucleotides) under Sorghum bicolor (sorghum). Its description in RNAcentral is "long non-coding RNA (SBIC_LNC000828)". The stretch from base 257987 to 258093 matches the Rfam family "Plant small nucleolar RNA R71". Lineage: Eukaryota; Viridiplantae; Streptophyta; Magnoliopsida; Poales; Poaceae. The record is from RNAcentral.